Molecule: long non-coding RNA, 590474 nt
Filed under: Citrus maxima (pomelo)
Lineage: Eukaryota; Viridiplantae; Streptophyta; Magnoliopsida; Sapindales; Rutaceae
Description: long non-coding RNA (CMAX_LNC000228)
Rfam family: Plant small nucleolar RNA R71 (bases 449427-449533)
Source: RNAcentral
AUUUUCAAGGUUACGUGUGUUGAGAAUGUUGGGUACUGGCGGGUUCAUUUUUUAUGAAGCACCAGAAGACAGCGUUUUAUUUGGUGGGGGUGAAGUUUUGAUACAGGAAUUGCUCGGUUUGAAAUAUUUAGAGGUAUUGGAGUUGACCUUGGGAAGUUAUCAUGCUCUCCAAAUUGUUUUGAGCUCAAAUAAGUUAAAAAGUUGUAUUCGAUCUCUUUACCUCUAUUUGACCGGAGAUAAAAAGUCGAUUAUUGAUGCUACGGCUUUCACAGACCUAAACCACCUCAAUGAAUUAUGGAUUGAUAAUGGAAUUGAGUUGGAAGAAUUGAAGAUUGAUUAUACGGAGAUAGUACGAAAAAGGCGGGAACCUUUUGUUUUCCACAGCCUUCACCUUGUUACGAUAUAUAGUUGCCAUAAAUUGAAAGAUUCGACAUUCCUCGCUUUUGCUCCAAACCUCAAGUCUCUUUCGCUAUUCAAAUGCCGUGCUAUGGAAGAAAUAAUCAGCGUCGGAAAAAUUGCUGAGAAUCCUGAGAUGAUGGGACAUAUAAGCCCUUUUGAAAAUCUCAAAAGUCUUGAUCUAUCAUAUUUGCCGGAGUUGAAGAGCAUUUUCUGGAAGCCAUUGCCUUUCACUCAUCUCAAAGAAAUGGGGGUAAGAGCAUGUGAUCAGCUUAGAAAGCUUCCACUCGAUUCCAACAGUGCAAAAGAGCGUAAAUUUGUAAUUCGUGGAGAAGAAGACUGGUGGAACCGACUUCAAUGGGAGGAUGAAGCCACUCAAAUUGCUUUUCGUUCCUGUUUCCAACCUGAUUCCUGAGCGGUGGUCGCAAAAUUUGAUUUCUGGUGAGUGCGUUUGUCUUUUAAAAGAAGAAUUUAAAAGAAAUUUAUUCUUGACGUUUUCUUCACUGUUUUUAUUUCAGUCUCUCUCUCUCUCUUUUUGUCUUCUGCUAAUCACAAUUAAAUGUUGAAUUAAUGGAAUUAAUGCUUCAUAAAUUUGCCGGCACUGCCAUUACUUUUUUUUUUUUAAUACAAAUUGAUACUUUAUUUAUAUCUUCUUAGCGAUUUAAUUUCCUGUCAAUUGACGAACGAGAAGAACAUAUGACUUAAACCAAUGCUCGCAUAAACUUGCUGUAAAAAGAUAUAAUCUCACUGAAAUGCACACGCCUAGAAUGAAAAGAAUUAAAAUAGGGAAAAUAUUAAGUAUAUUAGCCCUCUUUACCGAAAAUCAAAUGACAAUAAAUUUUUUGAAGUUUUGAUUUUCUAUGGUCAAUUCCACCUUUUGCAAUUUCUUCUGUUCUAACAAAAACCAAUUUCUUCUGUUCUAACAAAAACCAAUUUCUUUGUUCAAGUAUUUUCGUUUGGGUAUUAAUAAUUCUCCACCGAAAGAGUGAACUCUUGCUCAAGGGAUCUCUAAUCAAUAGCCGGAAGGGCGCCGAGACCUGAUCGGACCUAGGCCCAAGUUUGGUCUUAAACCCUGGGCUUGAGCCUGGCAAUUAAAUUAAAACAUUAAUUGAUUUCUUGAUUGAAUUGUCGUGUAAUUGAUUUAUGGGGGAUGACACAUCAACAUACUUGAAAAUACACUAAUCUCAGCAUCAUCGGUUAAUAACUUUUAGAUUUAUGGGUAAUCAAUAGUUAAGAUUAGUUAUCAUUAAUACUAAAUAAUUUUUACUUUUUUUUGUCUCUUCUAGAGGAUCUUCUAGAAAAAUGCAUCCACAAUUAAAUUUAAUACUUUACAUAAUAAACAAAGCAUAAAUGUUAAAUUUAAGAAACUGCAUUGUAUUUCAGCUGAAGUUGACUUUAAUAUUUAGGGUAGAAAAAAUUAAAUCCUUAAUGUGUUUAAUUUGUAUCACUUGUGUCAUUAAGAUUUUCUAGUCACCCUAACCAAUUACAUCUCAACCCACUUUUUUUUGGAUGAUUUUAUUUUUACACUAUUAUUUUCAACAUUUUUUUUCCUUUUAACACCAACAUUAGUGUAUGUUACGUAACAUAAUUCAUAUUUGGAUAAUUUGAAAUUUGUUUGUGUUUUAUCUCAAAAUAGAGCUUCAAUCAAUUUGUACCUCAUAAAUUCACAAUAUCUAUGAGGGCUAAUAAGACCAAACUCUGGCAUAUUGUCAAAUGUGCUUAUCCUUUUGCUUGACAUGUCAUUUUAAAAUUGUCAUUCAAUGCCAAAAAAUCACAUCAACUAAUGGCCGACUACUUUAAUUUGAAAGCAUGCAUGCGAUCGCCAAUAAUUAUAACUUAAUUGUUAUUUUGAAAUUUUUUUCUUUAUAAUUUUUAAGUUUAAUACUACUACAUGUGCAGCACAUAAGUUGGAAAAUAUAACAUAAAAUUUGAAAAAUGUGUAGCUUUCGUUCCUUUUUUUUCUUAAAAAUGGGAAAAAAGAAUGUAGUUUUGUUUAAAUUACUGUUGUGAUUACAAUUAUUAUUUUAUUGAUUAAUUGGCAGAGAAUCGUAAUGGUUUUGCAUGGUUGUUAAAACAUUGGAAAAUCCACUACAUCAUCCGUUAAUAACUUUCAGAUUUAUGAUUAAUCAAUAGUUGAGAUUUGUUAUCAUUAAUGCUAAAUAUUUUUUUAAUAUUUUCUCUCUCUCUUAGAGGAUCAUCCAAAGUAAAAAUUUAAUAUUAUAAAUAGUAAACAAAGUAUCAACGUUAAAUCGAAGAAACUGCAUUGCAUUUCAACUGAAGCUAACUUUAAUAUUUAAUGGAGAAAAGUAAUUAAGUCCUUAAUGUGCUUUAUUUACCCAUAUAUAUGGCUAAUUUUUUAAGAUAAAGGGGAAGGAUGAUGCUCAAAAAUAUAAAUUAUAGAAUUAGUUGAACUCUCAAGUAAGUUUAAAGUUCAUUAUUUUUAAUUACAUAUUUAUAAUUUAUUUUAUUUCGUAUUAAUCUAUAGAUCUAAAUCCACUUUGGAUUCAUAUACAUAUAUAGACAUAAUGUGUAUGUUAAUCUAUAGGUCUAAAUUCACUUUAGGUCUAUAUGGGUAUUUUGACAAAUGUACUCCAAUCAUGCAUAUUGGUAAAUUCUAACUACUAUAUUGGUAUGUCAAUAUUAUCUCUAAUUGCCCUAUACAUUCAGAAAUAAUCUAGAUAUACAAAUUAACAUAAAAUAAAAAUAAUUGGUAGAAAAUACAAAUUAUAAACAUGUAAUUAAAAAUGAUAAACUUUAAAUUUACUUAAGAGAGUAAUUAAUUUCAUAGUUAAAAUCUUUAAAUUUUACCCCUCAUCUUAACUUAAGAAAAUUAAUCACUUAUUUUAUUUAACAAAGAAGAGAAUUUUUUUUCCCCCUAUAUUUUCCAAUUAUUUCUCUCCCUCUCGCUCCCGUAAGUUAUACAACUUGAAGUGAAAUAUGAGUGGUCUGAUUCUAGCUUAAAUAAUUUAUUGUGACAUGCUAUCUAAGGACAAUACAUUACCUAGCUCUACAUAUUUUAUUUAACCUCUGGCUCACCCUGUGCAAACUUGCCUUUCCCCUGCAAGACAAGAUUAAUCAAUGUAUCAAGUCUCAAAUUCAAUUUGGAAUAUGACCAUCGUACGCUCUUGUUCUUCCCUCUUUACGAGUGCAUUCCCCCAACCUCAAGCUCCCUCUCUCGUCUUCAAUGUCACUGCUUAUAUCCUUAUGUUGUUCUAGUUUGAAAUAGUGGCUUCCACUAUUUCAGGGCCCCCAAAAAUCCAGAAACAUACUAUUCAUCACGAUGACAAAAUUUUUGGCAGGCAGGUGCUUCCUGACUUUCACACGGUAAUUCUCAAAUUCUGAUUUCACCAUAUUUUAAUUACUGAUUAGCAUAUAUUCAAGUGCUCUCCAUUAUAAUAGAAGCCGCCGCCUCACUCGUGAUUCCAAACUUUAUCUUUUUGCCUUUUUUAAAUUAAUGCAAGUAGCCGCUGUCCUUUUUAUUAAUUAAUUAGUUCGGCCGCCCACAUUUCUUUUCCUAAUGUCUUCUACUGUCGAUUUUCUUUUAUUUUCUCUUUAUUCUUAAAAUAUACUUAUAAUAAUAAAAUAUAAAAAUAAAAAUUAACAUAUCAAAAUAUAAUUUAAUAGAAAAUUAAGAUAAAAAAUAAAAAAAUUAUGAGCAUAUCAAUCAAUAAAUGAAAAAUAAUAAUUUUUAUUUUUAUUAAAUAUAUAUUUUUUAAAAUUAAUCAAUUAUCUGAAUAAAUAAAAUCAUUUAAAAAUAAAUAAAUAAAUUAUUCUUAAAAAAAAAAAAAGAAACUUUUUAUAACACUCACUAUGCUGGUUGUAGGGUAGACGCUUUGGGGACUGAAGCUGGUAACUUCUACAAGUAGUCUUAAGUUGACUGGCAACAACUAUAUUGGCAUUUAGACAUAAUGUACUGCAACCAUAUUGGUAUGUUCAAAUGUUCUUACUAUUGUAUUGGUGUGUCAAUAUUAUCUCUAACUGCCUUAUAGAUUAAAAAAAAUCUAAAUUUACAAUUUAACAUAAAUAAAAUAAUUGGUAAAAAAACAAUUAUGGUUUAUUUACUUAUCAGUAAUCAGAAUAGACUGAAAUCGAAAUGAGCUGUAUUACCGUUAAUGUGUUUAUGUUGUCCUUGAAUCGGAAUGAAUUAUUUUAAGUUACUAAAAUAUCAUUGGUUUGUUAUUCUAAUUAUUAUUAUUUAAUAUUUAUUAUAAUAUUUGUCAUAUCAUUAAAAAGAAAUAAUAAUGAUGAUAAUAUUAUCAUUAUUGUUUGUUACAUUAUUAUUAUUCAAAAAAAUUAUUGUUAAUAACAAUAAUUACUUUAUUUCAAUAAUAAUAAUGAUGAAAUUAAUAAUAACAAACAUGACAACAACAAUAAUUAUUUAUUAUGCCAAAAAUAACAAUAAUAAUAAGAAUAAUAAUCAUCAUCAUUUUUUUCCCAAAGAAGCAUUAUCAUCAUCAUUUAAAAAAAAAAUCAUCAUCAUCAUUUUUGUAGUUACUGUUUCAAUUUAGGAAGAAGCUGUUUCGUUGUGCUAACGAUGGGAGAUGUUGUGGCUGCGAUUCGGGGAGCUACUAGUUUAUUGCACUAAUGACGACAGGUGCGGCUGCUUGAUGCGAGGUCCAUGGCCAGUUGUCAGCAGUUCGACUUUGGUAUGGGCGUUGCUGGUUCGAUUUUAGGUGUUGUCUAAUUUCAUUUUCAGGAUUUUAAUUUUAAUUUUUUUUUAUAUUUUCAUUAAUUAAUCAGUGCAAAGUUUGAUUUUAGAAUUUGGAAUGAAGGUAAUUUUGUUAAUCAUGGAAAUGAGAUUCUGAUUGUCGAGAAUGAACUUACAAAAUUAGCUGCAAAUUAAGUGAAAACAAAACGCUUUUUCUCUUUGUGUGAUUAAAACAUGAAAUGUACCAUAAAUAAAUAGGUAAAAAAUAAAUCAACACAAUUCAAAAUAGAAAACCAAUUACAAGAGGCACAAAUUUUUAUGUGAAAUACCGAAAAUGAAAAAAAACUAUAGCAUCCUAGUCUAAUAUAAUCUUCUACUAUAUUAAUGGGAUUACAGCACAAAUUCUUCCCUAUCUAACACUAGAGAUUAACAAUAUCAAAAAUCUCAAUAAUCUUAACUUACAAUACAACCUAAUAUAUGUCUCUCUAAUAAGUAGAUAUCUAAAAUAACAGUCUCUAAUAAGUAGGUAUCUCAAAUAAUAGUUAAUAAGAGGAUAAAACAAAAAUUAAGAUUAGUAGAAUGUGUAUAAGGCGAUGCUAUCAACUUAUCUUCUAAAUUUGAGAAAAAUAGUUAAAUUCACUUUUUCGAUUGUACGACCAAAGAUGGAAACCCUUGCCCCAAAACCAAAGGAAUCACCAUUGUGUUUUUUUUCUCUCUUUCUCUUUCUCGUUCUUCUCUUCUACUUUUCUUAAUGUUAGCCGCCACUUGCUUUUAUUCUUUAUAGCAUUUAAAAAGCUACUUUUAAUGGUAAAUUCAUCUAAGUCCAAAACUUAGUGAUAAUUGCACACCAAACAAUCCUUUUUGGACUAUGGACUUUUGGGCCUCCAAAUGAGAUGAAUACAACAAAUCUCCCCCUUCAGAUUAUGUGGGGGGCACCACAAGCCCGCUCUCUGCAUAUAGCUUUUCAGCUUCUCCUUGAAUAAUGACUUUGUCAUCAUACAUAACCCAUUCUUCGUUGUGUAAAUCUUCUCAAGCUAUAACUGUUCUUUCUCAAGCACGUCUCAUAUCUAAUGAUAUCUCACAUCAAUUUACUUAGAUUUCGAAUGGUAUAUCAAAUUCUUUGAACGGCACUCUGACUGUCGCAGUACAUAACAUAGUUGUCUCAUUUUAUAUCCAGCUCUUGUAGGAAAUUCUUCGUCCACAAUAUUUUUUUGCAACCUUCAAUAAUUGUAAUAUCAUUUGCUUUAGUGGUAGAAAAGGCAACUUAUUACUAAAGUUUAGAUUGCGAUGAGCUCCCCCUGCAAAAGUGAGCAAACAUCCUAGUACGAAUUUUUCGGAAUCAACAUCUCCUGCCAUAUCUAUACACUUGUAACACAGGUUUGUCACCACCAAAAUAUAAACAUGCUCUGGAAAUGCCUUUAAGAUAUCUGAGAAAUUUUCACUGUUGUCCAGUGCUCUUUACCGGGAUUGAAGAGAAACCACUGACUACACUAGCUGUAUAAGCAAUAUCUGGUCUUGUACAAAUUAUGGCAUACAAUAAACUGCCAACUGCUGAAGCAUAAGGAACUCCUCUCAUGGAGAAAUGGGUUUUGCUCUUGAGAAUUUUGGGAACAUAAAGAAUAAAGAUGUAAUUUCUUGGACUGCCAUUGUUUCGAGGUAUAUAAACAGAAGACAAGUCGAUAUAGCUUGACAAUGUUUUGAUCAGAUGCCAGAACGAGAUUAUGUCUUAUGGACUGCCAUGAUUGAUGGGUACCUUCGAGUGAAUAGGUUCAAAGAGGCUUUGACGCUUUUUCAGGAGAUGCAAACUUCAAAUAUAAUGGGAGACAAGUUUACCAUUGUUAGCAUUCUUACAGCUCGUGCCAAUCUGGGGGCACUAGAUCUGGGAGAAUGGAUAAAGACUUAUAUUGACAAAAACAAAGUCAAGAAUGAUAUAUUUGCGGGGAAUGCUUUGAUAGACAUGUACUGUAAAAGAGGAGAUGUUGAGAAAGCUCAAAAGGUAUUCAGGAAGAUGCUUUGAAAGGACAAAUUCUCAUGGACGACCAUGACUGUUGGCCUUGCCAUCAGUGGCAAUGGUGAUAAAGCUCUUGAUAUGUUUUCCCAAAUGCUUAGGGCUUCGAUCAAACCGGAUGAGGUAGCUUAUGUUGGUGUUCUGUCUGCCUGUUCUCACAAUGGUAACGAAACUUUUGUGAUAAAUAGUUGCAACUUAAGGUGAGAAUUGGAGGAAAGGAAAUAGACUGAAGUUGUUCAAUCAUCAGUGGUUGCUAUUUGGUUUUAAGUUGUUCAAUUAUCGGUCGUCUCUAUUUGGUUUUCUCCAAUAUCUCAUCUUCAGUUUUGACUCAGAUUCUAUCUUACCACUAUUGUUCUGUUCAUUCUAUUUGUUUCCUACAAAAUAUUUCUCCUGCCUAAAAUUUUUUGAAUCAGUAAGUUUUUAUCUUAUGCAAGAAUUGUGCUGAGAGUAAUUCCAUUUCUCAGUCUCGUUAUGUUUCAAUGAAGACGUAAAACUUGUGUUCUAGUGCACCAAUGUUUAUGCUUCUUACAAUUUGACUUUAAUUUACUUUGUAAAACUUUUGUCAAAAAGUACUAAAAAGUAGUGCACCAAACACCAACUUUAUUAUAGAGAGGACUUUAGUUAAAUUUUAAGAAAACACUCAAAAGAAAGAGUUAUAAUUUAUUAUAGAAAUAUUUCACAUAAAUAAAAGCCAUCCCAUGCUGCAAAGAUCUUGCUAUAAUCACCAAAAACUAUCGGGAGCUUUUAGGGUUUCCAUAAAAAUGUCAUUUCGUUCCAAAAGUCAAUGGUGGGUAGAAAGUGGUGCAAAUGAGACUCAUUCUUAAUGGUAUAAGUUUUUGCUUAAUUAUGUCUUCCCCAAGAUGAUGAUUUAAUUUCCAUUCUCAAUUAAUUUUCAAGUUUCAACACUUUUCUAUGUAGCAUGACAUUGGAAAGAUCUUGUACAGUUGUACUACUAAAAGCUAGCAUCACACGUUAGUUAUUGUUAAGUUCUGUUUCAACGUGAAAUAAAGGAAGUAGUCCUUCAUUAAAACCAUUAUAGCCAAAUUUCACCUAAUUGGACACUUACAGACUUUCAUUUCAAGUUGGAUUUGGGUCCAACGUUUCAAAGUUUGGCCCAAUUAUUUUUGUCCGGUCAAGUCCUACGCAGCUAAGCCUCUCAAUGAAUGAGGGUGAGAUUGCUAAAAAUUACGACAGGUGAUAUUUUAUUAUUAUUAUUAUUAUUAUUUUUGGGGGAUAAAUCCUCACCAAAGUGAGGAGAUUUUAUCAAAAUCAAAAUAAAAAUAUAACAAGAACUGAAAGUCGGGCAGCCUAAAAGCUAGAUGAACUAAAAGUCAGGCGCCUAAAAACAACCUUAUGCAAAAGAGAAGCAAUAUGAGACCGAUCAAGUAAAAGAAUCCACCGCAACACCUAAAUUGGCCAAAUUAUCUGUUGGUAUUACAAGUUUCUUGUUAUAAAAGUGUAGAAUGAAGUAGGUGACGUAGUUUUAAGUUACAGCUGCAUGCCCAAUCGCAAUAUCAAAUAAUGCUUAAAUAUCAAAUAAUGCUUAAAGUAGUUGCCUAGGCCCGCCACAACUUAUAUUAACUCUUAAAUUUAUAAAUAAUUAAAUUUUUAAAAGUUUGGAUUUAUAUUAAAAAAUCUUCAUAUAAAUAAAUAAUAUAUGCACUUUUACAACAGUCUUUAAAUUUAAAUUUUUCAAAAAAAAUCUUCUGUAUAUCUUUUCUAUUAAAAAAAUUUCCAUAUAAAUAAAUAAUAUACCUAAUUUAAUUGGACCGAGCACAACGCACAUGCAUAGAACACAUUCCGAAAAGCCAUGCUAUUCAGAAAUUGACGAAUGAAAAGUGAGGAGGCAGCAGUCAAUGCUAUUUCGGCUUGGCCCAAAAUUGAUUUAUCAGUUUGACGUGUGCCAGGAAUGAAGAACUGGAAUAUCACCGUCAAGCAGCACCCUGUGGAGCAAUACCAUAGAAUGCACAAUCUGGCUUUGCCAGGUGACACUGGAGGCUUUUUGAAAAGUGCUUCAAAAAGCCUUUUCUGAUCGAGUCUGAGCACUCAAAUUUUGGUCCUCAGAUGGAGCUACAGCUUUCUCUCCAAUAACCAACAAUUUUCUAAACUCAGCUCCUAGUGUGAUGAGAGUUGUUGAUAUUUGUAAAUGGAGAUCCCCGUAUUUGCAAAUGGAGACAUUUACCAAAUCACCAACAUGCUUCAUCCAGUCUAUGAAAUUCUGCAGCUGAUUCAAAUCCGGAACCUGAACCAGAGUCGGAGGUAAAUCUUGAGCCAUAUCUAAAGCGGUCUGAAGUUCAAGUACUUGAGCCCUUGACAAUGGUUUUGAAAUUGGAACAUCUUGGAUUACUGCAGACUUGUACCUCUUGGUUUCAAAGGUAAGGAAAGGCAUUGCUUGAGUACAAUUUGGAGGCAGCUUCUUCACCAAUUUUAUUUGGAGGCAAUUGGCAGCGGAUCCAGCUGCACCAAUUUCAGAGCAAAUACUGACACUACUUCAAACAGCACGCUGAAGAAGAGAUAUGUCUAUGGCAAAGACAAUGCAGUCCUCAUUUUGACUUGAGAUGCGGUAAUCAUCAAAGAGAGUUUCCUUGUGAAACUGGGCAACACAUUGAAUCCCUUCACCACUGAGAAGGUUGUGGAGGAAGCAAGCUUUCUCUCUAGUAAGGAAGAGGUGGCAUACCUUCCCCAUUUUGUCUAGGACAGGUAGGAAUCUUUUUUCUAAGAGAUUUACUCCAUUCUCUGUGAGAAAUGCUUUGAACUUCAUCCCUCUGUCUCUAUCCUCACUUAUCAGUAAAAUAGUUGAAAGCGCUACAAGGAGAGAAAAGAAGAGUAUUAAGAUAUAUAUAGACAAGAAAAACAUUAGAUGUCGAUCUUACAAGCUAAUACUUCAAACAGUAUCCUAGAAAGCUAAAAACUGCAAAAUGGCUUGAAAUUUGAAAAGAACACAUGCUUUUCCUCCUUAACUUGAGAAAAUGUUUAAUAUAGUGCACCUUACAGAAACAUUUAAGCAAUUAGAACUUUGCACAAAAACAUUCAAGAAGACUAAACAAAUCAGAUGCAGUGUAUUUCUCCAAGCACAAAUGGCAUUGCAUUUUCUCCUCAACUGUAAUAUUUAUUGAUGAAAAUCAGUACAGGUCCCUCAUUUGUUAUGGAAAGCUUUCUUGUAGUCUGACCGGUUAAUUCACGGGUCUAUAAUCAUCUUGCAAAGUUACAGGCAUUUCUUUCGAUUUAAAGUCUUUGCAUCACCACCUCAUCACACACCAAGCCAAUAUUCCGUCUACCUCUACAACAAAAAGUUUUAAGUAAACGAUCCUAAUGCAUGCAGCCAAAUAAAAUGCAGUAAGAAUAUUCAACUUAAAACUCUGAAAGCCAUCUUGGUGAAUUGCCUCCUUAGGGGAAGUUCCAUGCUUUACUAUACUUGACAGGACUGAGCAAAAGCUUCCAUACGACAGAUUUUGACAAUAAUGAUGCCAACAGAUCCUCAUUAAAUCCAUUAAAACUCCAAAGGUUCAUUGUUCAUGGAUGUUUACAGAGUUUUGGUCAUCAAAUAGCUCAGACCACAAUCCCAAACAAAAAAGGAGUGAAAAUUAGAUCACCAGCAGCUAAUUGUAAAUUCUAACUUAACUCUUCAUCUCCUUUGUAAACAGGAGACAAAAUGGAGACACGCAAAAUGAAUAAGGAGAACAUUUGAACUCAAAUGAAAUGAGGGCACGAAAUCAAACAAAUGGCAUGCGCAAACAAACCAAGCCUCAAUCAAAAACUAAAUAACCAUUAAGAAAAAAAAACUGGUCAGAGAAUGAACUCCAAAUUCGGGAGUGAAGCAAGAAGCUUUCAUUAUUUCAGAAGCUCCUGUACAAAUUAAUAAGUUAUGCUCUUUGGAAACAAACCUAAAUUCCAAGAGAAACAGAACUCAAAAAAUUUGCAAUUAUACGCAAAGGAAGCGAAGCACAGCAUUCUAUCACACGUACAAAUUGUAUAACAAGAGAUCGACACAUCGAAUCAGAAGAAUUCAAUUCAAAUUUGUCUCAAAAAUCAAAAUUAGAAGAUUUCACAUUUCGAGAGGAACAAGCGACAGGUCAGAUGCACAAUUUUCAACCACAACAUGCCACAAUUAACGGUUUAUUUCCAUGGAUUUAGAGAGCUGACUGACCUUUUGGCUUUUGGAAUUGAGAAGAACGCGCGCCAAAAUGGAAGAGGGAAAGCGAAAGUGCGGGUUUCAAUAGGGUAUUGGAUUAGCAAAUUUUAUUAGUUUGCGAGGGUAAAAUAGGAAAGAUAUAUCACUAUUAACUUUUUUUUUUAUAAGAAAAAAGAAUAAUAAAGAAUAUUUUAUUGUCAUUUGCAGCAUUUAAUUUUUUUUAAAUGCUAUUAGAAAAAAACGACAAUAAAGAAAUGCUCUUUUUUUAUUUUUUUCUCGAAGGUAAAAUCAAUUAUUUAGCGUCUUAUAUGUAAUCUAACUCCAUUUCUUACUUUAAGUCAUAUCCAACUGACCAAUAAAGUAAUUGUUUUUUUUUUUUCAUUCAUUUUUACAGAAAAUUAAUAUUGAAAGCUAUUGUAAAAAUUUUUAUUAUCAACCUCAUAGUUUAAUUUUUUUGGGGAAGAAUUGAAUUUUUUUUUUAAUUUCCAAGAAUUUCAUUCUCUAGUUUUUCCAUUAAUAUUACUUAUCUUGAUACCCAUCUUAAUUAAAAUCUGUAGUUUUAUUCAAGAGUCAUGCUAUUCAUUCACUCACAGACCAAAGGCUUUCCGCAGCAAUAUUAUUAUUUAAAUUACAACAAAGGGGAAAUCAAAUACGUCAUACAGAAGCUUAAAGCUGAAUCUACAAAAUCUAGAGCUCUCAACUACAAAAAUUACACUUGAUGAUCCUCUACAAGAUGAAGCUUGUUCAAUAUCUCAUCCAAAGCUUGUAAAGUAACCUUGUAACGAUCUUGAGAUUGCCUGCCUUCCUCGACGACCUGCACGAUGCGUUUGUACAAAUCAUCAUACCUGUGCACCGGAUUUUUAAUAUCAACGCCACUGCAGCUGUGAUCAAGAACAUAAGAGCGUUUAACAUCUUUUCUCCAUCGAGAAAGAAUGUAGUGAGGUGGGAUCUCCUGCAUGCCACUCUGGUUUAGAACACAAAGAAUGUGUCUGCAUAAAUAUCCUCUGAAAUUGAACAACCCACAAACACAAAGCACCUCCUGCAUAAAUAUCUUUCUCGUUGCUACCAAUCUCAAAUUCUUCCUUCACUAUCUGUGUUAUAGGUCCAUCAGCACUGACAUGUUUUGUGCUAUAGCAAGAGUACAUAGCCUCCACCUCCGUCUGAAACUUCCUUAACAUUUCAUUUGUGUACAGUUUUGAGAGUUGAAAUUCAUAGUAACAUCUUGGUUUCUGGAUACAACUUGAAUUUCUCGAAUCCAUAUCUGCCAAGGCUUCCAGUUGAUAAUUCGCCUGCAGUGCUUGAUCAUACUUGUCUAAGAAUUCUUUCAAAGGAGUACUCUUAUCAAGAUAUCCUUCAAAGUAUGAAGUAGAAACCUCAUUCUGCAGGAAUGAAAACACUCCUGAUAAAAAUGCUUCCUUCAAAUAAACAGGAGCCCACCUUUUACGAUCUUCAUAUAAAGUUUGAAUCCAUCCAUGAUCCUUUAUUCCAUGACGUUGAAUCGUGUCCUCCCAAGCUGUCUCAAAUUCCUCAGGCCUAAGAGAGUGAUAAAUUGCUCUAUGCAAUGCAGCUCUAACAGCUUCAUAUUCAAACAAUCCUUGGAGUUUCUCUGGAAUUUUUUGCAUGACGCAUGACAAUGAAAAGCAAUGAUAAGCUCUUGGGAAAGCAUUGCUGACGGCAGUUUUCAAGAUUCUACAUUGGUCAGUGAUGAUUGUUUGUGGACAGCGUCCUAACAUACAUGUAAGCCACGCCCUAAACAACCAUGUAUAUGAUUCUAUAGUCUCACUGGCGAGUAAACCACAGCUUCGUUUACACGCUUCGAAAAACACUUUGAAAUUCAAACGAAACAUUCCUUAGGUUGAUAAAUUAGUAGCGCAAAAGAAAUUUUAGUGAGAUAUGGGAUCAGGGUUUUUGCCACGGUGAUGUUAAUUGCGACAUUGGGGUGACUCAGCAGCCUUCGAGGCUGAAACUUUGAUUGACCAAAAGCUUCCCGUUCGUUGAUUAUCUAAUUGCAGAAACGAAACUCGCAGUGUACAGAAGAAGUACGCUGAUUUGAUAAUUCUGUGAAAAUCAUUGUUUUUUUGAGAUUUUUAAUGUGUUCGGUAAAUAUCAAAAUCUCAAAAACUUGUCUUUCAUUUUGGGGGGAAAAACCCAUUGAGAUCCUUAUGUUUUUUCUUAUAUAAUCUGGCUUAAUAAUUUGCAAAGUCUAUUACUUUGCACCCAUGCAUGCUGCGUUUCAAUUUUACAAAAUUGUACGUGAGUGCAUCCAGCUAAAAUUUGUAAAAAGAAAAUAACAAUAACAUGUUAAAAAUGUGAUGAUUAUGAAGAAAUUUUAAUUUAGUUAAAUAGGUGACGAUGGAUAGGUAUAAAAUCUGAGAUCUUUUAUGAGAUUAAUAAGUAUGUUGAGUUUGGAUUAGUUCAAUUUUGACAUAAUACAGAAUAAACACAACCUGCUAAUCUAAGUUAUCAUCUUUUCUCGUCAUCAGGUACCUGUUUGAAAAAUAAUUAUAUACAAUUUUAUUUGCGUUGUCUCUCCAAAAAUUUUGGACUCGAAUGUUAUUUUUAAUUGCUAAAAGUACGAAAAUGCCCCCUUUCUCUUCAGCUAAAGGAGUGCAAAGUCAUCUGUAUAAUUGAAUCUGCAUCAUCAGUUUCUAUUGCUGGCUGGUGUUACUGCAUGCUUACAGUUGCUUGACAAAGUGAGCCAGUUUUUUGUUUAUUAAUUUUUUUUCUUGUCGAGACAGUCACAAAGUAUUACUUGUUCCAUAUGAGAAUGAUGUGAAUCAAUUUUUCAAUUAUGCAUUCUGUGGUAAUUAUUGUGAAUUUAGUUUCAUUUGUCUUGUCUCCUGCAAAUUUUGAAGAAAAUGCAGACAUACAAACUUACAAUAUGGAAGAGUUCACUGGAAAAAACUUUGUGAAAGCUUCCAAGUGAAACAGGGAAUGGGCUUACUAGUAAAGGACAAAUUGGUGGCCAGCUAAUGCAUUCAUUCUAUGUCCAUUCAUCUUUUCGAAUUAUUGAAGACAAGCGUUGGUUAGAUCCAGAUAAUCUCGAUUAUCAAAAUAAUCUCUAUUUUGAAAUAAUAAUAUUCAAAAUAUCUCUUAAAUCAUUAUAAACCUCAAACCUGUUUUAAUUUUAUUUAAAAAGAUAAAAAAAAAAGGUUAUGUUGGUGAUUUUUUAUUUUUUUAAUAAAAAUAAAAUAAAUUGAUGUUUAUAAUUGUUUAAAGUACUUUAAAGAUUGUAAUUUUAUGAGAGAGUAAUAUUUCACCGUUUUUAGUGUGAAAGGCUGAAAAAGGACAAAGCAAGUUUCCCUAGUUUUUAUUUAUUUGAAAUUGGUCAUCUCAUAUGCUUCACCCUUCAACACUACAAUUUUUUUUGUGAUAAUUUUAUUAUUAUUUUUUCUACACAUGCAUGUGAAUUACUUUUCUUUAAGCUCCUGAAUAUUUAAGACGGAUCAUGGAAGAGAUGAGAGUAUAACAAGAUGAUCAAAAUAUGUAACAAAAAAAUUUUAGAAGUGAAAAAUAUGUUAGAGUCAAAGCAAAACUCUGAAAAUAGAGAUAUUCAUUAAUUUAGAAGAGAUGCAAGCAAAAGCUAUUCCAAAAAAAAAAAGCAAUAUGUCCCUUUGGAGGACAAACUUGUCAGUUUCAAAAAAGUACAUGCUUUGGAUUGAUAGUCGUAGGAUAUUUGUUUUGUCACUGUGUAUUAGUUGGAGAAGUCAAGCCUUGUGAAGAAUGUUAUGAAAAAGCAAAGGAUAUUCUUGAUAGAGCUCUAUUUGGUUAUGUAUUCAGUGAAUGGAUGUGUUGUUGGAAGAUAUUUGAGUGCAUUAGUUCAUUUGUGUCUGUCAAUGUGCUUUUAAUGAUUUUUCCACUUGUUUGUUGUAAAAGAUGAUUGUAAAUUGAAAUGAACUUGAUGUUGUAAAAUAUUUUGCUUAGUGGAAUUUCACCUAAGUAUUCACUUUUUAUUAAAUUUCGUUAACACAAUUCUUAAUUAAUGGUGUGUUUACUUCAUGAAAUAGGGAAUGAGAAUAGAGAAAUGAGAAUGAAACUCAUGUUUACUUGGCAAAAUAUAAUUUGAGAAUGAGAAUAAAAUGUGUGGGUCCCACACAAUUUGGGAAUAAGAAAUGAGAAUCUCAUUCCCAUGGGGGGUUAGAAAUGAAAAUAAGAGAAUGAGAAUAGAAUAUAUAUUUACUUUUGUAUCUCUCUACUUUUUCAUAUUUCCCAAAUUACCUUCAUUCAAAUAACAAUUAAUUUAUUAUUUUAAAUGUCAUUAAUAAUAAUUAUUAUUAUUUUUAUUCUUAAAUUUUAUUAACUUUAUUAUUUUAGUUAUUAUUAAUUAUUUUUAUUAAUAUUAUCAUUAUUGUUAAUAAUGAUAAUAUUAAUAAAAAUAAUUAAUGUAUCAUUAUUAACAAUAUUAUCAUUAUUGUUGUUGUUGUUGUUGUUGUUAUUAUUAUUAUUAUUAUUAUUAUUAUUAUUAUUAUUAAUAAAAAUAAUAAUAACAAUAAUUAAUAUUAACUAAAAUAAUAAAGUUAAUAAAAUUUAAUAAUAAUAAUAAUGUAAUUUUCAUUAUCUAGAUACAUGUAUAAAUAUUAUUAUAAAAAUAAUAUUAAUUAAAAUAAUAAUAAUAAUAAUAAUAAAUGUUAAUAAUGAUAAUACUAAUAAAAAUAAUAUUAAUAGUAAUUAAUAAUAACUAAAAUAAUAAAGCUAAUAAAAUAUAAUAAUAUUAAUAAUAAUAAUAAUAAUAAUAAAUGUUAAUAAUGAUAAUAUCAAUAAAAAUAAUAAUAACAAUAAUUAAUAGUAACUAAAAUAAUAAAGUUAAUAAAAUUUAAUAAUAAUAUUAAUAAAUGUUAAUAAUGAUUACUUUAAUAAAAAUAAUAAUAACUAAAAUAAUAAAGUUAAUAAAAUUUAAUAAUAAUUGUUAAUAAUGAUAAUAUUAAUAAAAAUAAAAAUAACAAUAAUUAAUAACAACUAAAAUAAUAAAGUUAAUAAAAUUUAAUAAUAAUAAUAAUAAAUGUUAAUAAUGAUAAUAUUAAUAAAAUUAAUAUUAACAAUAAUUAAUAAUAACUAAAAUAAUAAGUUAAUAAAAUUUAAUUAUAAUAAUAUUGUUAAUAAUGAUUGUUAACUUUAUUAUUUUAGUUAUUAUUAAUUAUUGUUAAUAUUAUUUUUAUAAUAAUAAUAAUAAUAAUAACAACAACAACAACAAUACACGACUUGGAUUAGGAUAGAAGGAAACUUAAAUCCUAGAGAAAAAGAUAGCUAUAUCCCAAGAUUUAAAAAAAUAGUCAUGUAGAUUUUUAAGAUUUCAGUAAGCGAUUGAGAUUUUCUUUUGACAAAUAAUAUCCUUUAUCUCUAUUAACAAAAAACAGAGACUCAAAUAUUUUAUAAUAAAUAAAAAUAUAAUAUUAAAAUAUAUGUGAUAAUAUAGACAUUUUAAAUAAUUUCAAUCCAAAAAAAUAGUUAUUUUUUACAAUCUAUUAAACAUAUUUUAUUGAAUUAAUAUAAGUUUUUCUAUAAAAUAGGAACAUAAUAUUAAAUAAAUUUACAAAACUUUAAAGAAUUUUGAAUGUAAAAUAAUUUUAAUAUAUUAAUACGUGAGACUUUUUAUUAUUGUAAAAAUUAUUUAACCCAAAUAUUUUUUAAAAUCUUUACAAUAAGUAUAAAUAUGUUAUUUACAUUUAAAAAUAUUUAAAUAUUAUUAACCUACAAUUAUAUUUGCAUUUAUUAGAAAUUUUUAAAGUCAAAUAUUUUGCACUUCUACAUUAUUAGAAUUAUUGCACACAAAGAAAGAAACAUAUAAGCUUCAUAAAUUUUUUUCUUUUACAUUUGGAAACAGAGAUGAUGAUUGAUUAUAAGGAUGAAAAAAAGGACAAAAAAUAUUAAUGAUUAACGAAAUCUCUAUGCAAAUUAAUUUUAGUAGGAAAAGAGUGAGAUGAAUGAUUUCUUUUACAGCUAGAAACAGAGAUGAUGAUUAUUAUAAGGUUAAAAAAGAAGAUAAAGAAUAUUAAUUAUUUGUGGAAUCUAUAUGCAAAUUGAUUUUAGUAGGAAAAAAGUGAGUUAAAUGAUUUAGACAUUCAUAGUGUGUUUAUUUUUUGGAUUGAUGAAUAAGAAUUAUUGACAACGCUAACUUCAUCUUCAUUGUUUGUUAUCCAACAACAGCAAUUGUCGCCGAUAAUGAUACCUCCAAUGAUGAUGAUGAUUUUAUUAUUAUUAUUAUUGAUAAAAAGUAUUUUAAUUAAUUAAUAUAUUAAUGUUAAUAUUAUUAUUAUUAAGAUUAAUAAUAAUUACUAAUAAUAAUAAAUUUUUGAAUAAAAAUAAUCACAAUAAUUAAAAUAAAAAUUAAUAAUUAUGACAAUAGUUAAUUAAUGUCUUUUUAGUAAUUUGUAAUAAUGUAAAUAAUUUUGAUUUUGAUUAUUACAAUUCAAGUAAACAAAUUAUUAUGAUUCAUAUUCUCCAUUCCCAUUUCAGCUCAUUUUGAUUUCAGUUCAUUUCGAUUUCUGUUUAAUAAACGCGCCGUUAGUGAUAUAGUAAUAUUUCAUAUAGAGAAAAGUAAAAACUAUACCUAAGGUUAAGGGAAAUGACUUCAAACCUCUCUUUUGACCAUAAUACAUUUUGUCCUAAAUUUAAAGAUUUUGAAUCUAAAAUUUUACAAUAAAUAAAAAUAUAUUCCUAAAAUAAAUAUACUAUCAAUAUUUAAAAUAUGUUUUAAUAUUUUACAAUCUAUCAGACACAUUUUAUUAAAUUAAAGUUAAUUUUAUAAUAAAUACAAACGUACUAUUAAAAUGAAUAUAUAAAAAAUUUAGAGUAUUUUGAAUAUUAUAUAUGCGUAAGAUAUAUUUUAUUAAUUUAAAAAGCUAUUUUACUUAAAAAAUUAUUUAUGAUAAAUUAAUAAUUACAUUUUUAAAAUUAUUUCAAAAUUUUAAAAUUUUUUAAUAUUAUUAAUCUUUUGGAUAGAUUAAAUUAUUUUAAAAUGCCUUAAUUGUUUUUACUUUUAGCGUUACCGGCCUUUCUUAUAUUUUAUUGCAAAUUAAUGCUAACAAGAAAAAGCUAGAUCAUAUUCCACAUAAGCAAAAGUGACAAAACAACCAGCUGGAUUCUUUUAUUAAUCUACAAUUAAAAUGGACUUAUAUAUAUAUAUAUAUAUAUAUAUAUAUAUAUAUAUAUAUAUAUAUAUAUAUAUAUAUAUAUAUAUAUAUAUAUAUAUAUAUAUAUAUAUAUAUAUAUAUAAACUACGUAUGAAAGUGGAAUCUUUUGAAUAUAAGUGGGGUAGGCUCCCUUUCAAAAAAAAAAAAAAAAAGUGGGGUAGGCUCUUUUAUUAAAGACAAGUAUUGAGUAGUCAAGACGAUUAGGGUCUUAACCAAUUAGGCCUUAGCCCGGUGGUCAGAACCUUGCACUCAUAAUUAUGAGCGCAGCGGUUUAAGCCCCGCAAUGUAAGUAGGGGUUUAUUUUCUUCUUUAAUUAUUAAGUGAAUGCAGUCUAUUCUCUUUCGAAAUGUGAAUGGAGUAGACACCCCUCGAAUAUUAGAGAGGGUAAAAUCUAGGCAGUGCUACAUAAGAAUUCAUGUAAAUUAGGCCCAGUAAUUGACUGAUUGUAAAUAUUAAUUGUAAAUCUCAUAUAAUAUAAAUUAUAAUCUGAGUAUUAAUCUCAUGUAAUUAAAAAAAAAAAGAAAAAAAAGACGAUUAUGUUCUUUUAUUAAACUACAAAUUGUAUAGUCUUUUUCAAAUUGUACAGAUAUUUAUAAAUUGGUGGCCCCUUGGAAAUUUAAUGCCAAGCAGAUUCAAGUCAUCAUGCACAAUCCUCAAUAAUUGUUUUCGAUAUUUAUAAAUUGGUGGCCCCUACGUCCUCAAUAAUUGUUCCGAUACUUAUAAAUUGGUGGCCCCUGGGUAAUUUAACAGCAGCUUGCAAGUGCCAACUAGUGAAAAGUCAUCAUUUCAAAUUCUAAAUACAAUAAUACUACACAUCUCAAAUUUUUUAUCUCAAAAAAUUAUCUCAAAUGAUAUGGAAUUUAUUAAUUGGUUGGUGAGAUAAUACAAUUAAUUCACUUGAAUCUUGUAAAGAAUUAUCAACUACUCAAUUAAUGACACAUCAUUUGGGAUAACUUUUUGGGAUAAAAAAUUUGGGAUGUGUAGCAUUAUUGUUCUAAAUAAGGGUCAUUCUAUAAUGCCGUAACUAAAUUUACGGCAUUGAUACCGUAAUGGACGUGGACCGUUAGAUUUGAAUAAAAAAUCUCUACCAUUAAUUCUAAAUAAAUAGGUAACCUGUUACCUAAGUAGUAGGUAAUUAUUAUUUUUUGUUCAAGUUCCAGGUUACAUUUACUAAUUUUAUGUGUGAUUUACAAGUUUUAUAAAACUUUUACAAGUUAAUGUUGAUUUACAAGUUUUAUGCAAUAUUUACAAGUUUUUGUUUUGUUUACAAGUUCUUCUUACAAUUUACAACUCUAACAUUAAUUUACCUAUUUUUCCAUUAAUUUACUAGUUUUAUGUGUGGUUUACACAUUUUUUGUUUUAUUUCACACUUAAUGUCAAUUUACAAGUUCUAUGUCAUUUUUAUAAGUUUUUGUUUUGUUUACAAGUUCUUCUUACAAUUUACAACUCCAACAUUAAUUUACUCAUUUUUCCAUCAAUUUACUAGUUUUUUGUGUGAUUUACAUAUUUUUUGUUUCAUUUCCCACUUAAUGUCAAUUUACAAGUUCUAUGUCAUUUUUCUACAUUUUUGUUUUGUUUACAAGUUCUUCUGGCCAAUUACAACUCCAUCAUUAAUUUACUCAUUUUUCCAUCAAUUUACUAGUAUUAUAUGGAUUUACAUAUUUUGUGUUUCAUUUCAUAAUUAAUGUCAAUUUACUAGUUGUAUGCCAUUUUUCUAAGUUUUUGUUUUGUUUACAACUUCUUUGUGCAAAUUACAACUCCAACAUUAAUUUACCAUUUUUUCCAUUAAUUUAUUAAUUUUAUGUGUGGUUUACAAAUUUAUUGUUUCAUUUCACACUUAAUAUUAAUUUACAAGUUUUAUGUCAUUUUUCUAAAUUUUUGUUUUGUUUACAAGUUCUUCUUGUAAUUUACAACUCCAACAUUAAUUUACCAUUUUUUCCAUUAAUUUAUUAGUUUUAUGUGUGGUUUAUAAAUUUAUUGUUUCAUUUCACACUUAAUGUUAAUUUACAAGUUCUAUGUCAUUUUUCUAAGUUUUUGUUUUGUUUACAAGUUCUUCUUGUAAUUUACAACUCCAACAUUAAUUUACCUUUUUCCAUUAAUUUAUUAGUUUUAUGUGUGGUUUACAAAUUUAUUAUUUCAUUUCACACUUAAUGUCAAUUUACAAGUUCUAUGUCAUUUUUCUAAGUUUUUAUUUUGUUUACAAGUUCUUCUUACAAUUUACAACUCUAAUAUUAAUUUACCAAUUUUUCCAUUAAUUUACUAGUUUUAUGUGUGAUUUACAUAUUUUUUUGUUUUAUUUCACACUUAGUGUCAAUUUACAAGUUCUAUGUCAUUUUUCUAAGUUUUUGUUUUGUUUACAAGUUCUUCUUGUAAUUUACAACUCCAACAUUAAUUUACUCAUUUUUCCAUCAAUUUACUAGUUUUAUGUGGGAUUUACACAUUUUUUGUUUCAUUUCACAAUUAAUGUCAAUUUACUAGUUAUAUGUCAUUUUUCUAAGUUUUUGUUUUGUUUAUAAGUUCUUCGUGCAAAUUACAACUCCAACAUUAGUUUACUCAUUUUUCCAUCAAUUUAGUAGUUUUAUGUGUGAUUUACACAUUUUUUGUUUCAUUUCACACUUAAUGUCAAUUUACAAGUUCUAUGUCAUUUUUCUAAAUUUUUGUUUUGUUUACAAGUUCUUCUGGCCAAUUACAACUCCAUCAUUAAUUUACCCAUUUUCCCAUCAAUUUACUAGUAUUAUGUGCGAUUUACACAUUUUUUUGUUUCAUUUCAUAAUUAAUGUCAAUUUACUAGUUGUAUGCCAUUUUUCUAAGUUUUUGUUUUGUUUACAACUUCUUCGUGCAAAUUACAACUCCAACAUUAAUUUACCAUUUUUUCCAUUAAUUUAUUAAUUUUAUGUGUGGUUUACAAAUUUAUUGUUUAAUUUCACACUUAAUGUCAAUUUAUAAGUUUUAUGUUAUUUUUCUAAGUUUUUAUUUUGUUUACACUUUUUUCUUCUAAUUUACAACUCCAUCAUUAAUUUACGUCUUUUUCCAUCAAUUCACAAGUUUUAUGUGUAAUUUACACAUUUUUUGUUUCAUUUUACACUUAAUGUCAAUUUACAAGUUCUAUGUCAUUUUUUUAAGUUUUCGUUUUGUUUACAAGUUCUUCUUGCAAUUUACAACUCCAACAUUAAUUUAUCCAUUUUUCCAUCAAUUUACUAGUUUUAUUUGUGAUUUACAAAUUUUUUGUUUCAUUUCACACUUAAUAUCAACUUACAAGUUCUAUGUCAUUUUUCUAAGUUUUUAUUUUUUUUACAAUUUCUUCUUGCAAUUUACCACUCCAUCAUUAAUUUACCAAUUUUUCCAUCAAUUUACUAAUUUUUUUUUAUGAUUUACAUAUUUUUUGUUUCAUUUUACACUUAAUGUCAAUUUACAAGUUCUAUGUCAUUUUUCUAAGUUUUUAUUUUAUUUACAAUUUCAUCUUCUAAUUUACAACUCUAACAUUAAUUUACUCUCUUUUCCAUCAAUUUACUAGUUUUAUGUGUGGUUUACCUAUUUUUUAUUUUAUUUCACACUUAAUGUCAAUUUACGAGUUCUAUGUCAUUUUUUUAAGUUUUUGUUUUGUUUACAAUUUCUUCUUGUAAUUUACAACUCCAACAUUAAUUUACUCUCUUUUCCAUCAAUUUACUAGUUUUAUGUGUGGUUUACGUAUUUUUUGUUUUAUUUCACACUUAAUGUCAAUUUACUAGUUCUAUGUCAUUUGUCUAAGUUUUUGUUUUGUUUACAAUUUCUUCUUGUAAUUUACAACUCCAACAUUAAUUUACUCUCUUUUCCAUCAAUUUACUAAUUUUAUGUGUAGUUUACGUAUUUUUUAUUUUAUUUCACACUUAAUGUCAAUUUACGAGUUCUAUGUCAUUUUUCCAACUUUUUGUAUAUAAUUUAUAACUUCAUCAUUAAUUUACCUCUUUUUCCAUCAAUUUACUAGUUUUAUGUAUAAUUUACACAUUUUUUGUUUCAUUUUACAUUUAAUGUCAAUUUACAAGUUCUAUGUCAUUUUUCUAAGUUUUUAUUUUGUUUUAUUUACAAUGUCAUUUUUCUAACUUUUUGUUUUGUUUACAAUUUCUUCUUGUAAUUUACAACUCCAUCAUUAAUUUACCUUUUUUUUUCCAUCAAUUUACUAGUUUUAUGUCUUAUUUACAUAUUUUUUGUUUCAUUUGACACUUAUGGUGUGUUUACUUCUUGGAAUAAGGAAUGGGAAUGGAAGAAUGAGAAUCAAAGCUAUGUUUACUUGACAAAAUUGAAUUUAGGAAUGGGAAUAAAUUGUGUGGGUCCCACAUAAUUUGAGAAUAAAGAAUGGGAAUCUCAUUCCCAUGGGGGGUUGGGAAUGAAAAUGUGGGAAUGAGAAUGAAAUAUAAAUUUACUUUUCUAUCCCUCUAAUUUUUUCAUAUUUCCUAAAUUACCCUUGUUCAAAUCACAAUGUAAUUUUGUUAUUUUAAAGGGAAAUUUACACUCGUCCACCUGUUUGUUUUGCCUUUUUCAAAAAUACACAAACACUUUUUUUUUUUCAGCGCGCCACCUGAUGUUUGUUUUUUGUUGCAUUCAUCCACUUCCGUCUAAUUUCCGUUAGUGGAUUUAACGGAAUGUUAAUGAAAUGACCUUUUUACCCCUCAAAAUUACAAUUUAACCCAAAAUAAAUAGAAAUUGGAGAUAAAUUGGAUGAAUUUAAUUUUUUUCAAAGGUGGAUGCUAGAAAUUGGAGGAAAAUAGUGUUUUUUGCUUGCUAAAUUUAGAAAAUUUGUAUUUAUUUUUUUGAAAGAUAAAAAAAUAAAUACACAAAAAAAUAAUACAAAUUUUCUAAAUUUAGCAAGCAAUAAACACUAUUUUUCUCCAAAAAAAUAAAUAAAAAUUUUCUAAAUUUAGUAACAAACAAACACUAUUUUCCUCCAAUUUCUAGCAUCCACCUUUGAAAAAAAUUAAAUCCAUCCAAUUUAUCUCUAAUUUCUAUUUAUUUUGGGUUAAAUUGUAAUUUUGAGGGGUAAAAAGGUCAUUCCGUUAAAUUCACUAACGGAAAUUAGACGGAAGUGGACAAAUGCAACAAAAAGUAAACUUCAAGUGGCGCGCUGAAAAAAAAAAGUGUUUGUGUAUUUUUGAAAAAUGCAAAACAAAUAGGUGGACGGUUGUAAAUUCCCCUAUUUUAAAUGUCAUUAAUAAUAAUAAUAAUAAUAAUAAUUAUUAUUAUUAAAGUUUAUUAAAUUUAUUAUUUUAGUUAUUAUUAAUUAUUUUUAUUUUUAUUAAUAUGAUCAUUAUUAACAAUAAAAAUAAUGAUAAAAAUAAUAAUUAAUAAAAAUAAUUAAUUUAUCAUUAUUAACAAUAUUAUCAUUAUUAUUAUUGUUGUUGUCAUUAUUAUUAUUAUUAUAUUAUUAAUAAAAAUAAUAAUAACAAUAAUUAAUAAUAACUAAAAUAAUAAAAUAAAUAAAAUUUAAUAAUAAUAAUAAUAAUAUAAUUUUCAUUAUGUACAUACAUAUAUAAAUAUUAUUAUAAAAAUGAUAUUAAUUAAAAUAAUAAUAAUAAUAAAUGUUAAUAAUGAUAAUAUUAAUAAAAAUAAUAUUAAUAGUAAUUAAUAAUAACUAAAAUAAUAAAGUUAAUAAAAUAUAAUACUAAUAAUAUUAAUAAUAAUAAUAAAUGUUAAUAAUGAUAAUAUUAAUAAAAAUAAUAAUAACAAUAAUUAAUAGUAACUAAAAUAAUAAAUUUAAUAAAAUUUAAUAAUAAUAAUAAUAAAUGUUAACUAAAAUAAUAAAGUUAAUAAAAUAUAAUAAUAAUAAUAAUAAUAAUAAUAAUAAAUGUUAAUAAUGAUAAUAUUAAUAAAAAUAAUAAUAACAAUAAUUAAUAGUAACUAAAAUAAUAAAGUUAAUAAAAUUUAAUAAUAAUAAUAAUAAAUGUUAAUAAUGAUAAUGUUAAUAAAAAUAAUAUUAACAGUAAUUAAUAAUAACUAAAAUAAUAAAGUUAAUAAAAUUUAAUCGAGCUCUAAUAUUUAGUCCCGAGCCUAACUAUUAAAUUCGAGUCAAAUGCCAGAAAGUUCAGGUCAAGUCAAUUAAACUAAAAGUCGAGCCGAGUCUUCCUUACAUGUAUAUAUGUUUGCAUCUUGAUUUUUAUUUUUAUUUAUCAUAUAAACUCUUCUAUAAAUUUAUUAUUAUUAUUAUUAUUAUUAUUAUUAUUAUUAUUAUUAUUAUAUAUAUAUAUAUAUAUAUAUAUUGUCAUUAAUCGGAAUGGGGAAUGAGAAUCAGAAUAAAUUGUUUACUUAACUUACAAGAAUCGAAAUCGAAAUGGAUUGGAAUCUCAUUAAUGUGUUUAUUUUAUCUUGGAAUUGGCUUUGGAAUGAGUUAGAUUGUAACAAAUUACUCAAAAGUACUUAAUGAAUUAUUAUCAUAAUUAUUUUAUAUUUUAAUUAUAGUGAUUAUUUAUUCAAAAAUUAUUAUUAUUAAUUAUAAUAUAUUAAUAAAAUCAUAAAUCUAUCAUUUUUUCUUUAAAUUAGUUUAUAAAAAUCGACCAUGUCCCUUUCCCGAAUGAGAAAUUGAGUAUAAAAUCAUAAAUUUAAAAUUUAACUAAAAAUCAUAAAUCUAAACUCAAAAAAAAAAUCAUAAGUGGUUCUAUAUACAUUUUAGGUAUAUAUAUAAAUGUUUGUUUGUGUGUGUAUAUAUAUACUAUCAAUUUUAUCCUUAACUUAUUUUAAAAAAUAAUGUUAUAUAAUUAAGAUUAUUAAGAUAUAAAAAACAACAAAAAAUUAUAAAAUUUAAAAUUCACUAAAACUAUGUCAUUUCCAUAUAAUAUUCAUUUUCUUUUUUAAGUGAAAGCGGUAAAAAAAAGGCUCGGCUCUCAAGUCUCAACGACACCAUAGAAUACGAGAACGACAAAAUGAAAAAUUAAAAUUAUAGUGAUUAUGAAUUUACAGUGAGAUUUGAAUGAUAGUAACACAUUUACAAUGAUUAUGAAUUUAACUGAUGAGUUCGUAAUGGAUCAAUAGUAUUUUCGCAAGGAUGGCAAUGGGUCGAGUCGGGCCUGUGCUUAGCCAUUUCCGAGCCCAACUCUAUAACUGAAAUAAAAUUUUCAAGCCUAAAAAGGCUCGAUUAUUUGAAAGCCUGUGCUCAAUCACACUUUCAUUUAAAGUUUUUUUUUUUAAUUUUUAGUUAAUUUAAAAUUUAAAAAUUGGACAUAGCCUCCCCAUAUACAUUAAAAUAUAAAAGCUUCAAAAAUUGUUUAAUGUAACAUAAAAAUAAAAAUUACUCAAGGUCAUAACCAUAUUAUUACGUAAAUAAUAAACAUAAAAUAAACAUUUUUUUUUUUAAGUUUCAGGGUCAAGUCAGGUCGAGUCCAGCAUGUAGGUCAUGAACCCUGAUCUGAAUUUAAUCGGGCUCUAAUAUUUAGGCCCAAGCCUGACCAUUAAAUUCGAGUAAAAGGCCAAAAAAUUCAGGUCAAGUCAAUUAGACUAAAAGUCGAGCCGAGUCUUCCUUGCAUGUAUAUAUGAUCAUAUAAACUCUUCUAUAAAUUAUAUAUAUAUAUUUUUACUUGUAAUUAAUCAAAAUGGGGAACGAGAAUCAGAAUAAGUGGUUUACUUGACCUACAAGAAUCAGAAUCGGAAUGGACUGGAAUCCCAUUGAUGUGUUUAUUUUAUCUUGGAAUUGGCUUCGAAAUGAGUUAGAUUGUAAAAAAUUACUAAAAAGUAAUUAAUGAAUUAUUAUCAUAAUUAUUAUUUUAUAUUUUAAUUAUAGUGAUUAUUUAUUAAAUUAUUAUUAUUAAUUAUAAUAUAUAUUAUUAUAUUAAUAAAAUCAUAAAUUUAAAAUUUAACUAAAAACCAUAAAUCUGAACCCAAAAAAAAAAUCAUAACAUAAGUGGUUCUAUAUAGAUUUUAGGUAUAUAUGUAAAUGUUUGUGUGUGUCUAUAUAUAUAUAUAUAUAUAUAUAUAUAUAUAUAUGAAUCUAUCAAUUUUAUCUUUAACUUAUUUAAAAUAUAUAAUGUUAUAUAAUUAAGAUAUAAACAACAACAAAAAAUUAUAAAAUUUACUAAAACUACAUUGUUUCCAUAUAAUAUUCAUAUAAUAUAAUAACUUGAAGGCUCUAGUUAGAAAAUUUCCAUCAAAACAUUAGCAUUGACCACCAAUGUGUAGGAUCCAAGUACGAAUUUAACACAUAGGCAAAUCACUCAAAAAAUAAAUUAAUUAAAAUAGAACCAUGAACAAAUAAAUUUUUCAAAGUGGGUUGGUAAAAAAGGAAACUAUGGUUGCAUUGACACUUACAAUGAUACACAAAAGGCAAAACGAAAUUAAGGCUGAUUUUAUUCUUUUGGGACUGGAUGCGUAUGUUCAAAAUAAUUGUUUAUUUUGAACAAUUAUUUGAUCUUCUCUACUGCAUAGCCAAUAUUUCAUUACAGAUGUAACAUCUGUAUAAUUCUCGUUUGUCUCUUACUUAGAAACAAUAAAAAGAUCAAAUUAAAGUCCAAUGCAUACUCUAUAUAUAUAUAAUUUUUUUUUUUGUGUUAACCAUUAACAAACUCAAUUCAUAAUAUAGUCAACAAAAAACAUUAAAUAUUGUCAAUCGCCACCACAAGAAUGAAAGCAUCCAAUAUAACCAGGAUUGGUCUCAAUUUAUCUCAAAACUUCAUAACAGUUCACCAACAAGGAGUAACCAUAAAUAAGGUAAUAGGGAUAAGUCUAACUGCUGGAACAAUUAGGUUUCUCAACCAAACAUUAGUUUACUCAUAGAUCCAAGGGUGAAGGCUGCUCUGCCAGUUAAUAGGGCCAUCUGGGAACCACAAGGCAAUUUCUUUCUGGGCACUCGCAACUGAGUCACUUCCAUGGAUGAUAUUCCUGCCCAUCACAAUAGCGAAAUCACCAUGGAUGGUUCCAGGAGCAGACUGCGCAGGGUUGGUGGCUCUAAUAAUAGUGCGGCCAGUCUUAACAACGCCUUCACCCUCCCAAAUCAUAGCAAUGACAGGACCAGAGGUUAUGUACCCAAUAAGAGCACCAAAGAAAGGCUUUGACAACAAAUCCUCAUAGUGCUUCUCAGCAAAAGGGCGGUCCACAGUCAUAAGCUUCAAACCCUUCAAAGAGAAACCUUUCUUCUCAAAUCUGCUGAUGAUUUCACCAACAAGGCCUCUUUGGACCCCAUCGGGCUUGAUCAUGAUGAAAGUUUGUUCCAUUUCAUUGAGAUUCAAAGAAACCAACUUGUUUGAGAAUUCAGUGAAAUAGCACAACACAUAGGUGAGAGAAUAAUGCAUGCUCUAUAUAUAUACAUAUUUGCUAUGUCUUGGUCAAAACAAUGCAAAUGCGGUAGAGGAGAAUCAGUAAAGAAUGACGAACCUAGCCCGGUUCUCCUCUUGACUCCCGACGCCGAGUCGUUAUCGUCGGACCGAAACCACUUCACGAACACGAACCCAGCCCCUUCACCAACACGAACCGUUGUAGAGCUUCUACUUUCUCACUCCUUUUUGGCUUCAAACAGUUUUCAAAGCGAAGAUUGCAGUAAAAGAGGAAGGAUCGAGGAAACAAAAUUCGGGUUAGCCAGCAAACCCAAUUGCUUCGAAAAUACAAAAUCUGGCGUGCUACGAUUUUUAGAUUCGAUUCCGGGACCUUCGAAUUAUGACCAGACUUUGAUUCUAUUUGGACUUUCGUAGAAUUCAAUUUUAAAAUCUAUAAUUUUGAAAUUUUAACCAGUUAAUUUUUUUAAAUAAAUGUUUAACCGGUUGUAAACCUGUUAAUGAAAUUUUUUUAAAUAUUUUUAUUAUAUUAUAAUUAUUAGGUACCGUUGAUCUAAUCCAAUGGUCCACGUUUAUUACAGUAUCAAUGCCUUAAAUUUACUUACAACAUUAUAGAAUUUUCCUAAUUAAAAUACAAAUUAAUAAUUAUAACAAUAGUUAAUUAAAGUCUUUUUAGCAAUUUGUAAUAAUCUAACUCAUUAUGAUUUUGAUUAUUACAGUUUAAGUAAACAACUUAUUAUGAUUCUUAUUCUCCAUUCCCACUUCAGUUCAUUCCGAUUUCAAUUCAUUCCGAUUUUCGUUUAAUAAAUGCACCAUUAGUGCUAUAGUAAUAUUUCAAAUAGAGAAAAGUAAAAGCUACACCUAAGGUUGAGGGAAAAGAUUUCAAAACUCUCUUUUGAUCAUAAAACCUUUUGUCUUAAUUAACUUAAAGAUUUUGAAUCUAAUAUUUUAUAAUAAAUAAAAAUAUAUUCCUAAAAUAAAUAUAAUAAUAUCUAUUUUAAAAUUACUAACUGUUUUUAUUAAAGGCAAGUAAUAUCAAUUGUAAACUACAAAUUAAAAUAGAUUUUUUUUCGAUAAAUUACAAAUUAAAGUGGAUUCUUUUGAAUACAAGUGGGACAGACGAUUAGGCUCUUUUUAUUAAAGGCAAGUAAAUUACAAAUUACUAACUGUUUUUCCUUCAAAAGUUAGCGGCUCAUGUUUGCAAGUGUGAAUGUGCGAUGCUCUUUUCUUAAAGGCAAUUACAGUGGGGCCCGAAUCAGACGUGCCUAAAUCUUUUUAAAAUUUUUGCCGUAUAACGAACAGAGGUCAUUACUAAAAUUUCUCUUCCAUAGCCUACAGCAGCUUCAGUUUAUCAAACUCCAUCAAUUUUCUUUCUUAACAAAAUUCCAAAGAUGUGUAGCAUUUUUCAGAUCACAUGCGAUGGUGCUCUUUUCAAUCGUUGCUUGGAUUGCUUUCUUGGAAAAGCAGCAUACAUACGUAACCUCCAAGAUAAUCUUGAUGCCUUGGACACUGAACUGGGAAGACUAAUCGCUAAAAAGAACGAUGUGAUGAGGAGGGUUGUCGACGCUGAACGACAACAAAUGAGAAGGCUGGACGGAGUGCAAGUGUGGGUUUCGAGGGUGGAUGCUGUUAAAACUGGAGCCGAUGAACUUAUCACAGACGGCUCUGAAGAAAUUGGCAAAUUAUGUGUUGGAGGCUACUGUUCCAAGAACUGCAGGUCAAGCUACAAAUUCGGAAAACAAGUGGCUAAAAAGCUACAAGAUGUAAAGACUUUAAUCGCCGAGGGAGUUUUUGAGGCGGUGGCCACUGAGGUGGUGCCCGAGAGAGCUCCGGAACCUGUAGCAGAUAAAAGACCCACUGAGCCAACAAUAGUAGGCUUGCAAUCACAGCUUGAACAAGUUUGGAGAUGUCUUGUAGAAGAAUCAGUGGGAAUCAUUGGCCUAUAUGGUAUGGGCGGUGUUGGUAAAACCACACUAUUGACCCAUAUCAACAAUAAAUUUCUUGAGAGUCCCACAAACUUUGAUUGUGUGAUUUGGGUCGUAGUUUCAAAAGACCUGCGACUUGAAAAAAUUCAAGAAGAUAUUGGGAAGAAGAUAGGUCUCUCUGAUGAUUCAUGGAAGAAUAAAAGUUUUGAAGAGAAAGCUGUGGACAUCCUGCGGAGAUUAGGAGAGAAGAGAUUUGUAUUGUUGUUAGAUGAUUUAUGGGAGCGGGUUGAUUUAACAGAAGUGGGCGUUCCACUUCCCAGCGCACAAAAUACUACCUCAAAAGUCGUAUUCACAACCCGUUCCAUUGGUGUUUGUGGCAGCAUGAGAGCUAGGCCGGUUAAAGUGGCAUGCCUAUCAGAAAAGCAAGCUUGGGAAUUGUUCCGCGAAAAUGUUGGGGAAGAAACUCUUGAGAGUGAUCAUGAGAUCGUUGAGCUAGCCCAAACUGUGGCCAAAGAGUGUGGUGGUUUGCCACUCGCACUUAUUACUAUUGGUCGAGCUAUGGCCUACAGAAAGAAAGCGGAGCAGUGGAGACGUGCAAUUGAAGAGUUAAGAAGAUCAGCUUCAGAGUUUGCAGGUUUGGGAAAAGAGGUGUAUCCUCUUUUAAAGUUUAGCUAUGAUAGUUUGCAGAAUGAUACAAUUAGAUCUUGUUUCUUGUAUUGUUGUUUAUAUCCUGAAGAUUAUGGCAUUCUUAAAUGGGACUUGAUUGAUUGUUGGAUUGGCGAGGGAUUUUUUGGGGAAUCUGACAGGUCUGGUGCAGAAAACCAAGGCUAUGACAUUUUGGACACUCUUGUUCGUGCACGUUUAUUAGAAGAGGUGGAAGAUGAUAAAGUAAAAAUGCAUGACGUUAUUCGUGAUAUGGCUCUAUGGAUAGCUUGUGAAAUUGAGAAGGAGAAGAGAAACUUUUUGGUUUGUGCAGGUGCUGGAUUAAAAGAGGCACCGGAUGUUAAAGGAUGGGAAAAUGUGAGAAGAUUGUCAUUGAUGCAAAACCAAAUUAAAACUCUGUCAGAGGUUCCCACAUGCCCUCAUCUCCAUACUUUAUUUCUUGCCUCUAAUAUGGAGUUGGAGAUGAUCGCGGAUGGCUUCUUCCAAUUUAUGCCUUCUCUCAAAGUUUUGAAGAUGUCACGCUGCUGGAAUUUUCAAUUACCUGUUGGGAUGUCAGAUUUGGGUUCGUCACUAGAACUUCUUGAUAUUUCACGUACCAAAAUAAGAGAGUUACCAGAAGAGUUAAAGUUGUUGGUAAAUCUGAAAUGUUUGAAUUUGGGGUGGACAAGGGAGUUAAAUAAAAUUCCACGGCAACUAAUAUCAAAUUCUUCAAGGUUACGUGUGUUGAGAAUGUUCGCUACUGGCUAUGGGGGUCUUCAUGGAGCAUCAGAAGAUAGCGUUUUUUUUGGCGGGGGUGAAGUUUUGAUACAGGAAUUGCUCGGUUUGAAAUAUUUAGAGGUAUUGGAGUUGACCUUGGGAAGUUAUCAUGCUCUCCAAAUUGUUUUGAGCUCAAAUAAGUUGAAAAGUUGUAUUCGAUCUCUUUUCCUCCAGUUGUUCAGAGAUACAACGUCGAUUAUUGAUGCUACGGCUUUCGCAGAUCUAAACCACCUCAAUGAAUUACAUAUUUAUAUAGGUAUUGAGUUGGAAGAGUUGAAGAUUGAUUAUACAGAGAUAGUACGAAAAAGGCGGGAACCUUUUGUUUUCCGCAGCCUUCACCUUGUUACUAUACAUAGCUGCCCUAAAUUGAAAUAUGUGACAUUCCUCGUUUUUGCUCCAAACCUCAAGUCUCUUGAGCUAUGGAAUUGCCAUGCUAUGGAAGAAAUAAUCAGCGUCGGAAAAUUUGCUGAGACUCCUGAGAUGAUGGGACAUAUAAGCCCUUUUGAAAAUCUCCAAAGGCUUAAUUUAGAAGAUUUGCCAAAUUUGGAGAGCAUCUACUGGAAGCCAUUGCCUUUUACUCGUCUGAAAGAAAUGGCGGUACUUGGGUGCGAUCAGCUUGAAAAGCUUCCGGUCGAUUCCAAUAGUGCAAAAGAGCGUAAAUUUGUAAUUCGUGGAGAAGAAGACUGGUGGAACCGACUUCAAUGGGAGGAUGAAUCCACUCAAAUUGCUUUUCGUUCCUGUUUCCAACCUGAUUCCUGAGCGGUGGUCGCAAAAUUUGAUUUCUGGUGAGUGCGUUUGUCUUUUAAAAGAAGAAUUUAAAAGAAAUUAUUCUUGUCGUUUGUUUUCUUCUGUGUUUUUAUUUCAGUUUCUUUCUCUCUCUCUCUCUCUCUCUUUUUGGUCUUCUGCAAAUCACAAUUAAAUGUUGAAUUAAUGGAAUUAAUGCUUCAUAAAUUUGCCGGCACUGCCAUUACUGUUUUUUGGGGGGGUCGAAUUGAUGCUCUGGUUUUUUACUUUUUGUUGUCAAAUUUUGCCCUGUUCUAUCUUCUUAGCGAUUUAAUUUCCUGUCAAAAGACGAGCGAGAAGAACAUAUAUAUGACUUAAACCAAUUGAUACUUUAUUUAUGUGCAUUGUAUGUAAUAAAUAUUAAGUAUACUUUAUUUUGCCCUGUUCUCUGUUUUUAUUUCAGUCUCUCUCUCUCUCUCUUUCCUGUCUUCUGCAAGUCAUAAUUAAAUGGUGAAUUAUAUGGAAUUAAUGCUUUACAAAUCUGCCUGCACUGGCUUUUUUUUUUUUUUUUUUGUGGGGUCGAAUUGAUGCUCUGGUUUUUUUUUGUUGUCAAAAUUUUCUCUGUUUUUUCAAAUUGAUGCUUUAUUUAUAUCUUCUUCGUGAAAAGUGAUUUAAUUUCCUGCCAAAAGACGAACGAGAAGAACAUUAGAGUCAAACUAAUGCUCACAUAAAUUUCCCGUCAGAAUAUAUAAUUAGACUGGAAUAGUAGCACUCUUUACAGAAAAUGACGUGAAAGUUAAUUUAGAAAGAUAUAUUCUUGACGUGAAAGUUAAUAGUAUACAUGCCAUCACCAUUACCAAGAAUCAAGCAUGGAAUUGGAAGUCAUUCUAUAGAGUGCAGAACAUGACUCUAUGCGGUAGUCAAUUUGACACACGACGAACACCAUAUGCUGCAUAACAUACAAAUUAAUUUCCCAUAUGUGAUGCAAUUUGCUCCUCAACAUAUGCGCAAUUCUUUCCAUUCCGGCCGUUGAUUGAACCCUUUGGCAACAAGACGAGCUUUAAACUUGUCAACAGAACCGUUGGAAUGUCUUUUAAUACAAAAAUCCUUUUGCAGCCAACAAUAUUGGAAGGGAUGGGAGGUGGAACAAGCUUCCAUGUCCCGUUACGAACAAGAGCAUCAUACUCUUCUGACAUAGCUUGACGCCAGUGAGGAUUUUUGAUAGCUUGUGUCACAGUUGUAGGUUCACAAUCAGAAAAAGGGCUAAAAUGAGCACGGAGGUUAAGUUUUUGUAACGGCUUGUGAAUCUUAUUUUUAGCUCGGGUAGUCAUAUCAUGAUGAUUUGUGGGGCAAUGAUCUAGUGGAAGUUUGGGAAGAUGAUUGAACAGGAAGUGAAGAAGUGCUUUGUGUAGAGGUAGAAGUAGGUUGGGAGGAUUGCUGCGGCGAUGUUACCGGUAGAAAAGAAGGAGCAGUACACGGUGCAACUCCAGAGGGCCCACAGUAGAUGGAGUAGGUGCCGACGAUGGAGUACUAGGAAAUGAAACAGUAAGAAUUGGUGGAACACUUGCGUAAUUAGGAGUGGUUGAUGAGCUUGUAAUGAUUUGUAUGGAAAAACAAACUCUACAAAUUUAACGUGACGUGAAAAAAAAAUUUGAAAGGUGGAUGGGUCAAAACAUAAAUAAGCACUUUGAGAUAAAGGAAUAUCCUAGAAAAACACAAGGCUUAGAGGGUGGUUCGAGUUUAUGUGAUGAAACACAAACAUUCAAAAAUUUUUAAGUUUAUAUUAAUUAGGAGUGGUACCAAAAAUUAAUUAGCUAUGGGGUUGUUGGAUGUGUUUUGGAUAUUUACAGUUAAGUUUGAGUAUCUCAACUUAAAAUUUGUAGUUUUCACUUGAAAAAAUUCAGUUAAAUUUUGCAAUGCAGACUGAUUGAUUUAUCAGUUUAACGUGUGCCAGGAAUGAAGAACUGGAAUAUCACCGUCAAGCAAGCACCCUGUGGAGCAAUACCAAAGAAUGCACAAUCCGGCUUUGCUAGGUGACACUGGAGGCUUUUUGAAAAGUGCUUCACGCUCACUUGCACAGAUUGAGCAUCCCCUCUGGAUAUUGCCCUCUCUGAUCGAGUCUGAGCACUCAAAUUUCGGUCCUCAGAUGGAGCUACAGCUUUCUCUCCAAUAACCAACAAUUUUCUAAACUCAGCACCUAGUGUGAUCAGAGUUGUUGAUAUUUGUAAAUGGAGAUCCCCAUAUUUGUAAAUGGAGACAUUUAACAAAUCACCAACAUGCUUCAUCCGGUGUACAAAAUUCUGCAGCUGAUUCAAAUCCGGAACCUGAACCAGAGUCGGAGGUAUAUCUUGAGCCAUAUCUAAAGCAGUUUGAAGUUCAAGACCUUGAGCCCUUGACAAUGGUUUUGAAAUUGGAACAUCUUGGAUUACUGCAGACUUGUACCCCUUGGUUUCAAAGGUAAGGAAAGGCAUUGCUUGAGUACAAUUUGGAGGCAGCUUCUUCACCAAUUUUAUUUGGAGGCGAUUGGCAGCGGAUCCAGCUGCACCAAUUUCAGAGCAACUACUGACACUACUUCGAACAGCACACUGAAGAAGUGAUAUGUCUACAGCAAAGGCAAUGCAGUCCUCAUUUUGGCUUGAGAUGCGGUAAUCAUCGAAGAGAGUUUCCUUGUGAAACUGGGCAACACAUUGAAUCCCUUUGGCACUGAGAAGGUUGUGGAGGAAGUAAGCUUUCUCUCUAGUAAGGAAGAGGUGGCAUACAUUCCCCAUUUUGUCUAGGGCAGGUAGGAAUCUUUUUUCUAAGAGAUUUACUUCAUUCUCUGUGAGAAAUGCUUUGAACUUCAUCCCUCUGUCUCUAUCCUCACUUAUCAGUAAAAUAGUUGAAAGCGCUACAAGGAGAGAAAAGAAGAGUAUUAAGAUAUAUAUAGACAAGAAAAACAUUAGAUGUCGAUCUUACAAGCUAAUACUUCAAACAGUAUCCUAGAAAGCUAAAAACUGCAAAAUGGCUUGAAAUUUGAAAAGAACACAUGCUUUUCCUCCAUAACUUGAGAAAAUGUUUAAUAUAGUGCACCUUACAGAAACAUUUAAGCAAUUAGAACUUUGCACAAAAACAUUCAAGAAGACUAAACAAAUCAGAUGCAGUGUAUUUCUCCAAGCACAAAUGGCAUUGCAUUUCUUCCUCAACUGUAAUAUUUAUUGAUGAAAAUCAGUACAGGUCCCUCAUUUGUUAUGGAAAGCUUUCUUGUAGUCUGACCGGUUAAUUCACGGGUCUAUAAUCAUCUUGCAAAGUUACAGGCAUUUCUUUCGAUUUAAAGUCUUUGCAUCACCACCUCAUCACACACCAAGCCAAUAUUCCGUCUACCUCUACAACAAAAAGUUUUAAGUAAACGAUCCUAAUGCAUGCAGCCAAAUAAAAUGCAGUAAGAAUAUUCAACUUAAAACUCUGAAAGCCAUCUUGGUGAAUUGCCUCCUUAGGGGAAGUUCCAUGAUUUACUAUAGUUGACAGAACUCAGCAAAAGCUUCCAUACAACAGAUUUUGAAAAUGAUGAUGCCAAUAGAUACUCAUUCAAUCCAUUGAAAAUCCAAAGGUUCAUUGUUAGAUCACGAGCAAGAAACAAAAUGGAGACACGCAAUAUGAAUAUGGAGAAAAUUUGAACUCAAAUGAAAUGAGGGCACGAAAGCAAACACAUGGCAUGCGCAAACAAACCAAGCCUCAAUCAAAAACUAAUUAACCAUUAAGAAAAAAAAACUGGUCAGAGAAUGAACUCCAAAUUCGGGAGUGAAGCAAGAAGCUUUCAUUAUUUCAGAAGCUCCUGUACAAAUUAAUAAGUUAUGCUCUUUGGAAACAAACCUAAAUUCCAAGAGAAACAGAACUCAAAAAAUUUGCAAUUAUACGCAAAGGAAGUGAAGCACAGCAUUCUAUCACACGUACGAAUUGUACAACAAGAGAUCGACACAUCGAAUCAGAAGAACUCAAUUCAAAUUUGUCUCAAAAAUCAAAAUUAGAAGAUUUCACAUUUCGAGAGGAACAAGCGACAGGUCAGAUGCAAAAUUUUCAGCCACAACAUGGCACAAUUAACGGUUUAUUUCCAUGGAUUUAGAGAGAUCGCGCGCCAAAAUGGAAGAGGGAAAGCGAAAGUGCGGGUUUUAAUAGGGUAUUGGAUUAGCAAAUUUUAUUAGUUUGCGAGGGUAAAAUAGGAAAGAUAUAUCACUAUUAAGCUUUUUUUUUAAUAAAAAAAAGAAUAAUAAAGAAUAUUUUAUUGUCAUUUGCAGCAUUUAAUUUUUUUUUUAAAUGCUAUUAGAAAAAUACGACAAUAAAGAAAUGCUCUUUUUUUUUUUUUUUUUUCUGGAAGGUAAAAUCAAUUAUUUAGCUCCUUAUAUGUAAUCAAACUCCAUUUCUUACUUUAAGUCAUAUCCAACGGACCAACAAAGUAAUUUUUUUUUUUUCAUUCAUUUUUGCAGAAAAUUAAUAACUUAAAAAUAUUGAAAGCUAUUCUAAAAUUUUUUAUUAUCAACCUCAUAGUUUAAUUUUUUUGGGGAAGAAUUGAAUUUUUUUUUUUAAUUUCCAAGAAUUUCAUUCUCUAGUUUUUCCAUUAAUAUUAUUUAUCUUGAUACCCAUCUUAAUUAAAAUCUGUAGUUUUAUUCAAGAGUCAUGCUAUUCAUUCACUCACAGGCAAAAGGCUUUCCGCAGCAAUAUUAUUAUUUAAAUUACAACAAAGGGGAAAUCAAAUACGUCAUACAGAAGCAUAAAGCUGAAUCUACAAAAUCUAGAGCUCUCAACUACAUAAAUUACACUUGAUGACCCUCUACAAGAUGAAGCUUGUUCAAUAUCUCAUCCAAAGCUUGUAAAGUAACCCUGUAACGAUCUUGAGAUUGCCUGCCUUCCUCGACGACCUGCACGAUGCGUUUGUACAAAUCAUCAUACCUGUGCACCGGAUUUUUAAUAUCAAUGGCACUGCAGCUGUGAUCAAGAACAUAAGAGCGUUUAACGUCUUUUCUCCAUCGAGAAAGAAUGUACUGAGAUGGGAUCUCCUCCAUGCCACUCUGGUUUAAAACACAAAGAAUGUGUCUGCAUAAAUAUCCUCUGAAAUUGAACAACCCACAAACACAAAGCACCUCCAAGUCAGAGGCAUUGUACAAAACAUCGAAAGCCCUUGAAUCUUUCUCGUUGCUACCAACCUCAAAUUCUUCUUUCACUAUGUAUGUUAUAGGUCCAUCAGCACUGACAUGUUUUGUGCUAUAGCAAGAGUACAUAGCCUCCACCUCCGUCUGAAACUUCCUUAACAUUUCAUUUGUGUACAGUUGUGAGAGUUGAAAUUCAUAGUAACAUCUUGGUUUCUGGAUACAACUUGAAUUUCUUGGAUCCAUAUCUGCCAAGGCUUCCAGUUGAUAAUUCGCCUGCAGUGCUUGAUCAUACUUGUCUAAGAAUUCUUUCAAAGGAGUAUUCUUAUGAAGAUAUCCUUCAAAGUAUGAAGUAGAAACCUCAUUCUGCAGGAACGAAAACACUCCUGAUAAAAAAGCUUCCUUCAAAUAAAUAGGAGCCCACCUUUUACGAUCUUCAUAUAACGUUUGAAUCCAUCCGUGAUCCUUUAUUCCAUGACGUUGAAUCAUGUCUUCCCAAGCUGCUUCAAAUUUCUCAGGCCAGAGAGAGUGAUAAAUUGCUCUAUGUAAUGCAGCUUUAAUAGCUUCAUAUUCAAACAAUCCUUGGAGUUUCUCUGGAAUUUUUUGCAUGAUGCAUGACAAUGAAAAGCAAUGAUAAGCUCUUGGGAAAACAUCGCCAGCAGCAAUUUGCAAGAUUCUACAUUGGUCAGUGAUGAUUGUUUGUGGAGAGCGCCCUAACAUACAUGUAAGCCACGCCCUAAACAACCAUGUCUAUGAUUCUAUGGUCUCACUGGCAAGUAAACCACAACCCAACAACACUGAUUGUCCAUGAUGAUUCACCCCAAUGAAUGAAACCAGUGGUACAUCAUAUCUUUCAGUCAAGCACGUAGUAUCAAUUAAGACUACAUCACCAAAGUACCUAUAUGCAACUCUUGACCUGAUAUCAGUCCAGAACAGGUUUCUCAAGCAUCCCUUUUCAUUUAGUCCACUACAUUAAAAAAGUUUGGAUCUGUCAACUGCAAACGACAAAAGAAACUCUGGAUAGCUUGUGCAUCUCCUGGUUUAAGCUUCAAUUGAUUUGAGCUAUUAACAUUAUUUCCAAAUACUCCAUUAACAUCUACAUUACCAUUUCCCUCGGUAUCAAUGAUAAGAGUUCGAAACAGUUUAAUUUUUUGAACUUCUUCAGCACUAUCUAAAUGCAAUGUUCUUUUGGUUCCAAUACCUAUGUGCUUAUGUGACUUGUAAAACUUUCCACUUCUUGGGCUUAACAAGUGGUUAUGCUCAAGCUCGACUUCAAUGAUUCUCCACCUUUUGGUUUCCAUCAACCUAAACUUUAUCAUUGCUGGACAGCCAGUUCUUGUUUCUGGUCUUGGGCGGUUUGCCUCGCUUUUCUUCUUGAAGCCUGCACUACUACAGCUCAGCUUUCCUCUAUACUUUACUCUUUUGGUACCAUGUAUUGCUAACUCUAACACCAAAACCAUGUUCCUUGGCAUAGCAAUUGUAAAAGUAAAAUACAUCAUCAUACAUCUCAAACUCCAUUCCAACAGCAGGAGGCAAGGGAUUUUGGAUUAUCCCAGUUUGUCCAACAUAUUCAGUCAUCGCACAAUCUCCUACGACCUCAAAAUCAUCAGUGUCAUCAUCACCUACUGGUUCGGUGUUGAGAGAAACUUCAUCCAUCUACAAUGGAUGUUCAAUGAAGUGAGCUUUAAGGAGAAAAAGCAAAAUCAGUUCAAGGAAUGAUAAUAUAAUCAUAUAGUUACUUUCACAAAGCUUCAUAUUUCAUCACUGCUUUACCAACAUGCAACUGCCAGAGAACAAACAGACAUGUCAUAGACGCUUGAAUUAAGUAUUUGUACAAAUGAGCACACAUCAUGUGGGACAAAAUUUCAGUCACUAAACCCAAUACCACUUUUUACAUCAUACCAAGGAACAGAUUAAACCCGACACCUUCUUUUAAACCAUACCAAGGAACAGAUUAAAUCAUCAAUGAAAAAUUAAUCACAUAAUAACUUAACCAGACAAAUGAAGAGCCUGAAACAGCACAAAACUUGAAUAUGAUUAUGAUAAUUGUUGAGUCCUUGUAUCUACAGCUUUCCUUCAAUGAUAAGACAAUGAACAUAAACGAGAUGCAAAAAAUUUAUUUUAAGCUGACAGCCCAUGAUAUAAAUCAAACAAAAUCAACUCCUUUUUUUACACAUCACAUCUCAUAUUCAUUUACAUUGAAACACAAAAAGGAAGCAGGAGUGGGAAAAAAACAACAGCAGAGGAACUUAUUUCCAUAAGGUUUACGAAAUAAGGAAUCUAUUAAAACCCAAAACUUGAGGUCACCACUAAGAAUUUCGUUCUCAUUAUUUUUUUCUUCAUUUUUCACCAAUGAUGAACUUAAAAUACAAUCAUAAAUGAUAAAACCCCAUCUCCAUCUUUUUGAACUAGAGCUAAAGCAAAGCAUUUUAAGAUGUUUCAUCAUUUUUUUUAAAAAAAAAAACCUCAAUAGUACAAUGUUUUUCAAUGUUAAAUGCACAAUUCAAUCUUCUCCUAAUUUACUCUAAUAAUCUCUUAAUUAAGGAAGAUUAAGCUUCAGUUGUAAGCUAAAACAAAUUUCUUAAAUCAAGCCCCAAUGCUUUAUGCUAUUCAACAAGGGCUCAUAAAUGAUAAAACUACUUCUACAAAGAUACCCAUUUUCUAAAUUAAUUUCACAAACUGAAAUCAAACUCCUGAAACGUAACGAGCAUUAAUAUAAUCAAACCCGAACAAGAAUUGAAAAACGACACAUAAACUCGUUUACACAUUUUGACAGACACUUUGCAAUCAAUGAGCAAAAAAUUAAUGGAGAAGAUAAAAUUCAAACGAAACAUGCCUUACAUUGAUAAAUUAGAAGGGCAAAAGAAAUUUUAGUAAGAUAUGGGAUCAGGGUCUUGCCACGGUGAUGUUAUUUGUGAUGUUCGAGCGACUCAGCAGCCUUCGAGGUUGAAAAUUUGAUUGACCAAAAGCUUCCCGUUCGUUGAUUCUCUAAUAGCAGAAACGAGACUGGCAGUAUACACAACAAGUUCGCUGAUUUUAAAUUCCGUUGUUUGAGAUGGAAAUUUUUUUUGAAAAAAUUAAUGUGUUCGAUGAAUAUCAAAAUCUAAAAAACUUUUUGUUUUUCAUUUUUUUGGAAAAAGCCAUUGAGAUCCUUACUAUUUUUUCUUAUAUCAUCUUGCUUAAUAAUUUGCAAAGUCUAUCGCAUAGCACCCAUGCAUGAUGUAUGCUGCGUUGUAAUUUACAAAAUUGCACAUGAAUAAAUCCAGCUAAAAUUUGUUAAAAGAAAAUAAUAAUAACAUGUUAAAACUUAAAAAUUUGAUUAUUCGAAGAAAUUUUAAUUUAGUUAAGUAGGUGACAUGAUAAUAAAUAGAUACGUAUAAUGUCCGAGAUUUUUAUAAGAUUAAUAAAUAUGAUAAAAUUAAACAUGCAAAUAUACACACUAAUUUAGAUGUGUGAAUAACAAAUAUGGAACGACACAUGCAAAGUCAUCUGUAUAAUUGAAACGCCAUGCACUAGUAGUAGGUAAGAGAAACCAAGGUUGAAGUUGCUCCAAUGGUUACUGUUCAUUUAUUUUUAUUUAUGAUUUUUAUGUAAAAUGUAAGAAAUAUGUAGAAAUGUUGCCAGCAAUGAUUUUGGAACUUUGCAUAAAAUUUUUAUCAUUAUUGUUUUUGGUAUUAAGAAAUCCGAGGCGGUGAUUAGACGUAUGUUGCAACAAUUAAGAAAUUUCUUAUUGGAGAUAAUUUGGUAGGUUGCAGCAAUUAGAGAAUAAUUUUCCUGCCGGUUAAUCAAUCAAUAAUAAAUUUCAAAUUGCAGAAAAUAAAAUAAUACUGUCGCACUUAGAAUCAUAUUUUCUAUCUCUUUCAAUUGUGGCAAUCAUUUGUAACAAAUAAAUCAAUUUGAUGCACAUCAUUUCCCCAAUUCAAAGUUCAAGUCACUGCUCAAUUGCAGAGUAGUUAGUAGACAUGCAUGCAUGUUUAAUUAAGUACUGCAUUGUAGUAUCGAAAAUCAUAACAUCUCACCAAGCCCAGAAACUAUGGGAAACAUGAUCUCACUCUCAGUGUCACUUGAUUCCAUUUUCUGUUCUUGCCUUGAUUUCGAUGUUGGGAAUGUGACGUCUGAGUCUAAGGUUGAAGAUAAUCUCGAUGCCUUGCGGACUGCAAUGGAAAAAUAAGCGGAAACGAGAAAUGAUGUGAUAAUAUUUACAAAAGAAUGGAUCGAGUGCAGGGCUGGCUUUCAAGGGUAAAAGCUGUGGAAAAUAAAGCUGAUGAUUUGAUGAGACACAGCUCUCAAGAGAUUGAGAAGUUAUGCCUUGGAGGCUUCUGUUCCAAGAACUGCAAAUGAAGCCACAGCCGUGGGAUAGAAGCUGCUACAAUGCUACGAGUUGUGGAGACUUUAAUGGGUGAAGGAUCAUUUGAAUUGGUGGCUGAGAGGGUGCCAGAAGAUGCAGCAGAGGAGAUAAAUUGUGAGUCAACAAUAAUGGGCAUGGUGUCGACUUUUGAGAAAGCCUGGAGAUGCCUUGAAGAAGAAUAAGUUGGAAUUAUUGGCCUAUAUGUCAAUGGGAGAGUUGGAAAUAUUUACUCAAAUCAACAAGAAGUUCCUUGAUAGUCCAAAUAAUUUUGAUGUUGCAAUCUGGGUAGUGGUCUGCCAAGAUUUGCAACCCCAGAAGUUUCGGGAAAAGAUUGGGAAAAAGAAAGGCUUGUUCGAUGAGUCAUGGAAGAACUGAAGUUUUGAAGAGAAAGCACUCGAUAUAUUCAAGAAUUUAAGCAAGAUGAAGUUUGUAUUACUGCUGGAUGAUAUAUGGGAGCAGGUUGAUUUAAUUAAAAUUGGUGUCCCUCUUCCAAGCACAAAAAUUACAUUCAAGAUAGUCUUCACAGCUCCUUCUAUUACAUUUGUGGCCUCAUGGAAGCUCACGACAAGAUUAAAGUGGAGUGUUUAAAUGACGAAGAAGCAUGGGAAUUAUUCUGCAAGAAGGUUGGAGAAGAUGUGGCGACUCUGUCCAAGUGCUAAGGAGCUCAGCCUCAGAAUUUCUAGGUACGGAAAAAUAAGUAUAUCCUCUUUUGAAAUUCAGUUAUGAUAAUUUACCUAGUGAUAAAAUUAGAUCGAGUCUGUUAUACUGUAGUUUGUUUCCAGAAGACUUUCCAAUUAGCAAAAUGGAAUUGAUACUGAGAUAUGAAAUCAAGGAUACUACAUUAUUGGUGUUCUUGUUCCUUUAUGUUUAUUGGAAGAAGAGGCUCCACUAUAUGUAAAAGUGCAUGAUGUGAUACGCGAUAUGCUUCUGUGGAUCGCAUGUGAAUUUUUUUUUUUUUUUUUGAUAGGGAUAGUAUGUGAAGUUGAGAAGGAGAAAGAGAAUUUUUUGGUUCGUGCAGGUGCAAGGAUUAACUGAAGUACCAGACAUUUGGAAAUGGGAAGGGUUGAGAAGGGUGUCUUUGAUGAGCAACAAAACUGAGAAGUUAUCAGAAAUUCCUUCAGAUCCCCAUCUACUGACUUUGUUGCUUCAACGUAAUUAUUUAGAGAUGAUCAAUAAUGACUUCUUCCAAUCUAUGCAUUCCCUUAGAGUUUUGAACUUAUCAUGUAAUCGUUCUCUAACUGAUAAUUUCAAAGUUAGUUUCCCUACAACAUCUUAAUUUAUCAAUGACUAACAUACGAGAGUUGCCGAUUGAGUUAAAGUUUGUAGUGAAUCUUAAGUUUUUGAAUGUGGAGUAUGCACGGUUUCUUCAUUCAAUUCCAGGGCAAGUGAUAUCCAGUUUUACGAUGUUACAAGUUUUGAAGAUGUUUGGUUGUGGCAGGUCAUCUUCUGAUCGUGAGCCACACCAGAAGAUAGCGUUUUAUUUGGAGGCAGUAAACUUUUGAUUGCGGAGUUGUUUGGUUUGAGAGACAUUUAGAUUUGUUGACCAUCAUCCUAAGAAGCUCCCAUGCUCUGAAAGAUUUUUGAGCUCCAACAAACUUCAAAGUUGUACUCAAUCUCUCUAUCCUAAAUGCUUUGAUUCGAAGUCAGUUGAUGUUUUUGGCCUGGCUGAUCUGAAGCAUCUCAAUAGGCUAUAGAUAUUGCGAGUUGUAAGCUUUUGGAAGAAGUGAAGAUUGACUUUGUUGGGAAAGCACAAUGAACCCAUGGUUUUCACAGCCUUAUGUCACAGAAGUUGUGUAAAUACUGCACGGGUUGCUGCCAUCCCAUGACAUUGAGCCAUGUUGAAAUAUCAUUUUGCUGUAAACUGAGGGAUCUGACAUAGCUUGCUUUUGCUCCAGGCCUUCUUGUUGUUUCCAGAAAACAUUGCCAUGAUAUAGAAGAAAUACUCGGUGUUGGAAAAUUAGGUAAAGAGAUGAUGUCAAACCUGGAACCUCCUACAAAACUCCAAGGUUACGUUUGUCAUGUGGGAUUGGAUUGAACUAAAUUAUUAAGAUUGAAUUAAAUUGAAUUAUAUUUAUAUUCUUAUGUUUAGUACCGGAUUGAACUAUAUUAGAUUAUAUUUAAAUAAUAUUAAAUAGUAUUUAAGUUGGUAUUUUAAUAUAAAUAUCAAUUAUCCAUGAAAUUUUAUAAUCAUAAUUAAAAUAAAUUUAAAAAGUAAUUACUAGGAAAAUUAAAUAUAUUGCAAAAAGUUAUUGGGUAGUCAUAAUAUAAUAAGCAAAUAAAAUUAAAUAAAACAAAUUAAAUAUUUAAUUAAUUUUUAUCAAAUAUUUAAAAAUAUUAUAUAAAAUCAAUUAAUUAAUGGUUUUAUUAAUUUUCAUGAUUAUUUUUAAUAUUACAUUAGUGAUUAUUAAAUUUAAUACAAUCAAAUAAUGCAAUAAAUAAUUAAACGUUUAAUUUUAUCGAUUAAUUAUUAAAUAUACAAGUAAUAAAAAUUUAAUCUCAGGAGUUGGUAGAAGCAAAAGUACUAAUUUAAUUACAUCAUAGAUAAUAAAUAAAAAUAAAUUCUAAGUAAAUCAUAAUAAAAAAAUUAAUUAAUUGAUUCAAUCAAUCAAUAUUAGGUGUAAAUAAAAAAAGAGUAAUGAUAUAGCCACAAACUCUUGCACAAACUUAUUUUGUACAAACUCAUGUGUCAUGAUAAGAUUAAUUAAAUUAAAUAUCACUUGACCUACAUGAUUUAUUUUUAUUAUUUUAUAUUUUCAUUCAACCAAUGAAUUAACGCCACGUCAGUUUGUAUAAGAUAGGUUUGUACAAGAGUUUGUGGCUGUAUCGUCGCUUAUAAAAAAAAAUAUAAAUAAAAAUAUCAUAAAUAGACAACUUUUAUCUUUAAUCUUAUUCCAACUAAACACAUGUGUAAAUUAGAAUUAUUAAUCCCAUGAUUUUAAGAUUAAAUUCAAAUUUAUUCCCCCUUAAUCCAAUCCAACUAAACUUGUCAAACAUGGGAUAAAAAUUUAAUUCUAAAAUUAGUACAAUUCCAUAUUUAAUCCUAACAUCCAAAUAUAGCCCAAGUUGUUUGCUUAAAGAAGCUACCAAAUUUGAAGAGCGUUUACGGGAAGGCCUUGCGUUUCCCAGAUGUAUGCAGAAUUUUUGUAUCUAAAUGCCCAGAACUUAAGAAGCUGACGCUGGAUUUGAAAGGGCGGGCCAAGGUAAAAUUCUUAUCAAGUGAAAGGAAAAUCGGUGGGAACAACUUCAAUGGGAGGAUCAAGCAACUCAGGAUGCAUUGCUUCUGUUUUUCAAAUCAACUGACAAGUGAUUGAAGGGGCCAUCAUCAGCCUGGAUGGGGAGAUCCUGGAGCAGAUCAGCAGGGUUUGAAUCUGCAUCAUCAACAUCAUCAGGAUCUCUAUUUCUAUUGCUGGUCGUAAUGCCUGCCUACUGUUGCUUGAAAAAGUGAUUAAGUGAGCCAGUUUUUUGUUUAUUAAAUUUUGUCUUGUGGAGACAGUCACAAAGUAUUUUUCAAUUAUGAUAUUCUGUGGGAAAUUGCAAGUAUUUUCAAAUAUGAUCGUUACUAAAGGAAACAAAGGAAUCAACACAGCAUACUGAACCUCAGCAGUAUGAAGCUAAUGAUUAAACUCCUCACACAAUUCAUGACAUGCAAAACCAUUCACAAAAUCAUCCACAGCAACCAUAAUUGGCGUUUACAAGAAUUACUUUUCUGUUCAUGCAAUCGGCGUCUGAACGCGGCUGAUCGGUCACCAGUGUUGGCGUUUACUGUGAUUAGACAAAUUGUAGGACUUCAAAAAUAACUUCUAUAGAGGUAAUUUCGAUUUCACAUAAUUAAUUUUAGGGAAAUUUACACUCGUCCACCUGUUUGUUUUGCCUUUUUCAAAAAUACACAAACACUUUUUUUUUUUUGCAGCGCGUCACCUGAAGUUUAUUUUUUGUUGCAUUCAUUCACUUCCGUCUAAUUUCCGUUAGUGGAUUUAACGGAAUGUUAACGAAAUGACCUUUUUACCCCUCAAAAUUAUAAUUUAACCCAAAAUAAAUGGAAAUUAGAGAUAAAUUAGGUGGAUUUAAUUUUUUUUAAAGGUGGAUACUAGAAAUUGGAGGAAAAUAGUGUUUGUUGCUUGCUAAAUUUAGAAAAUUUGUAUUUAUUUUUUUGAAAGACAAAAAAAUAAAUACACAAAAAAAAUAAAUACACAAAAAAUAAAUACAAAUUUUCUAAAUUUAGCAAGCAAUAAACACUAUUUUUCUCUAAAAAAAUAAAUAUAAAUUUUUUAAAUUUAGCGGGCAACAAAUAUUAUUUUCCUCCAAUUUCUAGCAUCCACCUUUGAAAAAAAUUAAAUCCAUCCAAUUUAUUUCUAAUUUCUAUUUAUUUUGGGUUAAAUUGUAAUUUUGAAGGGUAAAAAGGUCAUUCCGUUAAAUUCACUAAUGAAAAUUAAACGGAAGUGGACGAAUGCAACAAAAAGUAAACUUCAGGUGGCGCACUGAAAAAAAAAAGUGUUUGUGUAUUUUUAAAAAAGACAAAACAAACGGUGGACGGUUAUAAAUUUCCCUUAAUUUUAUUUACAAUAUUUUAUGCCUGCUAGGUCAAUUGAGAUUCUUUCCACCGGGCACACUCUUCAUGUUCUUUUAUUUUCUGUCUUUUAUUAGACGUUGGAUUUUACUACUCUUUUAUCCAACGGCUUGCCACAACAAGACAAAUGAGGUGGUACAUUCAUUUUAUGUCCUUUCAUGUUUUUGAAUUACUGAAGACAAGUGGCUCGUCGCUUUUACUGUAGGUAAGAUCCAAAUUAUCUCGAUUAUCAAAAUAAUUAUUUUAAAAUACCUUAAUUGUUUUUAUUUUUAUGUUGCCGGAAUCAGAAUGAGCUGAAAUCAGAAUGAGUAAGAAUAAAAAUUGACUGAAAUGUAAAUAAUGAAUGAGAAUUAAAAUAAAUUGUUUACUUAAACUAUAAGAAUCCAAAUCAAAAUGAUUGCCAUUAAUGUGUUUCCUUUGUCUUGAAAUCGGAAUCAUAAUGAAUUAAAUUGUAACAAAUUAUUAAAAAGUACUUAAUAAAUUAUUAUCAUAAUUAUUAUUAAUUAAUUGUAAAAUUUUUUAAUUAAUUAUAAUAAUUAUAAUGAUAUUCGGCCACCACGAGACCAUAACGAAGCCAGAAACACAUGCUUCUUCUGCCGUUUCGAAGUUUUAAAUUUAAAAAUUAAAAACACAAUUUUCCAUUGAAAAAUAUCAAAAUUAAAUCUAAAGAAUUUGAAAAAUCCAAAAUCCUUACCCGUCCCUCUCACUGUCCCUCUUAUUCGCUUAUUCUCUCUCUCUCUCUCUCACUCACCCGAUCUAGGGAUGGGCACGGUUCGGUUCGGUUCGAAAUUAAGUAGAACCGAUUUAAAUCGGUUAUUUUAUAAAAAGAACCGAACUCAAUAAGAACCGAACUCAAACGGUUCUUUUCGGAUCGGUUCGAUUUGGUUCGGUUUUUUCGGUUUUGGGCCUAUUUUGAAUUUUUAAAAUUUUAGUCCAUUGGGCCUCAUGAAUGUAAUAAUUUUUUUCAAUAAUUAAUUUAUCCUAAUUUUAUUACAAAUAUUAACAAUAAAUACAAAGUAUUCAAAACACAGUUUAUCACUAAUAUCUUACUAACUAUUAAUAAGAUACUCCCAAAUAUAUGAAAUAUUAAAAUUUCAAAAUACAUAACCAAACUCCAAUACUCCAUCUAUAUAAACAUAAUCAUAAUGUUAUAAAGAGAAAUAACACAUGUUUGAUUUGAAUAAAAUCAAAAAAUAAUUUGGUUUUUCGGUUCGGUUUUUCGGUUCAGCUAAGUGAAUCGAAUACCGAACCGACAUUUCGGUUUUUUUUACAAACGGUAUAUUCGGUUUUUUUUAAAAAUAAAAAUCGAACCGAAUUAGAAAAAACCGUCGGUUCGGUUCGGUUUUUUUAAGACUACGGUUUUUUUGCCCACCCCUAACCCGAUCUGCCUCUUUUACUCACCCACUAGCAGGCUGUCACUCACCCACAAAACUUGUCACGCCACGGCCAUUGUUGACCAGCCAUCAUCGCUGUCACGCCACGCCCAUUGCCGACCAGCCCAUCACUGAUCACAUCGCCGUUGACGGUGUGCUUGACGAUUUUGGACCUUUUUCACCUACGUAGGUAAUUAAAUUUAGCAUGUUGAGGAAAGUUUUGAUUUAUUGUAUUUAUAUUUUAAAAUUAUUAGAAAUAAGUUAUUGGAAAUGUAGAUUUUGUUUGAAUUAUAUAUGAUUAAUACAAUUUAUUUUUCAUGGUAUAAAAAUGAAGGAUUUGGAAAAAAAACUACAAAGUCGAAGAUUUUGAAGAAUUAGAUUAACAACAAUUUAAAUGGAAAUAAUGAAAAAACUGAUAAUGAUGUGGAUGUGAAACCAAAAAAGUAUGAGCCAAAGUUUGGGAUGUUGUUUGAUAAACACCAUUAUCUUCUUAUGAGCCAAAAAAGGAAGAAUUAGAUGACAACAAUUAAGGUAAGAUUAAACUACUUACUUAAUUAUUCUACAAUUAAUUUAAUUUUAAUUUUAAUGUAUCUUUUUAUGGAUUUGCAGGAUUCAAAUGUACAAACACCAUUAUCUUCUGAGGUGGAUAUUGUAGUCCCAACGCAUGAGAGCAAUAAGGAUCCUGUAAGUUUUAUGUUCUUUGAUGUAAUACUAUUUAAUUAUUUUAAUUUUUAAUGGUCACUAAAUAAUGGUCAUUAUUUAAGAACCUGUGAUCGCAUACCAAUUACAAGGAUGUGAUAUUUAUCCAUGGUUUCCUUUUGAUUCUUACAUUGUAAGUUAUAAUCCAAUUUCUAUAUUUAUGCCUAGUUAAUUUUGCAUUUUCUGGAAUGUAAUAUGGUUCUUAUUUUGUACAAACUAGCAAUCCCCAUCACUCCCAUCUAUGUUGCCUUAUUCUUCAUCUUGGAUAUCGUAUAAAGGUUCUCAACAAAGGAGUUUUCAGUAAUCGCUACUUCAACAGAAUGAUAAUAACAAAGAAGUUUGAAGCAGACUUAACAGAUUGAUCAUUGACUUAUUCUUUUGUUGUGUUUUGUGUAUUAGUUGGUUGGAUGAUAUUACUCUAGUGCUCAAUGAUUGAACGUGGAAAUAUUUUGAAGGGUUUUUAUCCAUAUAUUCAAAGGGUUAAGUGUGUCAAUAACCAUUACAACAAUAAGAGUAGUUCAUAUAGAAAUGUCAAAUUAACCACACACAAAAGAAAAAGGUACAAAUAACUUAUUUCUAGUAAUUUUAAAAUAUAAAUACAAAAAAAAACCAAAUACUUUUCUAAUCAAAGUAUCACAUACAAGGUUUCGUAAAGGCCGUGUCAAAAGAAUUUCUUUAACUGAUUAAAUAUACUAAUUUUAGGUGACAAUAAUCUAAUAAUUUUAAACUAAAUUAACUUAAUUUCGCGAAAAAAAAUUCAAAAAACGCAUAGAAUUACGGAUCAAGUCUAAUUAACAAUCAAACGUAGUAACUCAGAUGCAUUUAUGCCAAAAAGAAUGUUCAUAAGACUACACAAAACCACCCAAAAAAAAUUAUAAAAUAAUAAAAGCAGCAGCUGCAAUAGAUUUUGCCUGAACAAGAAACACAACAAAACAAAGAGAAUAAAUCAAUCAAGGGCAUAAAUAGAUUGAACAAAAAAGGGCAAGAUCAGAGAAGAAACUGACCCACGACACUGGAUCCUCCUAAGCCUAGCGUCAUGGUUGCGGUUUUGAUGAUGCGUUAGCUGAGGUCUGACCAAAAUAUUGACAGUGACCUUGUGGGUGAGUGAGAGGUGAACGAGCUUCGUGGGUGAGAGUGAGAGCCGAGAGGGACAGAGCGGGUGAGAGAGAGAGAGGGUGAGUGAGGGGAGCGAUAAGAAUUUAGAUUUUUUUAGUUUGUUUUGAUUAGCUUUUAUUAUUUUUUAAUGGUAAAAUUUGUUUUUAAUUCUCAAAUCUAAAAUUUCAAAACGGCACAUACGCGUGUCGUUUCUGGCUUCCCUCUGUAACGAGGGCGGCCGAAUAUCAUUUUUUAAAUCAUUAUUUUAAAAUGGGUCUACAUUGCAACAGUAGUACGAUCCCAUUAUUAUUUUCAGUCAUUAAAUUUUAUUAAUAUAAUUAUAUAAUUAUAAAUUUAAUAAUUAAAAACAACAAUAAUAAUAUACUGUUGCAAUAUAAUUUUGACCUUUAAAAUGCCUUAAUUGUUUUUACUUUUAAUGUUACCGGCCUUUCUUAUAUUUUAUUAUAAAUUAAUACUAACAAGAAAAAGCUAGAUCAUUUUCCACAAAAAUAAAAGUGACAAAACAAUCAGCUAGAUUCUUUUAUUAAACUAUAAAUUAAAACGGAUUUUUUUUUAAUAAACUACAUAUGAAAGUGGAAUCUUUUGAAUAUAAGUGAGUAGGCUCUCUUUUUUUAAAAAAAAAAAACGGGGUAGGUUCUUUUAAUAAAGACAAGUCAUAAGUAUUAAGUAGUCACGACCAUUAGACUCUUUUAUUAGGACCUGUCUAUGGUACAGAUUCUGUAACAAACAUCUCCCGUCAUACCACCAUCCGAUCUUCUAUUGUUUAGUUUCUCACUUCACAUCCAACGGCUGAUGCUGCAGUCUGUAGCUUACAGAUUCUGUAAGCUAGUCAAGUCCCUUUUAUUAAAUUACAAAUUGUAGGAGGUUGCUACGUUACAGAAUCUGUAACAUACACAUUCAAUGGGAAGCAGCACACGUGUCCUGAAGAGAGAGAAAAAUCGGGCAAAUGCAGGCAAUGGCGGGUAAUGGGAGUUGGCUAAAAGUUGGAUAUGCAAAUUUACAAAAGAGUACUGCUAUUUACUCCGAAUGCUAACUCUGAAUUUACGCCCCGAGAGAUAAAACGACGUCGUUUUUUUUUUUUGCUUUGUAAUUUCAGCCAAAAAAGGUGGGCAGCACGUGGGUGAGCAUAUGCUUCAAUUAAUUUGGAACCAAAACGACGUCGUCUGUUCCUGCUUAAUCCUUCGUUUUGCUUUUCUUUCCAACCACAACGCUCGGCACCCAAAACUUCCACAAACUGCAAACUGCAAAACAUUUCCAUAUGCUAGCUCUUUAUGCAUGUGACCAAACACAACUUUCAUGUGUCUGUCUGCUUGUGUAUAUAGGAUGGAAACUUAUAUGGGUUUCUCCAAUCACCUGAAUGAUUGUAUUCUCAAAUGUUGCUUGUGGAUUCAUGGGAUUUGCUGUUCCAAAUGAUUAUGUUGAAGUCUUGACACUGAUUUGGGAAGGCUGUUGGUUUUAAUUUUGUUAACUAUUAGAGAUGUAGUACUUCUUGCAUGUCUAUUUCUUUUUCUUUUUUUGUCUUCCCUCUAAUUUAAUCAAUUUUAAAUGCACUAGAUGCCACAUGCUUUGUCUGCAUAUUUGUCUCUGGGCAUAGUCUGAAGAUGCUUUUGCCAACACAGAGCUGAUUUAGGGAAUGCCCAUGGAGCACUUGUAAGUGCCUGCUUUUCCAUAAAUCACAAAAUUUUAACAUGUCAAAACUUAAUGAUUCGUGAAAGUUGAAUGCUGAAUUUGAACGCCAACUUGUACAUGGGCUUUGGCAUACAGCAGCCAACAACGGUUCCUCAACGUAAGCACUUGUUUGAAACGCGUUUUUAUUUGCAGGCGCAAGAACUAUUGCUGCUGUUUGCAAAACAAAAAGUGAUUGCAAAACAAAAAGUAAAACGAAAGGAAAAGGUGUUUCGAUUGUAGUUCGUCAAAAUGAGUCCAAAAGAAAAGAAAAAAUGCGUCGAAACGGUGCGUUUCCUUUUAAUUUCAAAACGGCACGUUUCAUUCGGGGUGUUAGUCGAGGCGCAAGUCGGGACAAGCAGCUUCUUCCUUUAUAAAAUCUGUAACUUAAGUCAGCUCCCAAAUUGUAUAGUCUUUUUUCAAAUUGUACAGACAUUUAUAAAUUGGUGGCCCCUUGGAAAUUUAAUGCCAAGCAGACAAAAGUCAUCAUGCACAAUCCUCAAUAAUUAUUUCGCGUAUAUUUAUAAAUUGGUGGCCCCUACGUCCUCAAUAAUUGUUCAGAUACUUAUAAAUUGGCGGCCCUUGAUAAUUUAACAGCAGCUUGCAAGUGCCAACUAGUGAAAAGUCAUCAUUCACAAUCUUCCAAAUGAACCAAGGGACAUACAAAGAUUAAGACAUGUCAUUCUUUUUUCAUUCCCUUUCAUGUAACUUACAUCUAAAUACAUAAAUAAUAUAAAAUGAAUGGAGAGAUGCCGGAGCAUAUCAGCAGGGUUUGAAUAUGACCUUUGGCGCUUGUCUUUUUUUGUGAUUUUUUUUUUCAUUUUUUCCUUCCUGUCAUUUUAUCAUUUCUUUGGCUUUGUCUCUAUUGCGGGCGUUACUGCAUGCUUACUGUUGCUUGACAAAGUUUGCUAGCUUUUCCUUUUGUUUAUUAAAUUUUUUUAUCGUCGCAAAGUAUUACUCGUUCUAUUUGACAGUGAUGUGAAUCAAUUUUUCAAUUUUAUAUUUUAUCGUCAAUGUGAAUUCAAUUUCAUUUGUCAUCAUGCAUAAUCCUCAAUAAUUGUUUCGAUAUUUAUAAAUUGGUGGCCCCUGCGUCCUCAAUAAUUGUUCCGAUACUUAUAAAUUGGUGGCCCCUUAAUAAUUUAACAGCAGCCUGCAAGUGCCGACUAGUGAAAAGUCAUCAUUCACAAUUUUCCAAAUGAACCAGGGGAUAUACAAAUAUUAAGACAUGUCAUUCUUUCUUUUUUUUUGAGUGAAACAGAAAUUUACAAGAAUUACUUUUCUGUUCAAGAAAUCGGCGUCUAAACGCGGCUGAUCGGCCACCGGUGUUGGCGUUUACUGUGAUUAGACAAAUUGUAGGAAUUCAAAAAUAACUUCUAUAGGGGUAAUUUCGAUUUCACAUAAUUAAUUUUAUUUACAAUAUUUUAUUCCUGCUAGGUCAAUUGAGAUUCUUUCCACCGAAAACACCCCUCAUGUUCUUUUAUUUCCUGUCUUUUAUUAGCCGUUGGAUUUUACUACUCUUAUAUCCAACGGCUUGCCACAACAAGACAAAUGAGGUGGUACCUUCCAACCGGUGAAAGGUAGUUUUGGCCCCAAGUGGAACAAGGGAUGCACUUACUAUUAAGGACAGUUGGCGGCCAGCCAAUGCAUUCAUUUUAUGUCCGUUCAUCUUUUCAAUUGUUAAAGACAAGUGGCUCAUCGCUUUUACUACAGGUAAAAUUCAGAUAAUCUCUAUUAUGAAAUAAUAAUAUUCAAAAUAUCUCAUAAAUUAUUAUAAACCUCAAAUUUAUCUUAAUUUUAUUUAAAAAAUAAAAGAAAAAUAGGUUAUGUUGGUGAAUUUUUUUUAAUCUUUUUAAUAAAAAUAAAAUAAAUUGAUGUUUUAUAAUAGUUUAAAGUACUUUAAAGAUUGUAAUUUUAUGAGAGAGUAAUAUUUCACUUUUUUAGUGUAAAAAGUUGAAAAAGGACAAAGCAAGUUUCUCUGAUUUUUAUUUUAUUUGAAAUUAGUCAUCUCAUAUACUUCACCCUUCAACACUACAAUUUUUUUGGUUAUUUUUUUAUUUUUUUAUUUUUUACAUAUGCACGUGAAUUUCUUUUCUUUAAGCUCCUGAAUAUUUAAGACAAAUCAUAGAAGAGAUGAAAGUAUAAUAAGAUGAUCAAAAUACGUAACAAAAAUUUUUAGAAGUGAAACAUACGUUAGAGUUGAAGCAAAACUCCAAAAAUAGAGAUACUGAUUAAUUUAGAAGAGAUGCGAGCAAAAGAUAUUCCCAAACAAAAAAGGGCAACUUGUCCCUUUGGAGGGCAAACUUGUCAGUUUGAAAAAAGUACAUGCUUUGGAUUGAUAGUUGCUGGAUAUUUGUUUUGUCACUGUGUAUUAGUUGAAGAAGUCAAGCCUAGUCAAGAAUGUUGUGAAAGAGCAAAGGAUAUUCCCGAUAGAGCUCUAUUUCAUUAUGUAUCCAGUGAAUAGAUGUGUUGUUGGAAGAUAAGUGAGUGCAUUAGUUCAUUUGUGUCUAUCAAUUUGCUUUUAAUGAUUUUUCCACUUGUUUUGUUGUAAAAGAUUAUUGUAAAAUUAAAUGAAUUUGAUGUUGUAAUAUUUUGUCUUUAGUGGAAUUUCACUUGGUAUGUGUUCAAUUGUGUUGUCUAUAAUUUUGCAUUCAAAUAAGUUUCCACCUAAAAUAUUAGCACGAGUAGUAGCCCUUGAAACUUUAGUCAAAAUUAUUGUUAUAAUUUCUUAUUAGGGGUAAACUUUUUAUUAAACCUCGUUAACAUAAUUCUUAAUUAAUUGUGUGUUUACAUGGAAUAGGGAAUGAGAAUGGAGGAAUGAGAAUGAAACUCAUGUUUACUUGGUAAAAUGUAAUUUGGGAAUGAGAAUAAAAUGUGUGGGUUUUACAUAAUUUGGGAAUAAGGAAUGAGAAUCUCAUUCCCAUGAAGGAUUGAGAAUGAAAUAUAUGUUUACUUUUGUAUCCCUAUACUUUUUUUAUAUUUCCCAAAUUACCCUCAUUCAAAUCACAAUUAAUUUAUUAUUUUAAAUGUCAUUAAUAAUAAUAAUAAUAAUAAUAAUAAUAAUAAUAAUAAUAAUAAUAGUAAUUUUUAAAUUUUAUUAACUUUAUUAUCUUUGUGAUGUUGAACCAUAUACAUAUAUAUAGAGAAAAGUAAAAGCUAUACCUAAGGUUGAGGGAAAAGACUUCAAAACUCUCUUUUGAUUAUAAAACCUUUUGUCUUAAUUAACUUAAAGAUUUUGAAUCUAAUAUUUUAUAAUAAAUAAAAAUAUAUUCCUAAAAUAAAUAUAAUAAUAUCUAUUUUAAAAUAAUAUCAAUAUUUAAAAUAUGUUUUAAUAUUUUAUGCUCUAUCAGACAUAUUUUAUUAUAUUAAAGUAAAUUUAAUAAUAAAUACAAACAUAAUGAAUUUAUAAAACAUUUAAAGUAUUUUGAAUAUUAUAUAAAAUAAUUUUAAUAUAAUGCAUGAGAUAUAUUUUAUUAAUUUAAAAUGCUAUUUAACCUAAGAUUUAUUUAAGAUAAAUUAAUAAUUAAAUUUUUUAAAAUUAUUUCAAAUAUUAAAAAUUUGUAAUAUUAUUAGUCUAUUAGAUAGAUUAAAUUAUUUAUAUUAUUUUGUAUCUAUUAAAAAAUUUUAAAGUCAAUCUUUUUAAUUACUAUUGGAAGGAUAUAAUGAUUAAAAAAAUCUUAGUAUUUUUUUAUUAAAAAUUUAAAAAUUUACAUGACAAUUUCUAUAAAUAUUUAGGUCUCGUUUGGUAUGUCGGAUUGGAUUGAAUUGGAUCUGAUCGGAUUAGAUAAGAUAGGAUUUGAUUGGAUAAUACUGGAUUAUAUAUAAUAUUAUGUUGUGUUUGUUAUGCCAUGAGAUUAGCUAGUAACUAAUAAUAUGUCUUAUAUAUUAAUUUAUUAAAAUCAUCGUAGAUUUUGAAAUACUAACUAGGCAAUCCAAGAGGGGGGGUGAAUUGAGAUUUUAAAAAUUAAGCUAAGCAAACCACACACAAAUUCAAUCUAAUGCCUUAAUAAAUUCGAAAACAAUAAAUUCAAUGAAAGCACAAUAAUAAAUGAGCAAUGGAAGAGAAAGCAAACUCAAGGAUUUUUACAUGGUUCGGUAAUCCCCGCCUACGUCCACGCCUCCAAGCUCACCGGACUUGAGGAUUUCACUAAGCUAGCCUCCCAAGGCUUCAAACGCUUACAAUUGACUUCCAAGGUGUCAAUGAACCUUUACAACAAGAGAUUAUCCCCAAUCUCUUAACCCAAGUGUAUCCCAACACUUACAAUCACUCAAAGUAAAAGAUUACAAAUUGUUUUGCCUCUCACAAUAUAUAAGAUUACACAAUGAUGCUUAUAUAUAUGAAUAGAUGAAGCAAGAAUGUGUUCUAAUUAAGCUCUAUGAAGAUUGUAUUCUCGAAUAUUAGCUCAAUGGUCGUGUUGUGAUCAACCUUCUUUGAUUUUGAAUGAGCUUAUUUAUAUCUGGAGCUGAAAAACUAGCCGUUACAAACUGUCGGUCCGAAAACGGUUCGCCGUUAAUCAUUAACGGUUAACCGUUUAGGCUGGUCAAAAGUUACCGUUGGGCCAAAUUUCAAAUAAACGGUUUGCCGUUUAGGCUUACCCUUUCGUCGUUAAAUUUCAGAGACCUACAAAACAAAUUUAAUUUAACCGUUCUUACUAAACGGUUCAAGGUUAGCAAUCUGGAAAUAACCGGUUAACCGUUUUCAGUAAACGGUUCACCGUUAUUUUCCAAAAUCAUCAUUUUAACAAUACUUUGCAGAACAUGCUUUCUGUAAAUUAUCGGUUAGCCGUUUUAAAUAAACGGUUAGCCGUUUUAUACAGUGAUUGCUACAGUAAAAUUAUUUUUUAAAUUUAUAGUUUGACCUCAAAAUUUUAUAAAACUGUAUUACGGCCCAAAACGUUAUGAAACUUUGCACAUAUGUCCAAUUUCAGAAUUUUUAAAUAAUUCUUUGUCAAUCCCAAAACUUUUUGAAAUUAUGAUUUCACCCAAACUAUGUGAAAUUAUAGAAUGACCCAAAAUAUUUAAAUAGUUUCAAAUAUGUCCAAAUCUGAAAUUUUAAAACAAUAUCAAAGGUUUUAAAAUACUUUCAUUUUAGUUCAAAAUACUUUAAUUCCUUAACAUAAUUUUCUUAUUAUAUAUGAAACCUUUAUACUGUGAAAAGAAUGAUUUAUUUAAAAUAUAAAAAAAUAAUUUGAGCUUAAAAGAUUUAUCAUUCUUAAUCUUGUUUGUUGUCAUCAAAAUCAACAUUAUGAAAACAUAUAUGUUAACAGAUUUACUUUAAAAUGACAUAUAAUAUAAUAUAACUUAAAUCAAUAAUUAUUGGUAAAUUUAUUAAAAAAAUACAAAAUCUUUGCUUAAUUUUUUUUUAAUAUUUAACAUGUUAUAGUUUCUAAUCCCAUGAAUAGUAAAAGAUAAAGUUUUAUCUUAGAAAAUGUAAUCUCAAGGGUCCCAUUGGGAUGAAAUUUUGCCUCUAUUGAAAUUAAGUGGUGGGCCUAUUAUUGUUACCUUUAUUUUUUUUACACCAAACAUAAUAUAAGGAUUAUUUUACACUAAAAUUAUCGAAUCCCAUAAUAUAUAACUAAAACCAAACAGGCACUUAGGGUAUAUAUGAGCCACGGUGGAGAAGCUUUAUUUAAUAUUAUUGAUUUAAAUAAUAUCUCAUUAAAAAUGUACUGAGAAGAAAUUUCGGUGGGUAUUUUAGUCUUUUCAGCAAUCACAUGAUCAGCCUUUGGCCUUGAAACUUCGGUCGGAAUGAUUUAUUCUAACAAGAAAAAACUAGGUAACAUUCCACAAAAGCAAAAGUGACAAAACAACCAGCUGGAUUCUUUUAGUAAACUACAAAUUAAAAUAGAUUUUUUCGAUAAACUACAAAUUAAAGUGGAUUCUUUUGAAUGCAAGUGGGACAGACGAUUAGGCUAAAAAUUAGUCAAGAAUCUAAUAGUCUUUUUCAAAUUCUUGUUUUAUUAUUUUUCAAAACCAGUUUUUGGUAAUUACAAUCGGGUCAUUAAUCAUUAUUCAGAGUUAUUGUUUCCUUCAAAAGUUAGUGGCUCAUGUUUGCAAGUGUGAAUGUGCGAUGCUUUUUUUCCAAAGCGCAAUGACAGUGGGUCCCGAAUCGGACGUGCCUGAAUCUUUUCAAAAUUUUAGGGAAUUAUCAUUUGUAUACCUUUAAUUUAUUUCAUUAUCAAAAAUACUACAAUACUUUAAGGGUGUAUCAAUCGUCCACCCUAAGUUGACAAAAUAUAUCAGCUGACCACUAAAUCGUUAGUUGUCGUUUAAGUAUGAUGACGUCAGAAGGAUAAUUUAGUCUUUUUAUAUAAUACAAGUGAUAAUUUAAGAGUAUAUAAGUGAUAAUUUUUAAGGGUAAAAUUAUCAAUUCACUGUAACUCUGUUAACUUUCAAACGGCAACUAACGGUUUGGUGGUCGGCUGAUACAUUUUGUCAAUUAAGGGUGGACGAUUGAUACACCCUUAAAAUAUUAUAGUAUUUUUAAUAACAGAACAAAUAUAAGGUAUAUGAAUGAUAAUUUUCCUAAAAUUUUUGCCGUAUAAGGAACAGAGGUCAUUACUAAAAUUUCUCUUCCACAGCCUACAGCAGCUUCAGUUUAUCAAACUCAAUCAAUUUUCUUUCUUAACAAAAUUCCAAAGAUGUGUAGCAUUUUUCAGAUCACAUGCGACGGUGCUCUUUUCAAUCGUUGCUUGGAUUGCUUUCUUGGAAAAGCAGCAUACAUACGUAACCUCCAAGAUAAUCUUGUAGCCUUGGAGACUGAAUUGGGAAAUCUAAUCGCAAUAAAGAACGAUCUGAUGAGGAGGGUUGACGAUGAUGAACGACAACAAAUGAGAAGGCUGGACGGAUUGCAAGUGUGGGUUUCGAGGGUGGAUGCUGUUAAAACUGGAGCCGAUGAACUUAUCACAGACGGCUCUGAAGAAAUUGGCAAAUUAUGUGUUGGAGGCUACUGUUCCAAGAACUGCAGGUCAAGCUACAAGUUCGGAAAACAAGUGGCUAAAAAGCUACAAGAUGUGAAGACUUUAAUCGCCGAGGGAGUUUUUGAGGCGGUGGCUACUGAGGUGGUGGCUGAGAGAGCUCCGGAACCUGUAGCAGAUAAAAGACCCAUUGAGCCAACAAUAGUAGGCUUGCAAUCACAGCUUGAACAAGUUUGGAGAUGUCUUGUAGAAGAAUCAGUGGGAAUCAUUGGCCUAUAUGGUAUGGGUGGUGUUGGUAAAACCACACUAUUGACCCAUAUCAACAACAAAUUUCUUGAGAGUCAAAACAACUUUGAUUGUGUGAUUUGGGUCGUAGUUUCAAAAGACCUGCGACUUGAAAAAAUUCAAGAAGAUAUUGGGAAGAAGAUAGGUCUAUCUGAUGAUUCAUGGAAGAAUAAAAGUUUUGAAGAGAAAGCUGUGGACAUCCUGCGGAGAUUAGGAGAGAAGAGAUUUGUAUUGUUGUUAGAUGAUUUAUGGGAGCGGGUUGAUUUAACAAAAGUGGGCGUUCCACUUCCCAGCGCACAAAAUACUACCUCAAAAGUCGUAUUCACAACCCGUUCCAUUGGUGUUUGUGGCAGCAUGAGAGCUAGGCCGGUUAAAGUGGCAUGCCUAUCAGAAAAGCAAGCUUGGGAACUGUUCCGCGAAAAUGUUGGGGAAGAAACUAUUGAGAGUGAUCAUGAGAUCGUUGAGCUAGCCCAAACUGUGGCCAAAGAGUGUGGUGGUUUGCCACUCGCACUUAUUACUAUUGGUCGAGCUAUGGCCUACAGAAAGAAAGCGGAGCAUUGGAGACGUGCAAUUGAAGAGUUAAGAAGAUCAGCUUCAGAGUUUGCAGGUUUGGGAAAAGAGGUGUAUCCUCUUUUAAAGUUUAGCUAUGAUAGUUUGCAGAAUGAGACAAUUAGAUCUUGUUUCUUGUAUUGUUGUUUAUAUCCUGAAGAUUAUGGCAUUCUUAAAUGGGACUUGAUUGAUUGUUGGAUUGGUGAGGGAUUUUUAGGGGAAUCUGACAGGUUUGGUGCAGAAAACCAAGGAUAUGACAUUUUGGACACACUUGUUCGUGCAUGUUUAUUAGAAGAGGUGGAAGAUGAUGAAGUAAAAAUGCAUGACGUUGUUCGUGAUAUGGCUCUAUGGAUAACUUGUGAAAUUGAGAAGGAGAAGAGAAACUUUUUGGUUUGUGCAGGUGAGGGACUAAAGGAGGCACCGGAUGUUAAAAGAUGGGAAAAUGUGAGAAGAUUGUCACUGAUGCAAAACCAAAUUGAAACUUUGUCAGAGGUUCCUACAUGCCCUCAUCUCCUCACUUUAUUUCUUGACUUCAAUGAAAAUUUGAAUAUGAUCGCGGAUGGCUUCUUCCAACUUAUGCCUUCUCUCAAAGUUUUGAAGAUGUCAAACUGCGUGAAUUUAACUUUGAAAUUACCUUUGGGGAUGUCAAAGUUAGGUUCACUAGAACUUCUUGAUGUUUCGCAUACUGGCAUAAGAGAGUUACCAGAAGAGUUAAAGUUGUUGGUAAAUCUGAAAUGUUUGACUUUGAGGUGGACAUUUGAGUUAAAUAAAAUUCCACGGCAACUAAUAUCAAAUUCUUCAAGGUUACGUGUGUUGAGAAUGUUGGGUACUGGCCUUUUGAAUUUUCAUCAAGCGUCAGAAGACAGCGUUUUAUUUGGUGGGGGUGAAGUUUUGAUACAGGAAUUGCUCGGUUUGAAAUAUUUAGAGGUAUUGGAGUUGACCUUGGGAAGUUAUCAUGCUCUCCAAAUUCUUUUGAGCUCAAAUAAGUUAAAAAGUUGUAUUCGAUCUCUUUUCCUCCAGUUGGCCGGAGAUGCAACGUCGAUUGUUGAUGCUACGGCUUUCACAGAUCUAAACCACCUCAAUGAAUUAUAUAUUAAUAAAGGUUUUGAGUUGGAAGAAUUGAAGAUUGAUUAUACGGAGAUAGUACGAAAAAGGCGGGAACCUUUUGUUUUCCGCAGCCUUCACCAUGUUACUAUAUGGCGGUGCGCUAAAUUGAAAGAUUCGACAUUCCUCGUUUUUGCUCCAAACCUCAAGUCUCUUGUGCUACGUAAUUGCCAUGCUAUGGAAGAAAUAAUCAGCGUUGGAAAAUUUUCCGAGGUUCCUGAGAUGAUGCGACAUAUGAGCCCUUUUGAAAAUCUCCAAAGGCUUCAUGUAGAAGAUUUGCCAGAUUUGAAGAGCAUCCACUGGAAGCCAUUGCCUUUCACUCAUCUGAAAGAAAUGGGGGUAAGAGCAUGUGAUCAGCUUGAAAAGCUUCCACUCGAUUCCAGCAGUGCAAAAGAGCAUAAAUUUGUUAUUCGUGGAGAAGCAGACUGGUGGAACCGACUUCAAUGGGAGGAUGAAGCCACUCAAAUUGCUUUUCGUUCCUGUUUCCAACCUUAUUCCUGAGCCGUGGUCGCAAAAUUUGAUUUCUGGUGAGUGCGUUUUUGUUAACGCUUAUGUUUUAUUCCAGUGUAUUUUUCUUCUGUCUUCUGCAAAUCACAAUUAAAUGUGUGAUACAUGUUACGGGUAAUAUACAUGCAGUAUUUUUGGUACACUGCAAAUCACAAUUAAAUGUGUGAUACAUGUUACGGGAAAUUUAUAUACAUGCAGUAUUUUUGGUGGGGUCGAAUUGAUGCUCUGGUUUUCGACUACUUUUUGCUGUCAAAAUUUUCUCUGUUUUUUCAAAUUGAUGCUUUAUUUAUAUCUUCUUCGUGAAAAGUGAUUUAAUUUCCUGCCAAAAGACGAACGAGAAGAACAUUAGAGUCAAACUAAUGCUCACAUAAAUUUCCCGUAAGAAUAUAUAUAUAAUUAGACUGGAAUAGUAGCACUCUUUACAGAAAAUGACGCGAAAGUUAAUUUAGAAAGAUAUAUUCUUGAUUAAUCCAUUUUCUGAAGCUUUUAUUUUGUAUGGUCAAUUAUACCUUCAUACUAAAAAUUUCUGAAGUUAUAAAUUAGUGCAACUUGACAAUUUUUACUGAUGAUAUCUUCUAUUUUUCCUUUCUUUUUUUUUUUACUCUCAUUGAAUGUUACUGUCAUUUUACUUACAAAUAGGUUUGAAUUUUAUUUAGUUUUCUCAUAGUAUUUGUGCAAGUACUAGAAGGUCAAACCCCGCAUACUUUGAUUGCCAAACCACCGUCCAAUUUAAAAAAAGAAAAAAAGAAAAAAAAUGUGUAAUCCAUGAAUCUGGUUAAUUUUGUUUGUUUGUUUUUUUUUUUUAAAUAUCAUUCUUUUUCGGCCACCCAAAAUAUCAUUGAUGACUUUUCUGGUCUAAUGCUAUGUAAAUAGUAUGUUAAGUAAAACAUAAUCAAUUAUUUGUGUUUUAUCUCUAAUUAGAACAUCAAUCAGUUCAGUACCUCACAAAUAAUUCGCAAUAUCUACAAAAUACUAUAAUGGCUACAAAACAAAUCCUGCUUGCAAAUUGUCAAGGAUACCUAUCCGUUCGCUUGACAAGUCAUUUGAAUAAAUAUUGUUCACAUUCCUUACUCUGUCAAUUAUCCAAAGCACCAUCAACUUUAGUUUGAAUAGUAUACAUGCCAUCACCAUUACCAAGAAUCAAGCAUGGAAUUGGAAGUCAUUCUAUAGAGUGCAGAACAUGACUGUACGGUAUAUAUAGCCCGGUGACUUUAUUGUUUUGUUAAAUUUUUUGUUUAAUAUUCUAAAUCUUUGUUUACAAAUUUUAAGUGUUAAUUCUUCGGAAAGCUGACCUCGAAGAAAGGCGUUAUUGAUAUCCAAUUGACGAAAAGGCCGGCCAUGACUAACAUCAAUACUAAGAACAAGUAUAGCCCGGUGACUUUAUUCUUUCUUGUAGUCUUUGCAUCACCACCUCAUUACACGCCAAGCCAAUAUUCCAUUUACCUCUACAACAAAAAGUUUUUAAGUAAACAAUCCUAAUGCACGCAGCCAAAUAAAAUGCAGUAAGAAUAUUCAACUUAAAAAUCUGAAAGCCAACUUGGUGAAUUGCCUCCUUAGGUGAAGUUCCAUGCUUUACUAUAGUUGACACAACUCAGCAAAAGCUUCCAUACAACAGAUUUCGAAAAUGAUGAUGCCAAUAGAUACUCAUUCAAUCCAUUGAAACUCCAAAGGUUCAUUGUUCAUAGAAGUUUACAGAGUUUUGGUCAUCAAAUAGCUCAGACCUAAUCCCAAACAAAAAACGAGUGAAAAUUAGAUCACGAGCAGCUAAUUGUAAAUUCUAACUUAACUCUUCAUCUCCUUUGUAAACAAGAAACAAAAUGGAGACACGCAAAAUGAAUAUGGAGAAAAUUUGAACUCAAAUGAAAUGAGGCACGAAAGCAAACAAAUGGCAUGCACAAAAAAACCAAGCCUCGAUAAAAAACUAAUUAACCAUUAAGAAAAAAAUUGGUCAGAGAAUGAACUCCAAAUUCAGGAGUCAAGCAAGAAGCUUUCAUUAUUUCAGAAGCUCCUGUACAAAUUAAUAAGUUAUGCUCUUUGGAUGCAAACCUAAAUUCCAAGAGAAACAGAACCCAAAAAAUUUGCAAUUAUACGCAAAGGAAGUGAAGCACAGGAUUCUAUCACACAUAGGAAUUGUAUAACAAGAGAUCGAUAUAUCGAAUUAGAAAACUCAAUUCGAAUUUGUGUCAAAAAUCAAAAUUAGAAGAUUUCACAUUUCGAGAGGAACAAGCAACAGAUGAAGUUGAAAAUUUUCAGCCAUAACAUGCUAAAAAUGCUACACUUAACGGUUCAUUUUCAUGGAUUUUCUCGGGAAACAAACAGAAAAUUACGGUUUAGAGAGUUGAAUGACCUUUUGGCUUUUGAAAUUGAGAAGAUCGCGCGCCAAAUUGGAAGAGGGAAAGUGAGAGUGCGAGUUUUAAUAUCAUUGUUUUAUUAUCGAUAAUUAUUAAAUGUUUUUCCAAAAAAAAGAACAAGCAAGGAUAUUUUAUUGUCAUUUGCAACCUUUAAUUUUUUAAAUGCUAUUAGAAACACAAGACAACAAAGAAAUACUUAUUUUUUUUCUAAAACUAAAAUCAAUUCUUUAACUUCUUAUUUCAUAAUCCAACUCCAUUACUAAGUUAAAAAAAAUUGUUUAAAAAUUACUUGAGUCAUAUCCAAUGGACCAACAAAGUAAUCGUUUUUAUUUUUAUUGAUUUUUGCAGGAAAUUAAUAAGUUAAAAAUACUGAAAGCUAUUGUAAAAAAUUAAAUUUCCCUGAUACUGAAAGCUAUCGAUAAUUAUUAAAUUUUAUUUUUAUUGAUUUUCGCUGAUUUUAAAUUUCGUUGUUUGUGAUGGAAAUUUUUUUGAAAAAAUUAAUGUGUUCGAUGAAUGUCAAAAUCUCAAAAACUUUUUGUUUUUCAUUUUUUUGGAAAAAACCACCGAGGUCCUUACUAUUUUUCUUAUAUCAUCUUGCUUAAUAAUUUGCAAAGUCUAUCACAUAGCACCCAUGCAUGAUGUAUGCUGGUUGUAAUUUACAAUAUUGUACAUGAAUAAAUCCAGCUAAAAUUUGUUAAAAGAAAAUAAUAAUAACAUAUUAAAACUUUAAAAUUUGAUUAUUCGAAGAAAUUUUAAUUUAGUUAAGUAGGUGACAUGAUAAUAAAUAGAUACGUAUAAUGUCCGAGAUUUUUUAUAAGAUUAAUAAAUAUAAUAAAUUUGGAUUAGUUCAAUUUUGACAUAAUUCAGAAUAAACACAUCUUGCUAAUCUAAAUUGCCACCGUUACUCAUCAUCAGGUACCUGUUUGAAAAAUAAUUACAAACAACUUAAUUUGUGUUGUUUCUCUAAAAGUUUGAGACACAAAUGUUAUUUCAAAUUGAAACGCCAUGCACUAGUAGUAGGUAAGAGAAACCAAGGUUGAAGUUACUGUUCAUUUAUUUUUAUUUAUGAUUUUUUGUAAAAUGUAAGAAAUAUGUAGAAAUGUUGCCAACAAUGAUUUUGGAACUUUGCAUAAAAUUUUUAUCAUUAUUGUUUUUGGUAUUAAGAAAUCCGAGGCGGUGAUUAGUCGUAUGUUGCAACAAUUAAGAAAUUUCUUAUUGGAGAUAAUUUGGUAGGUUGCAACAAUUAGAGAAUAAUUUUCCGGUCAGUUAAUCAAUCAAUAAUAAAUUUCAAAUUGCAGAAAAUAAAAUAAUACUGUCGCACUUAGAAUCAUCUUUUCUAUCUCUUUCAAUUGUGACAAUCAUUUGUAACUAAUAAAUCAAUUCAAAGUUCAAGUCACUGCUCAAUUGCAGAGUAGUUAGUAGACAUGCAUGCAUGUUUAAUUAAGUACUGCAUUGUAGUAUCGAAAAUCAUAACAUCUCACCAAGCCCGGAAGCAUAGCUCUUUAUCUUGUAAAUGUUGAAAUCUUAUGCAACCUAUGGGAAACAUGAUCUCACUCUCAGUGUCACUUGAUUCCAUUUUCUGUUCUUGCCUUGAUUUCAUUGUUGGGAAUGUGACGUCUGAGUCUAAGGUUGAAGAUAAUCUCGAUGCCUUGCGGACUGCAUUGGAAAAAUAAGCGGAAACGAGAAAUGAUGUGAUAAAUUGUGAGCCAACAAUAGUGGGCAUGGUGUCGACUUUUGAGAAAGCCUGGAGAUGCCUUGAAGAAGAAUCAGUUGGAAUUAUUGGCCUGUAUGUUAAUGGGGGAGUUGGAAAAUAUUUACUCAAAUCAACAACAAGUUCCUUGAUAGUCCAAAUAAUUUUGAUGUUGCGAUCUGGGUAGUGGUCUGCCAAGAUUUACAACCCCAGAAGUUUCGGGAAAAGAUUGGGAAAAAGAAAGGCUUGUUCGAUGAGUCAUGGAAGAACUGAAGUUUUGAAGAGAAAGCACUCGACAUAUUCAAGAAUUUAAGCAAGAUGAAGUUUGUAUUACUGCUGGAUGAUAUAUGGGAGCAGGUUGAUUUAAUUAAAAUUGGUGUCCCUCUUCCAAGCACAAAAAUUACAUUCAAGAUAGUCUUCACAACUCGUUUUAUUGACAUUUGUGGCCUCAUGGAAGCUCACAACAAGAUUAAAGUGGAGUGUUUAAAUGACGAAGAAGCAUGGGAAUUAUUCUGCAAGAAGGUUGGAGAAGAUGUGGCGAUAAAAUGAGUAUAUAUAUCCACUUUUGAAAUUCAGUUAUGAUAAUUUACCUAGCGAUAAAAUUAGAUCGAGUCUGUUAUACUGUAGUUUGUUUCUGGAAAACUUUCCAAUUAGCAAAACGGAAUUGAUACAUUGUUGGAUAAGCGAGGGCCUUUUGGAUGAAACUAAUAGUUCUGAGAUAUGAAAUCAAGGAUACUACAUUAUUGGUGUUCUUGUUCCUUUAUGUUUAUUGGAAGAAGAGGCUCCACUAUAUGUAAAAGUGCAUGAUGUGAUACGCGAUAUGCUUCUGUGGAUCGCAUGUGAAUUUUUUUUUUUUUUUUUUUGAUAGGGAUAGUAUGUGAAGUUGAGAAGGAGAAAGAGAAUUUUUUGGUUCGUGCAGGUGCAAGGAUUAACUGAAGUACCAGACAUUUGGAAAUGGGAAGGGUUGAGAAGGGUGUCUUUGAUGAGCAACAAAACUGAGAAGUUAUCAGAAAUUCCUUCAGAUCCCCAUCUACUGACUUUGUUGCUUCAACGUAAUUAUUUAGAGAUGAUCAAUAAUGACUUCUUCCAAUCUAUGCAUUCCCUUAGAGUUUUGAACUUAUCAUGUAAUCGUUCUCUAACUGAUAAUUUCAAAGUUAGUUUCCCUACAACAUCUUAAUUUAUCAAUGACUAACAUACGAGAGUUGCCGAUUGAGUUAAAGUUUGUAGUGAAUCUUAAGUUUUUGAAUGUGGAGUAUGCACGGUUUCUUCAUUCAAUUCCAGGGCAAGUGAUAUCCAGUUUUACGAUGUUACAAGUUUUGAAGAUGUUUGGUUGUGGCAGGUCAUCUUCUGAUCGUGAGCCACACCAGAAGAUAGCGUUUUAUUUGGAGGCAGUAAACUUUUGAUUGCGGAGUUGUUUGGUUUGAGAGACAUUUAGAUUUGUUGACCAUCAUCCUAAGAAGCUCCCAUGCUCUGAAAGAUUUUUGAGCUCCAACAAACUUCAAAGUUGUACUCAAUCUCUCUAUCCUAAAUGCUUUGAUUCGAAGUCAGUUGAUGUUUUUGGCCUGGCUGAUCUGAAGCAUCUCAAUAGGCUAUAGAUAUUGCGAGUUGUAAGCUUUUGGAAGAAGUGAAGAUUGACUUUGUUGGGAAAGCACAAUGAACCCAUGGUUUUCACAGCCUUAUGUCACGGAAGUUGUGUAAAUACUGCACGGGUUGCUGCCAUCCCAUGACAUUGAGCCAUGUUGAAAUAUCAUUUUGCUGUAAACUGAGGGAUCUGACAUAGCUUGCUUUUGCUCCAGGCCUUCUUGUUGUUUCCAGAAAACAUUGCCAUGAUAUAGAAGAAAUACUCGGUGUUGGAAAAUUAGGUAAAGAGAUGAUGUCAAACCUGGAACCUCCUACAAAACUCCAAGGUUACGUUUGUCAUGUGGGAUUGGAUUGAACUAAAUUAUUAAGAUUGAAUUAAAUUGAAUUAUAUUUAUAUUCUUAUGUUUAGUACCGGAUUGAACUAUAUUAGAUUAUAUUUAAAUAAUAUUAAAUAGUAUUUAAGUUGGUAUUUUAAUAUAAAUAUCAAUUAUCCAUGAAAUUUUAUAAUCAUAAUUAAAAUAAAUUUAAAAAGUAAUUACUAGGAAAAUUAAAUAUAUUGCAAAAAGUUAUUGGGUAGUCAUAAUAUAAUAAGCAAAUAAAAUUAAAUAAAACAAAUUAAAUAUUUAAUUAAUUUUUAUCAAAUAUUUAAAAAUAUUAUAUAAAAUCAAUUAAUUAAUGGUUUUAUUAAUUUUCAUGAUUAUUUUUAAUAUUACAUUAGUGAUUAUUAAAUUUAAUACAAUCAAAUAAUGCAAUAAAUAAUUAAACGUUUAAUUUUAUCGAUUAAUUAUUAAAUAUACAAGUAAUAAAAAUUUAAUCUCAGGAGUUGGUAGAAGCAAAAGUACUAAUUUAAUUACAUCAUAGAUAAUAAAUAAAAAUAAAUUCUAAGUAAAUCAUAAUAAAAAAAUUAAUUAAUUGAUUCAAUCAAUCAAUAUUAGGUGUAAAUAAAAAAAGAGUAAUGAUAUAGCCACAAACUCUUGCACAAACUUAUUUUGUACAAACUCAUGUGUCAUGAUAAGAUUAAUUAAAUUAAAUAUCACUUGACCUACAUGAUUUAUUUUUAUUAUUUUAUAUUUUCAUUCAACCAAUGAAUUAACGCCACGUCAGUUUGUAUAAGAUAGGUUUGUACAAGAGUUUGUGGCUGUAUCAUCGCUUAUAAAAAAAAAUAUAAAUAAAAAUAUCAUAAAUAGACAACUUUUAUCUUUAAUCUUAUUCCAACUAAACACAUGUGUAAAUUAGAAUUAUUAAUCCCAUGAUUUUAAGAUUAAAUUCAAAUUUAUUCCCCCUUAAUCCAAUCCAACUAAACUUGUCAAACAUGGGAUAAAAAUUUAAUUCUAAAAUUAGUACAAUUCCAUAUUUAAUCCUAACAUCCAAAUAUAGCCCAAGUUGUUUGCUUAAAGAAGCUACCAAAUUUGAAGAGCGUUUACGGGAAGGCCUUGCGUUUCCCAGAUGUAUGCAGAAUUUUUGUAUCUAAAUGCCCAGAACUUAAGAAGCUGACGCUGGAUUUGAAAGGGCGGGCCAAGGUAAAAUUCUUAUCAAGUGAAAGGAAAAUCGGUGGGAACAACUUCAAUGGGAGGAUCAAGCAACUCAGGAUGCAUUGCUUCUGUUUUUCAAAUCAACUGACAAGUGAUUGAAGGGGGCAUCAUCAGCCUGGAUGGGGAGAUCCUGGAGCAGAUCAGCAGGGUUUGAAUCUGCAUCAUCAACAUCAUCAGGAUCUCUAUUUCUAUUGCUGGUCGUAAUGCCUGCCUACUGUUGCUUGAAAAAGUGAUUAAGUGAGCCAGUUUUUUGUUCAUUAAAUUUUGUCUUGUAGAGACAGUCACAAAGUAUUUUUCUUAGUUGUUCUAUAUGAGAGUGAUGUGAAUCAAUUUUUCAAUUAUAUAUUCUGUGGUCAUUGUGAAUUUUGUUUAGAGCUGCAGACUAAGAAUAUGGAAAAGUUCACCGGCCAAAACUUUGUAAAAGCUUCCAAGUGAAGGGCCCGGGUGGGACUUGGGAGGCACACCAUGUUUUGUCUUCUAGCGUUGUGGCCGUUAGAUAUUUGGUCCCAUGAUCUAACGGCGCAUGAAAUUGAAAGGAAAUCGGCAACCGUUUAAGAGUGCUCAAGUGAGGUAGGUUAGGGUUUUACGAAAUCUCAAAAGACCAAGAUACUCCAAACUGCCCAUGAAAUUGAAAGGAAAUCGGCAACCGUUUAAGAGUGCUCAAGUGAGGGAGAUAUUUGGAGAAUAGGGUAGACAUCUCCACCCCCACUCCGCCCCAUUGCCAUCCCUAAAGGCAAAUGAGGUGGUACCUUCCAACCGCUGAAAGGUAGUUUUGGUCCCAAGUGAAACAGGGGAUGCACUUACUAUUAAGGACAGUUGGUGGCCAGCUAAUGCACUCAUUUUAUGUCCUUUCAUCUUUUUGAAUUAUUGAAGACAAGUGGCUCAUCGCUUUUACUGUAGGUAAGAUCCAGAUGAUCUCGUUUAUCAAAAUAAUUAUUUUAAAAUACUUUAAUUGUUUUUACUUUUAUGUUAUCUUUACUAAACUGGAAUCAGAAUAAGCUGAAAUCGAAAUGAGUAGGAAUAAGAAUAGAAUGGAAUGAAAAUAAUGAAUGAAAAUCAAAAUAAGUUGUUUACUUGAACUAUAGGAAUUAAAAUCGAAAUGAGCUGGAUUGCCAUUAAUGUGUUUACUUUGUCUUGGAAUCGAAAUCGGAAUGAAUUAGAUUGUAACAAAUUACUAAAAAGUACUUAAUGGAUUAUUGUCAUAAUUAUUAUUAAUUAAUAAAUUAAUUAAUUGUAAAAAAAUUUAAUUAAUUAUAAUAACUAUAAUAAAAAUUAUUAUAAAAAUAUAUUAACUAAUAAUAUUACUAUAAAUUACUUAAUUAAAAUAAUAUAUGAAUUAUUGUGAUUAUUUAUUCAAAAAAUAUAAUUAUUAAUAAUUAUUGUUAAUAAUAUAUUAGUAAUAAAUAUAUUAAUUAUUUAAUAAUGUGAUUAUUUAUUCAGGAACAAUAAUUAUUAAUAUAUUAUUGUUAAUAAUAUAUUAAUAUAUUAAUUAUUGUGAUUAUUUAUUCAAGAACUAUAAUUUUUAAUAAUUAUAGUUAAUAAUAUAUUUAUUUAUUAAUUAAUCAUAAUAUAUUAAUUAAUUAAUUAUAAUAUUAUAUUAAUUAAUUAUAAAAGAGGACAAAGUGGGUAUUUUUAAUUUUGGGGAAGGUAAAAUGGUCAAUCCUAGGAAUGAGAGACUCAUUCCCACCUGCCUAUGGGAAUCAAUCUCCCAAUCUUCAUUCUCAAAUAGUGGUGGACCCCAUCAUUCCGAUUCUGAUUCUUGCUCCAUAUUUACGAAGUAAACACCGUCAAUCAUUUUAAUUCUGGAAUUCGAUUCUUUAAUCCUGCAAGUAAAUUAGGGAUGGCAAAACGAAUAAACGAAUCGAAUCGUAAACGAAUUAGGUCAAAAUUCUAUUAAUUUAGAUUCAUUUAUUAAACAAAUUAAAAUUUUAUGAGUAGGAUUCGAUUGAUUUAUUAAACGAAUAUUUGAUUUUUAAUAAACUAUAUAUGAAAGUGGAAUCUUUUGAAUAUAAGUGGGUAAGCUCCCUUUAAAAAAAAAAAAAAAAAAAAAAAAACCGGGGUAGGCUCUUUUAUUAAAGACAAGUCACAAGUAUUGAGUAGUCACGAGUCACGACGGUUAGGCUCUUUUAUUAAACUGCAAAUUGUAGGAGGUUGCUAUGCUACUGGGAAGCAGCACACGUGUCCUGAAGAGAGAGAAAAACCGAGCAAAUACAGGCAAUGGGAGUUGGCUAAAAGUUGGAUCUGCAAUUUACAAAAUCUGUAACUUAGGGGAAAUUUACAGUAAUAACCAAAAAAAAUUCCCUUUUUUUCAUUUUAACCCCCAAAAAAUAUUUCUAUCAACAUUAGCCAUUAAACAACAUUUGAGACCAAAAUACCCCUCCCUCAUCUCUCCCCCAACACUCCAUUUCACUCAUCUCUCCCAAACCGAUCCAACUCCCAUCAUCGGCGGCGACAUCAACCCUCGUCGGCGGCGGCUCCAUCUCUCACCGGCAUCCGAUCUACGAUCUACAACCUUCAACAAAAUCUAGGUUAGUCAUUUUUCUUAUUUUCAUUAAUUUAAAAUGAGAUUUUAGAAUAAUAAUAGUUAUAGCUUGAGAUUAAUAGUGGUGGUGAUGAUGUUUGUGGUGGUUGGUGGUGUUUGGGAGUAUUGUUUUCGAUUUUGGAGUGAUUGUGCUUAAUUUUGCGGGUGGGGAGGGAGGGGAGUAGGGCGCGCGCGCGCCCAUCGCUGGGCAGCAGCGCGGCACGCUGUUGCACCAAAUCUGGUGCGACAGCUAUUUUUUUUGUUUAUUAAUAAGUUUUAUUGUAUUAAAUAUUUGAUAGUUGUUUUAUUUGAUUUUUCACUUUGGUUGUUGUAGGCUUGGAUUUACGAAGCAAUCGGAGGGUUGCCAUCAACAUGGGUCGUCAAAACGAAGAAUAAGAUUCCCCGCAUUCUGCAAUGGAAGCCCAUGGCGUCGUCGAGAAUCAACUUUGCGGAGGUUUAUUCGUUCUUCAACGACGAAUCUCGUCUUGUAAGUAAUAUGUAUUACUUAUUUUUUAAACUUUACUAAAUUUAAGUUAUGUAUACUUACUUAAAAUUUUCAAUUGAAUUUAUGGAAGGGGGACGUUUUACAAACCCUUGAGCCAAAUUCAAAGGAGAGUAGCAAAAAUUAUUGGCUCUCUGUGAAGGAUUACUUGCCAAGCAUUCCAGACUGGGUUCAUAAGGUCGGUAUACUCUAAGCACGAAAAAUUUGUUAAUCGAAAUUUUUGACUUUUCAUUUACUAAUUUUAAAUGAUACUUUAUACAGCACCAACCCUCAAUCAACGCGAUGCCGUCGGUUACAAGGCAUUCAGACGAGCAUGACGAUCAUGACGACAUACCAAACCCAAUACCAGAGCAGUGUCAUGACACUUUUGCGGAUGAGGUGGGCCAUGACACUUUUGAGGAUGAGGUGGGUAAAUAUGACCACCAGGAGCAAACAGACAACUCUGAUGACGCACGGGAUUCUGAGGUUAGAAAUAAUAUACGAUAUUUUUUUUUAUAAAUUAUUAAUUUUUUAUUGUUAUUCUAAAGUUUUAUUUUUUUCUUUUGUAAUAGUCGAGGACAAAGCAGUUUAAUGAUUACGUACGACGACGGCUGGAUAAGAUUGAUCGUAACGUGUAUGAAAUUAAGUCAGAAUUAAAAGAUUUUAAAGAAACCGUUGUUGGUUUCAUCGACACAUUUUCUAAACGUCCAAAUAAGGAUUCUCCCACUGCACGCUCGUAUGCGGUAAGCUAUUUUAAAUUUGAUAAUAAUGUUCGUUUAACUUUUAAUUUGAUAGUUAUUUAAUAUGUUCUUUUUGGCGAAUGUACAGGCCCCGGAUGACGUUGGAGUGUAUACUGACGUGGGCAAUGAAAAUUUGUCUACGCCCACAUCAUUGUAUAGUUUCUACGGGGAUGUAAGUGGGGAGAGCGUGCAGGUGUUCACAGAGGUGCCUCCGGGCGUUAGUAAGUUCGGCCGCGCGUACAUACCGUCGUAUGUUUAUAACAGUCCGUACAUGAUUCCUCCGGUCAGGCGAGGACAGCACGUCCGGCCUUUACCUCGACCCCAAAUCAUGGAGCAUGCGAUUGACAUGAGUACGAGUGUGGAUGUAAAUCCACUGAGAGGAUUGGAGGACUCUAGUCUGUUUGCUGAGUUUGAUCAAUGGUUUACUGGUGAUAGCAGAGUCCGCCGGAGAGUCCAGCACCCGCGGUCAUUCUUUCAAAUAAUUUUGGGGACAGCUUCGAUGGGAUGGUUAGGCGAUGAGGUAUUUAUAAUUUCCUCGUGGUGUAUACUGUUGUGGAUUUGUGUAUAAAUUUGUUUUUAAAAACUCGUAAUAUUUCUGUUUCUCUACAGCAUAUUCACGAGUAUCUCCGCUUGAUUAGCGAGAAGCAACGGCAGUAUCCAAAUGCCUUACUCCAACGUGUCACACAUACUGACACAUUUUUUUGGGUAACGUGCCGACAAAACUUAUAAAUCUUAUGUGGAUGUAAAAAUUUAAGUUUUAUUAAUUUAUGCAUUUCUUGGUUAUCUAUGUAUUAGGUGUUCUUGAAUCAGUUAUGGAAUAACAGGAAUUGUGCAGUCGAUUCAAUGGUAUUCGACGACCGCGUGAAUAGUUAUCUUUGUGGCCGCCAGCACACAAUGUCUAAAUCAAUGACGGAUGUCGAUAUGGUAUGUAUUUUAUUACAUUUCACAUGCUAUCUAAUGAAAAUAUUCAAGUUGUUGCUUUUUCUUUGUUGUAUUGUAUUUUAAUUUCAUACAUAACGAACAUGUUUUUCAAUUGUUAUAUGCAGCUACUCAUCCCUGUUAACUUCGACGGCGCGCAUUGGGUACUAGCACGAGUUGACUUUCGGAAAAACAAAGUCUGGAUUUAUGACUCAUUACUCACAAAUCGCAACGACAAAAGGUACAAGUUGAAAUUCAAGCCACUUGAAGUUAUAUUCCCUCGAUGGUUGGAAUACGUUGGCUUCUACAAUAUCCGACCGGAGUUGCAGAGUGAAGACCCGUGGAAAGUUAUCGCAGUUAAGAGCGCGCCACAACAAGAGCCCGGAACUGGCGAUUGCGGUGUUUUUGUAUUGAUGGUUACGAUGUAUUUAAUGUUCGGGAUUAGAUUGGAGUUUAACGCUAGUCAUGUCGAGUACUUUAGAAAGAAGAUUGCGGUUGAUAUAUUUAAUGACGAUAUUCAAUUGUAAACCUAUGUAGUAAUUCAAAUGUUGAAAUUUGAAAUUUUUUUUACUUCGCACACUUAAGUUUAUAUAAUUUUAAUGCCUCACAUUUUAAACUUUAAAUAAAGUUUUAUGAAAUAUAAGUGUACAAUACAAAACAAACAGUAACAGUUUUAACCAACGAACACAAAAACAAUAAUAGUUUUAACAAACUCAUAACACACAAAAUACAACUAACUUCGAGUCGACGCAAUGGGAUUCUUACAUCUCUUACGAUUAUGGCCUAGUUCAUGACACCGACCGCAUCUAACAGUCCGCCGGUCAACGUCCUCGCCAGCCGAGGGUAUUCUGAGCUCUUUACGACGGCCAGGUGGUGGUGCCUCAACUGGUGGGUAUACAUGCAUUUCCUGAAUUUUAUCUGGAAUUUCCCAAUCAGCCACAUCACCAACUGGCUCUACUGGUUGUGCAUAAGCCAUCGCCAACGAUUCUGUAGUGUAAAAGUCCGAGCAAAGGUUAAUAAAAUCCACCCGGUGUGUUAGACACGCCGCGAUUGCAUGAGCACACACAAGCUGAUCAAGCUGGAACACUCUGCAGGAGCAAGUUCUCUUUUGCAAGUCAACUAACCCUUCCUUAAGCCCACCGCCUAUAACUUGAAAGCGAUGCGGAGACACCGGCCGAACUAUCAUUCUUUCAGCUAUAGUUCUCCUCUCAGUGACUAUUUCAUCCGCCCAUGUUGUUAGCCGAGUAGUCAUUGAUUCAGCCACAAUUUUCCUAUCAUAAAACCAUUGCUGCAAUGUUUUCCUAAAGUGAUCAACAAGAUGAGUCACAGGAAAUUUUCGAGGUUCCCUCAUGAACGCAUUAACACUCUCCGCGAUGUUCGUGGUAAGAAUGCUGUACCUCCUACCUUCAAACUGCGACCUUGCCCAAUUACACGUACCGACAUUAUUUUCUAGGUAAUCAGCCGCACCCGAGUGGAUCAUCCACAACCCUUCAAGUUGUCUCUUAAAUUCCUCGUGGCCAUAUGCUUUUGCUGCAUUAAUAAAGGCAGGCUCAAAUUGAUCCCAAAGAGCUUUGGACAUUCUAAACUGAGACUUAAUGUUACCUUUGACGUGGUAAAAACAAACGCCAUGAGUUGCAUUGUGAAAAACUUUAAGAACGGCUCUCCUUAUGGCAGUGCAUCGAUCAGAGAUAAUUACCAACUCAGGUCUAUCGCCAAUCACUCCGUGUAACUUCAUCAUAAACCAUUCCCAAGCAUCGUUGUUUUCUGAAUCCAUGAUCCCAAUGGCUAACGGAUACAAUUGAUUGUUACCAUCAAGACAUGUUGCCACGAACAUGCUUCCACGAUAUAAUCCCUUCAGAUGAGUACCAUCUACAGCAAUGACAGGCCGAAUGUACUGCAUAAAACCCUUGAUGGAAGAUCCGAGUGCUACAAAAUAGUACAAGAAAUUACCAUCUCCAUCCUGCUUGAGGUGAGUGACUGUACCCUCAUUCGCUGUAGUUAGUACGUGAGAGUAUUUAGGGAGCAAGUUGUAUGACUCUGCAGGGUUGCCUCGAACUAUUUCAAGACCAACUUCUCUCGCCCGAUAUGCCUGCUGGUAUGUUAACUGAACACCGUAUUCCUGUUGCAUAUCUGCUCUUAUGUCAUUCGGAGUAUAAAUCCUCUUGUCUUGAAUAUAUUUUUCUGCGAUAAUAUGACCGACAACCUGGCUCCUGACUUGAUGACGUCCAUCAACCAAUACCUCAUUAUGACAAGUGUGUACAUUGUCAAUUCUCUUCACCACCCACGGAAUAUUUUGCUCGUUCGAACAUCUAGUUGCUCGAAUACGCCAUUUACAUGAUUCUGAACAACAGUGAGCCUCGAAACGUGUCGUAGUAGACCGUGCAAUCUUGAAAUCAAACUUGUCUCUAAAGGCAACCUUGCGUAGUUGUAAUAUAAACUCAUUUUUCUCAGCAAAUAGCUUACCCACACUGAUAUCAUCUGAAUCACAACUGCUAACAAAGCUUGGAGCAACCAUAUUCGAAGGCAAAGUUGGAGCAACACUUGUAAGGGGGUCAAUUCGCCUUCUCGAUCGAACCAUAGAAGGAAUAGGUCUAUUGCCUCUGUUAUUCACAGGAGUAUUGUCUUCACACUCAUCCUCAUGCUGAAACGACGGAACAUUUGAAGGACCGGCUCCUCCAUCAUCACCAUCAUUAUUGUAACGCGUGCCCCCCCUUGUAGUAUUAGAAGGUUCUGCACAAACAUUAUCCCCCUCUGUCUCAUUAUGAAAAUCAUCAUUGUCCCGAAAAACAUUGUUGUGAUACGGAGAAUAUCGUUGCUCCAACGACGUUGUUAUUGGAAAUACUGUUGCUCCAACAUCCUGUAACGUAACGCCAUUAUCAUCAAUGUUGUCAUAAUUAUCGUGGAUUGGAGAGUAAUAUUGCUGCAACGAUAUUGUCCUUGGCAACACCUCUUCAUCAUUAUCGGGGCCAGACAUAUUUGCUCUAAACGAAGUUUCUGUAUCGACAUGUGGCUCAAUACCUUCGCUCGGAACUCGAGGUGAUGUGGUCACGAAUAUAGGAAUGCAUCCAAAAUUAGCUACGUCCGAUGCCAUAUGCAACACAACCCUCACCAUUUCAUCAUCGCAUAUAUCCAUGGGCAUUGCACAUAUACGAUAUAAUGUGUUACUAGACCUCAAAGUUGUCUUCAUGGUGAUACUAUAGUCAUUAGGGUUAAUUUGUAACACCUCGUAUACUCUUGCCAAUAACUGAUCAAACAAAUAAUUUUUUCCAACCAAAAAUGCUCGAUUUUUACCAUUCACGUACUCCAUACGGCUAUUUUCUAAUGUCUCCCACCAACCAUCGUAACACAAUUCAAGUACAACUGAAUCCAUUAAGCCUGAAAUUAUAAAAAAAAAUUAUUUCAGCCAUAUUAAAAUAAUACAGUUUUAAUGAUGUAUUUCAUGGUGGGUGCGACAGGCAACCUGUCGCCCGAAUCUUGGUGCGACAGGGUGCCCGUCGCACCAAGGUUUGGUGCGACAGGGUGCCCGUCGCACCAAACCUUGGUGCGACGGGCACCCGUCGCACCUUGCUUGGUGCGACAGGCACCUGUCGCACCAAGUUUUGCUGCGACAGGCAGCCUGUCGCCAGAUCCAGAUUUAGCCCAGUUGUUCAGAAAAUAACUCAUACCAGUAACUGAUGUCGAUUUGUGUUGGAUUCGGGAUUCGGAUGUCGAUUUGUGUUGGAUCCGGAUAAAUUAUGAUCGGAUAUCACUUUUAUCGUUGUCCUUUGCGGUCACCGUUGACUGAUGAAUCAAGAGCGAAAAGCUGCUUUUGGUUUGGCGAUAUAGGAGAAACGACGUUGGUUUUGUUACGCAAAGAAGGGUAAUUUGGGAAAAAAGGCUUGUGUUUGGCUAAUGUUGAUAGAAAAAAGUUCAGAGGGUUAAUUGCAAAAAUAAUAAAAUAAUAAUGGUUAUUUUCGUAAAUUUCCCGUUUGAAUAUGACCUUUGGCGCUUUGUUUUUUUUUUUUUGUGAAUUUUUUUCAUUUUUUCCUUCCUGUCAUUUUAUCAUUUCUUUGGCUUUGUCUCUAUUGCGGGUGUUACUGCAUGCUUACUGUUGCUUGACAAAGUUUGCUGGCUUUUCCUUUUGUUUAUUAAAUUUUUUAUGGUCACAAAGUAUUACUCGUUCUAUUUGACAGUGAUGUGAAUCAAUUUUUCAAUUUUAUAUUUUGUGGUCAAUCUUAAUUCAAUUUCAUUUGUCUCCUGCAAUUAUGAAAAAAUUGCAGUCAUAAUAUGGAAAAAUACACCGGCAAAAACUUUGUAAAAGCUUCGGAGUGAUACGGCGAAUUCACUUACUACCAAGGACAAUUGGUGGCAAAGCUAUUCCAUUCAUUUUAUGUCCAUCCAUCUAUUUAGUUAUUGAAGACUAGUGGUCCAUUUGUAAAUUUCAGAUUGUCUCUCUCUCUCUCCCUCUUGAAAUAACAAUAUUUAAUAUAUCUCUUAAAUUAUUAUAAAUUUUAAUUUACUCUCGAUUUAAAAUGGAGCAUGUCGAUAAAUUUUUUUAUUAAUAACAUUCUUUUAAUAAGGGAUACUAAUAUCUUAUUUUGAUUAAUAACAUUCUUUCACUGUGUUAACUCAAAAAAAAUAUUAUAAUGCUUUACAAUAAAUACAAAUGUCCUAUUAAAUGAAUAUAUAAAAAAUUUAGAAUAUUUAGAAUAUUAUAUAAAAUAAUUUUAAUAUAAUGCGUGAGAUAUAUUUUAUUAAUUUAAAAUGUCAUUUUACCUAAAAAAUAUGAUAAAUUAAUAAUUACAUAUUUGAAGUUAUUUCAAAUAUUAAAAAAAAAUUAAUAUUAUUAGUCUUUUAGAUAGAUUAAAUUAUUUUUUAUAAGAGAUAGAUUAAAUUAUUUUAAAAUACCUUAAUUGUUUUUACUUUUAACGCUACCGGCCUUUCUUUUAUUUUAUUGCAAAUUAAUGCUAACAAGAAAAAGCUAGAUCAUAUUCCACAAAAGCACAACCAGCUGGAAUCUUUUAUAAAACUACAAAUUAAGAUGGAUUUUUUUUUUUGAUAAAUUACACAUGAAAGUAGAUUCUUUUGAAUAUAAGUGGGGUAGGCUCUUUUAUUUUAUUUUUGAAUAUUGUAUAUCGGGACUGUAGAUUUUUUUAUUAAACUACAAAUUGUAUAGUCUUUUUCAAAUUGUUAUAAAUUAGUGGCCCCUACAAUCCUCAACAAUUGUACCGAUAUUCACAAGUUGGUGGGCCCUACAAUUCUGUUCCGAUAAUUUAACUGUGCAAGUGCUCAUUCACAAUCUUCCAGGUCAUGCUCUCUAUAAUUGUUUUUUUUUUUUUCUGCAUUCCCUUUCAUGCUCUUAAUAAUUGAAGAGCAUACUUUUCAUUUUCAAAUGUGGAGCCGCAGCUAAUGUCGCUAAUUUAAUUUGGGAUUAAAUUAGGGGACCAUUAUAUUGCAGUGUGCACUAAUUUUUGUGUUUAUCUAAACUCCUUAAGUUUAAGACAUAUUAUGGCAUAAAUAAGAAUAUAACAAUAACAAAAGAGUUAUUCAUAAAAUAUGUGAGAUAUUCAUAGUUUAUUAAUUUAAAAUACCAUUUUAAAAUUAAAGAUUUAUUUAUGAUAAAUUAAUAAUUAUAUUUUUGAAAUUACUUCAAAUAUUAAAAAAUUAAUAUUACUAAUCUAUUAGAUAGAUUAAAUUAUAUAUAUUAUUUUCUAUUUAUUAAAAAAUUAAAAUUAUUUUUAAUUACUAUUCAAAAAAUAUAAUGAUAAAAAAAAAUCUUAACAUCUUUAUUAAAAAUUUAAAAAUUUACAUGAUCAAUUCUCUAAAUAUUUAGGGUAUAUGUGAACAUCGGUGGAGAAGCUUUAUUUAAUAUUAUUGAUUUAAAUAAUAUGUCAAUUAAAAAUGUACAGAGAAGGAAAUUUCGGUGGUUAUUUUAGUCUUUUCAACAAUUAUCAUGAUCAGAUCAGCCUUUAGCCUUGAAACGUCGGUCAGAAAAGUUUUAAAAUUAACGCUAACAAGAAAAAGCUAGGUCAUAUUCCACAAAAGCAAAAGUGACAAAACAAGCAGCUGGUUUCUUUUACUAAACUACAAAUUAAAAGUGGAUUCUUUUGAAUACAAGUGGGACAGACGAUUAGGCUCUUUUUUAUUAAAGGCAAGUAAAAAGUAGUCGAAUAGUCGUUUUCAAAUUAUUGUUUUAUUAUUUUUCCUUCAAAAGUUAGUGUGGCUCAUGUUUGCAGGUGCGAAUGUCCGAUGCUCUUUUUUUAAAGGCAAUUACAGUGGGUCCCGAAUCAUUACUAAAAUUUCUCUUCCACAGCCCACAUCAGCUUCAGGAAUCAGUUUAUCAAACUCAAUCAAUUUUCUUUCUUAACAAAAUUCCAAAGAUGUGUAGCAUUUUUCAGAUCACAUGCGAUGGUGCUUUUUUCAAUCGUUGCUUGGAUUGCUUUCUUGGAAAAGCAGCAUACAUACGUAACCUCCAAGAUAAUCUUGAUGCCUUGGAGACUGAAUUGGGAAAUCUGAUCGCUAGAAAGAACGAUGUGAUGAGGAGGGUUGUCGAUGCUGAACGGCAACAAAUGAGAAGGCUGGACGGAGUGCAAGUGUGGGUUUCGAGGGUGGAUUCUGUUAAAACUGAAGCUGAUCAAUUUAUAAGAGACGGCUCUCGAGAAAUUGGAAAAUUAUGUGUUGGAGGCUACUGUUCCAAGAAUUGCAUGUCAAGCUACAAGUUCGGGAAAAAAGUGGCUAAAAAGCUACGGGAUGUGCGGACUUUAAUCAGUGAAGGAGUUUUUGAGGUGGUGGCUGACAGAGCUCCAGAGUCUGUAGCAGAUGAAAGACCUACUGAGCGAACACUAGUAGGCUUGCAAUCACAACUUGAACAAGUCUGGAGAUGUCUUGUAGAAGAAUCAGCGGGAAUCAUUGGCCUAUAUGGUAUGGGCGGUGUUGGUAAAACUACACUACUGACCCAUAUCAACAAUAAAUUUCUCGAGAGUCCAACCAACUUUGAUUGUGUGAUUUGGGUUGUAGUUUCAAAAGACCUGCGACUCGAAAAAAUUCAAGAAGAUAUUGGGAAAAAGAUAGGUUUGGUUGGUGAUUCAUGGAAGAGUAAAAGUGUAGAGGAGAAAGCUGUCGACAUCUUCCGGAGUUUAAGAGAGAAGAGAUUUGUAUUGUUGUUAGAUGAUAUAUGGGAGCGGGUUGAUUUAACAAAGGUGGGCGUUCCACUUCCCGGACCAAAAAAUACUACCUCAAAAGUCGUAUUCACAACCCGUUUCAUCGAUGUUUGUGGUAGCAUGGAAGUUGACAGGAAGUUUCAAGUAGCAUGCUUAUCAGAAAAGGAUGCUUGGGAACUGUUUCGAGAAAAAGUUGGGGAAGAAACUCUUCAGAGUGAUCAUGAUAUCGAUGAGCUAGCCCAAAUUGUGGUCAAAGAGUGUGGUGGUUUGCCACUCGCACUUAUUACUAUUGGUCGAGCUAUGGCCUACAGAAAGAAAGCGGAGCAGUGGAGACGUGCAAUUGAAGAGUUAAGGAGAUCAGCUUCAGAGUUUGCAGGUUUGGGAAAAGAGGUGUAUCCUCUUUUAAAAUUCAGCUAUGAUAGUUUGCAGAAUGAUACGGUUAGAUCUUGUUUCUUGUACUGUUGUUUAUAUCCUGAAGAUUUUGGCAUUCUUAAAUGGGACUUGAUUGAUUGUUGGUUUGGCGAGGGAUUUUUUGGGGAAUCUGAAGGGUUUGGUGCAGAAAACCAAGGAUAUGACAUUUUGGACACUCUUGUUCGUGCAUGUUUAUUAGAAGAGGUGGAAGAUGAUGAAGUAAAAAUGCAUGACGUUAUUCGUGAUAUGGCUAUAUGGAUAACUUGUGAAAUUGAGAAGGAGAAGAGAAACUUUUUGGUUCGUGCAGGUGCUGGAUUAAAAGAGGCACCGGGUGUUAAAGGAUGGGAAAAUGUGAGAAGAUUGUCAUUGAUGCAAAACCAAAUUGAAACUCUGUCAGAGGUUCCCACAUGCCCUCAUCUCCUCACUUUAUUUCUUGACUUUAAUCAGGAGUUGGAGAUGAUCGCGGAUGGCUUCUUCCAACUUAUGCCUUCUCUCAAAGUUUUGAAGAUGUCAAACUGUUGGAAUUUGAAAUUACCGGUUGGGAUGUCAGAGUUGGGUUCAUCACUAAAAUUUCUCGAUAUUUCAGAAACACCAUAACAGAGUUACCGGAAGAGUUAAAGAAGUUGGUAAAUCUGAAAUGUUUGAAUUUGAGGUGGACACAGCAUUUAAAUAAAAUUCCACGGCAACUAAUAUCAAAUUCUUCAAGGUUAGGUGUGUUGAGAAUGUUCGCUACCGGCUAUGGAUAUUUUCAUGAAGCACCAGAAGACAGCGUUUUAUUUGGUGGGGGUGAAGUUUUGAUACAGGAAUUGCUCGGUUUGAAAUAUUUAGAGGUAUUGGAGUUGACCUUGGGAAGUUAUCAUGCUCUCCAAAUUCUUUUGAGCUCAAAUAAGUUAAAAAGUUGUAUUCGAUCUCUUUUCCUCGAGUUGACCGGAGAUACAGCGUCAAUUAUUGAUGCUACGGCUUUCGCAGAUCUAAACCACCUCAAUGAAUUAUGGAUUGAUAAUGGUAUUGAGUUGGAAGAGUUGAAGAUUGAUUAUACGGAGAUAGUACGAAAAAGGCGGGAACCUUUUGUUUUCCGCAGCCUUCACCAUGUUAUUAUACGAAGCUGCCAGAAGUUGAAAGAUUCGACAUUCCUCGUUUUUGCUCCAAACCUCAAGUCUCUCAAUCUAGACGGUUGCGAUGCUAUGGAAGAAAUAAUCAGCUUCGGAAAAUUUGCUGAGACUCCUGAGAUGAUGGGACAUGUAAGCCAUUUUGAAAAUCUCCAAAUUCUUCAUUUAUCGCAAUUGCCAGCUUUGAAGAGCAUCUACUGGAAGCCAUUGCCUUUCACUCAUCUCAAAGAAAUGGCUGUAAGAGGGUGUGAUCAGCUUAGAAAGCUUCCACUCGAUUCCAACAGUGCAACAGAGCGUAAAUUUGUUAUUCGUGGAUACAUACUCUGGUGGAACCGACUUCAAUGGGAGGAUGAAGCCACUCAAAUUGCUUUUCGUUCCUGUUUCCAACCUGAUUCCUGAGCGGUGGUCGCAAAAUUUGAUUUCUGGUGAGUGCGUUUGUCUUUUAAAAGAAGAAUUUAAAAGAAAUUUAUUCUUGUCGUUUUCUUUUUGGGGCAUCGAAUUGAUGCUCUAGUUUUUUACUUUUUGUUGUCAAAUUAUGCCCUUUUUUUUUUUUUACAAAUUGAAACUUUAUUUAUUACUUCUUAGGAUUUAAUUUCCUGUCAAUAGACGAACGAGAAGAACAUACGACUUAAACCAAUUGAUACUUUAUUUAUGUGCGUUGUAUGUAAUAAAUAUUAAGUAUAUUAGCUGUCUUUCCUGAAAAUCAAAUGACAAUAAAUUUUUUAAAGUUUUGAUUUUCUAUGGUCAAUUCCACCUUUUGCAAUUUCUUCUAUUCUAACAAAAACCAAAUUCUUUGUUCAAGUAUUUUCGUUUGGGUAUUAAUAAUUCUCCACCGAAAGAGUGAACUCUUGGAUGCUGCUCAAGGGUCUCUAAUCAAUCGCCGGAAGCAAUUGAGAGGGCGCCGAGACCUAAUCGGACCUAGGCCCAAGUUUGGUCUUAAAGCCUGGGCUUGAGCCUGACAAUUAAAUUAAAACAUUAAUUGAUUGAAUUGUCGUGUAAUUGAUUUAUGGGGGAUGAAACAUCAACAUGCUUGAAAAUACACUAAUCUUAGCAUCAUCGGUUAAUAAUUUUUAGAUUUAUGGGUAAUCAAUAGUUAAGAUUAGUUGUCAUUAAUACUAAAUAUUUUUUACUUUUUUUGUCUCUUUUAGAGGAUCUUCUAGAACAAUGCAUCCACAACAAAAUUUAAUAUUUUACAUAAUAAACAAAAUAUAAAUGUUAAAUUUAAGAAACUGCAUUGCAUUUCAGCUGAAGCUGACUUUAAUAUUUAGGGUAGAAAAACAAUAAAAUCCUUAAUGUGUUUAAUUUCUAUCACUUGUGUCAUUAAAAUUUUCUAGUCACCCCAACCAAUUGCAUCUCAACCCACUUUUUUUGGAUGAUUUUAUUUUUACACUAUUAUUUUCAACAUAUCAUGAUGUAUUCGUCAAAAGCUGGAAAUGACUGUUGCCCGUCAAAAUUCACAUUUAUUCCUUAACGAUAAAGUUUUAAUAUAAUUUUGAAGUUAUAACUCAAAAAUAUAUUGUGUAAUAAUAAGAAAAAUGACCUAAAUGGUAAAAGUGAGAAAUAAUAAGAUCGAAGUACUAUUCUCCAUCCAAUGUUAAAUGGGGCAAUGCCAUUCUCUGGUUCUCUUCUUUAAAUGCGUGAUGUGCGUGCUCUGUUUUAUUUUUACACUAUUGUAGCACAUAAGUUGCAAAAUAUAACAUAAAAUUUGAAAAAUGUGUAGUUUUUGUUCCUUUUUUCUUAAAAAUGGGAAAAAGAAUGUAAUUUUGUUUAAAUUACUGUUGUGAUAACAAUUAUUAUUUUAUUGAUUAAUUGGCAGAGAAUCGUUAUGGUUUCGUAUGGUUGUUUUUUUUUUUUUUUUUUUCGUAUGGUUGUUAUGGUAUCGUUAUGGUUUCGUAUGGUUGUUAAAACAUUGGAAAGUCCACUACAUCAUCCGUUAAUAACUUUCAAAUUUAUGGUUAAUCAAUAGUUGAGAUUUAUUAUCAUUAAUGCUAAGUAUUUUUUAAUAUUUUUCUCUCUCCUAGAGGAUCAUCCACAGCAAAAAUUUAAUAUUGUAAAUAGUAAACAAAAUAUAAACGUGAAAUCUAAGAAACUGCAUUGCAUUUCAGCUGAAGCUAACUUUAAUAUUUAAUGGGGAAAAAUAAUUAAGUACUUAAUGUACUUUAUUUACCCAUAUAUAUGGCUAAUUUUUUAAGAUAAAGGGGAAGGAUGAUGCUCAAAAAUAUAAAUUAUAAAAUUAAUUGAACUCUCAAGUAAGUUUAAAGUUCAUUAUUUUUAAUUACAUGUUUAUAAUUUAUUUUUAUUUCGUAUUAAUCUAUAGAUCUAAAUCCACUUUGGAUUCAUAUACAUAUAUACACAUGUUUAUAAUAACACAAAGGCUAUCAAUCUCCACCACCAACAAUUUUAUACCCAUUUGCCAAGCCAAAAUCAGACCCUGGUACAAACCUCAAAGCUCUGCAAUUGUUACCGAGCAAAUACCAAUAUUCAUGCAGAACCCACCAUGCCAUCUACCAGUAGCAUCUCUAAUCAACCCCUCUGCACUCGCCAAACCGGAUCCCUUCCUAGCACCAUCAGAGUUUAAUUUAUAAUAUGGCCAUCGAGGAGGCAACCAACCAAACAUUUUUUGGACUCUCAGUCCUCUAUCACUUUGAAAAGCCUCACAAGUACGAAUUAUCUCCUCAGCUCGUACCCUGAUAUCCCGAACCAUGCUUUCUGCAUUCACAACUUUAUCUUAAAAAAGCAACUGAUUCCUUGCCACCCAUAUACACCAGAUGGCUACCCCAAAUAUGCAACUCCAUUCUUGAUUGCUACCAUGAUUACCCAUACCUUGAAUAUUGGCAAAAAUCCAGUCACGGGUUGGCAACGUGAAAAAAUCAGCAGUCUCAUGACCUGUUAACAACAUAUUCCAGAUUCUCCUAGAAGUGGCACAGUCACGAAGAGCAUGGGCCGUAUCCUCUGCAGCAUAACCACAGCGCAUGCAUAUCAUAUCCACCCCAAUAUGUCUCCUAUAAAGCUCGGCUUUGCAUUUAAUCCUGUCCUUUGCAGCAAGCCAAAGGAACGUCCGGAUUCUGUGAGGACCUCUCCAUUUCCAGAUACUUUUCCAUCUCACCUCCUCAUCCUGAACCAAAUUUCCAAGAAGCAGGUUAUAAGCUGUUCUUGCCGUAAACAUUCCUGAAUUUGAUGAUCCCCAAUAAAACUGAUCAGCCUCACUAUCCGGGGAAGGAGGCUUAAUAGCUGCAAUCAUUAACACCACAUUAUGAGGGAGGAGAAACCCAAAACGGCCCCAAUUCCAUGAACCAUCAACACUAAUGGCGUCAACCACCCAAUCAUGUAAAAUAGCUUCAGGAAUAGGUGCCACUGCAAGAUGAACAACCGGCCCAACAUCCGCAACCCAAGAUCCUGCCAGAAACGAAUUCGCUUGCCGUCCCUCACAUUCCAUCGAAGCCCCUGCAACACCUUUGGCCAAAUCCGACCAAUAGCCUUCCACAAGUAUGAGCCAUAUUUUGUAGGCAAGGAAGUUGACAUAGUGUUCGGAUCAAAGCCAUACUUCGAGCAUAGAACCUGUGCCCAGUAGCUAUUACUAUUGACCAGCAAGCCCCAACCAAGUUUCAUUAAUAAUGCUUCAUUCAUAAGCGUUAAAUUCUUCAAACCUAGACCUCCUGAUAAUUUCGGACGACACACAUCAGCCAUUAAUCAGAUGAAGCUUCUUAACUUCCGAGUUACCACUCCAAAUAAAUCUGCGGCAAUGUUGCUCAAUUUUGGUUAUAAUUGCUGUAGGCAGUCUCGUUGUUUGCAUUGAAUAAAUCGGCAACGCCUGCAGCACAGACUGCGUGAGAGUGAUUCUACCAGCCAAAGAUAAAAAUUUAGCACUCCAACCAUUUAGUUUACGCUCCACCUUCUCUAAUAUGCCAUGAUACGUUGCUUUACUAACCCUCGAGUGCAAAAGCGGCAUACCCAAAUAAUUACCCAAGUUCGUAGUCAUAGAGAACCCAAGAGUUGUGCCAAUAUUACGCACAUUACACGGAUUAACAUUCUUAGAAAAGAAAACUUGAGAUUUCUAUUUAUUGACCUUUGCCCCCGAGCUCACGUAAAACGUAUUGAGAACAUCAUUGAUCACAGCCGCUUGAGUGCAAGAAGCUUCAGCAAAAAGUAAUAAAUCAUCAACAAAAAAUACAUGAGUGAUAGGGGUACCUCGCUUAGAAAGCUGAAUUGGCCUCCAAGUGCCAGUAUUAAUGGCACGAUGAAUUCCGUGGCUAAGUCUCUCGAUACACAGGACAAAAAUAUACGGAGAAAUAGGGCCGCCUUGUCUAAUCCCCUGUGAGUGAACGAACUCCUCAGUACAUUCCCCAUUCCACAGAAUCUGCAUAGAGGCUGAAGUGAUACAAUCCAUUGUGAUACGAAUAAGGUCUGACGGAAUCCCCGCUUCACAGAGAGUUUCAAAGAUGAAAUCCCAACUUAGUCUAUCAUAAGCUUUCUCCAGAUCCACUUUAAUUAGCAUAUGGCCAAUCUUUCCUGACUUUUGACGCAUGGUAUGAAUUACUUCCUGAGCAAUAAUAAUAUUCUCUGUUAUGUGCCUUCCAGGGACAAAACUAGUUUGCAUUGGCCCUAUCAAUUCAGGAAGAAUGCCCUUUAAUUUAUUCGCCACAAUCUUCGUAAUUGUUUUAUAAAUGUCAGGACAAAGACUUAUAGGUCGAUAUAAUCGGAGGCUAUCCGGAUGCUCAACUUUCGGAAUAAGCACAAUUAGAAUUUAUUAAUCUCACUAGGUAUUUGUUGUCCCUUGAAAAUCCCCUGCACCAAAUUACAAACCGAAACUCCCACAGUAUCCCAUUGUGUCUGAUAAAAUACAACAUGCAAACCGUCAACUCCCGGAGCCUUAAGUGGAUGCAUACUAAAAUUUGCCUCCCUAAUAUCAUCCUCACAUACUCCCGCAUUAAGCUUGCCAAGAUUAAUCUCAUCAACUUUAGGAAACAUACUCACCAGAGGGUAAGGGAUAUGCUCCCCAGGCUCUUUUGUAUAGAGAUCCUUAAAAAAUGUUACAUCAUGAGCUUUGAUAAUAUCCACAUCCUCAAUCCAAUUGCCAUGCUCAUCUUUAAGCAUCACUAUUUGGUUCUGUCUUCUCCUCUGAAUUGUCUGGCGAUGAAAAUACUUAGUAUUUCGAUCCCCAAAUUCAACCCAAUCACGCCUAGAUUUUUGAAACCACAAAAUCUCCUCCUGACUCAAAAUACUCUCCAACUCCCGCUUGAGAGUCACCUCGAGAUCCAUCAGGUGUCUAGAUCUGUGCCACUCCAGAGCACGUUGAAUUCCGGCCAAUCUUGCUAAUAUGUUAUUCUUCCGUUUGUGUAUGUAUCCAAAGACCUCCUUGUUCCAUUUCCGCACCUCCGUAAUAAAAUGGCCAGCCGGGUUGACAUAAUCUCCACUCUCUCACCACGUUUCAGAAACAAAAGUUUUUAACCUACUGUUAGUGAGCCAAGACGCCAAGAAUCGGAACGGUUUAGCACCACUAGCUUGCCGACUUACCCUCUCAAAUUUAAUUAGAAUAGGGCGAUGGUCCGAGUCAAGUUUAGGCAGAUACAUGACUUGUGAAUUGGCAAAUUUCUGAACCCACUCAUCAUUACAAAAACUUCUAUCUAGGCGCUUUAGUAAGUUUCCUCUCUCCCAAGUGAAUUUCGGCCCACUGAAGUCAAGAUCACAAAACUGAUUCCGAUGAAACCAAUCACUAAACCGAUGACAAACACCAUUUGAGCGAGGCGAACCGCCCCUCCUCUCUGAGGGAUGUAAAAUGGUAUUGAAAUCACCUCCAAGGAGCCAAGGCCCCAACACAUUGCGAGCCACUACUUUAAGGUCCUUCCAUAGAAGGUUUCUAAUAUGUUUAUUUGGACUUGCAUAAACUGCAGUAGCCCAAGAGAUGAAACUAAUGUCGUUAGCUAUACGAAAAUGAAUGAACUGUUUAUGAUUUAUGAUCACCUUCACUUUAACACAAUCUUUCCACAUUAACCAAAUACCUCUGGAGAAACCUUCAGCCUCAAUUCUAUGCGACCUCUCAAAACCACUUCGAAUAAUAAACUCAUCAGCCUUUUUCCCGCUUAUCCUUGGUUCAAACAGUGCCAUCAUGGAAGGAUUAUACUUCUGAAUUAGGGCUUUGAAAGUCCUUCGAAACGCAGGGGCAAAUGCACCUUGGCAAUUCUAAAACAUAAUUGAGAAACUCAUUAAACAAAAAUAUUAGAGAACAGAAACCAAACCCCUUACUAACGAAGGGUGUGAGCUUGAAGCUCCAACUCCAUAUCUGUCUCUUUCUCUAGAGAUCCUCCAGAUUCUGAAUCAUCUCGGGAUCCGUCAACACCACCUCGAGCCACAUAAGUGCUUCAUUCUGAGUCCUCAUCUCCACCAACUCCAUUCCAACCCCCAUUAUCAGGUGGUUCACCCAGGGGAUUGUUUCUAUUAUCCUUUGUCAUAUCGGCAAAAAGAGGGUUCGCUCUAGCAAACUGAGUCAGCAUGUCCGUACCAUCAGGGGGAUUAGCAAAGGAGUACACCGAAUGUUUAAGAGGGUCAAGGGAAGUACUUGCGAGGUGGGGCUGGUUGUCUCUGGUCUUGACUGACUGCUGUUGUAUUGAGGCAAGGGUUGGGUUAAUAAUGUGCAUGGCUGGUGAUAAGAUCUUGUUUUGGUCUGCAUGGUUUGCAUGGGGAGGGCUGGAACGUAACUGGACCAGACUAGGGCUGGGAGGAUGAGCAACGUUUCCACGGUUUGAUCGUUGGCUAUGUUUACGUAAGGAAUAUCUAUGGUUAGGUUGCAUGAGCUGAUUGCUAUUUUGGUUUUCAUCUUGCAAGUCAAGGUUGCUCUCAAGUGCAUGAUUGCUAGGAAUCCUUUCACUGAUUUCUCGCUCAUUAUCCAUAUUAUCUUCAGAGUUGAGGAGCGAAAAGCGGGAACCAGAUCGAGCAUUACCAUUAUGGGUUUGAUUAUAAUCUCCUUGAAUCGUACCUUCCUUAGCCUUCUGUGGCCUACCUUUUUUAGCAACAAUCAUCCAAGGACCAAAAAUCGAAUUCUUCGGGUUUUCAACGGUUGCAAGAUCCACCGUCACUCCCGUCACUUCGCCCUCCGGUUGAUGUACUCCGUCGCAGCCUUGCCCUCUCGGCACCUCCUGCUUUCGUCGACAGGUAUCAACUGUGUGCCCAUACUUUCCACACUCAAAACAUAUAGUAGGGAGCCCCUCAUAUUCAAUCCUUUGAAUCUUGCCAUUCAACUGAAAUUGUGAGACUAAAGGCUUGUUCAGACAAAUUUCAACAGCAACUCAAGCAAAUUUUCCACGUUUUGCAGCCUUAGUAUUGUAAUCUAUCCUUAUGACACGACCAACAACUUCCCCCAGUAUUCGAAGAACCCUUUUAUGAUAGUAAUGCAAUGGCAUGCCAGGAAGUCUGAUCCACGCCACUACUGUUUCAAUCUUAUAAGAUAAACAAUCAAAGGAUGGAGACCACUUUUGAACAGUUAAGUAAUGCCCAAAAAUAGUCCAAGGGCCUUGCGUGAGAGCAAAGUCCACAUCCUCUUCUGUUCCGAAGCGUACAAGAUAAUAAUCAUUCUCUAAGUCAAUGACUGUAAACCCUCAUUCCACUCUCCACAAGGAUUCCAGUUUAAUACAUAAUGAUCUAUAGCCAAUUGAUCUCCCUAACAGUUUCACAAUCACUGUGUUUUUCCAUGGCCGAACCAGCUGUUCCUGCAUCUUCUGUGAAAACACAACCGAAGGAAUACAUCCAUCUGUUUCAAUGAUUACGUCCUCAUCCGCAACAUCUAGGUCAUCCACACCUUCAUUCAUCUCAGCAGCCCCUGACUGAUCUUUCAUUAAACUAUCCCUAAAGGACAUAACCGGCAGAUUAUGUUCAUCAGAUCCCUGUUCCCUGAAGCGUGCCUUCUUAGUCGUGCGGUCUUCCUCCAGCAGGGGAGGGGUCGCUUUCAUCAAAUUAGGGUUUAGUUCCAUCAGAGACAACUUCCGUCUUUAUCGGAGCUUCCUCCUUUUUUUCCCCUAUUCGCACCUUUCUAAUACUCUUUCAAAAUCGUAAAAUCUUUAAAUUUUACCCCUCAUCUUAACUUAAGAAAACUAAUCACUUAUUUUAUUUAACAAAGAAGAGAUUUUUUUCCCGUAAAUUUCCCAAUUAUUUCUCUCCCUCUCGCUCCCGUAAGUUAUACAACUUGAAGUGAAAUAUGAGUGGUCUGAUUCUAGCUUAAAUAAUUUAUUGUGACAUGCUAUCUAAGGACAAUACAUUACCUAGCUCUACAUAUUUUAUUUAACCUCUGGCUCACCCUGUGCAAACUUGCCUUUCCCCUGCAAGAGAAGAUUAAUCAAUCUAUCAAGUCUCAAAUUCAAUUUGGAAUAUGACCAUCGUACGCUCUUGUUCUUCCCUCUUUACGAGUGCAUUCCCCCCAACCUCAAGCUCCCUCUCUCGUCUUCAAUGUCACUGCUUAUAUCCUUAUGUUGUUCUAGUUUGAAAUAGUGGCUUCCACUAUUUCAGGGCCCCCAAAAUUCCAGAAACAUACUAUUCAUCACGAUGACAAAAUUUUUGGCAGGCAGGUGCUUCCUGACUUUCACACGGUAAUUCUCAAAUUCUGAUUUCACCAUAUUUUAAUUACUGAUUAGCAUAUAUUCAAGUGCUCUCCAUUAUAAUAGAAGCCGCCUCACCCGUGAUUCCAAACUUUAUCUUUUUCCCUUUUUUAAAUUAAUGCAAGUAGCCGCUGUCCUUUUUAUUAAUUAAUUAAUUCGGCCGCCCACAUUUCUUUUCCUAAUGUCUUCUACUGUCGAUUUUCUUUUAUUUUCUCUUUAUUCUUAAAAUAUGCUUAUAAUAAUAAAAUAUAAAAAUUAAAAUUAAAAUUAACAUAUCAAAAUAUAAUUUAACAGAAAAUUAAGAUAAAAAAUGAAAAAAAAUAUAAAUUAUGAGCAUAUCAAUUAAUAAAUGAAAAAUAAUUAUUUUUAUUUUUAUUAAAUAUAUAUUUUUCAGUAUUAAUCAAUUAUUUGAAUAACUAAAAUUAUUUAAAAAUAAAUAAAUUAUUCUUUAAAAAUAACUUUUUAUAACACUCACUAUGCUGGUUGUAGGGUAGACGCUUUGGGGACUGAAGCUGGUAACUUCUACAAGUAGUCUUUUUUUUUUUUUUUUUUGAUUACAUGAGACUAUUGCUCAGAUUACAACUCAUAUUACAUGAGACUAUAACUGAUAUUUACAAAUCAGACUAUUACUGGGACCAACUUACAUCAAUGCUAAUGGAGCUCUGCCCAGAUUUUUAACCCUCACAAAUAUUCAAGGGAUGUCUACUCCUCACUCAUGGGUAAGGGAGAAGACUACCUUCACUCAAUUAAUUGAGGAAGGAAAUACACCCACAAUACUUUUGUGGGGGUUCGAACUGCUGCCCUCCAACUUGGAGGGCAGCAGCCCUGGCCACUCGGGCUGAGCCGAGUGGUUUACAAGUAGUCUUAAGUUGACUGGCAACAACUAUAUUGGCAUUUAGAAAUAAUGUACUGCAACCAUAUUGGUAUGUUCAAAUGUUCUUACUAUUGUAUUGGUGUGUCAAUAUUAUCUCUAACUGCCUUAUAGAUAAAAAAAUAAUCUAAAUUUACAAUUUAACAUAAAAUAAAAUAAUUGGUAGAAAAACAAUUAUGGUUCAUUUACUUAUCAGUAAUCAGAAUAGAUUGGAAUCGAAAUGAGCUGUAUUACCGUUGAUGUGUUUAUGAUGUCCUCGAAUUGGAAUGAAUUAUUUUAAGUUACUAAAAUAUCCUUGGUUUGUUAUUCUAAUUAUUAUUAUUUAAUAUUUGUCAUAUCAUUAAAAAGAAAUAAUAAUGAUGAUAAUAUUAUCAUUAUUGUUUGUUACAUUAUUAUUAUUCAAAAAAAUUAUUGUUAAUAACAAUAAUUACUUUAUUUCAAUAAUAAUAAUGAUAAAAUUAAUAAUAACAAACAUGACAACAACAACAAUUAUUUAUUAUGCCAAAAAUAACAAUAAUAAUAAGAAUAAUCAUCAUCAUCAUUUUUUCCCAAAAAAGCAUUAUCAUCAUCAUUUCAAAAAAAAAAAAUCAUCAUUAUCAUCAUCAUUUUUGUAGUGGCUGCCUAUCGGCUGCUGCUUUCAUGUGAGAUUGACUUGCGACGCUUCAACGGCUAUUAUUUCUGGCAAUGUCAGGUGUUACUGUUUCAAUUUAGGAAGAAGAUGUUUCGGUGUGCUAACGAUGGGAGAUGUUGUGGCUGCGAUUCGGGGAGCUACUAGUUUAUUGCACAAAUGACGGCAGGUGCUGCUGCUUGAUGCGAGGUCAAUGGCAAGUUGUCAGCAGUUCGACUUUGGUAUGGGCGCUGCUGGUUCGAUUUUAGGUGUUGUCUAAUUUCAUUUUCAGGAUUUUAAUUUUAUUUUUUCUUUUAUAUUUUCAUUAAUUAAUCAGGGCAAAGUUUGAUUUUAGAAUUUGGAAUGAAGGUUUUUUUGUUAAUCAUGGAAAUGAGAUUCUGAUUGUCGAGAAUUAACUUACACAAGCAACUGCAAAUUAAGUGAAAACAAAAAGUUUUUUCUCUUUGUGUGAUUAAAACAUGAAAUGUACCAUAAAUAAAUAGGUAAAAAAAUAAAUCAACACAAUCCAAAACAGUAAACCAAUUACAAGAGGCACAUAUUUUUAUGUGAAACACCGAAAACAAAAAAAAUCAUAGCACCCUAGUCUGAUAUAAUCUUCUAUUAUAUUAAUGGGAUUAUAGCACAAAUUCUUCCCUAUAUAACACUAGAAGUUAACAAUAUCAAGAAUCUCAAUAAUCUUGACUUACAAUACAACCUAAUAUGUCUCUCUAAUAAGUAGAUAUCUAAAAUAACAGUCUCUAAUAAAUAAGUAUCUCAAAUAACAGUCUAUAAUAAGUAGGUAUCUCAAAUAAUAGUCAAUAAGAUGGUAAAAUAAAAAUUAAAACUAGUAGGAUUGAAUAAGGCGAUGCUAUCAACUUAUCUUCUAAAUUUGAGAAAAAUAAUUAAAUUCACUUUUUCGAUUGUCCGACAAAAGAUGGAAACCCUUGCCCCAAAACCAAAGGAAUCACCAUUGUUCUCUCUCUCUCUCUCUCUCUCUCUCUCUCGUUCUUUUCUUCUACUUUUCUUAAUGUUAGCCGCCACUUGCUUUUAUUCUUUAUAGCAUUUAAAAAGCUACUUUUAAUGGUAAAUUUCAUUUAAAUCCAAAACUUAGUGAUAAUUGCACACCAAAUAAUUCUUUUUGGACUAUGGACUUUUGGGCUUCCAAAUAAGAUGAAUACAACAAAUCUCCCCCUUUAGAUCAUAAAGCCUGCUCUCUGCAUAUACUUUUUCAGCUUUUCCUUGAAUAAUGACUUUGUUAUCAUACAUAAUCCAUUCUCCGUUGUGUAAAUUUUCUCAAGCUGUAACUGUUGCUUCUCAAGCACGUCUCGUAUCUAAUGAUAUCUCACAUCAAUAUACUUAGAUUUCGAAUGGUAUAUCAAAUUCUUUGAACGGCACUCUGGCUGUCGCAGUACAUAACGUAGCUGUCUCGUUUUACACCCAGCUCUUAUAAGAAAUUCUUCAUCCAUAAUAUUUUUUUGCAACCUUCAAUAAUUGUAAUAUCAUUUGCUUUAGUGGUAGAAAAGGCAACUUAUUACUAAAGUUUAGAUUGCGAUGAGACUGCUCCCCCUACAAAAGUGAGCAAACAUCCUAGUAGGAAUUUUUCAGAAUCAACAUCUUCUGCCAUAUCUACACACUUGUAACACAGGUUUGUCACCACCAAAAUAUAAACAUGCUCUGGAAAUGCCUCUAAGAUAUCUGAGAAUGUCCAGUGCUCUUUUAUAAUAAAUACAAACAUAAUGAAUUUAUAAAACAUUUAGAGUAUUUUGAAUAUUAUAUAAAAUAAUUUUAAUAUAAUGCAUGAGAUAUAUUUUAUUAAUUUAAAAUGCUAUUUAACCUAAAGAUUUAUUUAAGAUAAAUUAAUAAUUAAGUUUUUUAAAUUAUUUCAAAUAUUAAAAAUUUGUAAUAUUAUUAGUCUAUUAGAUAGAUUAAAUUAUUUAUGUUAUUUUUUAUUUAUUAAAAAAUUUUAAAGUCAAUAUUUUUAAUUACUAUUCGAAGGAUAUAAUGAUUAAAAAAAUCUUAAUAUUUUUUAUUAAAAAUUUAAAAAUUUACAUGACCAUUUUUAUAAAUAUUUAGGGUAUAUAUGAGCCACGGUGGAAAAGCUUUAUUUAAUAUUAUUGAUUUAAAUAAUAUCUCAUAAAAAAUGUACUGAGAAGAAAUUUCGGUGGGUAUUUUAGUCUUUUCAGCAAUCACGUGAUUAGCCUUUGGCCUUGAAACGUCGGUCAGAAAAGUUUUAAACUGCUUAAUUGUUUUUCACUUUUAACGUUAGUGGCUGCUUAUAUUUUAUUAAAAAUUAAUGCUAACAAGAAAAAACCCCUCAAUGAAUGAGGGUGAGAUUGCUAAAAAUUACGACAGGUGAUAUUAGGUGAUAUUUUAUUAUUAUUAUUAUUAUUAUUAUUAUUGGGGGAUAAAUCCUCACCAAAGUGAGGAGAUUUUAUCAAAAUCAAAAUAAAAAUAUAACAAGAACUGAAAGUCGGGCAGCCUAAAAGCUAGAUGAACUAAAAGUCCGGCGCCUAAAAACAACCUUAUGCAAAAGAGAAGCAACAUGAGACCGAUCAAGUAAAAGAAUCCACCGCAACACCUAAAUUGGCCAAAUUAUCUAUUGGUAUUACAAGUUUCUUGUUAUAAAAGUGUAGAAUGAAGUAGGUGACGUAGUUUUAAGUUACAGCUGCAUGCCCAAUCGCAAUAUCAAAUAAUGCUUAAAGUAGUUGCCUAGGCCCGCCACAAUUUAUAUUAACUCUUAAAUUUAUAAAUAAUUAAAUUUUUAAAAGUUUGGAUUUAUAUUAAAAAAUCUUCAUAUAAAUAAAUAAUAUAUGCACUUUUACAACACAGUCUUUAAAUUUAAAUUUUUCUAGAAAAAUCUUCUGUAUAUCUUUUCUAUUAAAAAAAUUUCCAUAUAACUAAAUAAUAUACCUAAUUUAAUUGGACCCAGCACAACGUACAUGCAUAGAAUACAUUCCGAAAAGCCAUGCUAUUCGGAAAUUGACGAAUGAAAAGUGAGGAGGCAGCAGUCAAUGCUAUUUCGGCUUGGCCCAAAAUUGAUUUAUCAGUUUGACGUGUGCCAGGUGUUUGAGGGAAAUACUUCGACGAGACCAGACGUGAUGAGCAGAUAUUGGGUAGUAGAGUUCUGCGAACAGGUGUGUUCUGUAAGAGCCUGGUAGCAGAGGAGCAGCAGCAAGAAUAUUUUGCUCGUCCACGAAUAUGCCAUUCAUGAGGAUGAACUCCCGUUAGAGGCAUAAGGCCAUUCCUGUUAGGAGUCGAGGCGAGGAGACCCGGUCAACGACAGUUGGCAAGACGUGCGUUCCUAUCCGAGAAUCAAGGCACGAAGUCCAUCUCCAUUCGCCCACAAUGACUACAAUGGGGCAUCCACAUCCGAGGGUGGGGAGAAUAAUGGGCGUGGACUACGGAAGAUCGGGAUUCAGAGGAAGCCUAUAAAAAGGUAGCCAGCGAAGGUAAAAGGGUUAGACUUUUUGCUAUUAGAACUAAGAAAAGAAAGUUCCGAGAACUGAGAUUAAAAAGAAGCCAUAAGAUUCGUGGCAAACAUUUCCAGAACCCCUAUUUCUGACUUGAGCGUCGGAGGGUUUGCGCCGGGAAAACAAACGGCGUACUCUGACCUGUCUGUGUGCGCAGGAACCUCUGGAGAAGAAGCGUUACGAGGAGAGAUCCUGGUCGUGGUAAAGUUGAUCGAGCAGAGACCUUGGUCGUAGAACAAGGACAACCAGAAUCUCGCAUCAACACCAGGAAUGAAGAACUGGAAUAUCACCGUCAAGCAAGCAACCUGUGGAGCAAUACCAUAGAAUGCACAAUCCGGCUUUGCAAGGUGACACUGGAGGCUUUUUGAAAAUUGCUUCACGCUCACUUGCACAGAUUGAGCAUCCCCUCUGGAUAUUGCCCUCUCUGAUCGAGUCUGAGCACUCAAAUUUCAGUCCUCAGAUGGAGCUACAGCUUUCUCUCCAAUAACCAACAAUUUUCUAAACUCAGCACCUAGUAUGAUCAGAGUUGUUGAUAUUUGUAAAUGGAGAUCCCCAUAUUUGCAAAUGGAGACAUUUAACAAAUCACCAACAUGCUUCAUUCAGUCUACGAAAUUCUGCAGCUUAUUCAAAUCCGGAACCUGAACCAGAGUCGGAGGUAAAUCUUGAGCCAUAUCUAAAGCAGUCUGAAGUUCAAGUACUUGAGCCCUAGACAAUGGUUUUGAAAUUGGAACAUCUUGGAUUACUGCAGACUUGUACCCCUUGGUUUCAAAAGUGAGGAAAGGCAUUGCUCGAGUACAGUUUGGAGGCAGCUUCUUCACCAAUUUUAUUUGGAAGCAAUUGGCAGCGGAUCCAGCUGCACCAAUUUCAGAGCAAAUACUGACACUACUUCGAACAGCACGCUGAAGAAGAGAUGUCUAUGGCAAAGGCAAUGCAGUCCUCAUUUUGACUUGAGAUGCGGUAAUCAUCAAAGAGAGUUUCCUUGUGAAACUGGGCAACGCAUUGAAUCCCUUCACCACUGAGAAGGUUGUGGAGGAAGUAAGCUUUCUCUCUAGUGAGGAAGAGGUGGCGUACCUUCAGGGCAGGUAGAAAUCUCUUUUCUAAGAGAUUUACUCCAUUCUCUGUGAGAAAUGCUUUGAACUUCAUCCUUCUGUCUGUAUCCUCACUUAUCAGGAAAAUAGUUGAAAGCGCUACAAGGAGAGAGAAGGAAAGUAUUAAGAUAUAUAGACAAGAAAAAUAUUAGAUGCCGAUCUUACAAACUAAUACUCCAAACACUAUCCUAGAAAGCUAAAAACUGAAGGAUGGCUUGAAAUUUGAAAAGAACACAUGCUUUUCCUCCUUAACUUGGGAAAAUGUUUAAUAUAGUGCACCUUACAGAAGCAUUUAAGCAAUUAGAAAUUUGCACAAAAACAUCAAGAAGACUAAACAAAUCAGAUGCAGUGUAUUUGUCCAAGCACAAAUUGCAUUUUGUCCUCAACUUUAAUAUUUAUUGAUGAGAAUCAAUACAGGUCCCUCAUUUGUUAUAGAAAGCUUUCUUGUAGUCUCACCAGUAAAUUCACAGGUCUAUAAUCAUCUUGCAAAGUUAAGGGCAUUUCUUUCGAUCUAAAGUCUUUGCAUCACCACCUCAUCACACGCCAAGCCAAUAUUCCAUUUACCUCUACAACAAAAAGUUUUAAGUAAACAAUCCUAAUGCACGCAGCCAAAUAAAAUGCAGUAAGAAUAUUCAACUUAAAAAUCCGAAAGCCAUCCCGGUGAAUUGCCUUCUUAGGUGAAGUUCCAUGCUUUACUACGCUCGAUAGAACCGAGCAAAAGCUUCCAUACAACAGAUUUUGAAAAUGAUGAUGCCAAUAGAUACUCAUUCAAUCCAUUGAAAAUCCAAAGGUUCAUUGUUCAUUGAAUUUUACAGAGUUUUGGUCAUCCAUUAGCUCAGACCUAAUCCCAAACAAAAAACGAGUGAAAAUUAGAUCACGAGCAGCUAAUUGUAAAUUCCAACUUAACUCUUCAUCUCCUUUGUAAACAAGAAACAAAAUGGAGACACGCAAAAUGAAUAUGGAGAAAAUUUGAACUCAAAUGAAAUGAGGGAACGAAAGCAAACAAAUGGCAUGCACAAAAAAACCAAGCCUCAAUCAAAAACUAAUUAACCAUUAAGAAAAAAAUUGGUCAGAGAAUGAACUCCAAAUUCAGGAGUCAAGCAAGAAACUUUCAUCAUUUCAGAAGCUCCUGUACAAAUUAAUAAGUUAUGCUCUUUGGAAGCAAACCUAAAUUCCAAGAGAAACAGAACUCAAAAAAUUUGCAAUUAUACGCAAAGGAAGUGAAGCACAUCAUUCUAUCACACAAACGAAUUGUAUAACAAGAUAUCAACACAUCGAAUCAGAAGAACUCAAUUCAAAUUUGUCACAAAAAUCAAAAUUAGAAGAUUUCACAUUUCGAGAGGAACAAGCGACAGGUCAGAUGCAAAAUUUUCAGCCACAACAUGCCACAAUUAACGGUUUAUUUCCAUGGAUUUAGAGAGCUGACUGACCUUUUGGCUUUUGGAAUUGAGAAGAUCGCGCGCCAAAAUGGAAGAGGGAAAGCGAAAGUGCGGGUUUUAAUAGGGUAUUGGAUUAGCAAAUUUAAUUAGUUUGCGAGGGUAAAAUAGGAAAGAGAUAUCACUAUUAACCUUUUUUUUAUAAGAAAAAAGAAUAAUAAAGAAUAUUUUAUUGUCAUUUGCAGCCUUUAAUUUUUUUUAAAUACUAUUAGAAAAAUACGACAACAAAGAAAUGCUCUUUUUUUUUUUUUUUUUUUUAAAGGUAAAAUCAAUUAUUUAGCUCCUUAUAUGUAAUCAAACUCCAUUUCUUACUGUAAGUCAUAUCCAACGGACCAACAAAGUAAUUUUUUUUUUUCAUUCAUUUUUGCAGAAAUUUAAUAACUUAAAAAUAUUGAAAGCUAUUGUAAAUUUUUUUAUUAUCAACCUCAUAAUUUAAUUUUUUUGGGGAAGAAUUGAAUUUUUUUUUAAUUUCCAAGAAUUUCAUUCUCUAGUUUUUCCAUUAAUAGUACUUAUCUUCAUACCCAUCUUAAUUAAAAUCUGUAGUUUUAUUCAAGAGUCAUGCUAUUCAUUCACUCGGACCAAAGGCUUUCCGCAGCAAUAUUAUUAUUUAAAUCACAACAAAGGGGAAAUCAAAUACGUCAUACAGAGGCUUAAAGCUCAAUCUACAAAAUCUAGAGCUCUGAACUACAUAAAUUACACUUGAUGAUCCUCUACAAGAUGAAGCUUGUUCAAUAUCUCAUCCAAAGCUUGUAAAGUAACCUUGUAACGAUCUUGAGAUUGCCUGCCUUCCUCGACGACCUGCACCAUGCGUUUGUACAAAUCAUCAUACCUGUGCACCGGAUUUUUAAUAUCAACGCCACUGCAGCUGUGAUCAAGAACAUAAGAGCGUUUAACAUCUUUUCUCCAUCGAGAAAGAAUGUAGUGAGAUGGGAUCUCCUCCAUGCCACUCUGGUUUAGAACACAAAGAAUGUGUCUGCAUAAAUAUCCUCUGAAAUUGAACAACCCACAAACGCAAAGCACCUCCAAGUCGGAGGCAUUGUACAAAACAUCGAAAGCCCUUGAAUCUUUCUCGUUGCUACCAACCUCAAAUUCUUCCUUCACUAUGUAUGUUAUGAUGAAACAAAAACAAACGUUAUGCCUGUAAUCGUGCAUUUCCAAAUAAACACACAUUUUAGGUAAUUCUGAAAUUUACCACGAUCUCCCAUGAAUCCGAACUUGUAGCUUGUUAUGGAGCUUCAACAGAGUUGCUGCUACUUUGGUCUAGCUUUUGAAUUCCGCUUUCUUUUCCUUAGCUCAAGAUCGCGGCUUCUCUCAGCAAUUUACUGUGCACACACACGGGAGACAAGCGAGAGAGAGAGGUGCACUGCACUCAUGCCACUGAUUUUUUGAACAGUAAACUUCCAAUGGGCUGAAGUUACUUAAAUACAGCGGUUGAGCGCAGGGACCCCUCAUGUGUUAGUCUAAAAUUGCCCAUCCCAUUAUGGGCGAAAAUAACACAAUUAAGGAUAUACUUGUCCAUAAUAUACUACUGUACAGGGUAUGUCAAAAUUAGACUCAUUAACACUAUAUUUGAUCACUUAAUAAAUGAGUCUAUCAAAAUUGCUCAACAAUAUUUGACUGUAAUCACGUAUUAAUUAGGUAAAAUAUAAAAAAAUACUGAGAAUGAUUUAUGUUAGUCCACAUAAUGUGAGAAAUAAAUCUAACAAUCUCCCACUUGGACGACAGAAAUCACUCUAAUGAUAAAUUUAAAAUAAAAUAAUAUUUUGAAAACAACCGAAUUAAUCAAUAUGUGACUAUAACAAAAGGUCAAAUACAAGCAAUCACCCAAAACAUAAAUAAGUCCAAAAUGUGCCAUAAAUAUCAAAUCAUAUGUGCACCGACAGGAUGCUCCAUAUAACAAGACACCUAUAAACACGUGACCAUGUAGUAGUAUACAAGUAUAAUUAUGGAAAUAACAUGACAAUGUGAUCAACAUGCUCAUUUCCACAAAGCCCACAUGUCUAGCAAAAUGAGAUGAAAACAAUAUGUCUCCUAGACCAUCGCUUCUUUAUAACCAUAAUGAGACUCUAACAAAAUGUCUCGAGAAGCGAGCUUCCAUUUUUCAUCAUAAUGAGACUAAUACCAAGAUGUCUCAUGGAAGUCGUGCUUUCUUAUGAUUAUAAUGAGACUGAAUCAAAAUGUCUCAAGAAAGCACACUGAAGCUAAGUCAUAAUGCUUCAGUUUUUAAUGUCCAUAUUGAGACUGAGCAAAAAUGUCUCGGACCAUAAUAUCCUCAUUCUAUACAUAAUGCCAUACGCAACCAAAUGUGUACACAAUAUAUGGCAUAUCAAUAUCACAUAACAACAUGCAUGCAUGAUAACAAAACGAGUAAUACAUAAUCUCAUUUAAGUUGCAACUCAUAAUACAAACCAGAACUCCCACUGACUCAGCAUAUAUAAGUGGAUUCACAUAAUCUCAUAUGUGUUACAUGCUCCCUAAAUACUUUUGGAGCUAAAGCUUUAGUAAGUGGAUCGGCUAACAUGAGUUCUGUAGGGAUAUACUCUACUGAUACACAAGAUAGAGCAAUUUUCUCUCUCACAAACAAAUAUUUAAUAUCAAUGUGCUUGGAACGUGAGGAACUCCCUGUGUUGUGAGAAAAAGAAACAGCCGCAGAAUUAUCACAGUAUAUCUUUAAUGGCCUUGGAACGGCCAAUAUACAAUCUAGCCCUGUGGUAAAAUUCUGCAUCCAUAAAGCAUGACGUGUAGCCUCAAAACAGGCUACAUAUUCUGCUUCCAUUGUUGAAGAAGCUAUAAGUGUCUGCUUGACACUUUUCCAUGAUAUAGCUCCUCCUGCCAUCAUAAAGAUGUAACCAGAUGUGGAUUUCUUGUCUUCCAAGCACCCUGUGAAAUCAGCAUCAGAAUAUCCAACUAUAUUCAAAUAGUCAGAUUGCUGAUAUGUCAAUACAAAAUCUUUAGUGGCUUGCAAAUAUCUGAGUACUUUCUUUGCAGCCUUCCAGUGUUCCCCACAACUGAUGCAUACAGGACUGUUUGCAUUCUAGCUUUGUCUACAUCAUUAUCGGGACACUAAGACUUGAAAAUUUUGUCACCUUUCGGAAUUGGAGCUUUCCCAGGAGCACAAGACUGCAAAUUGAACCUUUUCAAAAUACGAUCAAUGUAAGUCUUUUGAGACAAACCUAGAAUUCCUCUAGAUCUGUCACGAAGAAUCUCUAGCCCUAAUACAUAAUGGGCUUCACCAAGAUCCUUCAUAUCAAAGCUAUAUGACAACAUUUGUUUUGUCUCAAGUAACAAAUUAGUGUCAUUAGCAGCGAGCAAGAUAUCAUCCACAUAAAGCACCAAAAUGAUAUACUUGCUCCCACUGACUCUCAAGUAUAUACACUGAUCAACAGCAUUCUCCUGGAACCCAUAAGAGGUGACAAUAUCGUGAAAGUUCAAAUACCACUGUCUGGAUGCCGGUUUAAGUCUAUAAAUGGACCUUUUAAGCUUACACACCAUGUUUUCUCUAUCAGUCUCAACAAAACCAUCAGGUUGCACCAUGUACACAUCUUCAGAUAAGCUUCCAUUGAGAAAAGCUGUCUUCACAUCCAUCUGAUGCAAUUCUAAAUUGAAAUGAGCUACCAAUGCCAUGAUAAUACAAAAAGAGUCUUUGGUAGAAACAUGAGAGUACGUUUCAGUGUAGUCAAUGCCUUCUCUUUGACUGAAACCCUUAGCCACAAGCCUAGCCUUGUACCUCUCUACCUGACCUCUGGCAUCUCUCUUGGUUUUGAAAACCCAUUUGCAACCAAUUGGUCUGCAUCCAUCUGGCAACUCAACUAAAGCCCAAACCCCAUUAUGAUACAUAGAUGCCAUCUCAUCAUGCAUCGCAUGUAUCCAAGAUGAUGAUUCUGAACAACUGAUGGCCUCUUGAAAGGUAAUAGGAUCAGAUGAUGAGUCAGCAUCAAAAUCAUGUUCCUGCAAGUAAACAACAUAAUCAUCAGAAAUUGCAGGUCUCCUUAUCCUCUCUGAUCUCCUCAAUUGCACAUCAGUAACAUCAUCCGCUACAAUCAUAGGCUCCAUAUCAUGAUGAAGUUCAGGAUCAACUGAAGAAACAUCAAUGUGUGAUAAUCCCAUCGCAGAAGUCGGAAAAGAUGGAAUAGGCAAAACCACACGUUCUUCUCUUAAUGUAAGACUGCGAGGCUCAAAACUCACACCAUUGUGAUCAUCCUCAAAAUAAAUGGCACGAUCAGACUCAAUGAUUCUAGUAGUGUGGGAAGGACAAUAAAAUCUAGAACCUCUUGAGCCUAUACAAUAGCCAAUAAAAUGACCACUAAUGGUUUUCGGAUCAAGUUUCCUUGAUUGUGGAUUAUAGGGCCUCACUUCUGCUCUGCAUCCCCAUACAUGGAAAUGACGAAGACUCGGUCUCUUCUCUGACCACAACUCAUAAGGAGUUUUGGGCACCGACUUACUAGGUACCUGAUUCAAAAUGUAAGCUGCAAUUCUUAAGGUUUCACCCCACAGAAAAUCUAGUAAGGUGGAGUUACUCAGCAUACACCGCACCAUGUCAAGAAGGGUACGAUUUCUCCUUUCUGCAAUUCCAUUAUGUUCAGGAGUCCCGGGCAUUGUAUACUGGGCUUCUAUUCCAUAUUCCUGAAGAAAUCGAGCAAAAGGUCCAGGAUUACGCCCAGUUUCAUCAUAUCGCCCAUAGUACUCACCACCUCUGUCUAAUCUUACUACUUUAAUUUUCUUGCCCUUUUGGAGUUCAACAUUAGCCUUAAAGGCUUGAAACACAGAUAAAGAUUCAGACUUUUCAGCAAGAAGUUCAACAUGACCAUAACGAGAAAAGUCAUCGAUGAACGUGAUGAAGUACUUAUAACCUCCAAUAGCAAUAGGAGUAAAUGGCCCACAGAUGUCUGUAUGUACCAACUCCAGCACCUGUUGACUCCUCUGAGUUCUCUCUUUUCUGGUUUUGGCAGUAAGUUUGCCUUUGAUACAAUCAACACAAGUGCCAAAAUCAGAGAAAUCUAAAUUAUGUAGAAUGUCAUCUUUAAUGAGCCUCUCCAUCCUCUGUUUAGAAAUGUGACCUAACUGUUUAUGCCACAACAUAGAGGAAUUUUCAUCAACCCUGGCACGAUUAGAGCUAACAACAUGCACAACAUGAGCAUUGGAUGAUGAUUCAACAGCACGAGAAAAUAAAUCAAUCAUAUAUAAGCCAUCAUAUAGAGUGCCAGAACCAACUAACUCUGAAUUGCGGAAUAAGUAAACUUUUCUAUCACCAAAAUGAAAAGUAUAGCCACAUCUAUCCAAAAUAGAUACAGAUAUCAAGUUUCUCCUAAUAGAAGGAAUAUAAGCCGUAUCUAACAGAUCCAAAAAAUAGCCUGUGGCUAGAUGUAGUCUGACAACUCCUAUGCUUUCAACUUUGGCUGUCACUACAUUGCCCAUGUGAACUAUUAACUCCCCUUCAUUGGGCUCCCUCCUGCUUCUGAAUUCCUGUAAGGAAUUCGUUAUAUUAAUGGUUGCACCAGUAUCCAACCACCAAGUAUCAGAAGGAACAUAAACUAAAUUAGAUUCAAAGCCUACAAAAGCUACAGGAAUACCUUUCUUUUCCAACCAUGCUUUGAAUCCUCUGCAUUCAGCUUUCUUGUGCCCAGGUUUCUUACAAAAGUGGCACUUUCCCUUAAAGCUCUCAGAGGUGGAACCAGAAAUGGUAGAAGAAUUACCACGUGAAGUUUUCUUGCCAAAUUUUUUCUUCUUGAAAAACUUAUUGCUGCCCUUUAAAGAGCCUUUCUUCACACUUCCACUCUCUUGAGUAGUUGCCACCAUGACAGUGUGAGAUUUCCCCUUCUUCAAUGAUUCCUCUUCUUGAACCACAUAAGCAGUCAACUCAGUGAUAUUCCAAGUGUCUCUCUGAGUAUUGUAUUGGCUUCUCAAAUUGCCAAAUUGUGGUGGAAGAGAUUCAAGGAUUUGGAAGACCAGGUAGUCAUCAGGCAGAGUGACAUCCAUGUCCUUUAACUUCUUAUGGUAACUAGUCAUCUUAAGGAUGUGCUCUCUGACCCCAGAAACACCAUCAUACUGGGUAUUAGCAAGCAGCCUCAGAUAGUUACCCUUUUCUGCCUUAUCUACCUUCUUAAAAGUUCUUCCAACAGCUGCCAAGUAAUCUUUGGCCUUAUCACAUGCAGGGAUGCUAUCUCUAGUUGUUCUAUCAAUAGUGUAUUUCAUUGUAUCCAGACAGUGUCUAUUGGAUUCAUCCCAAGCUGCCCACUCUGCUUUUUCAGCAGUAGUGCUCUUAUCUGUGGGCUUGGCUGGUUCAUCAACUCUUAAUGCCAAGUCUCUAUUCAAUGUAGACAGAUAAAACAAAAUGGACUCACGCCAGUCCUCAAAAUUUGUCCCAGUUAAAUUCUUGAGGGAGGCUACUUGGAGAAAGGAGAGAAUAUCUAGAGCUGAGGAAGCAAUAACAAAAGAAUUAUCAUGCUAUAAUUAAUUACUCCUCAUUUUAAGUUUCUCCAAAAGCAACACAAUAUGUUAGGCAUCCUUUAACAAUAUAGGAGUGCACUAACCUAAAGAUAAAGCAGACAAGUUGAAUAUAACACCAACAUUGACCUAUUACCGACAGGGUAAUGAAGCCACUCAGUAGAAAAUACUCAACAAAUCUCUUUAUCUUCCCAAGUAUCCUACCAAGUAGUGAUUUGCCGACAGGGCAGUAUCAUCACCCGUAUGGAUCUUAGUAAUAACAAUAAUAAUUCAUCGCUAAAUUCAUAAUCAAUAAUGACAAAUGGGCAUCUAAUUGCAAAACACCAAAUAAUUUAUCAUGAUUGGCCCUACAAACUCACUCUAAAUUGUAGUUUCGCAUCAUAUAUAUAUUUCAUACAUUAACAAAAUUGAGGCUAAAUAAACUUUGUCAAAAUGUAAUUAAAGUUUCCACCAAGAUAUUCAAUCAAAUAAAAUAUCUACAUGCCUCAAUACAAUAUAUGAAUAUUAUGCCCAUGCAAUUCAACAAUGAUGGAUUAUUCUUAAAUUUAAAAUUCUGAAAAAAUCGCCAAAAUUUAACGGAUUUUGGACUAAACUGCCGAAUUUUCAGAAUUAUGAUUACUGUUUUAAAUAUUAAAAAUAUUGGCCCAAACUGUAAAUAAAAUAAAAUAAAAUGUUGGGCCAUAAUAUAAUUUACCAAAAUUUAAGGGACCAAACUGAUCUUUCACAAAGUUGACCCUCGGUCAAGGACCAUUUCGAAAAAUUUGCAAAUAUUUUCGGCUAUAGUGACAUUUCAUAAAGUUUAGGGAUCCAAACAAAAUUGUCCCACAAUGUCAUCUUCAACCUCGGGAUGUCUCAACAGUGUAGCUACAGUAACCUCAUUCAUACCAUCCCAAUUUUGGCCACCAAAAAUUACGAAAAAAUUAUAUCUUUACUCCAAAAUCAUCACUCAUGCAUUAUUUAACAACGAUUUGAUCACAUAUGCCCAAAUUCGAACAAUCCGAAAAAUCCGAAAUUAAAGGAAAAAUUCCAUGAGUGAGAUUUCACCAACAAAACAACUAUGGUUUACAAGAAAAUGCAUAACCAUAAGCUCUGAUACCAAUUGAUGAAACAAAAACAAACGUUAUGCCUGUAAUCGUGCAUUUCCAAAUAAACACACAUUUUAGGUAAUUUCGAAAUUUACCACGAUCUCCCAUGAAUCCGAACUUGCAGCUUGUUAUGGAGCUUCAACAGAGUUGCUGCUACUUUGGUCUAGCUUCUGAAUUCCGCUUUCUUUUCCUUAGCUCAAGAUCGCGGCUUCUCUCAGCAAUUUACUGUGCACACACACGGGAGACAAGCGAGAGAGAGAGGUGCACUGCACUCAUGCCACUGAUUUUUUGAACAGUAAACUUCCAAUAGGCUGAAGUUACUUAAAUACGACGGUUGAGCGCAGGGACCCCUCAUGUGUUAGUCUAAAAUUGCCCAUCCCAUUAUGGGCGAAAAUAACACAAUUAAGGAUAUACUUGUCCAUAAUAUACUACUGUACAGGGUAUGUCAAAAUUAGACUCAUUAACACCAUAUUUGAUCACUUAAUAAAUGAGUCUGUCAAAAUUGCUCAACAAUAUUUGACUGUAGUCACGUAUUAAUUCGGUAAAAUAUAAAAAAAUACUGAGAAUGAUUUAUGUCAGUCCACAUAAUGUGAGAAAUAAAUCUAACAUGUUAUAGGUCCAUCAGCACUGACAUGUUUUGUGCUAUAGCAAGAGUACAUAGCCUCCACCUCCGUCUGAAACUUCCUUAACAUUUCAUUUGUGUACAGUUUUGAGAGUUGAAAUUCAUAGUAACAUCUUGGUUUCUGGAUACAACUUGAAUUUCUUGAAUCCAUAUCUGCCAAGGCUUCUAGUUGAUAAUUCGCCUGCAGUGCUUGAUCAUACUUGUCUAAGUAUUCUUUCAAAGGAGUAUUCUUAUCAAGAUAUCUUUCAAAGUAUGAAGUAGAAACCUCACUCUGCAGGAAUGAAAACACUCCUGAUAAAAAUGUUUCCUUCAAAUAAACAGGAGCCCAACUUUUACGAUCCUCAUAUAAACCUCACUCUGCAGGAAUGAAAACACUACAAUUUUUUUUGUGAUAAUUUUUUUUUCUACACUUGCAUGUGAAUUACUUUUCUUUAAGCUCCUGAAUAUUUAAGACGGAUCAUGGAAGAGAUGAGAGUUUAAUAAGAUGAUCAAAAUAUGUAACAAAAAAAUUUUAGAAAUGAAAAAUAUGUUAGAGUCAAAGCAAAACUCUGAAAAUAGAGAUAUUCAUUAAUUUAGAAGAGAUGCAAGCAAAAGAUAUUCCAAAAAAAAAAAGCAAUAUGCCCCUUUGGAGGGCAAACUUGUCAGUUUCAAAAAAGUACAUGCUUUGGAUUGAUAGUCGUAGGAUAUUUGUUUUGUCACUGUGUAUUAGUUGGAGAAGUCAAGCCUUGUGAAGAAUGUUAUGAAAGAGCAAAGGAUAUUCUUGAUAGAGCUCUAUUUGAUUAUGUAUUCAGUGAAUGGAUGUGUUGUUGGAAGAUAUGUGAGUGCAUUAGUUGAUUUGUGUCUGUCAAUGUGCUUUUAAUGAUUUUUCCACUUGUUUGUUGUAAAAGAUGAUUGUAAAUUGAAAUGAACUUGAUGUUGUAAAAUAUUUUGCUUAGUGGAAUUUCACCUAAGUAUUCAUUUUUUAUUAAACCUCGUUAACACAAUUCUUAAUUAAUGGUGUGUUUACUUCAUGAAAUAGGGAAUGAAAAUGGAGAAAUGAAAAUGAAACUCAUGUUUAUUUGGCAAAAUGUAAUUUGAGAAUGAGAAUAAAAUGUAUGGGUCCCAUAUAAUUUGAGAAUAAGGAAUGAGAAUCUCAUUCUCAUGGAAGGUUGGGAAUGAAAAUAAGAGAAUGAGAAUAGAAUAUAUAUUUACUUUUAUAUCUUUCUACUUUUUUCAUAUUUCCCAAAUUACCUUCAUUCAAAUCACAAUUAAUUUAUUAUUUUAAAUGUCAUUAAUAAUAAUUAUUAUUAUUAUCAUUAUUUUUAAAUUUUAUUAACUUUAUUAUUUUAGUUAUUAUUAAUUAUUUUUAUUAAUAUUAUCAUUAUUAACAAUAAAAAUAAUAAUUAAUGUAUCAUUAUUAACAAUAUUAUCAUUAUUGUUGUUGUUGUUGUUGUUAUUAUUUUUAUUAAUAAUAAUAAUAAUAAUAAUAAUAAUAAUAAUAAUAAUAAUAAAAAUAACAAUAAUUAAUAUUAACUAAAAUAAUAAAGUUAAUAAAAUUUAAAAAUAAUAAUAAUGCAAUUUUCAUUAUCUAGAUACAUGUAUAAAUAUUAUUAUAAAAAUAAUAUUAAUUAAAAUAAUAAUAAUAAAUGUUAAUAAUGAUAAUACUAAUAAAAAUAAUAUUAAUAGUAAUUAAUAAUAACUAAAAUAAUAAAGCUAAUAAAAUAUAAUAAUAAUAAUAUUAAUAAUAAUAAUAAAUGUUAAUAAUGAUAAUAUCAAUAAAAAUAAUAAUAACAAUAAUUAAUAGUAACUAAAAUAAUAAAGUUAAUAAAUUUUAAUAAUAAUAAUAAUAAAUGUUAAUAAUGAUAACAUUAAUAAAAAUAAUAAAUUUUAAUAAUGAUAACAUUAAUAAAAAUAAUAAUAACUAAAAUAACAAAGUUAAUAAAAUUUAAUAAUAAUAAUAAAUGUUAAUAAUGAUUACAUUAAUAAAAAUAAUAAUAACUAAAAUAAUAAAGUUAAUACAAUUUAAUAAUAAUAAUAAUAAUUGUUAAUAAUGAUAAUAUUAAUAAAAAUAACAAUAACAAUAAUUAAUAACAACUAAAAUAAUAAAGUUAAUAAAAUUUAAUAAUAAUAAUAAAUGUUAAUAAUGAUAAUAUUAAUAAAAAUAAUAUUAACAAUAAUUAAUAUAACUAAAAUAAUAAGUUAAUAAAAUUUAAUAAUAAUAAUAAUAAUAAUAUAGUUAAUAAUGAUUGUUAACUUUAUUAUUUUAGUUAUUAUUAAUUAUUUUUAAUAUUAUUUUUAUAAUAAUAAUAAUAAUAAUAAUAAUAAUAAUAAUAAUAAUAAUAAUAAUAAUAAUAAUAAUAAUAAUAACAAUAACAAUAACAAUAACAACAACAACAACAACAACAACAACAAUACACGACUUGGAUUAGGAUAGAAGGAAACUUAAAUGCUAGAGAAAAAGAUAGCUAUAUCCCAAGAUUUAAAAAAAUAGUCAUGUAGAUUUUUAAGAUUUCAGUAAGCGAUUGAAAUUUUCUUUUGACAAAUAAUAUCCUUUAUCUCUAUUAACAAAAAACAAAGACUCAAAUAUUUUAUAAUAAAUAAAAAUAUAAUAUUAAAAUAUAUGCAAUAAUAUAGACAUUUUAAAUAAUUUCAAUCCAAAAAAAUAGUUAUUUUUUACAAUCUAUUAAACAUAUUUUAUUGAAUUAAUAUAAGUUUUCUAUAAAAUAGGAACAUAAUAUUAAAUAAAUUUACAAAAAUUUAAAGAAUUUUGAAUGUAAAAUAAUUUUAAUAUAUUAAUACGUGAGAUUUUUUAUUAUUGUAAAAAUUAUUUAACCCAAAUCUUUUUUAAAAUCUUUACAAUAAGUAUAAAUAUGUUAUUUACAUUCAAAAAUAUUUAAAUAUUAUUAACCUACAAUUAUAUUUGCAUUUAUUAGAAAUUUUUAUAGUCAAAUAUUUUGCACUUCUACAUUAUUAGAAUUAUUGCACACAAAGAAAGAAACAUAUAAGCUUUAUAGCUUUAUAAAUUUUUUUUCUUUUACAUUUGGAAACAGAGAUGAUGAUUGAUUAUAAGGAUGAAAAAAAGGACAAAAAAUAUUAAUGAUUAACGAAAUCUCUAUGCAAAUUAAUUUUAGUAGGAAAAGAGUGAGAUAAAUGAUUUCUUUUACAGCUAGAAACAGAGAUGAUGAUUAUUAUAAGGUUAAAAAAAAAGAUAAAGAAUAUUAAUUAUUAAUGGAAUCUAUAUGCAAAUUGAUUUUAGUAGGAAAAAAGUGAGUUAAAUGAUUUAGACAUUCAUAGUGUGUUUAUUUUUUGGAUUGAUGAAUAAGAAUUAUUGACAACGCUAACUUCAUCUUCAUUGUUCGUUAUCCAACAACAACAAUUGUCGCCGAUAAUGAUACCUCCAAUGAUGAUGAUGAUUUUAUUAUUAUUAUUAUUAUUAUUAUGGAUAAAAAAUAUUUUAAUUAAUUAAUAUAUUAAUGUUAAUAUUAUUAUUAUUAAGAUUAAUAAUAAUUACUAAUAAUAAUAAAAUUUUGAAUAAAAAUAAUCACAAUAAUUAAAAUAAAAAUUAAUAAUUAUGACAAUAGUUAAUUAAUGUCUUUUUAGUAAUUUGUAAUAAUGUAACUCAUUUUGAUUUUGAUUGUUAUAAUUCAAGUAAACAAAUUAUUAUGAUUCAUAUUCUCCAUUCUCAUUUCAGCUCACUUUGAUUUCAAUUCAUUUUGAUUUCUGUUUAAUAAACGCGCCAUUAGUGAUAUAGUAAUAUUUCAUAUAGAGAAAAGUAAAAACUAUACCUAAGGUUAAGGGAAAUGACUUCAAACCUCUCUUUUGACCAUAAUACAUUUUGUCCUAAAUUUAAAGACUUUGAAUCUAAAAUUUUACAAUAAAUAAAAAUAAAUUCCUAAAAUAAAUAUACUAUCAAUAUUUAAAAUAUGUUUUAAUAUUUUAUAAUCUAUCAGACACAUUUUAUUAAAUUAAAGUAAAUUUUAUAAUAAAUACAAACGUACUAUUAAAAUGAAUAUAUAAAAAAUUUAGAGUAUGUUGAAUACUAUAUAUGCGUAAGACAUAUUUUAUUAAUUUAAAAGCUAUUUUACUUUAAAAAAUUAUUUAUGAUAAAUUAAUAAUUACAUUUUAAAAUUAUUUCAAAAUUUAAAUUUUUUUAAUAUUAUUAAUCUUUUGGAUAGAUUAAAUUGUUUUAAAAUGCCUUAAUUGUUUUUACUUUUAACGUUACUAGCCUUUCUUAUAUUUUAGGGAAAUUUACAAAAAUAAUCAUAAAACUUUUUCUAUUUUCACAAUUAACCCUCUAAACUUUUUUCUAUCAACAUUAGCCAAACACACACUUUUUUUCUUAAAUUACCCUUGUGUUUGCUAACCAACCUGUCGCACAUAGUUUAGUGCGAUAGGCACCUGUCGCACGAAGUUAUGUGCGACAGGCACCUGUCGCACCAAGCUAUAAAUACCCAAAAAGUAAAGUUUUUGACCAAAGCCCCGUUGUCACGGCAAGGUCAAUGGAUCAGAAGCGGGGAUCCUUGCACUGGAGCUGCCAUCGAUGAUUCCAUUGUCUUCGAUAACCCCGAUUACAAUCCCUUCAUAAAAUGUGACUGCUCUUCCCAAAAUGGCACUGUGUGCCACAUUACCUAGUUGUAAAUUUUUUUUUUUUAAUGGGGGUACACUUGCAAGAAUUGUUUGAUCAUAUCUGUAUAUCUUUCUUUUCAUGCUUGCUUAUUAUUGUUUUUUCUUUCUUUUUGAAACUUUCGUUUAUAGGAAAGUUUAUGCGCUGAAUGUGAUUGGUGUGAUACCAGAUGAACUAUGGAAUCUGACUUCCCUCUCCAAUCUGUAUGUUUUCAUUUUUUUUCCCUUAAGUGCAGACAUCACAUAUUUUAAAAUGCAAAUUCGAGAGUAAUAUUGAUUCGCAUGGCUGACCUUGAAUAACUUGACAAUUUUCCACCUUGUAACAGGAACCUGGGCCAGAAUAUUGGUGGGAGAAUAGGAAAUAGAAAUUUAGGGUUUUUGACCUAACCUUUAAUUUCAACUUUUGACUCCAGGAAGCCGCCAGCGACAAGUGAAUAAGUUGGGAGUGAAUUCGGCGAGGAGAGAGAGAGAGAGAGGAGAGAGAGGAAGAGGAGGAAGGAGAGGGAGAGUUAUGGGAGGGGUAUUUUCGGUACUAGAGAUUAUUAUUGGCUAAUGUUGAUAGAAAAAAAAUUGAGAGGUUAGUUGUGAAAAUAACAAAUUUUUUUAGGUUAUUUGUGUAAAUUUUCCUAUAUUUUAUUGCAAGUUAAUGCUAACAAGAAAAAGCUAGAUCAUAUUCCACAAAAGCAAAAGUGACAAAACAACCAACUGGAUUCUUUUAUUAAUCUACAAAUUAAAAUGGACUUUUUUUUUAUAAACUACGUAUGAAAGUGGAAUCUUUUGAAUAUAAGUGGGGUAGGCUUCCUUUCAAAAAAAGAAAGAAAGUGGGGUAGGCUCUUUUAUUAAAGAUAAGGAUUGAGUAGUCAAGACGAUUAGGGUCUUUUAUUAAACUACAAAUUUUAUAGUUUUAUAAAUUGGUGGCCCUUUGAAAAUUUAACUACAAGUCUGCAAGUACCAAUCAGAGAAAAGUCAUCAUUCACAAUCUUCCAAGAGAAACAGGGGAUAUACAAAGAUUAAGACAUGUGCAUUCCCUUUCAUGUUCUUAAUAAUUGAAGGCAACUUGUUCAUUACAUGCAUACUUUUCAAAUGUGGAGCCCCAGCUAAUGUCGCUACUUUAAUUUGGAAUUAAAUUAGGGGAACAUUAUACGCUUACUUUUAUGUUUAUCUAAACUCCGUAAAUUUUAGAUAGAUUAUGGCGUAAAUAAGAAUAUAACAAUAACAAAAGAGUUAGAAAGCAUAGUAAAGAUCUUGCAGAAAUAUAAAUAUUAGUGCUCAAUUACAUAACAUAGAACAUCCGAAUUGAAUAGUGAUUAUCAGGACUGUGUUACUUGCACUCCCAUUUAUAGAAAAUCUUGGUUCUGUUCCAUUAAAGUUUUUAUCUUCAAAAUCUUGUAAAGUUUUAACAAUCACAAAAGGCUCAGCUUGCUUGAUCUAUAUUUGUAUGAUAUGAAUCCAAAUUUAUAGAAAAUCUUACUUUUUUUACUAUUAUUUUUUUUUAAAUUUAAAAUUAUUAUUCUAAUUUAUAAAUUUAUCUUUUUUUAAAAAAAAUAGAGGGCUUGAACCUAGCUAGCUCGUGCAUUUUUUCCUAAACUCUUAUGCAAGCCCUCAUGUGCGGUCCAAAACCCGUGAGAAUGAGCCCAGGCUUGCUCCGACUUUUUGGCCAUGGAUAAUGAUGAUGAUGAUGAUGAUUAUUAUUAUUAUUAUUAUUAUUAUUAUUAUUAAUGAUAAAAAGUAUUAUAAUUAAUUAAUAUAUUAUUGUUAAUAUUGUUAUUAAUAAUAAAAUUUUUUUUAAUAAAAAUAAUCACAAUACUUAAAAUACAAAUUCAUAAUUAUAACAAUAGUUAAUUAAAGUCUUUUUAGCAAUUUGUAAUAAUCUAACUCAUUAUAAUUUUGAUUAUUACAGUUUAAGUAAAUAACUUAUUAUGAUUCUUAUUCUUCAUUUACACUUCAGUUCAUUCUGAUUUCAAUUUAUUCUGUUUUCCGUUUAAUAAAUGCAGUAUUAGUGCUCUAGUAAUAUUUCAUAUAGAGAAAAGUAAAAGCUAUACCUAAGGUUGAGGGAAAAGACUUCAAAACUCUCUUUUGAUUAUAAAACCUUUUGUCUUAAUUAACUUAAAGAUUUUGAAUCUAAUAUUUUAUAAUAAAUAAAAAUAUAUUCCUAAAAUAAAUAUAAUAAUAUCUAUUUUAAAAUAAAUAUCAAUAUUUAAAAUAUGUUUUAAUAUUUUAUGAUCUAUCAAACAUAUUUUAUUAUAUUAAAGUAAAUUUUAUAAUAAAUACAAACAUAAUGAAUUUAUAAAACAUUUAAAGUAUUUUGAAUAUUAUAUAAAAUAAUUUUAAUAUAAUGCAUGAGAUAUAUUUUAUUAAUUUAAAAUGCUAUUUAACCUAAAGAUUUAUUUAAGAUAAAUUAAUAAUUAAAUUUUUUAAAUUAUUUCAAAUAUUAAAAAUUUGUAAUAUUAUUAGUCUAUUAGAUAAAUUAAAUUAUUUAUAUUAUUUUGUAUCUAUUAAAAAAAAUUUAAAGUCAAUCUUUUUAAUUACUAUUGGAAGGAUAUAAUGAUUAAAAAAAUCUUAGUAUUUUUUAUUAAAAAUUUAAAAAUUUACAUGACCAUUUCUAUAAAUAUUUAGGUCUUGUUUGGUAUGUCAGAUUGGAUUGAAUUGGAUCUGAUCGGAUUAGAUAAGAUAGGAUUUGAUUGGAUAAUACUGGAUUAUAUAUAAUAUUAUGUUGUGUUUAUUAUGCCAUGAGAUUAGCUAGUAACUAAUAAUAUGUCUUAUAUAUUAAUUUAUUAAAAUCAUCGUAGAUUUACUUUAAAAUGACAUAUAAUAUAAUAUAACUUAAAUCAAUAAUUAUUGGUAAAUUUAUAAAAAAAAAAUACAAAAUCUUCCCUUAAGUUUUUUUUAAUAUUUAACAUGUUAUAAUUUCUAAUCCCAUGAAUAGUAGAGGAUAAAGUUUUAUCUUAGAAAAAGUAAUCCCAAGGGUCCCAUUGGGAUGAAAUUUUACCUUUACUGGAAUUAAGUGGUGGGCCCAUUAUUGUUACCUUUACUUUUUUUACACCAAACAUGAUAUAAAGAUUAUUUUACACUAAAAUUAUCCAAUCCCAUGAUAUAUAACUAGGGAUGGCAAAAAUUCCCAUGGGGACGGGUACCCUCGGGGAUUUUUCCCAUUCGGGGAGGGUAUGGGGAUAAUUUCAUAUCCAAUUUCUUAUUCGGGGAGGGGAUGGAGAAAUUUUUUUACCCAAUUUCUUAUUCGGGGAGGGGACGGGGAUGAGGUGGAAUCCCCAUCCCCUACCCAUUUCCCCAUUUUAAUUUUUAAUUUUAUUUUUUAAAAUUACUAGUAAAUAAAUUAUAAAAUUUAAAUUAUAAAAUUAUAAAUAUUGGUAAAAAUAAAAAAAUAUCAAAAUAUUUAUAUUAUUAAACUUUUGGGCCUAAUUAACUAAUUAAAGUCCUAAAUUUUUAUUUAGGAAAUUAAAAAGACCGAGUAGAUUCUAUUAGCCCAAAAUUUUUUUAAUUUUAAUAUUCUUUAAAUAUUUUAAACUUAAAUCUAUUUUUUAUUUAUUUUUAGAUGUUAUAAUUGCCCACAGCGAAUCACAAUUUUAAUAUCUAAUAUAAUCUAAUAUAAUAUUUGCUCUUGAUUUGCUCCGAUUUAACUAUUGUGUUGUAAAGGGAAUAGUCCACAUUUAUAAAGUGCCCACGCCACCAUUGAAAAAGUUAAUUUUGAAUCUAAAUUCGAUUUUAUUUGUAACAAAUUUGUAUUAGACUAUUAAUUUGUUCAUGAUAGUUUGUAAAAGAAGUUUGUAUCCCUUGCAUGCAACGUUACUUACUAAUUUAAUGUAUGUGACUUUUGUAAUGGAUAUUAAUGUAAGAUAUAUUUCGAACUUUACUUUUAUUUGAAUUUUUUAUUUUAAUAUGAUUAACUCAAAAUCGAAAACAAAAAAAAAUGUAUUAGUUAUUCGGGGAUCGGGGACCAUCGGGGAUCCCCUGUUAUUAUUGGGGGAGGGGAUAAAGAUUCUCUCAAGUAAUUCUGACGGGGACGGGAAGGGGACGAGGACAUACACAAAAUAUCGGGGAUGGAUACAGAGAGAUUGGUCCCCUCCCCUCCCCUCCCCAUUGCCAUCCCUAUAUAUAACUAAAACCAAACAGUCACUUAGGGUAUAUAUGAGCCACGGUGGAGAAGCUUUAUUUAAUAUUAUUGAUUUAAAUAAUAUCUCAUUAAAAAUGUACUGAGAAGAAAUUUCGGUGGGUAUUUUAGUCUUUUCAGCAAUCACAUGAUCAGCCUUUGGCCUUGAAACGUCGGUCAGAAAUAGAAUGAUUUAUUCUAACAAGAAAAAACUAGGUAAUAUUCCACAAAAGCAAAAGUGACAAAACAACCAGCUGAAUUCUUUUAGUAAACUACAAAUUAAAAUAGAUUUUUUCGAUAAACUACAAAUUAAAGUGGAUUCUUUUGAAUGCAAGUGGGACAGACGAUUAGGCUAAAAAUUAGUCAAGAAUCUAAUAGUCUUUUUCAAAUUCUUGUUUUAUUAUUUUUCAAAACCAGUUUUUGGUAAUUACAAUCGGGUCAUUAAUCAUUAUUCAGAGUUAUUGUUUCCUUCAAAAGUUAGUGGCUCAUGUUUGCAAGUGUGAAUGUGCGAUGCUCUUUUUCCAAAGCGCAAUGACAGUGGGUCCCGAAUCGGACGUCCCUAAAUCUUUUUAAAAUUUUUGCCGUAUAACGAACAGAGGUCAUUACUAAAAUUUCUCUUCCACAGCCUACAGCAGCUUCAGUUUAUCAAACUCAAUCAAUUUUCUUUCUUAACAAAAUUCCAAAGAUGUGUAGCAUUUUUCAGAUCACAUGCGAUGGUGCUCUUUUCAAUCGUUGCUUGGAUUGCUUUCUUGGAAAAGCAGCAUACAUACGUAACCUCCAAGAUAAUCUUGUAGCCUUGGAGACUGAAUUGGGAAAUCUAAUCGCAAUAAAGAACGAUCUGAUGAGGAGGGUUGACGAUGAUGAACGGAAACAAAUGAUAAGGCUGGAAAGAGUGCAACGGUGGAUUUCGAGGGUGGAUGCUGUUAAAACUGAAGCUGAUCAAUUUAUAGGAGACCGCUCUCAAGAAAUUGAAAAAUUAUGUGUUGGAGGCUACUGUUCCAAGAACUGCAGGUCAAGCUACAAGUUCGGAAAACAAGUGGCUAAAAAGCUACAAGAUGUGAAGACUUUAAUCGCCGAGGGAGUUUUUGAGGCGGUGGCUACUGAGGCGGUGCCCGAGAGAGCUCCGGAACCUGUAGCAGAUAAAAGACCCAUUGAGCCAACAAUAGUAGGCUUGCAAUCACAGCUUGAACAAGUUUGGAGAUGUCUUGUAGAAGAAUCAGUGGGAAUCAUUGGCCUAUAUGGUAUGGGCGGUGUUGGUAAAACCACUCUAUUGACCCGUAUCAACAAUAAAUUUCUUGAGAGUCAAAACAACUUUGAUUGUGUAAUUUGGGUCGUAGUUUCAAAAGACCUGCGACUUGAAAAAAUUCAAGAAGAUAUUGGGAAGAAGAUAGGUCUAUCUGAUGAUUCAUGGAAGAAUAAAAGUUUUGAAGAGAAAGCUGUGGACAUCCUGCGGAGAUUAGGAGAGAAGAGAUUUGUAUUGUUGUUAGAUGAUUUAUGGGAGCGGGUUGAUUUAACAGAAGUGGGCGUUCCACUUCCCAGCCCACAAAAUACUACAUCAAAAGUCGUAUUCACGACCCGUUUCAUUGAUGUUUGUGGUAGCAUGGAAAGUCACAGGAAGUUUAAAGUGGCAUGCUUAUCAGAAGAGGAUGCUUGGGAGCUGUUUCGAGAAAAAGUAGGGCAAGAAACUCUUGAGAGUGAUCAUGAGAUCGUUGAGCUAGCCCAAACUGUGGCCAAAGAGUGUGAUGGUUUGCCACUCGCACUUAUUACUAUUGGUCGAGCUAUGGCCUACAGAAAGAAAGCGGAGCAGUGGAGACGUGCAAUUGAAAUAUUAAGAAGAUCAGCUUCAGAGUUUGCAGAUUUGGGAGAAAAGGUGUACUCUCUUUUAAAAUUCAGCUAUGAUAGUUUGCAGAAUGAUACGGUUAGAUCUUGUUUCUUGUAUUGUUGUUUAUAUCCUGAAGAUUAUGGCAUUCUUAAAUGGGACUUGAUUGAUUGUUGGAUUGGUGAGGAAUUUUUUGGGGAAUCUGACAGGUUUGGUGCAGAAAACCGAGGAUAUGACAUUUUGGACACUCUUGUUCGUGCAUGUUUAUUAGAAGAGGUGGAAGAUGAUAAAGUAAAAAUGCAUGACGUUAUUCGUGAUAUGGCUCGAUGGAUAGCUUGUGAAAUUGAGAAGGAGAAGAGAAACUUUUUGGUUUGUGCAGGUGCUGGAUUAAAAGAGUCACCGGAUGUUAAAGGAUGGGAAAAUGUGAGAAGAUUGUCAUUGAUGCAAAACCAAAUUAAAACUCUGUCAGAGGUUCCCACAUGCCCUCAUCUCCAUACUUUAUUUCUUGCCUCUAAUAUGGAGUUGGAGAUGAUCGCGGAUGGCUUCUUCCAAUUUAUGCCUUCUCUCAAAGUUUUGAAGAUGUCACGCUGUGGGCAAUUCGAAGGUUUUCAGUUACCUAUUGGGAUGUCAGAGUUGGGUUCGUCACUAGAACUUCUUGAUAUUUCAUAUACCACCAUAACAGAGUUACCAGAAGAGUUAAAGUUGUUGGUAAAUCUGAAAUGUUUGAAUUUGAGUUGGACAUCUAGGUUAAAUAAAAUUCCACGGCAACUAAUAUCAAAUUCUUCAAGGUUAGGUGUGUUGAGAAUGUUUGCUACUGGCUAUGGAUAUUUUCAUGAAGCACCAGAAGACAGCGUUUUAUUUGGUGGGGGUGAAGUUUUGAUACAGGAAUUGCUCGGUUUGAAAUAUUUAGAGGUAUUGGAGUUGACCUUGGGAAGUUAUCAUGCUCUCCAAAUUCUUUUGAGCUCAAAUAAGUUAAAAAGUUGUAUUCGAUCUCUUUUCCUACAGUUGACCGGAGAUACAGCGUUAAUUAUUGAUGCUACGGCUUUCGCAGAUCUAAAACACCUCAAUGAAUUAUAUAUUUCUGAAGGUAUUGAGUUGGAAGAAUUGAAGAUUGAUUAUAUGGAGAUAGUACAAAAAAGGCGGGAACCUUUUGUUUUCCGCAGCCUUCACCGUGUUACUAUGGAGGUGUGUUUUGAAUUGAAAGAUGUGACAUUCCUCGUUUUUGCUCCAAACCUCAAGUCUCUUUCGCUAUGGAAUUGCCAUGCUAUGGAAGAAAUAAUCAGCGUCGGAAAAUUUUCUGAGACUCCUGAGAUGAUGGGACAUAUAAGCCCUUUUGAAAAUCUCCAAACUCUUGAUCUAUCAGAUUUGCCAGCUUUGAAUAGCAUCUACUGGAAGCCAUUGCCUUUCACUCAUCUGAAAGAAAUGGCGGUAAGUGGGUGUGAUCAGCUUGAAAAGCUUCCACUCGAUUCCAACAGUGCAAAGGAGCGUAAAUUUGUUAUUCGUGGAGAAGAAGACUGGUGGAACCGACUUCAAUGGGAGGAUGAAGCCACUCAAAUUGCUUUUCGUUCCUGUUUCCAACCUCGUUCCUGAGCGGUGGUCGCAAAAUUUGAUUUCUGGUGAGUGCGUUUGUCUUUUAAAAGAAGAAUUUAAAAGAAAUUUAUUCUUGUCGUUUUCUUCUCUGUUUUUAUUUCAGUUUCUCUCUCUCUCUCUCUCUGUCUUCUGCAAAUCACAAUUAAAUGUUGAAUUAAUGGAAUUAAUGCUUCAUAAAUUUGCCGGCAAAUUUAUAUCUUCUUAGCGAUUUAAUUUCCUGUCAAAAGACGAACGAGAAGAAUUGAUGCUCUGGUUUUUGACUUUUUGUUGUCAAAUUUUACUCUGUUUUUUCAAAUUGAUGCUUCAAUAUUUGAAUCAAAUUAAUGCUCACGUAAAUUUGUCUAGUUGCCGUAAAAGAUAUAAUUAGACUGAAAUACACACUUUUAGAAUCAAUAGAAUUAAACAGAGAAAACAUUAAGUAUAAUAGCCAUCUUCACAUAAAACACAUGAUUAACAUUAAGUUAAAAUUUUGAAGUUUUGAUUUUCUAUGGUCAAUCAUACCCUUUAUAAUUUCUUCUGUUCUAACCACAAUAAAAUUUUUGGUUCCAGGAUUUUUAUUUGGGGUAUUAAUAAUAGUCCACCAAAAGAGUGAACAGUUGGAUGCUGCUCUAAGGGUCUCUAAUCAAUAGCUGGAAGCAAUUGAGAAGGCGGUCGCUACUGUGUACAAAGCCAUGCAGUAUUUGUUAUUCAUCUUAGUAAUUAUGAAGCUUUGGUAAAAUUUUCAUGAUUUUGUAUGAAUAUCGUUGUUCCAUUGAGUUGUAUAUGAAUUCAAAUGUAAAAUAUUCUUUGGUUUUCAAUUUUGAAUUCAAUUUCUUUUUCUUAAGCAUGUUGUGCAGAAAUGAUUUCUAUUAAAUCAUUUUUGAUAAAUUAUUUAAAUUAAACAACUGGAAUAAGAACUGUAAGGAUUUAUCGUAAGCAGACUAAUAUGAUAAUUCUGAAACUAUCAUUUUUUUUUUCAAUUUGUUGCAGGGAAAGCCAAAUUUUGCGUUUUUCAGUUUUAUCUGAUAUGGAAUUUAUUUCAAUUUGUUAUUUUUAUGAAGAAAAAUUGAAAUUUUAUUAAAUAGGUGACAUAAUAAUAAAUGGAUGCUUGUAAAAAUUGAGAUUAUUGAUAUAAUUAAUAAAUAGAUUGGAUUGAAGUGAGUUUAAUUUUGAGAAGAUAAUAAGACGACGCGACACAACUACAACCAACCAGUCAACCCAAAUUGCCACCUUUUACUAUCUUCUUUGUGUUAUUUCUCUAAAACUUUAUGCCUUCUCUUACACUUUUAAAUCUUAAGUGUUUGAACUGGAGUACACAAAUUAUCUCUCUAUGAUUCCAAAACAACCAAUUUGUUACUUGGUAAAUCUUAAUCAAUGGGAGGAAGCAAUUGAGAAGGCGGCCGCUACUGUGUACAAAGCCAUGCAGUAUUUGCUAUUCAUCUUAAUAAUUGUUAAGCUUUGGUAAAAUUUUCAAAAUAAGUUGACAUAUUAUUUUGAGAUUUGGUUCAUGAUUUUGCAUGAAUAUCGUUGUUCCGUUUGAGUUGGAUGUGAAUUCAAACCUAAAUAUUCUUUGGUUUUCAAUUUUGAAUUCAAUUUCUUUUCCUCAAGCAUGUUAUGCAGAAAUGAUUUUUACGAAAUCAUUUUUGAUGAAUUAUUUAAAUUAAACAAUUGGAAUAAGAAUUGUAAUGAUUUAUCAUAAGCAUGCUAAUAUGAUAACUUGUUUUACGAACGAUUAGUUAAUCAAUUAAUAUUAAAUUGUAUAUUAGUCAAUUAGAUAUGUGUUAUAUUUGUCAUAUUCUAAAAAUUAUUUAUUUAUAUUUCAAAUAAAUUUGACCAGAGGUUACGUAGGUAAUACUACAUAAUUUCUAAAGGAAUGUAAAAAUUUAAAAUUUUAUUAAAUAGGUGACUCAACCAUAAAUGGAUUUCUGCAAGAAUUGAGAUUCUUGAGAUAAUUAUUACAUGGGGAAUUUUGGUUAGUUCAAUUUUGACAUGGUAAGAAGACGACACGGCGCAGAAAACCCAAAUUGCCACUUCUAGUGAUAGUAAUAAAAGAUACUUGUUUGAAAAGUAAUUAUAAACUAUCUUCUUUGUGUUAUUUCUCAAAACUUUUGUGGCACAAAUGUUACUUCCCUGGAGAAAAGUACGAAAUACCCCCUUUCACGUCGGCAGAAGCAAAGCAAAGCUAUGAGAGCAUCUCCAAAAGCCUAUAUAAAUUUUACUCUUCAAAUACCUAUUUGCUUACUUAUGUGGCAAAUAAAAGGGUGAAAAAAUAUGAUAUUCUCCAAAAGACUCUUCAAAUAGAAAAAAAGUUAAUAUUAUUUUAAUCAUAUAAUUAGUUUUUUAAAGGAAAAGUCAAUAGCAAUUAAAGCACUCCUCUCUCUUUCUUCAAUAAAAAAUAAUAAAAUAUAAAUUGAAGAGGGAGAAAUUAACUCUCCAAAUUUGAAGAGAGAGAAUUAAUUCUUAUUUGAAGAAUCUUAAUUGAAGUAUCUUUUGGAGCUUUAAAUAUUGAUGUGGCUCUUCAAAUAAGUAAUAAAAUCUUAUUUGAAGAGCCUUUUGGUGAUGCUCUGAGCUAUCUCUGUAUACUUGAAAUGCCAUUGCUAAACGAUUCUCGAUGAUUGGUGCCACUAGGCGAAGUGUUGUCGCCGAUUUGCAUGAUUUAUUAGUUGUCCAGAUGCCAGAGAAACCAUGGUGGCAUUGAAGUUGCCCAGAUGGUUAGUUUUCUGAUCAUUUUUUUAUUCAAUUAUUCAUUUUUUUAGAAAAAUGUAAGAAAUAUGUAGAAAUGUUGACAGCUACGAUUUUGAAACUUUGCCUAAAAUUGUUAUCAUCACUUAUUUAAAGAGAAAUCCUAGAAACAUGACAUGAUUAGCAGCCUAAUUCAAAAUUAGACGUGAUUACAACAAGAGAAAAGUGGAGAGAACUUGAUAGUCGAGUGCAUUUAGAAUUUAAUUUUUCUUUUAGCUGCCAAUCAUUAAAUUUUUUAUUUCAGAAAAUUAUACCUAGAAUAUUUCAAGGAUAUACUAUGAAGAUUAUGAAGGUUUGAUUACAUGUCAUUAUCAAUUGCCCCAAUCAUUUGUAGUAAAUUAAUUGAUCAUUUUGAUGCAAAUGAUUCCCUACUAAAAAAUUCAAGUCAAAGCGGAAUUGCAUAGUAGUUAGUCGCGCUUGCACUUCAAAUUAAGUAUUGUAUUUUCUGCCUGGUUUGGUUGAUUAAAGUGUGUGCAUUUGCUUUUGAACGUUGUAGUAUAGAAAUCGAAACAUUUGUUUUUCGCUAAGCCCAGAAGCAAAGUUCUUUGUACUGUACUCAUCACUUCUCUUCGUUCUCUUUGUUGAAAUUUUAUCCAAACAGAGGUUUCUUCGAAUUUGUGCCUUCUCUUACACUUUAAAAUCUAUCAAAGAACCGUUACCUGAGAAGAUUGCCAUCAGGAAUUUCUAAAUUGAUUUCACUAUAAUACCUUAAUCUUUCAGAUACUUCCGUCACUGGGUUGCCAAAAGUGCUAAAAGCCUUGGUAAAUCCUACGUGUUUGAACUGGAGUACAAAAGUUAUCUCUCCACAAUUCCAAAACAACUGAUUUGUUACUUUUCAAUUCUACACGUUCUGCGAACAUUCAGUUGUGGUUAUCUUGCUGAAAUACCAGAAAAUAGGGUUCUAUUUGGCGGUAGUGGAUUCUUGGUUGGGGAAUUGCUUAGUUUAAAACGUUUAGAUGUAUUAAGCAUCACCUUAAAAGGUUUUUCUUCUGUCCUAACAGUUUCAAAGCUGUACAAAAUGUUUGGAGCUUAUAGACUGUGAUGAUUCAAAGUCGUUUGCCUUGGCAGAGUUGAAGCAUCUUGUAAAACUAGGUUUUUCAAAUUGUGGAAAUUUGGAAGAUAAAUUACAUUUAUAAACUGUGGAUCACCCUUUAUAAGUAUUAGGCUUAUCCCAUACUCGAGCAAUGUGGAAUACCUUUAUAAGCAUUAAGCCUCUCCCAUACAAUUUCUGUACAUGACUCUUCUUUUUUUUUUUUUUUUUUUUUUUUUUUUAAGAUCGUUAAAAGUGGUUGAUGAUCCGUUUUGUAAUAUCAUAGAGGGAUCAUGAAUUCCUUUUCUUUUCUGUGGCUAGGCAACACUUUUGGCCAAAGUAAGGAAAUCUAUUUUAGGUAAUGUAAAAACCAGUUGUGGGAUGUAAUAGUUUAUUAUGCACUGACAAUAACUUUUUGUAUAAUUGUCAGUUUAAUGAAUAUGAGAGGAACUCUGUUGGCAAAUUCAACCAUGAUAGAUGCUAAAUUAUACCAGUUGCCUUAACUAAUUUUUCUCAACACUGGUAUUGAACAGGAAAAUGAAUAUGCAAUUUGUAUUUGUGCCAUUGUGGAGAAUUUGGAUAUUCUUAUUUUUAGUAACAAGGAGAGUAUUUGCCUCAUCUUUAAACAAUGAAUCUUUGAGAAAUGAGGAGUGGGUGAUUGGCAGUGUCAGAGUGUCUUCAUGUAAAUGUUCAUUUAUUUGUAUUUUGAACUAUUAUUAGAAUCUUUAUAUGCCAAAUUAGUAGUACAAAUGUUCAGAUGAUUUUUCCUGUUGAUCAUUUCAUUCUUGAGAGCCAUGUACAAUACUAGGAUACCAGAGAAACCAAGGUAGCAUUGAAGUUGCCCCAGUGGCUAGUUUUCCGAUCAUUUUUAAUUUAUUCAAAUUUUUAUGUUUUAGAAAAAUGUAAGAAAUAUGUAGAAAUGUUGAUAGCUAUGAUUUUGAAACUUUGCCUAAAAUUGUUAUCAUCACUUAUUGUUUCUUAUUUAAAGAGAAAUCCUAGAAACGUGACAUGAUUAUUCCAUACUUGUUUUAAUAUUAUUUAUUAGCAGCCUAAUUCAAAAUUAGACGUGAUUAUUUGUUACUUUUAAUGCUACAUGUUCUGGGAAUAUUCAGUUGUGGUUAUCUUGUUGAAAUACCAGAAAAUAGCGUUCUAUUUGGUGGUAGUGGAUUCUUGGUUGGUUUAAAUGUAUUUAAGCAUCACCUUAAAAGGUUUUUCUGCUGUCCAAAAACUUACGAGCUCCCAAAAGUUUCAAAGCUGUGCACAACCUUUGGAGCUUAUAGACUGUAGUGAUUCAAAGUUGUUUGCCUGCGCAGAGUUGAAGCAUCUUGAAAAACUAGGUUUUUCAAAUUGUGGAAAUUGGAAGAGUUUAAGUUCUGCUGUGUCGAGGAUGGAAAGGCUCGAGAAUGUUUUUGUGUGAACAGCCUCCAACGAGUUAAGAUAAAGGCUUGUCAUAAAUUGAGGGAAGUGACAUGGCUUGUAUUUGCUCCGUGUCUUGAGGUUAUUCAAAUAGACAAAUGUAUGGGGAUGGAAGUAAUAAUCAGUGCAAGGAAAUUGGUUGAAUUUCCAGAGAUGAUGGCAGAUCUAAACCCUUUUGCAAACAAUAUCUUGGCCCACGAGUUCUACCAAAAUUAAAAAGCAUCUAUUGGAAUCAGUAGCCCUCUCUACAUGUCAGGCGAAUUUUGUAUCUGAAUGCCCAAUUCUCAAGAAGCUUCCACUUGGUUUUAACAAUGCAAAGGAAUCUAAAACUAUCAUUAGGGGAGAAGAACAUUGGUCGAAUGAGCUGCAAUGGGAGGACAAAGUGACCCUCAAUGUUCUUCUUCCUUGUUUCGGAUCCAUUUGAGGGCAUCAACAUGGAUUGAUAUGAUGCAAUGGGAGGACUUCAUUUUGUUUCGGCCAGAAAUGUUUGUUUCGAUCGAAGACUUGAACCAUUUUCAUUGAACCUGAUUAUGAUGCUUUACGUUAUGCAUGUUCCUCUUAAUCAAGAAAAGUUGAGGUGAUGAUUUUAUAUUUCUAUAUUGUAAGUUGAAAUAAUAAUUGGUCUGCUUGUUUCUGUAGCUUGAUAACAUGAAUUUUCCUUCUCAAGUUAAUUUAAUCAAUAAAGUAAUUCUUCAAAGAAAAUAUGCCCAUUCUAUAAUCAUUUUCUUAACUAACAUGUUUUUUUCUUCACUCUUCAGAGCAUGUUGAAACUAAUUGAUCGCUCGGCAGAGACUUUGGGUGAGAAGACAAAAUUUCUUGGUAAAUCCUCUGAAAAGUUAUGCAUAAUUCCGGAGUAUUAAAUAACCAAUGGUCAUAAUUUUUGUACAGGACUCUUUUCUUGUGGAGAUGAUUAAAAGUGGCUGAUGAUCCAGUUUGUAUAUCAUAGAGGUAGCAUCAAUUCCUUUUCUUUUCAGUGGCUAGGCAACACUUUCAGGGCAAAGUAAGGAAAUCUAUUUUAGGCAAUGUGAAAACCAAUGGUAGGAUGUAAUAGUUUAACAUGCACUGACAAUAACUUUUUGUAUAAUUGUCAGUUGAACGAAUACAAGAGGAACUCUGUUGACAAUUCAUCCAAGAUAGAUGCUAAAAUUCAUCCAGUUGCCUUAACUAAUUUUUCUUAACACUGGUAUUGAAGAGGAAAAUGAAUAUGCAAUUUGUAUAUUGUGCCAUGUGGAGAAUUUGGAUAUUCUUAUCUAAGUAACAAGGAGAGUAUUUGCCUCAUCUUUAGACAAUGAAUCUUUGAGAAAUUAGGAGUGGGUGAUUGGCAGUGUCUUCAUGUAAAUGUUCAUUUGUUUGUAUUUUGAGCUAUUAUGAGAAUCUUUUAUAUGCCAAAUUAGUAAUGCAAAUGUUCAGAUUAUUUUUUCUGUUGAUCGUGCAUUUGUGUCUGCUCACAACCAUUGUAUAUCACUUCAUUCUGAUGCGCAAGUCUCUGUAGUUUAGAAGAAAAGAAAUAAUAAUGAUAUAUUAUUGCUUGAUUCAUGAUUAUUAAAUGAUUAUGGCUUUAAAAAACCUACAAAUUCCUUCUGUUGAUAUAUGAAUGUACCAAGUUUGCUAUAUCUUAGAUUACCAUUUCCAAGAUAACAAGUUCAAUUUUUUUCUUUAUCCUUUUCCAUCACAGUUGCAUUUUAAGUGUAAGAUUUGUUAUUAAUACCUGGUUUCUCGUCAUUAUGAUUUCAUAAACAGUGUAUGGGUAUGUGCUCUACUUUUGGAGGGCCUCCACGUGAAAGAAAAUUGCAACAAUUGAAUUCUUCCGGAUGGUAUGGUAUUUAAUUUAUUUUCUCAACCUCUUGUAAGACUAAUAUAUUUUCCUUCAGUAGAUACGGCAUGGUGGGAAGGGUUUUUUAUUGAAAGAAUUCUGAUAUUUCUUAGACUUUGUUUUGGAAGGGGGUGCAGGGGUUUCUCAUCCAUAUAUGGUUACUUGAUUAGCUUUUGACUGUAUUGCCUCAAACGUGCAAAGGAAGAUCCAAAUACAAAUGAAGGAGAAUUGUUUAGACACCCAGAAGAUGGAAAUGAACUACAGAAGGAAGUUUUUGCUGCUUUAUUUAGUGCUCCUGAGAAAUCUGAUGAAUUUCCUGAAAUUACGGUGAAGACCAAGUGUGAGGUCCAAAGCAUUAGGAAAGGUGGUGAGUGAACUGCCGGAGGAAUUGGUACAGAAUACAAGGCUAAUGUGGUGGACUUGCAGCAAGAUAACCGGAACAGUACGUGCUCUUAUAUUAACUAUAUUGACUGGAUUUGCUAGUGUGUGCAUUUUCGUGUGUAUACUUUUGUAUUUAUGCAUAUUAAUGUGUGUAGGAUUCUUGAUUUCUGCCACUUACUGGAGAACUAAUGGAAAGCUUUAUACUGGUAUAUCUGCAAUAACUAAUGGAAACUAUGAUAUUAAUAUUAUCUCUCGCUUGGAGAACUGCGUAACAGAUAUACUUUGUGGCUCUGGAAUACUAAAGAUUCUGCAAUAACUAAUGGAAACUAUGAUAUGAAUAUUUUCUCUCACCUGGAGAACUUUGUAACAGUUACACUUUGGGGCUUGGAAUGUCUAAAGAAUUUUGUCUGCUUCAGUUAGAUCAAAUAUCUUUUAGUUACAUACAUUAUAGAAAAGAUAAAGUUCUCUGAAUCUGAAAGACUUAAAAUUUUGCAUAUUUCUUGAAAGGGAAUAUCUGUAGAUACUAGUUCAUGCAUUGUGGUAGCAUCAAUGUUAAAGAAAAACAGCAGUAAGUUAUUAUAUAGAAUUAGGUUCACUUGCUUUAAAUCCUGGUCUGGUCAACCAUAUGAACCUGUAAGUGGUUCUGUAGAAAUAUAUAUAUACGGGGAGAAGGUAGCUAAAUUUUCCUUUCAUUUAUGGGUUUGGUCAUUUUUUCCCCUUAUUUAUGUUUUCUCACACAUUUUUUAUAUGCCCCAAACAUGCAAUUUUGUAUGUGUCAAUUGCCUUUUAAGUUUUAAAAACCAUAAAGUAAGAAUACAGUUUCUUGUCAGGCUAUUGAUGCAUUUGCUCGGGGGAUCAUGCUCGAGCAGGAAAACUUCUAGAACAGGUAAGGUUUCCAUCUACAGCCAUUUAUUGACAACAUAUAUAUUUUCAUUCAGCAAGCACUGUUAGCAUUCAAGAUGCUGGCAGAUUCACUUGAUUCUUAUUAGUUUGUUUAGUAGCAAAGCAUAUAACCUGUAUUUUAAAGCUAAGUUGUGCUAUUGAUUAUGUUAACUUUAUUGUUCACAUAAAGUGAUAUAGAGGAAAUAAUCAAUGUAGGAAAAUUAGGUGAAGAGAUGAUGUCAAAUCUUGAACCUCUUACAAAACUCCAAGUUCUUUACUGGAAGAAACUACCAAAUUCGAACAGCAUCUACUGGAAGGCCUUGCCAUUCCCUGAUGUAUGCAGAAUUUUUGUAUUUAAAUGCCCAGAGCUUAAGAAGCUGCCACUGGAUCUUGAAAGGGCAGGCCAAGGUAAAAUUCUUAUCAAGGGAAAGAAAGAUGGGUGGAAACAACUUCAAUGGGAGGAUCAAGUAACUCAGAAUGCAUUGCUUCCAUUUUUAAAAUCAACUCAGAAGUGAUUGAAGGGGGCGUCAUCAACAUGGAUGGAGAGAUUCUGGAGCAGAUCAGCGGGGUUUAGUACGACCUGUGGUGGUUUCUUUGUUGUGACUUUUUUCCCUUUCAUUUUUUCACUUCCUGUCAUAUUAUCAUUUCUUUGUCUCUGUUUCUAUUGCUGGUGUUGCUGCAUGCUUGCCGUCCUUGACAAAGUUAGCUAGUUUUUUUUUUUUGUUUAUUAAAUUUUGUAUGUUCGGUCGGGACAGUCACACAGUACUACUUGUUCUAUAUGGGGGUGAUGUGAAUCAACUUUUCAAUUAUAUAUUCUGUGGUAAUUGUGAAUUCAAUUUCAUUUGUCUCCUGCAAAUUAUGAAGAAAGUGCAGGGUUAGAAUGUGGAACUUUUCACUGGCAAAUACUUUGUAAAAGCUUCGGAGUGAAACAGGAAAUGCACUUGCAACUAAGGACAAAUUGGUGGCCAGCUAAUGCAUUCAUUUUAUGUACAUUCAUCAUUUUAAUUAUUAAAGAUAAGUGGUUCGUUGCUUUUGUUGUAGAUAAAAUUCAGACGACCUCAAUUGUGAGAUGACAAUAUUUAAAAUAUCUCUUAAAUUAUUAUAAAUUUAAUUUAUCUUAAUUUUAUUUAAAAGAUAAAAGAAAAAUGUGGUAUAUGGAUAAAAAAAUUUUAUCUUAAUAAAAUGAAAUAAAUUAAAUUACAAUAAUUUAAAAUAUUUAAAAAUAUUAUUUGAUAAGAGAUUAAUAUGAAAUUAAUCGUUUUUACUUUUUGAACGUGAAAGGACAAGAAAAAAGAAAGCAAGUGUCACUGCUUUUUAUUUUAUUUGAAAUUGGAGUUAUCCCAUAUACUUUACUACUUUAGCUCUAAGAUUACAAUGUUUUUAGGCAACACUUUUAUUUUUCUCUUUCCCCCUUUUUUUGUACAUGCAUGUGGAUUAUUUUUCUCUAAGCUCCUUAAUAUUUAAGACAAAUCAUAAAAGCGAUUGAAGUAUAACAAGAUGAUCAAAUAUUUAACUAAAAAAAGAAAAAGAAAUAAAACACUGAAAAUGGAGACGUUGAUUAAUUUAGAAGAGAUCCAAGCAAAAGAUAUUCCCAAAAAGAAAAAAAAGAAGAAGCAAUGUAUCCCUUUAGAGGGCAAACUUAUUAGUUUUAAAAAAGUACACGCUUUGGAUUGAUGGUUGCAGGAUAUUUGUUUUUGACACCUAUAUUAGUUGGAAAAGUCGACCGUAGUGGAGAAUGUUAUGAAAGAGAGCAAAGGAUAUUUUUAACAGUGCUCUAUUUGAUUAUACGCAUUCAUUGAAUGGAAGAUAUAUGACUGCGUUAGUUCAUCCAUGUCUGUCAAUUCGUUUUUUAUGGUUUUUUUUUUCCAGUUGUUUGUUGUAAUAGAUUGAUUGUAAAUUGAUAUUAACUUGAUGUUGUAAUAUGUUCGCUUUUGUGGAAUUAAAUUUGAAUAUUCAAGAUUAUUCAAGUCUUAUCUAGUAUGUUUUCAAUUGUGUUGUCGAUAAUUUUGCAUUCGAAUAAGUUUCACCUAAAAUAUUAGCAUGAGUAGUAGUCCUUGAGACUUUGGUCAAAAUUAUUGUUAUUGUUUGUUUUAGAGGAAAUUUUUUUAUUAAAGCCUCGUUAACACUAUUACUUAUUAAGAUUAUAAGUUAGUGUCGGUGCAGGAUUUGCAGCAACAAAUCUUGUCUAGCCACGUGUCAAAAGUAUAAAUAAAUCAAGGGAAAGCACAUGACAUGUUGAGCUGGCAAAACGGGUCAUCGAGUCAUGUUCGUGUCGUGUCAAAUUUAGGUCGACCCAAACCCGACCCAUUUAAUAAUCGUGUCAAAAUAUUGAGACCCAAACCUGACACGAAAAAAUAAUCGGGUUACCCAAUAACCCGCUUAAUAUCUAUAUAUUAAACAAAAGUUACAUCAAAUAUUUACACUUUGUCAUACAUAUGUAUGCACAUACAUACAUACAUACAUACAUACAUACAUACAUACAUACAUACUUUAUCACUAUUAUAAAAUAUACAUAUCUACUAAAAUAUUACACACACUAUUAAGGUUUUAAUUAUAUAUAUGUAAAUAAUAUUGUAUAUCAAUAUUAUAAAAUAUACAUGUCUACCAAUAUUUUAUACAUUUAAACUAUUAAAGCUCUAAAUGUAUUUAAAAUUUUAUAAAUAAAAUAUUGUGUCUAUAUUCAUCCUUUUAAAAGAAAAAAAAUUAUCUCUAAUAUUUGAGUUUUGAUGACAAGAAUCUGUAAAUUAUUUUAAAAUAAAAAAUAUAAUCGGGUCAUUAAUCGGGUAAAUGGGUCAAGAAUUUUAACCCUAACCCGACACGGAAAAAAAUCGUGUUGACCCGGACCCGACCCAUUUAAUAAUCAUGUUAAAUUCGACGACCCAUACCCAUUUGUUAGUGUUGUGUUCGUGUCGGAUAAUCGGGUCGUGUCAAAUUUUGCCAACUAUAAUGACAUGGAUUAGGAUCCAAUAAAAAGGAAAAGGAUAACUGUAUCCUAAAGUUUCAAUAAGAGAUACUAAGAUAUCUUUUGACUAAUGUUAUUUUUUGACUUUAUUAAUAAAAGAUCCAAUAGUUUAUAACAAAUAAAAAUAUAGUAUUAAGCUAAAUGUGAUAAUUUACACAUUUUACAUAAUUACAAUAAAAAAUAUAUUUUAAUGUUUUACAAUCUAUCAGACAUAUUUUAUUAAAUUAAUAAGAUUUUUCUUACAAAUAGCAACAUAAUAUUAAAAUAAAUUUAUAAAGAUUUAAAUGUAAAAUAAUUUUAGUAUAAUUAAUACGUGGGAUAUAUUUUGUAAAUUAUAAAAUUACUUAACCCAAUGAUUUUUAAAAAUCUUUAAAAUAAAUAAAAAUAAAUUAUUCACAUUUUGAUGUAAAUAUUUAAAACAUUUUUAUACAUUUGUCCACAAUUAUUUAUGUUAUAUUUGUAUUUAUUAGAAAUUUUGAAAGUCAAAUGUUUUUCACCUCUAUCUUAUUAGAAUUAUUGCACACAGAGAAAGAGCCAUAUAUGCUUUAUAGCUUUAAAAUCGGUUUGUUUUAUAGCUGGGAACAGAGAUGAUCAUUAUUAUAAGGAUUAAAAAAAGAUAAAGAAUAUUAAUGAUUAACGAAAUCUUUAUGGAAAUUGAAUUUAGUAAGAAAAAAAUUGAGCUGAUUUUAGUGGUAUAGUAAUAUUUUAUAUAGAGAAAAGUAAAAGUUGCACCCCGAAAUGUUCAAAACUCUUUUUUAAUUAUAAUAUUAUUUUUCCUAGAUAACUUAAAAAUUUGACUCUAAUAUUUUAUAAUAAAUAAAAACAUAUAAUCCUAAAAUAAUUAAAAUAAUAUAUAUUUUAAAAUAAUCUCAAUAUUUAAAAUAUAUUUUAACAUUUUAUAGUCUAUCAGAUAUAUUUUAUUUUUUAAAGUAAAUUUUAUAAUAAAUACAAACAUACUAUUAAAAUAGAUAUAUAAAAUUUUUAAAGUAUUUUGAAUAUUAUAUAAAAUAACUUUAAUAUUGUUAAUGCGUGAGAUGCAUUUUAUUAAUUAAAAAUUCUAUUUAACCCAAAGAUUUAUUUAUAAUAAAUUAAUAAUCAUAUUUUUAAAAUUAUUUUAAAUAUUAAAAAAUAUUUUAAUAUUACUAACUAUUAGACAGACUAAACUAUUUAUAUUAUUUUCUAUUUAUUAUAAAAUUUCAAAGUUAAUCUUUUUUAACUAGUAUUCAAAAGAUAUUAUGAUCAAAACAGAAUUUUUGUGUUUUUAUGAAAAAUUUAGAGUUUACAUCUAUUUUUUCAAAUAUUCGGGGUGUAAAUGUUUUUCCCCUUUUAUAUAUACGAACGGUGGUGAGAAAGCAUGAUUUAACGUUAUUUAUUUAAAUAAAAUCUCAGUUAAAAAUGUAAAGAGAAGAAAUUUCUGUUGGUAUUUUAGUCUUUUACCAAUUAUCAUGAUUAGGCCUUGGCCUUGAAACAUUAAUUGUUUCACUUUUAGCGCUAGUGUCGUUGAAAGUUGUCAAGAAAAAGCAAGACCAUAUUCCACAAAAGCAAAAGUAACGUAGGCUCUUUUAUAAAAGGCAAAGAAAGUAUAAAGUAGUCAAGAAUCGAAUAUCCUGUCGUCUACUCUUUUUUAAAUUCUUCUUUUAUUAUCUUUUAGAAUAGUUUUUGGUAAUUACAAUCAUUAUUCAGAGUUAUUGUUAUCUUCCGGGGCAGUCUCUGUUCAUCGAAGUCGUUACCUUUUUUUUAUGGAUCAGUUCCAGUGCUAAGCAGUAAUUUUCUUAGAACUCGGAUCUUUAAUUCGAGUUUAUGUGUGAAUUAAUAAUAAAAAAUUUUCAUUACACGCAAUUUAAGCUACGAAUUACUUUUUUGCAAAGUUGAAUAUGAAAUUGGAGAAAUUAAGUAAUUUAGAAUGUUGGUAAAAAUUGACAAACAUAUCUCUAAUUACAGUAAAACCUCUCUAUAGUCAUAACAUUAUAACAAAAUUAAUUUUAUUACUAUGUUGAGGUAAUAUAGGUUUAGUUACAAAAUUAUUGUUUUAAUAUGGUUAGUGUCAAGUGAUAUAAAGGUUAAAUAUGCAGUACAAUGAUAAUUAAAUAAUGAAGCGUGUCAAUUCUAAUGUAUAUAUAUUAAUGAUAUAGAUAGACAUAGUUUCAAAAAACUAAUUAAUGUAUAUUUAUGUAGUGUUAUGAAUAUGGAAAGUCAAGCCUACACUUUACAUUAUCCUUAGUUUUUUCUCUUAGUUAAAUUCUACAAAUAUUGUACAAUGAUUGGGCAAGAACUCUAAAUUAAGAAUAAAUUAUUGUCACAAAUAAUUUUACAAAAUAUUUUAUUUCGUCUUAAACCUUUAAUAUAAGUAAACAUAUAUAUAUAUAUAUAUAUAUAUAUAUAUACCAGAAGGAAAUAGGAUCGAAGGAUGGGUGUGUAUUGAAGAUGCUUCUUUAUUGAUUGCUUUAAUGAAAUAAUUGGAUCGCGGUUGUUCAGAUUUUAUAUAAGAUUACCAGCUUUAGAUUAAGUAGAUUUGUUUUAGAGCAUACAAUGAUCAAACAAAUUUGAACGCGGUUGGUCAAAUUUUUAGAAUAUUUAAAGUACGUGGCGUUGUUAGACCAGAUCGAUCGCAGAAGUUAAUCUGCCUUUGGACCCAGAUCUGACUUAGAACAGAUCAAUAGUCCGCACGUUCGGGUUUCCAGCCUAUAUACUUUAAUAUAUUUACCAGAUAAAAUUAAGUUGCUUUAAACGUGGUUGUUUCUUUUUAUUGGGCUAAUUCCAGAUUUAAAUUAGAUUCUUUAAGGGGCUUGGGUACAUACACAGUACCAGAUCCGGAUCCCGGAAAUGGUGCUCUGAAGGAAUGGAGGAAGAAGAGAAGAUUUACAACUGAGGAUCGAGAUCCGGUCUCUUUGCCUCAGAGGAACGUACAAAUUUUAUGGCAGAUCUGAUAAAGACCAGUCUGCUUUGCAUGCUUUGAAAAGAAAAUUGCUUUAAAAAUAAAUUGCUUUAAUGUAAAUAUGCAUGAAAUUAAAUUGCAGAAAAGUAAAUUGCGAAAAUUUAAAUUACAUCGAAAUUAAAUAACUGAAAUUUAAACAUACAUCUUUGCUUUGAUAGUCUUGGUCUUUACAAUUUUCAAAUCUUUCCUGAAGGGAAGAUUGAAAGACGGGAAGAUUACAAGACAGGAAUGGUUUCCUUGAUGUCUUGAUCCAGACUUCCCAAGAGAGAGAGAGAGAGAGAGAGAGAUCUAGAGAGAAGGAGGAGAAGAAGAGAAAAAUGAAAAACCUGAGGAGUCUGAGUCUUCCUCUUGGUUUAUAUACAAAAUUUUGUAAACUGUUCACUGUAGCGGAGCUUUGAGUGCACAGUAAUCUUUGGAAUUUUGCACUGUUCACUGUAGCGGAGUUUUGAGUGCACAGUAAUCUUUGGAUCGUAGCUUUGAAUAGUAGGCUGACCGUAGCUUUGAACAGUAGACUACUUUGUACAAAAAUUGAAAUACAUAAUGAAAUACAACACGGGUGAAGAGACAUGUGCGCUCUCACUUGUGUCCAAGGGACCACCCGAGAGAAAAUUACUCUUUUCUUUUUUUUUUUUUUUUUUUUUUUUUUUUUUAAGUAAAUAACCAAAUAAUUAUUUACAAUGCUUUAUAGGAGAAAAAAUGCCGAAACAAUCAUCUUCAUUUUCGUCUCCAAGAGAAAUGAAGGGCUCUUCAUCUUCAUCAUCGUCUUCGUCUUCAGAGGUGUCAGCUACUGAUGACUUUGAACGGGAGGCGAGGAGCUGUUCCAUUGCUUUGAAGUAUUCCUCUUCUGUCUUGGCACUUGCCAAAAGAGACUGGGCUUUGGAUUUUUGGGUUAAGAAGGUCUGUUGGGCUUUAGAGGCUUCUAGGGUUGGUUGGAGAAGGUUUUUAGAGGAGAGCCAAUCUUUGAUCAUGUUAACAGUCAGUUUGGACUGUUCAUCAAAUUUUGACCACCAUUUGACUUUAAAGGUUCUUUGAAGGAUGACUUGGGAAUCUUGAGUAUGAAAACGGAGGUUCCACAUCCAGACCCAUGGUAGGAAGAAGUUUGUACAAAAACAGAGAAAGGGGGGAAAUCUUUUCUCUGAGUCAGAGGGCAUAUAGUGGGCUUUAAAGAGGUUUAGGCAAUUUAUGGCAUUUGGAGUGAGGAUUUGAGGUAUUGGGCCAAAGAAAUUCCACCAAUGAUGGAACCAGUUUGGAAGGCUUUGGACGGUUAUUUUAGGGUUAAAGAAAAAUAACCAAGAAUGGGAUUUUUUAGGGUUUUGAAUAAAAAAAGGUGUUAUACCAUGCUUGUUGGUAAUCCCAGUAGGAGAAAGUCCGACAAUGUGGUAAACGGGUUUCAAAGUUUAAAGGAAAGGUUUUGAAAUUGUGGAGUAGGUCGCCCCACUGGUUCGGGCUCAAAACUUUUAGAAUCGUGGCCGUGGAAUAGGCCGGUUCAGAAUGGGUUUUAUCAAGAAAGAAAUGUUUGAAUUUAACUGAUUCAGUUAUUUCUAAAAUGCUUUGAUAAUAAGACUGGGGUUUUGUCAAAUCCCAUGGUUUGAAAAAACCAGCCUUUGGGAAAAAACUUUGAAAUGCUUUGAAAAGGAUCAGUAUGGUAAAAUCCAUCUUCCAUAGAAAGAAUAUUUUGAAAAUGGGUUUUAUCAAACCAAUCGGAGGUUUUCUUUGAAGGUGUUGGCUGAGAAAGCACAAUUUGGGAAGAUGAGCUUUCGGCAGAGACAACAACAUUUUGAGAGGAGGGUUUUGUAAUUUCUUUAGAUGUGGAUAUGCUCUUAAUUUCUUUUUGAGGAGAAUUUUGGCUCUGGGAAAGGUUUUGUAGAGCGAGCAUGAGCUCGGGAGAUUUUGUAAUGGAACUCAUCCAAUGCUUUACUUGAUCAUCAGAAGAGAUGGGUUUGUAUUGGGCUUCAUGUUCUUCAACCAAUUCAAUCCAUGAUUUGAUGGGUAGGGCAGAAGAAAGUAAUUUUUCUUUAGAAGGGGUUGACUGGGGUUCUUUGGAAGGUUCUUGAGAUCCGGAACUUUGAGAACAGCUUUACCUUUGUCUUCUUUACGCGCAUUAUCUGUUUUGAAGAAAUUCUCUGGUUAGAAAAUCAGGAACAGAAUUUUUUAUCACCUUUAAUGAAUUCUAUAUCAAAAUCAAAAACACUCAAAAUAGCUUGCCAACGUGCAAAAUUUGUUUUGAUGCAAUGUUUUGAACAUCCUUUUCUAAAACAUGUUUUGCAGCUUUGCAAUCAAUUCUAAGUAAAAAUUUUUGAUUUAAUAAAUCACUUUGAAAUUUUGUAAUGCAUAAAACAAUGGAAAGAAUUUCUUUUUUAAUAGUAGAAUAAUUUUUCUGACAAUCAUUCCAAUGUGCAGAAACAUAUUGUACUAUCUGUUCUCUAUCAUUUUCUUUUUGUUUUUAAUAUACCUCCAUAUCCUAAAUCAGAUGCAUCAGUUUCAACAAUUUUAGGGAAUGCAGGAUUUGCAAGAUAUAGACAUGGGAUGCUUUUAACAGAACUCUUAUUAAUUUAACAGCUUUAGUAUGUUCAUCUGUCCAUGGAGCAGGUUUUUUCUUUAAACGAUCAUGCAAAGGUUUAGACAACCUAUUGAUAUUGGGACAGAAAUCAAGAACAUAAUUUAGGCUACCAAGAAAUCUUUGUAAUUGAGUUUUGUCAAGAAUUUUAUCAGGGAAUUUAUCAGCAAAUAAAAGUGAUCUUUCAAUAGGGGUGAUUGUUCCUUUUGAAAUAUAGUGACCAAGAAAUCUGAUUUUCGUUUGAAAUAAUGAAAUCUUUGAACUAGAAAGGGCUAGUCCAGCCUUUUUUGUAGCAAAAUAAAAAGUCUUUAAAUGUUUGAAAUGUUGAUCGAUUGAAUUUGAAAAUAUCAAAACAUCAUCAAUAUAAACAAUGCAAAAAUCAGAAUAAGGAUUAUAAAUAUCAUUCAUAAUUCUUUGAAAUUCUGAGGGUGCAUUCUUUAAACCAAAGGGCAUAACAGUCCAUUCGUAUUGUCCAAAUGGAACAGUGAAAGCGGUUUUGUAACGGUCAUUUGGAUGAAUUUGAAUUUGCCAAAAACCCGAUUUCAUGUCGAAUUUUGAAAAAAUAAAGGCAGAACAGAGUUUUUGGAGUAAAUCUUUUUUAUUAGGUAUAGGAUACCUAAUCCAUUUUAAAGCUUUAUUCAAAGGUUUGUAGUUUAUAACUAGUCUUGGAGUGCCUCUUUCAAUUUCGGAGUUUUUUGUUAACAUAAAAAGCAGCACAAGACCAAGGAGACCUGGAUUUUACAAUGAGUCCUUAGACUCCAAGUCUUUGAUUUCAUUUUUACAAUGUUUUUCUAAAUCCAUAUUCAUUUGAAUUGGACGAGCUUUGGUCGGAAUCUGUUUUUCAUCAAAAAGAUUUUCAUAAGGCAGAUCUACUAAAUGUUGUUUUCUAUUCCAAAAAGCAGAAGGUAGAUCAGCACAAAUUUUCUUUUUCAAUAAGAGUUUUGAAAUCAGAAAUUUUUCUUUUAAUGAAAUCACUUUGUAAUUGGCUUUCAACUCUUUGUAAGUUCAAAUCUUUUUGUAAAAAACAUUAGAUCACACUGUUUUGAUUUAAGUAAAUUGUUUAUUCUAUUUUGAUAAAUAGAACAGGCUUUAACAAUAUUUAAAUUUCUUGUUUUAGGUUUUCAAUAAAAGGGAAAACAAGUUUCUUGUUUUUUGCUUUGAAAGAUAUACUAUAUCAUAAUUGACAGUAUACGGAGUUAUGAGAUUUAUAAAAGGAGUUCCCAAAAUAAUGGCAUGAUGAAUAUCAUUUGUGAGAACAAAGGAAGUUUUAAAAUCAAAACCAUCAUUAUAGAUCGAGGCUUCAACCUUGGAACUGACAUUCAAUUUUGAAUUAUUGGCGGCAGAAAGCCUUUCUUUUGUUUUUUCAUGAAAUCUUUUGGGGACGAUAUCUUCUCUAAUGCAAUUUAAAUCGGCGCCAGUAUCAAAAAGGGCAAUGGCGUCCAUCGCAAAAUCAUCAGAAAAGAUUAGAGUGACUUUAAUCAAAUACUUUCUUGUGGUGAUUUGUUUUAGAACAAAUAGAAAAUCAUUGGGUACAGACUCAAUAUUUUCUACUUUAAUAUCAUCACCAUCAAUAUCAGGACUAGAUUCAUUGUCUGAAUUAUCCUGUAAUUGCUUUUGUAAAAGAAGUUGAAUAAUAUCAGAAUCACUUUUUUGUUUUUCUUUUAAAUCUCUGAUUUCACUUUUGAUUUCUUUUAUCUCUUUCUGAAGAUCUUGGAUAUUAGGAAUCAUCUUUUUUGUUUUCUUCUUAUCCAAAAUUUGAGUAAGAUCAUAAGAAUUCUUUUUAACAAUUGGGACUCUAGAAGUCUCGGCUUUAUUAAAAUCCAAUGUUUUCAAAAGUUUAUCAAGGUAUUCCUUUUGAAGAUUUGGAUCAGAAAUAUGUUUUACAAGUUCAAGAAAAGUUUCUUGGUCUUUAGUCAAAACAUUGAUUUUCUUUAAAAAUGAAUCAGAUUCAGAUUCACUACUGCUAGAUGCAGAGUCAUCUGAGUCAAAAAGCUCAUCAACUUGGUAAGGGUCACUGUCUCCCGACAUGGAAGACUCAGAAUCAGAAGAUUCGACAAGAAGAGGGGCUAUUUUAGAAAGGAUGUCCUCAUUGAGGUCAAGUUCUUGGAGUCUUUUGUUCAUUCUGCAAAAUUUUGCAGUAUGACCUUUCAUACCACAUUUGAAACAUGUGGCCUCCUUGAAGUUGAAUGGGGUAUUAGGUUUGGCUUUGAAAUCUUUCUUUUUAGAGAAACUAUGUCUCUUAUAAGGCUUCGAAGGUUUCUUAUAAGGAAGUUUUCUAAAAUCACGNAUUUUUUAGGGUUUUGAAUAAAAAAGGUGUUAUACCAUGCUUGUUGGUAAUCCCAGUAGGAGAAAGUCCGACAAUGUGGUAAACGGGUUUCAAAGUUUAAAGGAAAGGUUUUGAAAUUGUGGAGUAGGUCGCCCCACUGGUUCGGGCUCAAAACUUUUAGAAUCGUGGCCGUGGAAUAGGCCGGUUCAGAAUGGGUUUUAUCAAGAAAGAAAUGUUUGAAUUUAACUGAUUCAGUUAUUUCUAAAAUGCUUUGAUAAUAAGACUGGGGUUUUGUCAAAUCCCAUGGUUUGAAAAACCAGCCUUUGGGAAAAAACUUUGAAAUGCUUUGAAAAGGAUCAGUAUGGUAAAAUCCAUCUUCCAUAGAAAGAAUAUUUUGAAAAUGGGUUUUAUCAAACCAAUCGGAGGUUUUCUUUGAAGGUGUUGGCUGAGAAAGCACAAUUUGGGAAGAUGAGCUUUCGGCAGAGACAACAACAUUUUGAGAGGAGGGUUUUGUAAUUUCUUUAGAUGUGGAUAUGCUCUUAAUUUCUUUUUGAGGAGAAUUUUGGCUCUGGGAAAGGUUUUGUAGAGCGAGCAUGAGCUCGGGAGAUUUUGUAAUGGAACUCAUCCAAUGCUUUACUUGAUCAUCAGAAGAGAUGGGUUUGUAUUGGGCUUCAUGUUCUUCAACCAAUUCAAUCCAUGAUUUGAUGGUAGGGCAGAAAGUAAUUUUUCUUUAGAAGGGGUUGACUGGGGUUCUUUGGAAGGUUCUUGAGAUCCGGAACUUUUGAGACAGCUUUACCUUUGUCUUUCUUUAGCGGCAUUAUCUGUUUUGAAGAAAUUCUCUGGUUAGAAAAUCAGGAACAGAAUUUUAUCACCUUUAAUGAAUUCUAUAUCAAAAUCAAAAACACUCAAAAUAGCUUGCCAACGUGCAAAAAUUUGUUUUGAUGCAAUGUUUUGAACAUCCUUUUCUAAAACAUGUUUUGCAGCUUUGCAAUCAAUUCUAAGUAAAAAUUUUUGAUUUAAUAAAUCACUUUGAAAUUUUGUAAUGCAUAAAACAAUGGAAAGAAUUUCUUUUUUAAUAGUAGAAUAAUUUUUCUGACAAUCAUUCCAAUGUGCAGAAACAUAUUGUACUAUCUGUUCUCUAUCAUUUUCUUUUUGUUUUAAUAUACCUCCAUAUCCUAAAUCAGAUGCAUCAGUUUCAACAAUUUUAGGGAAUGCAGGAUUUGCAAGAUAUAGACAUGGGAUGCUUUUAACAGAACUCUUUAUUAAUUUAACAGCUUUAGUAUGUUCAUCUGUCCAUGGAGCAGGUUUUUUCUUUAAACGAUCAUGCAAAGGUUUAGACAACCUAUUGAUAUUGGGACAGAAAUCAAGAACAAAAAUUUAGGCUACCAAGAAAUCUUUGUAAUUGAGUUUUGUCAAGGAUUUUAUCAGGGAAUUUAUCAGCAAAUAAAAGUGAUCUUUCAAUAGGGGUGAUUGUUCCUUUUGAAAUAUAGUGACCAAGAAAUCUGAUUUUCGUUUGAAAUAAUGAAAUCUUUGAACUAGAAAGGGCUAGUCCAGCCUUUUUUGUAGCAAAAUAAAAAGUCUUUAAAUGUUUGAAAUGUUGAUCGAUUGAAUUUGAAAUAUCAAAACAUCAUCAAUAUAAACAAUGCAAAAAUCAGAAUAAGGAUUAUAAAUAUCAUUCAUAAUUCUUUGAAAUUCUGAGGGUGCAUUCUUUAAACCAAAGGGCAUAACAGUCCAUUCGUAUUGUCCAAAUGGAACAGUGAAAGCGGUUUUGUAACGGUCAUUUGGAUGAAUUUGAAUUUGCCAAAAACCCGAUUUCAUGUCGAAUUUUGAAAAAAUAAAGGCAGAACAGAGUUUUUGGAGUAAAUCUUUUUUAUUAGGUAUAGGAUACCUAAUCCAUUUUAAAGCUUUAUUCAAAGGUUUGUAGUUUAUAACUAGUCUUGGAGUGCCUCUUUCAAUUUCGGAGUUUUUGUUAACAUAAAAAGCAGCACAAGACCAAGGAGACCUGGAUUUUACAAUGAGUCCUUUAGACUCCAAGUCUUUGAUUUCAUUUUUACAAUGUUUUUCUAAAUCCAUAUUCAUUUGAAUUGGACGAGCUUUGGUCGGAAUCUGUUUUUCAUCAAAAGAAUUUUCAUAAGGCAGGUCUACUAAAUGUUGUUUUCUAUUCCAAAAAGCAGAAGGUAGAUCAGCACAAAUUUCUUUUUCAAUAAGAGUUUUGAAAUCAGAAAUUUUUCUUUUAAUGAAAUCACUUUGUAAUUGGCUUUCAACUCUUUGUAAGUUCAAAUCUUUUUGUAAAAACAUUAGAUCACACUGUUUUGAUUUAAGUAAAUUGUUUAUUCUAUUUUGAUAAAUAGAACAGGCUUUAACAAUAUUUAAAUUUCUUGUUUUAGGUUUUUCAAUAAAAGGGAAAACAAGUUUCUUGUUUUUUGCUUUGAAAGAUAUACUAUCAUAAUUGACAGUAUACGGAGUUAUGAGAUUUAUAAAAGGAGUUCCCAAAAUAAUGGCAUGAUGAAUAUCAUUUGUGAGAACAAAGGAAGUUUUAAAAUCAAAACCAUCAUUAUAGAUCGAGGCUUCAACCUUGGAACUGACAUUCAAUUUUGAAUUAUUGGCGGCAGAAAGCCUUUCUUUUGUUUUUUUCAUGAAAUCUUUUGGGGACGAUAUCUUCUCUAAUGCAAUUUAAAUCGGCGCCAGUAUCAAAAAGGGCAAUGGCGUCCAUCGCAAAAUCAUCAGAAAAGAUUAGAGUGACUUUAAUCAAAUACUUCUUGUGGUGAUUUGUUUUAGAACAAAUAGAAAAUCAUUGGGUACAGACUCAAUAUUUUCUACUUUAAUAUCAUCACCAUCAAUAUCAGGACUGGAUUCAUUGUCUGAAUUAUCCUGUAAUUGCUUUUGUAAAAGAAGUUGAAUAAUAUCAGAAUCACUUUUUUGUUUUUCUUUUAAAUCUCUGAUUUCACUUUUGAUUUCUUUUAUCUCUUUCUGAAGAUCUUGGAUAUUAGGAAUCAUCUUUUUUGUUUUCUUCUUAUCCAAAAUUUGAGUAAGAUCAUAAGAAUUCUUUUUAAUAAUUGGGACUCUAGAAGUCUCGGCUUUAUUAAAAUCCAAUGUUUUCAAAAGUUUAUCAAGGUAUUCCUUUUGAAGAUUUGGAUCAGAAAUAUGCUUUACAAGUUCAAGAAAAGUUUCUUGGUCUUUAGUCAAAACAUUGAUUUUCUUUAAAAAUGAAUCAGAUUCAGAAUCACUACUGCUAGAUGCAGAGUCAUCUGAGUCAAAAAGCUCAUCAACUUGGUAAGGGUCACUGUCUCCCGACAUGGAAGACUCAGAAUCAGAAGAUUCGACAAGAAGAGGGGCUAUUUUAGAAAGGAUGUCCUCAUUGAGGUCAAGUUCUUGGAGUCUUUUGUUCAUUCUGCAAAAUUUUGCAGUAUGACCUUUCAUACCACAUUUGAAACAUGUGGCCUCCUUGAAGUUGAAUGGGGUAUUAGGUUUGGCUUUGAAAUCUUUCUUUUUAGAGAAACUAUGUCUCUUAUAAGGCUUCGAAGGUUUCUUAUAAGGAAGUUUUCUAAAAUCACGGAAGGGUUUUCUAAAAUGUUUAGAUUUGUAAUGUUUCUUACGAGGUUUUGUAGAACACUCUCCAUUACAAUCUUUGGAAGUUUUAAAGGGGUCAUAAUUGAAUUGCUUACAGAAACCGCCUAAUUCCUGUUUAGACUUCUUAAGCUCCCACUUAAGACGUUUCUGUAAUUUCAAAUCUUGACAAAUCUUUAAACCUUCUUUGUUGACAAAACUGACUAGUUCACCAUAGGUGAGCUCGUCAUAAGGAAUACGGUUAUCGUAAAGGGCUUUGAUGGAAUUUCUUACCUUUUCACCUAAAAGGGUAGGUAAUCCAGCAAGAAAUUUUUCUUUCCAAGUAAUAUGAUUUGCAUCAUCCCUUAGAAAUAGUCUGGUAAGGAAAGAGGUUUUGUAACUCUGAAAUUCACUAAGUUUUCUACAUCUCAAAUUAUGUAGUAACUCAGCGUUUUAUCACGAAGGUGAGAAGGGUCACCGAUGAAAUGGAGGGAAAUGGUUAGAAUAAGAGUAGCAACAGCAUCCUGGAUAGGGUUGUUGAACUCAUCAAGAAUAGAGGCUCCAUUUUCAUCUUUUUGGACGGAAUUUAGAAUGUCAAAUUGUUGCUGAUUAGUGAGAAGAUGAUCCCACCAACUUUUAGUUGACCAGUAAAACCAGCAAUUAGGAUUUCCGAUAUGGCACGAUCAGAAGUUCCUGCUGGGUUUUAUAAGCAUUAGCUGCCAUUGUCAUUUGUUGCAACAAUCCAAGGAUAUUGUACUCAGACAUGCCGUCAAUAUUCCACUCAUAGACUGAAGAUGCAUUAUAACGGGGAUUGAUUUUAAUGCACUAGGUCUAUUAUCUAUUGCUAGAUCUGGUGGGGUCUUGACAGUGGGAAGGGCUAAUUCCCAGUGGAUUUUGUUGGCUUUAGGAGUAGAAGGGUUCUUCUUUGAAAGCUUCUAAGUCAGAAGAGGCUAUAGAACUCUGGUCAUCUAGAUCCAAUACUCCAAUCUUGCUAGAUUGGGGGGUAUCGGGGGCUAUCUGGAGUUUGCUAGACGAGGAAGAAGCAGCUUCUAUCCUCUCUAGUUGUUCUCUAAUGGCUUUAGCAAAAUCUGAUUUUGACUCUUGAACAAGCCCUUUGGCGUAGUUUUCGAAACCCUGAAAAGGUUUGAAAAUAGGUUCCUUAAGCUUUUUGUCAGAAUCCGAUUUUGAAGGAAUAGACAUAGGAAUAGGAGAAACAGAUAUAGGAGAUUUUUGAAAUUGGUUUUUCUAUACGAGCCAAUUGCUUUCCAAUUGUAUUUAAGUUAGUAUUACAGAAAUUAUUCUGUUGUAUAAUACUACUUAAAUUCGCAUCAGAAUCAUUUGGUCUUGGGAUUUUUGUAAGGGGAUGCUUUAAUCUCAAUAGGAGGUUCACCAUGAUCUAUGGUUAUACUCCUAAGAGGUGGAUGAUCAGACUCUAUAAUCCUAUCAUUAUCAGAAAGUUUCCAUUCAGGAAUUUUCUUUCUAAUAGUUAUAGGGUUUGACUCUUUAAAAGGAUAAUCAAUAUUGGUUCUCAGAAGAAUAUAUUUCGAACCAAUCAAAAAACAAUAUAUGAACUUUAUGAAAAUUCACAAAUUCAUAAUAAGUUUGUUGGAUUUCUUUUCUUUGGUUUAAAAAAUGUUUAAAAAAACCAAGUUCUUUUUUCUUUAUUUAUUUCUGAAUAAAAAUCGUUAUGCAGAAAGGCUUUAUCUAAUUCAAAUUCUUUUUCAAUGACAUUAAUGACAUUUUCUGUGACAGCAGAAAACGUAGGAGAUGUUGGAGGAGAAGGUUCCUUCUCUUCCUGUCUUUGCACAUGUUGACUACUAGUGUAUAUAGGAUGAGGAACACUUGUGGCAUAGUCAACGGAACGGAUGGGAGGAGCCUAGGUAUAUCCGAAGUGGAAAAACCUAGGUUGGCUCUGAUAUGGGAGAUUUAUAACAGAAGGUACUUUUGUAAACUUCCUUUCUAGUGAAGGAAUGCUUGGGCUCGAUUCUUUUUCAGAAAAUCUAUGUGAGGUAGACCUUCUGAAUGAUAAGUUUGACUUUACCAUCGGAAUACUGGGGUCACAUUUUGUAACUCUGUAUUUGGCUCAGUUGUUUCGGAAUCCGCCGGGUGGGGCGGCUCCUUCGAGGAUCCAUUCAUCUGGAAGAUGGAUAUCUUUCCAUUGGAUCGAUUUUGGAAUGACCAUGUUGGCUUUAGACAAAUCAGUCUGCAAGAGAAGGGUCUCAUCUCUCUUCGACUGGUAUUUAUGCUGUGUGCUAAAUGCAGAAAUCAUGGCUUUAUAGGAAAUUUUAAAAAUUAAUGCAACUGGGAUGGAUCCCUUAAUCAUGUGAUAAUUAUGGGUUUGGAUUUGUAAAAUCAUGCUCUUUAAAAAUAUUUUUGUCUUUAAGAGAAAUUGUUAUAUUUGGAUAACAAUCAAAAGAUAUGGGACCUUUACAUAGACUAGAUUCGAUACUACUUAGUAAAGAAUCAUCAAAAGAGAUGAAUCGCCCAUCUCUAAGAACAGCAAGGAUAGAGGUAUCCAAGCCUUCUUUGUCAAAGGUUUUAUUCCUACUUGGAUUAAACCAAUGUGAAUAUAUUUGAAAUUCUUUUCUUUUAAUUUCUUUAAAGAUUUUUCUGAAAAACAAAUAAAUUGUUUCAAAAGGCUCCGAAAGAGUUAUGUCUCUUUCUUCAGUUUUUAUAAUAUAAUCAUGUUUUAAAAGAUCAAGCAUUUUUGUUUUUGUAAAUCUUUUCUUUGGAAAUUUUUGGAAGUUCCCAACAAUCAAUUGCUUUAUCAAAGUUUUCAAUAACGAAUUCUUCUGAACUCACAACAUGCUUUGAAUCACUAGUCUUCCCGGAAGAAGAGCUAGAAAAGGACGAUGUUCUACAGUGUAGAGGGUUCAUGGGUAAAAACCUAUGAUCUAUUUAGUGGUUUUUGAAAGAAUGGCUACAGGUAUGGUUUUACAGCCCUAAACGGAAAACUUAUCCUUAGACGGACUUACUACCAGUAAAAAUUCACCACAAAAACAAAAACUUCAAAAUAAAACACAGUUUUCAAAACACAAAACUCUAAACUGCUUUACACAAUCCUCCCCUUGGCUCUGAUACCAGAAGGAAAUAGAAUCGAAGGAUGGGUGUGUAUUGAAGAUGCUUCUUUAUUGAUUGCUUUAAUGAAAUAAUUGGAUCGCGGUUGUUCAGAUUUUAUAUAAGAUUACCAGCUUUAGAUUAAGUAGAUUUGUUUUUUAGAGCAUACAAUGAUCAAAACAAAUUUGAACGCGGUUGGUCAAAUUUUUAGAAUAUUUAAAGUACUGGCGUUGUUAGACCAGAUCGAUCGCAGAAGUUAAUCUGCCUUUGGACCCAGAUCUGACUUAGAACAGAUCAAUUAGUCCGCACGUUCGGGUUUCCAGCCUAUAUACUUUAAUAUAUUUACCAGAUAAAAUUAAGUUGGCUUUAAACGUGGUUGUUUCUUUUUAUUGGGCUAAUUCCAGAUUUAAAUUAGAUUCUUUAAGGGGCUUGGGUACAUACACAGUACCAGAUCCGGAUCCCGGAAAUGGUGCUCUGAAGGAAUGGAGGAAGAAGAGAAGAUUUACAACUGAGGAUCGAGAUCCGGUCUCUUUGCCUCAGAGGAACGUACAAAUUUUAUGGCAGAUCUGAUAAAGACCAGUCUGCUUUGCAUGCUUUGAAAAGAAAAUUGCUUUAAAAAUAAAUUGCUUUAAUGUAAAUAUGCAUGAAAUUAAAUUGCAGAAAAGUAAAUUGCGAAAAUUUAAAUUACAUCGAAAUUAAAUAACUGAAAUUUAAACAUACAUCUUUGCUUUGAUAGUCUUGGUCUUUACAAUUUUCAAAUCUUUCCUGAAGGGAAGAUUGAAAGACGGGAAGAUUACAAGACAGGAAUGGUUUCCUUGAUGUCUUGGACUGUUCAUCAAAUUUUGACCACCAUUUGACUUUAAAGGUUCUUUGAAGGAUGACUUGGGAAUCUUGAGUAUGAAAACGGAGGUUCCACAUCCAGACCCAUGGUAGGAAGAAGUUUGUACAAAAACAGAGAAAGGGGGGAAAUCUUUUCUCUGAGUCAGAGGGCAUAUAGUGGGCUUUAAAGAGGUUUAGGCAAUUUAUGGCAUUUGGAGUGAGGAUUUGAGGUAUUGGGCCAAAGAAAUUCCACCAAUGAUGGAACCAGUUUGGAAGGCUUUGGACGGUUAUUUUAGGGUUAAAGAAAAAUAACCAAGAAUGGGAUUUUUUAGGGUUUUGAAUAAAAAAGGUGUUAUACCAUGCUUGUUGGUAAUCCCAGUAGGAGAAAGUCCGACAAUGUGGUAAACGGGUUUCAAAGUUUAAAGGAAAGGUUUUGAAAUUGUGGAGUAGGUCGCCCCACUGGUUCGGGCUCAAAACUUUUAGAAUCGUGGCCGUGGAAUAGGCCGGUUCAGAAUGGGUUUUAUCAAGAAAGAAAUGUUUGAAUUUAACUGAUUCAGUUAUUUCUAAAAUGCUUUGAUAAUAAGACUGGGGUUUUGUCAAAUCCCAUGGUUUGAAAAACCAGCCUUUGGGAAAAAACUUUGAAAUGCUUUGAAAAGGAUCAGUAUGGUAAAAUCCAUCUUCCAUAGAAAGAAUAUUUUGAAAAUGGGUUUUAUCAAACCAAUCGGAGGUUUUCUUUGAAGGUGUUGGCUGAGAAAGCACAAUUUGGGAAGAUGAGCUUUCGGCAGAGACAACAACAUUUUGAGAGGAGGGUUUUGUAAUUUCUUUAGAUGUGGAUAUGCUCUUAAUUUCUUUUUGAGGAGAAUUUUGGCUCUGGGAAAGGUUUUGUAGAGCGAGCAUGAGCUCGGGAGAUUUUGUAAUGGAACUCAUCCAAUGCUUUACUUGAUCAUCAGAAGAGAUGGGUUUGUAUUGGGCUUCAUGUUCUUCAACCAAUUCAAUCCAUGAUUUGAUGGGUAGGGCAGAAGAAAGUAAUUUUUCUUUAGAAGGGGUUGACUGGGGUUCUUUGGAAGGUUCUUGAGAUCCGGAACUUUUGAGAACAGCUUUACCUUUGUCUUUCUUUAGCGGCAUUAUCUGUUUUGAAGAAAUUCUCUGGUUAGAAAAUCAGGAACAGAAUUUUUAUCACCUUUAAUGAAUUCUAUAUCAAAAUCAAAAACACUCAAAAUAGCUUGCCAACGUGCAAAAAUUUGUUUUGAUGCAAUGUUUUGAACAUCCUUUUCUAAAACAUGUUUUGCAGCUUUGCAAUCAAUUCUAAGUAAAAAUUUUUGAUUUAAUAAAUCACUUUGAAAUUUUGUAAUGCAUAAAACAAUGGAAAGAAUUUCUUUUUUAAUAGUAGAAUAAUUUUUCUGACAAUCAUUCCAAUGUGCAGAAACAUAUUGUACUAUCUGUUCUCUAUCAUUUUCUUUUUGUUUUAAUAUACCUCCAUAUCCUAAAUCAGAUGCAUCAGUUUCAACAAUUUUAGGGAAUGCAGGAUUUGCAAGAUAUAGACAUGGGAUGCUUUUAACAGAACUCUUUAUUAAUUUAACAGCUUUAGUAUGUUCAUCUGUCCAUGGAGCAGGUUUUUUCUUUAAACGAUCAUGCAAAGGUUUAGACAACCUAUUGAUAUUGGGACAGAAAUCAAGAACAUAAUUUAGGCUACCAAGAAAUCUUUGUAAUUGAGUUUUGUCAAGGAUUUUAUCAGGGAAUUUAUCAGCAAAUAAAAGUGAUCUUUCAAUAGGGGUGAUUGUUCCUUUUGAAAUAUAGUGACCAAGAAAUCUGAUUUUCGUUUGAAAUAAUGAAAUCUUUGAACUAGAAAGGGCUAGUCCAGCCUUUUUUGUAGCAAAAUAAAAAGUCUUUAAAUGUUUGAAAUGUUGAUCGAUUGAAUUUGAAAAUAUCAAAACAUCAUCAAUAUAAACAAUGCAAAAAUCAGAAUAAGGAUUAUAAAUAUCAUUCAUAAUUCUUUGAAAUUCUGAGGGUGCAUUCUUUAAACCAAAGGGCAUAACAGUCCAUUCGUAUUGUCCAAAUGGAACAGUGAAAGCGGUUUUGUAACGGUCAUUUGGAUGAAUUUGAAUUUGCCAAAAACCCGAUUUCAUGUCGAAUUUUGAAAAAAUAAAGGCAGAACAGAGUUUUUGGAGUAAAUCUUUUUUAUUAGGUAUAGGAUACCUAAUCCAUUUUAAAGCUUUAUUCAAAGGUUUGUAGUUUAUAACUAGUCUUGGAGUGCCUCUUUCAAUUUCGGAGUUUUUGUUAACAUAAAAAGCAGCACAAGACCAAGGAGACCUGGAUUUUACAAUGAGUCCUUUAGACUCCAAGUCUUUGAUUUCAUUUUUACAAUGUUUUUCUAAAUCCAUAUUCAUUUGAAUUGGACGAGCUUUGGUCGGAAUCUGUUUUUCAUCAAAAGAAUUUUCAUAAGGCAGGUCUACUAAAUGUUGUUUUCUAUUCCAAAAAGCAGAAGGUAGAUCAGCACAAAUUUCUUUUUCAAUAAGAGUUUUGAAAUCAGAAAUUUUUCUUUUAAUGAAAUCACUUUGUAAUUGGCUUUCAACUCUUUGUAAGUUCAAAUCUUUUUGUAAAAACAUUAGAUCACACUGUUUUGAUUUAAGUAAAUUGUUUAUUCUAUUUUGAUAAAUAGAACAGGCUUUAACAAUAUUUAAAUUUCUUGUUUUAGGUUUUUCAAUAAAAGGGAAAACAAGUUUCUUGUUUUUUGCUUUGAAAGAUAUACUAUCAUAAUUGACAGUAUACGGAGUUAUGAGAUUUAUAAAAGGAGUUCCCAAAAUAAUGGCAUGAUGAAUAUCAUUUGUGAGAACAAAGGAAGUUUUAAAAUCAAAACCAUCAUUAUAGAUCGAGGCUUCAACCUUGGAACUGACAUUCAAUUUUGAAUUAUUGGCGGCAGAAAGCCUUUCUUUUGUUUUUUCAUGAAAUCUUUUGGGGACGAUAUCUUCUCUAAUGCAAUUUAAAUCGGCGCCAGUAUCAAAAAGGGCAAUGGCGUCCAUCGCAAAAUCAUCAGAAAAGAUUAGAGUGACUUUAAUCAAAUACUUUCUUGUGGUGAUUUGUUUUAGAACAAAUAGAAAAUCAUUGGGUACAGACUCAAUAUUUUCUACUUUAAUAUCAUCACCAUCAAUAUCAGGACUGGAUUCAUUGUCUGAAUUAUCCUGUAAUUGCUUUUGUAAAAGAAGUUGAAUAAUAUCAGAAUCACUUUUUUUGUUUUUCUUUUAAAUCUCUGAUUUCACUUUUGAUUUCUUUUAUCUCUUUCUGAAGAUCUUGGAUAUUAGGAAUCAUCUUUUUUGUUUUCUUCUUAUCCAAAAUUUGAGUAAGAUCAUAAGAAUUCUUUUUAAUAAUUGGGACUCUAGAAGUCUCGGCUUUAUUAAAAUCCAAUGUUUUCAAAAGUUUAUCAAGGUAUUCCUUUUGAAGAUUUGGAUCAGAAAUAUGCUUUACAAGUUCAAGAAAAGUUUCUUGGUCUUUAGUCAAAACAUUGAUUUUCUUUAAAAAUGAAUCAGAUUCAGAAUCACUACUGCUAGAUGCAGAGUCAUCUGAGUCAAAAAGCUCAUCAACUUGGUAAGGGUCACUGUCUCCCGACAUGGAAGACUCAGAAUCAGAAGAUUCGACAAGAAGAGGGGCUAUUUUAGAAAGGAUGUCCUCAUUGAGGUCAAGUUCUUGGAGUCUUUUGUUCAUUCUGCAAAAUUUUGCAGUAUGACCUUUCAUACCACAUUUGAAACAUGUGGCCUCCUUGAAGUUGAAUGGGGUAUUAGGUUUGGCUUUGAAAUCUUUCUUUUUAGAGAAACUAUGUCUCUUAUAAGGCUUCGAAGGUUUCUUAUAAGGAAGUUUUCUAAAAUCACGGAAGGGUUUUCUAAAAUGUUUAGAUUUGUAAUGUUUCUUACGAGGUUUUGUAGAACACUCUCCAUUACAAUCUUUGGAAGUUUUAAAGGGGUCAUAAUUGAAUUGCUUACAGAAACCGCCUAAUUCCUGUUUAGACUUCUUAAGCUCCCACUUAAGACGUUUCUGUAAUUUCAAAUCUUGACAAAUCUUUAAACCUUCUUUGUUGACAAAACUGACUAGUUCACCAUAGGUGAGCUCGUCAUAAGGAAUACGGUUAUCGUAAAGGGCUUUGAUGGAAUUUCUUACCUUUUCACCUAAAAGGGUAGGUAAUCCAGCAAGAAAUUUUUCUUUCCAAGUAAUAUGAUUUGCAUCAUCCCUUAGAAAUAGUCUGGUAAGGAAAGAGGUUUUGUAACUCUGAAAUUCACUAAGUUUUCUACAUCUCAAAUUAUGUAGUAACUCAGCGUUUUUAUCACGAAGGUGAGAAGGGUCACCGAUGAAAUGGAGGGAAAUGGUUAGAAUAAGAGUAGCAACAGCAUCCUGGAUAGGGUUGUUGAACUCAUCAAGAAUAGAGGCUCCAUUUUCAUCUUUUUGGACGGAAUUUAGAAUGUCAAAUUGUUGCUGAUUAGUGAGAAGAUGAUCCCACCAACCUUUUAGUUGACCAGUAAAACCAGCAAUUAGGAUUUCCGAUAUGGCACGAUCAGAAGUUCCUGCUUGGGUUUUAUAAGCAUUAGCUGCCAUUGUCAUUUGUUGCAACAAUCCAAGGAUAUUGUACUCAGACAUGCCGUCAAUAUUCCACUCAUAGACUGAAGAUGCAUUAUAACGGGAUUGAUUUAAUGCACUAGGUCUAUUAUCUAUUGCUAGAUCUGGUGGGGUCUUGACAGUGGGAAGGGCUAAUUCCCAGUGGAUUUUGUUGGCUUUAGGAGUAGAAGGUUCUUCUUUGAAAGCUUCUAAGUCAGAAGAGGCUAUAGAACUCUGGUCAUCUAGAUCCAAUACUCCAAUCUUGCUAGAUUGGGGGGUAUCGGGGGCUAUCUGGAGUUUGCUAGACGAGGAAGAAGCAGCUUCUAUCCUCUCUAGUUGUUCUCUAAUGGCUUUAGCAAAAUCUGAUUUUGACUCUUGAACAAGCCUUUGGCUAGUUUUCGAAACCUGAAAAGGUUUGAAAAUAGGUUCCUUAAGCUUUUUGUCAGAAUCCGAUUUUGAAGGAAUAGACAUAGGAAUAGGAGAAACAGAUAUAGGAGAUUUUUGAAAUUGGUUUUCUAUACGAGCCAAUUGCUUUCCAAUUGUAUUUAAGUUAGUAUUACAGAAAUUAUUCUGUUGUAUAAUACUACUUAAAUUCGCAUCAGAAUCAUUUGGUCUUGGGAUUUUGUAAGGGGAUGCUUUAAUCUCAAUAGGAGGUUCACCAUGAUCUAUGGUUAUACUCCUAAGAGGUGGAUGAUCAGACUCUAUAAUCCUAUCAUUAUCAGAAAGUUUCCAUUCAGGAAUUUUCUUUCUAAUAGUUAUAGGGUUUGACUCUUUAAAAGGAUAAUCAAUAUUGUUCUCAGAAGAAUAUAUUUCGAACCAAUCAAAAAACAAUAUAUGAACUUUAUGAAAAUUCACAAAUUCAUAAUAAGUUUGUUGGAUUUCUUUUCUUUGGUUUAAAAAAUGUUUAAAAAACCAAGUUCUUUUUUCUUUAUUUAUUUCUGAAUAAAAAUCGUUAUGCAGAAAGGCUUUAUCUAAUUCAAAUUCUUUUUCAAUGACAUUAAUGACAUUUUCUGUGACAGCAGAAAACGUAGGAGAUGUUGGAGGAGAAGGUUCCUUCUCUUCCUGUCUUUGCACAUGUUGACUACUAGUGUAUAUAGGAUGAGGAACACUUGUGGCAUAGUCAACGGAACGGAUGGAGGAGCUAGGUAUAUCCGAAGUGGAAAACCUAGGUUGGCUCUGAUAUGGGAGAUUUAUAACAGAAGGUACUUUUGUAAACUUCCUUUCUAGUGAAGGAAUGCUUGGGCUCGAUUCUUUUUCAGAAAAUCUAUGUGAGGUAGACCUUCUGAAUGAUAGUUUGACUUUACCAUCGGAAUACUGGGUCACAUUUUGUAACUCUGUAUUUGGCUCAAGUUGUUUCGGAAUCGCCGGUGGGGCGGCUCCUUCGAGGAUCCAUUCAUCUGGAAGAUGGAUAUCUUUCCAUUGGAUCGAUUUUGGAAUGACCAUGUUGGCUUUAGACAAAUCAGUCUGCAAGAGAAGGGUCUCAUCUCUCUUCGACUGGUAUUUAUGCUGUGUGCUAAAUGCAGAAAUCAUGGCUUUAUAGGAAAUUUUAAAAAUUAAUGCAACUGGGAUGGAUCCCUUAAUCAUGUGAUAAUUAUGGGUUUGGAUUUGUAAAAUCAUGCUCUUUAAAAUAUUUUUGUCUUUAAGAGAAAUUGUUAUAUUUGGAUAACAAUCAAAAGAUAUGGGACCUUUACAUAGACUAGAUUCGAUACUACUUAGUAAAGAAUCAUCAAAAGAGAUGAAUCGCCCAUCUCUAAGAACAGCAAGGAUAGAGGUAUCCAAGCCUUCUUUGGUCAAAGGUUUUAUUCCUACUUGGAUUAAACCAAUGUGAAUAUAUUUGAAAUUCUUUUCUUUUAAUUUCUUUAAAGAUUUUUCUGAAAACAAAUAAAUUGUUUCAAAAGGCUCCGAAAGAGUUAUGUCUCUUUCUUCAGUUUUUAUAAUAUAAUCAUGUUUUAAAAGAUCAAGCAUUUUUGUUUUGUAAAUCUUUUCUUUGGAAAUUUUUGGAAGUUCCCAACAAUCAAUUGCUUUAUCAAAGUUCUCAAUAACGAAUUCUUCUGAACUCACAACAUGCUUUGAAUCACUAGUCUUCCCGGAAGAAGAGCUAGAAAAGGACGAUGUUCUACAGUGUAGAGGAUUCAUGGGUAAAAACCUAUGAUCUAUUAAUGGUUUUGAANNNNNNNNNNNNNNNNNNNNNNNNNNNNNNNNNNNNNNNNNNNNNNNNNNNNNNNNNNNNNNNNNNNNNNNNNNNNNNNNNNNNNNNNNNNNNNNNNNNNNNNNNNNNNNNNNNNNNNNNNNNNNNNNNNNNNNNNNNNNNNNNNNNNNNNNNNNNNNNNNNNNNNNNNNNNNNNNNNNNNNNNNNNNNNNNNNNNNNNNNNNNNNNNNNNNNNNNNNNNNNNNNNNNNNNNNNNNNNNNNNNNNNNNNNNNNNNNNNNNNNNNNNNNNNNNNNNNNNNNNNNNNNNNNNNNNNNNNNNNNNNNNNNNNNNNNNNNNNNNNNNNNNNNNNNNNNNNNNNNNNNNNNNNNNNNNNNNNNNNNNNNNNNNNNNNNNNNNNNNNNNNNNNNNNNNNNNNNNNNNNNNNNNNNNNNNNNNNNNNNNNNNNNNNNNNNNNNNNNNNNNNNNNNNNNNNNNNNNNNNNNNNNNNNNNNNNNNNNNNNNNNNNNNNNNNNNNNNNNNNNNNNNNNNNNNNNNNNNNNNNNNNNNNNNNNNNNNNNNNNNNNNNNNNNNNNNNNNNNNNNNNNNNNNNNNNNNNNNNNNNNNNNNNNNNNNNNNNNNNNNNNNNNNNNNNNNNNNNNNNNNNNNNNNNNNNNNNNNNNNNNNNNNNNNNNNNNNNNNNNNNNNNNNNNNNNNNNNNNNNNNNNNNNNNNNNNNNNNNNNNNNNNNNNNNNNNNNNNNNNNNNNNNNNNNNNNNNNNNNNNNNNNNNNNNNNNNNNNNNNNNNNNNNNNNNNNNNNNNNNNNNNNNNNNNNNNNNNNNNNNNNNNNNNNNNNNNNNNNNNNNNNNNNNNNNNNNNNNNNNNNNNNNNNNNNNNNNNNNNNNNNNNNNNNNNNNNNNNNNNNNNNNNNNNNNNNNNNNNNNNNNNNNNNNNNNNNNNNNNNNNNNNNNNNNNNNNNNNNNNNNNNNNNNNNNNNNNNNNNNNNNNNNNNNNNNNNNNNNNNNNNNNNNNNNNNNNNNNNNNNNNNNNNNNNNNNNNNNNNNNNNNNNNNNNNNNNNNNNNNAAUAGCUUGCCAACGUGCAAAAAUCUGUUUUGAUGCAAUGUUUUGAACAUCCUUUUCUAAAACAUGUUUUGCAGCUUUGCAAUCAAUUCUAAGUAAAAAUUUUUGAUUUAAUAAAUCACUUUGAAAUUUUGUAAUGCAUAAAACAAUGGAAAGAAUUUCUUUUUUAAUAGUAGAAUAAUUUUUCUGACAAUCAUUCCAAUGUGCAGAAACAUAUUGUACUAUCUGUUCUCUAUCAUUUUCUUUUUGUUUUAAUAUACCUCCAUAUCCUAAAUCAGAUGCAUCAGUUUCAACAAUUUUAGGGAAUGCAGGAUUUGCAAGAUAUAGACAUGGGAUGCUUUUAACAGAACUCUUUAUUAAUUUAACAGCUUUAGUAUGUUCAUCUGUCCAUGGAGCAGGUUUUUUCUUUAAACGAUCAUGCAAAGGUUUAGACAACCUAUUGAUAUUGGGACAGAAAUCAAGAACAUAAUUUAGGCUACCAAGAAAUCUUUGUAAUUGAGUUUUGUCAAGAAUUUUAUCAGGGAAUUUAUCAGCAAAUAAAAGUGAUCUUUCAAUAGGGGUGAUUGUUCCUUUUGAAAUAUAGUGACCAAGAAAUCUGAUUUUCGUUUGAAAUAAUGAAAUCUUUGAACUAGAAAGGGCUAGUCCAGCCUUUUUUGUAGCAAAAUAAAAAGUCUUUAAAUGUUUGAAAUGUUGAUCGAUUGAAUUUGAAAAUAUCAAAACAUCAUCAAUAUAAACAAUGCAAAAAUCAGAAUAAGGAUUAUAAAUAUCAUUCAUAAUUCUUUGAAAUUCUGAGGGUGCAUUCUUUAAACCAAAGGGCAUAACAGUCCAUUCGUAUUGUCCAAAUGGAACAGUGAAAGCGGUUUUGUAACGGUCAUUUGGAUGAAUUUGAAUUUGCCAAAAACCCGAUUUCAUGUCGAAUUUUGAAAAAAUAAAGGCAGAACAGAGUUUUUGGAGUAAAUCUUUUUUAUUAGGUAUAGGAUACCUAAUCCAUUUUAAAGCUUUAUUCAAAGGUUUGUAGUUUAUAACUAGUCUUGGAGUGCCUCUUUCAAUUUCGGAGUUUUUGUUAACAUAAAAAGCAGCACAAGACCAAGGAGACCUGGAUUUUACAAUGAGUCCUUUAGACUCCAAGUCUUUGAUUUCAUUUUUACAAUGUUUUUCUAAAUCCAUAUUCAUUUGAAUUGGACGAGCUUUGGUCGGAAUCUGUUUUUCAUCAAAAGAAUUUUCAUAAGGCAGGUCUACUAAAUGUUGUUUUCUAUUCCAAAAAGCAGAAGGUAGAUCAGCACAAAUUUCUUUUUCAAUAAGAGUUUUGAAAUCAGAAAUUUUUCUUUUAAUGAAAUCACUUUGUAAUUGGCUUUCAACUCUUUGUAAGUUUCAAAUCUUUUUGUAAAAACAUUAGAUCACACUGUUUUUGAUUUAAGUAAAUUGUUUAUUCUAUUUUGAUAAAUAGAACAGGCUUUAACAAUAUUUAAAUUUCUUGUUUUAGGUUUUCAAUAAAAGGGAAAACAAGUUUCUUGUUUUUUGCUUUGAAAGAUAUACUAUCAUAAUUGACAGUAUACGGAGUUAUGAGAUUUAUAAAAGGAGUUCCCAAAAUAAUGGCAUGAUGAAUAUCAUUUGUGAGAACAAAGGAAGUUUUAAAAUCAAAACCAUCAUUAUAGAUCGAGGCUUCAACCUUGGAACUGACAUUCAAUUUUGAAUUAUUGGCGGCAGAAAGCCUUUCUUUUGUUUUUUCAUGAAAUCUUUUGGGGACGAUAUCUUCUCUAAUGCAAUUUAAAUCGGCGCCAGUAUCAAAAAGGGCAAUGGCGUCCAUCGCAAAAUCAUCAGAAAAGAUUAGAGUGACUUUAAUCAAAUACUUUCUUGUGGUGAUUUGUUUUAGAACAAAUAGAAAAUCAUUGGGUACAGACUCAAUAUUUUCUACUUUAAUAUCAUCACCAUCAAUAUCAGGACUGGAUUCAUUGUCUGAAUUAUCCUGUAAUUGCUUUUGUAAAAGAAGUUGAAUAAUAUCAGAAUCACUUUUUUGUUUUUCUUUUAAAUCUCUGAUUUCACUUUUGAUUUCUUUUAUCUCUUUCUGAAGAUCUUGGAUAUUAGGAAUCAUCUUUUUUGUUUUCUUCUUAUCCAAAAUUUGAGUAAGAUCAUAAGAAUUCUUUUUAAUAAUUGGGACUCUAGAAGUCUCGGCUUUAUUAAAAUCCAAUGUUUUCAAAAGUUUAUCAAGGUAUUCCUUUUGAAGAUUUGGAUCAGAAAUAUGCUUUACAAGUUCAAGAAAAGUUUCUUGGUCUUUAGUCAAAACAUUGAUUUUCUUUAAAAAUGAAUCAGAUUCAGAAUCACUACUGCUAGAUGCAGAGUCAUCUGAGUCAAAAAGCUCAUCAACUUGGUAAGGGUCACUGUCUCCCGACAUGGAAGACUCAGAAUCAGAAGAUUCGACAAGAAGAGGGGCUAUUUUAGAAAGGAUGUCCUCAUUGAGGUCAAGUUCUUGGAGUCUUUUGUUCAUUCUGCAAAAUUUUGCAGUAUGACCUUUCAUACCACAUUUGAAACAUGUGGCCUCCUUGAAGUUGAAUGGGGUAUUAGGUUUGGCUUUGAAAUCUUUCUUUUUAGAGAAACUAUGUCUCUUAUAAGGCUUCGAAGGUUUCUUAUAAGGAAGUUUUCUAAAAUCACGGAAGGGUUUUCUAAAAUGUUUAGAUUUGUAAUGUUUCUUACGAGGUUUUGUAGAACACUCUCCAUUACAAUCUUUGGAAGUUUUAAAGGGGUCAUAAUUGAAUUGCUUACAGAAACCGCCUAAUUCCUGUUUAGACUUCUUAAGCUCCCACUUAAGACGUUUCUGUAAUUUCAAAUCUUGACAAAUCUUUAAACCUUCUUUGUUGACAAAACUGACUAGUUCACCAUAGGUGAGCUCGUCAUAAGGAAUACGGUUAUCGUAAAGGGCUUUGAUGGAAUUUCUUACCUUUUCACCUAAAAGGGUAGGUAAUCCAGCAAGAAAUUUUUCUUUCCAAGUAAUAUGAUUUGCAUCAUCCCUUAGAAAUAGUCUGGUAAGGAAAGAGGUUUUGUAACUCUGAAAUUCACUAAGUUUUCUACAUCUCAAAUUAUGUAGUAACUCAGCGUUUUUAUCACGAAGGUGAGAAGGGUCACCGAUGAAAUGGAGGGAAAUGGUUAGAAUAAGAGUAGCAACAGCAUCCUGGAUAGGGUUGUUGAACUCAUCAAGAAUAGAGGCUCCAUUUUCAUCUUUUUGGACGGAAUUUAGAAUGUCAAAUUGUUGCUGAUUAGUGAGAAGAUGAUCCCACCAACCUUUUAGUUGACCAGUAAAACCAGCAAUUAGGAUUUCCGAUAUGGCACGAUCAGAAGUUCCUGCUUGGGUUUUAUAAAGCAUUAGCUGCCAUUGUCAUUUGUUGCAACAAUCCAAGGAUAUUGUACUCAGACAUGCCGUCAAUAUUCCACUCAUAGACUGAAGAUGCAUUAUAACGGGAUUGAUUUAAUGCACUAGGUCUAUUAUCUAUUGCUAGAUCUGGUGGGGUCUUGACAGUGGGAAGGGCUAAUUCCCAGUGGAUUUUGUUGGCUUUAGGAGUAGAAGGUUCUUCUUUGAAAGCUUCUAAGUCAGAAGAGGCUAUAGAACUCUGGUCAUCUAGAUCCAAAUACUCCAAUCUUGCUAGAUUGGGGGGUAUCGGGGCUAUCUGGAGUUUGCUAGACGAGGAAGAAGCAGCUUCUAUCCUCUCUAGUUGUUCUCUAAUGGCUUUAGCAAAAUCUGAUUUUGACUCUUGAACAAGCCUUUGGCUAGUUUUCGAAACCUGAAAAGGUUUGAAAAUAGGUUCCUUAAGCUUUUUGUCAGAAUCCGAUUUUGAAGGAAUAGACAUAGGAAUAGGAGAAACAGAUAUAGGAGAUUUUUGAAAUUGGUUUUCUAUACGAGCCAAUUGCUUUCCAAUUGUAUUUAAGUUAGUAUUACAGAAAUUAUUCUGUUGUAUAAUACUACUUAAAUUCGCAUCAGAAUCAUUUGGUCUUGGGAUUUUGUAAGGGGAUGCUUUAAUCUCAAUAGGAGGUUCACCAUGAUCUAUGGUUAUACUCCUAAGAGGUGGAUGAUCAGACUCUAUAAUCCUAUCAUUAUCAGAAAGUUUCCAUUCAGGAAUUUUCUUUCUAAUAGUUAUAGGGUUUGACUCUUUAAAAGGAUAAUCAAUAUUGUUCUCAGAAGAAUAUAUUUCGAACCAAUCAAAAAACAAUAUAUGAACUUUAUGAAAAUUCACAAAUUCAUAAUAAGUUUGUUGGAUUUCUUUUCUUUGGUUUAAAAAAUGUUUAAAAAAACCAAGUUCUUUUUUCUUUAUUUAUUUCUGAAUAAAAAUCGUUAUGCAGAAAGGCUUUAUUCUAAUUCAAAUUCUUUUUCAAUGACAUUAAUGACAUUUUCUGUGACAGCAGAAAACGUAGGAGAUGUUGGAGGAGAAGGUUCCUUCUCUUCCUGUCUUUGCACAUGUUGACUACUAGUGUAUAUAGGAUGAGGAACACUUGUGGCAUAGUCAACGGAACGGAUGGAGGAGCUAGGUAUAUCCGAAGUGGAAAACCUAGGUUGGCUCUGAUAUGGGAGAUUUAUAACAGAAGGUACUUUUGUAAACUUCCUUUCUAGUGAAGGAAUGCUUGGGCUCGAUUCUUUUUCAGAAAAUCUAUGUGAGGUAGACCUUCUGAAUGAUAGUUUGACUUUACCAUCGGAAUACUGGGUCACAUUUUGUAACUCUGUAUUUGGCUCAAGUUGUUUCGGAAUCGCCGGUGGGGCGGCUCCUUCGAGGAUCCAUUCAUCUGGAAGAUGGAUAUCUUUCCAUUGGAUCGAUUUUGGAAUGACCAUGUUGGCUUUAGACAAAUCAGUCUGCAAGAGAAGGGUCUCAUCUCUCUUCGACUGGUAUUUAUGCUGUGUGCUAAAUGCAGAAAUCAUGGCUUUAUAGGAAAUUUUAAAAAUUAAUGCAACUGGGAUGGAUCCCUUAAUCAUGUGAUAAUUAUGGGUUUGGAUUUGUAAAAUCAUGCUCUUUAAAAUAUUUUUGUCUUUAAGAGAAAUUGUUAUAUUUGGAUAACAAUCAAAAGAUAUGGGACCUUUACAUAGACUAGAUUCGAUACUACUUAGUAAAGAAUCAUCAAAAGAGAUGAAUCGCCCAUCUCUAAGAACAGCAAGGAUAGAGGUAUCCAAGCCUUCUUUGGUCAAAGGUUUUAUUCCUACUUGGAUUAAACCAAUGUGAAUAUAUUUGAAAUUCUUUUCUUUUAAUUUCUUUAAAGAUUUUUUCUGAAAACAAAUAAAUUGUUUCAAAAGGCUCCGAAAGAGUUAUGUCUCUUUCUUCAGUUUUUUAUAAUAUAAUCAUGUUUUAAAAGAUCAAGCAUUUUUGUUUUGUAAAUCUUUUCUUUGGAAAUUUUUGGAAGUUCCCAACAAUCAAUUGCUUUAUCAAAGUUUUCAAUAACGAAUUCUUCUGAACUCACAACAUGCUUUGAAUCACUAGUCUUCCCGGAAGAAGAGCUAGAAAAGGACGAUGUUCUACAGUGUAGAGGGUUCAUGGGUAAAAACCUAUGAUCUAUUUAGUGGUUUUGAAAGAAUGGCUACAGGUAUGGUUUUACAGCCCUAAACGGAAAACUUAUCCUUAGACGGGACUUACUACCAGUAAAAAUUCACCACAAAAACAAAACUUCAAAAUAAAACACAAGUUUUCAAAACACAAAACUCUAAACUGCUUUACACAAUCCUCCCCUUGGCUCUGAUACCAGAAGGAAAUAGAAUCGAAGGAUGGGUGUGUAUUGAAGAUGCUUCUUUAUUGAUUGCUUUAAUGAAAUAAUUGGAUCGCGGUUGUUCAGAUUUUAUAUAAGAUUACCAGCUUUAGAUUAAGUAGAUUUGUUUUAGAGCAUACAAUGAUCAAACAAAUUUGAACGCGGUUGGUCAAAUUUUUAGAAUAUUUAAAGUACGUGGCGUUGUUAGACCAGAUCGAUCGCAGAAGUUAAUCUGCCUUUGGACCCAGAUCUGACUUAGAACAGAUCAAUAGUCCGCACGUUCGGGUUUCCAGCCUAUAUACUUUAAUAUAUUUACCAGAUAAAAUUAAGUUGCUUUAAACGUGGUUGUUUCUUUUUAUUGGGCUAAUUCCAGAUUUAAAUUAGAUUCUUUAAGGGGCUUGGGUACAUACACAGUACCAGAUCCGGAUCCCGGAAAUGGUGCUCUGAAGGAAUGGAGGAAGAAGAGAAGAUUUACAACUGAGGAUCGAGAUCCGGUCUCUUUGCCUCAGAGGAACGUACAAAUUUUAUGGCAGAUCUGAUAAAGACCAGUCUGCUUUGCAUGCUUUGAAAAGAAAAUUGCUUUAAAAAUAAAUUGCUUUAAUGUAAAUAUGCAUGAAAUUAAAUUGCAGAAAAGUAAAUUGCGAAAAUUUAAAUUACAUCGAAAUUAAAUAACUGAAAUUUAAACAUACAUCUUUGCUUUGAUAGUCUUGGUCUUUACAAUUUUCAAAUCUUUCCUGAAGGGAAGAUUGAAAGACGGGAAGAUUACAAGACAGGAAUGGUUUCCUUGAUGUCUUGGACUGUUCAUCAAAUUUUGACCACCAUUUGACUUUAAAGGUUCUUUGAAGGAUGACUUGGGAAUCUUGAGUAUGAAAACGGAGGUUCCACAUCCAGACCCAUGGUAGGAAGAAGUUUGUACAAAAACAGAGAAAGGGGGGAAAUCUUUUCUCUGAGUCAGAGGGCAUAUAGUGGGCUUUAAAGAGGUUUAGGCAAUUUAUGGCAUUUGGAGUGAGGAUUUGAGGUAUUGGGCCAAAGAAAUUCCACCAAUGAUGGAACCAGUUUGGAAGGCUUUGGACGGUUAUUUUAGGGUUAAAGAAAAAUAACCAAGAAUGGGAUUUUUUAGGGUUUUGAAUAAAAAAGGUGUUAUACCAUGCUUGUUGGUAAUCCCAGUAGGAGAAAGUCCGACAAUGUGGUAAACGGGUUUCAAAGUUUAAAGGAAAGGUUUUGAAAUUGUGGAGUAGGUCGCCCCACUGGUUCGGGCUCAAAACUUUUAGAAUCGUGGCCGUGGAAUAGGCCGGUUCAGAAUGGGUUUUAUCAAGAAAGAAAUGUUUGAAUUUAACUGAUUCAGUUAUUUCUAAAAUGCUUUGAUAAUAAGACUGGGGUUUUGUCAAAUCCCAUGGUUUGAAAAACCAGCCUUUGGGAAAAAACUUUGAAAUGCUUUGAAAAGGAUCAGUAUGGUAAAAUCCAUCUUCCAUAGAAAGAAUAUUUUGAAAAUGGGUUUUAUCAAACCAAUCGGAGGUUUUCUUUGAAGGUGUUGGCUGAGAAAGCACAAUUUGGGAAGAUGAGCUUUCGGCAGAGACAACAACAUUUUGAGAGGAGGGUUUUGUAAUUUCUUUAGAUGUGGAUAUGCUCUUAAUUUCUUUUUGAGGAGAAUUUUGGCUCUGGGAAAGGUUUUGUAGAGCGAGCAUGAGCUCGGGAGAUUUUGUAAUGGAACUCAUCCAAUGCUUUAUUUGAUCAUCAGAAGAGAUGGGUUUGUAUUGGGCUUCAUGUUCUUCAACCAAUUCAAUCCAUGAUUUGAUGGGUAGGGCAGAAGAAAGUAAUUUUUCUUUAGAAGGGGUUGACUGGGGUUCUUUGGAAGGUUCUUGAGAUCCGGAACUUUUGAGAACAGCUUUACCUUUGUCUUUCUUUAGCGGCAUUAUCUGUUUUGAAGAAAUUCUCUGGUUAGAAAAUCAGGAACAGAAUUUUUAUCACCUUUAAUGAAUUCUAUAUCAAAAUCAAAAACACUCAAAAUAGCUUGCCAACGUGCAAAAAUUUGUUUUGAUGCAAUGUUUUGAACAUCCUUUUCUAAAACAUGUUUUGCAGCUUUGCAAUCAAUUCUAAGUAAAAAUUUUUGAUUUAAUAAAUCACUUUGAAAUUUUGUAAUGCAUAAAACAAUGGAAAGAAUUUCUUUUUUAAUAGUAGAAUAAUUUUUCUGACAAUCAUUCCAAUGUGCAGAAACAUAUUGUACUAUCUGUUCUCUAUCAUUUUCUUUUUGUUUUAAUAUACCUCCAUAUCCUAAAUCAGAUGCAUCAGUUUCAACAAUUUUAGGGAAUGCAGGGUUUGCAAGAUAUAGACAUGGGAUGCUUUUAACAGAACUCUUUAUUAAUUUAACAGCUUUAGUAUGUUCAUCUGUCCAUGGAGCAGGUUUUUUCUUUAAACGAUCAUGCAAAGGUUUAGACAACCUAUUGAUAUUGGGACAGAAAUCAAGAACAUAAUUUAGGCUACCAAGAAAUCUUUGUAAUUGAGUUUUGUCAAGGAUUUUAUCAGGGAAUUUAUCAGCAAAUAAAAGUGAUCUUUCAAUAGGGGUGAUUGUUCCUUUUGAAAUAUAGUGACCAAGAAAUCUGAUUUUCGUUUGAAAUAAUGAAAUCUUUGAACUAGAAAGGGCUAGUCCAGCCUUUUUUGUAGCAAAAUAAAAAGUCUUUAAAUGUUUGAAAUGUUGAUCGAUUGAAUUUGAAAAUAUCAAAACAUCAUCAAUAUAAACAAUGCAAAAAUCAGAAUAAGGAUUAUAAAUAUCAUUCAUAAUUCUUUGAAAUUCUGAGGGUGCAUUCUUUAAACCAAAGGGCAUAACAGUCCAUUCGUAUUGUCCAAAUGGAACAGUGAAAGCGGUUUUGUAACGGUCAUUUGGAUGAAUUUGAAUUUGCCAAAAACCCGAUUUCAUGUCGAAUUUUGAAAAAAUAAAGGCAGAACAGAGUUUUUGGAGUAAAUCUUUUUUAUUAGGUAUAGGAUACCUAAUCCAUUUUAAAGCUUUAUUCAAAGGUUUGUAGUUUAUAACUAGUCUUGGAGUGCCUCUUUCAAUUUCGGAGUUUUUGUUAACAUAAAAAGCAGCACAAGACCAAGGAGACCUGGAUUUUACAAUGAGUCCUUUAGACUCCAAGUCUUUGAUUUCAUUUUUACAAUGUUUUUCUAAAUCCAUAUUCAUUUGAAUUGGACGAGCUUUGGUCGGAAUCUGUUUUUCAUCAAAAGAAUUUUCAUAAGGCAGGUCUACUAAAUGUUGUUUUCUAUUCCAAAAAGCAGAAGGUAGAUCAGCACAAAUUUCUUUUUCAAUAAGAGUUUUGAAAUCAGAAAUUUUUCUUUUAAUGAAAUCACUUUGUAAUUGGCUUUCAACUCUUUGUAAGUUCAAAUCUUUUUGUAAAAACAUUAGAUCACACUGUUUUGAUUUAAGUAAAUUGUUUAUUCUAUUUUGAUAAAUAGAACAGGCUUUAACAAUAUUUAAAUUUCUUGUUUUAGGUUUUUCAAUAAAAGGGAAAACAAGUUUCUUGUUUUUUUGCUUUGAAAGAUAUACUAUCAUAAUUGACAGUAUACGGAGUUAUGAGAUUUAUAAAAGGAGUUCCCAAAAUAAUGGCAUGAUGAAUAUCAUUUGUGAGAACAAAGGAAGUUUUAAAAUCAAAACCAUCAUUAUAGAUCGAGGCUUCAACCUUGGAACUGACAUUCAAUUUUGAAUUAUUGGCGGCAGAAAGCCUUUCUUUUGUUUUUUCAUGAAAUCUUUUGGGGACGAUAUCUUCUCUAAUGCAAUUUAAAUCGGCGCCAGUAUCAAAAAGGGCAAUGGCGUCCAUCGCAAAAUCAUCAGAAAAGAUUAGAGUGACUUUAAUCAAAUACUUUCUUGUGGUGAUUUGUUUUAGAACAAAUAGAAAAUCAUUGGGUACAGACUCAAUAUUUUCUACUUUAAUAUCAUCACCAUCAAUAUCAGGACUGGAUUCAUUGUCUGAAUUAUCCUGUAAUUGCUUUUGUAAAAGAAGUUGAAUAAUAUCAGAAUCACUUUUUUGUUUUUCUUUUAAAUCUCUGAUUUCACUUUUGAUUUCUUUUAUCUCUUUCUGAAGAUCUUGGAUAUUAGGAAUCAUCUUUUUUGUUUUCUUCUUAUCCAAAAUUUGAGUAAGAUCAUAAGAAUUCUUUUUAAUAAUUGGGACUCUAGAAGUCUCGGCUUUAUUAAAAUCCAAUGUUUUCAAAAGUUUAUCAAGGUAUUCCUUUUGAAGAUUUGGAUCAGAAAUAUGCUUUACAAGUUCAAGAAAAGUUUCUUGGUCUUUAGUCAAAACAUUGAUUUUCUUUAAAAAUGAAUCAGAUUCAGAAUCACUACUGCUAGAUGCAGAGUCAUCUGAGUCAAAAAGCUCAUCAACUUGGUAAGGGUCACUGUCUCCUGACAUGGAAGACUCAGAAUCAGAAGAUUCGACAAGAAGAGGGGCUAUUUUAGAAAGGAUGUCCUCAUUGAGGUCAAGUUCUUGGAGUCUUUUGUUCAUUCUGCAAAAUUUUGCAGUAUGACCUUUCAUACCACAUUUGAAACAUGUGGCCUCCUUGAAGUUGAAUGGGGUAUUAGGUUUGGCUUUGAAAUCUUUCUUUUUAGAGAAACUAUGUCUCUUAUAAGGCUUCGAAGGUUUCUUAUAAGGAAGUUUUCUAAAAUCACGGAAGGGUUUUCUAAAAUGUUUAGAUUUGUAAUGUUUCUUACGAGGUUUUGUAGAACACUCUCCAUUACAAUCUUUGGAAGUUUUAAAGGGGUCAUAAUUGAAUUGCUUACAGAAACCGCCUAAUUCCUGUUUAGACUUCUUAAGCUCCCACUUAAGACGUUUCUGUAAUUUCAAAUCUUGACAAAUCUUUAAACCUUCUUUGUUGACAAAACUGACUAGUUCACCAUAGGUGAGCUCGUCAUAAGGAAUACGGUUAUCGUAAAGGGCUUUGAUGGAAUUUCUUACCUUUUCACCUAAAAAGGUAGGUAAUCCAGCAAGAAAUUUUUCUUUCCAAGUAAUAUGAUUUGCAUCAUCCCUUAGAAAUAGUCUGGUAAGGAAAGAGGUUUUGUAACUCUGAAAUUCACUAAGUUUUCUACAUCUCAAAUUAUGUAGUAACUCAGCGUUUUUAUCACGAAGGUGAGAAGGGUCACCGAUGAAAUGGAGGGAAAUGGUUAGAAUAAGAGUAGCAACAGCAUCCUGGAUAGGGUUGUUGAACUCAUCAAGAAUAGAGGCUCCAUUUUCAUCUUUUUGGACGGAAUUUAGAAUGUCAAAUUGUUGCUGAUUAGUGAGAAGAUGAUCCCACCAACCUUUUAGUUGACCAGUAAAACCAGCAAUUAGGAUUUCCGAUAUGGCACGAUCAGAAGUUCCUGCUUGGGUUUUAUAAGCAUUAGCUGCCAUUGUCAUUUGUUGCAACAAUCCAAGGAUAUUGUACUCAGACAUGCCGUCAAUAUUCCACUCAUAGACUGAAGAUGCAUUAUAACGGGAUUGAUUUAAUGCACUAGGUCUAUUAUCUAUUGCUAGAUCUGGUGGGGUCUUGACAGUGGGAAGGGCUAAUUCCCAGUGGAUUUUGUUGGCUUUAGGAGUAGAAGGUUCUUCUUUGAAAGCUUCUAAGUCAGAAGAGGCUAUAGAACUCUGGUCAUCUAGAUCCAAUACUCCAAUCUUGCUAGAUUGGGGGGUAUCGGGGGCUAUCUGGAGUUUGCUAGACGAGGAAGAAGCAGCUUCUAUCCUCUCUAGUUGUUCUCUAAUGGCUUUAGCAAAAUCUGAUUUUGACUCUUGAACAAGCCUUUGGCUAGUUUUCGAAACCUGAAAAGGUUUGAAAAUAGGUUCCUUAAGCUUUUUGUCAGAAUCCGAUUUUGAAGGAAUAGACAUAGGAAUAGGAGAAACAGAUAUAGGAGAUUUUUGAAAUUGGUUUUCUAUACGAGCCAAUUGCUUUCCAAUUGUAUUUAAGUUAGUAUUACAGAAAUUAUUCUGUUGUAUAAUACUACUUAAAUUCGCAUCAGAAUCAUUUGGUCUUGGGAUUUUGUAAGGGGAUGCUUUAAUCUCAAUAGGAGGUUCACCAUGAUCUAUGGUUAUACUCCUAAGAGGUGGAUGAUCAGACUCUAUAAUCCUAUCAUUAUCAGAAAGUUUCCAUUCAGGAAUUUUCUUUCUAAUAGUUAUAGGGUUUGACUCUUUAAAAGGAUAAUCAAUAUUGUUCUCAGAAGAAUAUAUUUCGAACCAAUCAAAAAACAAUAUAUGAACUUUAUGAAAAUUCACAAAUUCAUAAUAAGUUUGUUGGAUUUCUUUUCUUUGGUUUAAAAAAUGUUUAAAAAACCAAGUUCUUUUUUCUUUAUUUAUUUCUGAAUAAAAAUCGUUAUGCAGAAAGGCUUUAUCUAAUUCAAAUUCUUUUUCAAUGACAUUAAUGACAUUUUCUGUGACAGCAGAAAACGUAGGAGAUGUUGGAGGAGAAGGUUCCUUCUCUUUCUGUCUUUGCACAUGUUGACUACUAGUGUAUAUAGGAUGAGGAACACUUGUGGCAUAGUCAACGGAACGGAUGGAGGAGCUAGGUAUAUCCGAAGUGGAAAACCUAGGUUGGCUCUGAUAUGGGAGAUUUAUAACAGAAGGUACUUUUGUAAACUUCCUUUCUAGUGAAGGAAUGCUUGGGCUCGAUUCUUUUUCAGAAAAUCUAUGUGAGGUAGACCUUCUGAAUGAUAGUUUGACUUUACCAUCGGAAUACUGGGUCACAUUUUGUAACUCUGUAUUUGGCUCAAGUUGUUUCGGAAUCGCCGGUGGGGCGGCUCCUUCGAGGAUCCAUUCAUCUGGAAGAUGGAUAUCUUUCCAUUGGAUCGAUUUUGGAAUGACCAUGUUGGCUUUAGACAAAUCAGUCUGCAAGAGAAGGGUCUCAUCUCUCUUCGACUGGUAUUUAUGCUGUGUGCUAAAUGCAGAAAUCAUGGCUUUAUAGGAAAUUUUAAAAAUUAAUGCAACUGGGAUGGAUCCCUUAAUCAUGUGAUAAUUAUGGGUUUGGAUUUGUAAAAUCAUGCUCUUUAAAAUAUUUUUGUCUUUAAGAGAAAUUGUUAUAUUUGGAUAACAAUCAAAAGAUAUGGGACCUUUACAUAGACUAGAUUCGAUACUACUUAGUAAAGAAUCAUCAAAAGAGAUGAAUCGCCCAUCUCUAAGAACAGCAAGGAUAGAGGUAUCCAAGCCUUCUUUGGUCAAAGGUUUUAUUCCUACUUGGAUUAAACCAAUGUGAAUAUAUUUGAAAUUCUUUUCUUUUAAUUUCUUUAAAGAUUUUUCUGAAAACAAAUAAAUUGUUUCAAAAGGCUCCGAAAGAGUUAUGUCUCUUUCUUCAGUUUUUAUAAUAUAAUCAUGUUUUAAAAGAUCAAGCAUUUUUGUUUUGUAAAUCUUUUCUUUGGAAAUUUUUGGAAGUUCCCAACAAUCAAUUGCUUUAUCAAAGUUUUCAAUAACGAAUUCUUCUGAACUCACAACAUGCUUUGAAUCACUAGUCUUCCCGGAAGAAGAGCUAGAAAAGGACGAUGUUCUACAGUGUAGAGGGUUCAUGGGUAAAAACCUAUGAUCUAUUUAGUGGUUUUGAAAGAAUGGCUACAGGUAUGGUUUUACAGCCCUAAACGGAAAACUUAUCCUUAGACGGGACUUACUGUUGAGUGUUAGAAAAUGCAUAUUUAUAAAGGAGAAAACCGUCAUUUUACAUUUCAAGUCUUACUAACAACCCUUACUUUUAUGUAUUUAACCUUCUUGUGAUGUAAUUACGUGUGUGUUAUUUUAAUUAAGUAUUUUAUGUAUUUUAGGGGCAUUAUAGUCAUUUCACAAUAAAGGAGAGAUCAGACGGCAAAACGGACAUCACUUUUGAACUCAGGACGGUCGAAAACCUUAGGAGGAGCAUAAAAGGAAAAAUGGUACUAUUCACGUAUACGGUACUGUCUACAUUACUGUUCACGACACUGUUCACAUAGACGGAUCGAUGACGUGGCAUUGACCGAUGAUGUGGCAUUGACUGAUGAGGUGUCACGAUCCUGUUGGACUAAAAUUCUUAUGUACUGUUGACGGUGACGUGGCAGCAUAUCAGUGGACGAAAAAUCUCGCGUACGGUGCAUGCAUCACACAGGAUUAUUUUCAACCAAACCGUGUUACUGUUCAUCCGGGUCAAACCGUGUUACUGUUCAUCCGCGUGGUCAAACCGUGGACUGUUGACUGAUGACGUGGCGCAAUCCUGAGCGUCCAAACUGUUUUUAAUCCGAUGGCCAUGAUUUACUCCAUGUAUCUAUAAAAAGGGGGCCUCCCCCCCCUAAUUUGAUAUCUCUGAAUCCAUUUUUGGGAUCCAUUUUCUGUAAUUCCUUCUCCAUCUUGUAUUUUCUUCGUAUUUUAAUAAAUUCCCAUUUUGCCCCUAGUUCAAUUAUGAGUAGCUAAUUUCCUUUCAAGCUUGGGUUGAAGGUGAAGUCUCAACAUGUGUCAUGGGCUUUAUUUGGUAAAUUUAUUUUCUUUUCCCCUCUAGUUUUUGUGGAUGAUUUGACUUAUCGUCGACAAAUAAUACUGAUCUUGUCUAGAUACCGCCUUGGUUACACCGGCUCUCUAGUAUAAGGUUAUUAUUAUUUGGCACGAUAAGCCCUUAGCACCAUGUUGAUUAGAGCGUGGUUCAUGAUGUGUGGAUUCCCCCAUCAUGAUUUAAUUGGCAUUAAUACGGAUUAUUUAGCCCAUGAUGCAUGUUGAUACGGAUCCGAAUACCCAAGUACGUCAUUUCAAAUAGAAUUAUCUUCAAUUUAUUCUCGCCAUUGCAAUUCUAAUUUUAGAAUUUAUUCUCGCCAUUUUAAUUUAAGUUUUAGCAUAUUCCAAAUCAUUUCCACCAUAAAUCCAACCACCCAUUUUGCAAAAUUAAUUCUACACAUAAUUAAAAUCCACCUCCUCGUGGGAUCGACACUCGUCACCAUUGAUCUAUACUACAAUAGAUUCGUGCGCUUGCGAGUACAUUAAAAUUUGCACAACAAGUUUUUGGCGCCGUUGCCGGGGAGGUAAGUAAUUUUAAUUCAUAGAAUUAAUUUUUGUGAAUAAUUUCUUUUAUUUGUUUUCUUGUAUUUUUUUUUCUUAUUAAAAAAGAAAAAAGAAAAAAAAGAGUAAAUCUACAUUUAAAGGUUAGUAUUUCUUUUCUUUUUCUCUUCUUUAAAAUUCUGUAAUUUAAUUUUCAAUUUAUUUUUUCUUUGUAAUUUUUGUUUAUUUUAUUAAUUUAAUUUUUAGUUAAUUUAUUUCACGUAUUUGUUUUUGUGUAUUUUUAUAGAAAGGUUGUAAUAGCGCAAUAAGGUUAGUAUCGUAAUUUCUCCCUCUUCUUUAUUUUUAUUUGUUUUGUUCCCAUCUUUAUUUUUUUGUUUUGUUUGCAUCUUUAUUUUUAUUUUUAUUUUAUUUUGCAUGCAUGGUCGUAGGUCAUUAUUACCUAAUCUUGAACCUAUAGACCUUGAAUUAGAAAAAACACUUCGCACACAAAAGCACAUUAAAAAUAAAUUUGGAAUGGAUUUACAAGCACCACAGGAGAGGCCAUUUAAGGACUAUUUUAGUCCCUUAGCUAAUUUGAGCACAUCAUGCAUUAGAUACCCAAAUGUAGCUGCUGGGAGCUUUGAACUAAAACCUAGUGUGCUAAAUUGUCUCCCCACAUUCUAUGGCUUAGAAAAUGAGGACCCAUAUAAUCAUCUGAAUGAUUUUCAUACCAUUUGUCAAACUUUUAAAUAUGAAAAUUUUUCAGACGAUGAUGUUAAACUCAGAUUAUUCCCAUUUUCUUUAAAGGAUAGAGCUCGUUCAUGGUUAAAUACUUUGCCUGCUAAUAGCAUUGCAUCAUGGGAACAAAUGGUUACAAAAUUUCUAAAUAAAUAUUUCCCAGUGCAUAAAACCAAUUCUAUUCGCAGGGAAAUUUCAGAGUUUACACAAAGAGAGGACGAGCAGUUUUUCGAAACAUGGGAGCGAUUCAAUGGGCUACUCUUGAAGUGUCCACAUCAUGGGUACGAGAAAUGGCACCAAUGCCAAUACUUUUUGGAGGGAUUACUACCAAAUGUGCAAGAAUGGCUAAUGGCAACAAGUGGAGGAGAGCUAAUGUCAAAAAGCGCAACAGAGAUUUGGGAAUUCUUCCAGCGACAAGCGGAUAAUUCCCAACAACGGAGUCGAUCACUCAGGAAUACUAGAAGAAUUAAGGGAGUAAAUGAGGUUCAAAUUGGCGAGUCAACUUCGGGAAUCAAAGAAGUCAAGGAGAUGGUUGAAGGUCUUGCUCGACAAAUAGCAUCGUUAUCGACUGCUAAAUCAACAGAACCACAUGACCAUGACUCAUACUCCGAUCAAGCCAAUGCCAUAGGUGUAAUGAGAAAGCCAUCUAAUUACAACCCAUACUCCAACACAUAUAACCCUGGAUGGAGAGACCACCCCAAUUUUUCAUGGUCUCAAGGAUUCCAACAGAAUGGACCAGCAGCUCCAGCUCCACAAAUUCCUCAAGUUCCUCAAGCCUCUCAGCCACCAUUCAGACCAUACAAUCAGAACCAGAACUACUCUCAACCCAGACCAUGGGAGGAUUCAUUCCAGAAUCUCAAGAAUCUUACUCACUCCACGAUUGAGCAACAGAACCGCACCAUUGAUGGACUACGAAAUGAGUUGAGAGCAGGCUUCAACUCACAAGCUCAAUCAGUUUCAAGCCUCGAGAAGAUGGUGGGACAACUUGCUUCUUCAGUUCAGACCUUGGCAAUGACUGUUGAGAAAGGAAAAUUUCCAAGUCAACCAGUGCCUAAUCCUAAAGGAGUGCAUGAAGCAAGUACCAGUUCACCACAACAGCAUGGAGAGGUCAAAGCAGUCAUGACCUUGCGAAAAGGAAAGGAAGUCGACAAUAAAGUGGAGAUGCCGGUGACAAAAGAAAAUCAAAUUGUACCUGUAAAUGCUGAGGACUCACCACCGGAGGAAAAAGAAGAAACCAACCCACGAGAAUACGUUCCCAAAGCUCCAUUUCCUCAGAGGUUAGUGAAAGGAAAGAAGGGAAAAAUCCACAGGUGAGAUUCUCGAAAUCUUCAAACAGGUAAGUGUUAACAUCCCUUUACUUGAUGCUAUAAAGCAAGUUCCAUCUUAUGCCAAGUUUCUUAAAGACCUUUGUACUAAAAAGAGAAAUAUGCAUGUUCAAAAGAAGGCAUUUUUAACAGAAAACGUUAGUUCUAUACUCCAACAUAAAAUUCCUUUAAAAUGCAAAGACCCAGGCUCCCCCACUAUCUCAUGUAGUAUAGGGAACCACACAAUUGAGAAUGCUUUGUUGGAUUUAGGAGCUAGUGUAAAUUUGUUGCCUUACUCUGUAUUCGUGAAACUUGGACUGGGAGAAUUACACCCAACUCCAGUGGUGUUACAACUUGCAGAUCGGUCCACAAAAAUACCUCGUGGUAUUGUGGAGGACGUGCUUAUCCAGGUAGACAAGUUUUAUUUUCCUGUUGAUUUCAUUGUAAUUGACACUCAACCAAUACAGGACUCAAGGAAGCACAUCCCCAUUAUUCUAGGCCGACCUUUCUUGGCAACUGCAGAUGCUCAUAUUCAAUGUAGGACCGGAAAUAUGCAAUUGUCCUUCGGCAACAUGACUAUGGAGCUAAACAUCUUCAACAUUGCCAAACAACCUCACAGUGCAGAUGAUGGAAUUGUUGAUGUGGAUUUAAUAGAAACCAUAGUUGAUAAUACUUUUCUUUCAAACCUUAGUGAUGAUCCUUUACAAACAUGCUUAACUCACUUUGGUUUGGAUUUUGAUAUUGAUAGAUCGGUCGAAGAGGUCAACGCCCUACUUGACUCAGCACCAUCCAUGGACACUAAUAAAUGGAAGUCAAGAGUUGAACAACUAGCACUAUCAGAGAAGAAACUCAUUCCAUCAUCAGAAUCACCACCGAAACUCGAGCUCAAACCAUUACCCAACACUCUGGAAUAUGCAUUUUUGGGAGAAGAAAGUACUCUGCCGGUAAUCAUCUCAUCAUCCCUAAAUGACGAACAAAAAGGUAAGUUGUUGGAUGUGUUAAAAGAGCACAAAGGGGCAUUAGGAUGGACCAUAGCAGACAUAAAAGGUAUAAACCCAGUAGACUGCAUGCAUUACAUUCACCUUGAUGAAAAUGCUAAAACUACUAGGGAGAUGCAACGUCGGUUAAAUCCUAACAUGAAAGAAGUUAGAACUGAAGUCCUUAAGCUAUUAGAUGCAGGUAUCAUUUACCCAAUUUCUGAUAGUUCAUGGGUCAGUCCUGUACAAGUCGUCCCCAAAAAGUCAGGAGUCACAGUAGUUACCAAUGCUGAUAAUGAAUUGAUACCAACUAGAGUAACUACAGGAUGGCGUGUAUGCAUUGAUUAUAGAAAGUUGAAUUCUGUCACACGUAAAGACCAUUUUCCUUUACCAUUUAUUGAUCAAAUGCUUGAUAGAUUAGCAGGCCAUGAAUUUUAUUGCUUUCUAGAUGGUUAUUCAGGAUAUAAUCAGAUUCCCAUAGCACCAAAAGAUCAGGAGAAAACUACUUUCACUUGCCCUUUUGGCACUUUUGCAUAUAGGAGAAUGCCAUUUGGAUUAUGUAAUGCACCUGCUACAUUCCAACGAUGCAUGUUGAGCAUUUUUUCUGAUAUGGUUGAACGAUUCCUUGAAGUCUUUAUGGAUGAUUUUUCUAUCUUUGGUGACUCGUUUGAUCAAUGUUUACAUCAUCUAACGCUAGUUCUGCAGAGAUGUACCGAGAAGAGCUUAGUCUUAAAUUGGGAGAAGUGCCAUUUUAUGGUAAAACAAGGUAUUGUUCUCGGUCACAUCAUUUCAAGCAAAGGUAUUGAGGUUGACAAAGCCAAGGUGGAUCUAAUUUCUAAUCUUCCUCCACCUAAAACAGUCAGAGAAGUAAGAUCUUUCCUUGGGCAUGCUGGUUUCUAUAGACGUUUCAUUAAAGAUUUUAGCAAAGUUUCUAGACCCUUAUGCAAUUUACUUGCUAAGGAUGUACCUUUUAUCUUUAAUGAUUCAUGUCUCAUGGCGUUUGAAAAAUUAAAGCAGUUGUUGACAUCAUCACCCAUCAUUCAGGCCCCAAACUGGAACUUACCAUUUGAGCUCAUGUGUGAUGCAUCUGAUUAUGCAGUAGGAGCAGUAUUAGGACAAAGAGUUGAUCGAAUUCCCCACGUUAUUUACUAUGCUAGUAUGACAUUGAAUGAUGCACAGUUGAAUUAUUCAACUACUGAAAAAGAAAUGCUAGCAGUAGUGUUUGCAUUAGAGAAAUUUCGAUCUUAUCUCAUUGGUUGUAAAAUAAUUAUAUUCACAGAUCAUGCUGCUCUUAAAUAUCUUCUCACAAAGAAAGAUGCAAAAGCUAGACUAAUUCGUUGGGUGUUACUUUUGCAGGAAUUUGACUUGGAAUUCAAAGAUAAGAAAGGCACAGAGAAUGUUGUAGCUGACCAUCUCUCUCGCCUCCAUUUUGAUAUAAUUAUGGAACCAUUACCAUUGAAUGAGUCAUUUCCAGAUGAACAAUUAAUGAAUGUGGAAGUAUUACCUUGGUAUGCUGAUAUAGUUAAUUAUCUUGUUACAGGUAAACUUCCAGAGCAUUGGACCAAGCAAGACAAGGCUAAAUUCUUUGCGGAAAUAAAGAAUUUCUUUUGGGAUGACCCGUAUUUGUUCAAGUAUUGUGCAGAUCAAAUUGUUAGGCGAUGUGUCCCAGAAAGUGAAAUUCAAAAUAUCCUUUCAUUCUGCCAUGAACAAGCGUGUGGAGACCAUUUUAGUGCUAAGAAAACAGCUACAAAAGUUUUACAAUGUGGUUUCUAUUGGCCAACUAUAUUUCGAGACGCUUACACUUUCUGUUCUUCAUGUGAUAGGUGUCAACGAAUGGGGAGCAUUACACGAAGGAACAUGAUGCCACUAAAUCCAAUUUUAGUGGUUGAGAUUUUUGACGUAUGGGGUAUCGACUUCAUGGGACCCUUUCCCCCUUCUUUUGGCCAUCAAUACAUAUUGGUUGGUGUUGACUACGUAUCGAAAUGGGUGGAAGCAAUUCCAUGCAGAACCAAUGAUCACAAAGUGGUGAUAGGAUUUUUGAAAAGCAACAUUGUUUCACGCUUUGGAUUCCCUCGAGCGAUAAUCAGUGAUGGUGGUGCCCACUUUUGUAACAAAGCAUUCAAGGCUCUUUUGACAAAGUAUUCAAUCACACACAAAGUGGCGACCCCGUAUCAUCCGCAAACCAGUGGCCAAGUUGAGAUCUCCAAUCGAGAAAUAAAGCACAUAUUAGAAAAGACGGUGAGACCAGACAGAAAAGAUUGGUCAUUAAGACUUGAUGAUGCAUUAUGGCAUAUAGAACGGCUUUCAAGACCCCGAUUGGGAUGUCACCCUACAGGCUAGUGUAUGGAAAAGCUUGCCACCUACCUGUGGAACUCGAGCAUCGUGCAUAUUGGGCCAUCAAGAAAUUCAACUUUGACAUGCAGCAAGCCAGCUCAGAAAGAAGAUUACAGCUGGCAGAACUUGAAGAAAUUCGCAAUGAUGCAUACGAAAAAUGCCAAGAUUUACAAGCAACGAAUGAAAGUCUUCCAUGAUAAGCAAAUUAUGAGAAAAUCGUUCACUCCAGGUCAGAAAGUGCUUUUAUUCAAUUCUCGCUUGCACCUAUUCCCAGGUAAGUUACGCUCUCGUUGGUCUGGCCCAUUUAUUGUACAUACUAUUUUUCCACAUGGGGCAAUUGAAAUUAAGGACCCAAAGAACGGUGUCACGUUUAAAGUUAAUGGUCAAAGAUUAAAGCCAUAUCUAGAGUACCAACCACAUGGAGAAAACAUCGAAAUAAAUUUGAGUGACCCACCAAAUUUGAAUUGAUUUUUUUUUCUUUUCGUUGAUUUGAUUUUUCUUUAUUUCUUUUUAUUAUUAUUCUUUUGCUAAUUGAAAUUGUUUUUGCAUAAGUGUGUUUAUUUUACCAUUAAGUUUUUCUCUUAUCAUUUUUAAUCAUGAGUCUCCUACUUAGACCGUUCCUCCUGAACAUUCUUAAACCACUUCAACGUGUCAAAACUCAUCUCAAAAGGCAGAUUCAAUUUUGUAAAACACAAACGCAUUUGGGCUCUACAACCACCAGAGUUAGUAGCAUAUGUUGAGGGUUUAGAACGCCAACUCAGAGACAUUGAGAGAAGUGUUUACGACAUCCAGUUGGAGCUUGAGGUAAAUUCAAUAAGAGGACGAUUUUAAUUUUCUUUGUGUGUUUUAAUUUGUUUUUCUGUUUGUGUGCUUUAGUUUGUUACCCCGGUGAAGUGGCGGAUAACGGUACUCCGUGACAAUCAAGUCGGUUACUUCAGUUUCCCACAAUAACUGACAUUCUGAGGCGAAAGUAUGGACAGAAAUGAGAUUCUAGCGAAGCUUCACAAGCGAUUCCCUUCACUUCCUCAGAAUGCCCUCCUUACGAUCUAUAAAGCUCGGACCGAACGCAUGCGAUUACUCAUGAAGAAUAACAUACCUGCUGACAUCUGUUGGUUAAUUGAGGCUAAAGUACGAUCAGCAGGUGAGUUACCUCCUAAAUUUAUUGCAUACAUGCCUGGUUGUGGUAAAGGAAAUUAUGCAAGAAAACGACGAGCUCGAAGAAUUUCUGUUGCUUGUCAUAAAUGUGCCAGAAUGAGUUGCGAUAGAAACCCAUGUUCUUUAGGAAUGGUGUCUGAUAACAGGGAAGAUAAGAUUCAAUUCAUUAGGGAUGGCUUGAAUAAGGAGUCAUUGGAUGAUAUCCUUUUGUCUCUUGAAACGCAUCAUAGUGGAUAUGUGCAAGGAGCGAUUCUCCAGUUAUGGCCAUUAUUCCAAAAAGAGCAUACACGAUAUAGUCUUGGGAAUCUGACUAUAAACGACCCUGUUUGCCAGUUUAUAAGAAAACUGGAUGGGAAGCCGAUCCUCGACCCAUAGAGGGCGUUCAAGCCGUUUCUGGACGUAAAACCAGAGGAAGAUGUGAGCCACAGUCGCAACUACGUGUAAAUAUCCUUUUACUUUACUGUUAUUUUAUUUCAUUUCACUGUUGUUUUAUUGUUUGCAUUAUUGUCUUUAAUAAUUUUAUUACUGUUUGCUUUUUCCUUUUUACUGUUUCCUUUUUGACUCGCGAGCCACGUGCUUUACGCGUUAUUUGACACUGACAUGUUACCUCAUUCACAGCUGUGAUCCACUGUCACCAAGAUUCUUAAAUGUGAUUUAUCUUUUGUCAAGCACUCACAAAUUUUUUGAGAAGUAUCACAAUGGCAGCUACUCCCAAUAGACAAUUCAAGAACAUUUGUGUGCUUUCUGGAUUUACCUAUGGCAAACAUAAAGAGUUCGUGAGGCAGCCAUAGAUCUUGGUCGAAGCAUAGCAGCGAGAAAAUUACAUUUGGUGUAUGGAGGAGGUAACCGAGGGUUAUCAAAAAUGGUCUCAGAAGCAGCUUUUAUCAGAGGAAGUCAAGUGUUAGGCAUCAUCCAAGAGUCCUAAAACAUUGGGCAGUUCGUCUGACUCAUCAACUGGAGAAGAGUUAGUCGUCUCAGGUAUGCAAGAAAGAAUAACUGAAAUGCUUAAUCAUGCUGAUGCUUUUAUUUUCCUUCCAGGAGAUCUUGCAACACUAGAGGCACUUAUGACACUAGCAUCUUGGGCCCAUCUGCACAUCCACCAGAAACCCAUCGGUUUGUUAAAUGUCAAUAACUUUUAUGAUGGCUUUAUCGCAUUUCUUAACCAUGCAAUAAAAAACUAUUUCAUUCCUUCUAAUGUGAAAAAACUCUUUAUUUGUGCUCACACUGCUAAUGAGCUACUUGAUAUGUUACAAGCUUAUAAACCGGAGCCAGACCCCUGGACCUUUGUGUUGGAGCGACCAAAUAAUGAUGGUAACAGUAGCCGCAGUAAGAAGUACAAAUUAGAUUUAACUCUCCGCCUGUAAAUAUUUUCUUCUGUGUUGCACCACCCAGGUGAUGUCUUCUAAACUCUACUUCUUUCCUUUAAAACAUUGAGGACAAUGUUUCGUUCUGGUUGGGGGGAGGGAAUAGUCGACAAUUGUGGAAUCUUGGUUAAGUUUUUUACUGAUUUUUUGUUGUAGAAACUAACUGUUGCUAACGUUUUGUGUUGAAGAUGGCUGAAUAUGGAGUGUAGUUACUCUAGAAACGCAUCUUCAUCGUUUAAAAAAAAAAAAAAAAAUCUGUUUUCUUCCUCUUUCUCCUUUAUAAAUAUGUAGUUUCAAAUUUUUGAGUCGAAGAUGGCUGAAUAUGGAGUGUAGUGCCUCUAGAACGCACUUCUUAGUUUAAAAAAAAAAAAAAAAAAUUCUUUUUUCUAAUUAAUUUUUCUACAUCAUUUUCACAUUUCUGCAUGCAUAUUUUCCUUUCAUGUUUAGAAUAGGUUGGGGGGUAGAAUGUUGUUUAAAAAAAAAAAAAAAAUUGUGUUAUUUGUUUAACAUUGGAUGACAUGAUUAAUUUCAAAUUUUAGUAUUUGUAUUAUCUUUGGUCUUAAGUGAUGUUACGCUAUGUUUGCUACUUUACAUGUUGAUGUCGGAGACAAAUAUGAGUUGCUUGAAGGAAUGAACAUGUCAUAAAUAAGUGCCAAGUGAGUUGUUGAGCCUAUCAUUUAUUUUAUUUGAAAUUGGAGUUAUCCCAUAUACUUUACUACUUUAGCUCUAAGAUUACAAUGUUUUUAGGCAACACUUUUAUUUUUCUCUUUCCCCCUUUUUUUGUACAUGCAUGUGGAUUAUUUUUCUCUAAGCUCCUUAAUAUUUAAGACAAAUCAUAAAAGCGAUUGAAGUAUAACAAGAUGAUCAAAUAUUUAACUAAAAAAAGAAAAAGAAAUAAAACACUGAAAAUGGAGACGUUGAUUAAUUUAGAAGAGAUCCAAGCAAAAGAUAUUCCCAAAAAGAAAAAAAGAAGAAGCAAUGUAUCCCUUUAGAGGGCAAACUUAUUAGUUUUAAAAAAGUACACGCUUUGGAUUGAUGGUUGCAGGAUAUUUGUUUUUGACACCUAUAUUAGUUGGAAAAGUCGACCGUAGUGGAGAAUGUUAUGAAAGAGAGCAAAGGAUAUUUUUAACAGUGCUCUAUUUGAUUAUACGCAUUCAUUGAAUGGAAGAUAUAUGACUGCGUUAGUUCAUCCAUGUCUGUCAAUUCGUUUUUUAUGGUUUUUUUUUUCCAGUUGUUUGUUGUAAUAGAUUGAUUGUAAAUUGAUAUUAACUUGAUGUUGUAAUAUGUUCGCUUUUGUGGAAUUAAAUUUGAAUAUUCAAGAUAUUCAAGUCUUAUCUAGUAUGUUUUCAAUUGUGUUGUCGAUAAUUUUGCAUUCGAAUAAGUUUCACCUAAAAUAUUAGCAUGAGUAGUAGUCCUUGAGACUUUGGUCAAAAUUAUUGUUAUUGUUUGUUUUAGAGGAAAUUUUUUAUUAAAGCCUCGUUAACACUAUUACUUAUUAAGAUUAUAAGUUAGUGUCGGUGCAGGAUUUGCAGCAACAAAUCUUGUCUAGCCACGUGUCAAAAGUAUAAAUAAAUCAAGGGAAAGCACAUGACAUGUUGAGCUGGCAAAACGGUCAUCGAGUCAUGUUCGUGUCGUGUCAAAUUUAGGUCGACCCAAACCCGACCCAUUUAAUAAUCGUGUCAAAAUAUUGAGACCCAAACCUGACACGAAAAAAUAAUCGGGUUACCCAAUAACCCGCUUAAUAUCUAUAUAUUAAACAAAAGUUACAUCAAAUAUUUACACUUUGUCAUACAUAUGUAUGCACAUACAUACAUACAUACAUACAUACAUACAUACAUACAUACAUACUUUAUCACUAUUAUAAAAUAUACAUAUCUACUAAAAUAUUACACACACUAUUAAGGUUUUAAUUAUAUAUAUGUAAAUAAUAUUGUAUAUCAAUAUUAUAAAAUAUACAUGUCUACCAAUAUUUUAUACAUUUAAACUAUUAAAGCUCUAAAUGUAUUUAAAAUUUUAUAAAUAAAAUAUUGUGUCUAUAUUCAUCCUUUUAAAGAAAAAAAAUUAUCUCUAAUAUUUGAGUUUUGAUGACAAGAAUCUGUAAAUUAUUUUAAAAUAAAAAAUAUAAUCGGGUCAUUAAUCGGGUAAAUGGGUCAAGAAUUUUAACCCUAACCCGACACGGAAAAAAUCGUGUUGACCCGGACCCGACCCAUUUAAUAAUCAUGUUAAAUUCGACGACCCAUACCCAUUGUUAGUGUGUGUUGUGUUCGUGUCGGAUAAUCGGGUCGUGUCAAAUUUUGCCAACUAUAAUGACAUGGAUUAGGAUCCAAUAAAAAGGAAAAGGAUAACUGUAUCCUAAAGUUUCAAUAAGAGAUACUAAGAUAUCUUUUGACUAAUGUUAUUUUUUGACUUUAUUAAUAAAAGAUCCAAUAGUUUAUAACAAAUAAAAAUAUAGUAUUAAGCUAAAUGUGAUAAUUUACACAUUUUACAUAAUUACAAUAAAAAAUAUAUUUUAAUGUUUUACAAUCUAUCAGACAUAUUUUAUUAAAUUAAUAAGAUUUUUCUUACAAAUAGCAACAUAAUAUUAAAAUAAAUUUAUAAAGAUUUAAAUGUAAAAUAAUUUUAGUAUAAUUAAUACGUGGGAUAUAUUUUGUAAAUUAUAAAUUACUUAACCCAAUGAUUUUUAAAAAUCUUUAAAAUAAAUAAAAAUAAAUUAUUCACAUUUUGAUGUAAAUAUUUAAAACAUUUUUAUACAUUUGUCCACAAUUAUUUAUGUUAUAUUUGUAUUUAUUAGAAAUUUUGAAAGUCAAAUGUUUUUCACCUCUAUCUUAUUAGAAUUAUUGCACACAGAGAAGAGCCAUAUAUGCUUUAUAGCUUAAAAUCGGUUUGUUUAUAGCUGGGAACAGAGAUGAUCAUUAUUAUAAGGAUUAAAAAAAGAUAAAGAAUAUUAAUGAUUAACGAAAUCUUUAUGGAAAUUGAAUUUAGUAAGAAAAAAAUUGAGCUGAUUUUAGUGGUAUAGUAAUAUUUUAUAUAGAGAAAAGUAAAAGUUGCACCCCGAAAUGUUCAAAACUCUUUUUUAAUUAUAAUAUUAUUUUUCCUAGAUAACUUAAAAAUUUGACUCUAAUAUUUUAUAAUAAAUAAAAACAUAUAAUCCUAAAAUAAUUAAAAUAAUAUAUAUUUUAAAAUAAUCUCAAUAUUUAAAAUAUAUUUUAACAUUUUAUAGUCUAUCAGAUAUAUUUUAUUUUUUAAAGUAAAUUUUAUAAUAAAUACAAACAUACUAUUAAAAUAGAUAUAUAAAAUUUUUAAAGUAUUUUGAAUAUUAUAUAAAAUAACUUUAAUAUUGUUAAUGCGUGAGAUGCAUUUUAUUAAUUAAAAAUUCUAUUUAACCCAAAGAUUUAUUUAUAAUAAAUUAAUAAUCAUAUUUUUAAAAUUAUUUUAAAUAUUAAAAAUAUUUUAAUAUUACUAACUAUUAGACAGACUAAACUAUUUAUAUUAUUUUCUAUUAUUAUAAAAUUUCAAAGUUAAUCUUUUUUAACUAGUAUUCAAAAGAUAUUAUGAUCAAAACAGAAUUUUUGUGUUUUUAUGAAAAAUUUAGAGUUUACAUCUAUUUUUUCAAAUAUUCGGGGUGUAAAUGUUUUUCCCUUUUAUAUAUACGAACGGUGGUGAGAAAGCAUGAUUUAACGUUAUUUAUUUAAAUAAAAUCUCAGUUAAAAAUGUAAAGAGAAGAAAUUUCUGUUGGUAUUUUAGUCUUUUACCAAUUAUCAUGAUUAGGCCUUGGCCUUGAAACAUUAAUUGUUUCACUUUUAGCGCUAGUGUCGUUGAAAGUUGUCAAAAAAAGCAAGACCAUAUUCCACAAAAGCAAAAGUAACGUAGGCUCUUUAUAAAAGGCAAAGAAAGUAUAAAGUAGUCAAGAAUCGAAUAUCCUGUCGUCUACUCUUUUUUAAAUUCUUCUUUUAUUAUCUUUUAGAAUAGUUUUUGGUAAUUACAAUCAUUAUUCAGAGUUAUUGUUAUCUUCCGGGGCAGUCUCUGUUCAUCGAAGUCGUUACCUUUUUUUUAUGGAUCAGUUCCAGUGCUAAGCAGUAAUUUUCUUAGAACUCGGAUCUUUAAUUCGAGUUUAUGUGUGAAUUAAUAAUAAAAAAUUUUCAUUACACGCAAUUUAAGCUACGAAUUACUUUUUGCAAAGUUGAAUAUGAAAUUGGAGAAAUUAAGUAAUUUAGAAUGUUGGUAAAAAUUGACAAACAUAUCUCUAAUUACAGUAAAACCUCUCUAUAGUCAUAACAUUAUAACAAAAUUAAUUUUAUUACUAUGUUGAGGUAAUAUAGGUUUAGUUACAAAUUAUUGUUUUAAUAUGGUUAGUGUCAAGUGAUAUAAAGGUUAAAUAUGCAGUACAAUGAUAAUUAAAUAAUGAAGCGUGUCAAUUCUAAUGUAUAUAUAUUAAUGAUAUAGAUAGACAUAGUUUCAAAAAACUAAUUAAUGUAUAUUUAUGUAGUGUUAUGAAUAUGGAAAGUCAAGCCUACACUUUACAUUAUCCUUAGUUUUUUCUCUUAGUUAAAUUCUACAAAUAUUGUACAAUGAUUGGGCAAGAACUCUAAAUUAAGAAUAAAUUAUUGUCACAAAUAAUUUUACAAAAUAUUUUAUUUCGUCUUAAACCUUUAAUAUAAGUAAACAUUAUAUAUAUAUAAUAUAUAUAUAUAUAUACCAGAAGGAAAUAGGAUCGAAGGAUGGGUGUGUAUUGAAGAUGCUUCUUUAUUGAUUGCUUUAAUGAAAUAAUUGGAUCGCGGUUGUUCAGAUUUUAUAUAAGAUUACCAGCUUUAGAUUAAGUAGAUUUGUUUUAGAGCAUACAAUGAUCAAACAAAUUUGAACGCGGUUGGUCAAAUUUUUAGAAUAUUUAAAGUACGUGGCGUUGUUAGACCAGAUCGAUCGCAGAAGUUAAUCUGCCUUUGGACCCAGAUCUGACUUAGAACAGAUCAAUAGUCCGCACUUCGGUUUCCAGCCUAUAUACUUUAAUAUAUUUACCAGAUAAAAUUAAGUUGUUUUUCUUUUUAAUUUUUAAUUUUACAUACACAGUACCAGAUCCGGAUCCCGGAAAUGGUGCUCUGAAGGAAUGGAGGAAGAAGAGAAGAUUUACAACUGAGGAUCGAGAUCCGGUCUCUUUGCCUCAGAGGAACGUACAAAUUUUAUGGCAGAUCUGAUAAAGACCAGUCUGCUUUGCAUGCUUUGAAAAGAAAAUUGCUUUAAAAAUAAAUUGCUUUAAUGUAAAUAUGCAUGAAAUUAAAUUGCAGAAAAGUAAAUUGCGAAAAAUUUAAAUUACAUCGAAAUUAAAUAACUGAAAUUUAAACAUACAUCUUUGCUUUGAUAGUCUUGGUCUUUACAAUUUUCAAAUCUUUCCUGAAGGGAAGAUUGAAAGACGGGAAGAUUACAAGACAGGAAUGGUUUCCUUGAUGUCUUGAUUUCCCAAGAGAGAGAGAGAGAGAGAGAGAGAUCUAGAGAGAAGGAGGAGAAGAAGAGAAAAAUGAAAAACCUGAGGAGUCUGAGUCUUCCUCUUGGUUUAUAUACAAAAUUUUGUAAACUGUUCACUGUAGCGGAGCUUUGUGCUUUUGCACUGUUUGUAGCGGAGUUUUGAGUGCACAGUAAUCUUUGGAUCGUAGCUUUGAAUAGUAGGCUGACCGUAGCUUUUGAACUACUUUGUAAAAAUUGAAAUACAUAAUGAAAUACAACACGGUGAAGAGACAUGUGCGCUCUUUGUCCAAGGGACCACCCGAGAGAAAUUACUCUUUUCUUUUUUUUUUUUUUUUUUUUUUUUUUAAGUAAUAACCAAAUAAUUAUUUACAAUGCUUUAUAGGGAAAAAAUGCCGAAACAAUCAUCUUCAUUUUCGUCUCCAAGAGAAAUGAAGGGCUCUUCAUCUUCAUCAUCGUCUUCGUCUUCAGAGGUGUCAGCUACUGAUGACUUUGAACGGGAGGCGAGGAGCUGUUCCAUUGCUUUGAAGUAUUCCUCUUCUGUCUUGGCACUUGCCAAAAGAGACUGGGCUUUGGAUUUUUGGGUUAAGAAGGUCUGUUGGGCUUUAGAGGCUUCUAGGGUUGGUUGGAGAAGGUUUUUAGAGAGAGCCAAUCUUUGAUCAUGUUAACAGUCAGUUUGGACUGUUCAUCAAAUUUGACCACCAUUUGACUUUAAAGGUUCUUUGAAGGAUGACUUGGGAAUCUUGAGUAUGAAAACGGAGGUUCCACAUCCAGACCCAUGGUAGGAAGAAGUUUGUACAAAAACAGAGAAAAGGGGGAAAUCUUUUCUCUGAGUCAGGGUAUAGUGGGCUUUAAAGAGGUUUAGGCAAUUUAUGGCAUUUGGAGUGAGGAUUUGAGGUAUUAAAGAAAUUGAUACCAGUUGGAAGGCUUUGGACGGUUUUUAGGUUAAAGAAAAAUAACCAAGAAUGGGAUUUUUUAGGGUUUUGAAUAAAAAAGGUGUUAUACCAUGCUUGUUGGUAAUCCCAGUAGGAGAAAGUCCGACAAUGUGGUAAACGGGUUUCAAAGUUUAAAGGAAAGGUUUUGAAAUUGUGGAGUAGGUCGCCCACUGGUUGGCUCAAAACUUUUAGAAUCGUGAAUAGGCCGGUUCAGAAUGGGUUUUAUCAAGAAAGAAAUGUUUGAAUUUAACUGAUUCAGUUAUUUCUAAAAUGCUUUGAUAAUAAGACUGGGGUUUUGUCAAAUCCCAUGGUUUGAAAAACCAGCCUUUGGGAAAAAACUUUGAAAUGCUUUGAAAAGGAUCAGUAUGGUAAAAUCCAUCUUCCAUAGAAAGAAUAUUUUGAAAAUGGGUUUUAUCAAACCAAUCGGAGGUUUUCUUUGAAAGGUGUUGGCUGAGAAAGCACAAUUUGGGAAGAUGAGCUUUCGGCAGAGACAACAACAUUUUGAGAGGAGGGUUUUGUAAUUUCUUUAGAUGUGGAUAUGCUCUUAAUUCUUUUUGAGGAGAAUUUUGGCUCUGGGAAAGGUUUUGUAGAGCGAGCAUGAGCUCGGGAGAUUUUGUAAUGGAACUCAUCCAAUGCUUUACUUGAUCAUCAGAAGAGAUGGGUUUGUAUUGGGCUUCAUGUUCUUCAACCAAUUCAAUCCAUGAUUUGAUGGUAGGGCAGAAGAAAGUAAUUUUUCUUUAGAAGGGUUGACUGGGGUUCUUUGGAAGGUUCUUGAGAUCCGGAACUUUUGAGAACAGCUUUACCUUUGUCUUUCUUUAGCGGCAUUAUCUGUUUUGAAGAAAUUCUCUGGUUAGAAAAUCAGGAACAGAAUUUUUAUCACCUUUAAUGAAUUCUUAUUCAAAAUCAAAAACACUCAAAAAUAGCUUGCCAACGUGCAAAAAUUUGUUUUGAUGCAAUGUUUUGAACAUCCUUUCUAAAACAUGUUUUGCAGCUUUGCAAUCAAUUCUAAGUAAAAAUUUUUGAUUUAAUAAAUCACUUUGAAAUUUUGUAAUGCAUAAAACAAUGGAAAGAAUUUCUUUUUAUAGUAGAAUAAUUUUUCUGACAAUCAUUCCAAUGUGCAGAAACAUAUUGUACUAUCUGUUCUCUAUCAUUUUCUUUUUGUUUUAAUAUACCUCCAUAUCCUAAAUCAGAUGCAUCAGUUUCAACAAUUUUAGGGAAUGCAGGAUUUGCAAGAUAUAGACAUGGGAUGCUUUUAACAGAACUCUUUAUUAAUUUAACAGCUUUAGUAUGUUCAUCUGUCCAUGGAGCAGGUUUUUUCUUUAAACGAUCAUGCAAAGGUUUAGACAACCUAUUGAUAUUGGGACAGAAAUCAAGAACAUAAUUUAGGCUACCAAGAAAUCUUUGUAAUGAGUUUUGUCAAGGAUUUUAUCAGGGAAUUUAUCAGCAAAUAAAAGUGAUCUUUCAAUAGGGGUGAUUGUUCCUUUUGAAAUAUGUGACCAAGAAAUCUUUUUUUUUGAAAUAAUGAAAUCUUUGAACUAGAAAGGGCUAGUCCAGCCUUUUUUGUAGCAAAAUAAAAAGUCUUUAAAUGUUUGAAAUGUUGAUCGAUUGAAUUUGAAAAUAUCAAACAUCAUCAAUAUAAACAAUGCAAAAAUCAGAAUAAGGAUUAUAAAUAUCAUUCAUAAUUCUUUGAAAUUCUGAGGGUGCAUUCUUUAAACCAAAGGGCAUAACAGUCCAUUCGUAUUGUCCAAAUGGAACAGUGAAAGCGGUUUUGUAACGGUCAUUUGGAUGAAUUUGAAUUUGCCAAAAAACCCGAUUUCAUGUCGAUUUUGAAAAAAUAAAGGCAGAACAGAGUUUUUGGAGUAAAUCUUUUUUAUUAGGUAUAGGAUACCUAAUCCAUUUUAAAGCUUUAUUCAAAGGUUUGUAGUUUAUAACUAGUCUUGGAGUGCCUCUUUCAAUUUCGGAGUUUUGUUAACAUAAAAAGCAGCACAAGACCAAGGAGACCUGGAUUUUACAAUGAGUCCUUUAGACUCCAAGUCUUUGAUUUCAUUUUUACAAUGUUUUUCUAAAUCCAUAUUCAUUUGAAUUGGACGAGCUUUGGUCGGAAUCUGUUUUUCAUCAAAAGAAUUUUCAUAAGGCAGGUCUACUAAAUGUUGUUUUCUAUUCCAAAAAGCAGAAGGUAGAUCAGCACAAAUUUCUUUUUCAAUAAGAGUUUUGAAAUCAGAAAUUUUUCUUUUAAUGAAAUCACUUUGUAAUUGGCUUUCAACUCUUUGUAAGUUCAAAUCUUUUUGUAAAAACAUUAGAUCACACUGUUUUGAUUUAAGUAAAUUGUUUGAUAAAUAGAACAGGCUUUAACAAUAUUUAAUUUCUUUUUAGGUUUUUCAAUAAAAGGGAAACAAGUUUCUUCUUGUUUUUUGCUUUGAAAGAUAUACUAUCAUAAUUGACAGUAUACGGAGUUAUGAGAUUUAUAAAAGGAGUUCCCAAAUAAUGGCAUGAUGAAUAUCAUUUGUGAGAACAAAGGAAGUUUUAAAAUCAAAACCAUCAUUAUAGAUCGAGGCUUCAACCUUGGAACUGACAUUCAAUUUUGAAUUAUUGGCGGCAGAAAGCCUUUCUUUUGUUUUUUCAUGAAAUCUUUUGGGGACGAUAUCUUCUCUAAUGCAAUUUAAAUCGGCGCCAGUAUCAAAAGGGCAAUGGCAUCCAUCGCAAAAUCAUCAGAAAAGAUUAGAGUGACUUUAAUCAAAUACUUUCUUGUGGUGAUUUGUUUUAGAACAAAUAGAAAAUCAUUGGGUACAGACUCAAUAUUUUCUACUUUAAUAUCAUCACCAUCAAUAUCAGGACUGGAUUCAUUGUCUGAAUUAUCCUGUAAUUGCUUUUGUAAAAGAAGUUGAAUAAUAUCAGAAUCACUUUUUUGUUUUUCUUUUAAAUCUCUGAUUUCACUUUUGAUUUCUUUUUAUCUCUUUCUGAAGAUCUUGGAUAUUAGGAAAUCUUUUUUGUUUUCUUCUUAUCCAAAAUUUGAGUAAGAUCAUAAGAAUUCUUUUUAAUAAUUGGGACUCUAGAAGUCUCGGCUUUAUUAAAAUCCAAUGUUUUCAAAAAGUUUAUCAAGGUAUUCCUUUUGAAGAUUUGGAUCAGAAAUAUGCUUUACAAGUUCAAGAAAAGUUUCUUGGUCUUUAGUCAAAACAUUGAUUUUCUUUAAAAAUGAAUCAGAUUCAGAAUCACUACUGCUAGAUGCAGAGUCAUCUGAGUCAAAAAGCUCAUCAACUUGGUAAGGGUCACUGUCUCCCGACAUGGAAGACUCAGAAUCAGAAGAUUCGACAGAAGAGGGGCUAUUUUAGAAAGGAUGUCCUCAUUGAGGUCAAGUUCUUGGAGUCUUUUGUUCAUUCUGCAAAAUUUUGCAGUAUGACCUUUCAUACCACAUUUGAAACAUGUGGCCUCCUUGAAGUUGAAUGGGGUAUUAGGUUUGGCUUUGAAAUCUUUCUUUUUAGAGAAACUAUGUCUCUUAUAAGGCUUCGAAGGUUUCUUAUAAGGAAGUUUUCUAAAAUCACGAAGGGUUUCUAAAAUGUUUAGAUUUGUAAUGUUUCUUUACGAGGUUUUGUAGAACACUCUCCAUUACAAUCUUUGGAAGUUUUAAAGGGGUCAUAAUUGAAUUGCUUACAGAAACCGCCUAAUUCCUGUUUAGACUUCUUAAGCUCCCACUUAAGACGUUUCUGUAAUUUCAAAUCUUGACAAAUCUUUAAACCUUCUUUGUUGACAAAACUGACUAGUUCACCAUAGGUGAGCUCGUCAUAAGGAAUACGGUUAUCGUAAAGGGCUUUGAUGGAAUUUCUUACCUUUUCACCUAAAAGGGUAGGUAAUCCAGCAAAAAUUUUCUUUCCAAGUAAUAUGAUUUGCAUCAUCCCUUAGAAAUAGUCUGGUAAGGAAAGAGGUUUUGUAACUCUGAAAUUCACUAAGUUUUCUACAUCUCAAAUUAUGUAGUAACUCAGCGUUUUUAUCACGAAGGUGAGAAGGGUCACCGAUGAAAUGGAGGGAAAUGGUUAGAAUAAGAGUAGCAACAGCAUCCUGGAUAGGGUUGUUGAACUCAUCAAGAAUAGAGGCUCCAUUUUCAUCUUUUGGACGGAAUUUAGAAUGUCAAAUUGUUGCUGAUUAGUGAGAAGAUGAUCCCACCAACCUUUUAGUUGACCAGUAAAACCAGCAAUUAGGAUUUCCGAUAUGGCACGAUCAGAAGUUCCUGCUUGGGUUUUAUAAGCAUUAGCUGCCAUUGUCAUUUGUUGCAACAAUCCAAGGAUAUUGUACUCAGACAUGCCGUCAAUAUUCCACUCAUAGACUGAAGAUGCAUUAUAACGGGAUUGAUUUAAUGCACUAGGUCUAUUAUCUAUUGCUAGAUCUGGUGGGGUCUUGACAGUGGGAAGGGCUAAUUCCAGUGGAUUUUGUUGGCUUUAGGAGUAGAAGGUUCUUCUUUGAAAGCUUCUAAGUCAGAAGAGGCUAGAACUCUGGUCAUCUAGAUCCAAUACUCCAAUCUUGCUAGAUUGGGGGGUAUCGGGGGCUAUCUGGAGUUUGCUAGACGAGGAAGAAGCAGCUUCUAUCCUCUCUAGUUGUUCUCUAAUGGCUUUAGCAAAAUCUGAUUUUGACUCUUGAACAAGCCUUUGGCUAGUUUUCGAAACCUGAAAAGGUUUGAAAAUAGGUUCCUUAAGCUUUUUGUCAGAAUCCGAUUUUGAAGGAAUAGACAUAGGAAUAGGAGAAACAGAUAUAUAGGAGAUUUUUGAAAUUGGUUUUUCUAUACGAGCCAAUUGCUUUCCAAUUGUAUUUAAGUUAGUAUUACAGAAAUUAUUCUGUUGUAUAAUACUACUUAAAUUCGCAUCAGAAUCAUUUGGUCUUGGGAUUUUGUAAGGGGAUGCUUUAAUCUCAAUAGGAGGUUCACCAUGAUCUAUGGUUAUACUCCUAAGAGGUGGAUGAUCAGACUCUAUAUCCUAUCAUUAUCAGAAAGUUUCCAUUCAGGAAUUUUCUUUCUAAUAGUUAUAGGGUUUGACUCUUUAAAAGGAUAAUCAAUAUUGUUCUCAGAAGAAUAUAUUUCGAACCAAUCAAAAAACAAUAUAUGAACUUUAUGAAAAUUCACAAAUUCAUAAUAAGUUUGUUGGAUUUCUUUUCUUUGGUUUAAAAAAUGUUUAAAAAACCAAGUUCUUUUUUCUUUAUUUAUUUCUGAAUAAAAAUCGUUAUGCAGAAAGGCUUUAUCUAAUUCAAAUUCUUUUUCAAUGACAUUAAUGACAUUUUCUGUGACAGCAGAAAACGUAGGAGAUGUUGGAGGAGAAGGUUCCUUCUCUUCCUGUCUUUGCACAUGUUGACUACUAGUGUAUAUAGGAUGAGGAACACUUGUGGCAUAGUCAACGGAACGGAUGGAGGAGCUAGGUAUAUCCGAAGUGGAAAACCUAGGUUGGCUCUGAUAUGGGAGAUUUAUAACAGAAGGUACUUUUGUAAACUUCCUUUCUAGUGAAGGAAUGCUUGGGCUCGAUUCUUUUUCAGAAAAUCUAUGUGAGGUAGACCUUCUGAAUGAUAGUUUGACUUUACCAUCGGAAUACUGGGUCACAUUUUGUAACUCUGUAUUUGGCUCAAGUUGUUUCGGAAUCGCCGGUGGGGCGGCUCCUUCGAGGAUCCAUUCAUCUGGAAGAUGGAUAUCUUUCCAUUGGAUCGAUUUUGGAAUGACCAUGUUGGCUUUAGACAAAUCAGUCUGCAAGAGAAGGGUCUCAUCUCUCUUCGACUGGUAUUUAUGCUGGGUGUGCUAAAUGCAGAAAUCAUGGCUUUAUAGGAAAUUUUAAAAAUUAAUGCAACUGGGAUGGAUCCCUUAAUCAUGUGAUAAUUAUGGGUUUUGGAUUUGUAAAAUCAUGCUCUUUAAAAUAUUUUUGUCUUUAAGAGAAAUUGUUAUAUUGUUAAAGCAGUGCCAAGGGGAGGUUUUUGGCACUCCCUUUUGGCUUAAGGCGCUUACCACUCGCCCUUAAAAGCUUAAGCUGUUAGGGAAGGCGCUACUUUUAUACGGUUAAGCGCCACCCGGACCAAACCAGGUAACGUCUCCACGUUAUGCCACGACAUCGUGACCCCAUCUCGGCCCCACAAGCGCGGGGUAGGUGUAUAGGAGUCACCACAAGGGUGCGGGCCCCAGUUCCAGUACUGGGAUAAUAUAUUAAGCCAUUCCUCCCCCCGAGUUUCGAACCCUGGCUGGCUCUGAUACAACUUAAGGCGCUUACCACUCGCCCUAAAAGCUUAAGCUGUUAGGGGAAGGCGCUACUUUAUACUUAAGCGCCACCCGGACCAAACCAGGUAACGUCUCCACGUUAUGCCACGACAUCGUGACCCCUUCAGAUUUUAUAUAAGAUUACCAGCUUUAGAUUAAGUAGAUUUGUUUUAGAGCAUACAAUGAUCAAACAAAUUUGAACGCGGUUGGUCAAUUUUUAGAAUAUUUAAAGUACGUGGCGUUGUUAGACCAGAUCGAUCGCAGAAGUUAAUCUGCCUUUGGACCCAGAUCUGACUUAGAACAGAUCAAUAGUCCGCACGUUCGGGUUUCCAGCCUAUAUACUUUAAUAUAUUUACCAGAUAAAAUUAGUUGCUUUAAACGUGGUUGUUUCUUUUUUAUUGGGCUAAUUCCAGAUUUAAAUUAGAUUCUUUAAGGGGCUUGGGUACAUACACAGUACCAGAUCCGGAUCCCGGAAAUGGUGCUCUGAAGGAAUGGAGGAAGAAGAGAAGAUUUACAACUGAGGAUCGAGAUCCGGUCUCUUUGCCUCAGAGGAACGUACAAAUUUAUGGCAGAUCUGAUAAAGACCAGUCUGCUUUGCAUGCUUGAAAAGAAAAUUGCUUUAAAAAAUAAAUUGCUUUAAUGUAAAUAUGCAUGAAAUUAAAUUGCAGAAAAGUAAAUUGGCGAAAAUUUAAAUUACAUCGAAAUUAAAUAACUGAAAUUUAAACAUACAUCUUUGCUUUGAUAGUCUUGGUCUUUACAAUUUUCAAAUCUUUCCUGAAGGGAAGAUUGAAAGACGGGAAGAUUACAAGACAGGAAUGGUUUCCUUGAUGUCUUGAUCCAGACUUCCCAAGAGAGAGAGAGAGAGAGAGAGAGAUCUAGAGAGAAGGAGGAGAAGAAGAGAAAAAUGAAAAACCUGAGGAGUCUGAGUCUUCCUCUUGGUUUAUAUACAAAAUUUUGUAAACUGUUCACUGUAGCGGAGCUUUGAGUGCACAGUAAUCUUUGGAAUUUUGCACUGUUCACUGUAGCGGAGUUUUGAGUGCACAGUAAUCUUUGGAUCGUAGCUUUGAAUAGUAGGCUGACCGUAGCUUUGAACAGUAGACUACUUUGUACAAAAAUUGAAAUACAUAAUGAAAUACAACACGGGUGAAGAGACAUGUGCGCUCUCACUUGUGUCCAAGGGACCACCCGAGAGAAAAUUACUCUUUUUUUUUUUUUUUUUUUUUUUUUUUUUUUUUUUUAAAGUAAAUAACCAAAAUAAUUAUUUACAAUGCUUUAUAGGAGAAAAAAUGCCGAAACAAUCAUCUUCAUUUUCGUCUCCAAGAGAAAUGAAGGGCUCUUCAUCUUCAUCAUCGUCUUCGUCUUCAGAGGUGUCAGCUACUGAUGACUUUGAACGGGAGGCGAGGAGCUGUUCCAUUGCUUUGAAGUAUUCCUCUUCUGUCUUGGCACUUGCCAAAAGAGACUGGGCUUUGGAAUUUUUUGGGUUAAGAAGGUCUGUUGGGCUUUAGAGCUUUUAGGGUUGGUUGGAGAAGGUUUUUAGAGGAGAGCCAAUCUUUGAUCAUGUUAACAGUCAGUUUGGACUGUUCAUCAAAUUUUGACCACCAUUUGACUUUAAAGGUUCUUUGAAGGAUGACUUGGGAAUCUUGAGUAUGAAAACGGAGGUUCCACAUCCAGACCCAUGGUAGGAAGAAGUUUGUACAAAAACAGAGAAAGGGGGAAAUCUUUUCUCUGAGUCAGAGGCAUAUAGUGGGCUUUAAAGAGGUUUAGGCAAUUUAUGGCAUUUGGAGUGAGGAUUUGAGGUAUUGGGCCAAAGAAAUUCCACCAAUGAUGGAACCAGUUUGGAAGGCUUUGGACGGUUAUUUUAGGGUUAAAGAAAAAUAACCAAGAAUGGGAUUUUUUUAGGGUUUUGAAUAAAAAAGGUGUUAUACCAUGCUUGUUGGUAAUCCCAGUAGGAGAAAGUCCGACAAUGUGGUAAACGGGUUUCAAAGUUUAAAGGAAAGGUUUUGAAAUUGUGGAGUAGGUCGCCCCACUGGUUCGGGCUCAAAACUUUUAGAAUCGUGGCCGUGGAAUAGGCCGGUUCAGAAUGGGUUUUAUCAAGAAAGAAAUGUUUGAAUUUAACUGAUUCAGUUAUUUCUAAAAUGCUUUGAUAAUAAGACUGGGGUUUUGUCAAAUCCCAUGGUUUUGAAAAACCAGCCUUUGGGAAAAACUUUGAAAUGCUUUGAAAAGGAUCAGUAUGGUAAAAUCCAUCUUCCAUAGAAAGAAUAUUUUGAAAAUGGGUUUUAUCAAACCAAUCGGAGGUUUUCUUUGAAGGUGUUGGCUGAGAAAGCACAAUUUGGGAAGAUGAGCUUUCGGCAGAGACAACAACAUUUUGAGAGGAGGGUUUUGUAAUUUCUUUAGAUGUGGAUAUGCUCUUAAUUUCUUUUUGAGGAGAAUUUUGGCUCUGGGAAAGGUUUUGUAGAGCGAGCAUGAGCUCGGGAGAUUUUGUAAUGGAACUCAUCCAAUGCUUUACUUGAUCAUCAGAAGAGAUGGGUUUGUAUUGGGCUUCAUGUUCUUCAACCAAUUCAAUCCAUGAUUUGAUGGUAGGGCAGAAGAAAGUAAUUUUUCUUUAGAAGGGGUUGACUGGGUUCUUUUGGAAGGUUCUUGAGAUCCGGAACUUUUGAGAACAGCUUUACCUUUGUCUUUCUUUAGCGCAUUAUCUGUUUUGAAGAAAUUCUCUGGUUAGAAAAUCAGGAACAGAAUUUUUUAUCACCUUUAAUGAAUUCUAUAUCAAAAUAAAAAACACUCAAAUAGCUUGCCAACGUGCAAAAAUUUGUUUUGAUGCAAUGUUUGAACAUCCUUUUCUAAAACAUGUUUUGCAGCUUUGCAAUCAAUUCUAAGUAAAAUUUUGAUUUAAUAAUCACUUUGAAAUUUUGUAAUGCAUAAAACAAUGGAAAGAAUUUCUUUUUUAAUAGUAGAAUAAUUUUUUCUGACAAUCAUUCCAAUGUGCAGAAACAUAUUGUACUAUCUGUUCUCUAUCAUUUUCUUUUUGUUUUAAUAUACCUCCAUAUCCUAAAUCAGAUGCAUCAGUUUCAACAAUUUUUAGGGAAUGCAGGAUUUGCAAGAUAUAGACAUGGGAUGCUUUUAACAGAACUCUUUAUUAAUUUAACAGCUUUAGUAUGUUCAUCUGUCCAUGGAGCAGGUUUUUCUUUAAACGAUCAUGCAAAGGUUUAGACAACCUAUUGAUAUUGGGAACAGAAAUCAAGAACAUAAUUUAGGCUACCAAGAAAUCUUUGUAAUUGAGUUUUGUCAAGGAUUUUAUCAGGGAAUUUAUCAGCAAAUAAAAGUGAUCUUUCAAUAGGGGUGAUUGUUCCUUUUGAAAUAUAGUGACCAAGAAAUCUGAUUUUCGUUUGAAAUAAUGAAAUCUUUGAACUAGAAAGGGCUAGUCCAGCCUUUUUUUGUAGCAAAAUAAAAAGUCUUUAAAUGUUUGAAAUGUUGAUCGAUUGAAUUUGAAAAUAUCAAAACAUCAUCAAUAUAAACAAUGCAAAAAUCAGAAUAAGGAUUAUAAAUAUCAUUCAUAAUUCUUUGAAAUUCUGAGGGUGCAUUCUUUAAACCAAAGGGCAUAACAGUCCAUUCGUAUUGUCCAAAUGGAACAGUGAAAGCGGUUUUGUAACGGUCAUUUGGAUGAAUUUGAAUUUGCCAAAAACCCGAUUUCAUGUCGAAUUUUGAAAAAAUAAAGGCAGAACAGAGUUUUUGGAGUAAAUCUUUUUUAUUAGGUAUAGGAUACCUAAUCCAUUUUAAAGCUUUAUUCAAAGGUUUGUAGUUUAUAACUAGUCUUGGAGUGCCUCUUUCAAUUUCGGAGUUUUUGUUAACAUAAAAAGCAGCACAAGACCAAGGAGACCUGGAUUUUACAAUGAGUCCUUUAGACUCCAAGUCUUUGAUUUCAUUUUUACAAUGUUUUUCUAAAUCCAUAUUCAUUUGAAUUGGACGAGCUUUGGUCGGAAUCUGUUUUUCAUCAAAAGAAUUUUCAUAAGGCAGGUCUACUAAAUGUUGUUUUCUAUUCCAAAAAGCAGAAGGUAGAUCAGCACAAAUUUCUUUUUCAAUAAGAGUUUUGAAAAUCAGAAAUUUUUCUUUUAAUGAAAUCACUUUGUAAUUGGCUUUCAACUCUUUGUAAGUUCAAAAUCUUUUUGUAAAACAUUAGAUCACACUGUUUUGAUUUAAGUAAAUUGUUUAUUCUAUUUUGAUAAAUAGAACAGGCUUUAACAAUAUUUAAAUUUCUUGUUUUAGGUUUUUCAAUAAAAGGGGAAAACAAGUUUCUUGUUUUUUGCUUUGAAAGAUAUACUAUCAUAAUUGACAGUAUACGGAGUUAUGAGAUUUAUAAAAGGAGUUCCCAAAAUAAUGGCAUGAUGAAUAUCAUUUGUGAGAACAAAGGAAGUUUUAAAAAUCAAAACCAUCAUUAUAGAUCGAGGCUUCAACCUUGGAACUGACAUCAAUUUUGAAUUAUUGGCGGCAGAAAGCCUUUCUUUUGUUUUUUCAUGAAAUCUUUUGGGGACGAUAUCUUCUCUAAUGCAAUUUAAAUCGGCGCCAGUAUCAAAAAGGGCAAUGGCGUCCAUCGCAAAAUCAUCAGAAAAGAUUAGAGUGACUUUAAUCAAAUACUUUCUUGUGGUGAUUUGUUUUAGAACAAAUAGAAAAUCAUUGGGUACAGACUCAAUAUUUUCUACUUAAUAUCAUCACCAUCAAUAUCAGGACUGGAUUCAUUGUCUGAAUUAUCCUGUAAUUGCUUUUGUAAAAGAAGUUGAAUAAUAUCAGAAUCACUUUUUUUGUUUUUCUUUUAAAUCUCUGAUUUCACUUUUGAUUUCUUUUAUCUCUUUCUGAAGAUCUUGGAUAUUAGGAAUCAUCUUUUUUGUUUUCUUCUUAUCCAAAAUUUGAGUAAGAUCAUAAGAAUUCUUUUUAAUAAUUGGGACUCUAGAAGUCUCGCUUUAUUAAAAUCCAAUGUUUUCAAAAGUUUAUCAAGGUAUUCCUUUUGAAGAUUUGGAUCAGAAAUAUGCUUUACAAGUUCAAGAAAAGUUUCUUGGUCUUUAGUCAAAACAUUGAUUUUCUUUAAAAAUGAAUCAGAUUCAGAAUCACUACUGCUAGAUGCAGAGUCAUCUGAGUCAAAAAGCUCAUCAACUUGGUAAGGGUCACUGUCUCCCGACAUGGAAGAUCAGAAUCAGAAGAUUCGACAAGAAGAGGGGCUAUUUUAGAAAGGAUGUCCUCAUUGAGGUCAAGUUCUUGGAGUCUUUUGUUCAUUCUGCAAAAUUUUGCAGUAUGACCUUUCAUACCACAUUUGAAACAUGUGGCCUCCUUGAAGUUGAAUGGGGUAUUAGGUUUGGCUUUGAAAUCUUUCUUUUUAGAGAAACUAUGUCUCUUAUAAGGCUUCGAAGGUUUCUUAUAAGGAAGUUUUCUAAAAUCACGGAAGGGUUUUCUAAAAUGUUUAGAUUUGUAAUGUUUCUUACGAGGUUUUUGUAGAACACUCUCCAUUACAAUCUUUGGAAGUUUUAAAGGGGUCAUAAUUGAAUUGCUUACAGAAACCGCCUAAUUCCUGUUUAGACUUUCUUAAGCUCCCACUUAAGACGUUUCUGUAAUUUCAAAUCUUGACAAAAUCUUUAAACCUUCUUUGUUGACAAAACUGACUAGUUCACCAUAGGUGAGCUCGUCAUAAGGAAUACGGUUAUCGUAAAGGGCUUUGAUGGAAUUUCUUACCUUUUCACCUAAAAGGGUAGGUAAUCCAGCAAGAAAUUUUUCUUUCCAAGUAAUAUGAUUUGCAUCAUCCCUUAGAAAUAGUCUGGUAAGGAAAGAGGUUUUGUAACUCUGAAAUUCACUAAGUUUUCUACAUCUCAAAUUAUGUAGUAACUCAGCGUUUUUAUCACGAAGGUGAGAAGGGUCACCGAUGAAAUGGAGGGAAAUGGUUAGAAUAAGAGUAGCAACAGCAUCCUGGAUAGGGUUGUUGAACUCAUCAAGAAUAGAGGCUCCAUUUUCAUCUUUUUGGACGGAAUUUAGAAUGUCAAAUUGUUGCUGAUUAGUGAGAAGAUGAUCCCACCAACCUUUAGUUGACCAGUAAAACCAGCAAUUAGGAUUUCCGAUAUGGCACGAUCAGAAGUUCCUGCUUGGGUUUUAUAAGCAUUAGCUGCCAUUGUCAUUUGUUGCAACAAUCCAAGGAUAUUGUACUCAGACAUGCCCGUCAAUAUUCCACUCAUAGACUGAAGAUGCAUUAUAACGGGAUUGAUUUAAUGCACUAGGUCUAUUAUCUAUUGCUAGAUCUGGUGGGGUCUUGACAGUGGGAAGGGCUAAUUCCCAGUGGAUUUUGUUGGCUUUAGGAGUAGAAGGUUCUUCUUUGAAAGCUUCUAAGUCAGAAGAGGCUAUAGAACUCUGGUCAUCUAGAUCAAUACUCCAAUCUUGCUAGAUUGGGGGGUAUCGGGGGCUAUCUGGAGUUUGCUAGACGAGGAAGAAGCAGCUUCUAUCCUCUCUAGUUGUUCUCUAAUGGCUUUAGCAAAUCUGAUUUUGACUCUUGAACAAGCCUUUGGCUAGUUUUCGAAACCUGAAAAGGUUUGAAAAUAGGUUCCUUAAGCUUUUUGUCAGAAUCCGAUUUUGAAGGAAUAGACAUAGGAAUAGGAGAAACAGAUAUAGGAGAUUUUUGAAAUUGGUUUUCUAUACGAGCCAAUUGCUUUCCAAUUGUAUUUAAGUUAGUAUUACAGAAAUUAUUCUGUUGUAUAAUACUACUUAAAUUCGCAUCAGAAUCAUUUGGUCUUGGGAUUUUUGUAAGGGGAUGCUUUAAUCUCAAUAGGAGGUUCACCAUGAUCUAUGGUUAUACUCCUAAGAGGUGGAUGAUCAGACUCUAUAAUCCUAUCAUUAUCAGAAAGUUUCCAUUCAGGAAUUUUCUUUCUAAUAGUUAUAGGGUUUGACUCUUUAAAAGGAUAAUCAAUAUUGUUCUCAGAAGAAUAUAUUUCGAACCAAUCAAAAAACAAUAUAUGAACUUUAUGAAAAUUCACAAAUUCAUAAUAAGUUUGUUGGAUUUCUUUUCUUUGGUUUAAAAAAUGUUUAAAAAACCAAGUUUCUUUUUUCUUUAUUUAUUUCUGAAUAAAAAUCGUUAUGCAGAAAGGCUUUAUCUAAUUCAAAUUCUUUUUUCAAUGACAUUAAUGACAUUUUCUGUGACAGCAGAAAACGUAGGAGAUGUUGGAGGAGAAGGUUCCUUCUCUUCCUGUCUUUGCACAUGUUGACUACUAGUGUAUAUAGGAUGAGGAACACUUGUGGCAUAGUCAACGGAACGGAUGGAGGAGCUAGGUAUAUCCGAAGUGGAAAACCUAGGUUGGCUCUGAUAUGGGAGAUUUAUAACAGAAGGUACUUUUGUAAACUUCCUUUCUAGUGAAGGAAUGCUUGGGCCUCGAUUCUUUUUCAGAAAAUCUAUGUGAGGUAGACCUUCUGAAUGAUAGUUUGACUUUACCAUCGGAAUACUGGGUCACAUUUUGUAACUCUGUAUUUGGCUCAAGUUGUUUCGGAAUCGCCGGUGGGGCGGCUCCUUCGAGGAUCCAUUCAUCUGGAAGAUGGAUAUCUUUCCAUUGGAUCGAUUUUGGAAUGACCAUGUUGGCUUUAGACAAAUCAGUCUGCAAGAGAAGGGUCUCAUCUCUCUUCGACUGGUAUUUAUGCUGUGUGCUAAUGCAGAAAUCAUGGCUUUAUAGGAAAUUUUUAAAAAUUAAUGCAACUGGGAUGGAUCCCUUAAUCAUGUGAUAAUUAUGGGUUUGGAUUUGUAAAAUCAUGCUCUUUAAAAUAUUUUUGUCUUUAAGAGAAAUUGUUAUAUUUGGAUAACAAUCAAAAGAUAUGGGACUUUACAUAGACUAGAUUCGAUACUACUUAGUAAAGAAUCAUCAAAAGAGAUGAAUCGCCCAUCUCUAAGAACAGCAAGGAUAGAGGUAUCCAAGCCUUCUUUGGUCAAAGGUUUUAUUCCUACUUGGAUUAAACCAAUGUGAAUAUAUUUGAAAUUCUUUUCUUUUAAUUUCUUUAAAGAUUUUUCUGAAAACAAAUAAAUUGUUUCAAAAGGCUCCGAAAGAGUUAUGUCUCUUUCUUCAGUUUUUAUAAUAUAAUCAUGUUUUAAAAGAUCAAGCAUUUUUGUUUUGUAAAUCUUUUCUUUGGAAAUUUUUGGAAGUUCCCAACAAUCAAUUGCUUUAUCAAAGUUUUCAAUAACGAAUUCUUCUGAACUCACAACAUGCUUUGAAUCACUAGUCUUCCCGGAAGAAGAGCUAGAAAAGGACGAUGUUCUACAGUGUAGAGGGUUCAUGGGUAAAAACCUAUGAUCUAUUUAGUGGUUUUGAAAGAAUGGCUACAGGUAUGGUUUUACAGCCCUAAACGGAAAACUUAUCCUUAGACGGGACUUACUACCAGUAAAAAUUCACCACAAAAACAAAACUUCAAAAUAAAAACACAAGUUUUCAAAACACAAAACUCUAAACUGCUUUACACAAUCCUCCCCUUGGCUCUGAUACCAGAAGGAAAUAGAUCGAAGGAUGGGUGUGUAUUGAAGAUGCUUCUUUAUUGAUUGCUUUAAUGAAAUAAUUGGAUCGCGGUUGUUCAGAUUUUAUAUAAGAUUACCAGCUUUAGAUUAAGUAGAUUUGUUUUAGAGCAUACAAUGAUCAAACAAAUUUGAACGCGGUUGGUCAAAUUUUAGAAUAUUUAAAGUACGUGGCGUUGUUAGACCAGAUCGAUCGCAGAAGUUAAUCUGCCUUUGGACCCAGAUCUGACUUAGAACAGAUCAAUAGUCCGCACGUUCGGGUUUCCAGCCUAUAUACUUUAAUAUAUUUACCAGAUAAAAUUAAGUUGCUUUAAACGUGGUUGUUUCUUUUUAUUGGGCUAAUUCCAGAUUUAAAUUAGAUUCUUUAAGGGGCUUGGGUACAUACACAGUACCAGAUCCGGAUCCCGGAAAUGGUGCUCUGAAGGAAUGGAGGAAGAAGAGAAGAUUUACAACUGAGGAUCGAGAUCCGGUCUCUUUGCCUCAGAGGAACGUACAAAUUUUAUGGCAGAUCUGAUAAAGACCAGUCUGCUUUGCAUGCUUUGAAAAGAAAAUUGCUUUAAAAAUAAAUUGCUUUAAUGUAAAUAUGCAUGAAAUUAAAUUGCAGAAAAGUAAAUUGCGAAAAUUUAAAUUACAUCGAAAUUAAAUAACUGAAAUUUAAACAUACAUCUUUGCUUUGAUAGUCUUGGUCUUUACAAUUUUCAAAUCUUUCCUGAAGGGAAGAUUGAAAGACGGGAAGAUUACAAGACAGGAAUGGUUUCCUUGAUGUCUUGGACUGUUCAUCAAAUUUUGACCACCAUUUGACUUUAAAGGUUCUUUGAAGGAUGACUUGGGAAUCUUGAGUAUGAAAACGGAGGUUCCACAUCCAGACCCAUGGUAGGAAGAAGUUUGUACAAAAACAGAGAAAGGGGGGAAAUCUUUUCUCUGAGUCAGAGGGCAUAUAGUGGGCUUUAAAGAGGUUUAGGCAAUUUAUGGCAUUUGGAGUGAGGAUUUGAGGUAUUGGGCCAAAGAAAUUCCACCAAUGAUGGAACCAGUUUGGAAGGCUUUGGACGGUUAUUUUAGGGUUAAAGAAAAAUAACCAAGAAUGGGAUUUUUUAGGGUUUUGAAUAAAAAAGGUGUUAUACCAUGCUUGUUGGUAAUCCCAGUAGGAGAAAGUCCGACAAUGUGGUAAACGGGUUUCAAAGUUUAAAGGAAAGGUUUUGAAAUUGUGGAGUAGGUCGCCCCACUGGUUCGGGCUCAAAACUUUUAGAAUCGUGGCCGUGGAAUAGGCCGGUUCAGAAUGGGUUUUAUCAAGAAAGAAAUGUUUGAAUUUAACUGAUUCAGUUAUUUCUAAAAUGCUUUGAUAAUAAGACUGGGGUUUUGUCAAAUCCCAUGGUUUGAAAAACCAGCCUUUGGGAAAAAACUUUGAAAUGCUUUGAAAAGGAUCAGUAUGGUAAAAUCCAUCUUCCAUAGAAAGAAUAUUUUGAAAAUGGGUUUUAUCAAACCAAUCGGAGGUUUUCUUUGAAGGUGUUGGCUGAGAAAGCACAAUUUGGGAAGAUGAGCUUUCGGCAGAGACAACAACAUUUUGAGAGGAGGGUUUUGUAAUUUCUUUAGAUGUGGAUAUGCUCUUAAUUUUUUUUGAGGAGAAUUUUGGCUCUGGGAAAGGUUUUGUAGAGCGAGCAUGAGCUCGGGAGAUUUUGUAAUGGAACUCAUCCAAUGCUUUAUUGAUCAUCAGAAGAGAUGGGUUUGUAUUGGGCUUCAUGUUCUUCAACCAAUUCAAUCCAUGAUUUGAUGGGUAGGGCAGAAGAAAGUAAUUUUUUUAGAAGGGGUUGACUGGGGUUCUUUGGAAGGUUCUUGAGAUCCGGAACUUUUGAGAACAGCUUUACCUUUGUCUUUCUUUAGCGGCAUUAUCUGUUUUGAAGAAAUUCUCUGGUUAGAAAAUCAGGAACAGAAUUUUUAUCACCUUUAAUGAAUUCUAUAUCAAAAUCAAAAACACUCAAAAUAGCUUGCCAACGUGCAAAAAUUUGUUUUGAUGCAAUGUUUUGAACAUCCUUUUCUAAAACAUGUUUUGCAGCUUUGCAAUCAAUUCUAAGUAAAAAUUUUUGAUUUAAUAAAUCACUUUGAAAUUUUGUAAUGCAUAAAACAAUGGAAAGAAUUUCUUUUUUAAUAGUAGAAUAAUUUUUCUGACAAUCAUUCCAAUGUGCAGAAACAUAUUGUACUAUCUGUUCUCUAUCAUUUUCUUUUUGUUUUAAUAUACCUCCAUAUCCUAAAUCAGAUGCAUCAGUUUCAACAAUUUUAGGAAUGCAGGGUUUGCAAGAUAUAGACAUGGGAUGCUUUUAACAGAACUCUUUAUUAAUUUAACAGCUUUAGUAUGUUCAUCUGUCCAUGGAGCAGGUUUUUUCUUUAAACGAUCAUGCAAAGGUUUAGACAACCUAUUGAUAUUGGGACAGAAAUCAAGAACAUAAUUUAGGCUACCAAGAAAUCUUUGUAAUUGAGUUUUGUCAAGGAUUUUAUCAGGGAAUUUAUCAGCAAAUAAAAGUGAUCUUUCAAUAGGGGUGAUUGUUCCUUUUGAAAUAUAGUGACCAAGAAAUCUGAUUUUCGUUUGAAAUAAUGAAAUCUUUGAACUAGAAAGGGCUAGUCCAGCCUUUUUUGUAGCAAAAUAAAAAGUCUUUAAAUGUUUGAAAUGUUGAUCGAUUGAAUUUGAAAAUAUCAAAACAUCAUCAAUAUAAACAAUGCAAAAAUCAGAAUAAGGAUUAUAAAUAUCAUUCAUAAUUCUUUGAAAUUCUGAGGGUGCAUUCUUUAAACCAAAGGGCAUAACAGUCCAUUCGUAUUGUCCAAAUGGAACAGUGAAAGCGGUUUUGUAACGGUCAUUUGGAUGAAUUUGAAUUUGCCAAAAACCCGAUUUCAUGUCGAAUUUUGAAAAAAUAAAGGCAGAACAGAGUUUUUGGAGUAAAUCUUUUUUAUUAGGUAUAGGAUACCUAAUCCAUUUUAAAGCUUUAUUCAAAGGUUUGUAGUUUAUAACUAGUUUGGAGUGCCUCUUUCAAUUUCGGAGUUUUUGUUAACAUAAAAAGCAGCACAAGACCAAGGAGACCUGGAUUUUACAAUGAGUCCUUUAGACUCCAAGUCUUUGAUUUCAUUUUUACAAUGUUUUUCUAAAUCCAUAUUCAUUUGAAUUGGACGAGCUUUGGUCGGAAUCUGUUUUUCAUCAAAAGAAUUUUCAUAAGGCAGGUCUACUAAAUGUUGUUUUAUUCCAAAAAGCAGAAGGUAGAUCAGCACAAAUUUCUUUUUCAAUAAGAGUUUUGAAAUCAGAAAUUUUUCUUUUAAUGAAAUCACUUUGUAAUUGGCUUUCAACUCUUUGUAAGUUCAAAUCUUUUUUGUAAAAAAUUAGAUCACACUGUUUUGAUUUAAGUAAAUUGUUUAUUCUAUUUUGAUAAAUAGAACAGGCUUUAACAAUAUUUAAAUUUCUUGUUUUAGGUUUUUCAAUAAAAGGGAAAAAAGUUUCUUGUUUUUUGCUUUGAAAGAUAUACUAUCAUAAUUGACAGUAUACGGAGUUAUGAGAUUUAUAAAAGGAGUUCCCAAAAUAAUGGCAUGAUGAAUAUCAUUUGUGAGAACAAAGGAAGUUUUAAAAUCAAAACCAUCAUUAUAGAUCGAGGCUUCAACCUUGGAACUGACAUUCAAUUUUGAAUUAUUGGCGGCAGAAAGCCUUUCUUUUGUUUUUUCAUGAAAUCUUUUGGGGACGAUAUCUUCUCUAAUGCAAUUUAAAUCGGCGCCAGUAUCAAAAAGGGCAAUGGCGUCCAUCGCAAAAUCAUCAGAAAAGAUUAGAGUGACUUUAAUCAAAUACUUUCUUGUGGUGAUUUGUUUUAGAACAAAUAGAAAAUCAUUGGGUACAGACUCAAUAUUUUCUACUUUAAUAUCAUCACCAUCAAUAUCAGGACUGGAUUCAUUGUCUGAAUUAUCCUGUAAUUGCUUUUGUAAAAGAAGUUGAAUAAUAUCAGAAUCACUUUUUUGUUUUUCUUUUAAAUCUCUGAUUUCACUUUUGAUUUCUUUUAUCUCUUUCUGAAGAUCUUGGAUAUUAGGAAUCAUCUUUUUUGUUUCUUCUUAUCCAAAAUUUGAGUAAGAUCAUAAGAAUUCUUUUUAAUAAUUGGGACUCUAGAAGUCUCGGCUUUAUUAAAAUCCAAUGUUUUCAAAAGUUUAUCAAGGUAUUCCUUUUGAAGAUUUGGAUCAGAAAUAUGCUUUACAAGUUCAAGAAAAGUUUCUUGGUCUUUAGUCAAAACAUUGAUUUUCUUUAAAAUGAAUCAGAUUCAGAAUCACUACUGCUAGAUGCAGAGUCAUCUGAGUCAAAAAGCUCAUCAACUUGGUAAGGGUCACUGUCUCCCGACAUGGAAGACUCAGAAUCAGAAGAUUCGACAAGAAGAGGGGCUAUUUUAGAAAGGAUGUCCUCAUUGAGGUCAAGUUCUUGGAGUCUUUUGUUCAUUCUGCAAAAUUUUGCAGUAUGACCUUUCAUACCACAUUUGAAACAUGUGGCCUCCUUGAAGUUGAAUGGGGUAUUAGGUUUGGCUUUGAAAUCUUUCUUUUUAGAGAAACUAUGUCUCUUAUAAGGCUUCGAAGGUUUCUUAUAAGGAAGUUUUCUAAAAUCACGGAAGGGUUUUCUAAAAUGUUUAGAUUUGUAAUGUUUCUUACGAGGUUUUGUAGAACACUCUCCAUUACAAUCUUUGGAAGUUUUAAAGGGGUCAUAAUUGAAUUGCUUACAGAAACCGCCUAAUUCCUGUUUAGACUUCUUAAGCUCCCACUUAAGACGUUUCUGUAAUUUCAAAUCUUGACAAAUCUUUAAACCUUCUUUGUUGACAAAACUGACUAGUUCACCAUAGGUGAGCUCGUCAUAAGGAAUACGGUUAUCGUAAAGGGCUUUGAUGGAAUUUCUUACCUUUUCACCUAAAAGGGUAGGUAAUCCAGCAAGAAAUUUUUCUUUCCAAGUAAUAUGAUUUGCAUCAUCCUAGAAUAGUCUGGUAAGGAAAGAGGUUUUGUAACUCUGAAAUUCACUAAGUUUUCUACAUCUCAAAUUAUGUAGUAACUCAGCGUUUUUAUCACGAAGGUGAGAAGGGUCACCGAUGAAAUGGAGGGAAAUGGUUAGAAUAAGAGUAGCAACAGCAUCCUGGAUAGGGUUGUUGAACUCAUCAAGAAUAGAGGCUCCAUUUUCAUCUUUUUGGACGGAAUUUAGAAUGUCAAAUUGUUGCUGAUUAGUGAGAAGAUGAUCCCACCAACCUUUUAGUUGACCAGUAAAACCAGCAAUUAGGAUUUCCGAUAUGGCACGAUCAGAAGUUCCUGCUUGGGUUUUAUAAGCAUUAGCUGCCAUUGUCAUUUGUUGCAACAAUCCAAGGAUAUUGUACUCAGACAUGCCGUCAAUAUUCCACUCAUAGACUGAAGAUGCAUUAUAACGGGAUUGAUUUAAUGCACUAGGUCUAUUAUCUAUUGCUAGAUCUGGUGGGGUCUUGACAGUGGGAAGGGCUAAUUCCCAGUGGAUUUUGUUGGCUUUAGGAGUAGAAGGUUCUUCUUUGAAAGCUUCUAAGUCAGAAGAGGCUAUAGAACUCUGGUCAUCUAGAUCCAAUACUCCAAUCUUGCUAGAUUGGGGGUAUCGGGGGCUAUCUGGAGUUUGCUAGACGAGGAAGAAGCAGCUUCUAUCCUCUCUAGUUGUUCUCUAAUGGCUUUAGCAAAAUCUGAUUUUGACUCUUGAACAAGCCUUUGGCUAGUUUUCGAAACCUGAAAAGGUUUGAAAAUAGGUUCCUUAAGCUUUUUGUCAGAAUCCGAUUUUGAAGGAAUAGACAUAGGAAUAGGAGAAACAGAUAUAGGAGAUUUUUGAAAUUGGUUUUCUAUACGAGCCAAUUGCUUUCCAAUUGUAUUUAAGUUAGUAUUACAGAAAUUAUUCUGUUGUAUAAUACUACUUAAAUUCGCAUCAGAAUCAUUUGGUCUUGGGAUUUUGUAAGGGGANNNNNNNNNNNNNNNNNNNNNNNNNNNNNNNNNNNNNNNNNNNNNNNNNNNNNNNNNNNNNNNNNNNNNNNNNNNNNNNNNNNNNNNNNNNNNNNNNNNNNNNNNNNNNNNNNNNNNNNNNNNNNNNNNNNNNNNNNNNNNNNNNNNNNNNNNNNNNNNNNNNNNNNNNNNNNNNNNNNNNNNNNNNNNNNNNNNNNNNNNNNNNNNNNNNNNNNNNNNNNNNNNNNNNNNNNNNNNNNNNUCAUAAAGUUCAUAUAUUGUUUUUUGAUUGGUUCGAAAUAUAUUCUUCUGAAAACAAUAUUGAUUAUCCUUUUAAAGAGUCAAACCCUAUAACUAUUAGAAAGAAAAUUCCUGAAUGGAAACUUUCUGAUAAUGAUAGGAUCAUAGAGUCUGAUCAUCCACCUCUUAGGAGUAUAACCAUAGAUCAUGGUGAACCUCCUACUGAGAUUAAAGCUUCCCCUUACAAAAUCCCAAGACCAAAUGAUUCUGAUGCGAAUUUAAGUAGUAUUAUACACAGAAUAAUUUCUGUAAUACUAACUUAAAUACAAUUGGAAAAGCAAUUGGCUCGUAUAGAAAACCAAUUUCAAAAAUCUACUAUAUCUGUUUCUCCUAUUCCAAUGUCUAUUCCUUCAAAAUCGGAUUCUGACAAAAAGCUUAAGGAACCUAUUUUCAAACCUUUUCAGGUCUCGAAAACUAGCCAAAAGCUUGUUCAAGAGUCAAAAUCAGAUUUUGCUAAAGCCAUUAGAGAACAAUUAGAUAGGAUAGAAGCUGCUUCUUCCUCGUCUAGCAAACUCCAGAUAGCCCCCGAUACCCCCAAUCUAGCAAGAUUGGAGUAUUGGAUCUAGAUGACCAAAGUUCUAUAGCCUCUUCUGACUUAGAAGCUUUCAAAGAGAACCUUCUACUCCUAAAGCCAACAAAUCCACUGGGAUUAGCCCUUCCCACUGUCAAGACCCCCACCAGAUCUAGCAAUAGAUAAUAGACCUAGUGCAUUAAAUCAAUCCCGAUAUAAUGCAUCUUCAGUCUAUGAGUGGAAUAUUGACGGCAUGUCUGAGUACAAUAUCCUCGGAUUGUUGCAACAAAUGACGAUGGCAGCUAAUGCUUAUAAAACCCAAGCAGGAACUUCUGAUCGUGCCAUAUCGGAAAUCCUAAUUGCUGGUUUUACUGGUCAACUAAAAGGUUGGUGGGAUCAUCUUCUCACUAAUCAGCAACAAUUUUGACAUUCUAAAUUCCGUCCAAAAAGAUGAAAAUGGAGCCUCUAUUCUUGAUGAGUUCAACAACCCUAUCCAGGAUGCUGUUGCUACUCUUAUUCUAACCAUUUCCCCUCCAUUUCAUCGGUGACCCUUCUCACCUUCGUGAUAAAAAUGCUGAGUUACUACAUAAUUUGAGAUGUAGAAAACUUAGUGAAUUUCAGAGUUACAAAACCUCUUUCCUUACCAGACUAUUUCUAAAGGGAUGAUGCAAAUCAUAUUACUUGGAAAGAGAAAUUUCUUGCUGGAUUACCUACCCUUUUAGGUGAAAAGGUAAGAAAUUCCAUCAAAGCCCUUUACGAUAACCGUAUUCCUUAUGAACGAGCUCACCUAUGGUGAACUUGUCAGUUUUGUCAACAAAGAAGGUUUUAAAGAUUUGUCAAGAUUUGAAAUUACAGAAACGUCUUAAGUGGGAGCUUAAGAAGUCUAAACAGGAAUUAGGCGGUUUCUGUAAGCAAUUCAAUUAUGACCCCUUUAAAACUUCCAAAGAUUGUAAUGGAGAGUGUUCUACAAAACCUUCGUAAGAAACAUUACAAAUCUAAACAUUUUAAGAAAAACCCUUUCGUGAUUUUAGAAACUUCCUUAUAAGAAACCUUCGAAGCCUUAUAAGAAACAUAGUUUUCUCUAAAAAGAAAGAUUUCAAGCCAAACCUAAUACCCCUUUCAACUUCAAGGAGGCCACAUGUUUCAAAUGUGGUAUGAAAGGUCAUACUGCAAAAUUUUGCAGAAUGAACAAAAGACUCCAAGAACUUGACCUCAAUGAGGACAUCCUUUCUAAAAUAGCCCCUCUUCUUGUCGAAUCUUCUGAUUCUGAGUCUUCCAUGUCGGGGAGACAGUGACCCUUACCAAGUUGAUGAGCUUUUUGACUCAGAUGACUCUGCAUCUAGCAGUAGUGAAUCUGAAUCUGAUUCAUUUUUAAAGAAAAUCAAUGUUUUGACUAAAGACCAAGAAACUUUUCUUGAACUUGUAAACAUAUUUCUGAUCCAAAUCUUCAAAAGGAAUACCUUGAUAAACUUUUGAAAACAUUGGAUUUUAAUAAAGCCGAGACUUCUAGAGUCCCAAUUGUUAAAAAGAAUUCUUAUGAUCUUACUCAAAUUUUGGAUAAGAAGAAAACAAAAAAGAUGAUUCCUAAUAUCCAAGAUCUUCAGAAAGAGAUAAAAGAAAUCAAAAGUGAAAUCAGAGAUUUAAAAGAAAAAACAAAAAGGUGAUUCUGAUAUUAUUCAACUUCUUUUACAAAAGCAAUUACAGGAUAAUUCAGACAAUGAAUCUAGUCCUGAUAUUGAUGGUGAUGAUAUUAAAGUAGAAAAUAUUGAGUCUGUACCCAAUGAUUUUCUAUUUGUUCUAAAACAAAUCACCACAAGAAAGUAUUUUGAUUAAAGUCACUCUAAUCUUUUCUGAUGAUUUUGCGAUGGAUGCCAUUGCCCUUUUUGAUACUGGCGCCGAUUUAAAUUGCAUUAGAGAAGAUAUCGUCCCCAAAGAUUUCAUGAAAAAACAAAAGAAAGGCUUUCUGCCGCCAAUAAUUCAAAAUUGAAUGUCAGUUCCAAGGUUGAAGCCUCAAUCUAUAAUGAUGAUUUUGAUUUUAAAACUUCCUUUGUUCUCACAAAUGAUAUUCAUCAUGCCAUUAUUUUGGGAACUCCUUUUAUAAAUCUCAUAACUCCGUAUACUGUCAAUUAUGAUAGUAUAUCUUUCAAAGCAAAAAACAAGAAACUUGUUUUCCCUUUUAUUGAAAAGCCUAAAACAAGAAAUUUGAAUAUUGUUAAAGCCUGUUCUAUUUAUCAAAAUAGAAUAAACAAUUUACUUAAAUCAAAACAGUGUGAUCUAAUGUUUUUACAAAAAGAUUUGAACUUACAAAGAGUUGAAAGCCAAUUACAAAGUGAUUUCAUUAAAAGAAAAAUUUCUGAUUUCAAAACUCUUAUUGAAAAAGAAAUUUGUGCUGAUCUACCUUCUGCUUUUUGGAAUAGAAAACAACAUUUAGUAGAUCUGCCUUAUGAAAAUUCUUUGAUGAAAAACAGAUUCCGACCAAAGCUCGUCCAAUUCAAAUGAAUAUGGAUUUAGAAAAACAUUGUAAAAAUGAAAUCAAAGACUUGGAGUCUAAAGGACUCAUUGUAAAAUCCAGGUCUCCUUGGUCUUGUGCUGCUUUUUAUGUUAACAAAAACUCCGAAAUUGAAAGAGGCACUCCAAGACUAGUUAUAAACUACAAACCUUUGAAUAAAGCUUUAAAAUGGAUUAGGUAUCCUAUACCUAAUAAAAAAGAUUUACUCCAAAAACUCUGUUCUGCCUUUAUUUUUUCAAAAUUCGACAUGAAAUCGGGUUUUUGGCAAAUUCAAAUUCAUCCAAAUGACCGUUACAAAACCGCUUUCACUGUUCCAUUUGGACAAUACGAAUGGACUGUUAUGCCCUUUGGUUUAAAGAAUGCACCCUCAGAAUUUCAAAGAAUUAUGAAUGAUAUUUAUAAUCCUUAUUCUGAUUUUUGCAUUGUUUAUAUUGAUGAUGUUUUGAUAUUUUCAAAUUCAAUCGAUCAAACAUUUCAAACAUUUAAAGACUUUUUAUUUUGCUACAAAAAAGGCUGGACUAGCCCUUUCUAGUUCAAAGAUUUCAUUAUUUCAAACGAAAAUCAGAUUUCUUGGUCACUAUAUUUCAAAAGGAACAAUCACCCCUAUUGAAAGAUCACUUUUAUUUGCUGAUAAAUUCCCUGAUAAAAUUCUUGACAAAACUCAAUUACAAAGAUUUCUUGGUAGCCUAAAUUAUGUUCUUGAUUUCUGUCCCAAUAUCAAUAGGUUGUCUAAACCUUUGCAUGAUCGUUUAAAGAAAAAACCUUCUCCAUGGACAGAUGAACAUACUAAAGCUGUUAAAUUAAUUAAGAGUUCUGUUAAAAGCAUCCCAUGUCUAUAUCUUGCAAAUCCUGCAUUCCCUAAAAUUGUUGAAACUGAUGCAUCUGAUUUAGGAUAUGGAGGUAUAUUAAAACAAAAAGAAAAUGAUAGAGAACAGAUAGUACAAUAUGUUUCUGCACAUUGGAAUGAUUGUCAGAAAAAUUAUUCUACUAUUAAAAAAGAAAUUCUUUCCAUUGUUUUAUGCAUUACAAAAUUUCAAAGUGAUUUAUUAAAUCAAAAAUUUUUACUUAGAAUUGACUGCAAAGCUGCAAAACAUGUUUUAGAAAAGGAUGUUCAAAACAUUGCAUCAAAACAGAUUUUUGCACGUUGGCAAGCUAUUUUGAGUGUUUUUGAUUUUGAUAUAGAAUUCAUUAAAGGUGACAAAAAUUCUGUUCCUGAUUUUCUAACCAGAGAAUUUCUUCAAAACAGAUAAUGCCGCUAAAGAAAGACAAAGGUAAAGCUGUUCUCAAAGUUCCGGAUCUCAGAACCUUCCAAAGAACCCCAGUCAACCCUUCUAAAGAAAAAUUACUUUCUUCUGCCUUACCCAUCAAAUCAUGGAUUGAAUUGGUUGAAGAACAUGAAGCCCAUUACAAACCCAUCUCUUCUGAUGAUCAAGUAAAGCAUUGGAUGAGUUCCAUUACAAAAUCUCCCGAGCUCAUGCUCGCCCUACAAAACCUUUCCCAGAGCCAAAAUUCUCCUAAAAAAGAGAUUGAGAGCAUAUCCAUAUCUAAAGAAAUUACAAAACCCUCCUCUCAAAAUGUUGUUGUCUCUGCCGAAAGCUCAUCUUCCCAAAUUGUGCUUUCUCAGCCAACACCUUCAAAGAAAACCUCCGAUUGGUUUGAUAAAACCCAUUUUCAAAAUAUUCUUUCUAUGGAAGAUGGAUUUUACCAUACUGAUCCUUUUCAAAGCAUUUCAAAGUUUUUUCCCAAAGGCUGGUUUUUCAAACCAUGGGAUUUGACAAAACCCCAGUCUUAUUAUCAAAGCAUUUUAGAAAUAACUGAAUCAGUUAAUUCAAACAUUUCUUUCUUGAUAAAACCCAUUCUGAACCGGCCUAUUCCACGGCCACGAUUCUAAAAGUUUUGAGCCCGAACCAGUGGGGCGACCUACUCCACAAUUUCAAAACCUUUCCUUUAAACUUUGAAACCCGUUUACCACAUUGUCGGACUUUCUCCUACUGGGAUUACCAACAAGCAUGGUAUAACACCUUUUUUAUUCAAAACCCUAAAAAAAUCCCAUUCUUGGUUAUUUUUCUUUAACCCUAAAAAUAACCGUCCAAAGCCUUCCAAACUGGUUCCAUCAUUGGUGGAAUUUCUUUGGCCCAAUACCUCAAAUCCUCACUCCAAAUGCCAUAAAUUGCCUAAACCUCUUUAAAGCCCACUACACGCCCUCUGACUCAGAGAAAAGAUUUCCCCCCUUUCUCUGUUUUUGUACAAACUUCUUCCUACCAUGGGUCUGGAUGUGGAACCUCCGUUUUCAUACUCAAGAUUCCCAAGUCAUCCUUCAAAGAACCUUUAAAGUCAAAUGGUGGUCAAAGUUUGAUGAACAGUCCAAACUGACUGUUAACAUGAUCAAAGACUGGCUCUCCUCUAAAAACCUUCUCCAACCAACCCUAGAAGCCUCUAAAGCCCAACAGACCUUCUUAACCCAAAAUCCAAAGCCCAGUCUCUUUUGGCAAGUGCCAAGACAGAAGAUGAAUACUUCAAAGCAAUGGAACAGCUCCUCGCCUCCCGUUCAAAGUCAUCAGUAGCCGACACCUCUGAAGACGAAGACGAUGAUGAAGAUGAAGAGCCCUUCAUUUCUCUUGGAGACGAAAAUGAAGAUGAUUGUUUCGGCAUUUUUUCUCCUAUAAAGCAUUGUAAAUAAUUAUUUGGUUAUUUACUUAAAAAAAAAAAAAAAAAAAAAAAAAAAAAAAAAAAAAAAAAAAAAAAAAAAAAAAAAAAAAAAUUCUCUCGGGUGGUCCCUUGGACACAAGUGAGAGCGCACAUGUCUCUUCACCCGUGUUGUAUUUCAUUAUGUAUUUCAAUUUUUGUACAAAGUAGUCUACUGUUCAAAGCUACGGUCAGCCUACUAUUCAAAGCUACGAUCCAAAGAUUACUGUGCACUCAAAACUCCGCUACAGUGAACAGUGCAAAGUUCCAAAGAUUACUGUGCACUCAAAGCUCCGCUACAGUGAACAGUUUACAAAGUUUUGUAUAUAAACCAAGAGGAAGACUCAGACUCCUCAGGUUUUUCAUUUUCUCUUCUUCUCCUCCUUCUCUCUAGAUCUCUCUCUCUCUCUCUCUCUCUCUCUCUCUCUCUGGGAAGUCUGGAUCAAGACAUCAAGGAAACCAUUCCUGUCUUGUAAUCUUCCCGUCUUUCAAUCUUCCCUUCAGGAAAGAUUUGAAAAUUGUAAAGACCAAGACUAUCAAAGCAAAGAUGUAUGUUUAAAUUUCAGUUAUUUAAUUUCGAUGUAAUUUAAAUUUCCGCAAUUUACUUUAAAGCAAUUUACUUUUCUGCAAUUUAAUUUCAUGCACAUUUACAUUAAAGCAAUUUAUUUAUAAAGCAAUUUUCUUUUCAAAGCAUGCAAAGCAGACUGGUCUUUAUCAGAUCUGCCAUAAAAUUUGUACGUUCCUCUGAGGCAAAGAGACCGGAUCUCGAUCCUCAGUUGUAAAUCUUCUCUUCUUCCUCCAUUCCUUCAGAGCACCAUUUCCGGGAUCCGGAUCUGGUACUGUGUAUGUACCCAAGCCCCUUAACGAAUCUAAUUUAACUCUGGAAUUAGCCCAAUAAAAAGAAACAACCACGUUUAAAGCAACUUAAUUUUUAUCUGGUAAAUAUAUUAAAGUAUAUAGGCUGGAAACCCGAACGUGCGGACUAUUGAUCUGUUCUAAGUCAGAUCUGGUCCAAAGGCAGAUUAACUUCUGCGAUCGAUCUGGUCUAACAACGCCACGUACUUUAAAUAUUCUAAAAUUUGACCAACCGCGUUCAAAUUUGUUUGAUCAUUGUAUGCUCUAAAACAAAUCUACUUAAUCUAAAGCUGGUAAUCUUAUAUAAAAUCGGAACAACCGCGAUCCAAUUAUUUUAUUAAAGCAAUCAAUAAAGAAACAUUUUGAAAACACACCCAUCCUUCGAUCCUAUUUCCUUCUGGUAUCAGAGAUUAAAGCUUAGAGCUUUACCGUAUUCCUUAUGACGACAAAUUAAAAUUUUGUAUCAGUGGCAUAGGUGAGCUCGUCAUAAGGAAUACGGUUAUCGUAAAGGGCUUUGAUGGAAUUUCUUACCUUUUCACCUAAAAGGGUAGGUAAUCCAGCAAGAAAUUUCUCUUUCCAAGUAAUAUGAUUUGCAUCAUCCCUUAGAAAUAGUCUGGUAAGGAAAGAGGUUUUGUAACUCUGAAAUUCACUAAGUUUUCUACAUCACAAAGCUUACCAGAAGGUCUCAUCAGUCUGCAAGACAAAUCAGUCUGAAAUUUUGUAAUGCAUAAAACAAUGGAAAGAAUUUCUUUUUUAAUAGUAGAAUAAUUUUUCUGACAAUCAUUCCAAUGUGCAGAAACAUAUUGUACUAUCUGUUCUCUAUCAUUUUCUUUUUGUUUUAAUAUACCUCCAUAUCCUAAAUCAGAUGCAUCAGUUUCAACAAUUUUAGGGAAUGCAGGAUUUGCAAGAUAUAGACAUGGGAUGCUUUUAACAGAACUCUUAAUUAAUUUAACAGCUUUAGUAUGUUCAUCUGUCCAUGGAGAAGGUUUUUUCUUUAAACGAUCAUGCAAAGGUUUAGACAACCUAUUGAUAUUGGGACAGAAAUCAAGAACAUAAUUUAGGCUACCAAGAAAUCUUUGUAAUUGAGUUUUGUCAAGAAUUUUAUCAGGGAAUUUAUCAGCAAAUAAAAGUGAUCUUUCAAUAGGGGUGAUUGUUCCUUUUGAAAUAUAGUGACCAAGAAAUCUGAUUUUCGUUUGAAAUAAUGAAAUCUUUGAACUAGAAAGGGCUAGUCCAGCCUUUUUUGUAGCAAAAUAAAAAGUCUUUAAAUGUUUGAAAUGUUGAUCGAUUGAAUUUGAAAAUAUCAAAACAUCAUCAAUAUAAACAAUGCAAAAAUCAGAAUAAGGAUUAUAAAUAUCAUUCAUAAUUCUUUGAAAUUCUGAGGGUGCAUUCUUUAAACCAAAGGGCAUAACAGUCCAUUCGUAUUGUCCAAAUGGAACAGUGAAAGCGGUUUUGUAACGGUCAUUUGGAUGAAUUUGAAUUUGCCAAAAACCCGAUUUCAUGUCGAAUUUUGAAAAAAUAAAGGCAGAACAGAGUUUUUGGAGUAAAUCUUUUUAUUAGGUAUAGGAUACCUAAUCCAUUUUAAAGCUUUAUUCAAAGGUUUGUAGUUUAUAACUAGUCUUGGAGUGCCUCUUUCAAUUUCGGAGUUUUUGUUAACAUAAAAAGCAGCACAAGACCAAGGAGACCUGGAUUUUACAAUGAGUCCUUUAGACUCCAAGUCUUUGAUUUCAUUUUUACAAUGUUUUUCUAAAUCCAUAUUCAUUUGAAUUGGACGAGCUUUUGGUCGGAAUCUGUUUUUCAUCAAAAGAAUUUUCAUAAGGCAGAUCUACUAAAUGUUGUUUUCUAUUCCAAAAAGCAGAAGGUAGAUCAGCACAAAUUUCUUUUUCAAUAAGAGUUUUGAAAUCAGAAAUUUUCUUUAAUGAAAUCACUUUGUAAUUGGCUUUCAACUCUUUGUAAGUUCAAAUCUUUUUGUAAAAACAUUAGAUCACACUGUUUUGAUUUAAGUAAAUUGUUUAUUCUAUUUUGAUAAAUAGAACAGGCUUUAACAAUAUUCAAAUUUCUUGUUUUAGGCUUUUCAAUAAAAGGGAAAACAAGUUUCUUGUUUUUUGCUUUGAAAGAUAUACUAUCAUAAUUGACAGUAUACGGAGUUAUGAGAUUUAUAAAAGGAGUUCCCAAAAUAAUGGCAUGAUGAAUAUCAUUUGUGAGAACAAAGGAAGUUUUAAAAUCAAAAUCAUCAUUAUAGAUUGAGGCUUCAACCUUGGAACUGACAUUCAAUUUUGAAUUAUUGGCGGCAGAAAGCCUUUCUUUUGUUUUUUCAUGAAAUCUUUUGGGGACGAUAUCUUCUCUAAUGCAAUUUAAAUCGGCGCCAGUAUCAAAAAGGGCAAUGGCAUCCAUCGCAAAAUCAUCAGAAAAGAUUAGAGUGACUUUAAUCAAAUACUUUCUUGUGGUGAUUUGUUUUAGAACAAAUAGAAAAUCAUUGGGUACAGACUCAAUAUUUUCUACUUUAAUAUCAUCACCAUCAAUAUCAGGACUAGAUUCAUUGUCUGAAUUAUCCUGUAAUUGCUUUUGUAAAAGAAGUUGAAUAAUAUCAGAAUCACCUUUUUGUUUUUCUUUUAAAUCUCUGAUUUCACUUUUGAUUUCUUUUAUCUCUUUCUGAAGAUCUUGGAUAUUAGGAAUCAUCUUUUUUGUUUUCUUCUUAUCCAAAAUUUGAGUAAGAUCAUAAGAAUUCUUUUUAACAAUUGGGACUCUAGAAGUCUCGGCUUUAUUAAAAUCCAAUGUUUUCAAAAGUUUAUCAAGGUAUUCCUUUUGAAGAUUUGGAUCAGAAAUAUGUUUUACAAGUUCAAGAAAAGUUUCUUGGUCUUUAGUCAAAACAUUGAUUUUCUUUAAAAAUGAAUCAGAUUCAGAUUCACUACUGCUAGAUGCAGAGUCAUCUGAGUCAAAAAGCUCAUCAACUUGGUAAGGGUCACUGUCUCCCGACAUGGAAGACUCAGAAUCAGAAGAUUCGACAAGAAGAGGGGCUAUUUUAGAAAGGAUGUCCUCAUUGAGGUCAAGUUCUUGGAGUCUUUUGUUCAUUCUGCAAAAUUUUGCAGUAUGACCUUUCAUACCACAUUUGAAACAUGUGGCCUCCUUGAAGUUGAAAGGGGUAUUAGGUUUGGCUUUGAAAUCUUUCUUUUUAGAGAAACUAUGUUUCUUAUAAGGCUUCGAAGGUUUCUUAUAAGGAAGUUUUCUAAAAUCACGAAAGGGUUUUCUAAAAUGUUUAGAUUUGUAAUGUUUCUUACGAGGUUUUGUAGAACACUCUCCAUUACAAUCUUUGGAAGUUUUAAAGGGGUCAUAAUUGAAUUGCUUACAGAAACCGCCUAAUUCCUGUUUAGACUUCUUAAGCUCCCACUUAAGACGUUUCUGUAAUUUCAAAUCUUGACAAAUCUUUAAACCUUCUUUGUUGACAAAACUGACAAGUUCACCAUAGGUGAGCUCGUCAUAAGGAAUACGGUUAUCGUAAAGGGCUUUGAUGGAAUUUCUUACCUUUUCACCUAAAAGGGUAGGUAAUCCAGCAAGAAAUUUCUCUUUCCAAGUAAUAUGAUUUGCAUCAUCCCUUAGAAAUAGUCUGGUAAGGAAAGAGGUUUUGUAACUCUGAAAUUCACUAAGUUUUCUACAUCUCAAAUUAUGUAGUAACUCAGCAUUUUUAUCACGAAGGUGAGAAGGGUCACCGAUGAAAUGGAGGGAAAUGGUUAGAAUAAGAGUAGCAACAGCAUCCUGGAUAGGGUUGUUGAACUCAUCAAGAAUAGAGGCUCCAUUUUCAUCUUUUUGGACGGAAUUUAGAAUGUCAAAUUGUUGCUGAUUAGUGAGAAGAUGAUCCCACCAACCUUUUAGUUGACCAGUAAAACCAGCAAUUAGGAUUUCCGAUAUGGCACGAUCAGAAGUUCCUGCUUGGGUUUUAUAAGCAUUAGCUGCCAUCGUCAUUUGUUGCAACAAUCCGAGGAUAUUGUACUCAGACAUGCCGUCAAUAUUCCACUCAUAGACUGAAGAUGCAUUAUAUCGGGAUUGAUUUAAUGCACUAGGUCUAUUAUCUAUUGCUAGAUCUGGUGGGUCUUGACAGUGGGAAGGGCUAAUUCCCAGUGGAUUUUGUUGGCUUUAGGAGUAGAAGGUUCUUCUUUGAAAGCUUCUAAGUCAGAAGAGGCUAUAGAACUUUGGUCAUCUAGAUCCAAUACUCCAAUCUUGCUAGAUUGGGGGGUAUCGGGGGCUAUCUGGAGUUUGCUAGACGAGGAAGAAGCAGCUUCUAUCCUAUCUAAUUGUUCUAAAAUUUGACCAGAAGGAAAUAGGAUCGAAGGAUGGGUGUGUUUUCAAAAUGUUUCUUUAUUGAUUGCUUUAAUAAAAUAAUUGGAUCGCGGUUGUUCCGAUUUUAUAUAAGAUUACCAGCUUUAGAUUAAGUAGAUUUGUUUUAGAGCAUACAAUGAUCAAACAAAUUUGAACGCGGUUGGUCAAAUUUUAGAAUAUUUAAAGUACGUGGCGUUGUUAGACCAGAUCGAUCGCAGAAGUUAAUCUGCCUUUGGACCCAGAUCUGACUUAGAACAGAUCAAUAGUCCGCACGUUCGGGUUUCCAGCCUAUAUACUUUAAUAUAUUUACCAGAUAAAAUUAAGUUGCUUUAAACGUGGUUGUUUCUUUUUAUUGGGCUAAUUCCAGAGUUAAAUUAGAUUCGUUAAGGGGCUUGGGUACAUACACAGUACCAGAUCCGGAUCCCGGAAAUGGUGCUCUGAAGGAAUGGAGGAAGAAGAGAAGAUUUACAACUGAGGAUCGAGAUCCGGUCUCUUUGCCUCAGAGGAACGUACAAAUUUUAUGGCAGAUCUGAUAAAGACCAGUCUGCUUUGCAUGCUUUGAAAAGAAAAUUGCUUUAUAAAUAAAUUGCUUUAAUGUAAAUGUGCAUGAAAUUAAAUUGCAGAAAAGUAAAUUGCUUUAAAGUAAAUUGCGGAAAUUUAAAUUACAUCGAAAUUAAAUAACUGAAAUUUAAACAUACAUCUUUGCUUUGAUAGUCUUGGUCUUUACAAUUUUCAAAUCUUUCCUGAAGGGAAGAUUGAAAGACGGGAAGAUUACAAGACAGGAAUGGUUUCCUUGAUGUCUUGAUCCAGACUUCCCAAGAGAGAGAGAGAGAGAGAGAGAGAGAGAGAGAUCUAGAGAGAAGGAGGAGAAGAAGAGAAAAUGAAAAACCUGAGGAGUCUGAGUCUUCCUCUUGGUUUAUAUACAAAACUUUGUAAACUGUUCACUGUAGCGGAGCUUUGAGUGCACAGUAAUCUUUGGAACUUUGCACUGUUCACUGUAGCGGAGUUUUGAGUGCACAGUAAUCUUUGGAUCGUAGCUUUGAAUAGUAGGCUGACCGUAGCUUUGAACAGUAGACUACUUUGUACAAAAAUUGAAAUACAUAAUGAAAUACAACACGGGUGAAGAGACAUGUGCGCUCUCACUUGUGUCCAAGGGACCACCCGAGAGAAUUUUUUUUUUUUUUUUUUUUUUUUUUUUUUUUUUUUUUUUUUUUUUUUUUUUUUUUUUAAGUAAAUAACCAAAUAAUUAUUUACAAUGCUUUAUAGGAGAAAAAAUGCCGAAACAAUCAUCUUCAUUUUCGUCUCCAAGAGAAAUGAAGGGCUCUUCAUCUUCAUCAUCGUCUUCGUCUUCAGAGGUGUCGGCUACUGAUGACUUUGAACGGGAGGCGAGGAGCUGUUCCAUUGCUUUGAAGUAUUCAUCUUCUGUCUUGGCACUUGCCAAAAGAGACUGGGCUUUGGAUUUUUGGGUUAAGAAGGUCUGUUGGGCUUUAGAGGCUUCUAGGGUUGGUUGGAGAAGGUUUUUAGAGGAGAGCCAGUCUUUGAUCAUGUUAACAGUCAGUUUGGACUGUUCAUCAAACUUUGACCACCAUUUGACUUUAAAGGUUCUUUGAAGGAUGACUUGGGAAUCUUGAGUAUGAAAACGGAGGUUCCACAUCCAGACCCAUGGUAGGAAGAAGUUUGUACAAAAACAGAGAAAGGGGGGAAAUCUUUUCUCUGAGUCAGAGGGCGUGUAGUGGGCUUUAAAGAGGUUUAGGCAAUUUAUGGCAUUUGGAGUGAGGAUUUGAGGUAUUGGGCCAAAGAAAUUCCACCAAUGAUGGAACCAGUUUGGAAGGCUUUGGACGGUUAUUUUAGGGUUAAAGAAAAAUAACCAAGAAUGGGAUUUUUUAGGGUUUUGAAUAAAAAAGGUGUUAUACCAUGCUUGUUGGUAAUCCCAGUAGGAGAAAGUCCGACAAUGUGGUAAACGGGUUUCAAAGUUUAAAGGAAAGGUUUUGAAAUUGUGGAGUAGGUCGCCCCACUGGUUCGGGCUCAAAACUUUUAGAAUCGUGGCCGUGGAAUAGGCCGGUUCAGAAUGGGUUUUAUCAAGAAAGAAAUGUUUGAAUUUAACUGAUUCAGUUAUUUCUAAAAUGCUUUGAUAAUAAGACUGGGGUUUUGUCAAAUCCCAUGGUUUGAAAAACCAGCCUUUGGGAAAAAACUUUGAAAUGCUUUGAAAAGGAUCAGUAUGGUAAAAUCCAUCUUCCAUAGAAAGAAUAUUUUGAAAAUGGGUUUUAUCAAACCAAUCGGAGGUUUUCUUUGAAGGUGUUGGCUGAGAAAGCACAAUUUGGGAAGAUGAGCUUUCGGCAGAGACAACAACAUUUUGAGAGGAGGGUUUUGUAAUUUCUUUAGAUAUGGAUAUGCUCUCAAUCUCUUUUUUAGGAGAAUUUUGGCUCUGGGAAAGGUUUUGUAGGGCGAGCAUGAGCUCGGGAGAUUUUGUAAUGGAACUCAUCCAAUGCUUUACUUGAUCAUCAGAAGAGAUGGGUUUGUAAUGGGCUUCAUGUUCUUCAACCAAUUCAAUCCAUGAUUUGAUGGGUAAGGCAGAAGAAAGUAAUUUUUCUUUAGAAGGGGUUGACUGGGGUUCUUUGGAAGGUUCUUGAGAUCCGGAACUUUUGAGAACAGCUUUACCUUUGUCUUUCUUUAGCGGCAUUAUCUGUUUUGAAGAAAUUCUCUGGUUAGAAAAUCAGGAACAGAAUUUUUGUCACCUUUAAUGAAUUCUAUAUCAAAAUCAAAAACACUCAAAAUAGCUUGCCAACGUGCAAAAAAUCUGUUUUGAUGCAAUGUUUUGAACAUCCUUUUCUAAAACAUGUUUUGCAGCUUUGCAGUCAAUUCUAAGUAAAAAUUUUUGAUUUAAUAAAUCACUUUGAAAUUUUGUAAUGCAUAAAACAAUGGAAAGAAUUUCUUUUUUAAUAGUAGAAUAAUUUUUCUGACAAUCAUUCCAAUGUGCAGAAACAUAUUGUACUAUCUGUUCUCUAUCAUUUUCUUUUUGUUUUAAUAUACCUCCAUAUCCUAAAUCAGAUGCAUCAGUUUCAACAAUUUUAGGGAAUGCAGGAUUUGCAAGAUAUAGACAUGGGAUGCUUUUAACAGAACUCUUAAUUAAUUUAACAGCUUUAGUAUGUUCAUCUGUCCAUGGAGAAGGUUUUUUCUUUAAACGAUCAUGCAAAGGUUUAGACAACCUAUUGAUAUUGGGACAGAAAUCAAGAACAUAAUUUAGGCUACCAAGAAAUCUUUGUAAUUGAGUUUUGUCAAGAAUUUUAUCAGGGAAUUUAUCAGCAAAUAAAAGUGAUCUUUCAAUAGGGGUGAUUGUUCCUUUUGAAAUAUAGUGACCAAGAAAUCUGAUUUUCGUUUGAAAUAAUGAAAUCUUUGAACUAGAAAGGGCUAGUCCAGCCUUUUUUGUAGCAAAAUAAAAAGUCUUUAAAUGUUUGAAAUGUUGAUCGAUUGAAUUUGAAAAUAUCAAAACAUCAUCAAUAUAAACAAUGCAAAAAUCAGAAUAAGGAUUAUAAAUAUCAUUCAUAAUUCUUUGAAAUUCUGAGGGUGCAUUCUUUAAACCAAAGGGCAUAACAGUCCAUUCGUAUUGUCCAAAUGGAACAGUGAAAGCGGUUUUGUAACGGUCAUUUGGAUGAAUUUGAAUUUGCCAAAAACCCGAUUUCAUGUCGAAUUUUGAAAAAAUAAAGGCAGAACAGAGUUUUUGGAGUAAAUCUUUUUUAUUAGGUAUAGGAUACCUAAUCCAUUUUAAAGCUUUAUUCAAAGGUUUGUAGUUUAUAAACUAGUCUUGGAGUGCCUCUUUCAAUUUCGGAGUUUUUGUUAACAUAAAAAGCAGCACAAGACCAAGGAGACCUGGAUUUUCAAUGAGUCCUUUAGACUCCAAGUCUUUGAUUUCAUUUUUACAAUGUUUUUCUAAAUCCAUAUUCAUUUGAAUUGGACGAGCUUUGGUCGGAAUCUGUUUUUCAUCAAAAGAAUUUUCAUAAGGCAGAUCUACUAAAUGUUGUUUUCUAUUCCAAAAAGCAGAAGGUAGAUCAGCACAAAUUUCUUUUUCAAUAAGAGUUUUGAAAUCAGAAAUUUUUCUUUUAAUGAAAUCACUUUGUAAUUGGCUUUCAACUCUUUGUAAGUUCAAAUCUUUUGUAAAAACAUUAGAUCACACUGUUUUGAUUUAAGUAAAUUGUUUAUUCUAUUUUGAUAAAUAGAACAGGCUUUAACAAUAUUCAAAUUUCUUGUUUUAGGCUUUUCAAUAAAAGGGGAAAACAAGUUUCUUGUUUUUUGCUUUGAAAGAUAUACUAUCAUAAUUGACAGUAUACGGAGUUAUGAGAUUUAUAAAAGGAGUUCCCAAAAUAAUGGCAUGAUGAAUAUCAUUUGUGAGAACAAAGGAAGUUUUAAAAUCAAAAUCAUCAUUAUAGAUUGAGGCUUUCAACCUUGGAACUGACAUUCAAUUUUGAAUUAUUGGCGGCAGAAAGCCUUUCUUUUGUUUUUUUCAUGAAAUCUUUUGGGGACGAUAUCUUCUCUAAUGCAAUUUAAAUCGGCGCCAGUAUCAAAAAGGGCAAUGGCAUCCAUCGCAAAAUCAUCAGAAAGAUUAGAGUGACUUUAAUCAAAUACUUUCUUGUGGUGAUUUGUUUUAGAACAAAUAGAAAAUCAUUGGGUACAGACUCAAUAUUUUCUACUUUAAUAUCAUCACCAUCAAUAUCAGGACUAGAUUCAUUGUCUGAAUUAUCCUGUAAUUGCUUUUGUAAAAGAAGUUGAAUAAUAUCAGAAUCACCUUUUUUGUUUUUCUUUUAAAUCUCUGAUUUCACUUUUGAUUUCUUUUAUCUCUUUCUGAAGAUCUUGGAUAUUAGGAAUCAUCUUUUUUGUUUUCUUCUUAUCCAAAAUUUGAGUAAGAUCAUAAGAAUUCUUUUUAACAAUUGGGACUCUAGAAGUCUCGGCUUUAUUAAAAUCCAAUGUUUUCAAAAGUUUAUCAAGGUAUUCCUUUUGAAGAUUUGGAUCAGAAAUAUGUUUUACAAGUUCAAGAAAAGUUUCUUGGUCUUUAGUCAAAACAUUGAUUUUCUUUAAAAAUGAAUCAGAUUCAGAUUCACUACUGCUAGAUGCAGAGUCAUCUGAGUCAAAAAGCUCAUCAACUUGGUAAGGGUCACUGUCUCCCGACAUGGAAGACUCAGAAUCAGAAGAUUCGACAAGAAGAGGGGCUAUUUUAGAAAGGAUGUCCUCAUUGAGGUCAAGUUCUUGGAGUCUUUUGUUCAUUCUGCAAAAUUUUUGCAGUAUGACCUUUCAUACCACAUUUGAAACAUGUGGCCUCCUUGAAGUUGAAAGGGGUAUUAGGUUUGGCUUUGAAAUCUUUCUUUUUAGAGAAACUAUGUUUCUUAUAAGGCUUCGAAGGUUUCUUAUAAGGAAGUUUUCUAAAAUCACGAAAGGGUUUUCUAAAAUGUUUAGAUUUGUAAUGUUUCUUACGAGGUUUUGUAGAACACUCUCCAUUACAAUCUUUGGAAGUUUUAAAGGGUCAUAAUUGAAUUGCUUACAGAAACCGCCUAAUUCCUGUUUAGACUUCUUAAGCUCCCACUUAAGACGUUUCCUGUAAUUUCAAAUCUUGACAAAUCUUUAAACCUUCUUGUUGACAAAAACUGACAAGUUCACCAUAGGUGAGCUCGUCAUAAGGAAUACGGUUAUCGUAAAGGGCUUUGAUGGAAUUUCUUACCUUUUCACCUAAAAGGGUAGGUAAUCCAGCAAGAAAUUUCUCUUUCCAAGUAAUAUGAUUUGCAUCAUCCCUUAGAAAUAGUCUGGUAAGGAAAGAGGUUUUGUAACUCUGAAAUUCACUAAGUUUUUCUACAUCUCAAAUUAUGUAGUAACUCAGCAUUUUUAUCACGAAGGUGAGAAGGGUCACCGAUGAAAUGGAGGGAAAUGGUUAGAAUAAGAGUAGCAACUAGCAUCCUGGAUAGGGUUGUUGAACUCAUCAAGAAAUAGAGGCUCCAUUUUCAUCUUUUUGGACGGAAUUUAGAAUGUCAAAUUGUGCUGCUGAUUAGUGAGAAGAUGAUCCCACCAACCUUUUAGUUGACCAGUAAAACCAGCAAUUAGGAUUUCCGAUAUGGCACGAUCAGAAGUUCCUGCUUGGGUUUUAUAUAAGCAUUAGCUGCCAUCGUCAUUUGUUGCAACAAUCCGAGGAUAUUGUACUCAGACAUGCCCGUCAAUAUUCCACUCAUAGACUGAAGAUGCAUUAUAUCGGGAUUGAUUUAAUGCACCUAGGUCUAUUAUCUAUUGCUAGAUCUGGUGGGGUCUUGACAGUGGGAAGGCUAAUUCCCAGUGGAUUUGUUGGCUUUAGGAGUAGAAGGUUCUUCUUUGAAAGCUUCUAAGUCAGAAGAGGCUAUAGAACUUGGUCAUCUAGAUCCAAUACUCCAAUCUUGCUAGAUUGGGGGGUAUCGGGGGCUAUCUGGAGUUUGCUAGACGAGGAAGAAGCAGCUUCUAUCCUAUCUAAUUGUUCUCUAAUGGCUUUAGCAAAAUCUGAUUUUGACUCUUUGAACAAGCUUUUGGCUAGUUUUCGAGAACCUGAAAAGGUUUGAAAAUAGGUUCCUUAAGCUUUUUGUCAGAAUCCGAUUUUGAAGGAAUAGACAUAGGAAUAGGAGAAACAGAUAUAGGAGAUUUUUGAAAUUGGUUUUCUAUACGAGCCAAUUGCUUUCCAAUUGUAUUUAAGUUAGUAUUACAGAAAUUAUUCUGUUGUAUAAUACUACUUAAAUUCGCAUCAGAAUCAUUUGGUCUUGGGAUUUUGUAAGGGGAUGCUUUAAUCUCAAUAGGAGGUUCACCAUGAUCUAUGGUUAUACUCCUAAGAGGUGGAUGAUCAGACUCUAUAAUCCUAUCAUUAUCAGAAAGUUUCCAUUCAGGAAUUUUCUUUCUAAUAGUUAUAGGGUUUGACUCUUUAAAAGGAUAAUCAAUAUUGUUCUCAGAAGAAUAUAUUUCGAACCAAUCAAAAAACAAUAUAUGAACUUUAUGAAAAUUCACAAAUUCAUAAUAAGUUUGUUGGAUUUCUUUUCUUUGGUUUAAAAAAUGUUUAAAAAAACCAAGUUCUUUUUUCUUUAUUUAUUUCUGAAUAAAAAUCGUUAUGCAGAAAGGCUUUAUCUAAUUCAAAUUCUUUUUCAAUGACAUUAAUGACAUUUUCUGUGACAGCAGAAAACGUAGGAGAUGUUGGAGGAGAAGGUUCCUUCUCUUCCUGUCUUUGCACAUGUUGACUACUAGUGUAUAUAGGAUGAGGAACACUUGUGGCAUAGUCAACGGAACGGAUGGAGGAGCUAGGUAUAUCCGAAGUGGAAAACCUAGGUUGGCUCUGAUAUGGGAGAUUUAUAACAGAAGGUACUUUUGUAAACUUCCUUUCUAGUGAAGGAAUGCUUGGGCUCGAUUCUUUUUCAGAAAAUCUAUGUGAGGUAGACCUUCUGAAUGAUAGUUUGACUUUACCAUCGGAAUACUGGGUCACAUUUUGUAACUCUGUAUUUGGCUCAAGUUGUUUCGGAAUCGCCGGUGGGGCGGCUCCUUCGAGGAUCCAUUCAUCUGGAAGAUGGAUAUCUUUCCAUUGGAUCGAUUUUGGAAUGACAUGUUGGCUUUAGACAAAUCAGUCUGCAAGAGAAGGGUCUCAUCUCUCUUCGACUGGUAUUUAUGCUGUGUGCUAAAUGCAGAAAUCAUGGCUUUAUAGGAAAUUUUAAAAAUUAAUGCAACUGGGAUGGAUCCCUUAAUCAUGUGAUAAUUAUGGGUUUGGAUUUGUAAAAUCAUGCUCUUUAAAAUAUUUUUGUCUUUAAGAGAAAUUGUUAUAUUUGGAUAACAAUCAAAAGAUAUGGGACCUUUACAUAGACUAGAUUCGAUACUACUUAGUAAAGAAUCAAAAGAGAUGAAUCGCCCAUCUCUAAGAACAGCAAGGAUAGAGGUAUCCAAGCCUUCUUUGGUCAAAGGUUUUAUUCCUACUUGGAUUAAACCAAUGUGAAUAUAUUUGAAAUCUUUUCUUUUAAUUUCUUUAAAGAUUUUUCUGAAAACAAAUAAAUUGUUUCAAAAGGCUCCGAAAGAGUUAUGUCUCUUUCUUCAGUUUUUAUAAUAUAAUCAUGUUUUAAAAGAUCAAGCAUUUUUGUUUUGUAAAUCUUUUCUUUGGAAAUUUUUGGAAGUUCCCAACAAUCAAUUGCUUUAUCAAAGUUUUCAAUAACGAAUUCUUCUGAACUCACAACAUGCUUUGAAUCACUAGUCUUCCCGGAAGAAGAGCUAGAAAAGGACGAUGUUCUACAGUGUAGAGGGUUCAUGGGUAAAAACCUAUGAUCUAUUAGUGGUUUUGAAAGAAUGGCUACAGGUAUGGUUUUACAGCCCUAAACGGAAAACUUAUCCUUAGACGGGACUUACUACCAGUAAAAAUUCACCACAAAAACAAAACUUCAAAAUAAAACACAAGUUUUCAAAACACAAACUCUAAACUGCUUUACACAAUCCUCCCUUGGCUCUGAUACCAGAAGGAAAUAGAUCGAAGGAUGGGUGUGUAUUGAAGAUGCUUCUUUAUUGAUUGCUUUAAUGAAAUAAUUGGAUCGCGGUUGUUCAGAUUUUAUAUAAGAUUACCAGCUUUAGAUUAAGUAGAUUUGUUUUAGAGCAUACAAUGAUCAAACAAAUUUGAACGCGGUUGGUCAAAUUUUUAGAAUAUUUAAAGUACGUGGCGUUGUAGACCAGAUCGAUCGCAGAAGUUAAUCUGCCUUUGGACCCAGAUCUGACUUAGAACAGAUCAAUAGUCCGCACGUUCGGGUUUCCAGCCUAUAUACUUUAAUAUAUUUACCAGAUAAAAUUAAGUUGCUUUAAACGUGGUUGUUUCUUUUUAUUGGGCUAAUUCCAGAUUUAAAUUAGAUUCUUUAAGGGGCUUGGGUACAUACACAGUACCAGAUCCGGAUCCCGGAAAUGGUGCUCUGAAGGAAUGGAGGAAGAAGAGAAGAUUUACAACUGAGGAUCGAGAUCCGGUCUCUUUGCCUCAGAGGAACGUACAAAUUUUAUGGCAGAUCUGAUAAAGACCAGUCUGCUUUGCAUGCUUUGAAAAGAAAAUUGCUUUAAAAAUAAAUUGCUUUAAUGUAAAUAUGCAUGAAAUUAAAUUGCAGAAAAGUAAAUUGCGAAAAUUUAAAUUACAUCGAAAUUAAAUAACUGAAAUUUAAACAUACAUCUUUGCUUUGAUAGUCUUGGUCUUUACAAUUUUCAAAUCUUUCCUGAAGGGAAGAUUGAAAGACGGGAAGAUUACAAGACAGGAAUGGUUUCCUUGAUGUCUUGGACUGUUCAUCAAAUUUGACCACCAUUUGACUUUAAAGGUUCUUUGAAGGAUGACUUGGGAAUCUUGAGUAUGAAAACGGAGGUUCCACAUCCAGACCCAUGGUAGGAAGAAGUUUGUACAAAAACAGAGAAAGGGGGGGAAAUCUUUUCUCUGAGUCAGAGGGCAUAUAGUGGGCUUUAAAGAGGUUUAGGCAAUUUAUGGCAUUUGGAGUGAGGAUUUGAGGUAUUGGGCCAAAGAAAUUCCACCAAUGAUGGAACCAGUUUGGAAGGCUUUGGACGGUUAUUUUAGGGUUAAAGAAAAAUAACCAAGAAUGGGAUUUUUUAGGGUUUUGAAUAAAAAAGGUGUUAUACCAUGCUUGUUGGUAAUCCCAGUAGGAGAAAGUCCGACAAUGUGGUAAACGGGUUUCAAAGUUUAAAGGAAAGGUUUUGAAAUUGUGGAGUAGGUCGCCCCACUGGUUCGGGCUCAAAACUUUUAGAAUCGUGGCCGUGGAAUAGGCCGGUUCAGAAUGGGUUUUAUCAAGAAAGAAAUGUUUGAAUUUAACUGAUUCAGUUAUUUCUAAAAUGCUUUGAUAAUAAGACUGGGGUUUUGUCAAAUCCCAUGGUUUGAAAAACCAGCCUUUGGGAAAAAACUUUGAAAUGCUUUGAAAAGGAUCAGUAUGGUAAAAUCCAUCUUCCAUAGAAAGAAUAUUUUGAAAAUGGGUUUUAUCAAACCAAUCGGAGGUUUUCUUUGAAGGUGUUGGCUGAGAAAGCACAAUUUGGGAAGAUGAGCUUUCGGCAGAGACAACAACAUUUUGAGAGGAGGGUUUUGUAAUUUCUUUAGAUGUGGAUAUGCUCUUAAUUUCUUUUUGAGGAGAAUUUUGGCUCUGGGAAAGGUUUUGUAGAGCGAGCAUGAGCUCGGGAGAUUUUGUAAUGGAACUCAUCCAAUGCUUUAUUUGAUCAUCAGAAGAGAUGGGUUUGUAUUGGGCUUCAUGUUCUUCAACCAAUUCAAUCCAUGAUUUGAUGGGUAGGGCAGAAGAAAGUAAUUUUUCUUAGAAGGGGUUGACUGGGGUUCUUUGGAAGGUUCUUGAGAUCCGGAACUUUUGAGAACAGCUUUACCUUUGUCUUUCUUUAGCGGCAUUAUCUGUUUUGAAGAAAUUCUCUGGUUAGAAAAUCAGGAACAGAAUUUUAUCACCUUUAAUGAAUUCUAUAUCAAAUCAAAAACACUCAAAAUAGCUUGCCAACGUGCAAAAAUUUGUUUUGAUGCAAUGUUUUGAACAUCCUUUUCUAAAACAUGUUUUGCAGCUUUGCAAUCAAUUCUAAGUAAAAAUUUUUGAUUUAAUAAAUCACUUUGAAAUUUUGUAAUGCAUAAAACAAUGGAAAGAAUUUCUUUUUUAAUAGUAGAAUAAUUUUUCUGACAAUCAUUCCAAUGUGCAGAAACAUAUUGUACUAUCUGUUCUCUAUCAUUUUCUUUUUGUUUUAAUAUACCUCCAUAUCCUAAAUCAGAUGCAUCAGUUUCAACAAUUUUAGGGAAUGCAGGAUUUGCAAGAUAUAGACAUGGGAUGCUUUUAACAGAACUCUUUAUUAAUUUAACAGCUUUAGUAUGUUCAUCUGUCCAUGGAGCAGGUUUUUUUUUAAACGAUCAUGCAAAGGUUUAGACAACCUAUUGAUAUUGGGACAGAAAUCAAGAACAUAAUUUAGGCUACCAAGAAAUCUUUGUAAUUGAGUUUUGUCAAGGAUUUUAUCAGGGAAUUUAUCAGCAAAAAAAGUGAUCUUUCAAUAGGGGUGAUUGUUCCUUUUGAAAUAUAGUGACCAAGAAAUCUGAUUUUCGUUUGAAAUAAUGAAAUCUUUGAACUAGAAAGGGCUAGUCCAGCCUUUUUUGUAGCAAAAUAAAAAGUCUUUAAAUGUUUGAAAUGUUGAUCGAUUGAAUUUGAAAAUAUCAAAACAUCAUCAAUAUAAACAAUGCAAAAAUCAGAAUAAGGAUUAUAAAUAUCAUUCAUAAUUCUUUGAAAUUCUGAGGGUGCAUUCUUUAAACCAAAGGGCAUAACAGUCCAUUCGUAUUGUCCAAAUGGAACAGUGAAAGCGGUUUUGUAACGGUCAUUUGGAUGAAUUUGAAUUUGCCAAAAACCCGAUUUCAUGUCGAAUUUUGAAAAAAUAAAGGCAGAACAGAGUUUUUGGAGUAAAUCUUUUUUAUUAGGUAUAGGAUACCUAAUCCAUUUUAAAGCUUUAUUCAAAGGUUUGUAGUUUAUAACUAGUCUUGGAGUGCCUCUUUCAAUUUCGGAGUUUUUGUUAACAUAAAAAGCAGCACAAGACCAAGGAGACCUGGAUUUUACAAUGAGUCCUUUAGACUCCAAGUCUUUGAUUUCAUUUUUACAAUGUUUUUCUAAAUCCAUAUUCAUUUGAAUUGGACGAGCUUUGGUCGGAAUCUGUUUUUCAUCAAAAGAAUUUUCAUAAGGCAGGUCUACUAAAUGUUGUUUUCUAUUCCAAAAAGCAGAAGGUAGAUCAGCACAAAUUUCUUUUUCAAUAAGAGUUUUGAAAUCAGAAAUUUUUCUUUUAAUGAAAUCACUUUGUAAUUGGCUUUCAACUCUUUGUAAGUUCAAAUCUUUUUGUAAAAACAUUAGAUCACACUGUUUUGAUUUAAGUAAAUUGUUUAUUCUAUUUUGAUAAAUAGAACAGGCUUUAACAAUAUUUAAAUUUCUUGUUUUAGGUUUUCAAUAAAAGGGAAAACAAGUUUCUUGUUUUUUGCUUUGAAAGAUAUACUAUCAUAAUUGACAGUAUACGGAGUUAUGAGAUUUAUAAAAGGAGUUCCCAAAAUAAUGGCAUGAUGAAUAUCAUUUGUGAGAACAAAGGAAGUUUUAAAAUCAAAACCAUCAUUAUAGAUCGAGGCUUCAACCUUGGAACUGACAUUCAAUUUUGAAUUAUUGGCGGCAGAAAGCCUUUCUUUUGUUUUUUCAUGAAAUCUUUUGGGGACGAUAUCUUCUCUAAUGCAAUUUAAAUCGGCGCCAGUAUCAAAAAGGGCAAUGGCGUCCAUCGCAAAAUCAUCAGAAAAGAUUAGAGUGACUUUAAUCAAAUACUUUCUUGUGGUGAUUUGUUUUAGAACAAAUAGAAAAUCAUUGGGUACAGACUCAAUAUUUUUCUACUUUAAUAUCAUCACCAUCAAUAUCAGGACUGGAUUCAUUGUCUGAAUUAUCCUGUAAUUGCUUUUGUAAAAGAAGUUGAAUAAUAUCAGAAUCACUUUUUUGUUUUUCUUUUAAAUCUCUGAUUUCACUUUUGAUUUCUUUUAUCUCUUUCUGAAGAUCUUGGAUAUUAGGAAUCAUCUUUUUUGUUUUCUUCUUAUCCAAAAUUUGAGUAAGAUCAUAAGAAUUCUUUUUAAUAAUUGGGACUCUAGAAGUCUCGGCUUUAUUAAAAUCCAAUGUUUUCAAAAGUUUAUCAAGGUAUUCCUUUUGAAGAUUUGGAUCAGAAAUAUGCUUUACAAGUUCAAGAAAAGUUUCUUGGUCUUUAGUCAAAACAUUGAUUUUCUUUAAAAAUGAAUCAGAUUCAGAAUCACUACUGCUAGAUGCAGAGUCAUCUGAGUCAAAAAGCUCAUCAACUUGGUAAGGGUCACUGUCUCCCGACAUGGAAGACUCAGAAUCAGAAGAUUCGACAAGAAGAGGGGCUAUUUUAGAAAGGAUGUCCUCAUUGAGGUCAAGUUCUUGGAGUCUUUUGUUCAUUCUGCAAAAUUUUGCAGUAUGACCUUUCAUACCACAUUUGAAACAUGUGGCCUCCUUGAAGUUGAAUGGGGUAUUAGGUUUGGCUUUGAAAUCUUUCUUUUUAGAGAAACUAUGUCUCUUAUAAGGCUUCGAAGGUUUCUUAUAAGGAAGUUUUCUAAAAUCACGGAAGGGUUUUCUAAAAUGUUUAGAUUUGUAAUGUUUCUUACGAGGUUUUGUAGAACACUCUCCAUUACAAUCUUUGGAAGUUUUAAAGGGGUCAUAAUUGAAUUGCUUACAGAAACCGCCUAAUUCCUGUUUAGACUUCUUAAGCUCCCACUUAAGACGUUUCUGUAAUUUCAAAUCUUGACAAAUCUUUAAACCUUCUUUGUUGACAAAACUGACUAGUUCACCAUAGGUGAGCUCGUCAUAAGGAAUACGGUUAUCGUAAAGGGCUUUGAUGGAAUUUCUUACCUUUUCACCUAAAAGGGUAGGUAAUCCAGCAAGAAAUUUUUCUUUCCAAGUAAUAUGAUUUGCAUCAUCCCUUAGAAAUAGUCUGGUAAGGAAAGAGGUUUUGUAACUCUGAAAUUCACUAAGUUUUCUACAUCUCAAAUUAUGUAGUAACUCAGCGUUUUUAUCACGAAGGUGAGAAGGGUCACCGAUGAAAUGGAGGGAAAUGGUUUAGAAUAAGAGUAGCAACAGCAUCCUGGAUAGGGUUGUUGAACUCAUCAAGAAUAGAGGCUCCAUUUUCAUCUUUUUGGACGGAAUUUAGAAUGUCAAAUUGUUGCUGAUUAGUGAGAAGAUGAUCCACCAACCUUUUAGUUGACCAGUAAAACCAGCAAUUAGGAUUUCCGAUAUGGCACGAUCAGAAGUUCCUGCUUGGGUUUUAUAAGCAUUAGCUGCCAUUGUCAUUUGUUGCAACAAUCCAAGGAUAUUGUACUCAGACAUGCCGUCAAUAUUCCACUCAUAGACUGAAGAUGCAUUAUAACGGGAUUGAUUUAAUGCACUAGGUCUAUUAUCUAUUGCUAGAUCUGGUGGGGUCUUGACAGUGGGAAGGGCUAAUUCCCAGUGGAUUUUGUUGGCUUUAGGAGUAGAAGGUUCUUUUUGAAAGCUUCUAAGUCAGAAGAGGCUAUAGAACUCUGGUCAUCUAGAUCCAAUACUCCAAUCUUGCUAGAUUGGGGGGUAUCGGGGGCUAUCUGGAGUUUGCUAGACGAGGAAGAAGCAGCUUCUAUCCUCUCUAGUUGUUCUCUAAUGGCUUUAGCAAAAUCUGAUUUUGACUCUUGAACAAGCCUUUGGCUAGUUUUCGAAACCUGAAAAGGUUUGAAAAUAGGUUCCUUAAGCUUUUUGUCAGAAUCCGAUUUUGAAGGAAUAGACAUAGGAAUAGGAGAAACAGAUAUAGGAGAUUUUUGAAAUUGGUUUUCUAUACGAGCCAAUUGCUUUCCAAUUGUAUUUAAGUUAGUAUUACAGAAAUUAUUCUGUUGUAUAAUACUACUUAAAUUCGCAUCAGAAUCAUUUGGUCUUGGGAUUUUGUAAGGGGAUGCUUUAAUCUCAAUAGGAGGUUCACCAUGAUCUAUGGUUAUACUCCUAAGAGGUGGAUGAUCAGACUCUAUAAUCCUAUCAUUAUCAGAAAGUUUCCAUUCAGGAAUUUUCUUUCUAAUAGUUAUAGGGUUUGACUCUUUAAAAGGAUAAUCAAUAUUGUUCUCAGAAGAAUAUAUUUCGAACCAAUCAAAAAACAAUAUAUGAACUUUAUGAAAAUUCACAAAUUCAUAAUAAGUUGUUGGAUUUCUUUUCUUUGGUUUAAAAAAUGUUUAAAAAACCAAGUUCUUUUUUCUUUAUUUAUUUCUGAAUAAAAAUCGUUAUGCAGAAAGGCUUUAUCUAAUUCAAAUUCUUUUUCAAUGACAUUAAUGACAUUUUCUGUGACAGCAGAAAACGUAGGAGAUGUUGGAGGAGAAGGUUUCUCUUCCUGUCUUUGCACAUGUUGACUACUAGUGUAUAUAGGAUGAGGAACACUUGUGGCAUAGUCAACGGAACGGAUGGAGGAGCUAGGUAUAUCCGAAGUGGAAAACCUAGGUUGGCUCUGAUAUGGGAGAUUUAUAACAGAAGGUACUUUUGUAAACUUCCUUUCUAGUGAAGGAAUGCUUGGGCUCGAUUCUUUUUCAGAAAAUCUAUGUGAGGUAGACCUUCUGAAUGAUAGUUUGACUUUACCAUCGGAAUACUGGGUCACAUUUUGUAACUCUGUAUUUGGCUCAAGUUGUUUCGGAAUCGCCGGUGGGGCGGCUCCUUCGAGGAUCCAUUCAUCUGGAAGAUGGAUAUCUUUCCAUUGGAUCGAUUUUGGAAUGACCAUGUUGGCUUAGACAAAUCAGUCUGCAAGAGAAGGGUCUCAUCUCUCUUCGACUGGUAUUUAUGCUGUGUGCUAAAUGCAGAAAUCAUGGCUUUAUAGGAAAUUUUAAAAAAUUAAUGCAACUGGGAUGGAUCCCUUAAUCAUGUGAUAAUUAUGGGUUUGGAUUUGUAAAAUCAUGCUCUUUAAAAUAUUUUUGUCUUUAAGAGAAAUUGUUAUAUUUGGAUAACAACAAAAGAUAUGGGACCUUUACAUAGACUAGAUUCGAUACUACUUAGUAAAGAAUCAUCAAAAGAGAUGAAUCGCCCAUCUCUAAGAACAGCAAGGAUAGAGGUAUCCAAGCCUUCUUUGGUCAAAGGUUUUAUUCCUACUUGGAUUAAACCAAUGUGAAUAUAUUUGAAAUUUCUUUUAAUUUCUUUAAAGAUUUUUCUGAAAACAAAUAAAUUGUUUCAAAAGGCUCCGAAAGAGUUAUGUCUCUUUCUUCAGUUUUUAUAAUAUAAUCAUGUUUUAAAAGAUCAAGCAUUUUUUGUUUUGUAAAUCUUUUCUUUGGAAAUUUUUGGAAGUUCCCAACAAUCAAUUGCUUUAUCAAAGUUUCAAUAACGAAUUCUUCUGAACUCACAACAUGCUUUGAAUCACUAGUCUUCCCGGAAGAAGAGCUAGAAAAGGACGAUGUUCUACAGUGUAGAGGGUUCAUGGGUAAAAACCUAUGAUCUAUUUAGUGGUUUUGAAAGAAUGGCUACAGGUAUGGUUUUACAGCCCUAAACGGAAAACUUAUCCUUAGACGGGACUUACUACCAGUAAAAAUUCACCACAAAAACAAAACUUCAAAAUAAAACAAGUUUUCAAAACACAAAACUCUAAACUGCUUUACACAAUCCUCCCCUUGGCUCUGAUACCAGAAGGAAAUAGAAUCGAAGGAUGGGUGUGUAUUGAAGAUGCUUCUUUAUUGAUUGCUUUAAUGAAAUAAUUGGAUCGCGGUUGUUCAGAUUUUAUAUAAGAUUACCAGCUUUAGAUUAAGUAGAUUUGUUUUAGAGCAUACAAUGAUCAAACAAAUUUGAACGCGGUUGGUCAAAUUUUUAGAAUAUUUAAAGUACGUGGCGUUGUUAGACCAGAUCGAUCGCAGAAGUUAAUCUGCCUUUGGACCCAGAUCUGACUUAGAACAGAUCAAUAGUCCGCACGUUCGGGUUUCCAGCCUAUAUACUUUAAUAUAUUUACCAGAUAAAAUUAAGUUGCUUUAAACGUGGUUGUUUCUUUUUAUUGGGCUAAUUCCAGAUUUAAAUUAGAUUCUUUAAGGGGCUUGGGUACAUACACAGUACCAGAUCCGGAUCCCGGAAAUGGUGCUCUGAAGGAAUGGAGGAAGAAGAGAAGAUUUACAACUGAGGAUCGAGAUCCGGUCUCUUUGCCUCAGAGGAACGUACAAAUUUUAUGGCAGAUCUGAUAAAGACCAGUCUGCUUUGCAUGCUUUGAAAAGAAAAUUGCUUUAAAAUAAAUUGCUUUAAUGUAAAUAUGCAUGAAAUUAAAAUUGCAGAAAAGUAAAUUGCGAAAAUUAAAUUACAUCGAAAUUAAAUAACUGAAAUUUAAACAUACAUCUUUGCUUUGAUAGUCUUGGUCUUUACAAUUUUCAAAUCUUUCCUGAAGGGAAGAUUGAAAGACGGGAAGAUUACAAGACAGGAAUGGUUUCCUUGAUGUCUUGGACUGUUCAAAUUUUGACCACCAUUUGACUUUAAAGGUUCUUUGAAGGAUGACUUGGAAUCUUGAGUAUGAAAACGGAGGUUCCACAUCCAGACCCAUGGUAGGAAGAAGUUUGUACAAAAACAGAGAAAGGGGGGAAAUCUUUUCUCUGAGUCAGAGGGCAUAUAGUGGGCUUUAAAGAGGUUUAGGCAAUUUAUGGCAUUUGGAGUGAGGAUUGAGGUAUUGGGCCAAAGAAAUUCCACCAAUGAUGGAACCAGUUUGGAAGGCUUUGGACGGUUAUUUUAGGGUUAAAGAAAAAUAACCAAGAAUGGGAUUUUUUAGGGUUUGAAUAAAAAAGGUGUUAUACCAUGCUUGUUGGUAAUCCCAGUAGGAGAAAGUCCGACAAUGUGGUAAAACGGGUUUCAAAGUUUAAAGGAAAGGUUUUGAAAUUGUGGAGUAGGUCGCCCCACUGGUUCGGGCUCAAAACUUUUAGAAUCGUGGCCGUGGAAUAGGCCGGUUCAGAAUGGGUUUUAUCAAGAAAGAAAUGUUUGAAUUUAACUGAUUCAGUUAUUUCUAAAAUGCUUUGAUAAUAAGACUGGGGUUUUGUCAAAUCCCAUGGUUUGAAAAACCAGCCUUUGGGAAAAAACUUUGAAAUGCUUUGAAAAGGAUCAGUAUGGAAAAUCCAUCUUCCAUAGAAAGAAUAUUUUGAAAAUGGGUUUUAUCAAACCAAUCGGAGGUUUUCUUGAAGGUGUUGGCUGAGAAAGCACAAUUUGGGAAGAUGAGCUUUCGGCAGAGACAACAACAUUUUGAGAGGAGGGUUUUGUAAUUUCUUUAGAUGUGGAUAUGCUCUUAAUUUCUUUUUGAGGAGAAUUUUGGCUCUGGGAAAGGUUUUGUAGAGCGAGCAUGAGCUCGGGAGAUUUUGUAAUGGAACUCAUCCAAUGCUUUAUUUGAUCAUCAGAAGAGAUGGGUUUGUAUUGGGCUUCAUGUUCUUCAACCAAUUCAAUCCAUGAUUUGAUGGGUAGGGCAGAAGAAAGUAAUUUUUCUUUAGAAGGGGUUGACUGGGUUCUUUGGAAGGUUCUUGAGAUCCGGAACUUUUGAGAACAGCUUUACCUUUGUCUUUCUUUAGCGGCAUUAUCUGUUUUGAAGAAAUUCUCUGGUUAGAAAAUCAGGAACAGAAUUUUUAUCACCUUUAAUGAAUUCUAUAUCAAAAUCAAAAACACUCAAAAAUAGCUUGCCAACGUGCAAAAAUUUGUUUUGAUGCAAUGUUUUGAACAUCCUUUUCUAAAACAUGUUUUGCAGCUUUGCAAUCAAUUCUAAGUAAAAAUUUUUGAUUUAAUAAAUCACUUUGAAAUUUUGUAAUGCAUAAAACAAUGGAAAGAAUUUCUUUUUUAAUAGUAGAAUAAUUUUUCUGACAAUCAUUCCAAUGUGCAGAAACAUAUUGUACUAUCUGUUCUCUAUCAUUUUCUUUUUGUUUUAAUAUACCUCCAUAUCCUAAAUCAGAUGCAUCAGUUUCAACAAUUUUAGGGAAUGCAGGGUUUGCAAGAUAUAGACAUGGGAUGCUUUUAACAGAACUCUUUAUUAAUUUAACAGCUUUAGUAUGUUCAUCUGUCCAUGGAGCAGGUUUUUUCUUUAAACGAUCAUGCAAAGGUUUAGACAACCUAUUGAUAUUGGGACAGAAAUCAAGAACAUAAAUUUAGGCUACCAAGAAAUCUUUGUAAUUGAGUUUUGUCAAGGAUUUUAUCAGGAAUUUAUCAGCAAAUAAAAGUGAUCUUUCAAUAGGGGUGAUUGUUCCUUUUGAAAUAUAGUGACCAAGAAAUCUGAUUUUCGUUUGAAAUAAUGAAAUCUUUGAACUAGAAAGGGCUAGUCCAGCCUUUUUUGUAGCAAAAUAAAAAGUCUUUAAAUGUUUGAAAUGUUGAUCGAUUGAAUUUGAAAAUAUCAAAACAUCAAUAUAAACAAUGCAAAAAUCAGAAUAAGGAUUAUAAAUAUCAUUCAUAAUUCUUUGAAAUUCUGAGGGUGCAUUCUUUAAACCAAAGGGCAUAACAGUCCAUUCGUAUUGUCCAAAUGGAACAGUGAAAGCGGUUUGUAACGGUCAUUUGGAUGAAUUUGAAUUUGCCAAAACCCGAUUUCAUGUCGAAUUUUUGAAAAAAUAAAGGCAGAACAGAGUUUUUGGAGUAAAUCUUUUUUAUUAGGUAUAGGAUACCUAAUCCAUUUUAAAGCUUUAUUCAAAGGUUUGUAGUUUAUAACUAGUCUUGGAGUGCCUCUUUCAAUUUCGGAGUUUUUGUUAACAUAAAAAGCAGCACAAGACCAAGGAGACCUGGAUUUACAAUGAGUCCUUUAGACUCCAAGUCUUUGAUUUCAUUUUUUACAAUGUUUUUCUAAAUCCAUAUUCAUUUGAAUUGGACGAGCUUUGGUCGGAAUCUGUUUUUCAAAAAGAAUUUUCAUAAGGCAGGUCUACUAAAUGUUGUUUUUAUUCCAAAAAGCAGAAGGUAGAUCAGCACAAAUUUCUUUUUCAAUAAGAGUUUUGAAAUCAGAAAUUUUUCUUUUUAAUGAAAUCACUUUGUAAUUGGCUUUCAACUCUUUGUAAGUUCAAAUCUUUUUGUAAAAACAUUAGAUCACACUGUUUUGAUUUAAGUAAAUUGUUUAUUCUAUUUUGAUAAAUAGAACAGGCUUUAACAAUAUUNNNNNNNNNNNNNNNNNNNNNNNNNNNNNNNNNNNNNNNNNNNNNNNNNNNNNNNNNNNNNNNNNNNNNNNNNNNNNNNNNNNNNNNNNNNNNNNNNNNNNNNNNNNNNNNNNNNNNNNNNNNNNNNNNNNNNNNNNNNNNNNNNNNNNNNNNNNNNNNNNNNNNNNNNNNNNNNNNNNNNNNNNNNNNNNNNNNNNNNNNNNNNNNNNNNNNNNNNNNNNNNNNNNNNNNNNNNNNNNNNNNNNNNNNNNNNNNNNNNNNNNNNNNNNNNNNNNNNNNNNNNNNNNNNNNNNNNNNNNNNNNNNNNNNNNNNNNNNNNNNNNNNNNNNNNNNNNNNNNNNNNNNNNNNNNNNNNNNNNNNNNNNNNNNNNNNNNNNNNNNNNNNNNNNNNNNNNNNNNNNNNNNNNNNNNNNNNNNNNNNNNNNNNNNNNNNNNNNNNNNNNNNNNNNNNNNNNNNNNNNNNNNNNNNNNNNNNNNNNNNNNNNNNNNNNNNNNNNNNNNNNNNNNNNNNNNNNNNNNNNNNNNNNNNNNNNNNNNNNNNNNNNNNNNNNNNNNNNNNNNNNNNNNNNNNNNNNNNNNNNNNNNNNNNNNNNNNNNNNNNNNNNNNNNNNNNNNNNNNNNNNNNNUUUUACAAUGUUUUCUAAAUCCAUAUUCAUUUGAAUUGGACGAGCUUUGGUCGGAAUCUGUUUUUCAUCAAAAGAAUUUUCAUAAGGCAGGUCUACUAAAUGUGUUUUCUAUUCCAAAAAGCAGAAGGUAGAUCAGCACAAAUUUCUUUUUCAAUAAGAGUUUUGAAAUCAGAAAUUUUUCUUUUAAUGAAAUCACUUUGUAAUUGGCUUUCAACUCUUUGUAAGUUCAAAUCUUUUUGUAAAACAUUAGAUCACACUGUUUUGAUUUAAGUAAAUUGUUUAUUCUAUUUUGAUAAAUAGAACAGGCUUUAACAAUAUUUAAAUUUCUUGUUUUAGGUUUUUCAAUAAAAGGGAAAACAAGUUUCUUGUUUUUUGCUUUGAAAGAUAUACUAUCAUAAUUGACAGUAUACGGAGUUAUGAGAUUUAUAAAAGGAGUUCCCAAAAUAAUGGCAUGAUGAAUAUCAUUUGUGAGAACAAAGGAAGUUUUAAAAUCAAAACCAUCAUUAUAGAUCGAGGCUUCAACCUUGGAACUGACAUUCAAUUUUUGAAUUAUUGGCGGCAGAAAGCCUUUCUUUUGUUUUUUCAUGAAAUCUUUUGGGGACGAUAUCUUCUCUAAUGCAAUUUAAAUCGGCGCCAGUAUCAAAAAGGGCAAUGGCGUCCAUCGCAAAAUCAUCAGAAAAGAUUAGAGUGACUUUAAUCAAAUACUUUCUUGUGGUGAUUUGUUUUAGAACAAAUAGAAAAUCAUUGGGUACAGACUCAAUAUUUUCUACUUUAAUAUCAUCACCAUCAAUAUCAGGACUGGAUUCAUUGUCUGAAUUAUCCUGUAAUUGCUUUUGUAAAAGAAGUUGAAUAAUAUCAGAAUCACUUUUUGUUUUUCUUUUAAAUCUCUGAUUUCACUUUUGAUUUCUUUUAUCUCUUUCUGAAGAUCUUGGAUAUUAGGAAUCAUCUUUUUUGUUUUCUUCUUAUCCAAAAUUUGAGUAAGAUCAUAAGAAUUCUUUUUAAUAAUUGGGACUCUAGAAGUCUCGGCUUUAUUAAAAUCCAAUUUUCAAAAGUUUAUCAAGGUAUUCCUUUUGAAGAUUUGGAUCAGAAAUAUGCUUUACAAGUUCAAGAAAAGUUUCUUGGUCUUUAGUCAAAACAUUGAUUUUCUUUAAAAAUGAAUCAGAUUCAGAAUCACUACUGCUAGAUGCAGAGUCAUCUGAGUCAAAAAGCUCAUCAACUUGGUAAGGGUCACUGUCUCCUGACAUGGAAGACUCAGAAUCAGAAGAUUCGACAAGAAGAGGGGCUAUUUUAGAAAGGAUGUCCUCAUUGAGGUCAAGUUCUUGGAGUCUUUUGUUCAUUCUGCAAAAUUUUGCAGUAUGACCUUUCAUACCACAUUUGAAACAUGUGGCCUCCUUGAAGUUGAAUGGGGUAUUAGGUUUGGCUUUGAAAUCUUUCUUUUUUAGAGAAACUAUGUCUCUUAUAAGGCUUCGAAGGUUUCUUAUAAGGAAGUUUUCUAAAAUCACGGAAGGGUUUUCUAAAAUGUUUAGAUUUGUAAUGUUUCUUACGAGGUUUUGUAGAACACUCUCCAUUACAAUCUUUGGAAGUUUUAAAGGGGUCAUAAUUGAAUUGCUUACAGAAACCGCCUAAUUCCUGUUUAGACUUCUUAAGCUCCCACUUAAGACGUUUCUGUAAUUUCAAAUCUUGACAAAUCUUUAAACCUUCUUUGUUGACAAAACUGACUAGUUCACCAUAGGUGAGCUCGUCAUAAGGAAUACGGUUAUCGUAAAGGGCUUUGAUGGAAUUUCUUACCUUUUCACCUAAAAAGGUAGGUAAUCCAGCAAGAAAUUUUUCUUUCCAAGUAAUAUGAUUUGCAUCAUCCCUUAGAAAUAGUCUGGUAAGGAAAGAGGUUUUGUAACUCUGAAAUUCACUAAGUUUUCUACAUCUCAAAUUAUGUAGUAACUCAGCGUUUUUAUCACGAAGGUGAGAAGGGUCACCGAUGAAAUGGAGGGAAAUGGUUAGAAUAAGAGUAGCAACAGCAUCCUGGAUAGGGUUGUUGAACUCAUCAAGAAUAGAGGCUCCAUUUUCAUCUUUUUGACGGAAUUUAGAAUGUCAAAUUGUUGCUGAUUAGUGAGAAGAUGAUCCCACCAACUUUUAGUUGACCAGUAAAACAGCAAUUAGGAUUUCCGAUAUGCACGAUCAGAAGUUCCUGCUUGGUUUUAUAAGCAUUAGCUGCCAUUGUCAUUUGUUGCAACAAUCCAAGGAUAUUGUACUCAGACAUGCCGUCAAUAUUCCACUCAUAGACUGAAGAUGCAUUAUAACGGGAUUGAUUUAAUGCACUAGGUCUAUUAUCUAUUGCUAGAUCUGGUGGGGUCUUGACAGUGGGAAGGGCUAAUUCCCAGUGGAUUUUGUUGGCUUUAGGAGUUAGAAGGUUCUUCUUUGAAAGCUUCUAAGUCAGAAGAGGCUAUAGAACUCUGGUCAUCUAGAUCCAAUACUCCAAUCUUGCUAGAUUGGGGGGUAUCGGGGGCUAUCUGGAGUUUGCUAGACGAGGAAGAAGCAGCUUCUAUCCUCUCUAGUUGUUCUCUAAUGGCUUUAGCAAAAUCUGAUUUUGACUCUUGAACAAGCCUUUGGCUAGUUUUCGAAACCUGAAAAGGUUUUGAAAAUAGGUUCCUUAAGCUUUUUGUCAGAAUCCGAUUUUGAAGGAAUAGACAUAGGAAUAGGAGAAACAGAAUAUAGAGAUUUUUGAAAUGGUUUUCUAUACGAGCCAAUUGCUUUCCAAUUGUAUUUAAGUUAGUAUUACAGAAAUUAUUCUGUUGUAUAAUACUACUUAAAUUCGCAUCAGAAUCAUUUGGUCUUGGAUUUUGUAAGGGGAUGCUUUAAUCUCAAUAGGAGGUUCACCAUGAUCUAUGGUUAUACUCCUAAGAGGUGGAUGAUCAGACUCUAUAAUCCUAUCAUUAUCAGAAAGUUUCCAUUCAGGAAUUUUCUUUCUAAUAGUUAUAGGGUUUGACUCUUUAAAAGGAUAAUCAAUAUUGUUCUCAGAAGAAUAUAUUUCGAACCAAUCAAAAAACAAUAUAUGAACUUUAUGAAAAUUCACAAAUUCAUAAUAAGUUUGUUGGAUUCUUUUUCUUGGUUUAAAAAUGUUUAAAAAACCAAGUUCUUUUUUCUUUAUUUAUUUCUGAAUAAAAAUCGUUAUGCAGAAAGGCUUUAUCUAAUUCAAAUUCUUUUUCAAUGACAUUAAUGACAUUUUCUGUGACAGCAGAAAACGUAGGAGAUGUUGGAGGAGAAGGUUCCUUCUCUUUCUGUCUUUGCACAUGUUGACUACUAGUGUAUAUAGGAUGAGGAACACUUGUGGCAUAGUCAACGGAACGGAUGGAGGAGCUAGGUAUAUCCGAAGUGGAAAACCUAGGUUGGCUCUGAUAUGGGAGAUUUAUAACAGAAGGUACUUUUGUAAACUUCCUUUCUAGUGAAGGAAUGCUUGGGCUCGAUUCUUUUUCAGAAAAUCUAUGUGAGGUAGACCUUCUGAAUGAUAGUUUGACUUUACCAUCGGAAUACUGGGUCACAUUUUGUAACUCUGUAUUUGGCUCAAGUUGUUUCGGAAUCGCCGGUGGGGCGGCUCCUUCGAGGAUCCAUUCAUCUGGAAGAUGGAUAUCUUUCCAUUGGAUCGAUUUUGGAAUGACCAUGUUGGCUUUAGACAAAUCAGUCUGCAAGAGAAGGGUCUCAUCUCUCUUCGACUGGUAUUUAUGCUGUGUGCUAAAUGCAGAAAUCAAUCGGCUUUAUAGGAAAUUUUAAAAUUAAUGCAACUGGGAUGGAUCCCUUAAUCAUGUGAUAAUUAUGGGUUUGGAUUUGUAAAAUCAUGCUCUUUAAAAUAUUUUUGUCUUUAAGAGAAAUUGUUAUAUUUGGAUAACAAUCAAAAGAUAUGGGACCUUUACAUAGACUAGAUUCGAUACUACUUAGUAAAGAAUCAUCAAAAGAGAUGAAUCGCCCAUCUCUAAGAACAGCAAGGAUAGAGGUAUCCAAGCCUUCUUUGGUCAAAGGUUUUAUUCCUACUUGGAUUAAACCAAUGUGAAUAUAUUUGAAAUUCUUUUCUUUUAAUUUCUUUAAAGAUUUUUCUGAAAACAAAUAAAUUGUUUCAAAAGGCUCCGAAAGAGUUAUGUCUCUUUCUUCAGUUUUUAUAAUAUAUCAUGUUUUAAAAGAUCAAGCAUUUUUGUUUUGUAAAUCUUUUCUUUGGAAAUUUUUGGAAGUUCCCAACAAUCAAUUGCUUUAUCAAAGUUUUUCAAUAACGAAUUCUUUCUGAACUCACAACAUGCUUUGAAUCACUAGUCUUCCCGGGAAGAAGAGCUAGAAAAGGACGAUGUUCUACAGUGUAGAGGGUUCAUGGGUAAAAAACCUAUGAUCUAUUUAGUGGUUUUGAAAGAAUGGCUACAGGUAUGGUUUUACAGCCCUAAACGGAAAACUAUCCUUAGACGGGACUUACUGUUGAGUGUUAGAAAAUGCAUAUUUAUAAAGGAGAAAACCGUCAUUUUACAUUCAAGUCUUACUAACAACCCUUACUUUUAUGUAUUUAACCUUCUUGUGAUGUAAUUACGUGUGUGUUAUUUUAAUUAAGUAUUUUAUGUAUUUUAGGGGCAUUAUAGUCAUUUCACAAUAAAGGAGAGAUCAGACGGCAAAACGGACAUCACUUUUGAACUCAGGACGGUCGAAAACCUUAGGAGGAGCAUAAAAGGAAAAAUGGUACUAUUCACGUAUACGGUACUGUCUACAUUACUGUUCACGACACUGUUCACAUAGACGGAUCGAUGACGUGGCAUUGACCGAUGAUGUGGCAUUGACUGAUGAGGUGUCACGAUCCUGUUGGACUAAAAUUCUUAUGUACUGUUGACGGUGACGUGGCAGCAUAUCAGUGGACGAAAAAUCUCGCGUACGGUGCAUGCAUCACACAGGAUUAUUUUCAACCAAACCGUGUUACUGUUCAUCCGGGUCAAACCGUGUUACUGUUCAUCCGCGUGGUCAAACCGUGGACUGUUGACUGAUGACGUGGCGCAAUCCUGAGCGUCCAAACUGUUUUUAAUCCGAUGGCCAUGAUUUACUCCAUGUAUCUAUAAAAAGGGGGCCUCCCCCCCCUAAUUUGAUAUCUCUGAAUCCAUUUUUGGGAUCCAUUUUCUGUAAUUCCUUCUCCAUCUUGUAUUUUCUUCGUAUUUUAAUAAAUUCCCAUUUUGCCCCUAGUUCAAUUAUGAGUAGCUAAUUUCCUUUCAAGCUUGGGUUGAAGGUGAAGUCUCAACAUGUGUCAUGGGCUUUAUUUGGUAAAUUUAUUUUCUUUUCCCCUCUAGUUUUUGUGGAUGAUUUGACUUAUCGUCGACAAAUAAUACUGAUCUUGUCUAGAUACCGCCUUGGUUACACCGGCUCUCUAGUAUAAGGUUAUUAUUAUUUGGCACGAUAAGCCCUUAGCACCAUGUUGAUUAGAGCGUGGUUCAUGAUGUGUGGAUUCCCCCAUCAUGAUUUAAUUGGCAUUAAUACGGAUUAUUUAGCCCAUGAUGCAUGUUGAUACGGAUCCGAAUACCCAAGUACGUCAUUUCAAAUAGAAUUAUCUUCAAUUUAUUCUCGCCAUUGCAAUUCUAAUUUUAGAAUUUAUUCUCGCCAUUUUAAUUUAAGUUUUAGCAUAUUCCAAAUCAUUUCCACCAUAAAUCCAACCACCCAUUUUGCAAAAUUAAUUCUACACAUAAUUAAAAUCCACCUCCUCGUGGGAUCGACACUCGUCACCAUUGAUCUAUACUACAAUAGAUUCGUGCGCUUGCGAGUACAUUAAAAUUUGCACAACAAGUUUUUGGCGCCGUUGCCGGGGAGGUAAGUAAUUUUAAUUCAUAGAAUUAAUUUUUGUGAAUAAUUUCUUUUAUUUGUUUUCUUGUAUUUUUUUUUUCUUAUUAAAAAAGAAAAAAGAAAAAAAGAGUAAAUCUACAUUUAAAGGUUAGUAUUUCUUUUCUUUUUCUCUUCUUUAAAAUUCUGUAAUUUAAUUUUCAAUUUAUUUUUUCUUUGUAAUUUUUGUUUAUUUUAUUAAUUUAAUUUUUAGUUAAUUUAUUUCACGUAUUUGUUUUUGUGUAUUUUUAUAGAAAGGUUGUAAUAGCGCAAUAAGGUUAGUAUCGUAAUUUCUCCCUCUUCUUUAUUUUUAUUUGUUUUGUUCCCAUCUUUAUUUUUUUUGUUUUGUUUGCAUCUUUAUUUUUAUUUUAUUUUAUUUUGCAUGCAUGGUCGUAGGUCAUUAUUACCUAAUCUUGAACCUAUAGACCUUGAAUUAGAAAAAACACUUCGCACACAAAAGCACAUUAAAAAUAAAUUUGGAAUGGAUUUACAAGCACCACAGGAGAGGCCAUUUAAGGACUAUUUAGUCCCUUAGCUAAUUUGAGCACAUCAUGCAUUAGAUACCCAAAUGUAGCUGCUGGGAGCUUUGAACUAAAACCUAGUGUGCUAAAUUGUCUCCCCACAUUCUAUGGCUUAGAAAAUGAGGACCCAUAUAAUCAUCUGAAUGAUUUUCAUACCAUUUGUCAAACUUUUAAAUAUGAAAAUUUUUCAGACGAUGAUGUUAAACUCAGAUUAUUCCCAUUUUCUUUAAAGGAUAGAGCUCGUUCAUGGUUAAAUACUUUGCCUGCUAAUAGCAUUGCAUCAUGGGAACAAAUGGUUACAAAAUUUCUAAAUAAAUAUUUCCCAGUGCAUAAAACCAAUUCUAUUCGCAGGGAAAUUUCAGAGUUUACACAAAGAGAGGACGAGCAGUUUUUCGAAACAUGGGAGCGAUUCAAUGGGCUACUCUUGAAGUGUCCACAUCAUGGGUACGAGAAAUGGCACCAAUGCCAAUACUUUUUGGAGGGAUUACUACCAAAUGUGCAAGAAUGGCUAAUGGCAACAAGUGGAGGAGAGCUAAUGUCAAAAAGCGCAACAGAGAUUUGGGAAUUCUUCCAGCGACAAGCGGAUAAUUCCCAACAACGGAGUCGAUCACUCAGGAAUACUAGAAGAAUUAAGGGAGUAAAUGAGGUUCAAAUUGGCGAGUCAACUUCGGGAAUCAAAGAAGUCAAGGAGAUGGUUGAAGGUCUUGCUCGACAAAUAGCAUCGUUAUCGACUGCUAAAUCAACAGAACCACAUGACCAUGACUCAUACUCCGAUCAAGCCAAUGCCAUAGGUGUAAUGAGAAAGCCAUCUAAUUACAACCCAUACUCCAACACAUAUAACCCUGGAUGGAGAGACCACCCCAAUUUUUCAUGGUCUCAAGGAUUCCAACAGAAUGGACCAGCAGCUCCAGCUCCACAAAUUCCUCAAGUUCCUCAAGCCUCUCAGCCACCAUUCAGACCAUACAAUCAGAACCAGAACUACUCUCAACCCAGACCAUGGGAGGAUUCAUUCCAGAAUCUCAAGAAUCUUACUCACUCCACGAUUGAGCAACAGAACCGCACCAUUGAUGGACUACGAAAUGAGUUGAGAGCAGGCUUCAACUCACAAGCUCAAUCAGUUUCAAGCCUCGAGAAGAUGGUGGGACAACUUGCUUCUUCAGUUCAGACCUUGGCAAUGACUGUUGAGAAAGGAAAAUUUCCAAGUCAACCAGUGCCUAAUCCUAAAGGAGUGCAUGAAGCAAGUACCAGUUCACCACAACAGCAUGGAGAGGUCAAAGCAGUCAUGACCUUGCGAAAAGGAAAGGAAGUCGACAAUAAAGUGGAGAUGCCGGUGACAAAAGAAAAUCAAAUUGUACCUGUAAAUGCUGAGGACUCACCACCGGAGGAAAAAGAAGAAACCAACCCACGAGAAUACGUUCCCAAAGCUCCAUUUCCUCAGAGGUUAGUGAAAGGAAAGAAGGGAAAAUCCACAGGUGAGAUUCUCGAAAUCUUCAAACAGGUAAGUGUUAACAUCCCUUUACUUGAUGCUAUAAAGCAAGUUCCAUCUUAUGCCAAGUUUCUUAAAGACCUUUGUACUAAAAAGAGAAAUAUGCAUGUUCAAAAGAAGGCAUUUUUAACAGAAAACGUUAGUUCUAUACUCCAACAUAAAAUUCCUUUAAAAUGCAAAGACCCAGGCUCCCCCACUAUCUCAUGUAGUAUAGGGAACCACACAAUUGAGAAUGCUUUGUUGGAUUUAGGAGCUAGUGUAAAUUUGUUGCCUUACUCUGUAUUCGUGAAACUUGGACUGGGAGAAUUACACCCAACUCCAGUGGUGUUACAACUUGCAGAUCGGUCCACAAAAAUACCUCGUGGUAUUGUGGAGGACGUGCUUAUCCAGGUAGACAAGUUUUAUUUUCCUGUUGAUUUCAUUGUAAUUGACACUCAACCAAUACAGGACUCAAGGAAGCACAUCCCCAUUAUUCUAGGCCGACCUUUCUUGGCAACUGCAGAUGCUCAUAUUCAAUGUAGGACCGGAAAUAUGCAAUUGUCCUUCGGCAACAUGACUAUGGAGCUAAACAUCUUCAACAUUGCCAAACAACCUCACAGUGCAGAUGAUGGAAUUGUUGAUGUGGAUUUAAUAGAAACCAUAGUUGAUAAUACUUUUCUUUCAAACCUUAGUGAUGAUCCUUUACAAACAUGCUUAACUCACUUUGGUUUGGAUUUUGAUAUUGAUAGAUCGGUCGAAGAGGUCAACGCCCUACUUGACUCAGCACCAUCCAUGGACACUAAUAAAUGGAAGUCAAGAGUUGAACAACUAGCACUAUCAGAGAAGAAACUCAUUCCAUCAUCAGAAUCACCACCGAAACUCGAGCUCAAACCAUUACCCAACACUCUGGAAUAUGCAUUUUUGGGAGAAGAAAGUACUCUGCCGGUAAUCAUCUCAUCAUCCCUAAAUGACGAACAAAAAGGUAAGUUGUUGGAUGUGUUAAAAGAGCACAAAGGGGCAUUAGGAUGGACCAUAGCAGACAUAAAAGGUAUAAACCCAGUAGACUGCAUGCAUUACAUUCACCUUGAUGAAAAUGCUAAAACUACUAGGGAGAUGCAACGUCGGUUAAAUCCUAACAUGAAAGAAGUUAGAACUGAAGUCCUUAAGCUAUUAGAUGCAGGUAUCAUUUACCCAAUUUCUGAUAGUUCAUGGGUCAGUCCUGUACAAGUCGUCCCCAAAAAGUCAGGAGUCACAGUAGUUACCAAUGCUGAUAAUGAAUUGAUACCAACUAGAGUAACUACAGGAUGGCGUGUAUGCAUUGAUUAUAGAAAGUUGAAUUCUGUCACACGUAAAGACCAUUUUCCUUUACCAUUUAUUGAUCAAAUGCUUGAUAGAUUAGCAGGCCAUGAAUUUUAUUGCUUUCUAGAUGGUUAUUCAGGAUAUAAUCAGAUUCCCAUAGCACCAAAAGAUCAGGAGAAAACUACUUUCACUUGCCCUUUUGGCACUUUUGCAUAUAGGAGAAUGCCAUUUGGAUUAUGUAAUGCACCUGCUACAUUCCAACGAUGCAUGUUGAGCAUUUUUUCUGAUAUGGUUGAACGAUUCCUUGAAGUCUUUAUGGAUGAUUUUUCUAUCUUUGGUGACUCGUUUGAUCAAUGUUUACAUCAUCUAACGCUAGUUCUGCAGAGAUGUACCGAGAAGAGCUUAGUCUUAAAUUGGGAGAAGUGCCAUUUUAUGGUAAAACAAGGUAUUGUUCUCGGUCACAUCAUUUCAAGCAAAGGUAUUGAGGUUGACAAAGCCAAGGUGGAUCUAAUUUCUAAUCUUCCUCCACCUAAAACAGUCAGAGAAGUAAGAUCUUUCCUUGGGCAUGCUGGUUUCUAUAGACGUUUCAUUAAAGAUUUUAGCAAAGUUUCUAGACCCUUAUGCAAUUUACUUGCUAAGGAUGUACCUUUUAUCUUUAAUGAUUCAUGUCUCAUGGCGUUUGAAAAAUUAAAGCAGUUGUUGACAUCAUCACCCAUCAUUCAGGCCCCAAACUGGAACUUACCAUUUGAGCUCAUGUGUGAUGCAUCUGAUUAUGCAGUAGGAGCAGUAUUAGGACAAAGAGUUGAUCGAAUUCCCCACGUUAUUUACUAUGCUAGUAUGACAUUGAAUGAUGCACAGUUGAAUUAUUCAACUACUGAAAAAGAAAUGCUAGCAGUAGUGUUUGCAUUAGAGAAAUUUCGAUCUUAUCUCAUUGGUUGUAAAAUAAUUAUAUUCACAGAUCAUGCUGCUCUUAAAUAUCUUCUCACAAAGAAAGAUGCAAAAGCUAGACUAAUUCGUUGGGUGUUACUUUUGCAGGAAUUUGACUUGGAAUUCAAAGAUAAGAAAGGCACAGAGAAUGUUGUAGCUGACCAUCUCUCUCGCCUCCAUUUUGAUAUAAUUAUGGAACCAUUACCAUUGAAUGAGUCAUUUCCAGAUGAACAAUUAAUGAAUGUGGAAGUAUUACCUUGGUAUGCUGAUAUAGUUAAUUAUCUUGUUACAGGUAAACUUCCAGAGCAUUGGACCAAGCAAGACAAGGCUAAAUUCUUUGCGGAAAUAAAGAAUUUCUUUUGGGAUGACCCGUAUUUGUUCAAGUAUUGUGCAGAUCAAAUUGUUAGGCGAUGUGUCCCAGAAAGUGAAAUUCAAAAUAUCCUUUCAUUCUGCCAUGAACAAGCGUGUGGAGACCAUUUUAGUGCUAAGAAAACAGCUACAAAAGUUUUACAAUGUGGUUUCUAUUGGCCAACUAUAUUUCGAGACGCUUACACUUUCUGUUCUUCAUGUGAUAGGUGUCAACGAAUGGGGAGCAUUACACGAAGGAACAUGAUGCCACUAAAUCCAAUUUUAGUGGUUGAGAUUUUUGACGUAUGGGGUAUCGACUUCAUGGGACCCUUUCCCCCUUCUUUUGGCCAUCAAUACAUAUUGGUUGGUGUUGACUACGUAUCGAAAUGGGUGGAAGCAAUUCCAUGCAGAACCAAUGAUCACAAAGUGGUGAUAGGAUUUUUGAAAAGCAACAUUGUUUCACGCUUUGGAUUCCCUCGAGCGAUAAUCAGUGAUGGUGGUGCCCACUUUUGUAACAAAGCAUUCAAGGCUCUUUUGACAAAGUAUUCAAUCACACACAAAGUGGCGACCCCGUAUCAUCCGCAAACCAGUGGCCAAGUUGAGAUCUCCAAUCGAGAAAUAAAGCACAUAUUAGAAAAGACGGUGAGACCAGACAGAAAAGAUUGGUCAUUAAGACUUGAUGAUGCAUUAUGGGCAUAUAGAACGGCUUUCAAGACCCCGAUUGGGAUGUCACCCUACAGGCUAGUGUAUGGAAAAGCUUGCCACCUACCUGUGGAACUCGAGCAUCGUGCAUAUUGGGCCAUCAAGAAAUUCAACUUUGACAUGCAGCAAGCCAGCUCAGAAAGAAGAUUACAGCUGGCAGAACUUGAAGAAAUUCGCAAUGAUGCAUACGAAAAUGCCAAGAUUUACAAGCAACGAAUGAAAGUCUUCCAUGAUAAGCAAAUUAUGAGAAAAUCGUUCACUCCAGGUCAGAAAGUGCUUUUAUUCAAUUCUCGCUUGCACCUAUUCCCAGGUAAGUUACGCUCUCGUUGGUCUGGCCCAUUUAUUGUACAUACUAUUUUUCCACAUGGGGCAAUUGAAAUUAAGGACCCAAAGAACGGUGUCACGUUUAAAGUUAAUGGUCAAAGAUUAAAGCCAUAUCUAGAGUACCAACCACAUGGAGAAAACAUCGAAAUAAAUUUGAGUGACCCACCAAAUUUGAAUUGAUUUUUUUUUCUUUUCGUUGAUUUGAUUUUUCUUUAUUUCUUUUUAUUAUUAUUCUUUUGCUAAUUGAAAUUGUUUUUGCAUAAGUGUGUUUAUUUUACCAUUAAGUUUUCUCUUAUCAUUUUUAAUCAUGAGUCUCCUACUUAGACCGUUCCUCCUGAACAUUCUUAAACCACUUCAACGUGUCAAAACUCAUCUCAAAAGGCAGAUUCAAUUUUGUAAAACACAACGCAUUUGGGCUCUACAACCACCAGAGUUAGUAGCAUAUGUUGAGGGUUUAGAACGCCAACUCAGAGACAUUGAGAGAAGUGUUUACGACAUCCAGUUGGAGCUUGAGGUAAAUUCAAUAAGAGGACGAUUUUAAUUUUCUUUGUGUGUUUUAAUUUGUUUUUCUGUUUGUGUGCUUUAGUUUGUUACCCCGGUGAAGUGGCGGAUAACGGUACUCCGUGACAAUCAAGUCGGUUACUUCAGUUUCCCACAAUAACUGACAUUCUGAGGCGAAAGUAUGGACAGAAAUGAGAUUCUAGCGAAGCUUCACAAGCGAUUCCCUUCACUUCCUCAGAAUGCCCUCCUUACGAUCUAUAAAGCUCGGACCGAACGCAUGCGAUUACUCAUGAAGAAUAACAUACCUGCUGACAUCUGUUGGUUAAUUGAGGCUAAAGUACGAUCAGCAGGUGAGUUACCUCCUAAAUUUAUUGCAUACAUGCCUGGUUGUGGUAAAGGAAAUUAUGCAAGAAAACGACGAGCUCGAAGAAUUUCUGUUGCUUGUCAUAAAUGUGCCAGAAUGAGUUGCGAUAGAAACCCAUGUUCUUUAGGAAUGGUGUCUGAUAACAGGGAAGAUAAGAUUCAAUUCAUUAGGGAUGGCUUGAAUAAGGAGUCAUUGGAUGAUAUCCUUUUGUCUCUUGAAACGCAUCAUAGUGGAUAUGUGCAAGGAGCGAUUCUCCAGUUAUGGCCAUUAUUCCAAAAAGAGCAUACACGAUAUAGUCUUGGGAAUCUGACUAUAAACGACCCUGUUUGCCAGUUUAUAAGAAAACUGGAUGGGAAGCCGAUCCUCGACCCAUAGAGGGCGUUCAAGCCGUUUCUGGACGUAAAACCAGAGGAAGAUGUGAGCCACAGUCGCAACUACGUGUAAAUAUCCUUUUACUUUACUGUUAUUUUAUUUCAUUUCACUGUUGUUUUAUUGUUUGCAUUAUUGUCUUUAAUAAUUUUAUUACUGUUUGCUUUUUCCUUUUUACUGUUUCCUUUUUGACUCGCGAGCCACGUGCUUUACGCGUUAUUUGACACUGAUAUGUUACCUCAUUCACAGCUGUGAUCUAAUGUCACCAAGAUUCUUAAAUGUGAUUUAUCUUUUGUCAAGCACUCACAAAUUGUUUUUGAGAAGUAUCACAAUGGCAGCUACUCCCAAUAGACAAUUCAAGAACAUUUGUGUGCUUUCUGGAUUUACCUAUGGCAAACAUAAAGAGUUCGUGGAGGCAGCCAUAGAUCUUGGUCGAAGCAUAGCAGCGAGAAAAUUACAUUUGGUGUAUGGAGGAGGUAACCGAGGGUUAUCAAAAAUGGUCUCAGAAGCAGCUUUUAUCAGAGGAAGUCAAGUGUUAGGCAUCAUCCCAAGAGUCCUAAAACCAUUGGGCAGUUCGUCUGACUCAUCAACUGGAGAAGAGUUAGUCGUCUCAGGUAUGCAAGAAAGAAUAACUGAAAUGCUUAAUCAUGCUGAUGCUUUUAUUUUCCUUCCAGGAGAUCUUGCAACACUAGAGGCACUUAUGACACUAGCAUCUUGGGCCCAUCUGCACAUCCACCAGAAACCCAUCGGUUUGUUAAAUGUCAAUAACUUUUAUGAUGGCUUUAUCGCAUUUCUUAACCAUGCAAUAAAAAAACUAUUUCAUUCCUUCUAAUGUGAAAAAACUCUUUAUUUGUGCUCACACUGCUAAUGAGCUACUUGAUAUGUUACAAGCUUAUAAACCGGAGCCAGACCCCUGGACCUUUGUGUUGGAGCGACCAAAUAAUGAUGGUAACAGUAGCCGCAGUAAGAAGUACAAAUUAGAUUUAACUCUCCGCCUGUAAAUAUUUUCUUCUGUGUUGCACCACCCAGGUGAUGUCUUCUAAACUCUACUUCUUUCCUUUAAAACAUUGAGGACAAUGUUUCAUUCUGGUUGGGGGGAGGGAAUAGUCGACAAUUGUGGAAUCUUGGUUAAGUUUUUACUGAUUUUUUGUUGUAGAAACUAACUGUUGCUAACGUUUUGUGUUGAAGAUGGCUGAAUAUGGAGUGUAGUUACUCUAGAAACGCAUCUUCAUCGUUUAAAAAAAAAAAAAAAAAUCUGUUUUCUUCCUCUUUCUCCUUUAUAAAUAUGUAGUUUCAAAUUUUUGAGUUGAAGAUGGCUGAAUAUGGAGUGUAGUGCCUCUAGAAACGCACCUUCUUAGUUUAAACAAAAAAAAAAAAAAAAUUCUUUUUCUAAUUAAUUUUUCUACAUCAUUUUCACAUUUCUGCAUGCAUAUUUUCCUUUCAUGUUUAGAAUAGGUUGGGGGGUAGAAUGUUGUUUAAAAAAAAAAAAAAAAAAAUUGUGUUAUUUGUCUUAACAUUGGAUGACAUGAUUAAUUUCAAAUUUUAGUAUUUGUAUUAUCUUUGGUCUUAAGUGAUGUUACGCUAUGUUUGCUACUUUACAUGUUGAUGUCGGAGACAAAUAUGAGUUGCUUGAAGGAAUGAACAUGUCAUAAAUAAGUGCCAAGUGAGUUGUUGAGCCUAUCAUUUUCUUGGAGAGUAACCCUUUUGCCUAUUUUCUAUACAGCUUAGCAGUUUAUUAUUUUAUACACGAUCUCUAGAUUUCUUUUGAGUUAACCCUUUAAAAAAAAAAUGGUAAAAUUAAAAAAAAAGAAAAAAGAAAAAAUGUGUGUUACUACAUUGGGAGGCCCAUCUAACUAGUAGAUAUGGAUAAUUAUUUAGAGCCCUAAAAGACGAUGGAAAGGCCAUCUUUGAACCGUUUGAGCCUUUCUAGCCAUCCCUGUUAUUAAAUAUCCAUAGUUACCCCUUUUGAGCCUUUAAAAAAAAAAAAAAAAAAAAAAAAAAAAAAAAAAAACCUUUUCUUUGUCAACUUAUCAUCUUGACCCACUCCGAUUUGGAGUAUUACCCGAUGUCUUAUAAGUUCCAUCACCUAUUUAUGUUUGAGAAAAUGUAAAUAAUUAUGUUGUUCAGUGAAGUUAUGCCAAAUAAAAGCAAAAAAAAAAAAAAAAAAACAAACAAACAAAAACAAAAGUUGUUGUUUCAAAAGAAUAAAAAUAACAAUAAUAGGUGAAAUCCACCUUGCAAGUUCCAAAAAAAAAAAAAAAAAAAAAAAAAAAAAAAUUCUGCAUUUUUCUCAAACAUACACUUUGUUUUCCUUAUUUCCUUUCUUUGUUAGCCAUAUCCCUAGCCUACGUUACGUCCUAAUAAAAGUCCUUCUUGAUUUUAGGGAACUAUAGUUUGAAGUAGAAGCUAGUUAUAUGGGCUAAAAAGAUGUAGUGAUGCAUAAUAAAAAAAAAAAAAAAGAUAAAUAAAGUGGGUUGACUAACAUUUUAUUUGACUUGAGAUCAUAUUAUUUCUAAGCUGAGGGCAUAUUUAUUUCAUCUUGGUGAGAGCAUGUGAUAUCAUUUCUUUAUUAUUUUCUCUCUCAAUUACCAUUCAUUAGAGUGACUAUGUUUAUUGGGUUUUAAUUUCUUUGUGAGAGUGUCACUACUUCCAGUGAGAUUUUGGGGUUUGACAUGUCAUUCUUGAAAGUAGCUAUAACAAAGUCUACUGGGCUAAUUCAUGUGGAUGGUUGAUGUGGGUGUGAUGUUGCUUUAGACUGGAGAUAAUGCCUAUACUUUUAUUUGAUUGCUAUCAUUAAUCUAAUUGAAUAAACACGAGUGUUUCUAAAAAAAAAAAAAAAAAAAAAAAAUCAUUUUGAAUUUGAAUUUUGUUUUCGCUUUAUUUGCUAGGGACUAGCAAUAAGCUGGUUGGGGGGUGUGUUGAGUGUUAGAAAAUGCAUAUUUAUAAAGGAGAAAACCGUCAUUUUACAUUUCAAGUCUUACUAACAACCCUUACUUUUAUGUAUUUAACCUUCUUGUGAUGUAAUUACGUGUGUGUUAUUUUAAUUAAGUAUUUUAUGUAUUUUAGGGGCAUUAUAGUCAUUUCACAAUAAAGGAGAGAUCAGACGGCAAAACGGACAUCACUUUUGAACUCAGGACGGUCGAAAACCUUAGGAGGAGCAUAAAAGGAAAAAUGGUACUAUUCACGUAUACGGUACUGUCUACGUUACUGUUCACGACACUGUUCACAUAGACGGAUCGAUGACGUGGCAUUGACCGAUGAUGUGGCAUUGACUGAUGAGGUGUCACGAUCCUGUUGGACUAAAAUUCUUAUGUACUGUUGACGGUGACGUGGCAGCAUAUCAGUGGACGAAAAAUCUCGCGUACGGUGCAUGCAUCACACAGGAUUAUUUUCAACCAAACCGUGUUACUGUUCAUCCGGGUCAAACCGUGUUACUGUUCAUCCGCGUGGUCAAACCGUGGACUGUUGACUGAUGACGUGGCGCAAUCCUGAGCGUCCAAACUGUUUUUAAUCCGAUGGCCAUGAUUUACUCCAUGUAUCUAUAAAAAGGGGGCCUCCCCCCCCUAAUUUGAUAUCUCUGAAUCCAUUUUUGGGAUCCAUUUUCUGUAAUUCCUUCUCCAUCUUGUAUUUUCUUCGUAUUUUAAUAAAUUCCCAUUUUGCCCCUAGUUCAAUUAUGAGUAGCUAAUUUCCUUUCAAGCUUGGGUUGAAGGUGAAGUCUCAACAUGUGUCAUGGGCUUUAUUUGGUAAAUUUAUUUUCUUUUCCCCUCUAGUUUUUGUGGAUGAUUUGACUUAUCGUCGACAAAUAAUACUGAUCUUGUCUAGAUACCGCCUUGGUUACACCGGCUCUCUAGUAUAAGGUUAUUAUUAUUUGGCACGAUAAGCCCUUAGCACCAUGUUGAUUAGAGCGUGGUUCAUGAUGUGUGGAUUCCCCCAUCAUGAUUUAAUUGGCAUUAAUACGGAUUAUUUAGCCCAUGAUGCAUGUUGAUACGGAUCCGAAUACCCAAGUACGUCAUUUCAAAUAGAAUUAUCUUCAAUUUAUUCUCGCCAUUGCAAUUCUAAUUUUAGAAUUUAUUCUCGCCAUUUUAAUUUAAGUUUUAGCAUAUUCCAAAUCAUUUCCACCAUAAAUCCAACCACCCAUUUUGCAAAAUUAAUUCUACACAUAAUUAAAAUCCACCUCCUCGUGGGAUCGACACUCGUCACCAUUGAUCUAUACUACAAUAGAUUCGUGCGCUUGCGAGUACAUUAAAAUUUGCGCAACACUUACUACCAGUAAAAAUUCACCACAAAAACAAAACUUCAAAAUAAAACACAAGUUUUCAAAACACAAAACUCUAAACUGCUUUACACAAUCCUCCCCUUGGCUCUGAUACCAGAAGGAAAUAGGAUCGAAGGAUGGGUGUGUAUUGAAGAUGCUUCUUUAUUGAUUGCUUUAAUGAAAUAAUUGGAUCGCGGUUGUUCAGAUUUUAUAUAAGAUUACCAGCUUUAGAUUAAGUAGAUUUGUUUUAGAGCAUACAAUGAUCAAACAAAUUUGAACGCGGUUGGUCAAAUUUUUAGAAUAUUUAAAGUAUAUAGGCUGGAAACCCGAACGUGCGGACUAUUGAUCUGUUCUAAGUCAGAUCUGGGUCCAAAGGCAGAUUAACUUCUGCGAUCGAUCUGGUCUAACAACGCCACGUAAACCCAUAAUUAUCACAUGAUUAAGGGAUCCAUCCCAGUUGCAUUAAUUUUUAAAAUUUCCUAUAAAGCCAUGAUUUCUGCAUUUAGCACACAGCAUAAAUACCAGUCGAAGAGAGAUGAGACCCUUCUCUUGCAGACUGAUUUGUCUAAAGCCAACAUGGUCAUUCCAAAAUCGAUCCAAUGGAAAGAUAUCCAUCUUCCAGAUGAAUGGAUCCUCGAAGGAGCCGCCCCACCGGCGAUUGUAGAUUUGUUUUAGAGCAUACAAUGAUCAAACAAAUUUGAACGCGGUUGGUCAAAUUUUUAGAAUAUUUAAAGUACGUGGCGUUGUUAGACCAGAUCGAUCGCAGAAGUUAAUCUGCCUUUGGACCCAGAUCUGACUUAGAACAGAUCAAUAGUCCGCACGUUCGGGUUUCCAGCCUAUAUACUUUAAUAUAUUUACCAGAUAAAAUUAAGUUGCUUUAAACGUGGUUGUUUCUUUUUAUUGGGCUAAUUCCAGAUUUAAAUUAGAUUCUUUAAGGGGCUUGGGUACAUACACAGUACCAGAUCCGGAUCCCGGAAAUGGUGCUCUGAAGGAAUGGAGGAAGAAGAGAAGAUUUACAACUGAGGAUCGAGAUCCGGUCUCUUUGCCUCAGAGGAACGUACAAAUUUUAUGGCAGAUCUGAUAAAGACCAGUCUGCUUUGCAUGCUUUGAAAAGAAAAUUGCUUUAAAAAUAAAUUGCUUUAAUGUAAAUAUGCAUGAAAUUAAAUUGCAGAAAAGUAAAUUGCGAAAAUUUAAAUUACAUCGAAAUUAAAUAACUGAAAUUUAAACAUACAUCUUUGCUUUGAUAGUCUUGGUCUUUACAAUUUUCAAAUCUUUCCUGAAGGGAAGAUUGAAAGACGGGAAGAUUACAAGACAGGAAUGGUUUCCUUGAUGUCUUGGACUGUUCAUCAAAUUUUGACCACCAUUUGACUUUAAAGGUUCUUUGAAGGAUGACUUGGGAAUCUUGAGUAUGAAAACGGAGGUUCCACAUCCAGACCCAUGGUAGGAAGAAGUUUGUACAAAAACAGAGAAAGGGGGGAAAUCUUUUCUCUGAGUCAGAGGGCAUAUAGUGGGCUUUAAAGAGGUUUAGGCAAUUUAUGGCAUUUGGAGUGAGGAUUUGAGGUAUUGGGCCAAAGAAAUUCCACCAAUGAUGGAACCAGUUUGGAAGGCUUUGGACGGUUAUUUUAGGGUUAAAGAAAAAUAACCAAGAAUGGGAUUUUUUAGGGUUUUGAAUAAAAAAAGGUGUUAUACCAUGCUUGUUGGUAAUCCCAGUAGGAGAAAGUCCGACAAUGUGGUAAACGGGUUUCAAAGUUUAAAGGAAAGGUUUUGAAAUUGUGGAGUAGGUCGCCCCACUGGUUCGGGCUCAAAACUUUUAGAAUCGUGGCCGUGGAAUAGGCCGGUUCAGAAUGGGUUUUAUCAAGAAAGAAAUGUUUGAAUUUAACUGAUUCAGUUAUUUCUAAAAUGCUUUGAUAAUAAGACUGGGGUUUUGUCAAAUCCCAUGGUUUGAAAAACCAGCCUUUGGGAAAAAACUUUGAAAUGCUUUGAAAAGGAUCAGUAUGGUAAAAUCCAUCUUCCAUAGAAAGAAUAUUUUGAAAAUGGGUUUUAUCAAACCAAUCGGAGGUUUUCUUUGAAGGUGUUGGCUGAGAAAGCACAAUUUGGGAAGAUGAGCUUUCGGCAGAGACAACAACAUUUUGAGAGGAGGGUUUUGUAAUUUCUUUAGAUGUGGAUAUGCUCUUAAUUUCUUUUUGAGGAGAAUUUUGGCUCUGGGAAAGGUUUUGUAGAGCGAGCAUGAGCUCGGGAGAUUUUGUAAUGGAACUCAUCCAAUGCUUUACUUGAUCAUCAGAAGAGAUGGGUUUGUAUUGGGCUUCAUGUUCUUCAACCAAUUCAAUCCAUGAUUUGAUGGGUAGGGCAGAAGAAAGUAAUUUUUCUUUAGAAGGGGUUGACUGGGGUUCUUUGGAAGGUUCUUGAGAUCCGGAACUUUUGAGAACAGCUUUACCUUUGUCUUUCUUUAGCGGCAUUAUCUGUUUUGAAGAAAUUCUCUGGUUAGAAAAUCAGGAACAAAAUUUUUAUCACCUUUAAUGAAUUCUAUAUCAAAAUCAAAAACACUCAAAAUAGCUUGCCAACGUGCAAAAAUUUGUUUUGAUGCAAUGUUUUGAACAUCCUUUUCUAAAACAUGUUUUGCAGCUUUGCAAUCAAUUCUAAGUAAAAAUUUUUGAUUUAAUAAAUCACUUUGAAAUUUUGUAAUGCAUAAAACAAUGGAAAGAAUUUCUUUUUUAAUAGUAGAAUAAUUUUUCUGACAAUCAUUCCAAUGUGCAGAAACAUAUUGUACUAUCUGUUCUCUAUCAUUUUCUUUUUGUUUUAAUAUACCUCCAUAUCCUAAAUCAGAUGCAUCAGUUUCAACAAUUUUAGGGAAUGCAGGAUUUGCAAGAUAUAGACAUGGGAUGCUUUUAACAGAACUCUUUAUUAAUUUAACAGCUUUAGUAUGUUCAUCUGUCCAUGGAGCAGGUUUUUUCUUUAAACGAUCAUGCAAAGGUUUAGACAACCUAUUGAUAUUGGGACAGAAAUCAAGAACAUAAUUUAGGCUACCAAGAAAUCUUUGUAAUUGAGUUUUGUCAAGGAUUUUAUCAGGGAAUUUAUCAGCAAAUAAAAGUGAUCUUUCAAUAGGGGUGAUUGUUCCUUUUGAAAUAUAGUGACCAAGAAAUCUGAUUUUCGUUUGAAAUAAUGAAAUCUUUGAACUAGAAAGGGCUAGUCCAGCCUUUUUUGUAGCAAAAUAAAAAGUCUUUAAAUGUUUGAAAUGUUGAUCGAUUGAAUUUGAAAAUAUCAAAACAUCAUCAAUAUAAACAAUGCAAAAAUCAGAAUAAGGAUUAUAAAUAUCAUUCAUAAUUCUUUGAAAUUCUGAGGGUGCAUUCUUUAAACCAAAGGGCAUAACAGUCCAUUCGUAUUGUCCAAAUGGAACAGUGAAAGCGGUUUUGUAACGGUCAUUUGGAUGAAUUUGAAUUUGCCAAAAACCCGAUUUCAUGUCGAAUUUUGAAAAAAAUAAAGGCAGAACAGAGUUUUUGGAGUAAAUCUUUUUUAUUAGGUAUAGGAUACCUAAUCCAUUUUAAAGCUUUAUUCAAAGGUUUGUAGUUUAUAACUAGUCUUGGAGUGCCUCUUUCAAUUUCGGAGUUUUUGUUAACAUAAAAAGCAGCACAAGACCAAGGAGACCUGGAUUUUACAAUGAGUCCUUUAGACUCCAAGUCUUUGAUUUCAUUUUUACAAUGUUUUUCUAAAUCCAUAUUCAUUUGAAUUGGACGAGCUUUGGUCGGAAUCUGUUUUUCAUCAAAAGAAUUUUCAUAAGGCAGGUCUACUAAAUGUUGUUUUCUAUUCCAAAAAGCAGAAGGUAGAUCAGCACAAAUUUCUUUUUCAAUAAGAGUUUUGAAAUCAGAAAUUUUUCUUUUAAUGAAAUCACUUUGUAAUUGGCUUUCAACUCUUUGUAAGUUCAAAUCUUUUUGUAAAAACAUUAGAUCACACUGUUUUGAUUUAAGUAAAUUGUUUAUUCUAUUUUGAUAAAUAGAACAGGCUUUAACAAUAUUUAAAUUUCUUGUUUUAGGUUUUUCAAUAAAAGGGAAAACAAGUUUCUUGUUUUUUGCUUUGAAAGAUAUACUAUCAUAAUUGACAGUAUACGGAGUUAUGAGAUUUAUAAAAGGAGUUCCCAAAAUAAUGGCAUGAUGAAUAUCAUUUGUGAGAACAAAGGAAGUUUUAAAAUCAAAACCAUCAUUAUAGAUCGAGGCUUCAACCUUGGAACUGACAUUCAAUUUUGAAUUAUUGGCGGCAGAAAGCCUUUCUUUUGUUUUUUCAUGAAAUCUUUUGGGGACGAUAUCUUCUCUAAUGCAAUUUAAAUCGGCGCCAGUAUCAAAAAGGGCAAUGGCGUCCAUCGCAAAAUCAUCAGAAAAGAUUAGAGUGACUUUAAUCAAAUACUUUCUUGUGGUGAUUUGUUUUAGAACAAAUAGAAAAUCAUUGGGUACAGACUCAAUAUUUUCUACUUUAAUAUCAUCACCAUCAAUAUCAGGACUGGAUUCAUUGUCUGAAUUAUCCUGUAAUUGCUUUUGUAAAAGAAGUUGAAUAAUAUCAGAAUCACUUUUUUGUUUUUCUUUUAAAUCUCUGAUUUCACUUUUGAUUUCUUUUAUCUCUUUCUGAAGAUCUUGGAUAUUAGGAAUCAUCUUUUUUGUUUUCUUCUUAUCCAAAAUUUGAGUAAGAUCAUAAGAAUUCUUUUUAAUAAUUGGGACUCUAGAAGUCUCGGCUUUAUUAAAAUCCAAUGUUUUCAAAAGUUUAUCAAGGUAUUCCUUUUGAAGAUUUGGAUCAGAAAUAUGCUUUACAAGUUCAAGAAAAGUUUCUUGGUCUUUAGUCAAAACAUUGAUUUUCUUUAAAAAUGAAUCAGAUUCAGAAUCACUACUGCUAGAUGCAGAGUCAUCUGAGUCAAAAAGCUCAUCAACUUGGUAAGGGUCACUGUCUCCCGACAUGGAAGACUCAGAAUCAGAAGAUUCGACAAGAAGAGGGGCUAUUUUAGAAAGGAUGUCCUCAUUGAGGUCAAGUUCUUGGAGUCUUUUGUUCAUUCUGCAAAAUUUUGCAGUAUGACCUUUCAUACCACAUUUGAAACAUGUGGCCUCCUUGAAGUUGAAUGGGGUAUUAGGUUUGGCUUUGAAAUCUUUCUUUUUAGAGAAACUAUGUCUCUUAUAAGGCUUCGAAGGUUUCUUAUAAGGAAGUUUUCUAAAAUCACGGAAGGGUUUUCUAAAAUGUUUAGAUUUGUAAUGUUUCUUACGAGGUUUUGUAGAACACACUCCAUUACAAUCUUUGGAAGUUUUAAAGGGGUCAUAAUUGAAUUGCUUACAGAAACCGCCUAAUUCCUGUUUAGACUUCUUAAGCUCCCACUUAAGACGUUUCUGUAAUUUCAAAUCUUGACAAAUCUUUAAACCUUCUUUGUUGACAAAACUGACUAGUUCACCAUAGGUGAGCUCGUCAUAAGGAAUACGGUUAUCGUAAAGGGCUUUGAUGGAAUUUCUUACCUUUUCACCUAAAAGGGUAGGUAAUCCAGCAAGAAAUUUUUCUUUCCAAGUAAUAUGAUUUGCAUCAUCCCUUAGAAAUAGUCUGGUAAGGAAAGAGGUUUUGUAACUCUGAAAUUCACUAAGUUUUCUACAUCUCAAAUUAUGUAGUAACUCAGCGUUUUUAUCACGAAGGUGAGAAGGGUCACCGAUGAAAUGGAGGGAAAUGGUUAGAAUAAGAGUAGCAACAGCAUCCUGGAUAGGGUUGUUGAACUCAUCAAGAAUAGAGGCUCCAUUUUCAUCUUUUUGGACGGAAUUUAGAAUGUCAAAUUGUUGCUGAUUAGUGAGAAGAUGAUCCCACCAACCUUUUAGUUGACCAGUAAAACCAGCAAUUAGGAUUUCUGAUAUGGCACGAUCAGAAGUUCCUGCUUGGGUUUUAUAAGCAUUAGCUGCCAUUGUCAUUUGUUGCAACAAUCCAAGGAUAUUGUACUCAGACAUGCCGUCAAUAUUCCACUCAUAGACUGAAGAUGCAUUAUAACGGGAUUGAUUUAAUGCACUAGGUCUAUUAUCUAUUGCUAGAUCUGGUGGGGUCUUGACAGUGGGAAGGGCUAAUUCCCAGUGGAUUUUGUUGGCUUUAGGAGUAGAAGGUUCUUCUUUGAAAGCUUCUAAGUCAGAAGAGGCUAUAGAACUCUGGUCAUCUAGAUCCAAUACUCCAAUCUUGCUAGAUUGGGGGGUAUCGGGGGCUAUCUGGAGUUUGCUAGACGAGGAAGAAGCAGCUUCUAUCCUCUCUAGUUGUUCUCUAAUGGCUUUAGCAAAAUCUGAUUUUGACUCUUGAACAAGCCUUUGGCUAGUUUUCGAAACCUGAAAAGGUUUGAAAAUAGGUUCCUUAAGCUUUUUGUCAGAAUCCGAUUUUGAAGGAAUAGACAUAGGAAUAGGAGAAACAGAUAUAGGAGAUUUUUGAAAUUGGUUUUCUAUACGAGCCAAUUGCUUUCCAAUUGUAUUUAAGUUAGUAUUACAGAAAUUAUUCUGUUGUAUAAUACUACUUAAAUUCGCAUCAGAAUCAUUUGGUCUUGGGAUUUUGUAAGGGGAUGCUUUAAUCUCAAUAGGAGGUUCACCAUGAUCUAUGGUUAUACUCCUAAGAGGUGGAUGAUCAGACUCUAUAAUCCUAUCAUUAUCAGAAAGUUUCCAUUCAGGAAUUUUCUUUCUAAUAGUUAUAGGGUUUGACUCUUUAAAAGGAUAAUCAAUAUUGUUCUCAGAAGAAUAUAUUUCGAACCAAUCAAAAAACAAUAUAUGAACUUUAUGAAAAUUCACAAAUUCAUAAUAAGUUUGUUGGAUUUCUUUUCUUUGGUUUAAAAAAUGUUUAAAAAACCAAGUUCUUUUUUCUUUAUUUAUUUCUGAAUAAAAAUCGUUAUGCAGAAAGGCUUUAUCUAAUUCAAAUUCUUUUUCAAUGACAUUAAUGACAUUUUCUGUGACAGCAGAAAACGUAGGAGAUGUUGGAGGAGAAGGUUCCUUCUCUUCCUGUCUUUGCACAUGUUGACUACUAGUGUAUAUAGGAUGAGGAACACUUGUGGCAUAGUCAACGGAACGGAUGGAGGAGCUAGGUAUAUCGAAGUGGAAAACCUAGGUUGGCUCUGAUAUGGGAGAUUUAUAACAGAAGGUACUUUUGUAAACUUCCUUUCUAGUGAAGGAAUGCUUGGGCUCGAUUCUUUUUCAGAAAAUCUAUGUGAGGUAGACCUUCUGAAUGAUAGUUUGACUUUACCAUCGGAAUACUGGGUCACAUUUUUGUAACUCUGUAUUUGGCUCAAGUUGUUUCGGAAUCGCUGGUGGGCGGCUCCUUCGAGGAUCCAUUCAUCUGGAAGAUGGAUAUCUUUCCAUUGGAUCGAUUUUGGAAUGACCAUGUUGGCUUUAGACAAAUCAGUCUGCAAGAGAAGGGUCUCAUCUCUCUUCGACUGGUAUUUAUGCUGUGUGCUAAAUGCAGAAAUCAUGGCUUUAUAGGAAUUUUAAAAAUUAAUGCAACUGGGAUGGAUCCCUUAAUCAUGUGAUAAUUAUGGGUUUGGAUUUGUAAAAUCAUGCUCUUUAAAAUAUUUUUGUCUUUAAGAGAAAUUGUUAUAUUUGGAUAACAAUCAAAAGAUAUGGGACCUUUACAUAGACUAGAUUCGAUACUACUUAGUAAAGAAUCAUCAAAAGAGAUGAAUCGCCCAUCUCUAAGAACAGCAAGGAUAGAGGUAUCCAAGCCUUCUUUGGUCAAAGGUUUUAUUCCUACUUGGAUUAAACCAAUGUGAAUAUAUUUGAAAUUNAAAUGCUUUGAUAAUAAGACUGGGUUUUGUCAAAUCCCAUGGUUUGAAAAACCAGCCUUUGGGAAAAAACUUUGAAAUGCUUUGAAAAGGAUCAGUAUGGUAAAAUCAUCUUCCAUAGAAAGAAUAUUUUGAAAAUGGGUUUUAUCAAACCAAUCGGAGGUUUUUUUUGAAGGUGUUGGCUGAGAAAGCACAAUUUGGGAAGAUGAGCUUUCGGCAGAGACAACAACAUUUUGAGAGGAGGGUUUUGUAAUUUCUUUAGAUGUGGAUAUGCUCUUAAUUUCUUUUUGAGGAGAAUUUUGGCUCUGGGAAAGGUUUUGUAGAGCGAGCAUGAGCUCGGGAGAUUUUGUAAUGGAACUCAUCCAAUGCUUUACUUGAUCAUCAGAAGAGAUGGGUUUGUAUUGGGCUUCAUGUUCUUCAACCAAUUCAAUCCAUGAUUUGAUGGGUAGGGCAGAAGAAAGUAAUUUUUCUUUAGAAGGGGUUGACUGGGGUUCUUUGGAAGGUUCUUGAGAUCCGGAACUUUUGAGAACAGCUUUACCUUUGUCUUUCUUUAGCGGCAUUAUCUGUUUUGAAGAAAUUCUCUGGUUAGAAAAUCAGGAACAGAAAUUUUUAUCACCUUUAAUGAAUUCUAUAUCAAAAUCAAAAACACUCAAAAUAGCUUGCCAACGUGCAAAAAUUUGUUUUGAUGCAAUGUUUUGAACAUCCUUUUCUAAAACAUGUUUUGCAGCUUUGCAAUCAAUUCUAAGUAAAAAUUUUUGAUUUAAUAAAUCACUUUGAAAUUUUGUAAUGCAUAAAACAAUGGAAAGAAUUUCUUUUAAUAGUAGAAUAAUUUUUCUGACAAUCAUUCCAAUGUGCAGAAACAUAUUGUACUAUCUGUUCUCUAUCAUUUUCUUUUUGUUUUAAUAUACCUCCAUAUCCUAAAUCAGAUGCAUCAGUUUCAACAAUUUUAGGGAAUGCAGGAUUUGCAAGAUAUAGACAUGGGAUGCUUUUAACAGAACUCUUUAUUAAUUUAACAGCUUUAGUAUGUUCAUCUGUCCAUGGAGCAGGUUUUUUCUUUAAACGAUCAUGCAAAGGUUUAGACAACCUAUUGAUAUUGGGACAGAAAUCAAGAACAUAAUUUAGGCUACCAAGAAAUCUUUGUAAUUGAGUUUUGUCAAGGAUUUUAUCAGGGAAUUUAUCAGCAAAUAAAAGUGAUCUUUCAAUAGGGGUGAUUGUUCCUUUUGAAAUAUAGUGACCAAGAAAUCUGAUUUUUCGUUUGAAAUAAUGAAAUCUUUGAACUAGAAAGGGCUAGUCCAGCCUUUUUUGUAGCAAAAUAAAAAGUCUUUAAAUGUUUGAAAUGUGAUCGAUUGAAUUUGAAAAUAUCAAAACAUCAUCAAUAUAAAACAAUGCAAAAAUCAGAAUAAGGAUUAUAAAUAUCAUUCAUAAUUCUUUGAAAUUCUGAGGGUGCAUUCUUUAAACCAAAGGGCAUAACAGUCCAUUCGUAUUGUCCAAAUGGAACAGUGAAAGCGGUUUGUAACGGUCAUUUGGAUGAAUUUGAAUUUGCCAAAAACCCGAUUUCAUGUCGAAUUUUGAAAAAAUAAAGGCAGAACAGAGUUUUUGGAGUAAAUCUUUUUUAUUAGGUAUAGGAUACCUAAUCCAUUUUAAAGCUUUAUUCAAAGGUUUGUAGUUUAUAACUAGUCUUGGAGUGCCUCUUUCAAUUUUCGGAAGUUUUUGUUAACAUAAAAAGCAGCACAAGACCAAGGAGACCUGGAUUUUACAAUGAGUCCUUUAGACCCAAGUCUUUGAUUUCAUUUUUACAAUGUUUUUCUAAAUCCAUAUUCAUUUGAAUUGGACGAGCUUUGGUCGGAAUCUGUUUUUCAUCAAAAGAAUUUUCAUAAGGCAGGUCUACUAAAUGUUGUUUUCUAUUCCAAAAAGCAGAAGGUAGAUCAGCACAAAUUUCUUUUCAAUAAGAGUUUUUGAAAUCAGAAAUUUUCUUUUAAUGAAAUCACUUUGUAAUUGGCUUUCAACUCUUUGUAAGUUCAAAUCUUUUUGUAAAAACAUUAGAUCACACUGUUUGAUUUAAGUAAAAUUGUUUAUUCUAUUUUGAUAAAUAGAACAGGCUUUAACAAUAUUUAAAUUUCUUGUUUUAGGUUUUUCAAUAAAAGGGAAAACAAGUUUCUUGUUUUUGCUUUGAAAAGAUAUACUAUCAUAAUUGACAGUAUAAACGGAGUUAUGAGAUUUAUAAAAGGAGUUCCCAAAAUAAUGGCAUGAUGAAUAUCAUUUGUGAGAACAAAGGAAGUUUUAAAAUCAAAACCAUCAUUAUAGAUCGAGGCUUCAACCUUGGAACUGACAUUCAAUUUUGAAUUAUUGGCGGCAGAAAGCCUUUCUUUGUUUUUCAUGAAAUCUUUUGGGGACGAUAUCUUCUCUAAUGCAAUUUAAAAUCGGCGCCAGUAUCAAAAAGGGCAUGGCGUCAUCGCAAAAUCAUCAGAAAAGAUUAGAGUGACUUUAAUCAAAUACUUUCUUGUGGUGAUUUGUUUUAGAACAAAUAGAAAAUCAUUGGGUACAGACUCAAUAUUUUCUACUUUAAUAUCAUCACCAUCAAUAUCAGGACUGGAUUCAUUGUCUGAAUUAUCCUGUAAUUGCUUUUGUAAAAGAAGUUGAAUAAUAUCAGAAUCACUUUUUUUUGUUUUUUCUUUAAAUCUCUGAUUUCACUUUGAUUUCUUUUAUCUCUUUCUGAAGAUCUUGGAUAUUAGGAAUCAUCUUUUUUGUUUUCUUCUUAUCCAAAAUUGAGUAAGAUCAUAAGAAUUCUUUUUAAUAAUUGGGACUCUAGAAGUCUCGGCUUUAUUAAAAUCCAAUGUUUUCAAAAGUUUAUCAAGGUAUUCCUUUGAAGAUUUGGAUCAGAAAUAUGCUUUACAAAGUUCAAGAAAAGUUUCUUGGUCUUUAGUCAAAACAUUGAUUUUCUUUAAAAAUGAAUCAGAUUCAGAAUCACUACUGCUAGAUGCAGAGUCAUCUGAGUCAAAAAAGCUCAUCAACUGGUAAGGGUCACUGUCUCCCGACAUGGAAGACUCAGAAUCAGAAGAUUCGACAAGAAGAGGGGCUAUUUUAGAAAGGAUGUCCUCAUUGAGGUCAAGUUCUUGGAGUCUUUUGUUCAUUCUGCAAAAUUUUGCAGUAUGACCUUUCAUACCACAUUUGAAACAUGUGGCCUCCUUGAAGUUGAAUGGGGUAUUAGGUUUGGCUUUGAAAUCUUUCUUUUUAGAGAAACUAUGUCUCUUAUAAGGCUUCGAAGGUUUCUUAUAAGGAAGUUUUCUAAAAUCACGGAAGGGUUUUCUAAAAUGUUUAGAUUUUGUAAUGUUUCUUACGAGGUUUUGUAGAACACACUCCAUUACAAUCUUUGGAAGUUUUAAAGGGUCAUAAUUGAAUUGCUUACAGAAACCGCCUAAUUCCUGUUUAGACUUCUUAAGCUCCCACUUAAGACGUUUCUGUAAUUUCAAAAUCUUGACAAAUCUUUAAACCUUCUUUGUUGACAAAACUGACUAGUUCACCAUAGGUGAGCUCGUCAUAAGGAAUACGGUUAUCGUAAAGGGCUUUGAUGGAAUUUCUUACCUUUUCAACCUAAAAGGGUAGGUAAUCCAGCAAGAAAUUUUUCUUUCCAAGUAAUAUGAUUUGCAUCAUCCCUUAGAAAUAGUCUGUAAGGAAAGAGGUUUUGUAACUCUGAAAUUCACUAAGUUUUCUACAUCUCAAAUUAUGUAGUAACUUCAGCGUUUUUAUCACGAAGGUGAGAAGGGUCACCGAUGAAAUGGAGGGAAAUGGUUAGAAUAAGAGUAGCAACAGCAUCCUGGAUAGGGUUGUUGAACUCAUCAAGAAUAGAGGCUCCAUUUUCAUCUUUUUGGACGGAAUUUAGAAUGUCAAAUUGUUGCUGAUUAGUGAGAAGAUGAUCCACCAACCUUUUAGUUGACCAGUAAAACCAGCAAUUAGGAUUUCUGAUAUGGCACGAUCAGAAGUUCCUGCUUGGGUUUUAUAAGCAUUAGCUGCCAUUGUCAUUUGUUGCAACAAUCCAAGGAUAUUGUACUCAGACAUGCGUCAAUAUUCCACUCAUAGACUGAAGAUGCAUUAUAACGGGAUUGAUUUAAUGCACUAGGUCUAUUAUCUAUUGCUAGAUCUGGUGGGGUCUUGACAGUGGGAAGGGCUAAUUCCCAGUGGAUUUUGUUGGCUUUAGGAGUAGAAGGUUCUUCUUUGAAAGCUUCUAAGUCAGAAGAGGCUAUAGAACUCUGGUCAUCUAGAUCCAAUACUCCAAUCUUGCUAGAUUGGGGGGUAUCGGGGGCUAUCUGGAGUUUGCUAGACGAGGAAGAAGCAGCUUCUAUCCUCUCUAGUUGUUCUCUAAUGGCUUUAGCAAAAUCUGAUUUUGACUCUUGAACAAGCCUUUGGCUAGUUUUCGAAACCUGAAAAGGUUUGAAAAUAGGUUCCUUAAGCUUUUUGUCAGAAUCCGAUUUUGAAGGAAUAGACAUAGGAAUAGGAGAAACAGAUAUAGGAGAUUUUUGAAAUUGGUUUUCUAUACGAGCCAAUUGCUUUCCAAUUGUAUUUAAGUUAGUAUUACAGAAAUUAUUCUGUUGUAUAAUACUACUUAAAUUCGCAUCAGAAUCAUUUGGUCUUGGGAUUUUGUAAGGGGAUGCUUUAAUCUCAAUAGGAGGUUCACCAUGAUCUAAUGGUUAUACUCCUAAGAGGUGGAUGAUCAGACUCUAUAAUCCUAUCAUUAUCAGAAAGUUUCCAUUCAGGAAUUUUCUUUCUAAUAGUUAUAGGGUUUGACUCUUUAAAAGGAUAAUCAUAUUGUUCUCAGAAGAAUAUAUUUCGAACCAAUCAAAAAACAAUAUAUGAACUUUAUGAAAAUUCACAAAUUCAUAAUAAGUUUGUUGGAUUUCUUUUCUUUGGUUUAAAAAAUGUUUAAAAAACCAAGUUCUUUUUUCUUUAUUUAUUUCUGAAUAAAAAUCGUUAUGCAGAAAGGCUUUAUCUAAUUCAAAUUCUUUUUCAAUGACAUUAAUGACAUUUUCUGUGACAGCAGAAAACGUAGGAGAUGUUGGAGGAGAAGGUUCCUUCUCUUCCUGUCUUUGCACAUGUUGACUACUAGUGUAUAUAGGAUGAGGAACACUUGUGGCAUAGUCAACGGAACGGAUGGAGGAGCUAGGUAUAUCCGAAGUGGAAAACCUAGGUUGGCUCUGAUAUGGGAGAUUUAUAACAGAAGGUACUUUUGUAAACUUCCUUUCUAGUGAAGGAAUGCUUGGGCUCGAUUCUUUUUCAGAAAAUCUAUGUGAGGUAGACCUUCUGAAUGAUAGUUUGACUUUACCAUCGGAAUACUGGGUCACAUUUUUGUAACUCUGUAUUUGGCUCAAGUUGUUUCGGAAUCGCUGGUGGGGCGGCUCCUUCGAGGAUCCAUUCAUCUGGAAGAUGGAUAUCUUUUCCAUUGGAUCGAUUUUGGAAUGACCAUGUUGGCUUUAGACAAAUCAGUCUGCAAGAGAAGGGUCUCAUCUCUCUUCGACUGGUAUUUAUGCUGUGUGCUAAAUGCAGAAAUCAUGGCUUUAUAGGAAAUUUAAAAAUUAAUGCAACUGGGAUGGAUCCCUUAAUCAUGUGAUAAUUAUGGGUUUGGAUUUGUAAAAUCAUGCUCUUUAAAAUAUUUUUGUCUUUAAGAGAAAUUGUUAUAUUUGGAUAACAAUCAAAAGAUAUGGGACCUUUACAUAGACUAGAUUCGAUACUACUUAGUAAAGAAUCAUCAAAAGAGAUGAAUCGCCCAUCUCUAAGAACAGCAAGGAUAGAGGUAUCCAAGCCUUCUUUGGUCAAAGGUUUUAUUCCUACUUGGAUUAAACCAAUGUGAAUAUAUUUGAAAUUCUUUUCUUUUAAUUUCUUUAAAGAUUUUUUCUGAAAACAAAUAAAUUGUUUCAAAAGGCUCCGAAAGAGUUAUGUCUCUUUCUUCAGUUUUUAUAAUAUAAUCAUGUUUUAAAAGAUCAAGCAUUUUGUUUUGUAAAUCUUUUCUUUGGAAAUUUUUGGAAGUUCCCAACAAUCAAUUGCUUUAUCAAAGUUUUCAAUAACGAAUUCUUCUGAACUCACAACAUGCUUUGAAUCACUAGUCUUCCCGGAAGAAGAGCUAGAAAAAGACGAUGUUCUACAGUGUAGAGGGUUCAUGGGUAAAAACCUAUGAUCUAUUUAGUGGUUUUGAAAGAAUGGCUACAGGUAUGGUUUUACAGCCCUAAACGGAAAACUUAUCCUUAGACGGACUUUACUACCAGUAAAAAUUCACCACAAAAACAAAACUUCAAAAUAAAACACAAGUUUUCAAAACACAAAACUCUAAACUGCUUUACACAAUCCUCCCCUUGGCUCUGAUACCAGAAGGAAAUAGGAUCGAAGGAUGGGUGUGUAUUGAAGAUGCUUCUUUAUUGAUUGCUUUAAUGAAAUAAUUGGAUCGCGGUUGUUCAGAUUUUAUAUAAGAUUACCAGCUUUAGAUUAAGUAGAUUUGUUUUAGAGCAUACAAUGAUCAAACAAAUUUGAACGCGGUUGGUCAAAUUUUUAGAAUAUUUAAAGUACGUGCGUUGUUAGACCAGAUCGAUCGCAGAAGUUAAUCUGCCUUUGGACCCAGAUCUGACUUAGAACAGAUCAAUAGUCCGCACGUUCGGGUUUCCAGCCUAUAUACUUUAAUAUAUUUACCAGAUAAAAUUAAGUUGCUUUAAACGUGGUUGUUUCUUUUUAUUGGGCUAAUUCCAGAUUUAAAUUAGAUUCUUUAAGGGGCUUGGGUACAUACACAGUACCAGAUCCGGAUCCGGAAAUGGUGCUCUGAAGGAAUGGAGGAAGAAGAGAAGAUUUACAACUGAGGAUCGAGAUCCGGUCUCUUUGCCUCAGAGGAACGUACAAAUUUUAUGGCAGAUCUGAUAAAGACCAGUCUGCUUUGCAUGCUUUGAAAAGAAAAUUGCUUUAAAAAUAAAUUGCUUUAAUGUAAAUAUGCAUGAAAUUAAAUUGCAGAAAAGUAAAUUGCGAAAAUUUAAAUUACAUCGAAAUUAAAUAACUGAAAUUUAAACAUACAUCUUUGCUUUGAUAGUCUUGGUCUUUACAAUUUUCAAAUCUUUCCUGAAGGGAAGAUUGAAAGACGGGAAGAUUACAAGACAGGAAUGGUUUCCUUGAUGUCUUGGACUGUUCAUCAAAUUUUGACCACCAUUUGACUUUAAAGGUUCUUUGAAGGAUGACUUGGGAAUCUUGAGUAUGAAAACGGAGGUUCCACAUCCAGACCCAUGGUAGGAAGAAGUUUGUACAAAAACAGAGAAAGGGGGGAAAUCUUUUCUCUGAGUCAGAGGGCAUAUAGUGGGCUUUAAAGAGGUUUAGGCAAUUUAUGGCAUUUGGAGUGAGGAUUUGAGGUAUUGGGCCAAAGAAAUUCCACCAAUGAUGGAACCAGUUUGGAAGGCUUUGGACGGUUAUUUUAGGGUUAAAGAAAAAUAACCAAGAAUGGGAUUUUUUAGGGUUUUGAAUAAAAAAGGUGUUAUACCAUGCUUGUUGGUAAUCCCAGUAGGAGAAAGUCCGACAAUGUGGUAAACGGGUUUCAAAGUUUAAAGGAAAGAUUUUGAAAUUGUGGAGUAGGUCGCCCCACUGUUCGGGCUCAAAACUUUUAGAAUCGUGGCCGUGGAAUAGGCCGGUUCAGAAUGGGUUUUAUCAAGAAAGAAAUGUUUGAAUUUAACUGAUUCAGUUAUUUCUAAAAUGCUUUGAUAAUAAGACUGGGGUUUUGUCAAAUCCCAUGGUUUGAAAAACCAGCCUUUGGGAAAAAACUUUGAAAUGCUUUGAAAAGGAUCAGUAUGGUAAAAUCCAUCUUCCAUAGAAAGAAUAUUUUGAAAAUGGGUUUUAUCAAACCAAUCGGAGGUUUUCUUUGAAGGUGUUGGCUGAGAAAGCACAAUUUGGGAAGAUGAGCUUUCGGCAGAGACAACAACAUUUUGAGAGGAGGGUUUUGUAAUUUCUUUAGAUGUGGAUAUGCUCUUAAUUUCUUUUUUAGGAGAAUUUUGGCUCUGGGAAAGGUUUUGUAGAGCGAGCAUGAGCUCGGGAGAUUUUGUAAUGGAACUCAUCCAAUGCUUUACUUGAUCAUCAGAAGAGAUGGGUUUGUAUUGGGCUUCAUGUUCUUCAACCAAUUCAAUCCAUGAUUUGAUGGGUAGGGCAGAAGAAAGUAAUUUUUCUUUAGAAGGGGUUGACUGGGGUUCUUUGGAAGGUUCUUGAGAUCCGGAACUUUUGAGAACAGCUUUACCUUUGUCUUUCUUUAGCGGCAUUAUCUGUUUUGAAGAAAUUCUCUGGUUAGAAAAUCAGGAACAGAAUUUUUAUCACCUUUAAUGAAUUCUAUAUCAAAAUCAAAAACACUCAAAAUAGCUUGCCAACGUGCAAAAAUUUGUUUUGAUGCAAUGUUUUGAACAUCCUUUUCUAAAACAUGUUUUGCAGCUUUGCAAUCAAUUCUAAGUAAAAAUUUUUGAUUUAAUAAAUCACUUUGAAAUUUUGUAAUGCAUAAAACAAUGGAAAGAAUUUCUUUUUUAAUAGUAGAAUAAUUUUUCUGACAAUCAUUCCAAUGUGCAGAAACAUAUUGUACUAUCUGUUCUCUAUCAUUUUCUUUUUGUUUUAAUAUACCUCCAUAUCCUAAAUCAGAUGCAUCAGUUUCAACAAUUUUAGGGAAUGCAGGAUUUGCAAGAUAUAGACAUGGGAUGCUUUUAACAGAACUCUUUAUUAAUUUAACAGCUUUAGUAUGUUCAUCUGUCCAUGGAGCAGGUUUUUUCUUUAAACGAUCAUGCAAAGGUUUAGACAACCUAUUGAUAUUGGGACAGAAAUCAAGAACAUAAUUUAGGCUACCAAGAAAUCUUUGUAAUUGAGUUUUGUCAAGGAUUUUAUCAGGGAAUUUAUCAGCAAAUAAAAGUGAUCUUUCAAUAGGGGUGAUUGUUCCUUUUGAAAUAUAGUGACCAAGAAAUCUGAUUUUCGUUUGAAAUAAUGAAAUCUUUGAACUAGAAAGGGCUAGUCCAGCCUUUUUUGUAGCAAAAUAAAAAGUCUUUAAAUGUUUGAAAUGUUGAUCGAUUGAAUUUGAAAAUAUCAAAACAUCAUCAAUAUAAACAAUGCAAAAAUCAGAAUAAGGAUUAUAAAUAUCAUUCAUAAUUCUUUGAAAUUCUGAGGGUGCAUUCUUUAAACCAAAGGGCAUAACAGUCCAUUCGUAUUGUCCAAAUGGAACAGUGAAAGCGGUUUUGUAACGGUCAUUUGGAUGAAUUUGAAUUUGCCAAAAACCCGAUUUCAUGUCGAAUUUUGAAAAAAUAAAGGCAGAACAGAGUUUUUGGAGUAAAUCUUUUUUAUUAGGUAUAGGAUACCUAAUCCAUUUUAAAGCUUUAUUCAAAGGUUUGUAGUUUAUAACUAGUCUUGGAGUGCCUCUUUCAAUUUCGAAGUUUUUGUUAACAUAAAAAGCAGCACAAGACCAAGGAGACCUGGAUUUUACAAUGAGUCCUUUAGACUCCAAGUCUUUGAUUUCAUUUUUACAAUGUUUUUCUAAAUCCAUAUUCAUUUGAAUUGGACGAGCUUUGGUCGGAAUCUGUUUUUCAUCAAAAGAAUUUUCAUAAGGCAGGUCUACUAAAUGUUGUUUUCUAUUCCAAAAAGCAGAAGGUAGAUCAGCACAAAUUUCUUUUUCAAUAAGAGUUUUGAAAUCAGAAAAUUUUCUUUUAAUGAAAUCACUUUGUAAUUGGCUUUCAACUCUUUGUAAGUUCAAAUCUUUUUGUAAAAACAUUAGAUCACACUGUUUUGAUUUAAGUAAAUUGUUUAUUCUAUUUUGAUAAAUAGAACAGGCUUUAACAAUAUUUAAAUUUCUUGUUUUAGGUUUUUCAAUAAAAGGGAAAACAAGUUUCUUGUUUUUUGCUUUGAAAGAUAUACUAUCAUAAUUGACAGUAUACGGAGUUAUGAGAUUUAUAAAAGGAGUUCCCAAAAUAAUGGCAUGAUGAAUAUCAUUUGUGAGAACAAAGGAAGUUUUAAAAUCAAAACCAUCAUUAUAGAUCGAGGCUUCAACCUUGGAACUGACAUUCAAUUUUGAAUUAUUGGCGGCAGAAAGCCUUUCUUUUGUUUUUUCAUGAAAUCUUUUGGGGACGAUAUCUUCUCUAAUGCAAUUUAAAUCGGCGCCAGUAUCAAAAAGGGCAAUGGCGUCCAUCGCAAAAUCAUCAGAAAAGAUUAGAGUGACUUUAAUCAAAUACUUUCUUGUGGUGAUUUGUUUUAGAACAAAUAGAAAAUCAUUGGGUACAGACUCAAUAUUUUCUACUUUAAUAUCAUCACCAUCAAUAUCAGGACUGGAUUCAUUGUCUGAAUUAUCCUGUAAUUGCUUUUGUAAAAGAAGUUGAAUAAUAUCAGAAUCACUUUUUUGUUUUUCUUUUAAAUCUCUGAUUUCACUUUUGAUUUCUUUUAUCUCUUUCUGAAGAUCUUGGAUAUUAGGAAUCAUCUUUUUUGUUUUCUUCUUAUCCAAAAUUUGAGUAAGAUCAUAAGAAUUCUUUUUAAUAAUUGGGACUCUAGAAGUCUCGGCUUUAUUAAAAUCCAAUGUUUUCAAAAGUUUAUCAAGGUAUUCCUUUUGAAGAUUUGGAUCAGAAAUAUGCUUUACAAGUUCAAGAAAAGUUUCUUGGUCUUUAGUCAAAACAUUGAUUUUCUUUAAAAAUGAAUCAGAUUCAGAAUCACUACUGCUAGAUGCAGAGUCAUCUGAGUCAAAAAGCUCAUCAACUUGGUAAGGGUCACUGUCUCCCGACAUGGAAGACUCAGAAUCAGAAGAUUCGACAAGAAGAGGGGCUAUUUUAGAAAGGAUGUCCUCAUUGAGGUCAAGUUCUUGGAGUCUUUUGUUCAUUCUGCAAAAUUUUGCAGUAUGACCUUUCAUACCACAUUUGAAACAUGUGGCCUCCUUGAAGUUGAAUGGGGUAUUAGGUUUGGCUUUGAAAUCUUUCUUUUUAGAGAAACUAUGUCUCUUAUAAGGCUUCGAAGGUUUCUUAUAAGGAAGUUUUCUAAAAUCACGGAAGGGUUUUCUAAAAUGUUUAGAUUUGUAAUGUUUCUUACGAGGUUUUGUAGAACACUCUCCAUUACAAUCUUUGGAAGUUUUAAAGGGGUCAUAAUUGAAUUGCUUACAGAAACCGCCUAAUUCCUGUUUAGACUUCUUAAGCUCCCACUUAAGACGUUUCUGUAAUUUCAAAUCUUGACAAAUCUUUAAAACCUUCUUUGUUGACAAAACUGACUAGUUCACCAUAGGUGAGCUCGUCAUAAGGAAUACGGUUAUCGUAAAGGGCUUUGAUGGAAUUUCUUACCUUUUCACCUAAAAGGGUAGGUAAUCCAGCAAGAAAUUUUUCUUUCCAAGUAAUAUGAUUUGCAUCAUCCCUUAGAAAUAGUCUGGUAAGGAAAGAGGUUUUGUAACUCUGAAAUUCACUAAGUUUUCUACAUCUCAAAUUAUGUAGUAACUCAGCGUUUUUAUCACGAAGGUGAGAAGGGUCACCGAUGAAAUGGAGGGAAAUGGUUAGAAUAAGAGUAGCAACAGCAUCCUGGAUAGGGUUGUUGAACUCAUCAAGAAUAGAGGCUCCAUUUUCAUCUUUUUGGACGGAAUUUAGAAUGUCAAAUUGUUGCUGAUUAGUGAGAAGAUGAUCCCACCAACCUUUUAGUUGACCAGUAAAACCAGCAAUUAGGAUUUCCGAUAUGGCACGAUCAGAAGUUCCUGCUUGGGUUUUAUAAGCAUUAGCUGCCAUUGUCAUUUGUUGCAACAAUCCAAGGAUAUUGUACUCAGACAUGCCGUCAAUAUUCCACUCAUAGACUGAAGAUGCAUUAUAACGGGAUUGAUUUAAUGCACUAGGUCUAUUAUCUAUUGCUAGAUCUGGUGGGGUCUUGACAGUGGGAAGGGCUAAUUCCCAGUGGAUUUUGUUGGCUUUAGGAGUAGAAGGUUCUUCUUUGAAAGCUUCUAAGUCAGAAGAGGCUAUAGAACUCUGGUCAUCUAGAUCCAAUACUCCAAUCUUGCUAGAUUGGGGGGUAUCGGGGGCUAUCUGGAGUUUGCUAGACGAGGAAGAAGCAGCUUCUAUCCUCUCUAGUUGUUCUCUAAUGGCUUUAGCAAAAUCUGAUUUUGACUCUUGAACAAGCCUUUGGCUAGUUUUCGAAACCUGAAAAGGUUUGAAAAUAGGUUCCUUAAGCUUUUUGUCAGAAUCCGAUUUUGAAGGAAUAGACAUAGGAAUAGGAGAAACAGAUAUAGGAGAUUUUUGAAAUUGGUUUUCUAUACGAGCCAAUUGCUUUCCAAUUGUAUUUAAGUUAGUAUUACAGAAAUUAUUCUGUUGUAUAAUACUACUUAAAUUCGCAUCAGAAUCAUUUGGUCUUGGGAUUUUGUAAGGGGAUGCUUUAAUCUCAAUAGGAGGUUCACCAUGAUCUAUGGUUAUACUCCUAAGAGGUGGAUGAUCAGACUCUAUAAUCCUAUCAUUAUCAGAAAGUUUCCAUUCAGGAAUUUUCUUUCUAAUAGUUAUAGGGUUUGACUCUUUAAAAGGAUAAUCAAUAUUGUUCUCAGAAGAAUAUAUUUCGAACCAAUCAAAAAACAAUAUAUGAACUUUAUGAAAAUUCACAAAUUCAUAAUAAGUUUGUUGGAUUUCUUUUCUUUGGUUUAAAAAAUGUUUAAAAAACCAAGUUCUUUUUUUCUUUAUUUAUUUCUGAAUAAAAAUCGUUAUGCAGAAAGGCUUUAUCUAAUUCAAAUUCUUUUUCAAUGACAUUAAUGACAUUUUCUGUGACAGCAGAAAACGUAGGAGAUGUUGGAGGAGAAGGUUCCUUCUCUUCCUGUCUUUGCACAUGUUGACUACUAGUGUAUAUAGGAUGAGGAACACUUGUGGCAUAGUCAACGGAACGGAUGGAGGAGCUAGGUAUAUCCGAAGUGGAAAACCUAGGUUGGCUCUGAUAUGGGAGAUUUAUAACAGAAGGUACUUUUGUAAACUUCCUUUCUAGUGAAGGAAUGCUUGGGCUCGAUUCUUUUUCAGAAAAUCUAUGUGAGGUAGACCUUCUGAAUGAUAGUUUGACUUUACCAUCGGAAUACUGGGUCACAUUUUGUAACUCUGUAUUUGGCUCAAGUUGUUUCGGAAUCGCCGGUGGGGCGGCUCCUUCGAGGAUCCAUUCAUCUGGAAGAUGGAUAUCUUUCCAUUGGAUCGAUUUUGGAAUGACCAUGUUGGCUUUAGACAAAUCAGUCUGCAAGAGAAGGGUCUCAUCUCUCUUCGACUGGUAUUUAUGCUGUGUGCUAAAUGCAGAAAUCAUGGCUUUAUAGGAAAUUUUAAAAAUUAAUGCAACUGGGAUGGAUCCCUUAAUCAUGUGAUAAUUAUGGGUUUGGAUUUGUAAAAUCAUGCUCUUUAAAAUAUUUUUGUCUUUAAGAGAAAUUGUUAUAUUUGGAUAACAAUCAAAAGAUAUGGGACCUUUACAUAGACUAGAUUCGAUACUACUUAGUAAAGAAUCAUCAAAAGAGAUGAAUCGCCCAUCUCUAAGAACAGCAAGGAUAGAGGUAUCCAAACCUUCUUUGGUCAAAGGUUUUAUUCCUACUUGGAUUAAACCAAUGUGAAUAUAUUUGAAAUUCUUUUCUUUUAAUUUCUUUAAAGAUUUUUCUGAAAACAAAUAAAUUGUUUCAAAAGGCUCCGAAAGAGUUAUGUCUCUUUCUUCAGUUUUUAUAAUAUAAUCAUGUUUUAAAAGAUCAAGCAUUUUUGUUUUGUAAAUCUUUUCUUUGGAAAUUUUUGGAAGUUCCCAACAAUCAAUUGCUUUAUCAAAGUUUUCAAUAACGAAUUCUUCUGAACUCACAACAUGCUUUGAAUCACUAGUCUUCCCGGAAGAAGAGCUAGAAAAGGACGAUGUUCUACAGUGUAGAGGGUUCAUGGGUAAAAACCUAUGAUCUAUUUAGUGGUUUUGAAAGAAUGGCUACAGGUAUGGUUUUACAGCCCUAAACGGAAAACUUAUCCUUAGACGGGACUUACUACCAGUAAAAAUUCACCACAAAAACAAAACUUCAAAAUAAAACACAAGUUUUCAAAGCCAAGGGGAGGAUUGUGUAAAGCAGUUUAGAGUUUUGUGUUUUGAAAACUUGUGUUUUAUUUUGAAGUUUUGUUUUUGUGGUGAAUUUUUACUGGUAGUAAGUCCCGUCUAAGGAUAAGUUUUCCGUUUAGGGCUGUAAAACCAUACCUGUAGCCAUUCUUUCAAAACCACUAAAUAGAUCAUAGGUUUUUACCCAUGAACCCUCUACACUGUAGAACAUCGUCCUUUUCUAGCUCUUCUUCCGGGAAGACUAGUGAUUCAAAGCAUGUUGUGAGUUCAGAAGAAUUCGUUAUUGAAAACUUUGAUAAAGCAAUUGAUUGUUGGGAACUUCCAAAAAUUUCCAAAGAAAAGAUUUACAAAACAAAAAUGCUUGAUCUUUUAAAACAUGAUUAUAUUAUAAAAAACUGAAGAAAGAGACAUAACUCUUUCGGAGCCUUUUGAAACAAUUUAUUUGUUUUCAGAAAAAUCUUUAAAGAAAUUAAAAGAAAAGAAUUUCAAAUAUAUUCACAUUGGUUUAAUCCAAGUAGGAAUAAAACCUUUGACCAAAGAAGGCUUGGAUACCUCUAUCCUUGCUGUUCUUAGAGAUGGGCGAUUCAUCUCUUUUGAUGAUUCUUUACUAAGUAGUAUCGAAUCUAGUCUAUGUAAAGGUCCCAUAUCUUUUGAUUGUUAUCCAAAUAUAACAAUUUCUCUUAAAGACAAAAAUAUUUUAAAGAGCAUGAUUUUACAAAUCCAAACCCAUAAUUAUCACAUGAUUAAGGGAUCCAUCCCAGUUGCAUUAAUUUUUAAAAUUUCCUAUAAAGCCAUGAUUUCUGCAUUUAGCACACAGCAUAAAUACCAGUCGAAGAGAGAUGAGACCCUUCUCUUGCAGACUGAUUUGUCUAAAGCCAACAUGGUCAUUCCAAAAUCGAUCCAAUGGAAAGAUAUCCAUCUUCCAGAUGAAUGGAUCCUCGAAGGAGCCGCCCCACCGGCGAUUCCGAAACAACUUGAGCCAAAUACAGAGUUACAAAAUGUGACCCAGUAUUCCGAUGGUAAAGUCAAACUAUCAUUCAGAAGGUCUACCUCACAUAGAUUUUCUGAAAAAGAAUCGAGCCCAAGCAUUCCUUCACUAGAAAGGAAGUUUACAAAAGUACCUUCUGUUAUAAAUCUCCCAUAUCAGAGCCAACCUAGGUUUUCCACUUCGGAUAUACCUAGCUCCUCCAUCCGUUCCGUUGACUAUGCCACAAGUGUUCCUCAUCCUAUAUACACUAGUAGUCAACAUGUGCAAAGACAGGAAGAGAAGGAACCUUCUCCUCCAACAUCUCCUACGUUUUCUGCUGUCACAGAAAAUGUCAUUAAUGUCAUUGAAAAAGAAUUUGAAUUAGAUAAAGCCUUUCUGCAUAACGAUUUUUAUUCAGAAAUAAAUAAAGAAAAAAGAACUUGGUUUUUUAAACAUUUUUUAAACCAAAGAAAAGAAAUCCAACAAACUUAUUAUGAAUUUGUGAAUUUUCAUAAAGUUCAUAUAUUGUUUUUUGAUUGGUUCGAAAUAUAUUCUUCUGAGAACAAUAUUGAUUAUCCUUUUAAAGAGUCAAACCCUAUAACUAUUAGAAAGAAAAUUCCUGAAUGGAAACUUUCUGAUAAUGAUAGGAUUAUAGAGUCUGAUCAUCCACCUCUUAGGAGUAUAACCAUAGAUCAUGGUGAACCUCCUAUUGAGAUUAAAGCAUCCCCUUACAAAAUCCCAAGACCAAAUGAUUCUGAUGCGAAUUUAAGUAGUAUUAUACAACAGAAUAAUUUCUGUAAUACUAACUUAAAUACAAUUGGAAAGCAAUUGGCUCGUAUAGAAAACCAAUUUCAAAAAUCUCCUAUAUCUGUUUCUCCUAUUCCUAUGUCUAUUCCUUCAAAAUCGGAUUCUGACAAAAAGCUUAAGGAACCUAUUUUCAAACCUUUUCAGGUUUCGAAAACUAGCCAAAGGCUUGUUCAAGAGUCAAAAUCAGAUUUUGCUAAAGCCAUUAGAGAACAACUAGAGAGGAUAGAAGCUGCUUCUUCCUCGUCUAGCAAACUCCAGAUAGCCCCCGAUACCCCCCAAUCUAGCAAGAUUGGAGUAUUGGAUCUAGAUGACCAGAGUUCUAUAGCCUCUUCUGACUUAGAAGCUUUCAAAGAAGAACCUUCUACUCCUAAAGCCAACAAAAUCCACUGGGAAUUAGCCCUUCCCACUGUCAAGACUCCACCAGAUCUAGCAAUAGAUAAUAGACCUAGUGCAUUAAAUCAAUCCCGUUAUAAUGCAUCUUCAGUCUAUGAGUGGAAUAUUGACGGCAUGUCUGAGUACAAUAUCCUUGGAUUGUUGCAACAAAUGACAAUGGCAGCUAAUGCUUAUAAAACCCAAGCAGGAACUUCUGAUCGUGCCAUAUCGGAAAUCCUAAUUGCUGGUUUUACUGGUCAACUAAAAGGUUGGUGGGAUCAUCUUCUCACUAAUCAGCAACAAUUUGACAUUCUAAAUUCCGUCCAAAAAGAUGAAAAUGGAGCCUCUAUUCUUGAUGAGUUCAACAACCCUAUCCAGGAUGCUGUUGCUACUCUUAUUCUAACCAUUUCCCUCCAUUUCAUCGGUGACCCUUCUCACCUUCGUGAUAAAAACGCUGAGUUACUACAUAAUUUGAGAUGUAGAAAACUUAGUGAAUUUCAGAGUUACAAAACCUCUUUCCUUACCAGACUAUUUCUAAGGGAUGAUGCAAAUCAUAUUACUUGGAAAGAAAAAUUUCUUGCUGGAUUACCUACCCUUUUAGGUGAAAAGGUAAGAAAUUCCAUCAAAGCCCUUUACGAUAACCGUAUUCCUUAUGACGAGCUCACCUAUGGUGAACUAGUCAGUUUUGUCAACAAAGAAGGUUUAAAGAUUUGUCAAGAUUUGAAAUUACAGAAACGUCUUAAGUGGGAGCUUAAGAAGUCUAAACAGGAAUUAGGCGGUUUCUGUAAGCAAUUCAAUUAUGACCCCUUUAAAACUUCCAAAGAUUGUAAUGGAGAGUGUUCUACAAAACCUCGUAAGAAACAUUACAAAUCUAAACAUUUUAGAAAACCCUUCCGUGAUUUUAGAAAACUUCCUUAUAAGAAACCUUCGAAGCCUUAUAAGAGACAUAGUUUCUCUAAAAAGAAAGAUUUCAAAGCCAAACCUAAUACCCCAUUCAACUUCAAGGAGGCCACAUGUUUCAAAUGUGGUAUGAAAGGUCAUACUGCAAAAUUUUGCAGAAUGAACAAAAGACUCCAAGAACUUGACCUCAAUGAGGACAUCCUUUCUAAAAUAGCCCCUCUUCUUGUCGAAUCUUCUGAUUCUGAGUCUUCCAUGUCGGGAGACAGUGACCCUUACCAAGUUGAUGAGCUUUUUGACUCAGAUGACUCUGCAUCUAGCAGUAGUGAUUCUGAAUCUGAUUCAUUUUUAAAGAAAAUCAAUGUUUUGACUAAAGACCAAGAAACUUUUCUUGAACUUGUAAAGCAUAUUUCUGAUCCAAAUCUUCAAAAGGAAUACCUUGAUAAACUUUUGAAAACAUUGGAUUUUAAUAAAGCCGAGACUUCUAGAGUCCCAAUUAUUAAAAAGAAUUCUUAUGAUCUUACUCAAAUUUUGGAUAAGAAGAAAACAAAAAAGAUGAUUCCUAAUAUCCAAGAUCUUCAGAAAGAGAUAAAAGAAAUCAAAAGUGAAAUCAGAGAUUUAAAAGAAAAACAAAAAAAGUGAUUCUGAUAUUAUUCAACUUCUUUACAAAAGCAAUUACAGGAUAAUUCAGACAAUGAAUCCAGUCCUGAUAUUGAUGGUGAUGAUAUUAAAGUAGAAAAUAUUGAGUCUGUACCCAAUGAUUUUCUAUUUGUUCUAAAACAAAUCACCACAAGAAAGUAUUUGAUUAAAGUCACUCUAAUCUUUUCUGAUGAUUUUGCGAUGGACGCCAUUGCCCUUUUUGAUACUGGCGCCGAUUUAAAUUGCAUUAGAGAAGAUAUCGUCCCCAAAAGAUUUCAUGAAAAAACAAAAGAAAGGCUUUCUGCCGCCAAUAAUUCAAAAUUGAAUGUCAGUUCCAAGGUUGAAGCCUCGAUCUAUAAUGAUGGUUUUGAUUUUAAAACUUCCUUUGUUCUCACAAAUGAUAUUCAUCAUGCCAUUAUUUUGGGAACUCCUUUUAUAAAUCUCAUAACUCCGUAUACUGUCAAUUAUGAUAGUAUAUCUUUCAAAGCAAAAAACAAGAAACUUGUUUUCCCUUUUAUUGAAAAACCUAAAACAAGAAAUUUAAAUAUUGUUAAAGCCUGUUCUAUUUAUCAAAAUAGAAUAAACAUUUACUUAAAUCAAAACAGUGUGAUCUAAUGUUUUUACAAAAAGAUUUGAACUUACAAGAGUUGAAAGCCAAUUACAAAGUGAUUUCAUUAAAAGAAAAAUUUCUGAUUUCAAAAACUCUUAUUGAAAAAAGAAAUUUGUGCUGAUCUACCUCUGCUUUUUGGAAUAGAAAACAACAUUUAGUAGACCUGCCUUAUGAAAAUUCUUUUGAUGAAAAACAGAUUCCGACCAAAAGCUCGUCCAAUUCAAAUGAAUAUGGAUUUAGAAAAACAUUGUAAAAAUGAAAUCAAAGACUUGGAGUCUAAAGGACUCAUUGUAAAAUCCAGGUCUCCUUGGUCUUGUGCUGCUUUUUAUGUUAACAAAAACUUCGAAAUUGAAAGAGGCACUCCAAGACUAGUUAUAAACUACAAACCUUUGAAUAAAGCUUUAAAAUGGAUUAGGUAUCCUAUAUCUAAUAAAAAAGAUUUACUCCAAAAACUCUGUUCUGCCUUUAUUUUUUCAAAAUUCGACAUGAAAUCGGGUUUUUGGCAAAUUCAAAUUCAUCCAAAUGACCGUUACAAAACCGCUUUCACUGUUCCAUUUGGACAAUACGAAUGGACUGUUAUGCCCUUUGGUUUAAAGAAUGCACCCUCAGAAUUUCAAAGAAUUAUGAAUGAUAUUUAUAAUCAUUAUUCUGAUUUUUGCAUUGUUUAUAUUGAUGAUGUUUUGAUAUUUUCAAAUUCAAUCGAUCAACAUUUCAAACAUUUAAAGACUUUUUAUUUUGCUACAAAAAAAGGCUGGACUAGCCCUUUCUAGUUCAAAAGAUUUCAUUAUUUCAAACGAAAAUCAGAUUUCUUGGUCACUAUAUUUCAAAAGGAACAAUCACCCCUAUUGAAAGAUCACUUUUAUUUGCUGAUAAAUUCCCUGAUAAAAUCCUUGACAAAACUCAAUUACAAAGAUUUCUUGGUAGCCUAAAUUAUGUUCUUGAUUUCUGUCCCAAUAUCAAUAGGUUGUCUAAACCUUUGCAUGAUCGUUUAAAGAAAAAACCUGCUCCAUGGACAGAUGAACAUACUAAAGCUGUUAAAUUAAUAAAGAGUUCUGUUAAAAGCAUCCCAUGUCUAUAUCUUGCAAACCCUGCAUUCCCUAAAAUUGUUGAAACUGAUGCAUCUGAUUUAGGAUAUGGAGGUAUAUUAAAACAAAAAGAAAAUGAUAGAGAACAGAUAGUACAAUAUGUUUCUGCACAUUGGAAUGAUUGUCAGAAAAAUUAUUCUACUAUUAAAAAAGAAAUUCUUUCCAUUGUUUUAUGCAUUACAAAAUUUCAAAGUGAUUUAUUAAAUCAAAAUUUUUACUUAGAAUUGAUUGCAAAGCUGCAAAACAUGUUUUAGAAAAGGAUGUUCAAAACAUUGCAUCAAAACAAAUUUUUGCACGUUGGCAAGCUAUUUUGAGUGUUUUUUGAUUUUGAUAUAGAAUUCAUUAAAGGUGAUAAAAAUUCUGUUCCUGAUUUUCUAACCAGAGAAUUUCUUCAAAACAGAUAAUGCCGCUAAAGAAAGACAAAGGUAAAGCUGUUCUCAAAAGUUCCGGAUCUCAAGAACCUUCCAAAGAACCCCAGUCAACCCCUUCUAAAGAAAAAUUACUUUCUUCUGCCCUACCCAUCAAAUCAUGGAUUGAAUUGGUUGAAGAACAUGAAGCCCAUUACAAACCCAUCUCUUCUGAUGAUCAAGUAAAGCAUUGGAUGAGUUCCAUUACAAAAUCUCCCGAGCUCAUGCUCGCUCUACAAAACCUUUCCCAGAGCCAAAAUUCUCCUCAAAAAGAAAUUAAGAGCAUAUCCACAUCUAAAGAAAUUACAAAAACCCUCCUCUCAAAAUGUUGUUGUCUCUGCCGAAAGCUCAUCUUCCCAAAUUGUGCUUUCUCAGCCAACACCUUCAAAGAAAACCUCCGAUUGGUUUGAUAAAACCCAUUUUCAAAAUAUUCUUUCUAUGGAAGAUGGAUUUUACCAUACUGAUCCUUUUCAAAGCAUUUCAAAGUUUUUUUCCCAAAGGCUGGUUUUUUCAAAACCAUGGGAUUUUGACAAAACCCCAGUCUUAUUAUCAAAGCAUUUUUAGAAAUAACUGAAUCAGUUAAAUUCAAACAUUUCUUUCUUGAUAAAAACCCAUUCUGAACCGGCCUAUUCCACGGCCACGAUUCUAAAAGUUUUUGAGCCCGAACCAGUGGGCGACCUACUCCACAAUUUCAAAACCUUUCCUUUAAACUUUGAAAACCCGUUUACCACAUUGUCGGACUUUCUCCUACUGGGAUUACCAACAAGCAUGGUAUAACACCUUUUUUAUUCAAAACCCUAAAAAAUCCCAUUCUUGGUUAUUUUUUCUUUAACCCUAAAAUAACCGUCCAAAGCCUUCCAAACUGGUUUCCAUCAUUGGUGGAAUUUCUUUGGCCCAAUACCUUCAAAUCCUCACUCCAAAUGCCAAUAAAUUGCCUAAACCUCUUUAAAGCCCACUAUAUGCCCUCUGACUCAGAGAAAAGAUUUCCCCCCUUUCUCUGUUUUUGUACAAACUUCUUCCUACCAUGGGUCUGGGAUGUGGAACCUCCGUUUUCAUACUCAAGAUUCCCAAAGUCAUCCUUCAAAGAACCUUUAAAGUCAAAUGGUGGUCAAAAUUUGAUGAACAGUCCAAAACUGACUGUUAACAUGAUCAAAGAUUGGCUCUCCUCUAAAAAACCUUCUCCAACCAACCCUAGAAGCCUCUAAAGCCCAACAGACCUUCUUAACCCAAAAAAUCCAAAGCCCAGUCUCUUUUGGCAAGUGCCAAGACAGAAGAAGGAAUACUUCAAAGCAAUGGAACAGCUCCUCGCCUCCCGUUCAAAGUCAUCAGUAGCUGACACCUCUGAGACGAAGACGAUGAUGAAGAUGAAGAGCCCUUCAUUUCUCUUGGAGACGAAAAUGAAGAUGAUUGUUUUCGGCAUUUUUUCUCCUAUAAAGCAUUGUAAAUAAUUAUUUGGUUAUUUACUUAAAAAAAAAAAAAAAAAAAAAAAAAAAAGAAAAGAGUAAUUUUCUCUCGGGUGGUCCCUUGGACACAAGUGAGAGCGCACAUGUCUCUUCACCCGUGUUGUAUUUCAUUAUGUAUUUCAAUUUUUGUACAAAGUAGUCUACUGUUCAAAGCUACGGUCAGCCUACUAUUCAAAGCUACGAUCCAAAGAUUACUGUGCACUCAAACUCCGCUACAGUGAACAGUGCAAAAUUCCAAAGAUUACUGUGCACUCAAAGCUCCGCUACAGUGAACAGUUUUACAAAAUUUUGUAUAUAAACCAAGAGGAAGACUCAGACUCCUCAGGUUUUUUCAUUUUUCUCUUCUUCUCCUCCUUCUCUCUAGAUCUCUCUCUCUCUCUCUCUCUCUCUUGGGAAGUCUGGAUCAAAGACAUCAAGGAAACCAUUCCUGUCUUGUAAUCUUCCCGUCUUUCAAUCUUCCCUUCAGGAAAGAUUUGAAAUUGUAAAGACCAAGACUAUCAAAGCAAAGAUGUAUGUUUAAAUUUCAGUUAUUUAAUUUCGAUGUAAUUUAAAUUUUCGCAAUUUACUUUUCUGCAAUUUAAUUUCAUGCAUAUUUACAUUAAAGCAAUUUAUUUUUAAAGCAAUUUUUCUUUUCAAAGCAUGCAAAGCAGACUGGUCUUUAUCAGAUCUGCCAUAAAAUUUGUACGUUCCUCUGAGGCAAAGAGACCGGAUCUCGAUCCUCAGUUGUAAAUCUUCUCUUCUUCCUCCAUUCCUUCAGAGCACCAUUUCCGGGAUCCGGAUCUGGUACUGUGUAUGUACCCAAGCCCCUUAAAGAAUCUAAUUUAAAUCUGGAAUUAGCCCAAUAAAAAGAAACAACCACGUUUAAAGCAACUUAAUUUUUAUCUGGUAAAUAUAUUAAAGUAUAUAGGCUGGAAACCCGAACGUGCGGACUAUUGAUCUGUUCUAAGUCAGAUCUGGGUCCAAAGGCAGAUUAACUUCUGCGAUCCGAUCUGGUCUAACAACGCCACGUACUUUAAAUAUUCUAAAAAUUUGACCAAACCGCGUUCAAAUUUGUUUGAUCAUUGUAUGCUCUAAAAACAAAUCUACUUAAUCUAAAGCUGGUAAUCUUAUAUAAAAUCUGAACAACCGCGAUCCAAUUAUUUCAUUAAAGCAAUCAAUAAAGAAGCAUCUUCAAUACACACCCAUCCUUCGAUCCUAUUUCCUUCUGGUAUAUAUAUAUAUAUAUAUAUAUAUAUAUAUAUAUAUUGUGCAUAUUUUGCAACGUAUAGAUAAUUGUUAGUAUAUGGAGACAAGUCUUUUAAGGUAGGACCUAAGAAAAUUUAUAACUUACUACACUGUAGAGUUUUUAUUCCUUUUUAUAAUUGGCUCAUAUUGAUACAUUCUUACACAAAUAUUACCAUUGACAUAUUUUACUACAAUUAGUUUAGAACAUUUGUUAGGAAAAAAAAAAAAGAAAGAAACAUCCUUGGAUGUAGCUCUCCUGACUAUUUAAAUCUUUUAAGGAAAAAAAGAAAAAAGAAAAACUGACACAUUCAAAUCUUGAAGCAAUUACAUUAAAACCUCUCCAUAAUGAUAGGAAUAAUCUCCAUUUAGUAAUAAAAAAUUUUGUUCGCAAUUUAGGCAGAGUUAUAAAUAAGAAUAAAAUCCUCAUUGUAUAAGUUAUAUUUAUUAUGGAUCCCAUCCUAAGGAACUUGUCUCUAUAUAGUAAUAAUUAUUUGCAUAUUAUAAAUAUAUAUGUUGCAUUAAAUUAAAUGAACUUGUCUCCACAUACUACUUAGACAACGAGAGAAAGUUAUUAAAGAGAACACAAAUAUUUAGAGAUUUUUAAGAUGACUUUGCAUAUUUAUAACAAUAAUACAUUGAUAUAUUUAUAUAUUAGAUUUGACAUGCUCUAUUAAUAAAUUAUUAAACGAUGCAUACUUCAUCUCUAUAUCCUUGCAAUAAAAGUAACUAAGUUAUAACAAUAAUUAUUAAUAAAUUAUUAAUACGUUGCGUACUUCAUCUCUAUAUCCUUACAAUAAAAGUAACUAAGUUAUAACGAUAAUUUUUGUAACUACAUGCUUAUUAGGUUUUAACUACUUCAUAAUAAUAAAUUAGUUUCGUCCUACUAUUAUAAUUAUGUAGAGUUGUAGUGUAUAGACACACCCAAUUUAAAUAGUAUAUCAAAUAAAAUUGUCCCCACAAAAAAGAAAAAAGGGGUAAAGGAUUGUUAUUUCUUCAAACAUUAGGAUCACGUUUGUACAAGUGCGAUGCCUUUCUUUUGAAGGCAACGUCAGUGGGUACCCAAUAAGACGUGUGUAAAUCUUUCCAAAAUUUCUCCGGUAUAACGGACAGAGAUCAUUACUUUUCUCUUCCAUAGACCACAGCAGCCUCAGUUAAUCAGACUCAAUCAAUUUUCUUGGUUUCUUCGCGUAUCAAAAUUCCAAAAUAUGGGUAGCAUAUUUCAAAUCACAUGCGAUGGUGCUUUUUUCAAUCGUCGCUUGGAUUGCUUUCUUGGAAAAGUAGCAAACACAAGUAAGCUCCAAGAUAACCUUGUUGCCUUGGAGACUGAAUUGGGAAAACUAAUCGCAGCAAAGAACGAUGUGAUGAUGAGGGUUGUCAAUGCUGAACGGCAACAACUGAGAACGCUGGACCAAGUGCAAGUGUGGCUUUCGAGGGUGGAAGCUGUUGAAACUGAAGCUGAUGAAUUGAAAAGACACGGCUCUCAAGAAAUUGACAAAUUAUGUGUUGGAGGCUACUGUUCCAAGAACUGCGCGUCAAGCUACAAGUUCGGGAAACAAGUGGCUAAAAAGCUACGGGAUGUGCAGACUUUAAUCGACGAAGGAGUUUUUGCGGCGGUGGCUACCGAGGUGGUGCCUGAGAGAGCUCCAGAACCUGUAGCAGAUGAAAACCCACUGAGCCAACAAUAGUAGGCUUGCAAUCACAACUUGAACAAGUUUGGAGAUGUCUUGUAGAAGAAUCAGUGGGAAUCAUUGGCCUAUAUGGUAUGGGCGGUGUUGGUAAAACUACACUAUUGACCCAUAUCAACAAUAAAUUUCUUGAGAGUCCAACCAGUUUGAUUGUGUGAUUUGGGCCGUAGUUUCAAAGGACUUGCGACUCGAAAAAAUUCAAGAAGAUAUUGGGAAAAAGAUCGGUUUGGUUGAUGAUUCAUGGAAGAGUAAAAGUGUAGAGGAGAAAGCUCUCGACAUCUUCCGGAGUUUAAGAGAGAAGAGAAUUGUAUUGCUGUUAGAUGAUAUAUGGGAGCGGGUUGAUUUAACAAAAGUGGGCAUUCCACUUUCCGGACAAAAAAAUACUACAUCAAAAGUCGUAUUCACAACCCGUUUCGUCGAUGUUUGUGUAGCAUGGAAGCUGACAAGAAGUUCCAAGUGGCAUGCUUAUCAGAAGAGCAUGCUUGGGAACUGUUUCGAAAAAAAGUUGGGGAAGAAACUCUUGAGAGGGAUCAUGAUAUCGUUGAGCUAGCCCAAACUGUGGCCAAAGAGUGUGGUGGUUUGCCACUCGCACUUAUUACUAUUGGUCGAGCUAUGGCCUUCAAAAAGACAGCCGAGGAGUGGAGUCAUGCAAUUGAUGUGCUAAGAACAUCAGCUUCUGAGUUUGCAGGUUUGGGAGAAAAGGUGUAUCGUCUUUUAAAGUUUAGCUAUGAUAGUUUGCAGAAUGAGACGAUUAGAUCUUGUUUCUUAUAUUGUUGUUUAUAUCCCGAGGAUUAUGGCAUUCUUAAAUGGGACUUGAUUGAUUGUUGGAUUGGUGAGGAUUCUUAGAGGAAUCUGACAGGUUCAGUGCAGAAAACCAAGGAUACUACAUUGUGGGCACUCUUGUUCAUGCAUGUUUAUUAGAAGAGUUAGAAGAAGAUAAAGUAAAAAUGCAUGACGUUGUUCGUGAUAUGGCUCGAUGGAUAGCUUGUGAAAUUGAAAGGAGGAGAGAAAAUUUUUGGUUUGUGCAGGUGCUGGAGUAGGAGCGGUAUCAGAUGUUGAAGGAUGGGAAAAUGUGAGAAGAUUGUCAUUGAUGCAAAACCAAAUUGAAAUUCUGUCAGAGGUUCCCACAUGCCCUCAUCUCCUCACUUUAUUUCUUGACUUUAAUUAUAAAUUGGAGAUGAUGACCGAUGGCUUCUUCCAAUGUAUGCCUUCUCUCAAAGUUUUGAAGAUGUCAAACUGUGGGCAUGUCAAAGUUUUGAAAUUACCUUUUGGGAUGUCAAAGUUGGGUUCACUACAACUUCUUGAUAUUUCACAUACCGGCAUAAGAGAGUUACCAGAAGAGUUAAAGUUGUUGGUAAAUNUUUGCAAACAAUAUCUUGGCCCACGAGUUCUACCAAAAUUAAAAAGCAUCUAUUGGAAUCAGUAGCCCUCUCUACAUGUCAGGCGAAUUUUGUAUCUGAAUGCCCAAUUCUCAAGAAGCUUCCACUUGGUUUUAACAAUGCAAAGGAAUCUAAAACUAUCAUUAGGGGAGAAGAACAUUGGUCGAAUGAGCUGCAAUGGGAGGACAAAGUGACCCUCAAUGUUCUUCUUCCUUGUUUCGGAUCCAUUUGAGGGCAUCAACAUGGAUUGAUAUGAUGCAAUGGGAGGACUUCAUUUUUUGUUUCGGCCAGAAAUGUUUGUUUCGAUCGAAGACUUGAACCAUUUUCAUUGAACUGAUUAUGAUGCUUUACGUUAUGCAUGUUCCUCUUAAUCAAGAAAAGUUGAGGUGAUGAUUUUAUAUUUCUAUAUUGUAAGUUGAAAUAAUAAUUGGUCUGCUUGUUUCUGUAGCUUGAUAACAUGAAUUUUCCUUCUCAAGUUAAUUUAAUCAAUAAAGUAAUUCUUCAAAGAAAAUAUGCCCAUUCUAUAAUCAUUUUCUUAACUAACAUGUUUUUUUUCUUCACUCUUCAGAGCAUGUUGAAACUAAUUGAUCGCUCGGCAGAGACUUUGGGUGAGAAGACAAAAUUUCUUGGUAAAUCCUCUGAAAAGUUAUGCAUAAUUCCGGAGUAUUAAAUAACCAAUGGUCAUAAUUUUGUACAGGACUCUUUUCUUGUGGAGAUGAUUAAAAGUGGCUGAUGAUCCAGUUUGUAUAUCAUAGAGGUAGCAUCAAUUCCUUUUCUUUUCAGUGGCUAGGCAACACUUUCAGGGCAAAGUAAGGAAAUCUAUUUUAGGCAAUGUGAAAACCAAUGGUAGGAUGUAAUAGUUUAACAUGCACUGACAAUAACUUUUUGUAUAAUUGUCAGUUGAACGAAUACAAGAGGAACUCUGUUGACAAUUCAUCCAAGAUAGAUGCUAAAAUUCAUCCAGUUGCCUUAACUAAUUUUUCUUAACACUGGUAUUGAAGAGGAAAAUGAAUAUGCAAUUUGUAUAUUGUGCCAUGUGGAGAAUUUGGAUAUUCUUAUCUAAGUAACAAGGAGAGUAUUUGCCUCAUCUUUAGACAAUGAAUCUUUGAGAAAUUAGGAGUGGGUGAUUGGCAGUGUCUUCAUGUAAAUGUUCAUUUGUUUGUAUUUUGAGCUAUUAUGAGAAUCUUUUAUAUGCCAAAUUAGUAAUGCAAAUGUUCAGAUUAUUUUUUUCUGUUGAUCGUGCAUUUGUGUCUGCUCACAACCAUUGUAUAUCACUUCAUUCUGAUGCGCAAGUCUCUGUAGUUUAGAAGAAAAGAAAUAAUAAUGAUAUAUUAUUGCUUGAUUCAUGAUUAUUAAAUGAUUAUGGCUUUAAAAACCUACAAAUUCCUUCUGUUGAUAUAUGAAUGUACCAAGUUUGCUAUAUCUUAGAUUACCAUUUCCAAGAUAACAAGUUCAAUUUUUUUUCUUUAUCCUUUUCCAUCACAGUUGCAUUUUAAGUGUAAGAUUUGUUAUUAAUACCUGGUUUCUCGUCAUUAUGAUUUCAUAAACAGUGUAUGGGUAUGUGCUCUACUUUUGGAGGGCCUCCACGUGAAAGAAAAUUGCAACAAUUGAAUUCUUCCGGAUGGUAUGGUAUUUAAUUUAUUUUCUCAACCUCUUGUAAGACUAAUAUAUUUUCCUUCAGUAGAUACGGCAUGGUGGGAAGGGUUUUUUAUUGAAAGAAUUGAUAUUUCUUAGACUUUGUUUUGGAAGGGGGUGCAGGGGUUUCUCAUCCAUAUAUGGUUACUUGAUUAGCUUUUGACUGUAUUGCCUCAAACGUGCAAAGGAAGAUCCAAAUACAAAUGAAGGAGAAUUGUUUAGACACCCAGAAGAUGGAAAUGAACUACAGAAGGAAGUUUUUGCUGCUUUAUUUAGUGCUCCUGAGAAAUCUGAUGAAUUUCCUGAAAUUACGGUGAAGACCAAGUGUGAGGUCCAAAGCAUUAGGAAAGGUGGUGAGUGAACUGCCGGAGGAAUUGGUACAGAAUACAAGGCUAAUGUGGUGGACUUGCAGCAAGAUAACCGGAACAGUACGUGCUCUUAUAUUAACUAUAUUGACUGGAUUUGCUAGUGUGUGCAUUUUCGUGUGUAUACUUUUGUAUUUAUGCAUAUUAAUGUGUGUAGGAUUCUUGAUUUCUGCCACUUACUGGAGAACUAAUGGAAAGCUUUAUACUGGUAUAUCUGCAAUUAAUGGAAACUAUGAUAUUAAUAUUAUCUCUCGCUUGGAGAACUGCGUAACAGAUAUACUUUGUGGCUCUGGAAUACUAAAGAUUCUGCAAUAACUAAUGGAAACUAUGAUAUGAAUAUUUUCUCUCACCUGGAGAACUUUGUAACAGUUACACUUUGGGGCUUGGAAUGUCUAAAGAAUUUGUCUGCUUCAGUUAGAUCAAAUAUCUUUUAGUUACAUACAUUAUAGAAAAGAUAAAGUUCUCUGAAUCUGAAAGACUUAAAAUUUUGCAUAUUUCUUGAAAGGGAAUAUCUGUAGAUACUAGUUCAUGCAUUGUGGUAGCAUCAAUGUUAAAGAAAAACAGCAGUAAGUUAUUAUAUAGAAUUAGGUUCACUUGCUUUAAAUCCUGGUCUGGUCAACCAUAUGAACCUGUAAGUGGUUCUGUAGAAAUAUAUUAUACGGGGAGAAGGUAGCUAAAUUUUCCUUUCAUUUAUGGGUUUGGUCAUUUUUUCCCCUUAUUUAUGUUUUCUCACACAUUUUUUAUAUGCCCCAAACAUGCAAUUUUGUAUGUGUCAAUUGCCUUUUAAGUUUUAAAAACCAUAAGUAAGAAUACAGUUUCUUGUCAGGCUAUUGAUGCAUUUGCUCGGGGGGAUCAUGCUCGAGCAGGAAAACUUCUAGAACAGGUAAGGUUUCCAUCUACAGCCAUUUAUUGACAACAUAUAUAUUUUCAUUCAGCAAGCACUGUUAGCAUUCAAGAUGCUGGCAGAUUCACUUGAUUCUUAUUAGUUUGUUUAGUAGCAAAGCAUAUAACCUGUAUUUUAAAGCUAAGUUGUGCUAUUGAUUAUGUUAACUUUAUUGUUCACAUAAAGUGAUAUAGAGGAAAUAAUCAAUGUAGGAAAAUUAGGUGAAGAGAUGAUGUCAAAUCUUGAACCUCUUACAAAACUCCAAGUUCUUUACUGGAAGAAACUACCAAAUUCGAACAGCAUCUACUGGAAGGCCUUGCCAUUCCCUGAUGUAUGCAGAAUUUUUGUAUUUAAAUGCCCAGAGCUUAAGAAGCUGCCACUGGAUCUUGAAAGGGCAGGCCAAGGUAAAAUUCUUAUCAAGGGAAAGAAAGAUGGGUGGAAACAACUUCAAUGGGAGGAUCAAGUAACUCAGAAUGCAUUGCUUCCAUUUUUAAAAUCAACUCAGAAGUGAUUGAAGGGGGCGUCAUCAACAUGGAUGGAGAGAUUCUGGAGCAGAUCAGCGGGGUUUAGUACGACCUGUGGUGGUUUCUUUGUUGUGACUUUUUUCCCUUUCAUUUUUUUCACUUCCUGUCAUAUUAUCAUUUCUUUGUCUCUGUUUCUAUUGCUGGUGUUGCUGCAUGCUUGCCGUCCUUGACAAAGUUAGCUAGUUUUUUUUUUUGUUUAUUAAAUUUUGUAUGUUCGGUCGGGACAGUCACACAGUACUACUUGUUCUAUAUGGGGGUGAUGUGAAUCAACUUUUCAAUUAUAUAUUCUGUGGUAAUUGUGAAUUCAAUUUCAUUUGUCUCCUGCAAAUUAUGAAGAAAGUGCAGGGUAGAAUGUGGAACUUUUCACUGGCAAAUACUUUGUAAAAGCUUCGGAGUGAAACAGGAAAUGCACUUGCAACUAAGGACAAAUUGGUGGCCAGCUAAUGCAUUCAUUUUAUGUACAUUCAUCAUUUUAAUUAUUAAAGAUAAGUGGUUCGUUGCUUUUGUUGUAGAUAAAAUUCAGACGACCUCAAUUGUGAGAUGACAAUAUUUAAAAUAUCUCUUAAAUUAUUAUAAAUUUAAUUUAUCUUAAUUUUAUUUAAAAGAUAAAAGAAAAAUGUGGUAUAUGGAUAAAAAAAUUUUAUCUUAAUAAAAUGAAAUAAAUUAAAUUACAAUAAUUUAAAAUAUUUAAAAAUAUUAUUUGAUAAGAAUUAAUAUGAAAUUAAUCGUUUUUACUUUUUGAACGUGAAAGGACAAGAAAAAAGAAAGCAAGUGUCACUGCUUUUUAUUUUAUUUGAAAUUGGAGUUAUCCCAUAUACUUUACUACUUUAGCUCUAAGAUUACAAUGUUUUUAGGCAACACUUUUAUUUUUCUCUUUCCCCCUUUUUUUGUACAUGCAUGUGGAUUAUUUUUCUCUAAGCUCCUUAAUAUUUAAGACAAAUCAUAAAAGCGAUUGAAGUAUAACAGAUGAUCAAAUAUUUAACUAAAAAAAGAAAAAGAAAUAAAACACUGAAAAUGGAGACGUUGAUUAAUUUAGAAGAGAUCCAAGCAAAAGAUAUUCCCAAAAAGAAAAAAAAGAAGAAGCAAUGUAUCCCUUUAGAGGGCAAACUUAUUAGUUUUAAAAAAGUACACGCUUUGGAUUGAUGGUUGCAGGAUAUUUGUUUUUUGACACCUAUAUUAGUUGGAAAAGUCGACCGUAGUGGAGAAUGUUAUGAAAGAGAGCAAAGGAUAUUUUUAACAGUGCUCUAUUUGAUUAUACGCAUUCAUUGAAUGGAAGAUAUAUGACUGCGUUAGUUCAUCCAUGUCUGUCAAUUUCGUUUUUUAUGGUUUUUUUUUCCAGUUGUUUGUUGUAAUAGAUUGAUUGUAAAUUGAUAUUAACUUGAUGUUGUAAUAUGUUCGCUUUUGUGGAAUUAAAUUUGAAUAUUCAAGAUUAUUCAAGUCUUAUCUAGUAUGUUUUCAAUUGUGUUGUCGAUAAUUUUGCAUUCGAAUAAGUUUCACCUAAAAUAUUAGCAUGAGUAGUAGUCCUUGAGACUUUGGUCAAAAUUAUUGUUAUUGUUUGUUUUAGAGGAAAUUUUUUUAUUAAAGCCUCGUUAACACUAUUACUUAUUAAGAUUAUAAGUUAGUGUCGGUGCAGGAUUUGCAGCAACAAAUCUUGUCUAGCCACGUGUCAAAAGUAUAAAUAAAUCAAGGGAAAGCACAUGACAUGUUGAGCUGGCAAAACGGGUCAUCGAGUCAUGUUCGUGUCGUGUCAAAUUUAGGUCGACCCAAACCCGACCCAUUUAAUAAUCGUGUCAAAAUAUUGAGACCCAAACCUGACACGAAAAAUAAUCGGGUUACCCAAUAACCCGCUUAAUAUCUAUAUAUUAAACAAAAGUUACAUCAAAUAUUUACACUUUGUCAUACAUAUGUAUGCACAUACAUACAUACAUACAUACAUACAUACAUACAUACAUACAUACUUUAUCACUAUUAUAAAAUAUACAUAUCUACUAAAAUAUUACACACACUAUUAAGGUUUUAAUUAUAUAUAUGUAAAUAAUAUUGUAUAUCAAUAUUAUAAAUAUACAUGUCUACCAAUAUUUUAUACAUUUAAACUAUUAAAGCUCUAAAUGUAUUUAAAAUUUUAUAAAUAAAAUAUUGUGUCUAUAUUCAUCCUUUUAAAGAAAAAAAUUAUCUCUAAUAUUUGAGUUUUGAUGACAAGAAUCUGUAAAUUAUUUUAAAAUAAAAAAUAUAAUCGGGUCAUUAAUCGGGUAAAUGGGUCAAGAAUUUUAACCCUAACCCGACACGGAAAAAAAUCGUGUUGACCCGGACCCGACCCAUUUAAUAAUCAUGUUAAAUUCGACGACCCAUACCCAUUUGUUAGUGUUGUGUUCGUGUCGGAUAAUCGGGUCGUGUCAAAUUUUGCCAACUAUAAUGACAUGGAUUAGGAUCCAAUAAAAAGGAAAAGGAUAACUGUAUCCUAAAGUUUCAAUAAGAGAUACUAAGAUAUCUUUUGACUAAUGUUAUUUUUUGACUUUAUUAAUAAAGAUCAUAGUUUUUAUUAACAAAUAAAAAUUAGUAUUAAGCUAAAUGUGAUAAUUUACACAUUUUUACAUAAUUACAAUAAAAAAUAUAUUUUAAUGUUUUUACAUCUAUCAGACAUAUUUUUAUUAAAUUAAUAAGAUUUUCUUACAAAUAGCAACAUAAUAUUAAAAUAAAUUUAUAAAGAUUUAAUGUUAAAAUUAUUUUAGUAUAAUUAAUACGUGGGAUAUAUUUUGUAAAUUAUAAAAUUACUUUAACCCAAUGAUUUUUAAAAUCUUAAAAUAAUAAAAAUAAAUUAUUCACAUUUUGAUGUAAAUAUUUAAACAUUUUUAUACAUUUGUCCACAAUUAUUUAUGUUAUAUUUGUAUUUAUUAGAAAUUUUUGAAAGUCAAAUGUUUUUCACCUCUAUCUUAUUAGAAUUAUUGCACACAGAGAAAGAGCCAUAUAUGCUUUUAUAGCUUUAAAAUCGGUUUGUUUUAUAGCUGGGAACAGAGAUGAUCAUUUAUUAUAAGGAUUAAAAAAAGAUAAGAAUAUUAAUGAUUAACGAAUCUUUAUGGAAAUUGAAUUUAGUAAGAAAAAAAAUGAGCUGAUUUUAGUGGCUAUAGUAAUAUUUUAUAUAGAGAAAAAGUAAAAGUUUGCACCCCGAAUGUCAAAACUCUUUUUUAAUUAUAAUAUUAUUUUUCCUAGAUAACUUAAAAUUUGACUCUAAUAUUUAUAAUAAAUAAAAACAUAUAAUCCUAAAAUAAUUAAAAUAAUAUAUAUUUUAAAAUAAUCUCAAUAUUUAAAUAUAUUUUAACAUUUUAUAGUCUAUCAGAUAUUUAUUUUAUUUUUUAAAGUAAAUUUUAUAAUAAAUACAAACAUACUAUUAAAAUAGAUAAUAAAUUUUUAAAGUUAUUUUGAAUAUUAUAUAAAAUAACUUAAUAUUGUUAAUGCGUGAGAUGCAUUUUAUUAAUUAAAAAUUCUAUUUACCCAAAGAUUUAUUUAUAAUAAAUUAAUAAUCAUAUUUUUAAAAUUAUUUUAAAUAUUAAAAAUAUUUUAAUAUUACUAACUAUUAGACAGACUAAACUAUUUAUAUUAUUUUCUAUUUAUUAUAAAUUUCAAAGUUAAUCUUUUUUAACUAGUAUUCAAAAGAUAUUAUGAUCAAAACAGAAUUUUUGUGUUUUUAUGAAAAAUUUAGAGUUUACAUCUAUUUUUUCAAAUAUUCGGGGUGUAAAUGUUUUUCCCCUUUUAUAUAUACGAACCGGUGGUGAGAAAGCAUGAUUUACGUUAUUUAUUUAAAUAAAAUCUCAGUUAAAAAUGUAAAGAGAAGAAAUUUCUGUUGGUAUUUUAGUCUUUUACCAAUUAUCAUGAUUAGGCCUUGGCCUUGAAACAUUAAUUGUUUCACUUUUAGCGCUAGUGUCGUUGAAAGUUGUCAAGAAAAAGCAAGACCAUAUUCCACAAAAGCAAAAGUAACGUAGGCUCUUUUAUAAAAGGCAAAGAAAGUAUAAAGUAGUCAAGAAUCGAAUAUCCUGUCGUCUACUCUUUUUUAAAUUCUUCUUUUAUUAUCUUUUAGAAUAGUUUUUGGUAAUUACAAUCAUUAUUCAGAGUUAUUGUUAUCUUCCGGGGCAGUCUCUGUUCAUCGAAGUCGUUACCUUUUUUUUAUGGAUCAGUUCCAGUGCUAAGCAGUAAUUUUCUUAGAACUCGGAUCUUUUAAUUCGAGUUUAUGUGUGAAUUAAUAAUAAAAAAUUUUCAUUACACGCAAUUUAAGCUACGAAUUACUUUUUGCAAAGUUGAAUAUGAAAUUGGAGAAAUUAAGUAAUUUAGAAUGUUGGUAAAAUUGACAAACAUAUCUCUAAUUACAGUAAAAACCUCUCUAUAGUCAUAACAUUAUAACAAAAUUAAUUUUAUUACUAUGUUGAGGUAAUAUAGGUUUAGUUACAAAAUUAUUGUUUUAAUAUGGUUAGUGUCAAGUGAUAUAAAGGUUAAAUAUGCAGUACAAUGAUAAUUAAAUAAUGAAGCGUGUCAAUUCUAAUGUAUAUAUAUUAAUGAUAUAGAUAGACAUAGUUUCAAAAAACUAAUUAAUGUAUAUUUAUGUAGUGUUAUGAAUAUGGAAAGUCAAGCCUACACUUUACUUAUCCUUAGUUUUUUCUCUUAGUUAAAUUCUACAAAUAUUGUACAAUGAUUGGGCAAGAACUCUAAAUUAAGAAUAAAUUAUUGUCACAAAUAAUUUACAAAAUAUUUUAUUUCGUCUUAAACCUUUAAUAUAAGUAAACAUAUAUAUUAUAUAUAUAUAUAUAUAUAUACCAGAAGGAAAUAGGAUCGAAGGAUGGGUGUGUAUUGAAGAUGCUUCUUAUUGAUUGCUUUAAUGAAAUAAUUGGAUCGCGGUUGUUCAGAUUUUUAUAUAAGAUUACCAGCUUUAGAUUAAGUAGAUUUGUUUUAGAGCAUACAAUGAUCAAACAAAUUUGAACGCGGUUGGUCAAAUUUUUUAGAAUAUUUAAAGUACGUGGCGUUGUUAGACCAGAUCGAUCGCAGAAGUUAAUCUGCCUUUGGACCCAGAUCUGACUUAGAACAGAUCAAUAGUCCGCACGUUCGGGUUUCCAGCCUAUAUACUUUAAUAUAUUUACCAGAUAAAAUUAAGUUGCUUUAAACGUGGUUGUUUCUUUUUAUUGGGCUAAUUCCAGAUUUAAAUUAGAUUCUUUAAGGGGCUUGGGUACAUACACAGUACCAGAUCCGGAUCCCGGAAAUGGUGCUCUGAAGGAAUGGAGGAAGAAGAGAAGAUUUACAACUGAGGAUCGAGAUCCGGUCUCUUUGCCUCAGAGGAACGUACAAAUUUUAUGGCAGAUCUGAUAAAGACCAGUCUGCUUUGCAUGCUUUGAAAAGAAAAUUGCUUUAAAAAUAAAUUGCUUUAAUGUAAAUAUGCAUGAAAUUAAAUUGCAGAAAAGUAAAUUGCGAAAAUUUAAAUUACAUCGAAAUUAAAUAACUGAAAUUUAAACAUACAUCUUUGCUUUGAUAGUCUUGGUCUUUACAAUUUUCAAAUCUUUCCUGAAGGGAAGAUUGAAAGACGGGAAGAUUACAAGACAGGAAUGGUUUCCUUGAUGUCUUGAUCCAGACUUCCCAAGAGAGAGAGAGAGAGAGAGAGAGAUCUAGAGAGAAGGAGGAGAAGAAGAGAAAAAUGAAAAACCUGAGGAGUCUGAGUCUUCCUCUUGGUUUAUAUACAAAAUUUUGUAAACUGUUCACUGUAGCGGAGCUUUGAGUGCACAGUAAUCUUUGGAAUUUUGCACUGUUCACUGUAGCGGAGUUUUGAGUGCACAGUAAUCUUUGGAUCGUAGCUUUGAAUAGUAGGCUGACCGUAGCUUUGAACAGUAGACUACUUUGUACAAAAAUUGAAAUACAUAAUGAAAUACAACACGGGUGAAGAGACAUGUGCGCUCUCACUUGUGUCCAAGGGACCACCCGAGAGAAAAUUACUCUUUUCUUUUUUUUUUUUUUUUUUUUUUUUUUUUUAAGUAAAUAACCAAAUAAUUAUUUACAAUGCUUUAUAGGAGAAAAAAUGCCGAAACAAUCAUCUUCAUUUUCGUCUCCAAGAGAAAUGAAGGGCUCUUCAUCUUCAUCAUCGUCUUCGUCUUCAGAGGUGUCAGCUACUGAUGACUUUGAACGGGAGGCGAGGAGCUGUUCCAUUGCUUUGAAGUAUUCCUCUUCUGUCUUGGCACUUGCCAAAAGAGACUGGGCUUUGGAUUUUUGGGUUAAGAAGGUCUGUUGGGCUUUAGAGGCUUCUAGGGUUGGUUGGAGAAGGUUUUUAGAGGAGAGCCAAUCUUUGAUCAUGUUAACAGUCAGUUUGGACUGUUCAUCAAAUUUUGACCACCAUUUGACUUUAAAGGUUCUUUGAAGGAUGACUUGGGAAUCUUGAGUAUGAAAACGGAGGUUCCACAUCCAGACCCAUGGUAGGAAGAAGUUUGUACAAAAACAGAGAAAGGGGGGAAAUCUUUUCUCUGAGUCAGAGGGCAUAUAGUGGGCUUUAAAGAGGUUUAGGCAAUUUAUGGCAUUUGGAGUGAGGAUUUGAGGUAUUGGGCCAAAGAAAUUCCACCAAUGAUGGAACCAGUUUGGAAGGCUUUGGACGGUUAUUUUAGGGUUAAAGAAAAAUAACCAAGAAUGGGAUUUUUUAGGGUUUUGAAUAAAAAAGGUGUUAUACCAUGCUUGUUGGUAAUCCCAGUAGGAGAAAGUCCGACAAUGUGGUAAACGGGUUUCAAAGUUUAAAGGAAAGGUUUUGAAAUUGUGGAGUAGGUCGCCCCACUGGUUCGGGCUCAAAACUUUUAGAAUCGUGGCCGUGGAAUAGGCCGGUUCAGAAUGGGUUUUAUCAAGAAAGAAAUGUUUGAAUUUAACUGAUUCAGUUAUUUCUAAAAUGCUUUGAUAAUAAGACUGGGGUUUUGUCAAAUCCCAUGGUUUGAAAAACCAGCCUUUGGGAAAAAACUUUGAAAUGCUUUGAAAAGGAUCAGUAUGGUAAAAUCCAUCUUCCAUAGAAAGAAUAUUUUGAAAAUGGGUUUUAUCAAACCAAUCGGAGGUUUUCUUUGAAGGUGUUGGCUGAGAAAGCACAAUUUGGGAAGAUGAGCUUUCGGCAGAGACAACAACAUUUUGAGAGGAGGGUUUUGUAAUUUCUUUAGAUGUGGAUAUGCUCUUAAUUUCUUUUUGAGGAGAAUUUUGGCUCUGGGAAAGGUUUUGUAGAGCGAGCAUGAGCUCGGGAGAUUUUGUAAUGGAACUCAUCCAAUGCUUUACUUGAUCAUCAGAAGAGAUGGGUUUGUAUUGGGCUUCAUGUUCUUCAACCAAUUCAAUCCAUGAUUUGAUGGGUAGGGCAGAAGAAAGUAAUUUUUCUUUAGAAGGGGUUGACUGGGGUUCUUUGGAAGGUUCUUGAGAUCCGGAACUUUUGAGAACAGCUUUACCUUUGUCUUUCUUUAGCGGCAUUAUCUGUUUUGAAGAAAUUCUCUGGUUAGAAAAUCAGGAACAGAAUUUUUAUCACCUUUAAUGAAUUCUAUAUCAAAAUCAAAAACACUCAAAAUAGCUUGCCAACGUGCAAAAAUUUGUUUUGAUGCAAUGUUUUGAACAUCCUUUUCUAAAACAUGUUUUGCAGCUUUGCAAUCAAUUCUAAGUAAAAAUUUUUGAUUUAAUAAAUCACUUUGAAAUUUUGUAAUGCAUAAAACAAUGGAAAGAAUUUCUUUUUUAAUAGUAGAAUAAUUUUUCUGACAAUCAUUCCAAUGUGCAGAAACAUAUUGUACUAUCUGUUCUCUAUCAUUUUCUUUUUGUUUUAAUAUACCUCCAUAUCCUAAAUCAGAUGCAUCAGUUUCAACAAUUUUAGGGAAUGCAGGAUUUGCAAGAUAUAGACAUGGGAUGCUUUUAACAGAACUCUUUAUUAAUUUAACAGCUUUAGUAUGUUCAUCUGUCCAUGGAGCAGGUUUUUUCUUUAAACGAUCAUGCAAAGGUUUAGACAACCUAUUGAUAUUGGGACAGAAAUCAAGAACAUAAUUUAGGCUACCAAGAAAUCUUUGUAAUUGAGUUUUGUCAAGGAUUUUAUCAGGGAAUUUAUCAGCAAAUAAAAGUGAUCUUUCAAUAGGGGUGAUUGUUCCUUUUGAAAUAUAGUGACCAAGAAAUCUGAUUUUCGUUUGAAAUAAUGAAAUCUUUGAACUAGAAAGGGCUAGUCCAGCCUUUUUUGUAGCAAAAUAAAAAGUCUUUAAAUGUUUGAAAUGUUGAUCGAUUGAAUUUGAAAAUAUCAAAACAUCAUCAAUAUAAACAAUGCAAAAAUCAGAAUAAGGAUUAUAAAUAUCAUUCAUAAUUCUUUGAAAUUCUGAGGGUGCAUUCUUUAAACCAAAGGGCAUAACAGUCCAUUCGUAUUGUCCAAAUGGAACAGUGAAAGCGGUUUUGUAACGGUCAUUUGGAUGAAUUUGAAUUUGCCAAAAACCCGAUUUCAUGUCGAAUUUUGAAAAAAAUAAAGGCAGAACAGAGUUUUUGGAGUAAAUCUUUUUUAUUAGGUAUAGGAUACCUAAUCCAUUUUAAAGCUUUAUUCAAAGGUUUGUAGUUUAUAACUAGUCUUGGAGUGCCUCUUUCAAUUUCGGAGUUUUUGUUAACAUAAAAAGCAGCACAAGACCAAGGAGACCUGGAUUUUACAAUGAGUCCUUUAGACUCCAAGUCUUUGAUUUCAUUUUUACAAUGUUUUUCUAAAUCCAUAUUCAUUUGAAUUGGACGAGCUUUGGUCGGAAUCUGUUUUUCAUCAAAAGAAUUUUCAUAAGGCAGGUCUACUAAAUGUUGUUUUCUAUUCCAAAAAGCAGAAGGUAGAUCAGCACAAAUUUCUUUUUCAAUAAGAGUUUUGAAAUCAGAAAUUUUUCUUUUAAUGAAAUCACUUUGUAAUUGGCUUUCAACUCUUUGUAAGUUCAAAUCUUUUUGUAAAAACAUUAGAUCACACUGUUUUGAUUUAAGUAAAUUGUUUAUUCUAUUUUGAUAAAUAGAACAGGCUUUAACAAUAUUUAAAUUUCUUGUUUUAGGUUUUUCAAUAAAAGGGAAAACAAGUUUCUUGUUUUUUGCUUUGAAAGAUAUACUAUCAUAAUUGACAGUAUACGGAGUUAUGAGAUUUAUAAAAGGAGUUCCCAAAAUAAUGGCAUGAUGAAUAUCAUUUGUGAGAACAAAGGAAGUUUUAAAAUCAAAACCAUCAUUAUAGAUCGAGGCUUCAACCUUGGAACUGACAUUCAAUUUUGAAUUAUUGGCGGCAGAAAGCCUUUCUUUUGUUUUUUCAUGAAAUCUUUUGGGGACGAUAUCUUCUCUAAUGCAAUUUAAAUCGGCGCCAGUAUCAAAAAGGGCAAUGGCGUCCAUCGCAAAAUCAUCAGAAAAGAUUAGAGUGACUUUAAUCAAAUACUUUCUUGUGGUGAUUUGUUUUAGAACAAAUAGAAAAUCAUUGGGUACAGACUCAAUAUUUUCUACUUUAAUAUCAUCACCAUCAAUAUCAGGACUGGAUUCAUUGUCUGAAUUAUCCUGUAAUUGCUUUUGUAAAAGAAGUUGAAUAAUAUCAGAAUCACUUUUUUGUUUUUCUUUUAAAUCUCUGAUUUCACUUUUGAUUUCUUUUAUCUCUUUCUGAAGAUCUUGGAUAUUAGGAAUCAUCUUUUUUGUUUUCUUCUUAUCCAAAAUUUGAGUAAGAUCAUAAGAAUUCUUUUUAAUAAUUGGGACUCUAGAAGUCUCGGCUUUAUUAAAAUCCAAUGUUUUCAAAAGUUUAUCAAGGUAUUCCUUUUGAAGAUUUGGAUCAGAAAUAUGCUUUACAAGUUCAAGAAAAGUUUCUUGGUCUUUAGUCAAAACAUUGAUUUUCUUUAAAAAUGAAUCAGAUUCAGAAUCACUACUGCUAGAUGCAGAGUCAUCUGAGUCAAAAAGCUCAUCAACUUGGUAAGGGUCACUGUCUCCCGACAUGGAAGACUCAGAAUCAGAAGAUUCGACAAGAAGAGGGGCUAUUUUAGAAAGGAUGUCCUCAUUGAGGUCAAGUUCUUGGAGUCUUUUGUUCAUUCUGCAAAAUUUUGCAGUAUGACCUUUCAUACCACAUUUGAAACAUGUGGCCUCCUUGAAGUUGAAUGGGGUAUUAGGUUUGGCUUUGAAAUCUUUCUUUUUAGAGAAACUAUGUCUCUUAUAAGGCUUCGAAGGUUUCUUAUAAGGAAGUUUUCUAAAAUCACGGAAGGGUUUUCUAAAAUGUUUAGAUUUGUAAUGUUUCUUACGAGGUUUUGUAGAACACUCUCCAUUACAAUCUUUGGAAGUUUUAAAGGGGUCAUAAUUGAAUUGCUUACAGAAACCGCCUAAUUCCUGUUUAGACUUCUUAAGCUCCCACUUAAGACGUUUCUGUAAUUUCAAAUCUUGACAAAUCUUUAAACCUUCUUUGUUGACAAAACUGACUAGUUCACCAUAGGUGAGCUCGUCAUAAGGAAUACGGUUAUCGUAAAGGGCUUUGAUGGAAUUUCUUACCUUUUCACCUAAAAGGGUAGGUAAUCCAGCAAGAAAUUUUUCUUUCCAAGUAAUAUGAUUUGCAUCAUCCCUUAGAAAUAGUCUGGUAAGGAAAGAGGUUUUGUAACUCUGAAAUUCACUAAGUUUUCUACAUCUCAAAUUAUGUAGUAACUCAGCGUUUUUAUCACGAAGGUGAGAAGGGUCACCGAUGAAAUGGAGGGAAAUGGUUAGAAUAAGAGUAGCAACAGCAUCCUGGAUAGGGUUGUUGAACUCAUCAAGAAUAGAGGCUCCAUUUUCAUCUUUUUGGACGGAAUUUAGAAUGUCAAAUUGUUGCUGAUUAGUGAGAAGAUGAUCCCACCAACCUUUUAGUUGACCAGUAAAACCAGCAAUUAGGAUUUCCGAUAUGGCACGAUCAGAAGUUCCUGCUUGGGUUUUAUAAGCAUUAGCUGCCAUUGUCAUUUGUUGCAACAAUCCAAGGAUAUUGUACUCAGACAUGCCGUCAAUAUUCCACUCAUAGACUGAAGAUGCAUUAUAACGGGAUUGAUUUAAUGCACUAGGUCUAUUAUCUAUUGCUAGAUCUGGUGGGGUCUUGACAGUGGGAAGGGCUAAUUCCCAGUGGAUUUUGUUGGCUUUAGGAGUAGAAGGUUCUUCUUUGAAAGCUUCUAAGUCAGAAGAGGCUAUAGAACUCUGGUCAUCUAGAUCCAAUACUCCAAUCUUGCUAGAUUGGGGGGUAUCGGGGGCUAUCUGGAGUUUGCUAGACGAGGAAGAAGCAGCUUCUAUCCUCUCUAGUUGUUCUCUAAUGGCUUUAGCAAAAUCUGAUUUUGACUCUUGAACAAGCCUUUGGCUAGUUUUCGAAACCUGAAAAGGUUUGAAAAUAGGUUCCUUAAGCUUUUUGUCAGAAUCCGAUUUUGAAGGAAUAGACAUAGGAAUAGGAGAAACAGAUAUAGGAGAUUUUUGAAAUUGGUUUUCUAUACGAGCCAAUUGCUUUCCAAUUGUAUUUAAGUUAGUAUUACAGAAAUUAUUCUGUUGUAUAAUACUACUUAAAUUCGCAUCAGAAUCAUUUGGUCUUGGGAUUUUGUAAGGGGAUGCUUUAAUCUCAAUAGGAGGUUCACCAUGAUCUAUGGUUAUACUCCUAAGAGGUGGAUGAUCAGACUCUAUAAUCCUAUCAUUAUCAGAAAGUUUCCAUUCAGGAAUUUUCUUUCUAAUAGUUAUAGGGUUUGACUCUUUAAAAGGAUAAUCAAUAUUGUUCUCAGAAGAAUAUAUUUCGAACCAAUCAAAAAACAAUAUAUGAACUUUAUGAAAAUUCACAAAUUCAUAAUAAGUUUGUUGGAUUUCUUUUCUUUGGUUUAAAAAAUGUUUAAAAAACCAAGUUCUUUUUUCUUUAUUUAUUUCUGAAUAAAAAUCGUUAUGCAGAAAGGCUUUAUCUAAUUCAAAUUCUUUUUCAAUGACAUUAAUGACAUUUUCUGUGACAGCAGAAAACGUAGGAGAUGUUGGAGGAGAAGGUUCCUUCUCUUCCUGUCUUUGCACAUGUUGACUACUAGUGUAUAUAGGAUGAGGAACACUUGUGGCAUAGUCAACGGAACGGAUGGAGGAGCUAGGUAUAUCCGAAGUGGAAAACCUAGGUUGGCUCUGAUAUGGGAGAUUUAUAACAGAAGGUACUUUUGUAAACUUCCUUUCUAGUGAAGGAAUGCUUGGGCUCGAUUCUUUUUCAGAAAAUCUAUGUGAGGUAGACCUUCUGAAUGAUAGUUUGACUUUACCAUCGGAAUACUGGGUCACAUUUUGUAACUCUGUAUUUGGCUCAAGUUGUUUCGGAAUCGCCGGUGGGGCGGCUCCUUCGAGGAUCCAUUCAUCUGGAAGAUGGAUAUCUUUCCAUUGGAUCGAUUUUGGAAUGACCAUGUUGGCUUUAGACAAAUCAGUCUGCAAGAGAAGGGUCUCAUCUCUCUUCGACUGGUAUUUAUGCUGUGUGCUAAAUGCAGAAAUCAUGGCUUUAUAGGAAAUUUUAAAAAUUAAUGCAACUGGGAUGGAUCCCUUAAUCAUGUGAUAAUUAUGGGUUUGGAUUUGUAAAAUCAUGCUCUUUAAAAUAUUUUUGUCUUUAAGAGAAAUUGUUAUAUUGUUAAAGCAGUGCCAAGGGGAGGUUUUUGGCACUCCCCUUUUGGCUUAAGGCGCUUACCACUCGCCCUAAAAGCUUAAGCUGUUAGGGGAAGGCGCUACUUUAUACUUAAGCGCCACCCGGACCAAACCAGGUAACGUCUCCACGUUAUGCCACGACAUCGUGACCCCAUCUCGGCCCCACAAGCGCGGGGUAGGUGUAUAGGAGUCACCACAAGGGUGCGGGCCCCAGUUCCAGUACUGGGAUAAUAUAUUAAGCCCAUUCCUCCCCCCCGAGUUUCGAACCCUGGCUGGCUCUGAUACCAACUUAAGGCGCUUACCACUCGCCCUAAAAGCUUAAGCUGUUAGGGGAAGGCGCUACUUUAUACUUAAGCGCCACCCGGACCAAACCAGGUAACGUCUCCACGUUAUGCCACGACAUCGUGACCCCUUCAGAUUUUAUAUAAGAUUACCAGCUUUAGAUUAAGUAGAUUUGUUUUAGAGCAUACAAUGAUCAAACAAAUUUGAACGCGGUUGGUCAAAUUUUUAGAAUAUUUAAAGUACGUGGCGUUGUUAGACCAGAUCGAUCGCAGAAGUUAAUCUGCCUUUGGACCCAGAUCUGACUUAGAACAGAUCAAUAGUCCGCACGUUCGGGUUUCCAGCCUAUAUACUUUAAUAUAUUUACCAGAUAAAAUUAAGUUGCUUUAAACGUGGUUGUUUCUUUUUAUUGGGCUAAUUCCAGAUUUAAAUUAGAUUCUUUAAGGGGCUUGGGUACAUACACAGUACCAGAUCCGGAUCCCGGAAAUGGUGCUCUGAAGGAAUGGAGGAAGAAGAGAAGAUUUACAACUGAGGAUCGAGAUCCGGUCUCUUUGCCUCAGAGGAACGUACAAAUUUUAUGGCAGAUCUGAUAAAGACCAGUCUGCUUUGCAUGCUUUGAAAAGAAAAUUGCUUUAAAAAUAAAUUGCUUUAAUGUAAAUAUGCAUGAAAUUAAAUUGCAGAAAAGUAAAUUGCGAAAAUUUAAAUUACAUCGAAAUUAAAUAACUGAAAUUUAAACAUACAUCUUUGCUUUGAUAGUCUUGGUCUUUACAAUUUUCAAAUCUUUCCUGAAGGGAAGAUUGAAAGACGGGAAGAUUACAAGACAGGAAUGGUUUCCUUGAUGUCUUGAUCCAGACUUCCCAAGAGAGAGAGAGAGAGAGAGAGAGAUCUAGAGAGAAGGAGGAGAAGAAGAGAAAAAUGAAAAACCUGAGGAGUCUGAGUCUUCCUCUUGGUUUAUAUACAAAAUUUUGUAAACUGUUCACUGUAGCGGAGCUUUGAGUGCACAGUAAUCUUUGGAAUUUUGCACUGUUCACUGUAGCGGAGUUUUGAGUGCACAGUAAUCUUUGGAUCGUAGCUUUGAAUAGUAGGCUGACCGUAGCUUUGAACAGUAGACUACUUUGUACAAAAAUUGAAAUACAUAAUGAAAUACAACACGGGUGAAGAGACAUGUGCGCUCUCACUUGUGUCCAAGGGACCACCCGAGAGAAAAUUACUCUUUUCUUUUUUUUUUUUUUUUUUUUUUUUUUUUUUUAAAGUAAAUAACCAAAUAAUUAUUUACAAUGCUUUAUAGGAGAAAAAAUGCCGAAACAAUCAUCUUCAUUUUCGUCUCCAAGAGAAAUGAAGGGCUCUUCAUCUUCAUCAUCGUCUUCGUCUUCAGAGGUGUCAGCUACUGAUGACUUUGAACGGGAGGCGAGGAGCUGUUCCAUUGCUUUGAAGUAUUCCUCUUCUGUCUUGGCACUUGCCAAAAGAGACUGGGCUUUGGAUUUUUGGGUUAAGAAGGUCUGUUGGGCUUUAGAGGCUUUUAGGGUUGGUUGGAGAAGGUUUUUAGAGGAGAGCCAAUCUUUGAUCAUGUUAACAGUCAGUUUGGACUGUUCAUCAAAUUUUGACCACCAUUUGACUUUAAAGGUUCUUUGAAGGAUGACUUGGGAAUCUUGAGUAUGAAAACGGAGGUUCCACAUCCAGACCCAUGGUAGGAAGAAGUUUGUACAAAAACAGAGAAAGGGGGGAAAUCUUUUCUCUGAGUCAGAGGGCAUAUAGUGGGCUUUAAAGAGGUUUAGGCAAUUUAUGGCAUUUGGAGUGAGGAUUUGAGGUAUUGGGCCAAAGAAAUUCCACCAAUGAUGGAACCAGUUUGGAAGGCUUUGGACGGUUAUUUUAGGGUUAAAGAAAAAUAACCAAGAAUGGGAUUUUUUAGGGUUUUGAAUAAAAAAGGUGUUAUACCAUGCUUGUUGGUAAUCCCAGUAGGAGAAAGUCCGACAAUGUGGUAAACGGGUUUCAAAGUUUAAAGGAAAGGUUUUGAAAUUGUGGAGUAGGUCGCCCCACUGGUUCGGGCUCAAAACUUUUAGAAUCGUGGCCGUGGAAUAGGCCGGUUCAGAAUGGGUUUUAUCAAGAAAGAAAUGUUUGAAUUUAACUGAUUCAGUUAUUUCUAAAAUGCUUUGAUAAUAAGACUGGGGUUUUGUCAAAUCCCAUGGUUUGAAAAACCAGCCUUUGGGAAAAAACUUUGAAAUGCUUUGAAAAGGAUCAGUAUGGUAAAAUCCAUCUUCCAUAGAAAGAAUAUUUUGAAAAUGGGUUUUAUCAAACCAAUCGGAGGUUUUCUUUGAAGGUGUUGGCUGAGAAAGCACAAUUUGGGAAGAUGAGCUUUCGGCAGAGACAACAACAUUUUGAGAGGAGGGUUUUGUAAUUUCUUUAGAUGUGGAUAUGCUCUUAAUUUCUUUUUGAGGAGAAUUUUGGCUCUGGGAAAGGUUUUGUAGAGCGAGCAUGAGCUCGGGAGAUUUUGUAAUGGAACUCAUCCAAUGCUUUACUUGAUCAUCAGAAGAGAUGGGUUUGUAUUGGGCUUCAUGUUCUUCAACCAAUUCAAUCCAUGAUUUGAUGGGUAGGGCAGAAGAAAGUAAUUUUUCUUUAGAAGGGGUUGACUGGGGUUCUUUGGAAGGUUCUUGAGAUCCGGAACUUUUGAGAACAGCUUUACCUUUGUCUUUCUUUAGCGGCAUUAUCUGUUUUGAAGAAAUUCUCUGGUUAGAAAAUCAGGAACAGAAUUUUAUCACCUUUAAUGAAUUCUAUAUCAAAAUAAAAAACACUCAAAAUAGCUUGCCAACGUGCAAAAAUUUGUUUUGAUGCAAUGUUUUGAACAUCCUUUUCUAAAACAUGUUUUGCAGCUUUGCAAUCAAUUCUAAGUAAAAAUUUUUGAUUUAAUAAAUCACUUUGAAAUUUUGUAAUGCAUAAAACAAUGGAAAGAAUUUCUUUUUUAAUAGUAGAAUAAUUUUUCUGACAAUCAUUCCAAUGUGCAGAAACAUAUUGUACUAUCUGUUCUCUAUCAUUUUCUUUUUGUUUUAAUAUACCUCCAUAUCCUAAAUCAGAUGCAUCAGUUUCAACAAUUUUAGGGAAUGCAGGAUUUGCAAGAUAUAGACAUGGGAUGCUUUUAACAGAACUCUUUAUUAAUUUAACAGCUUUAGUAUGUUCAUCUGUCCAUGGAGCAGGUUUUUUCUUUAAACGAUCAUGCAAAGGUUUAGACAACCUAUUGAUAUUGGGACAGAAAUCAAGAACAUAAUUUAGGCUACCAAGAAAUCUUUGUAAUUGAGUUUUGUCAAGGAUUUUAUCAGGGAAUUUAUCAGCAAAUAAAAGUGAUCUUUCAAUAGGGGUGAUUGUUCCUUUUGAAAUAUAGUGACCAAGAAAUCUGAUUUUCGUUUGAAAUAAUGAAAUCUUUGAACUAGAAAGGGCUAGUCCAGCCUUUUUUGUAGCAAAAUAAAAAGUCUUUAAAUGUUUGAAAUGUUGAUCGAUUGAAUUUGAAAAUAUCAAAACAUCAUCAAUAUAAACAAUGCAAAAAUCAGAAUAAGGAUUAUAAAUAUCAUUCAUAAUUCUUUGAAAUUCUGAGGGUGCAUUCUUUAAACCAAAGGGCAUAACAGUCCAUUCGUAUUGUCCAAAUGGAACAGUGAAAGCGGUUUUGUAACGGUCAUUUGGAUGAAUUUGAAUUUGCCAAAAACCCGAUUUCAUGUCGAAUUUUGAAAAAAUAAAGGCAGAACAGAGUUUUUGGAGUAAAUCUUUUUAUUAGGUAUAGGAUACCUAAUCCAUUUUAAAGCUUUAUUCAAAGGUUUGUAGUUAUAACUAGUCUUGGAGUGCCUCUUUCAAUUUCGGAGUUUUUGUUAACAUAAAAAGCAGCACAAGACCAAGGAGACCUGGAUUUUACAAUGAGUCCUUUAGACUCCAAGUCUUUGAUUUCAUUUUUACAAUGUUUUUCUAAAUCCAUAUUCAUUUGAAUUGGACGAGCUUUGGUCGGAAUCUGUUUUUCAUCAAAAGAAUUUUCAUAAGGCAGGUCUACUAAAUGUUGUUUUCUAUUCCAAAAAGCAGAAGGUAGAUCAGCACAAAUUUCUUUUUCAAUAAGAGUUUUGAAAUCAGAAAUUUUUCUUUUAAUGAAAAUCACUUUGUAAUUGGCUUUCAACUCUUUGUAAGUUCAAAUCUUUUUGUAAAAACAUUAGAUCACACUGUUUUGAUUUAAGUAAAUUGUUUUAUUCUAUUUUGAUAAAUAGAACAGGCUUUAACAAUAUUUAAAUUUCUUGUUUUAGGUUUUUCAAUAAAAGGGAAAAACAAGUUUCUUGUUUUUGCUUUGAAAGAUAUACUAUCAUAAUUGACAGUAUACGGAGUUAUGAGAUUUAUAAAAGGAGUUCCCAAAAUAAUGGCAUGAUGAAUAUCAUUGUGAGAACAAAGGAAGUUUUAAAAUCAAAACCAUCAUUAUAGAUCGAGGCUUCAACCUUGGAACUGACAUUCAAUUUUGAAAUUAUUGGCGGCAGAAAGCCUUUCUUUUGUUUUUUCAUGAAAUCUUUUGGGACGAUAUCUUCUCUAAUGCAAUUUAAAUCGGCGCCAGUAUCAAAAAGGGCAAUGGCGUCCAUCGCAAAAUCAUCAGAAAAGAUUAGAGUGACUUUAAUCAAAUACUUUCUUGUGGUGAUUUGUUUUAGAACAAAUAGAAAAUCAUUGGGUACAGACUCAAUAUUUUCUACUUUAAUAUCAUCACCAUCAAUAUCAGGACUGGAUUCAUUGUCUGAAUUAUCCUGUAAUUGCUUUUGUAAAAGAAGUUGAAUAAUAUCAGAAUCACUUUUUUGUUUUUCUUUUAAAUCUCUGAUUUCACUUUUGAUUUCUUUUAUCUCUUUCUGAAGAUCUUGGAUAUUAGGAAUCAUCUUUUUUGUUUUCUUCUUAUCCAAAAUUUGAGUAAGAUCAUAAGAAUUCUUUUUAAUAAUUGGGACUCUAGAAGUCUCGGCUUUAUUAAAAUCCAAUGUUUCAAAAGUUUAUCAAAGGUAUUCCUUUUGAAGAUUUGGAUCAGAAAUAUGCUUUACAAGUUCAAGAAAAGUUUCUUGGUCUUUAGUCAAAACAUUGAUUUUCUUUAAAAAUGAAUCAGAUUCAGAAUCACUACUGCUAGAUGCAGAGUCAUCUGAGUCAAAAAGCUCAUCAACGUAAGGGUCACUGUCUCCGACAUGGAAGACUCAGAAUCAGAAGAUUCGACAAGAAGAGGGGCUAUUUUAGAAAGGAUGUCCUCAUUGAGGUCAAGUUCUUGGAGUCUUUUGUUCAUUCUGCAAAAUUUUGCAGUAUGACCUUUCAUACCACAUUUGAAACAUGUGGCCUCCUUGAAGUUGAAUGGGGUAUUAGGUUUGGCUUUGAAAUCUUUCUUUUUAGAGAAACUAUGUCUCUUAUAAGGCUUCGAAGGUUUCUUAUAAGGAAGUUUUCUAAAUCACGGAAGGGUUUUCUAAAAUGUUUAGAUUUGUAAUGUUUCUUACGAGGUUUUGUAGAACACUCUCCAUUACAAUCUUUGGAAGUUUUAAAGGGGUCAUAAUUGAAUUGCUUACAGAAACCGCCUAAUUCCUGUUUAGACUUCUUAAGCUCCCACUUAAGACGUUUCUGUAAUUUCAAAUCUUGACAAAUCUUUAAACCUCUUUGUUGACAAAACUGACUAGUUCACCAUAGGUGAGCUCGUCAUAAGGAAUACGGUUAUCGUAAAGGGCUUUGAUGGAAUUUCUUACCUUUUCACCUAAAAGGGUAGGUAAUCCAGCAAGAAAUUUUUCUUUCCAAGUAAUAUGAUUUGCAUCAUCCCUUAGAAAUAGUCUGGUAAGGAAAGAGGUUUUGUAACUCUGAAAUUCACUAAGUUUUCUACAUCUCAAAUUAUGUAGUAACUCAGCGUUUUUUAUCACGAAGGUGAGAAGGGUCACCGAUGAAAUGGAGGGAAAUGGUUAGAAUAAGAGUAGCAACAGCAUCCUGGAUAGGGUUGUUGAACUCAUCAAGAAUAGAGGCUCCAUUUUCAUCUUUUUGGACGGAAUUUAGAAUGUCAAAUUGUUGCUGAUUAGUGAGAAGAUGAUCCCACCAACCUUUUAGUUGACCAGUAAAACCAGCAAUUAGGAUUUCCGAUAUGGCACGAUCAGAAGUUCCUGCUUGGGUUUUAUAAGCAUUAGCUGCCAUUGUCAUUUGUUGCAACAAUCCAAGGAUAUUGUACUCAGACAUGCCGUCAAUAUUCCACUCAUAGACUGAAGAUGCAUUAUAACGGAUUGAUUUAAUGCACUAGGUCUAUUAUCUAUUGCUAGAUCUGGUGGGGUCUUGACAGUGGGAAGGGCUAAUUCCCAGUGGAUUUUGUUGGCUUUAGGAGUAGAAGGUUCUUCUUUGAAAGCUUCUAAGUCAGAAGAGGCUAUAGAACUCUGGUCAUCUAGAUCCAAUACUCCAAUCUUGCUAGAUUGGGGUAUCGGGGCUAUCUGGAGUUUGCUAGACGAGGAAGAAGCAGCUUCUAUCUCUCUAGUUGUUCUCUAAUGGCUUUAGCAAAAUCUGAUUUUGACUCUUGAACAAGCCUUUGGCUAGUUUUCGAAACCUGAAAAGGUUUGAAAAUAGGUUCCUUAAGCUUUUUGUCAGAAUCCGAUUUUGAAGGAAUAGACAUAGGAAUAGGAGAAACAGAUAUAGGAGAUUUUUGAAAUUGGUUUUCUAUACGAGCCAAUUGCUUUCCAAUUGUAUUUAAGUUAGUAUUACAGAAAUUAUUCUGUUGUAUAAUACUACUUAAAUUCGCAUCAGAAUCAUUUGGUCUUGGGAUUUUGUAAGGGGAUGCUUUAAUCUCAAUAGGAGGUUCACCAUGAUCUAUGGUUAUACUCCUAAGAGGUGGAUGAUCAGACUCUAUGAUCCUAUCAUUAUCAGAAAGUUUCCAUUCAGGAAUUUUCUUUCUAAUAGUUAUAGGGUUUGACUCUUUAAAAGGAUAAUCAAUAUUGUUCUCAGAAGAAUAUAUUUCGAACCAAUCAAAAAACAAUAUAUGAANNNNNNNNNNNNNNNNNNNNNNNNNNNNNNNNNNNNNNNNNNNNNNNNNNNNNNNNNNNNNNNNNNNNNNNNNNNNNNNNNNNNNNNNNNNNNNNNNNNNNNNNNNNNNNNNNNNNNNNNNNNNNNNNNNNNNNNNNNNNNNNNNNNNNNNNNNNNNNNNNNNNNNNNNNNNNNNNNNNNNNNNNNNNNNNNNNNNNNNNNNNNNNNNNNNNNNNNNNNNNNNNNNNNNNNNNNNNNNNNNNNNNNNNNNNNNNNNNNNNNNNNNNNNNNNNNNNNNNNNNNNNNNNNNNNNNNNNNNNNNNNNNNNNNNNNNNNNNNNNNNNNNNNNNNNNNNNNNNNNNNNNNNNNNNNNNNNNNNNNNNNNNNNNNNNNNNNNNNNNNNNNNNNNNNNNNNNNNNNNNNNNNNNNNNNNNNNNNNNNNNNNNNNNNNNNNNNNNNNNNNNNNNNNNNNNNNNNNNNNNNNNNNNNNNNNNNNNNNNNNNNNNNNNNNNNNNNNNNNNNNNNNNNNNNNNNNNNNNNNNNNNNNNNNNNNNNNNNNNNNNNNNNNNNNNNNNNNNNNNNNNNNNNNNNNNNNNNNNNNNNNNNNNNNNNNNNNNNNNNNNNNNNNNNNNNNNNNNNNNNNNNNNNNNNNNNNNNNNNNNNNNNNNNNNNNNNNNNNNNNNNNNNNNNNNNNNNNNNNNNNNNNNNNNNNNNNNNNNNNNNNNNNNNNNNNNNNNNNNNNNNNNNNNNNNNNNNNNNNNNNNNNNNNNNNNNNNNNNNNNNNNNNNNNNNNNNNNNNNNNNNNNNNNNNNNNNNNNNNNNNNNNNNNNNNNNNNNNNNNNNNNNNNNNNNNNNNNNNNNNNNNNNNNNNNNNNNNNNNNNNNNNNNNNNNNNNNNNNNNNNNNNNNNNNNNNNNNNNNNNNNNNNNNNNNNNNNNNNNNNNNNNNNNNNNNNNNNNNNNNNNNNNNNNNNNNNNNNNNNNNNNNNNNNNNNNNNNNNNNNNNNNNNNNNNNNNNNNNNNNNNNNNNNNNNNNNNNNNNNNNNNNNNNNNNNNNNNNNNNNNNNNNNNNNNNNNNNNNNNNNNNNNNNNNNNNNNNNNNNNNNNNNNNNNNNNNNNNNNNNNNNNNNNNNNNNNNNNNNNNNNNNNNNNNNNNNNNNNNNNNNNNNNNNNNNNNNNNNNNNNNNNNNNNNNNNNNNNNNNNNNNNNNNNNNNNNNNNNNNNNNNNNNNNNNNNNNNNNNNNNNNNNNNNNNNNNNNNNNNNNNNNNNNNNNNNNNNNNNNNNNNNNNNNNNNNNNNNNNNNNNNNNNNNNNNNNNNNNNNNNNNNNNNNNNNNNNNNNNNNNNNNNNNNNNNNNNNNNNNNNNNNNNNNNNNNNNNNNNNNNNNNNNNNNNNNNNNNNNNNNNNNNNNNNNNNNNNNNNNNNNNNNNNNNNNNNNNNNNNNNNNNNNNNNNNNNNNNNNNNNNNNNNNNNNNNNNNNNNNNNNNNNNNNNNNNNNNNNNNNNNNNNNNNNNNNNNNNNNNNNNNNNNNNNNNNNNNNNNNNNNNNNNNNNNNNNNNNNNNNNNNNNNNNNNNNNNNNNNNNNNNNNNNNNNNNNNNNNNNNNNNNNNNNNNNNNNNNNNNNNNNNNNNNNNNNNNNNNNNNNNNNNNNNNNNNNNNNNNNNNNNNNNNNNNNNNNNNNNNNNNNNNNNNNNNNNNNNNNNNNNNNNNNNNNNNNNNNNNNNNNNNNNNNNNNNNNNNNNNNNNNNNNNNNNNNNNNNNNNNNNNNNNNNNNNNNNNNNNNNNNNNNNNNNNNNNNNNNNNNNNNNNNNNNNNNNNNNNNNNNNNNNNNNNNNNNNNNNNNNNNNNNNNNNNNNNNNNNNNNNNNNNNNNNNNNNNNNNNNNNNNNNNNNNNNNNNNNNNNNNNNNNNNNNNNNNNNNNNNNNNNNNNNNNNNNNNNNNNNNNNNNNNNNNNNNNNNNNNNNNNNNNNNNNNNNNNNNNNNNNNNNNNNNNNNNNNNNNNNNNNNNNNNNNNNNNNNNNNNNNNNNNNNNNNNNNNNNNNNNNNNNNNNNNNNNNNNNNNNNNNNNNNNNNNNNNNNNNNNNNNNNNNNNNNNNNNNNNNNNNNNNNNNNNNNNNNNNNNNNNNNNNNNNNNNNNNNNNNNNNNNNNNNNNNNNNNNNNNNNNNNNNNNNNNNNNNNNNNNNNNNNNNNNNNNNNNNNNNNNNNNNNNNNNNNNNNNNNNNNNNNNNNNNNNNNNNNNNNNNNNNNNNNNNNNNNNNNNNNNNNNNNNNNNNNNNNNNNNNNNNNNNNNNNNNNNNNNNNNNNNNNNNNNNNNNNNNNNNNNNNNNNNNNNNNNNNNNNNNNNNNNNNNNNNNNNNNNNNNNNNNNNNNNNNNNNNNNNNNNNNNNNNNNNNNNNNNNNNNNNNNNNNNNNNNNNNNNNNNNNNNNNNNNNNNNNNNNNNNNNNNNNNNNNNNNNNNNNNNNNNNNNNNNNNNNNNNNNNNNNNNNNNNNNNNNNNNNNNNNNNNNNNNNNNNNNNNNNNNNNNNNNNNNNNNNNNNNNNUCAUGUCGAAUUUUGAAAAAUAAAGGCAGAACAGGUUUUUGGAGUAAAUCUUUUUUAUUAGGUAUAGGAUACCUAAUCCAUUUUAAAGCUUUAUUCAAAGGUUUGUAGUUUAUAACUAGUCUUGGAGUGCCUCUUUCAAUUUCGGAGUUUUUGUUAACAUAAAAAGCAGCACAAGACCAAGGAGACCUGGAUUUUACAAUGAGUCCUUUAGACUCCAAGUCUUUGAUUUCAUUUUUACAAUGUUUUUCUAAAUCCAUAUUCAUUUGAAUUGGACGAGCUUUGGUCGGAAUCUGUUUUUCAUCAAAAGAAUUUUCAUAAGGCAGAUCUACUAAAUGUUGUUUUCUAUUCCAAAAAGCAGAAGGUAGAUCAGCACAAAUUUCUUUUUCAAUAAGAGUUUUGAAAUCAGAAAAAUUUUUCUUUUAAUGAAAUCACUUUGUAAUUUGCUUUCAACUCUUUGUAAGUUCAAAUCUUUUUGUAAAAACAUUAGAUCACACUGUUUUGAUUUAAGUAAAUUGUUUAUUCUAUUUUGAUAAAUAGAACAGGCUUUAACAAUAUUUCAAAUUUCUUGUUUUAGGCUUUUCAAUAAAAGGGAAAACAAGUUUCUUGUUUUUUGCUUUGAAAGAUAUACUAUCAUAAUUGACAGUAUACGGAGUUAUGAGAUUUAUAAAAGGAGUUCCCAAAAUAAUGGCAUGAUGAAUAUCAUUUGUGAGAACAAAGGAAGUUUUAAAAUCAAAACCAUCAUUAUAGAUUGAGGCUUCAACCUUGGAACUGACAUUCAAUUUUGAAUUAUUGGCGGCAGAAAGCCUUUCUUUUGUUUUUUCAUGAAAUCUUUUGGGGACGAUAUCUUCUCUAAUGCAAUUUAAAUCGGCGCCAGUAUCAAAAAGGGCAAUGGCGUCCAUCGCAAAAUCAUCAGAAAAGAUUAGAGUGACUUUAAUCAAAUACUUUCUUGUGGUGAUUUGUUUUAGAACAAAUAGAAAAUCAUUGGGUACAGACUCAAUAUUUUCUACUUUAAUAUCAUCACCAUCAAUAUCAGGACUGGAUUCAUUGUCUGAAUUAUCCUGUAAUUGCUUUUGUAAAAGAAGUUGAAUAAUAUCAGAAUCACUUUUUUGUUUUUCUUUUAAAUCUCUGAUUUCACUUUUGAUUUCUUUUAUCUCUUUCUGAAGAUCUUGGAUAUUAGGAAUCAUUUUUUGUUUUCUUCUUAUCCAAAAUUUGAGUAAGAUCAUAAGAAUUCUUUUUAACAAUUGGGACUCUAGAAGUCUCGGCUUUAUUAAAAUCCAAUGUUUUCAAAAGUUUAUCAAGGUAUUCCUUUUGAAGAUUUGGAUCAGAAAUAUGUUUACAAGUUCAAGAAAAGUUUCUUGGUCUUUAGUCAAAACAUUGAUUUUCUUUAAAAAUGAAUCAGAUUCAGAAUCACUACUGCUAGAUGCAGAGUCAUCUGAGUCAAAAAGCUCAUCAACUUGGUAAGGGUCACUGUCUCCCGACAUGGAAGACUCAGAAUCAGAAGAUUCGACAAGAAGAGGGGCUAUUUUAGAAAGGAUGUCCUCAUUGAGGUCAAGUUCUUGGAGUCUUUUGUUCAUUCUGCAAAAUUUUGCAGUAUGACCUUUCAUACCACAUUUGAAACAUGUGGCCUCCUUGAAGUUGAAUGGGGUAUUAGGUUUGGCUUUGAAAUCUUUCUUUUUAGAGAAACUAUGUUCUUAUAAGGCUUCGAAGGUUUCUUAUAAGGAAGUUUUCUAAAAUCACGGAAGGGUUUUCUAAAAUGUUUAGAUUUGUAAUGUUUCUUACGAGGUUUUGUAGAACACUCUCCAUUACAAUCUUUGGAAGUUUUAAAGGGGUCAUAAUUGAAUUGCUUACAGAAACCGCCUAAUUCCUGUUUAGACUUCUUAAGCUCCCACUUAAGACGUUUCUGUAAUUUCAAAUCUUGACAAAUCUUUAAACCUUCUUGUUGACAAAACUGACUAGUUCACCAUAGGUGAGCUCGUCAUAAGGAAUACGGUUAUCGUAAAGGGCUUUGAUGGAAUUUCUUACCUUUUCACCUAAAAGGGUAGGUAAUCCAGCAAGAAAUUUUUCUUUCCAAGUAAUAUGAUUUGCAUCAUCCCUUAGAAAUAGUCUGGUAAGGAAAGAGGUUUUGUAACUCUGAAAUUCACUAAGUUUUCUACAUCUCAAAUUAUGUAGUAACUCAGCGUUUUUAUCACGAAGGUGAGAAGGGUCACCGAUGAAAUGGAGGGAAAUGGUUAGAAUAAGAGUAGCAACAGCAUCCUGGAUAGGGUUGUUGAACUCAUCAAGAAUAGAGGCUCCAUUUUCAUCUUUUUGGACGGAAUUUAGAAUGUCAAAUUGUUGCUGAUUAGUGAGAAGAUGAUCCCACCAACCUUUUAGUUGACCAGUAAAACCAGCAAUUAGGAUUUCCGAUAUGGCACGAUCAGAAGUUCCUGCUUGGGUUUUAUAAGCAUUAGCUGCCAUUGUCAUUUUGUUGCAACAAUCCAAGGAUAUUGUACUCAGACAUGCCGUCAAUAUUCCACUCAUAGACUGAAGAUGCAUUAUAACGGGAUUGAUUUAAUGCACUAGGUCUAUUAUCUAUUGCUAGAUCUGGUGGGGUCUUGACAGUGGGAAGGGCUAAUUCCCAGUGGAUUUUGUUGGCUUUAGGAGUAGAAGGUUCUUCUUUGAAAGCUUCUAAGUCAGAAGAGGCUAUAGAACUUGGUCAUCUAGAUCCAAUACUCCAAUCUUGCUAGAUUGGGGGUAUCGGGCUAUCUGGAGUUUGCUAGACGAGGAAGAAGCAGCUUCUAUCCUCUCUAGUUGUUCUCUAAUGGCUUUAGCAAAAUCUGAUUUUGACUCUUGAACAAGCCUUUGGCUAGUUUUCGAAACCUGAAAAGGUUUGAAAAUAGGUUCCUUAAGCUUUUUGUCAGAAUCCGAUUUUGAAGGAAUAGACAUGGAAUAGGAGAAACAGAUAUAGGAGAUUUUUGAAAUUGGUUUUCUAUACGAGCCAAUUGCUUUCCAAUUGUAUUUAAGUUAGUAUUACAGAAAUUAUUCUGUUGUAUAAUACUACUUAAAUUCGCAUCAGAAUCAUUUGGUCUUGGGAUUUUGUAAGGGGAUGCUUUAAUCUCAAUAGGAGGUUCACCAUGAUCUAUGGUUAUACUCCUAAGAGGUGGAUGAUCAGACUCUAUAAUCCUAUCAUUAUCAAAGUUUCCAUUCAGGAAUUUUCUUUCUAAUAGUUAUAGGGUUUGACUCUUUAAAAGGAUAAUCAAUAUUGUUCUCAGAAGAAUAUAUUUCGAACCAAUCAAAAAACAAUAUAUGAACUUUAUGAAAAUUCACAAAUUCAUAAUAAGUUUGUUGGAUUUCUUUUCUUUGGUUUAAAAAAUGUUUAAAAAACCAAGUUCUUUUUUCUUUAUUUAUUUCUGAAUAAAAAUCGUUAUGCAGAAAGGCUUUAUCUAAUUCAAAUUUUUUCAAUGACAUUAAUGACAUUUUCUGUGACAGCAGAAAACGUAGGAGAUGUUGGAGGAGAAGGUUCCUUCUCUUCCUGUCUUUGCACAUGUUGACUACUAGUGUAUAUAGGAUGAGGAACACUUGUGGCAUAGUCAACGGAACGGAUGGAGGAGCUAGGUAUAUCCGAAGUGGAAAACCUAGGUUGCUCUGAUAUGGGAGAUUUAUAACAGAAGGUACUUUUGUAAACUUCCUUUCUAGUGAAGGAAUGCUUGGGCUCGAUUCUUUUUCAGAAAAUCUAUGUGAGGUAGACCUUCUGAAUGAUAGUUUGACUUUACCAUCGGAAUACUGGGUCACAUUUUGUAACUCUGUAUUUGGCUCAAGUUGUUUCGGAUCGCCGGUGGGCGGCUCCUUCGAGGAUCCAUUCAUCUGGAAGAUGGAUAUCUUUCCAUUGGAUCGAUUUUGGAAUGACCAUGUUGGCUUUAGACAAAUCAGUCUGCAAGAGAAGGGUCUCAUCUCUCUUCGACUGUAUUUAUGCUGUGUGCUAAAUGCAGAAUCAUGGCUUUAUAGGAAAUUUUAAAAAUUAAUGCAACUGGGAUGGAUCCCUUAAUCAUGUGAUAAUUAUGGGUUUGGAUUUGUAAAAUCAUGCUCUUUAAAAUAUUUUUGUCUUUAAGAGAAAUUGUUAUAUUUGGAACAAUCAAAAGAUAUGGGACCUUUACAUAGACUAGAUUCGAUACUACUUAGUAAAGAAUCAUCAAAAGAGAUGAAUCGCCCAUCUCUAAGAACAGCAAGGAUAGAGGUAUCAAGCCUUCUUUGGUCAAAGGUUUUAUUCCUACUUGGAUUAAACCAAUGUGAAUAUAUUUGAAAUUCUUUUCUUUUAAUUUCUUUAAAGAUUUUUCUGAAAACAAAUAAAUUGUUUCAAAAGGCUCCGAAAGAGUUAUGUCUCUUUCUUCAGUUUUUAUAAUAUAAUCAUGUUUUAAAAGAUCAAGCAUUUUUGUUUUGUAAAUCUUUUCUUUGGAAAUUUUUGGAAGUUCCCAACAAUCAAUUGCUUUAUCAAAGUUUUCAAUAACGAAUUCUUCUGAACUCACAACAUGCUUUGAAUCACUAGUCUUCCCGGAAGAAGAGCUAGAAAAGGACGAUGUUCUACAGUGUAGAGGGUUCAUGGGUAAAAACCUAUGAUCUAUUUAGUGGUUUUGAAAGAAUGGCUACAGGUAUGGUUUUACAGCCCUAAACGGAAAACUUAUCCUUAGACGGGACUUACUACCAGUAAAAAUUCACCACAAAAACAAAACUUCAAAAUAAAACACAAGUUUUCAAAACACAAACUCUAACUGCUUUACACAAUCCUUUUGGCUUGAAAACUUGUGUUUUAUUUUGAAGUUUUGUUUUUUGGUGAAUUUUUACUGGUAGUAAGUCCCGUCUAAGGAUAAGUUUUCCGUUUAGGGCUGUAAAACCAUACCUGUAGCCAUUCUUUCAAAACCACUAAAUAGAUCAUAGGUUUUUACCCAUGAACCCUCUACACUGUAGAACAUCGUCCUUUUCUAGCUCUUCUUCCGGGAAGACUAGUGAUUCAAAGCAUGUUGUGAGUUCAGAAGAAUUCGUUAUUGAAACUUUGAUAAAGCAAUUGAUUGUUGGGAACUUCCAAAAAUUUCCAAAGAAAAGAUUUACAAAACAAAAAUGCUUGAUCUUUUAAAACAUGAUUAUAUUAUAAAAACUGAAGAAAGAGACAUAACUCUUUCGGAGCCUUUUGAAACAAUUUAUUUGUUUUCAGAAAAAUCUUUAAAGAAAUUAAAAGAAAAGAAUUUCAAAUAUAUUCACAUUGGUUUAAUCCAAGUAGGAAUAAAAAACCUUUGACCAAAGAAGGCUUGGAUACCUCUAUCCUUGCUGUUCUUAGAGAUGGGCGAUUCAUCUCUUUUGAUGAUUCUUUACUAAGUAGUAUCGAAUCUAGUCUAUGUAAAGGUCCCAUAUCUUUUGAUUGUUAUCCAAAUAUAACAAUUUCUCUUAAAGACAAAAAUAUUUUAAAGAGCAUGAUUUUACAAAUCCAAACCCAUAAUUAUCACAUGAUUAAGGGAUCCAUCCCAGUUGCAUUAAUUUUUAAAAUUUCCUAUAAAGCCAUGAUUUCUGCAUUUAGCACACAGCAUAAAUACCAGUCGAAGAGAGAUGAGACCCUUCUCUUGCAGACUGAUUUGUCUAAAGCCAACAUGGUCAUUCCAAAAUCGAUCCAAUGGAAAGAUAUCCAUCUUCCAGAUGAAUGGAUCCUCGAAGGAGCCGCCCCACCGGCGAUUCCGAAACAACUUGAGCCAAAUACAGAGUUACAAAAUGUGACCCAGUAUUCCGAUGGUAAAGUCAAACUAUCAUUCAGAAGGUCUACCUCACAUAGAUUUUCUGAAAAAGAAUCGAGCCCAAGCAUUCCUUCACUAGAAAGGAAGUUUACAAAAGUACCUUCUGUUAUAAAUCUCCCAUAUCAGAGCCAACCUAGGUUUUCCACUUCGGAUAUACCUAGCUCCUCCAUCCGUUCCGUUGACUAUGCCACAAGUGUUCCUCAUCCUAUAUACACUAGUAGUCAACAUGUGCAAAGACAGGAAGAGAAGGAACCUUCUCCUCCAACAUCUCCUACGUUUUCUGCUGUCACAGAAAAUGUCAUUAAUGUCAUUGAAAAAGAAUUUGAAUUAGAUAAAGCCUUUCUGCAUAACGAUUUUUAUUCAGAAAUAAAUAAAGAAAAAAGAACUUGGUUUUUUUAAACAUUUUUUAAACCAAAGAAAAGAAAUCCAACAAACUUAUUAUGAAUUUGUGAAUUUUCAUAAAGUUCAUAUAUUGUUUUUUGAUUGGUUCGAAAUAUAUUCUUCUGAGAACAAUAUUGAUUAUCCUUUUUAAAGAGUCAAACCCUAUAACUAUUAGAAAGAAAAUUCCUGAAUGGAAACUUUCUGAUAAUGAUAGGAUUAUAGAGUCUGAUCAUCCACCUCUUAGGAGUAUAACCAUAGAUCAUGGUGAACCUCCUAUUGAGAUUAAAGCAUCCCCUUACAAAAUCCCAAGACCAAAUGAUUCUGAUGCGAAUUUAAGUAGUAUUAUACAACAGAAUAAUUUCUGUAAUACUAACUUAAAUACAAUUGGAAAGCAAUUGGCUCGUAUAGAAAACCAAUUUCAAAAAUCUCCUAUAUCUGUUUCUCCUAUUCCUAUGUCUAUUCCUUCAAAAUCGGAUUCUGACAAAAAGCUUAAGGAACCUAUUUUCAAACCUUUUCAGGUUUCGAAAACUAGCCAAAGGCUUGUUCAAGAGUCAAAAUCAGAUUUUGCUAAAGCCAUUAGAGAACAACUAGAGAGGAUAGAAGCUGCUUCUUCCUCGUCUAGCAAACUCCAGAUAGCCCCCGAUACCCCCCAAUCUAGCAAGAUUGGAGUAUUGGAUCUAGAUGACCAGAGUUCUAUAGCCUCUUCUGACUUAGAAGCUUUCAAAGAAGAACCUUCUACUCCUAAAGCCAACAAAAUCCACUGGGAAUUAGCCCUUUCCCACUGUCAAGACCCCACCAGAUCUAGCAAUAGAUAAUAGACCUAGUGCAUUAAAUCAAUCCCGUUAUAAUGCAUCUUCAGUCUAUGAGUGGAAUAUUGACGGCAUGUCUGAGUACAAUAUCCUUGGAUUGUUGCAACAAAUGACAAUGGCAGCUAAUGCUUAUAAAACCCAAGCAGGAACUUCUGAUCGUGCCAUAUCGGAAAUCCUAAUUGCUGGUUUUACUGGUCAACUAAAAAGGUUGGUGGGAUCAUCUUCUCACUAAUCAGCAACAAUUUGACAUUCUAAAUUCCGUCCAAAAAGAUGAAAAUGGAGCCUCUAUUCUUGAUGAGUUCAACAACCCUAUCCAGGAUGCUGUUGCUACUCUUAUUCUAACCAUUUCCCUCCAUUUCAUCGGUGACCCUUCUCACCUUCGUGAUAAAAACGCUGAGUUACUACAUAAUUUGAGAUGUAGAAAACUUAGUGAAUUUCAGAGUUACAAAACCUCUUUCCUUACCAGACUAUUUCUAAGGGAUGAUGCAAAUCAUAUUACUUGGAAAGAAAAAUUUCUUGCUGGAUUACCUACCUUUUAGGUGAAAAGGUAAGAAAUUCCAUCAAAGCCCUUUACGAUAACCGUAUUCCUUAUGACGAGCUCACCUAUGGUGAACUAGUCAGUUUUGUCAACAAAGAAGGUUUAAAGAUUUGUCAAGAUUUGAAAUUACAGAAACGUCUUAAGUGGGAGCUUUAAGAAGUCUAAACAGGAAUUAGGCGGUUUCUGUAAGCAAUUCAAUUAUGACCCCUUUAAAACUUCCAAAGAUUGUAAUGGAGAGUGUUCUACAAAACCUCGUAAGAAACAUUACAAAUCUAAACAUUUUAGAAAACCCUUCCGUGAUUUUAGAAAACUUCCUUAUAAGAAACCUUCGAAGCCUUAUAAGAGACAUAGUUUCUCUUAAAAAGAAAGAUUUCAAAGCCAAACCUAAUACCCCAUUCAACUUCAAGGAGGCCACAUGUUUCAAAUGUGGUAUGAAAGGUCAUACUGCAAAAUUUUGCAGAAUGAACAAAAGACUCCAAGAACUUGACCUCAAUGAGGACAUCCUUUCUAAAAUAGCCCCUCUUCUUGUCGAAUCUUCUGAUUCUGAGUCUUCCAUGUCGGGAGACAGUGACCCUUACCAAGUUGAUGAGCUUUUUGACUCAGAUGACUCUGCAUCUAGCAGUAGUGAUUCUGAAUCUGAUUCAUUUUUAAAGAAAAUCAAUGUUUUGACUAAAGACCAAGAAACUUUUCUUGAACUUGUAAAGCAUAUUUCUGAUCCAAAUCUUCAAAAGGAAUACCUUGAUAAACUUUUGAAAACAUUGGAUUUUAAUAAAGCCGAGACUUCUAGAGUCCCAAUUAUUAAAAAGAAUUCUUAUGAUCUUACUCAAAUUUUGGAUAAGAAGAAAACAAAAAAGAUGAUUCCUAAUAUCCAAGAUCUUCAGAAAGAGAUAAAAGAAAUCAAAAGUGAAAUCAGAGAUUUAAAAGAAAAACAAAAAAGUGAUUCUGAUAUUAUUCAACUUCUUUACAAAAGCAAUUACAGGAUAAUUCAGACAAUGAAUCCAGUCCUGAUAUUGAUGGUGAUGAUAUUAAAGUAGAAAAUAUUGAGUCUGUACCCAAUGAUUUUCUAUUUGUUCUAAAACAAAUCACCACAAGAAAGUAUUUGAUUAAAGUCACUCUAAUCUUUUCUGAUGAUUUUGCGAUGGACGCCAUUGCCCUUUUUGAUACUGGCGCCGAUUUAAAUUGCAUUAGAGAAGAUAUCGUCCCCAAAAGAUUUCAUGAAAAAACAAAAGAAAGGCUUUCUGCCGCCAAUAAUUCAAAAUUGAAUGUCAGUUCCAAGGUUGAAGCCUCGAUCUAUAAUGAUGGUUUUGAUUUUAAAACUUCCUUUGUUCUCACAAAUGAUAUUCAUCAUGCCAUUAUUUUGGGAACUCCUUUUAUAAAUCUCAUAACUCCGUAUACUGUCAAUUAUGAUAGUAUAUCUUUCAAAGCAAAAAACAAGAAACUUGUUUUCCCUUUUAUUGAAAAACCUAAAACAAGAAAUUUAAAUAUUGUUAAAGCCUGUUCUAUUUAUCAAAAUAGAAUAAACAAUUUACUUAAAUCAAAACAGUGUGAUCUAAUGUUUUUACAAAAAGAUUUGAACUUACAAAGAGUUGAAAGCCAAUUACAAAGUGAUUUCAUUAAAAGAAAAUUUUCUGAUUUCAAAACUCUUAUUGAAAAAGAAAUUUGUGCUGAUCUACCUUCUGCUUUUUGGAAUAGAAAACAACAUUUAGUAGACCUGCCUUAUGAAAAUUCUUUUGAUGAAAAACAGAUUCCGACCAAAGCUCGUCCAAUUCAAAUGAAUAUGGAUUUAGAAAAACAUUGUAAAAAUGAAAUCAAAGACUUGGAGUCUAAAGGACUCAUUGUAAAAUCCAGGUCUCCUUGGUCUUGUGCUGCUUUUUAUGUUAACAAAAACUUCGAAAUUGAAAGAGGCACUCCAAGACUAGUUAUAAACUACAAACCUUUGAAUAAAGCUUUAAAAUGGAUUAGGUAUCCUAUACCUAAUAAAAAAGAUUUACUCCAAAAACUCUGUUCUGCCUUUAUUUUUUCAAAAUUCGACAUGAAAUCGGGUUUUUGGCAAAUUCAAAUUCAUCCAAAUGACCGUUACAAAACCGCUUUCACUGUUCCAUUUGGACAAUACGAAUGGACUGUUAUGCCCUUUGGUUUAAAGAAUGCACCCUCAGAAUUUCAAAGAAUUAUGAAUGAUAUUUAUAAUCCUUAUUCUGAUUUUUGCAUUGUUUAUAUUGAUGAUGUUUUGAUAUUUUCAAAUUCAAUCGAUCAACAUUUCAAACAUUUAAAGACUUUUUAUUUUGCUACAAAAAAGGCUGGACUAGCCCUUUCUAGUUCAAAGAUUUCAUUAUUUUCAAACGAAAAUCAGAUUUCUUGGUCACUAUAUUUCAAAAGGAACAAUCACCCCUAUUGAAAGAUCACUUUUAUUUGCUGAUAAAUUCCCUGAUAAAAUCCUUGACAAAACUCAAUUACAAAGAUUUCUUGGUAGCCUAAAUUAUGUUCUUGAUUUCUGUCCCAAUAUCAAUAGGUUGUCUAAACCUUUGCAUGAUCGUUUAAAGAAAAAACCUGCUCCAUGGACAGAUGAACAUACUAAAGCUGUUAAAUUAAUAAAGAGUUCUGUUAAAAGCAUCCCAUGUCUAUAUCUUGCAAAUCCUGCAUUCCCUAAAAUUGUUGAAACUGAUGCAUCUGAUUUAGGAUAUGGAGGUAUAUUAAAACAAAAAGAAAAUGAUAGAGAACAGAUAGUACAAUAUGUUUCUGCACAUUGGAAUGAUUGUCAGAAAAAUUAUUCUACUAUUAAAAAAGAAAUUCUUUCCAUUGUUUUAUGCAUUACAAAAUUUCAAAGUGAUUUAUUAAAUCAAAAAUUUUUACUUAGAAUUGAUUGCAAAGCUGCAAAACAUGUUUUAGAAAAGGAUGUUCAAAACAUUGCAUCAAAACAAAUUUUUGCACGUUGGCAAGCUAUUUUGAGUGUUUUUGAUUUUGAUAUAGAAUUCAUUAAAGGUGAUAAAAAUUCUGUUCCUGAUUUUCUAACCAGAGAAUUUCUUCAAAACAGAUAAUGCCGCUAAAGAAAGACAAAGGUAAAGCUGUUCUCAAAAGUUCCGGAUCUCAAGAACCUUCCAAAGAACCCCAGUCAACCCCUUCUAAAGAAAAAUUACUUUCUUCUGCCCUACCCAUCAAAUCAUGGAUUGAAUUGGUUGAAGAACAUGAAGCCCAAUACAAACCCAUCUCUUCUGAUGAUCAAGUAAAGCAUUGGAUGAGUUCCAUUACAAAAUCUCCCGAGCUCAUGCUCGCUCUACAAAACCUUUCCCAGAGCCAAAAUUCUCCUAAAAAAGAAAUUAAGAGCAUAUCCACAUCUAAAGAAAUUACAAAACCCUCCUCUCAAAAUGUUGUUGUCUCUGCCGAAAGCUCAUCUUCCCAAAUUGUGCUUUCUCAGCCAACACCUUCAAAGAAAACCUCCGAUUGGUUUGAUAAAACCCAUUUUCAAAAUAUUCUUUCUAUGGAAGAUGGAUUUUACCAUACUGAUCCUUUUCAAAGCAUUUCAAAGUUUUUUCCCAAAGGCUGGUUUUUCAAACCAUGGGAUUUGACAAAACCCCAGUCUUAUUAUCAAAGCAUUUUAGAAAUAACUGAAUCAGUUAAAUUCAAACAUUUCUUUCUUGAUAAAACCCAUUCUGAACCGGCCUAUUCCACGGCCACGAUUCUAAAAGUUUUGAGCCCGAACCAGUGGGGCGACCUACUCCACAAUUUCAAAAUCUUUCCUUUAAACUUUGAAACCCGUUUACCACAUUGUCGGACUUUCUCCUACUGGGAUUACCAACAAGCAUGGUAUAACACCUUUUUUAUUCAAAACCCUAAAAAAUCCCAUUCUUGGUUAUUUUUCUUUAACCCUAAAAUAACCGUCCAAAGCCUUCCAAACUGGUUCCAUCAUUGGUGGAAUUUCUUUGGCCCAAUACCUCAAAUCCUCACUCCAAAUGCCAUAAAUUGCCUAAACCUCUUUAAAGCCCACUAUAUGCCCUCUGACUCAGAGAAAAGAUUUCCCCCCUUUCUCUGUUUUUGUACAAACUUCUUCCUACCAUGGGUCUGGAUGUGGAACCUCCGUUUUCAUACUCAAGAUUCCCAAGUCAUCCUUCAAAGAACCUUUAAAGUCAAAUGGUGGUCAAAAUUUGAUGAACAGUCCAAGACAUCAAGGAAACCAUUCCUGUCUUGUAAUCUUCCCGUCUUUCAAUCUUCCCUUCAGGAAAGAUUUGAAAAUUGUAAAGACCAAGACUAUCAAAGCAAAGAUGUAUGUUUAAAUUUCAGUUAUUUAAUUUCGAUGUAAUUUAAAUUUUCGCAAUUUACUUUUCUGCAAUUUAAUUUCAUGCAUAUUUACAUUAAAGCAAUUUAUUUUUAAAGCAAUUUUCUUUUCAAAGCAUGCAAAGCAGACUGGUCUUUAUCAGAUCUGCCAUAAAAUUUGUACGUUCCUCUGAGGCAAAGAGACCGGAUCUCGAUCCUCAGUUGUAAAUCUUCUCUUCUUCCUCCAUUCCUUCAGAGCACCAUUUCCGGGAUCCGGAUCUGGUACUGUGUAUGUACCCAAGCCCCUUAAAGAAUCUAAUUUAAAUCUGGAAUUAGCCCAAUAAAAAGAAACAACCACGUUUAAAGCAACUUAAUUUUAUCUGGUAAAUAUAUUAAAGUAUAUAGGCUGGAAACCCGAACGUGCGGACUAUUGAUCUGUUCUAAGUCAGAUCUGGGUCCAAAGGCAGAUUAACUUCUGCGAUCGAUCUGGUCUAACAACGCCACGUACUUUAAAUAUUCUAAAAAUUUGACCAACCGCGUUCAAAUUUGUUUGAUCAUUGUAUGCUCUAAAACAAAUCUACUUAAUCUAAAGCUGGUAAUCUUAUAUAAAAUCUGAACAACCGCGAUCCAAUUAUUUCAUUAAAGCAAUCAAUAAAGAAGCAUCUUCAAUACACACCCAUCCUUCGAUCCUAUUUCCUUCUGGUAUCAGAGCCAAGGGGAGGAUUGUGUAAAGCAGUUUAGAGUUUUGUGUUUUGAAAACUUGUGUUUUAUUUUGAAGUUUUGUUUUUGUGGUGAAUUUUUACUGGUAGUAAGUCCCGUCUAAGGAUAAGUUUUCCGUUUAGGGCUGUAAAACCAUACCUGUAGCCAUUCUUUCAAAACCACUAAAUAGAUCAUAGGUUUUUACCCAUGAACCCUCUACACUGUAGAACAUCGUCUUUUUCUAGCUCUUCUUCCGGGAAGACUAGUGAUUCAAAGCAUGUUGUGAGUUCAGAAGAAUUCGUUAUUGAAAACUUUGAUAAAGCAAUUGAUUGUUGGGAACUUCCAAAAAUUUCCAAAGAAAAGAUUUACAAAACAAAAAUGCUUGAUCUUUUAAAACAUGAUUAUAUUAUAAAAACUGAAGAAAGAGACAUAACUCUUUCGGAGCCUUUUGAAACAAUUUAUUUGUUUUCAGAAAAAUCUUUAAAGAAAUUAAAAGAAAAGAAUUUCAAAUAUAUUCACAUUGGUUUAAUCCAAGUAGGAAUAAAACCUUUGACCAAAGAAGGCUUGGAUACCUCUAUCCUUGCUGUUCUUAGAGAUGGGCGAUUCAUCUCUUUUGAUGAUUCUUUACUAAGUAGUAUCGAAUCUAGUCUAUGUAAAGGUCCCAUAUCUUUUGAUUGUUAUCCAAAUAUAACAAUUUCUCUUAAAGACAAAAAUAUUUUAAAGAGCAUGAUUUUACAAAUCCAAACCCAUAAUUAUCACAUGAUUAAGGGAUCCAUCCCAGUUGCAUUAAUUUUUAAAAUUUCCUAUAAAGCCAUGAUUUCUGCAUUUAGCACACAGCAUAAAUACCAGUCGAAGAGAGAUGAGACCCUUCUCUUGCAGACUGAUUUGUCUAAAGCCAACAUGGUCAUUCCAAAAUCGAUCCAAUGGAAAGAUAUCCAUCUUCCAGAUGAAUGGAUCCUCGAAGGAGCCGCCCCACCAGCGAUUCCGAAACAACUUGAGCCAAAUACAGAGUUACAAAAUGUGACCCAGUAUUCCGAUGGUAAAGUCAAACUAUCAUUCAGAAGGUCUACCUCACAUAGAUUUUCUGAAAAAGAAUCGAGCCCAAGCAUUCCUUCACUAGAAAGGAAGUUUACAAAAGUACCUUCUGUUAUAAAUCUCCCAUAUCAGAGCCAACCUAGGUUUUCCACUUCGGAUAUACCUAGCUCCUCCAUCCGUUCCGUUGACUAUGCCACAAGUGUUCCUCAUCCUAUAUACACUAGUAGUCAACAUGUGCAAAGACAGGAAGAGAAGGAACCUUCUCCUCCAACAUCUCCUACGUUUUCUGCUGUCACAGAAAAUGUCAUUAAUGUCAUUGAAAAAGAAUUUGAAUUAGAUAAAGCCUUUCUGCAUAACGAUUUUUAUUCAGAAAUAAAUAAAGAAAAAAGAACUUGGUUUUUUAAACAUUUUUUAAACCAAAGAAAAGAAAUCCAACAAACUUAUUAUGAAUUUGUGAAUUUUCAUAAAGUUCAUAUAUUGUUUUUUGAUUGGUUCGAAAUAUAUUCUUCUGAGAACAAUAUUGAUUAUCCUUUUAAAGAGUCAAACCCUAUAACUAUUAGAAAGAAAAUUCCUGAAUGGAAACUUUCUGAUAAUGAUAGGAUUAUAGAGUCUGAUCAUCCACCUCUUAGGAGUAUAACCAUAGAUCAUGGUGAACCUCCUAUUGAGAUUAAAGCAUCCCCUUACAAAAUCCCAAGACCAAAUGAUUCUGAUGCGAAUUUAAGUAGUAUUAUACAACAGAAUAAUUUCUGUAAUACUAACUUAAAUACAAUUGGAAAGCAAUUGGCUCGUAUAGAAAACCAAUUUCAAAAAUCUCCUAUAUCUGUUUCUCCUAUUCCUAUGUCUAUUCCUUCAAAAUCGGAUUCUGACAAAAAGCUUAAGGAACCUAUUUCAAACCUUUUCAGGUUUCGAAAACUAGCCAAAGGCUUGUUCAAGAGUCAAAAUCAGAUUUUGCUAAAGCCAUUAGAGAACAACUAGAGAGGAUAGAAGCUGCUUCUUCCUCGUCUAGCAAACUCCAGAUAGCCCCCGAUACCCCCCAAUCUAGCAAGAUUGGAGUAUUGGAUCUAGAUGACCAGAGUUCUAUAGCCUCUUCUGACUUAGAAGCUUUCAAAGAAGAACCUUCUACUCCUAAAGCCAACAAAAUCCACUGGGAAUUAGCCCUUCCCACUGUCAAGACCCCACCAGAUCUAGCAAUAGAUAAUAGACCUAGUGCAUUAAAUCAAUCCCGUUAUAAUGCAUCUUCAGUCUAUGAGUGGAAUAUUGACGGCAUGUCUGAGUACAAUAUCCUUGGAUUGUUGCAACAAAUGACAAUGGCAGCUAAUGCUUAUAAAACCCAAGCAGGAACUUCUGAUCGUGCCAUAUCAGAAAUCCUAAUUGCUGGUUUUACUGGUCAACUAAAAGGUUGGUGGGAUCAUCUUCUCACUAAUCAGCAACAAUUUGACAUUCUAAAUUCCGUCCAAAAAGAUGAAAAUGGAGCCUCUAUUCUUGAUGAGUUCAACAACCCUAUCCAGGAUGCUGUUGCUACUCUUAUUCUAACCAUUUCCCUCCAUUUCAUCGGUGACCCUUCUCACCUUCGUGAUAAAAACGCUGAGUUACUACAUAAUUUGAGAUGUAGAAAACUUAGUGAAUUUCAGAGUUACAAAACCUCUUUCCUUACCAGACUAUUUCUAAGGGAUGAUGCAAAUCAUAUUACUUGGAAAGAAAAAUUUCUUGCUGGAUUACCUACCCUUUUAGGUGAAAAGGUAAGAAAUUCCAUCAAAGCCCUUUACGAUAACCGUAUUCCUUAUGACGAGCUCACCUAUGGUGAACUAGUCAGUUUUGUCAACAAAGAAGGUUUAAAGAUUUGUCAAGAUUUGAAAUUACAGAAACGUCUUAAGUGGGAGCUUAAGAAGUCUAAACAGGAAUUAGGCGGUUUCUGUAAGCAAUUCAAUUAUGACCCCUUUAAAACUUCCAAAGAUUGUAAUGGAGUGUGUUCUACAAAACCUCGUAAGAAACAUUACAAAUCUAAACAUUUUAGAAAACCCUUCCGUGAUUUUAGAAAACUUCCUUAUAAGAAACCUUCGAAGCCUUAUAAGAGACAUAGUUUCUCUAAAAAGAAAGAUUUCAAAGCCAAACCUAAUACCCCAUUCAACUUCAAGGAGGCCACAUGUUUCAAAUGUGGUAUGAAAGGUCAUACUGCAAAAUUUUGCAGAAUGAACAAAAGACUCCAAGAACUUGACCUCAAUGAGGACAUCCUUUCUAAAAUAGCCCCUCUUCUUGUCGAAUCUUCUGAUUCUGAGUCUUCCAUGUCGGGAGACAGUGACCCUUACCAAGUUGAUGAGCUUUUUGACUCAGAUGACUCUGCAUCUAGCAGUAGUGAUUCUGAAUCUGAUUCAUUUUUAAAGAAAAUCAAUGUUUUGACUAAAGACCAAGAAACUUUUCUUGAACUUGUAAAGCAUAUUUCUGAUCCAAAUCUUCAAAAGGAAUACCUUGAUAAACUUUUGAAAACAUUGGAUUUUAAUAAAGCCGAGACUUCUAGAGUCCCAAUUAUUAAAAAGAAUUCUUAUGAUCUUACUCAAAUUUUGGAUAAGAAGAAAACAAAAAAGAUGAUUCCUAAUAUCCAAGAUCUUCAGAAAGAGAUAAAAGAAAUCAAAAGUGAAAUCAGAGAUUUAAAAGAAAAACAAAAAAGUGAUUCUGAUAUUAUUCAACUUCUUUUACAAAAGCAAUUACAGGAUAAUUCAGACAAUGAAUCCAGUCCUGAUAUUGAUGGUGAUGAUAUUAAAGUAGAAAAUAUUGAGUCUGUACCCAAUGAUUUUCUAUUUGUUCUAAAACAAAUCACCACAAGAAAGUAUUUGAUUAAAGUCACUCUAAUCUUUUCUGAUGAUUUUGCGAUGGACGCCAUUGCCCUUUUUGAUACUGGCGCCGAUUUAAAUUGCAUUAGAGAAGAUAUCGUCCCCAAAAGAUUUCAUGAAAAAACAAAAGAAAGGCUUUCUGCCGCCAAUAAUUCAAAAUUGAAUGUCAGUUCCAAGGUUGAAGCCUCGAUCUAUAAUGAUGGUUUUGAUUUUAAAACUUCCUUUGUUCUCACAAAUGAUAUUCAUCAUGCCAUUAUUUUGGGAACUCCUUUUAUAAAUCUCAUAACUCCGUAUACUGUCAAUUAUGAUAGUAUAUCUUUCAAAGCAAAAAACAAGAAACUUGUUUUCCCUUUUAUUGAAAAACCUAAAACAAGAAAUUUAAAUAUUGUUAAAGCCUGUUCUAUUUAUCAAAAUAGAAUAAACAAUUUACUUAAAUCAAAACAGUGUGAUCUAAUGUUUUUACAAAAAGAUUUGAACUUACAAAGAGUUGAAAGCCAAUUACAAAGUGAUUUCAUUAAAAGAAAAAUUUCUGAUUUCAAAACUCUUAUUGAAAAAGAAAUUUGUGCUGAUCUACCUUCUGCUUUUUGGAAUAGAAAACAACAUUUAGUAGACCUGCCUUAUGAAAAUUCUUUUGAUGAAAAACAGAUUCCGACCAAAGCUCGUCCAAUUCAAAUGAAUAUGGAUUUAGAAAAACAUUGUAAAAAUGAAAUCAAAGACUUGGAGUCUAAAGGACUCAUUGUAAAAUCCAGGUCUCCUUGGUCUUGUGCUGCUUUUUAUGUUAACAAAAACUCCGAAAUUGAAAGAGGCACUCCAAGACUAGUUAUAAACUACAAACCUUUGAAUAAAGCUUUAAAAUGGAUUAGGUAUCCUAUACCUAAUAAAAAAGAUUUACUCCAAAAACUCUGUUCUGCCUUUAUUUUUUCAAAAUUCGACAUGAAAUCGGGUUUUUGGCAAAUUCAAAUUCAUCCAAAUGACCGUUACAAAACCGCUUUCACUGUUCCAUUUGGACAAUACGAAUGGACUGUUAUGCCCUUUGGUUUAAAGAAUGCACCCUCAGAAUUUCAAAGAAUUAUGAAUGAUAUUUAUAAUCCUUAUUCUGAUUUUUGCAUUGUUUAUAUUGAUGAUGUUUUGAUAUUUCAAAUUCAAUCGAUCAACAUUUCAAACAUUUAAAGACUUUUUAUUUUGCUACAAAAAAGGCUGGACUAGCCCUUUCUAGUUCAAAGAUUUCAUUAUUUCAAACGAAAAUCAGAUUUCUUGGUCACUAUAUUUCAAAAGGAACAAUCACCCCUAUUGAAAGAUCACUUUUAUUUGCUGAUAAAUUCCCUGAUAAAAUCCUUGACAAAACUCAAUUACAAAGAUUUCUUGGUAGCCUAAAUUAUGUUCUUGAUUUCUGUCCCAAUAUCAAUAGGUUGUCUAAACCUUUGCAUGAUCGUUUAAAGAAAAAAACCUGCUCCAUGGACAGAUGAACAUACUAAAGCUGUUAAAUUAAUAAAGAGUUCUGUUAAAAGCAUCCCAUGUCUAUAUCUUGCAAAUCCUGCAUUCCCUAAAAUUGUUGAAACUGAUGCAUCUGAUUUAGGAUAUGGAGGUAUAUUAAAACAAAAAGAAAAUGAUAGAGAACAGAUAGUACAAUAUGUUUCUGCACAUUGGAAUGAUUGUCAGAAAAAUUAUUCUACUAUUAAAAAAGAAAUUCUUUCCAUUGUUUUAUGCAUUACAAAAUUUCAAAGUGAUUUAUUAAAUCAAAAAUUUUUACUUAGAAUUGAUUGCAAAGCUGCAAAACAUGUUUUAGAAAAGGAUGUUCAAAACAUUGCAUCAAAACAAAUUUUUGCACGUUGGCAAGCUAUUUUGAGUGUUUUUGAUUUUGAUAUAGAAUUCAUUAAAGGUGAUAAAAAUUUUGUUCCUGAUUUUCUAACCAGAGAAUUUCUUCAAAACAGAUAAUGCCGCUAAAGAAAGACAAAGGUAAAGCUGUUCUCAAAAGUUCCGGAUCUCAAGAACCUUCCAAAGAACCCCAGUCAACCCCUUCUAAAGAAAAAUUACUUUCUUCUGCCCUACCCAUCAAAUCAUGGAUUGAAUUGGUUGAAGAACAUGAAGCCCAAUACAAACCCAUCUCUUCUGAUGAUCAAGUAAAGCAUUGGAUGAGUUCCAUUACAAAAUCUCCCGAGCUCAUGCUCGCUCUACAAAACCUUUCCCAGAGCCAAAAUUCUCCUCAAAAAGAAAUUAAGAGCAUAUCCACAUCUAAAGAAAUUACAAAACCCUCCUCUCAAAAUGUUGUUGUCUCUGCCGAAAGCUCAUCUUCCCAAAUUGUGCUUUCUCAGCCAACACCUUCAAAGAAAACCUCCGAUUGGUUUGAUAAAACCCAUUUUCAAAAUAUUCUUUCUAUGGAAGAUGGAUUUUACCAUACUGAUCCUUUUCAAAGCAUUUCAAAGUUUUUUCCCAAAGGCUGGUUUUUCAAACCAUGGGAUUUGACAAAACCCCAGUCUUAUUAUCAAAGCAUUUUAGAAAUAACUGAAUCAGUUAAAUUCAAACAUUUCUUUCUUGAUAAAACCCAUUCUGAACCGGCCUAUUCCACGGCCACGAUUCUAAAAGUUUUGAGCCCGAACCAGUGGGGCGACCUACUCCACAAUUUCAAAACCUUUCCUUUAAACUUUGAAACCCGUUUACCACAUUGUCGGACUUUCUCCUACUGGGAUUACCAACAAGCAUGGUAUAACACCUUUUUUAUUCAAAACCCUAAAAAAUCCCAUUCUUGGUUAUUUUUCUUUAACCCUAAAAUAACCGUCCAAAGCCUUCCAAACUGGUUCCAUCAUUGGUGGAAUUUCUUUGGCCCAAUACCUCAAAUCCUCACUCCAAAUGCCAUAAAUUGCCUAAACCUCUUUAAAGCCCACUAUAUGCCCUCUGACUCAGAGAAAAGAUUUCCCCCCUUUCUCUGUUUUUGUACAAACUUCUUCCUACCAUGGGUCUGGAUGUGGAACCUCCGUUUUCAUACUCAAGAUUCCCAAGUCAUCCUUCAAAGAACCUUUAAAGUCAAAUGGUGGUCAAAAUUUGAUGAACAGUCCAAGACAUCAAGGAAACCAUUCCUGUCUUGUAAUCUUCCCGUCUUUCAAUCUUCCCUUCAGGAAAGAUUUGAAAAUUGUAAAGACCAAGACUAUCAAAGCAAAGAUGUAUGUUUAAAUUUCAGUUAUUUAAUUUCGAUGUAAUUUAAAUUUUCGCAAUUUACUUUUCUGCAAUUUAAUUUCAUGCAUAUUUACAUUAAAGCAAUUUAUUUUUAAAGCAAUUUUCUUUUCAAAGCAUGCAAAGCAGACUGGUCUUUAUCAGAUCUGCCAUAAAAUUUGUACGUUCCUCUGAGGCAAAGAGACCGGAUCUCGAUCCUCAGUUGUAAAUCUUCUCUUCUUCCUCCAUUCCUUCAGAGCACCAUUUCCGGGAUCCGGAUCUGGUACUGUGUAUGUACCCAAGCCCCUUAAAGAAUCUAAUUUAAAUCUGGAAUUAGCCCAAUAAAAAGAAACAACCACGUUUAAAGCAACUUAAUUUUAUCUGGUAAAUAUAUUAAAGUAUAUAGGCUGGAAACCCGAACGUGCGGACUAUUGAUCUGUUCUAAGUCAGAUCUGGGUCCAAAGGCAGAUUAACUUCUGCGAUCGAUCUGGUCUAACAAACGCCAACGUACUUUAAAUAUUCUAAAAAUUUGACCAACCGCGUUCAAAUUUGUUUGAUCAUUGUAUGCUCUAAAACAAAUCUACUUAAUCUAAAGCUGGUAAUCUUAUAUAAAAUCUGAACAACCGCGAUCCAAUUAUUUCAUUAAAGCAAUCAAUAAAGAAGCAUCUUCAAUACACACCCAUCCUUCGAUUCUAUUUCCUUCUGGUAUCAGAGCCAAGGGGAGGAUUGUGUAAAGCAGUUUAGAGUUUUGUGUUUUGAAAACUUGUGUUUUAUUUUUGAAGUUUUGUUUUUUGUGGUGAAUUUUUACUGGUAGUAAGUCCCGUCUAAGGAUAAGUUUUCCGUUUAGGGCUGUAAAACCAUACCUGUAGCCAUUCUUUCAAAACCACUAAAUAGAUCAUAGGUUUUUACCCAUGAACCCUCUACACUGUAGAACAUCGUCCUUUUCUAGCUCUUCUUCCGGGAAGACUAGUGAUUCAAAGCAUGUUGUGAGUUCAGAAGAAUUCGUUAUUGAAAACUUUGAUAAAGCAAUUGAUUGUUGGGAACUUCCAAAAAUUCCAAAGAAAAGAUUACAAAACAAAAAUGCUUGAUCUUUUAAAACAUGAUUAUAUUAUAAAAACUGAAGAAAGAGGACAUAACUCUUUCGGAGCCUUUUGAAACAAUUUAUUUGUUUUCAGAAAAAUCUUUAAAGAAAUUAAAAGAAAAGAAUUUCAAAUAUAUUCACAUUGGUUUAAUCCAAGUAGGAAUAAAACCUUUGACCAAAGAAGGCUUGGAUACCUCUAUCCUUGCUGUUCUUAGAGAUGGGCGAUUCAUCUCUUUUGAUGAUUCUUUACUAAGUAGUAUCGAAUCUAGUCUAUGUAAAGGUCCAUAUCUUUUGAUUGUUAUCCAAAUAUAACAAUUUCUCUUAAAGACAAAAAUAUUUAAAGAGCAUGAUUUUACAAAUCCAAACCCAUAAUUAUCACAUGAUUAAGGGAUCCAUCCCAGUUGCAUUAAUUUUUAAAAUUUCCUAUAAAGCCAUGAUUUCUGCAUUUAGCACACAGCAUAAAUACCAGUCGAAGAGAGAUGAGACCCUUCUCUUGCAGACUGAUUUGUCUAAAGCCAACAUGGUCAUUCCAAAAUCGAUCCAAUGGAAAGAUAUCCAUCUUCCAGAUGAAUGGAUCCUCGAAGGAGCCGCCCCACCGGCGAUUCCGAAACAACUUGAGCCAAAUACAGAGUUACAAAAUGUGACCCAGUAUUCCGAUGGUAAAGUCAAACUAUCAUUCAGAAGGUCUACCUCACAUAGAUUUUCUGAAAAAGAAUCGAGCCCAAGCAUUCCUUCACUAGAAAGGAAGUUUACAAAAGUACCUUCUGUUAUAAAUCUCCCAUAUCAGAGCCAACCUAGGUUUUCCACUUCGGAUAUACCUAGCUCCUCCAUCCGUUCCGUUGACUAUGCCACAAGUGUUCCUCAUCCUAUAUACACUAGUAGUCAACAUGUGCAAAGACAGGAAGAGAAGGAACCUUCUCCUCCAACAUCUCCUACGUUUUCUGCUGUCACAGAAAAUGUCAUUAAUGUCAUUGAAAAAGAAUUUGAAUUAGAUAAAGCCUUUCUGCAUAACGAUUUUUAUUCAGAAAUAAAUAAAGAAAAAAGAACUUGGUUUUUUAAACAUUUUUUUAAACCAAAGAAAAGAAAUCCAACAAACUUAUUAUGAAUUUGUGAAUUUUCAUAAAGUUCAUAUAUUGUUUUUUGAUUGGUUCGAAAUAUAUUCUUCUGAGAACAAUAUUGAUUAUCCUUUUAAAGAGUCAAACCCUAUAACUAUUAGAAAGAAAAUUCCUGAAUGGAAACUUUCUUGAUAAUGAUAGGAUUAUAGAGUCUGAUCAUCCACCUCUUAGGAGUAUAACCAUAGAUCAUGGUGAAACCUCCUAUUGAGAUUAAAGCAUCCCCUUACAAAUCCCAAGACCAAAUGAUUCUGAUGCGAAUUUAAGUAGUAUUAUACAACAGAAUAAUUUCUGUAAUACUAACUUAAAUACAAUUGGAAAGCAAUUGGCUCGUAUAGAAAACCAAUUUCAAAAAUCUCCUAUAUCUGUUUCUCCUAUUCCUAUGUCUAUUCCUUCAAAAUCGGAUUCUGACAAAAAGCUUAAGGAACCUAUUUUCAAACCUUUUCAGGUUUCGAAAACUAGCCAAAGGCUUGUUCAAGAGUCAAAAUCAGAUUUUGCUAAAGCCAUUAGAGAACAACUAGAGAGGAUAGAAGCUGCUUCUUCCUCGUCUAGCAAACUCCAGAUAGCCCCGAUACCCCCCAAUCUAGCAAGAUUGGAGUAUUGGAUCUAGAUGACCAGAGUUCUAUAGCCUCUUCUGACUUAGAAAGCUUUCAAAGAAGAACCUUCUACUCCUAAAGCCAACAAAUCCACUGGGAAUUAGCCCUUCCCACUGUCAAGACCCCACCAGAUCUAGCAAUAGAUAAUAGACCUAGUGCAUUAAAUCAAUCCGUUAUAAUGCAUCUUCAGUCUAUGAGUGGAAUAUUGACGGCAUGUCUGAGUACAAUAUCCUUGGAUUGUUGCAACAAAAUGACAAUGGCAGCUAAUGCUUAUAAAACCCAAGCAGGAACUUCUGAUCGUGCCAUAUCGGAAAUCCUAAUUGCUGGUUUUACUGGUCAACUAAAAGGUUGGUGGGAUCAUCUUCUCACUAAUCAGCAACAAUUUGACAUUCUAAAUUCCGUCCAAAAAGAUGAAAAUGGAGCCUCUAUUCUUGAUGAGUUCAACAACCCUAUCCAGGAUGCUGUUGCUACUCUUAUUCUAACCAUUUCCCUCCAUUUCAUCGGUGACCCUUCUCACCUUCGUGAUAAAAACGCUGAGUUACAUAAUUUGAGAUGUAGAAAACUUAGUGAAUUUCAGAGUUACAAAACCUCUUUCCUUACCAGACUAUUUCUAAGGGAUGAUGCAAAUCAUAUUACUUGGAAAGAAAAAUUUCUUGCUGGAUUACCUACCUUUUAGGUGAAAAGGUAAGAAAUUCCAUCAAAGCCCUUUACGAUAACCGUAUUCCUUAUGACGAGCUCACCUAUGGUGAACUAGUCAGUUUUGUCAACAAAGAAGGUUUAAAGAUUUGUCAAGAUUUGAAAUUACAGAAACGUCUUAAGUGGGAGCUUAAGAAGUCUAAACAGGAAUUAGGCGGUUUCUGUAAGCAAUUCAAUUAUGACCCCUUUAAAACUUCCAAAGAUUGUAAUGGAGAGUGUUCUACAAACCUCGUAAGAAACAUUACAAAUCUAAACAUUUUAGAAAACCCUUCCGUGAUUUUAGAAAACUUCCUUAUAAGAAACCUUCGAAGCCUUAUAAGAGACAUAGUUUCUCUAAAAAGAAAGAUUUCAAAGCCAAACCUAAUACCCAUUCAACUUCAAGGAGGCCACAUGUUUCAAAUGUGGUAUGAAAGGUCAUACUGCAAAAUUUUGCAGAAUGAACAAAAGACUCCAAGAACUUGACCUCAAUGAGGACAUCCUUUCUAAAAUAGCCCCUCUUCUUGUCGAAUCUUCUGAUUCUGAGUCUUCCAUGUCGGGAGACAGUGACCCUUACCAAGUUGAUGAGCUUUUUGACUCAGAUGACUCUGCAUCUAGCAGUAGUGAUUCUGAAUCUGAUUCAUUUUUAAAGAAAAUCAAUGUUUUGACUAAAGACCAAGAAACUUUUCUUGAACUUGUAAAGCAUAUUUCUGAUCCAAAUCUUCAAAAGGAAUACCUUGAUAAACUUUUGAAAACAUUGGAUUUUAAUAAAGCCGAGACUUCUAGAGUCCCAAUUGUUAAAAAGAAUUCUUAUGAUCUUACUCAAAUUUUGGAUAAGAAGAAAACAAAAAAGAUGAUUCCUAAUAUCCAAGAUCUUCAGAAAGAGAUAAAAGAAAUCAAAAGUGAAAUCAGAGAUUUAAAAGAAAAACAAAAAAGUGAUUCUGAUAUUAUUCAACUUCUUUUACAAAAGCAAUUACAGGAUAAUUCAGACAAUGAAUCUAGUCCUGAUAUUGAUGGUGAUGAUAUUAAAGUAGAAAAUAUUGAGUCUGUACCCAAUGAUUUUCUAUUUGUUCUAAAACAAAUCACCACAAGAAAGUAUUUGAUUAAAGUCACUCUAAUCUUUUCUGAUGAUUUUGCNNNNNNNNNNNNNNNNNNNNNNNNNNNNNNNNNNNNNNNNNNNNNNNNNNNNNNNNNNNNNNNNNNNNNNNNNNNNNNNNNNNNNNNNNNNNNNNNNNNNNNNNNNNNNNNNNNNNNNNNNNNNNNNNNNNNNNNNNNNNNNNNNNNNNNNNNNNNNNNAAUAGCUUGCCAACGUGCAAAAAUCUGUUUUGAUGCAAUGUUUUGAACAUCCUUUUCUAAAACAUGUUUUGCAGCUUUGCAAUCAAUUCUAAGUAAAAAUUUUUGAUUUAAUAAAUCACUUUGAAAUUUUGUAAUGCAUAAAACAAUGGAAAGAAUUUCUUUUUUAAUAGUAGAAUAAUUUUUCUGACAAUCAUUCCAAUGUGCAGAAACAUAUUGUACUAUCUGUUCUCUAUCAUUUUCUUUUUGUUUUAAUAUACCUCCAUAUCCUAAAUCAGAUGCAUCAGUUUCAACAAUUUUAGGGAAUGCAGGAUUUGCAAGAUAUAGACAUGGGAUGCUUUUAACAGAACUCUUUAUUAAUUUAACAGCUUUAGUAUGUUCAUCUGUCCAUGGAGAGUUUUUUCUUUAAACGAUCAUGCAAAGGUUUAGACAACCUAUUGAUAUUGGGACAGAAAUCAAGAACAUAAUUUAGGCUACCAAGAAAUCUUUGUAAUUGAGUUUUGUCAAGAUUUUAUCAGGGAAUUAUCAGCAAAUAAAAGUGAUCUUUCAAUAGGGGUGAUUGUUCCUUUUGAAAUAUAGUGACCAAGAAAUCUGAUUUUCGUUUGAAAUAAUGAAAUCUUUGAACUAGAAAGGGCUAGUCCAGCCUUUUUUGUAGCAAAAUAAAAAGUCUUUAAAUGUUUGAAAUGUUGAUCGAUUGAAUUUGAAAUAUCAAAACAUCAUCAAUAUAAACAAUGCAAAAAUCAGAAUAAGGAUUAUAAAUAUCAUUCAUAAUUCUUUGAAAUUCUGAGGGUGCAUUCUUUAAACCAAAGGCAUAACAGUCCAUUCGUAUUGUCCAAAUGGAACAGUGAAAGCGGUUUUGUAACGGUCAUUUGGAUGAAUUUGAAUUUGCCAAAAACCCGAUUUCAUGUCGAAUUUUGAAAAAAUAAAGGCAGAACAGAGUUUUUGGAGUAAAUCUUUUUAUUAGGUAUAGGAUACCUAAUCCAUUUUAAAGCUUUAUUCAAAGGUUUGUAGUUUAUAACUAGUCUUGGAGUGCCUCUUUCAAUUUCGGAGUUUUUGUUAACAUAAAAAGCAGCACAAGACCAAGGAGACCUGGAUUUUACAAUGAGUCCUUUAGACUCCAAGUCUUUGAUUUCAUUUUACAAUGUUUUUUCUAAAUCCAUAUUCAUUUGAAUUGGACGAGCUUUGGUCGGAAUCUGUUUUUCAUCAAAAGAAUUUUCAUAAGGCAGAUCUACUAAAUGUUGUUUUCUAUUCCAAAAAGCAGAAGGUAGAUCAGCACAAAUUUCUUUUUCAAUAAGAGUUUUGAAAUCAGAAAUUUUUCUUUUAAUGAAAUCACUUUGUAAUUGGCUUUCAACUCUUUGUAAGUUCAAAUCUUUUUGUAAAAACAUUAGAUCACACUGUUUUGAUUUAAGUAAAUUGUUUAUUCUAUUUUGAUAAAUAGAACAGGCUUUAACAAUAUUCAAAUUUCUUGUUUUAGGUUUUCAAUAAAAGGGAAAACAAGUUUCUUGUUUUUUGCUUUGAAAGAUAUACUAUCAUAAUUGACAGUAUACGGUUAUGAGAUUUAUAAAAGGAGUUCCCAAAAUAAUGGCAUGAUGAAUAUCAUUUGUGAGAACAAAGGAAGUUUUAAAAAUCAAAAUCAUUAUAGAUUGAGGCUUCAACCUUGGAACUGACAUUCAAUUUUGAAUUAUUGGCGGCAGAAAGCCUUUCUUUUGUUUUUUCAUGAAAUCUUUUGGGGACGAUAUCUUCUCUAAUGCAAUUUAAAUCGGCGCCAGUAUCAAAAAGGGCAAUGGCGUCCAUCGCAAAAUCAUCAGAAAAGAUUAGAGUGACUUUAAUCAAAUACUUUCUUGUGGUGAUUUGUUUUAGAACAAAUAGAAAAUCAUUGGGUACAGACUCAAUAUUUUCUACUUUAAUAUCAUCACCAUCAAUAUCAGGACUGGAUUCAUUGUCUGAAUUAUCCUGUAAUUGCUUUUGUAAAAGAAGUUGAAUAAUAUCAGAAUCACUUUUUUGUUUUUCUUUUAAAUCUCUGAUUUCACUUUUGAUUUCUUUUAUCUCUUUCUGAAGAUCUUGGAUAUUAGGAAUCAUCUUUUUUGUUUUCUUCUUAUCCAAAAUUUGAGUAAGAUCAUAAGAAUUCUUUUUAAUAAUUGGGACUCUAGAAGUCUCGGCUUUAUUAAAAUCCAAUGUUUUCAAAAGUUUAUCAAGGUAUUCCUUUUGAAGAUUUGGAUCAGAAAUAUGCUUUACAAGUUCAAGAAAAGUUUCUUGGUCUUUAGUCAAAACACUUGAUUUUCUUUUAAAAAUGAAUCAGAUUCAGAAUCACUACUGCUAGAUGCAGAGUCAUUGAGUCAAAAAGCUCAUCAACUUGGUAAGGGUCACUGUCUCCGACAUGGAAGACUCAGAAUCAGAAGAUUCGACAAGAAGAGGGGCUAUUUUAGAAAGGAUGUCCUCAUUGAGGUCAAGUUCUUGGAGUCUUUUGUUCAUUCUGCAAAAUUUUGCAGUAUGACCUUUCAUACCACAUUUGAAACAUGUGGCCUCCUUGAAGUUGAAUGGGGUAUUAGGUUUGGCUUUGAAAUCUUUCUUUUUAGAGAAACUAUUGUCUCUUAUAAGGCUUCGAAGGUUUCUUAUAAGGAAGUUUUCUAAAAUCACGAAGGGUUUUCUAAAAUGUUUAGAUUUGUAAUGUUUCUUACGAGGUUUUUGUAGACACUCUCCAUUACAAUCUUUGGAAGUUUUAAAAGGGGUCAUAAUUGAAUUGCUUACAGAAACCGCCUAAUUCCUGUUUAGACUUCUUAAGCUCCCACUUAAGACGUUUCUGUUAAUUUCAAAUCUUGACAAAUCUUUAAACCUUCUUUGUUGACAAAAACUGACUAGUUCACCAUAGGUGAGCUCGUCAUAAGGAAUACGGUUAUCGUAAAGGGCUUUGAUGGAAUUUCUUACCUUUUCACCUAAAAGGGUAGGUAAUCCAGCAAGAAAUUUUUCUUUCCAAGUAAUAUGAUUUGCAUCAUCCCUUAGAAAUAGUCUGGUAAGGAAAGAGGUUUUGUAACUCUGAAAUUCACUAAGUUUUCUACAUCUCAAAUUAUGUAGUAACUCAGCGUUUUUAUCACGAAGGUGAGAAGGGUCACCGAUGAAAUGGAGGGAAAUGGUUAGAAUAAGAGUAGCAACAGCAUCCUGGAUAGGGUUGUUGAACUCAUCAAGAAUAGAGGCUCCAUUUUCAUCUUUUUGGACGGAAUUUAGAAUGUCAAAUUGUUGCUGAUUAGUGAGAAGAUGAUCCCACCAACCUUUUAGUUGACCAGUAAAACCAGCAAUUAGGAUUUCCGAUAUGGCACGAUCAGAAGUUCCUGCUUGGGUUUUAUAAGCAUUAGCUGCCAUUGUCAUUUGUUGCAACAAUCCAAGGAUAUUGUACUCAGACAUGCCGUCAAUAUUCCACUCAUAGACUGAAGAUGCAUUAUAACGGGAUUGAUUUAAUGCACUAGGUCUAUUAUCUAUUGCUAGAUCUGGUGGGGUCUUGACAGUGGGAAGGGCUAAUUCCCAGUGGAUUUUGUUGGCUUUAGGAGUAGAAGGUUCUUCUUUGAAAGCUUCUAAGUCAGAAGAGGCUAUAGAACUCUGGUCAUCUAGAUCCAAUACUCCAAUCUUGCUAGAUUGGGGGGUAUCGGGGGCUAUCUGGAGUUUGCUAGACGAGGAAGAAGCAGCUUCUAUCCUCUCUAGUUGUUCUCUAAUGGCUUUAGCAAAAUCUGAUUUUGACUCUUGAACAAGCCUUUGGCUAGUUUUCGAAACCUGAAAAGGUUUGAAAAUAGGUUCCUUAAGCUUUUUGUCAGAAUCCGAUUUUGAAGGAAUAGACAUAGGAAUAGGAGAAACAGAUAUAGGAGAUUUUUGAAAUUGGUUUUCUAUACGAGCCAAUUGCUUUCCAAUUGUAUUUAAGUUAGUAUUACAGAAAUUAUUCUGUUGUAUAAUACUACUUAAAUUCGCAUCAGAAUCAUUUGGUCUUGGGAUUUUGUAAGGGGAUGCUUUAAUCUCAAUAGGAGGUUCACCAUGAUCUAUGGUUAUACUCCUAAGAGGUGGAUGAUCAGACUCUAUAAUCCUAUCAUUAUCAGAAAGUUUCCAUUCAGGAAUUUUCUUUCUAAUAGUUAUAGGGUUUGACUCUUUAAAAGGAUAAUCAAUAUUGUUCUCAGAAGAAUAUAUUUCGAACCAAUCAAAAAACAAUAUAUGAACUUUAUGAAAUUCACAAAUUCAUAAUAAGUUUGUUGGAUUUCUUUUCUUUGGUUUAAAAAAUGUUUAAAAAACCAAGUUCUUUUUUCUUUAUUUAUUUCUGAAUAAAAAUCGUUAUGCAGAAAGGCUUUAUCUAAUUCAAAUUCUUUUUCAAUGACAUUAAUGACAUUUUCUGUGACAGCAGAAAACGUAGGAGAUGUUGGAGGAGAAGGUUCCUUCUCUUCCUGUCUUUGCACAUGUUGACUACUAGUGUAUAUAGGAUGAGGAACACUUGUGGCAUAGUCAACGGAACGGAUGGAGGAGCUAGGUAUAUCCGAAGUGGAAAACCUAGGUUGGCUCUGAUAUGGGAGAUUUAUAACAGAAGGUACUUUUGUAAACUUCCUUUCUAGUGAAGGAAUGCUUGGGCUCGAUUCUUUUUCAGAAAAUCUAUGUGAGGUAGACCUUCUGAAUGAUAGUUUGACUUUACCAUCGGAAUACUGGGUCACAUUUUGUAACUCUGUAUUUGGCUCAAGUUGUUUCGGAAUCGCCGGUGGGGCGGCUCCUUCGAGGAUCCAUUCAUCUGGAAGAUGGAUAUCUUUCCAUUGGAUCGAUUUUGGAAUGACCAUGUUGGCUUUAGACAAAUCAGUCUGCAAGAGAAGGGUCUCAUCUCUCUUCGACUGGUAUUUAUGCUGUGUGCUAAAUGCAGAAAUCAUGGCUUUAUAGGAAAUUUUAAAAAUUAAUGCAACUGGGAUGGAUCCCUUAAUCAUGUGAUAAUUAUGGGUUUGGAUUUGUAAAAUCAUGCUCUUUAAAAUAUUUUUGUCUUUAAGAGAAAUUGUUAUAUUUGGAUAACAAUCAAAAGAUAUGGGACCUUUACAUAGACUAGAUUCGAUACUACUUAGUAAAGAAUCAUCAAAAGAGAUGAAUCGCCCAUCUCUAAGAACAGCAAGGAUAGAGGUAUCCAAACCUUCUUUGGUCAAAGGUUUUAUUCCUACUUGGAUUAAACCAAUGUGAAUAUAUUUGAAAUUCUUUUCUUUUAAUUUCUUUAAAGAUUUUUCUGAAAACAAAUAAAUUGUUUCAAAAGGCUCCGAAAGAGUUAUGUCUCUUUCUUCAGUUUUUAUAAUAUAAUCAUGUUUUAAAAGAUCAAGCAUUUUUGUUUUGUAAAUCUUUUCUUUGGAAAUUUUUGGAAGUUCCCAACAAUCAAUUGCUUUAUCAAAGUUUUCAAUAACGAAUUCUUCUGAACUCACAACAUGCUUUGAAUCACUAGUCUUCCCGGAAGAAGAGCUAGAAAAGGACGAUGUUCUACAGUGUAGAGGGUUCAUGGGUAAAAACCUAUGAUCUAUUUAGUGGUUUUGAAAGAAUGGCUACAGGUAUGGUUUUACAGCCCUAAACGGAAAACUUAUCCUUAGACGGGACUUACUACCAGUAAAAAUUCACCACAAAAACAAAACUUCAAAAUAAAACACAAGUUUUCAAAGCCAAGGGGAGGAUUGUGUAAAGCAGUUUAGAGUUUUGUGUUUUGAAAACUUGUGUUUUAUUUUGAAGUUUUGUUUUUGUGGUGAAUUUUUACUGGUAGUAAGUCCCGUCUAAGGAUAAGUUUUCCGUUUAGGGCUGUAAAACCAUACCUGUAGCCAUUCUUUCAAAACCACUAAAUAGAUCAUAGGUUUUUACCCAUGAACCCUCUACACUGUAGAACAUCGUCCUUUUCUAGCUCUUCUUCCGGGAAGACUAGUGAUUCAAAGCAUGUUGUGAGUUCAGAAGAAUUCGUUAUUGAAAACUUUGAUAAAGCAAUUGAUUGUUGGGAACUUCCAAAAAUUUCCAAAGAAAAGAUUUACAAAACAAAAAUGCUUGAUCUUUUAAAACAUGAUUAUAUUAUAAAAACUGAAGAAAGAGACAUAACUCUUUCGGAGCCUUUUGAAACAAUUUAUUUGUUUUCAGAAAAAUCUUUAAAGAAAUUAAAAGAAAAGAAUUUCAAAUAUAUUCACAUUGGUUUAAUCCAAGUAGGAAUAAAACCUUUGACCAAAGAAGGCUUGGAUACCUCUAUCCUUGCUGUUCUUAGAGAUGGGCGAUUCAUCUCUUUUUGAUGAUUCUUUACUAAGUAGUAUCGAAUCUAGUCUAUGUAAAGGUCCCAUAUCUUUUGAUUGUUAUCCAAAUAUAACAAUUUCUCUUAAAGACAAAAAUAUUUUAAAGAGCAUGAUUUUACAAAUCCAAACCCAUAAUUAUCACAUGAUUAAGGGAUCCAUCCCAGUUGCAUUAAUUUUUAAAAUUUCCUAUAAAGCCAUGAUUUCUGCAUUUAGCACACAGCAUAAAUACCAGUCGAAGAGAGAUGAGACCCUUCUCUUGCAGACUGAUUUGUCUAAAGCCAACAUGGUCAUUCCAAAAUCGAUCCAAUGGAAAGAUAUCCAUCUUCCAGAUGAAUGGAUCCUCGAAGGAGCCGCCCCACCGGCGAUUCCGAAACAACUUGAGCCAAAUACAGAGUUACAAAAUGUGACCCAGUAUUCCGAUGGUAAAGUCAAACUAUCAUUCAGAAGGUCUACCUCACAUAGAUUUUCUGAAAAAGAAUCGAGCCCAAGCAUUCCUUCACUAGAAAGGAAGUUUACAAAAGUACCUUCUGUUAUAAAUCUCCCAUAUCAGAGCCAACCUAGGUUUUCCACUUCGGAUAUACCUAGCUCCUCCAUCCGUUCCGUUGACUAUGCCACAAGUGUUCCUCAUCCUAUAUACACUAGUAGUCAACAUGUGCAAAGACAGGAAGAGAAGGAACCUUCUCCUCCAACAUCUCCUACGUUUUCUGCUGUCACAGAAAAUGUCAUUAAUGUCAUUGAAAAAGAAUUUGAAUUAGAUAAAGCCUUUCUGCAUAACGAUUUUUAUUCAGAAAUAAAUAAAGAAAAAAGAACUUGGUUUUUUAAACAUUUUUUAAACCAAAGAAAAGAAAUCCAACAAACUUAUUAUGAAUUUGUGAAUUUUCAUAAAGUUCAUAUAUUGUUUUUUGAUUGGUUCGAAAUAUAUUCUUCUGAGAACAAUAUUGAUUAUCCUUUUAAAGAGUCAAACCCUAUAACUAUUAGAAAGAAAAUUCCUGAAUGGAAACUUUCUGAUAAUGAUAGGAUUAUAGAGUCUGAUCAUCCACCUCUUAGGAGUAUAACCAUAGAUCAUGGUGAACCUCCUAUUGAGAUUAAAGCAUCCCCUUACAAAAUCCCAAGACCAAAUGAUUCUGAUGCGAAUUUAAGUAGUAUUAUACAACAGAAUAAUUUCUGUAAUACUAACUUAAAUACAAUUGGAAAGCAAUUGGCUCGUAUAGAAAACCAAUUUCAAAAAUCUCCUAUAUCUGUUUCUCCUAUUCCUAUGUCUAUUCCUUCAAAAUCGGAUUCUGACAAAAAGCUUAAGGAACCUAUUUUCAAACCUUUUCAGGUUUCGAAAACUAGCCAAAGGCUUGUUCAAGAGUCAAAAUCAGAUUUUGCUAAAGCCAUUAGAGAACAACUAGAGAGGAUAGAAGCUGCUUCUUCCUCGUCUAGCAAACUCCAGAUAGCCCCCGAUACCCCCCAAUCUAGCAAGAUUGGAGUAUUGGAUCUAGAUGACCAGAGUUCUAUAGCCUCUUCUGACUUAGAAGCUUUCAAAGAAGAACCUUCUACUCCUAAAGCCAACAAAAUCCACUGGGAAUUAGCCCUUCCCACUGUCAAGACUCCACCAGAUCUAGCAAUAGAUAAUAGACCUAGUGCAUUAAAUCAAUCCCGUUAUAAUGCAUCUUCAGUCUAUGAGUGGAAUAUUGACGGCAUGUCUGAGUACAAUAUCCUUGGAUUGUUGCAACAAAUGACAAUGGCAGCUAAUGCUUAUAAAACCCAAGCAGGAACUUCUGAUCGUGCCAUAUCGGAAAUCCUAAUUGCUGGUUUUACUGGUCAACUAAAAGGUUGGUGGGAUCAUCUUCUCACUAAUCAGCAACAAUUUGACAUUCUAAAUUCCGUCCAAAAAGAUGAAAAUGGAGCCUCUAUUCUUGAUGAGUUCAACAACCCUAUCCAGGAUGCUGUUGCUACUCUUAUUCUAACCAUUUCCCUCCAUUUCAUCGGUGACCCUUCUCACCUUCGUGAUAAAAACGCUGAGUUACUACAUAAUUUGAGAUGUAGAAAACUUAGUGAAUUUCAGAGUUACAAAACCUCUUUCCUUACCAGACUAUUUCUAAGGGAUGAUGCAAAUCAUAUUACUUGGAAAGAAAAAUUUCUUGCUGGAUUACCUACCCUUUUAGGUGAAAAGGUAAGAAAUUCCAUCAAAGCCCUUUACGAUAACCGUAUUCCUUAUGACGAGCUCACCUAUGGUGAACUAGUCAGUUUUGUCAACAAAGAAGGUUUAAAGAUUUGUCAAGAUUUGAAAUUACAGAAACGUCUUAAGUGGGAGCUUAAGAAGUCUAAACAGGAAUUAGGCGGUUUCUGUAAGCAAUUCAAUUAUGACCCCUUUAAAACUUCCAAAGAUUGUAAUGGAGAGUGUUCUACAAAACCUCGUAAGAAACAUUACAAAUCUAAACAUUUUAGAAAACCCUUCCGUGAUUUUAGAAAACUUCCUUAUAAGAAACCUUCGAAGCCUUAUAAGAGACAUAGUUUCUCUAAAAAGAAAGAUUUCAAAGCCAAACCUAAUACCCCAUUCAACUUCAAGGAGGCCACAUGUUUCAAAUGUGGUAUGAAAGGUCAUACUGCAAAAUUUUGCAGAAUGAACAAAAGACUCCAAGAACUUGACCUCAAUGAGGACAUCCUUUCUAAAAUAGCCCCUCUUCUUGUCGAAUCUUCUGAUUCUGAGUCUUCCAUGUCGGGAGACAGUGACCCUUACCAAGUUGAUGAGCUUUUUGACUCAGAUGACUCUGCAUCUAGCAGUAGUGAUUCUGAAUCUGAUUCAUUUUUAAAGAAAAUCAAUGUUUUGACUAAAGACCAAGAAACUUUUCUUGAACUUGUAAAGCAUAUUUCUGAUCCAAAUCUUCAAAAGGAAUACCUUGAUAAACUUUUGAAAACAUUGGAUUUUAAUAAAGCCGAGACUUCUAGAGUCCCAAUUAUUAAAAAGAAUUCUUAUGAUCUUACUCAAAUUUUGGAUAAGAAGAAAACAAAAAAGAUGAUUCCUAAUAUCCAAGAUCUUCAGAAAGAGAUAAAAGAAAUCAAAAGUGAAAUCAGAGAUUUAAAAGAAAAACAAAAAAGUGAUUCUGAUAUUAUUCAACUUCUUUUACAAAAGCAAUUACAGGAUAAUUCAGACAAUGAAUCCAGUCCUGAUAUUGAUGGUGAUGAUAUUAAAGUAGAAAAUAUUGAGUCUGUACCCAAUGAUUUUCUAUUUGUUCUAAAACAAAUCACCACAAGAAAGUAUUUGAUUAAAGUCACUCUAAUCUUUUCUGAUGAUUUUGCGAUGGACGCCAUUGCCCUUUUUGAUACUGGCGCCGAUUUAAAUUGCAUUAGAGAAGAUAUCGUCCCCAAAAGAUUUCAUGAAAAAACAAAAGAAAGGCUUUCUGCCGCCAAUAAUUCAAAAUUGAAUGUCAGUUCCAAGGUUGAAGCCUCGAUCUAUAAUGAUGGUUUUGAUUUUAAAACUUCCUUUGUUCUCACAAAUGAUAUUCAUCAUGCCAUUAUUUUGGGAACUCCUUUUAUAAAUCUCAUAACUCCGUAUACUGUCAAUUAUGAUAGUAUAUCUUUCAAAGCAAAAAACAAGAAACUUGUUUUCCCUUUUAUUGAAAAACCUAAAACAAGAAAUUUAAAUAUUGUUAAAGCCUGUUCUAUUUAUCAAAAUAGAAUAAACAAUUUACUUAAAUCAAAACAGUGUGAUCUAAUGUUUUUACAAAAAGAUUUGAACUUACAAAGAGUUGAAAGCCAAUUACAAAGUGAUUUCAUUAAAAGAAAAAUUUCUGAUUUCAAAACUCUUAUUGAAAAAGAAAUUUGUGCUGAUCUACCUUCUGCUUUUUGGAAUAGAAAACAACAUUUAGUAGACCUGCCUUAUGAAAAUUCUUUUGAUGAAAAACAGAUUCCGACCAAAGCUCGUCCAAUUCAAAUGAAUAUGGAUUUAGAAAAACAUUGUAAAAAUGAAAUCAAAGACUUGGAGUCUAAAGGACUCAUUGUAAAAUCCAGGUCUCCUUGGUCUUGUGCUGCUUUUUAUGUUAACAAAAACUUCGAAAUUGAAAGAGGCACUCCAAGACUAGUUAUAAACUACAAACCUUUGAAUAAAGCUUUAAAAUGGAUUAGGUAUCCUAUAUCUAAUAAAAAAGAUUUACUCCAAAAACUCUGUUCUGCCUUUAUUUUUUCAAAAUUCGACAUGAAAUCGGGUUUUUGGCAAAUUCAAAUUCAUCCAAAUGACCGUUACAAAACCGCUUUCACUGUUCCAUUUGGACAAUACGAAUGGACUGUUAUGCCCUUUGGUUUAAAGAAUGCACCCUCAGAAUUUCAAAGAAUUAUGAAUGAUAUUUAUAAUCAUUAUUCUGAUUUUUGCAUUGUUUAUAUUGAUGAUGUUUUGAUAUUUUCAAAUUCAAUCGAUCAACAUUUCAAACAUUUAAAGACUUUUUAUUUUGCUACAAAAAAGGCUGGACUAGCCCUUUCUAGUUCAAAGAUUUCAUUAUUUCAAACGAAAAUCAGAUUUCUUGGUCACUAUAUUUCAAAAGGAACAAUCACCCCUAUUGAAAGAUCACUUUUAUUUGCUGAUAAAUUCCCUGAUAAAAUCCUUGACAAAACUCAAUUACAAAGAUUUCUUGGUAGCCUAAAUUAUGUUCUUGAUUUCUGUCCCAAUAUCAAUAGGUUGUCUAAACCUUUGCAUGAUCGUUUAAAGAAAAAACCUGCUCCAUGGACAGAUGAACAUACUAAAGCUGUUAAAUUAAUAAAGAGUUCUGUUAAAAGCAUCCCAUGUCUAUAUCUUGCAAACCCUGCAUUCCCUAAAAUUGUUGAAACUGAUGCAUCUGAUUUAGGAUAUGGAGGUAUAUUAAAACAAAAAGAAAAUGAUAGAGAACAGAUAGUACAAUAUGUUUCUGCACAUUGGAAUGAUUGUCAGAAAAAUUAUUCUACUAUUAAAAAAGAAAUUCUUUCCAUUGUUUUAUGCAUUACAAAAUUUCAAAGUGAUUUAUUAAAUCAAAAAUUUUUACUUAGAAUUGAUUGCAAAGCUGCAAAACAUGUUUUAGAAAAGGAUGUUCAAAACAUUGCAUCAAAACAAAUUUUUGCACGUUGGCAAGCUAUUUUGAGUGUUUUUGAUUUUGAUAUAGAAUUCAUUAAAGGUGAUAAAAAUUCUGUUCCUGAUUUUCUAACCAGAGAAUUUCUUCAAAACAGAUAAUGCCGCUAAAGAAAGACAAAGGUAAAGCUGUUCUCAAAAGUUCCGGAUCUCAAGAACCUUCCAAAGAACCCCAGUCAACCCCUUCUAAAGAAAAAUUACUUUCUUCUGCCCUACCCAUCAAAUCAUGGAUUGAAUUGGUUGAAGAACAUGAAGCCCAAUACAAACCCAUCUCUUCUGAUGAUCAAGUAAAGCAUUGGAUGAGUUCCAUUACAAAAUCUCCCGAGCUCAUGCUCGCUCUACAAAACCUUUCCCAGAGCCAAAAUUCUCCUCAAAAAGAAAUUAAGAGCAUAUCCACAUCUAAAGAAAUUACAAAACCCUCCUCUCAAAAUGUUGUUGUCUCUGCCGAAAGCUCAUCUUCCCAAAUUGUGCUUUCUCAGCCAACACCUUCAAAGAAAACCUCCGAUUGGUUUGAUAAAACCCAUUUUCAAAAUAUUCUUUCUAUGGAAGAUGGAUUUUACCAUACUGAUCCUUUUCAAAGCAUUUCAAAGUUUUUUCCCAAAGGCUGGUUUUUCAAACCAUGGGAUUUGACAAAACCCCAGUCUUAUUAUCAAAGCAUUUUAGAAAUAACUGAAUCAGUUAAAUUCAAACAUUUCUUUCUUGAUAAAACCCAUUCUGAACCGGCCUAUUCCACGGCCACGAUUCUAAAAGUUUUGAGCCCGAACCAGUGGGGCGACCUACUCCACAAUUUCAAAACCUUUCCUUUAAACUUUGAAACCCGUUUACCACAUUGUCGGACUUUCUCCUACUGGGAUUACCAACAAGCAUGGUAUAACACCUUUUUUAUUCAAAACCCUAAAAAAUCCCAUUCUUGGUUAUUUUUCUUUAACCCUAAAAUAACCGUCCAAAGCCUUCCAAACUGGUUCCAUCAUUGGUGGAAUUUCUUUGGCCCAAUACCUCAAAUCCUCACUCCAAAUGCCAUAAAUUGCCUAAACCUCUUUAAAGCCCACUAUAUGCCCUCUGACUCAGAGAAAAGAUUUCCCCCCUUUCUCUGUUUUUGUACAAACUUCUUCCUACCAUGGGUCUGGAUGUGGAACCUCCGUUUUCAUACUCAAGAUUCCCAAGUCAUCCUUCAAAGAACCUUUAAAGUCAAAUGGUGGUCAAAAUUUGAUGAACAGUCCAAACUGACUGUUAACAUGAUCAAAGAUUGGCUCUCCUCUAAAAACCUUCUCCAACCAACCCUAGAAGCCUCUAAAGCCCAACAGACCUUCUUAACCCAAAAAUCCAAAGCCCAGUCUCUUUUGGCAAGUGCCAAGACAGAAGAGGAAUACUUCAAAGCAAUGGAACAGCUCCUCGCCUCCCGUUCAAAGUCAUCAGUAGCUGACACCUCUGAAGACGAAGACGAUGAUGAAGAUGAAGAGCCCUUCAUUUCUCUUGGAGACGAAAAUGAAGAUGAUUGUUUCGGCAUUUUUUCUCCUAUAAAGCAUUGUAAAUAAUUAUUUGGUUAUUUACUUAAAAAAAAAAAAAAAAAAAAAAAAAAAAAAGAAAAGAGUAAUUUUCUCUCGGGUGGUCCCUUGGACACAAGUGAGAGCGCACAUGUCUCUUCACCCGUGUUGUAUUUCAUUAUGUAUUUCAAUUUUUGUACAAAGUAGUCUACUGUUCAAAGCUACGGUCAGCCUACUAUUCAAAGCUACGAUCCAAAGAUUACUGUGCACUCAAAACUCCGCUACAGUGAACAGUGCAAAAUUCCAAAGAUUACUGUGCACUCAAAGCUCCGCUACAGUGAACAGUUUACAAAAUUUUGUAUAUAAACCAAGAGGAAGACUCAGACUCCUCAGGUUUUUCAUUUUUCUCUUCUUCUCCUCCUUCUCUCUAGAUCUCUCUCUCUCUCUCUCUCUCUCUUGGGAAGUCUGGAUCAAGACAUCAAGGAAACCAUUCCUGUCUUGUAAUCUUCCCGUCUUUCAAUCUUCCCUUCAGGAAAGAUUUGAAAAUUGUAAAGACCAAGACUAUCAAAGCAAAGAUGUAUGUUUAAAUUUCAGUUAUUUAAUUUCGAUGUAAUUUAAAUUUUCGCAAUUUACUUUUCUGCAAUUUAAUUUCAUGCAUAUUUACAUUAAAGCAAUUUAUUUUUAAAGCAAUUUUCUUUUCAAAGCAUGCAAAGCAGACUGGUCUUUAUCAGAUCUGCCAUAAAAUUUGUACGUUCCUCUGAGGCAAAGAGACCGGAUCUCGAUCCUCAGUUGUAAAUCUUCUCUUCUUCCUCCAUUCCUUCAGAGCACCAUUUCCGGGAUCCGGAUCUGGUACUGUGUAUGUACCCAAGCCCCUUAAAGAAUCUAAUUUAAAUCUGGAAUUAGCCCAAUAAAAAGAAACAACCACGUUUAAAGCAACUUAAUUUUAUCUGGUAAAUAUAUUAAAGUAUAUAGGCUGGAAACCCGAACGUGCGGACUAUUGAUCUGUUCUAAGUCAGAUCUGGGUCCAAAGGCAGAUUAACUUCUGCGAUCGAUCUGGUCUAACAACGCCACGUACUUUAAAUAUUCUAAAAAUUUGACCAACCGCGUUCAAAUUUGUUUGAUCAUUGUAUGCUCUAAAACAAAUCUACUUAAUCUAAAGCUGGUAAUCUUAUAUAAAAUCUGAACAACCGCGAUCCAAUUAUUUCAUUAAAGCAAUCAAUAAAGAAGCAUCUUCAAUACACACCCAUCCUUCGAUCCUAUUUCCUUCUGGUAUAUAUAUAUAUAUAUAUAUAUAUAUAUAUAUAUAUAUGUGCAUAUUUUGCAACGUAUAGAUAAUUGUUAGUAUAUGGAGACAAGUCUUUUAAGGUAGGACCUAAGAAAAUUUAUAACUUACUACACUGUAGAGUUUUUAUUCCUUUUUAUAAUUGGCUCAUAUUGAUACAUUCUUACACAAAAUAUUACCAUUGACAUAUUUUACUACAAUUAGUUUAGAACAUUUGUUAGGAAAAAAAAGAAAAGAAAAGAAAACAUCCCUUGGAUGUAGCUCUCCUGACUAUUUAAAUCUUUUAAGGAAAAAAAGAAAAAAGAAAAACUGACACAUUCAAAUCUUGAAGCAAUUACAUUAAAACCUCUCCAUAAUGAUAGGAAUAAUCUCCAUUUAGUAAUAAAAAAUUUUGUUCGCAAUUUAGGCAGAGUUAUAAAUAAGAAUAAAAUCCUCAUUGUAUAAGUUAUAUUUAUUAUGGAUCCCAUCCUAAGGAACUUGUCUCUAUAUAGUAAUAAUUAUUUGCAUAUUAUAAAUAUAUAUGUUGCAUUAAAUUAAAUGAACUUGUCUCCACAUACUACUUAGACAACGAGAGAAAGUUAUUAAAGAGAACACAAAUAUUUAGAGAUUUUUAAGAUGACUUUGCAUAUUUAUAACAAUAAUACAUUGAUAUAUUUAUAUAUUAGAUUUGACAUGCUCUAUUAAUAAAUUAUUAAAACGAUGCAUACUUCAUCUCUAUAUCCUUGCAAUAAAAGUAACUAAGUUAUAACAAUAAUUAUUAAUAAAUUAUUAAUACGUUGCGUACUUCAUCUCUAUAUCCUUACAAUAAAAGUAACUAAGUUAUAACGAUAAUUUUUGUAACUACAUGCUUAUUAGGUUUUAACUACUUCAUAAUAAUAAAUUAGUUUCGUCCUACUAUUAUAAUUAUGUAGAGUUGUAGUGUAUAGACACACCCAAUUUAAAUAGUAUAUCAAAUAAAAUUGUCCCCACAAAAAAGAAAAAAGGGGUAAAGGAUUGUUAUUUCUUCAAACAUUAGGAUCACGUUUGUACAAGUGCGAUGCCUUUCUUUUGAAGGCAACGUCAGUGGGUACCCAAUAAGACGUGUGUAAAUCUUUCCAAAAUUUCUCCGGUAUAACGGACAGAGAUCAUUACUUUUCUCUUCCAUAGACCACAGCAGCCUCAGUUAAUCAGACUCAAUCAAUUUUCUUGGUUUCUUCGCGUAUCAAAAUUCCAAAAUAUGGGUAGCAUAUUUCAAAUCACAUGCGAUGGUGCUUUUUUCAAUCGUCGCUUGGAUUGCUUUCUUGGAAAAGUAGCAAACACAAGUAAGCUCCAAGAUAACCUUGUUGCCUUGGAGACUGAAUUGGGAAAACUAAUCGCAGCAAAGAACGAUGUGAUGAUGAGGGUUGUCAAUGCUGAACGGCAACAACUGAGAACGCUGGACCAAGUGCAAGUGUGGCUUUCGAGGGUGGAAGCUGUUGAAACUGAAGCUGAUGAAUUGAAAAGACACGGCUCUCAAGAAAUUGACAAAUUAUGUGUUGGAGGCUACUGUUCCAAGAACUGCGCGUCAAGCUACAAGUUCGGGAAACAAGUGGCUAAAAAGCUACGGGAUGUGCAGACUUUAAUCGACGAAGGAGUUUUUGCGGCGGUGGCUACCGAGGUGGUGCCUGAGAGAGCUCCAGAACCUGUAGCAGAUGAAAGACCCACUGAGCCAACAAUAGUAGGCUUGCAAUCACAACUUGAACAAGUUUGGAGAUGUCUUGUAGAAGAAUCAGUGGGAAUCAUUGGCCUAUAUGGUAUGGGCGGUGUUGGUAAAACUACACUAUUGACCCAUAUCAACAAUAAAUUUCUUGAGAGUCCAACCAGUUUUGAUUGUGUGAUUUGGGCCGUAGUUUCAAAGGACUUGCGACUCGAAAAAAUUCAAGAAGAUAUUGGGAAAAAGAUCGGUUUGGUUGAUGAUUCAUGGAAGAGUAAAAGUGUAGAGGAGAAAGCUCUCGACAUCUUCCGGAGUUUAAGAGAGAAGAGAAUUGUAUUGCUGUUAGAUGAUAUAUGGGAGCGGGUUGAUUUAACAAAAGUGGGCAUUCCACUUUCCGGACAAAAAAAUACUACAUCAAAAGUCGUAUUCACAACCCGUUUCGUCGAUGUUUGUGGUAGCAUGGAAGCUGACAAGAAGUUCCAAGUGGCAUGCUUAUCAGAAGAGCAUGCUUGGGAACUGUUUCGAAAAAAAGUUGGGGAAGAAACUCUUGAGAGGGAUCAUGAUAUCGUUGAGCUAGCCCAAACUGUGGCCAAAGAGUGUGGUGGUUUGCCACUCGCACUUAUUACUAUUGGUCGAGCUAUGGCCUUCAAAAAGACAGCCGAGGAGUGGAGUCAUGCAAUUGAUGUGCUAAGAACAUCAGCUUCUGAGUUUGCAGGUUUGGGAGAAAAGGUGUAUCGUCUUUUAAAGUUUAGCUAUGAUAGUUUGCAGAAUGAGACGAUUAGAUCUUGUUUCUUAUAUUGUUGUUUAUAUCCCGAGGAUUAUGGCAUUCUUAAAUGGGACUUGAUUGAUUGUUGGAUUGGUGAGGGAUUCUUAGAGGAAUCUGACAGGUUCAGUGCAGAAAACCAAGGAUACUACAUUGUGGGCACUCUUGUUCAUGCAUGUUUAUUAGAAGAGUUAGAAGAAGAUAAAGUAAAAAUGCAUGACGUUGUUCGUGAUAUGGCUCGAUGGAUAGCUUGUGAAAUUGAGAAGGAGGAGAGAAAAUUUUUGGUUUGUGCAGGUGCUGGAGUAGGAGCGGUAUCAGAUGUUGAAGGAUGGGAAAAUGUGAGAAGAUUGUCAUUGAUGCAAAACCAAAUUGAAAUUCUGUCAGAGGUUCCCACAUGCCCUCAUCUCCUCACUUUAUUUCUUGACUUUAAUUAUAAAUUGGAGAUGAUGACCGAUGGCUUCUUCCAAUGUAUGCCUUCUCUCAAAGUUUUGAAGAUGUCAAACUGUGGGCAUGUCAAAGUUUUGAAAUUACCUUUUGGGAUGUCAAAGUUGGGUUCACUACAACUUCUUGAUAUUUCACAUACCGGCAUAAGAGAGUUACCAGAAGAGUUAAAGUUGUUGGUAAAUCUGAAAUGUUUGAAUUUGAGGUGGACACAUAUGUUAAAUAAAAUUCCACGGCAGCUAAUAUCAAAUUCUUCAUGGUUACGUGUGUUGAGAAUGUUCGCUAUUGGCUUUGAAAAUUCUAAAGAACCAUCAGAAGACAGCGUUUUAAUUGGUGGGGGUGAAGUUUUAGUACAUGAAUUGCUCGGUUUGAAAUAUUUAGAGGUGUUGGAGUUGACCUUGCGCAGCUAUGAUGCUCUCCAAUUUUUUUUGAGCUCAAAUAAGUUAAAAAAUUGUAUUCGAUCUCUUUUCCUCAAUAAGCUGGGAGACACAAAGUCGAUUCAUGCUACGGCUUUCGCAGAUCUAAAGCAUCUCAAUGAACUAUGCAUUCGUUCGGCAGUAGAGUUGGAAGAAUUGAAGGUUGCUUAUACAGAGAUGGCGCCAAAAGGGUCGGAACCUUUUGCUUUCCGCAGCCUUCACCGUGUUACUAUGGAGCGGUGCCAUAAAUUGAAAGAUUUGACAUUCCUCGUUUUUGCUCCAAGCCUCAAGUCUCUUUCGCUAUACGGAUGCAAUGCUAUGGAAGAAAUAAUCAGCGUUGGAAAAUUUGCUGAGACUCCUGAGGUGAUGGGACAUAUAAGCCCUUUUGGAAAUCUCCAAACGCUUUAUUUAACUGAUUUGCCAGAGUUGAAGAGCAUCUACUGGAAGCCAUUGCCUUUCACUCAUCUCAAAGAAAUGACGGUACAUGGGUGUAAUCAGCUUAAAAAGCUUCCACUCGAUUCCAACAGUGCAACAGAGCGUAAAUUCGUUAUUCGUGGAUACACACUCUGGUGGAACCGUCUUCAAUGGGAGGAUGAAGCCACUCAAAUUGCUUUUCGUUCCUGUUUCCAAUCUCAUGAAAUAUAAAUUCCUGAGCGGUGGUUGCAAAAUUUGAUUCUAGUGAGUGCUUUUUUCUUAAACUCUUUCAUAUAUUCUCGUCAUUUGCUUCGUGCAACAGACUAGGUUUUUAUUUCAGAUUCGUUUUUUGUCUCCUGCAAAUCACAAUUAAAUGUUGAAUUAUAUGGAGUCAAUGCUUUAGAAAAUUUUCAAGGCACUGCCAUUUCCUUUUUCUUUUUUAUUUUUGGGUCGAAUUGAUGCUCUGGCUUUUUACUUUUUGUUGGCAAAUUUUGCUCUGUUUUUUCAAGUUGAUGCUUGAAUAGUUGAAUUCAAUUAAUGCUCACAUAAAUUUGUUUAGUUUCCGUAAAAGGAUAUAAUUAGACUGAAGUACACACUUCUAGAAUGAAUACAAAAUGUUAAGUAUACUAGGCCUCUUUACAGAAAAUCAAAUGAAAAUCAAUUUUUUGGGGCUUUGAUUUUCUAUGGUCUAUUAUAUACUCUUUUUAAUAUCUUCUGUUCUAACUAUAACCAAAUCCUUUGUUCAAGGAUUUUUAUUUGGGGUAUUGAUAACUGUCCACCAAAAGAGUGAACACCUGGAUGCUGCUCAAGGAUCUCUAAUCAAUAGCUGGAAGCAACUGAGAAGGCGGUCGCUACUGUUUACAAAGCGAUGCAGUAUUUGCCAUUCAUCUUAACAAUUAUGAAGCUUUGGUAAAAUUUUCAAACAAAGUUGAACAUGUUGUUUUGAGAUUUGGUUCAUGAUUUUGGAUGAAUAUCGUUGUUCCGUUGAGUUGGAUGUGAAUUCAAAAUCUAUAUAUUCUUUGGUUUUCAAUUCUGAACUCAAUUUCUUUUUCUCAAGCAUGUUAUGCAGAAAUGAUUUUUACUAAAUCAUUUUUGAUGAAUUAUUUAAAUUAAACAAUUGGAAUAAGAAUUGUAAAGGAUUAUCAUAAGCAUGCUAAUAUGAUAAGUUGUUUUAUGAACGAUUAAUUAAUUAAUCAAUUAAUAUUAAAUUAUCUAUUAGUCAAUUAGAUAUGCGUUACAUGUCAUGUUUAAAAGCUAUUUAUUUAUAUUUCAAACAAAUUUGACUGGAUGUUGUGUAGGUAAUACUACAUAAUUUCAAAACAAAAAAAGUAAUAAAAACACCUUAACUUUCGUUUUUGUCAAAUAAGGUGGCCAUCUAGAUGGUAUAAAGCAACCAUCUAGAUGGUCAGCAUAAUGUUGUUCAAAGAAGAAGAAAGUUGGCAGCAGCAGCAGCAUUUCUUGAAGAAGGAACUUUGACAUUCAAUGGCGGUGAAAAAAAAAAAAAUAUUUUAAUAGCCAAUUUUGGCUAUAAAAGGGGAGAGCACCCAUUUUGAUUUGUGCAUCCAAAUUUGUGAAAGGCAUUUUGAGAGAGAGUUUAGAGAGCUUAAAAUUAUAAGCUCUUGUUAUAGUGAUUUGAGAGUUUUGGUGUAUUGGGGUUUUGGGUAGUGAGCUAAAAUACUACAAUACUUGUAACUCCUUUUUACUAGUAAAAUAUUUCCUUCUGUCUUCGCCUGUGGACGUAGGCUAAAAGCCGAACCAUGUAAUUUCUUGUGUCUAAUUUUUGUGCUUGUUCUUUAUUUUCUUACGAUUUCAUCUUAGCUGCGGUCCUGCUUCACCCACCAAUUUCCUAACAGUGAUAUCAGAGCUAUUGGUUGUAUUUUUUGGAGUCAGGAACUGUUCACGUAAGGGGUACUAUUCACGUAAGGGGUACUAUUCACGUAUACGGCACUAUACACGUUUACAAUACUAUUCACGUAUACGGUUUUGUUCACAUAUACGGUACUAUUCACGUGAAACGGUGGAAGCGAUCCAAGAAUUUUGCGGUGCAAAGCAGGGAAUAGUGGUGUGAGUAAAACAACUGUGUGGUUUUGUACAUGUCUAGGAAAGUUCUGUCACAAAGACGAUAAGAGCUUAAGGAGUCUGAGUUUUAAGUGGGACCAUUGUGACCCCUCCAGUCUUUCCUGGGAACUUUCCUGGUGUGCAUUCUCACACAUACUCACAACUAUUCAAGGUAGUAUACUAGCUUGUGUGCAGUAUUUAUCAACAAAAUGGUGGCAAAGUAUGAAAUUGAGAAGUUUAACGGAAAUAAUUUUUCGUUGUGGAAAAUGAAGAUGAAAGCAAUAUUGAGGAAAAAUAAUUGCUUGGCAGCAAUUGGAGAAAGGCCCAUGGAGAUAACUGAUGACAAGUGGAACGAGGUAGACGGCAACGCCAUUUCUGAUCUACACUUGGCACUUGCAGACGGAGUAUUAUCCAGUGUGGUAGAGAAAAAUAUAGCGAAGGAAAUAUGGGAUACUCUCACAAAAUUGUACGAGGCCAAGUCACUACACAACAAAAUCUUCUUGAAGAGGAAACUCUAUACUCUUCGAAUGGCGGAAUCUACAAUGGUGACCGACCACAUCAACACCUUGAAGACUCUAUUUUCACAACUCACAAUGUUGGGUCAUAAUAUAGAGGAAAAUGAACGUGCAGAACUUCUACUUCAAAGUCUACCAGAUUCGUAUGAUCAACUCAUCAUCAACCUGACAAACAACAAUCCAGCGGACAGUCUAGUUUUCGACGAUGUUGCAGCCUCCGUAUUAAAUGAGGAGAGCAGGCGGAAAAAUAAGGAAAACAGACAAGCAAGUUCGCAAGCGGAGGCGCUAUCGGUGACAAGAGGGAGAUCAACGGAACGUGGCCCCAGUGGGAGUCAAAAUCAUGGUAGAUCAAAAUCCAGAAGUAAGAAGAAUGUUAAGUGCUACAACUGUGGCAAAAAAGGGCACGUCAAGAAAGAGUGUUGGAGUAACCAGAAGAGAAAAGAGGGCAAAGAACCUGAGUCAUCAAAUGCUCAGGGGUGUGUAGCAAGUACCUCGGAUGAUGGCGAAAUUCUGUACAGCGAGGCAACAAUUGUUUCAGAAGGCAGAAAACGACUAUAUGAUGUCUGGCUUAUAGACUCAGGAGCUACCUGGCACAUGACCUCUCGGAGAGAAUGGUUCCACACAUAUGAACCUAUCUCAGGAGGAUCUAUAUAUAUGGGUAAUGAUCAUGCCUUGGAGAUCGCUGGUAUUGGUACGAUCAAAAUAAAAAUGUUUGAUGGUACAAUUCGUACAAUUGGGGAGGUACGACAUGUCAACGGCUUGAAGAAAAAUCUUUUGUCUUUGGGACAAAUGGAUAGUCAUGGGUACAAAACUCAUGUGGAGAAUGGAAUUAUGAAGAUCGUUAAGGGCGCGCUUGUAUUGAUGAAGGCAGAAAAGAUCGGUGCUAAUCUAUUCAUGCUUAAAGGAGAAACACUACAGGAGGCUGAUGUGUGUGUCGCAUCAAAUGGAGAAGAGUCAACGAUGAUGUGGCAUCUCAAACUUGGCCACAUGUCAGAACAAGGUUUGAAGAUUCUCUCUGAGCGAAAAUUACUUCCGGGGCUCAAAUCGGUAAGUUUACCAUUUUACGAGCAUUGUGUUACAAGUAAGCAGCAUAGAUUAAAAUUCAGUAGAUCUAUUGCUAGAAGUAAAUGCAUUCUAGACUUGAUUCAUUUUGAUGUUUGGGAAUCACCGGAUAUAUCCAUGGGAGGUGCAAAGUACAUGGUGACUUUCAUUGAUGAUUAUUCCAGAAGAUGUUGGGUGUAUCCAAUUAAGAAAAAGUCAGAUGUAUUUCUAGUGUUUAAAGAAUACAAAGCGCGGGUGGAACUUGAAUCUGGUAAAAAGAUCAAGUGCUUGAGGACAGAUAAUGGUGGAGAGUAUACAGACGGCGAGUUUCUUAGUUUCUGUAAGCAAGAAGGUAUUCAGAGGCAGUUCAUGGUGGCAUACACUCCUCAACAAAAUGGAGUGGCGGAGCGGAUGAACAGAACUCUUACAGAAAGAAUAAGAACUAUGUUGAGGACUGCUGGUCUACCCAAUUCAUUCUGGGCAGAAGCAGCCAAAACUGCCUAUUAUAUAGUAAAUCGAUCGCCAUCUACAGCUAUUGGGCUGAAGACAGCGAUGGAGAUGUGGACUGGAAAGCCAGCUGAUUAUUCCUACCUACAUGCAUUUGGAGGUCCUGUGUAUGUGAUGUACAAUGCCCAAGAAAGAACAAAGCUGGAUCCAAAAUCUAGAAGAUGUAUCUUCUUAGGGUAUGCUGAUAGAGUAAAGGGGUAUCGUCUGUGGGACCCCACUGCCCAUAAGAUCGUCAUCAGCAGAGAUGUUAUCUUUAUAGAAGAUCAACUGCAAAGGAAAGAUGAGGAAGAUGAGGAUGAUAGCACUGUAAAAGAAAAGUCAGAGACUGUACCGGUAUAUGUAGAAAAUAAUCUAAAAGAUUCAGAUUCUUCUGAAGCAGCACCAGAGCACGAGGAACAAGAACCAGUCGACUCUGAGGCUCUAGAAGUUCGUCGGUCAACUCAUUAGAGACGACCGCCAACGUGGCACUCGGAGUAUGUCACAGAGAUCAAUGUUGCAUAUUGUCUUCUAACAGAGGAUGGAGAGCCUUCAACUUUCCAUGAAGCUUUAAACAGCUCAGAAGUUGCUUUGUGGAUGACAGCAAUGCAGGAAGAAAUUGAGGCUCUACACAAGAACAAGACAUGGGAACUUGUACCACUACCACGUGGAAGAAAAGUCAUUGGAAACAAAUGGGUCUACAAGAUCAAACGCGAUGGCAAUGACCAAGUGGAGCGGUAUCGUGCGAGAUUGGUGGUGAAAGGAUAUGAUCAGAAAGAAGGUAUUGACUUCAACGAGAUAUUUUCUCCGGUGGUUCGACUUACAACAAUCAGAGUAGUCUUGGCGAUGUGUGCUACAUUUGACUUACAUCUAGAGCAGUUAGAUGUGAAAACUGCAUUUCUUCAUGGAGAACUUGAAGAAGAAAUAUAUAUGCUCCAACCAGAAGGUUUUGCAGAAACAGGAAAGGAGAACUUGGUUUGCAGGUUGAACAAAUCUCUAUACGGUCUCAAACAGGCGCCGAGGUGUUGGUAUAAGAGAUUUGAUUCCUUCAUCAUGAGCCUUGGAUACAACAGACUCAGUUCAGACCAUUGUGCAUAUUACAAGAGGUUUGAAGAUAAUGAUUUCAUCAUUUUGCUGUUGUAUGUGGAUGACAUGUUGGUAGCAGGCCCCAACAAAGAUCGAGUCCAAGAAUUAAAGGCACAGUUGGCUAGGGAGUUUGAAAUGAAGGACUCGGGACCAGCAAACAAGAUUCUGGGGAUGCAAAUUCACCGAGACAGAAAUAACAGGAAGAUUUGGCUUUCACAGAAGAAUUACUUGAAGAAAAUCUUGCGGCGCUUCAACAUGCAAGAUUGUAAGUCAAUUUCUACCCCACUUCCUGUUAAUUUCAAAUUAUCCUCAAGUAUGUGUCCUAACAAUGAAGCAGAGAGGAAUGAGAUGUCUCGAGUACUGUAUGCAUCAGCAGUGGGAAGUUUGAUGUUCGCUAUGAUAUGUACAAGACCAGACAUUGCACAAGCAGUGGGAGCAGUAAGUCGAUACAUGGCGAAUCCUGGUGAAAAGCAUUGGAUAGCUGUAAAGAGAAUUCUGAGAUACAAUAGAGGAACCUCAGAUGUUGCAUUAUGUUAUAGAGGAUCAGAGUUUACUGUCAGGGGUUAUGUGGAUUCAGAUUUUGCAGGAGACCUUGAUAAAAGGAAAUCCACUACUGGUUAUGUGUUUACACUUGCGGGAGCAGCUGUAAGCUGGGUUUCGAAACUGCAGACCGUUGUGGCUUUAUCUACAACAGAAGCAGAGUACAUGGCAGCUACACAAACUUGCAAGGAAGCUAUUUGGAUACAAAGGUUAUUGGAGGAGCUCGGGCAUAAACAACAGAAAAUUCCUGUAUUUUGUGACAGUUAGAGUGCCUUGCACAUUGCAAGGAAUCCAUCCUUUCAUUCCAGGACAAAGCACAUAGGAGUUCAGUAUCACUUCGUUCGUGAAGUAGUGGAAGAUGGAAGUGUGGAUUUACAGAAAAUCCAUACCAAAGAGAACCUAGCAGAUGUUUUGACCAAGCCGAUAAAUACUGAUAAAUUUGUCUGGAGUAGAUCCUCUUGUGGCCUAGCAGCAACGUAGGCAACAUGACUACGGCGAAGCAGAAAGGAUGAUGUGGAGAUUGAUUGAUUCUCAAUCUAAUCUCCAAGUGGGAGAAAUGUCAAAUAAGGUGGCCAUCUAGAUGGUAUAAAGCAGCCAUCUAGAUGGUCAGCAUAAUGUUGUUCAAAGAAGAAGAAAGUUGGCAGCAGCAGCAGCAUUUCUUGAAGAAGGAACUUUGACAUUCAAUGGCGGUGAAAAAAAAAAAUAUAUAUUUUAAUAGCCAAUUUUGGCUAUAAAAGGGGAGAGCACCCAUUUUGAUUUGUGCAUCCAAAUUUGUGAAAGGCAUUUUAAGAGAGAGUUUAGAGAGCUUAAAAUUAUAAGCUGUUGUUAUAGUGAUUUGAGAGUUUUGGUGUAUUGGGGUUUUGGGUAGUGAGCUAAAAUACUACAAUACUUGUAACUCCUUUUCACUAGUAAAAUAUUUCCUUCUGUCUUCGCCCGUGGACGUAGGCUAAAAGCCGAACCACGUAAUUUCUUGCGUCUAAUUUUUGUGCUUGUUCUUUAUUUUCUUACGAUUUCAUCUUAGCUGCGGUCCUGCUUCACCCACCAAUUUCCUAACAGUUUUUAUGAAGAAAAAUUUAAAAUUUUAUUAAAUAGGUGAAAAUAAUAAAUGGAUUCGUGUAUGGUUUGAGAUUCUUGACAUAAUUAUAAAAUAAGCCGGAUUCGACUUAGUUCAAUUUUGACGCGAUAAGAAGACGAUACCACACAAACACACGAUAAGAACCGUUACCUGAGAAGAUUGCCAUCAGGAAUUUUGAAAUUCAUUUCACUACAAUACCUUAAUCUUUCAGAUACUCCCAUCACUGAGCUGCCAGAAGAGCUAAAAGCCUUGGUAAAUCUUAAGUGUUUGAACUGUACACAAAUUAUCUCUCUACAAUUCAAAAACAACUGAUUUGUUACUUUUCAAUGCUACAUGUUCUACGAAUAUUGAGUUGUGGUUAUCUUGUUGAAAGAUCAGAAAAUAGAGUUCUAUUUGGUGGUAGUGAAUUGUUGGUUGGGGAGUUGCUUAGUUUAUAACGUUUAAAUGUAUUAAGCAUCAUACAAGGUUUUUCUGCUGUCCAAAAACUUAUGAGCUCUCAAAAGUUUCAAAGCUGUACAAAAUGUUUGGAGCUUAUAGACUGUGAUGAUUCAAAGUCUUUUGCCUUGGCAGAGUUGAAGCAUCUCGAAAAACUAGUUUUUCGAAUUGUGGAAGAGUUUAAGUUCUGCUGUGUUGAAGUUGGAAAAGCUCAAGAAUGUUUUCGUUUGAACAGCUUUCACCGAGUUAAUAUAAAGGCUUGUCAUAAAUUGAGGGACGUGACAUGGCUUGUAUUUGCUCCAAAUCAUACGGUUAUUCAAAUAGAAAAAUGUAUGCAGACGGAAGUAAUAAUCAGCGCAAGGAAAUUGGGUGAAGUUCCAGAGAUGAUGGCAGAUCUAAACCCUUUUGCGAAACUCCAAUAUCUUCGCCUGCGAGUUCUACCAAAAUUAAAAAGCGUCUAUUCGAAUGAGUCACCCUUUCCGCAUGUCAGGGAAAUUAUUGUAUCUGAAUGCCCAAUUCUCAAGAAGCUUUCACUCGGUUUUAACAAUGCAAAGGAAUCUAAAAUUGUCAUUUAUUACAUGUUUAUAUCUAACUUUUGUUCUCCUUUAUGGUUAAAUUUUACUAUAUAUAUGUUGUUAUACGGUGACAUUCUCGCAUCAAUUAUUAGCUUUUUAAUUCUCUUCUCGCAUUAAUUAAGAGUAGUAAAUUGGGAUACAAAUGUAAGAAUUAGCCAGAUGACAUGUUGUUUUGAAGCUUUCGAAGGACUAAUUAUGUCAUUCAAAGCAUCCAAUUUCGCUACUUUUUUUUUUUUUCAUUUGUUGCUUUUUCUAUUUUUAGAUAGCUUGAUUGUCAGUUGUCGUAAUGUAAUGUUUUAGUGUAGAAAAAUGAUAUUCGGCCAAGACAUCGAUAGGAGGGCACAUUGUGCAUGCGCACUCGUGGAUGAUUUCGGCAUGCCGAAUCCAAUUAGUGUGAAUAACCCUUUAUAAACAUUAGGCUUCUCUCAUACCAGAUAGAGGUGGCAAAAAUAUCCGCUCGGUCCGGAUCCGGACCAUACCCGGGCAUUGUGGGUCGGGUAUUACCUAAUCUGGGUAUAAAGUCGAGUCGGUCUUGGGCAUCACUUGAUAAACUCGGAACCCAGAUUUUAUUAAAAAAAUAUUAUAAAAUAUAUAUUAUUUUAAAUAUUUAUAUUUAUUUGACUCAUUUAUUAUACAUAUAUAAAGUUUUAAACACGUAAAGUUUAUAUUUUCAUGUCAAAUUUUAUUAAAAUAAAUUUAACACUUAUAAAAUUACCUAAAAAUAAAAAAAAUAUAUACAUAUAAUAUUAAAAAAUAUACAAUUCGGGUACCCAGAUUAAAAUCUGACCCGGACUCGGACCCAGACCGAUUGCAUCCGGGCAGGAUCCAGUCAUUGCAAUAAUCGGACCUGGCCCGGGGUUUCGCCAUCUCCAAUACCAGAGCAAUGUAGAAUAUGUUUAUAAACUGUGAAUUACCCUUUAAAAGUAUUAGGCUUCUUUUAUACUCGAGCGAUGUGGAAUACCUUUAUAAGCAUUAAGCUUCUCCCAUACACUUUAUGUUAAAAAUAAUAAUAAUAAAAUAAAUCCAUUUUAAAAUAGGCUUUUUUUUUUCUUUUUCUAUAUAAACAAAAUGCAUUCUUCAAAUCAAUAGUGGGUGGAAGAAGUGAGUAGAGAAGAACUAGGCCCCUUUCAUUCCCCUAAAACCUCACCGAAACCUCUCUUGUGAACUUCUCAGAUUCUCUCUCAAUAUUUCUUAUGAUCUCGUUUUUGAUAGAAUCACUUCUUUUGCAUGCUGCAUUUUGUGAGUCGUUUUUGGGUAAUAUCUUAUCUGGAAUGCUGUUAUGAUCAAUAGAACAAGUAAUCAAUUUUUGGUUCGACGGAAGUCGAUUUAUUUAUUUACUAUUAUUUUUUAUUUGAAAUUUUGUACAAUUGUGUUUCAUUCAUUUCUUUCCUUCUUUUUUUAUUUUAUAUUUAUUAUGUAUAAUUGUGUUUCAUUUGAUAUUGAUCAUACUCUAGAUAACUAUAUGAUUGUAGCUGGGGAUUUUAAGUUUUGUGAAUUCAAGAAACUGUCAAAAUGCUAGUGAAAUUGGCACCUUUAUUCAUAAGCUUGUGGUUUUGAAAAGUAGCCCGGUUCAACUGAUGAAGUUCCUUUUUGGGAUUCUUUUUUUUCUAGGCUGCAAUUCGGAUAUGUACCUGAUAGACAAUCUUUUGUGGGUUUAGCAUAUCUUCUCCGAUUUUGUCUUUUAUUCCCCAAUUUUACAGCUACACACCAUGAAUGUUGGGUGAUUGUACAGAAAAUUUGUGUUAGAACAAAAGCAUUGUGAAGGAGUUUCUGUGCUAUAAGUUAUUGGCAUUAAUUGGGUAGAUUAUGUGUUACAGUGAUUCAAUUUGUGAUCCACACUUUAAUUUUCUCUUUUCCCCAAUUAUUUAUGUCAAAUUCAAAUCCAGAAGCAUGUGCUGAUUUUUUCAUUUUGUAUUAAUCUGUGAAGUUUAUUUGGAAAGGAAGUAUCUGGGUCUAAUGGAUUAAAUUAUGACAUUGAGGAAAGGCACUAAAGGUUUUACUUGACACAUUUGGUCUGUGUUUACUCUGCAAUAAAUAGCCUCGCUUAUCGGAAAUCCCGAUUUGGCUGGUGAAUUUCUCUGUGACAGACAGGCAAACACCUAAACCGCUUCUAUCCAUCUUUCUGCUGGUGAGGCAAGGGGUAAAAAGUCUUCAAAAUCAUCAAAUAGUAACAUAUCCGAGAAUUCGUUUUAGAAAAAUGGAAAAUCUAGACCUACUAGGACAAAAUGGCGUCCGGUAUCAGGAGGUACCGUUUCAAGUUUUCUUGGUAAAGAAUAUAUUAAACCUGCGCAACCAGCUAAUGGCACUUUUCUGGCAUCAAAGCCAUUGAAGUUGGAUCUAAAGGAGUUUUCCCAUGUCUGCACUGUGCAGAGAAGAAACUAAACCAAAACAAUCAAAGAAUGACAUUUGCAGAAGGAUACGGAAGAUUUUCUAUUUAAAUUGUUAGGAGAAGGGUUCCAGCUGAACAGGGAUGUGAUUCAGGAGGUUCUCGGUAAUGUCUUAAAUAUACUGAUGCCAAUUUAAUACAUAUUGUCCUUUUCAAUGUUCUUUCUUUUUUAAAAAAAUUCAAAGUCAAGUGAUUGUUAUAUAAUAUCAUAUUAUGUUCUUUCUUUGUGAUUGUUAUAUAAUAUCAAAGUCAAGUCUUAAAUACUGCUGUCAUAUAUUAAGGUUCAACUUGCAUUUUGAUUAACAUCCAUUUGCUGCUGCUUCCAAAAGUGAGAAUGAGAUACUUUGGUUAAUUUCAGUGGUUGAACCCAAUAGAGAACUUUAUUUAGAUCUUCAUGGUUCAAAGGCCUGAAAAAACUUGCCCGUAAUUGUAAAAUGACAUUCUGUGCUUUUUAUGCAAUAGGGAACAGGGAAGUAGAGCUUUGGAAAAGCCUGGAUUGAUAACUAUGGAGAGACUUAUUAUUUAAGUGAUGAAAAUUCCCAUCACCCGCGGUGAGGAAAAUUUUAGAUAGUUAAAGACUCCAUUUUGCUCCAGCCAAAAAUGUUUGUUUCAUGUAAAGACUUGAACCAUUUUCAUUGAACCUGAUUGUGAUCCUUUACGUUAUGCAUGUUCCUCUCAAUCAAGAAAAGUUGAGGGCAUGAUUCUAUAUUUCUAUAUUGUAACUUGAAAUAAUAAUUGGUCUACUUGUUUCUGUAUCUUGAUAAGAUGAAUUUUCCUUCUCAAGUUAAUUUGAUCAAUAAAGUAAUUCUUCAAAGAAAAUAUGCCCAUUCUAUAAUCAUUUUCUUAGCUAAGAUGUUUUUUCUUCACUCUUCAGAGCAUGUUAAAACUAAUUGAUCGCUUGGCAGAGACUUUGGGUGAGAAGACAAACUUUCUUGGUAAAUCCUCGGAAAAGGUAUGCAUAAUUCCCGAGUAUUAAAUAACCAAUAGUCAUAAUUUUUGUACAUGACUCUUUUUUCUCUUUUUUGUGGAGAUCAUUAAAAUUGGUUCAUGAUCCAUUUUGUAAUAUCAUAGAGGGAUCAUCAAUUCCUUCUCUUUUCUGUGGCUAGGCAACACUUUCAGGCCAAAGUAAGAAAAUCUAUUUUUGGUAAUGUGAAAACCAACGGUAGGAUGUAAUAGUCUAUUAUGCACUGACAAUAACUUUUUGUAUGAUUGGCAGUUUAAUGAAUACAAGAGGAACUGAGUUGACAAAUUCAUCCAAGAUAGAUGCUAAAAUUAUUUAUGCAUGCCAGUUGCCUUAACUAACUUUUCUUAACACUUGUAUUGAACAGGAAAAUGAAUAAGCAAUUUGUAUAUUGUGCCAUUGUGGAGUAUUUGGAUAUUCUGAUUUAAGUAACAAGGAGAAUACUUGCCUCAUCUUUAAACAAUGAAUAUUUGAGAAAUGAGGAGUGGGGGAUUGGAAGUGUCUUCAUGUAAAUGUUCAUUUAUUUGUAUUUUGAACUAUUAGGAGAAUCUAAUAUGCCAAAUCAGUAAUACAAAUGUUCAGAUGAUUUUUCCUGUUGAUCAUGCAUUUGUGUCUGCACACAACCAUUGUAUAUCACUUUAUUCUGAUGUGCAGGUGUGUGUAGCUUAGAAGAAACGGAAUAAUAAUCAUCUAUUAUUGCUUGGUUCAUGAUUAUUAAAUGAUUAUGGCUUUAAAAAGUCUACUAAUUCCUUACUGUUCAUAUAUGAAUGUGUCAAGUUUGCUAUAUCUUAGAUUAUCUUCUUCCAAGAUAACAAGUUCAUAUUCUUUUUAAUCUUUUCCAUCACAGUUGACUUUUAGGUGUUAAGAUUUGUUAUUAAUAUCUGGUCCCCUGUUAUUAUGAUUUCAUAAACAGUGUACGGAUAUGUGCUCUAACUUUGGAGGACCUCCACGUGAAAGAAAAUUGCAACAAUUGAAUUCUUCCUGAGGGUAUGGUCUUUAAUUUAUUUUCUCAACUUCUUGUAAGAUUAAUAUAUUUCUUUCAGUAGGCACAGCACGGGGGGAAGGGUUUUUAUUGAAAGAAUUAUGAUAUUUCUUAGACUUUGUUUUGGAAAGGGGGUGGAGGGAUUUCUCAUCCAUAUAUGGUUACUUGAUGAGCUUUUGACUGUAUUUCCUCAGUCGUGUAAAGGAAGAUCGAAAUACCCGAAAGACAGAAAUGAGCUACAGAAGCAAGUUUUAGCUGCUUUUGACUAUAUUGACUGGAUUUGUAAGUGUGUGCAUUUUUUUGUGUAUACUCUUGUAUUUAUGCAUAUUAAUGUGUGUAGGAAUUUCUGCCACUUACUGGAGAACUAGUGGAAAGCUUUAUACCGAUAUAUCUGCAAUAACUAAUUGGAAACUAUGAUAUUAAUAUUUUCUCUCACCUGAGGAACUGUGUAACAGUUAUACUUUGUGGCUCUGGAAUACUAGAGAUUCUGCAAUAACUAAUGGAAAUUAUGAUAUGAAUAUUUUAUCUCAACUGGAGAACUUUGUAACUUGUAGCUCUGGAAUGUCUAAGGAAUUUUGUCUGCUUCAGUUAGAUCAAAUAUCUUUUAGUUGCAUACAUUAUAGAAAAAGAUAAAGUUCUCUGAAUCUGAAAGACUGAAACAUUUUGUAUAUUUUGUGAAAGGGAAAUAUCUGUAGAUACUAGUUCAUGCAUUGAGGUAACAUCAAUGUUAAAGAAAAACAGCAAUAAGUUAUUAUGUGGAACUAGGUUCACUUGCUUUAAAUGCUGGUCUGGUCAACCAUAUGAACCUGUAAGUUCUGCAGAAAUAUAUAUACGGGGAGAAACUAGCUAAAUUUUCCGUUCAUUGAUGGCUUUGGUCAUUUUUUUCCCCUUAUUUUUCAGCUUUCCUUCUCCUGAAGUAUGUUAACAACUGCAGAUAAUGACAAAGAGGACAGCUUGCAGACUCUUCUUAGAGCCAUGAUGGAAUAUAGGGUCACAAUGAAGGAACAUUGUAAAGCUGUAGGUUCUUUUUCUCCUGUCAUUUAUGUUUUCUCACACAUUUUUUAUAUGCUCCAAGCAUGCAAUUUUGUAUGUGUCAACUGCUUUCUAAGUUUUAAAAGCCAUAAUGUAAGAAUACAGUUCUUUGUCAGGUUAUUGAUGCAUUUGCUCAGGGGGAUCAUAUUCGAGCAGGAAAACUUCUAGAACAGACAAGGUUUUCCAUCUACAGCCAUCUAUUGACAACAGAUACAUUUUCAUUCAGCAAACACUGUUAGCAUUCAAGAUACUGGCAGAUUCACUUGAUUCUUAUUAGUUUGAUUAGUAGCAAAGCAUAUAACCUGUAUUUCUAAGCCAAGUUGUGCUAUUGAUUAUGUUAACUUUAUUGUUCUCAUAAAGUGAUAUGGAGGAAAUAAUCAAUGUAGGAAAAUUAGGUGAAGAGAUGAUGUCAAAUCUUGAACCUCUUACAAAAUUCCAAGUUCUUUACUUGAAGAAGCUACCAAAUUUGAACAGGGUCCACUGGAAGGCCUUGCCAUUCCCUGAUGCAUGCAGAAUUUUUGUAUUUAAAUGCCCAGAGCUUAAGAAGCUGCCGCUGGAUCUUGAAAGGGAGGCCAAGGUAAAAUUCUUAUCAAGGGAAAGGAAGAUUGGUGGAAACAACUUCAAUGGGAGGAUCAAGUAACUCCGAAAGCAUUGCUUCCAUUUUUAAAAUCAACCAACAAGUGAUUGAGGGGGCAUCAUCAACAUCAUCAACAUGGAUGGAGAGAUUUUGGAGCAGAUCAGCCGGGUUUAGUACGACCUGUGGUGGUUUCUUUUUUGUGACUUUUUUCCCUUUCAUUUUUUCACUUCCUGUCAUAUUAUCAUUUCUUUGUCUCUGUUUCUAUUGCUGGUGUUGCUGCAUGCUUGCAGCCCUUGACAAAGUUAGCUAGUUUUUUUGUUUAUUAAAUUUUGUAUGUUCGGUCGGGACAGUCACAAAGUACUACUUGUUCUAUAUGGGGGUGAUGUGAAUCAACUUUUCAAUUAAAUAUUCUGUGGUAAUUGUGAAUUCAAUUUCAUUUGUCUCCUGCAAAUUAUGAAGAAAGUGCAGAGUUACAAUAUGGAAAAGUUCACUGGCAAAUACUUUGUAAAAGCUUCGGAGUGAAACAGGGAAUGCACUUGCAACUAAGGACAAAUUGGUGGCCAGCUAAUUCAUUCAUUUUAUGUACAUUCAUCUUUUUAAUUAUUGAAGAUAAGUGGUUCGUUGCUUUUGUUGUAGAUAAAAUCCAGACGACCUCAAUUGUGAGAUUGAAAAUAUUUAAAAUAUCUCUUAAAUUAUUAUAAACUUUAAUUUAUCUUAAUUUUAUUUAAAAGAUAAAAGAAAAAUGUGGUUUAUGGAUAAAUUUUUUUUUUAUCUUGUUAAUAAAAUGAAAUAAAUUAAAAUUUACAAUAAUUUAAAGUAUUUUAAAAAUUAUUAUUUCAUAAGAGAUUAAUAUGAAAUUAAUCCUUUUUACUUUUUGAAUGUGAAAGGACAAGAAAAGAGAAAGCAAGUGUCACUGCUUUUUAUUUUAUUUGAAAUCGGAGUUAUCCCAUAUACUUUACUACUUUAGCUCUCUCCUCAAGGUGAGAUGCGUGAGUUGGGUGAAGAUUUGGUGAGUCACCCGUAUAUAUAUAUAUAUAUAUAUAUAUUAUCUGCUCGGUGAAAUUUUUUUUAAUCUGAGCUUAGAAUCUAGGAUUAAAAUUAUGGAAAAAUUUAAGUAUUACACACACGCACACUAUUCGGUCAAUUUUUUUUUAAUCUGAGUUUAGAUGUAGAAUUAAAGUUCAAAAUGAAUUUACUGUGUGAUAAAUCAAUUUUUACAAUGUUGUAAACUGAUUUAUGGUAUUAUAAAUCCAUCUUAAAUUUUAAUCUCAGAUUCUAAGUUCGGAUCUAAUAAACACUCUCUCCAAUUAUGUUGUCUAUAAUUUUGCAUUCAAAGAAACUUCACGAAAAAUAUAAUAUCAUGUGUAGCCCCAGAAAAUUUAAUAACAAUAAAAAAGAUAUCAUAAGAAAAGAAAACUCAUAAUUGUUCAGAUAUUUAUAAAUUAGUGGCCGUUGGAAAUUUAACUGCAAGUGCCAAUCCGAGUGCACAAAAGACUUUUAGCCAUACUUUUAGCCAUAUGUCAUUCAUUGUUUGUUUGCUGCAUUCCCUCUCAUUUUCUUAAUUAUUGAAGACAGGUUGCUCAUAGCAUGUAAUUUUCAAAUGUGGAACCGCAGCUAAUGUCACUAUUUUAAUUUGGAAUUAAAUUAGGGCCCAUGUAUAAAAUUUAUAACAGUAUAUUGCAGCGUGAACUAACUUUUAUGUUUAUCUAAACACCUUAAAUUUAAGGCAAAUUAUGGCAUAAAUAAGAAUUAUAACAGAACAUUUAUGAUGUAUAGCAAAAGAGUUGUGAUGAAGAUCUUGAAGACAUAAUAUUAGCGCCGAAUUAAGUAACUAAGAACACCCCUGAACUGAAUAUUGGUUAUCAAAAUUGUGUUACUUGCACUCCUAUUAACUAAAAGUUUGGUUCUGUUCCAUUUGAGUUUUUAUCUUCAAAUUUCAAAAUCUUGCUAAGUUUUGACAAUCACAAAGGCUCAGUUUGCUUGUUCUAUAUUUGUAUGAUACGAAUCCAAAUUUUUGUGUUCUAUUUUCUCAAUUUUGAAUACAGAUUCUUUUCUUCUCCCGCAAACCAGAAAGAAAUGUUGUAUUAAAAAAAAUGGAAAUAACUUCAUGACAACAAAAAUUAGGAAAAAUAAUAUAAACCAAAUUAAGAUAAAUAAUAUCAUUUUCUAGACAAACAGGCAAAAAUGGAAAAGGAUAUUUCAAUUUCUAAAUUUUCUUUCAUGUUUGCUUCUCGCAUAGAAUCAUUUGGUAUUAACAAAUUUUUUACUUAUUAAACAAAAGUUUUUAAGAUUUUUUUGUUUCCUGCUGUUAAUCUAUGAAUGGUUUCAUUGUUGGAGUUUCUUUCAGAAGACAAGAAUACUUUGGUUAAGUGUUUGGCUAAGUACUAAAUUAAAGGUUGUUAGAUAGAAGAAAUUAAAAAAAAAAUUCCUAACCCUUUAUUCAGUGUUUAAUCAGCAAAUAUUCAACUCAACAUGAAUCUUAAUCAUCUUUAAAAAAAAAUUAUUCAAUUUUCUAAUAAUAUUUAUGCAGGUACUAGAAAUUAAAACCCUAUUUACAUGGAUGCGUGCCCAUCGGUCCAAUUUAAAAAAAAAAAGAGAAAAAAUAAAUGUAAUCCAUGAAUUUGGUUAAUUUUCCUUUGUUUGUUUCUUUCUGUUCUCCUCCCCCCCCCCCCCCCCCCCCCCUCAAUAUCAUUCCUUUUUGGCCGCCCAAGGACAUUUUCACAAAUACCUUUUGUGCAGAAGUCUUUUAAACCAUCAAUCGGAAGAAACAUGCUUCCAGUGAUACCUCCAAUUAUCAUUGAUGACUUUUCUUACUCUAAUGCUAUGUCAAUUCCAACAUUUGUAUGUUAAUAUAACAUAAUCAAUGAUUUGGAUAAUUGAUUACUUUUACGGAUUGUGGACUUUUGCGGAUUUUCAAUCUAAUCCAAUCCACCAAUUCACAAAUUCAGAUUUUUACUGAUUAGAUUUCUACAUAUCAAAUGAAUUGAGCAGACUAGAUUGGAUUUUGAACAUUGCUAAUUUGUAUGUUAAUUAUAAGAUAAUCAAUUAUUUGGAUAAUCCCUUGUGUUUUAUCUCUAAUUAGAACAUCAAUCUUCACAAUAUCUACAAUGCUACAAUGGCUAUAAAACAAAACCUGCUUGCAAAUUGUCAAGGAUACUUAUCCUUUCGCUUGACAAGUCAUUUGGAAAAAUAUUGUCCCUUGGCGGCUCCAUGUCUUCUCUGCCCCUCCUUUUGGUCUUAAUGUACGGUUGCAUAGUGAUAGUUUAGGCCCUUAGGGACUACUUUCCCUGGUGUUGUUAAGUCUUAGCUUGUGCUAGGCUUGUGUUUCUUACCAAAAGAAAAGGAAUACUUCUCCGAAAUAAUCUCUAUAUAUAGGAUGGUUGGAUUCACUUGUUUAUAUAACAGAUCAAUUAGUUCUCUGUAAGUAGAGAGUUUCUAGUAUGAGAGAAACGGUAGGUCUAUUGAGAUAUUAUGUGUUAUUAGGAUUUUGGUUGUGAAGAAAAAUACUAGAGUGAUUGUGUUAAUUUUCUAUGUAGUGGAUUUUUCUAUCGUCAUCUUUGUGGCUGUGAUUUUUCUUUCAUAUAGAAGUUUCCCACGUAAAUUCUUAUGUUGUGUGAUUAGUUUUAUUCUCUAUCUAUUUUUUUGUUUAUUAUUUGUUUGAUAUUUUAUUUGUAAGAUGUUGGAUGGGAUAAAAUUCCUUAACAAAUAACGGAUUAAAAAUCUUGAAGAAAAAGCUCAAGAGAUCUUCAAGAUUUGAAGUGUGAACAAGUUCAUAUUACUGCUAGAUGAUAUAUGGGAGCGGGUUGAUUUAGUAAAAAUGGGUGUCCCUCUUCCUAGAUCAGAAAACAGCACAUCCAAAGUGAUAUUUACAAACCCGUUCUGAGGAAGUUUGCAGCUUAAUGGAAGCUCGUAGGAGUUUUAAAGUGGCGUGCUUAUCAAAUAAAGAUGCUUGGGAAUUGUUUCGAUACAAAGUUGGGGAAGAAACUUUGAACAAUCAUCCGUUAAGGGGUGUGGUGGUUUGCCACUUGCACUUUUUACCAUCGGCCGAUCUAUGGCAUGCAAGAAGACACAGCCGAAGAAUGGAGAUAUGCUAUUCAAGUGUUCACUUCGUCCGCUUCCCGUUUCCAGGUCUGGAAGAAGGGAUAUAUACUCUUGUAAAAUUUAGUUAUGAUAGUUUACCCAAUGACACAAUGACACCUUGUUUGUUAUAUUGUAGUUUAUAUCCAGAAGAUUGUUGCAUUUCUAAAGAGAAUUUGGUAGAUUGUGAGAUCAGUGGAGGAUUUUUGAAUGAAUUGAAAGUGACUGGUUUGGAGAAAAAAAUCAAGCAUACGUCAUUUUGGGCAUUCUUCUUCAUGUUUUUUUUUUUUUUUUUUUAUGGAAAAUGGAGGAGAUUGUGAAGUGAAAAAUGCAUGCAUGACGUUAUUCGUGAUAUGGCUUUGUGGAUCGCAUGCGACUAUGAGAAGGAGAAGGAGAACUUUUUGGUUUAAGUUGGUGUUGGUUUAACUAAGGCACCAGAUAUUAGAGAUUGGGAAAAGGUGAGGAGAUUGUCAUUGAUGAAAAAUAAAAAUGAGAAUCUAACUGAGGCUCAUACAUGCUGUAACGCCACAAAUUUCCAUAAUAUUAAAUUAUAGAAAUUGGGCUUUCAUUGAGAAUUAUGGGUGGCCUAUAACCCUUAUUAAGAAAGGGAUAUUAAAUUAUAAAUAGAGGUUAUUUAUGAGAUAGUUUUGAAAAAGGGUUAUUUUUCCUAAUUAAAUAGGGUUUCUUAAGACUCCCUAUAAAUUCAUACUUUUUCCUUUCCAUAACCCUAAGUUCACGACGUUUAUUCUUCUUCUCUGCUGCUCUUUACGCUCCUAACGCUCCUACCCAAAUCUUAGGAUUCAAACCUUUGUUUAGGAGAGAAUCAAAACGACGGGUAAGUUAUUCUCUCUAUUCUCAAAAGAUUUCUAAUCAUUCUAUCUAGGGUUUAUAUUGGCACGAUUCUAGAUGGUUAUAGAUCAUAAUGCAUUAUUUAGAAUGUAUUUAGGCUUUGUUUAGAGUUUUGACUUAUUAUGAGUUUAGUUAAUCAAUCCUUGACGUAUUAAGCACAUAGGAUAAUUCUGGACAGCAUGAGUAUCUCGAAUUUAAACCUAUAUUUUCUGAACGAGCUUUCUUAUGAAAUUUAUAUUUCUGGAAACUAGACAUGUAGGGCUUCUUGAAUAAAUUUUAUUUCAUUAAAUUCGACUUCUUUUUCAAUUUUACAUGUAUUUUCGAAAUAGAAACCACUGCACUGGAAAACUGCGAUUCCAGCAUUGCAAUCGGAUUCACAAGAUUAUUUGUACCACCAAAUGAACUCUGAAAAUUAUGAAAUUUUAUAUGUAGGUUAAUAUAUAUGUCUAGGAUUCCCAGUUUUAAUUUCAUAAUUUUCUAAUUUUUAUUUUAUUUUAUAAAAAUCACAGAACCCGUUCUGUUUGGUUUAGGUUAUGCGAAAACAGUUUCGAAUUUGUUGAGAAAUAAAUAGUUUUGAAAAUGUUUUUGAUUUCGGAUCCUCUUGAAAAUUUUACAUGGGGUACUCAUGGAUAUCCAGAAUAGUUUCAUAGAACAUUAUGUCAUUAUGAGUUUUAGAUUAAGAGUCAAAAUUCUGAGAAUCAGACCUGUACGGUUAUGAAUUAGAAAAUCAGAUUCUUAGAAUAAGUUAUUAAUUGUCAUAUCUUGUACUUCUUUAAGGUGUUGGAGGUGAUUGAGACUCUUAGAGGCUUAGAGGCGUGUUAAUUCAAAUUCUUUAGUCGAGGUAAGUAACUUCAUUCCUAAUAUACUGUAUAUGUAUAAGUAUUUUGAUAUUAUUAUUAUAAGUAUAAAUGUUUUCAUACUACUUAGAAGAUUAAUGGAUUUUCAUAACAAAAUUAGCAUAUGAAAUGUUUUCAAAACCUAAAUUCUUUUUAACAAAGCAUUUUAUAAAUACUUUUUAAAUAUGUAAGUUAUUUUGUUACAUGCCUACUUUUAUGAUUUUAUUUAUAAAAUAUUUUGCAAGCCUAAAUUAUUGUUAUGGACUUUUAUGAAUCUGAUACGAAGGUUUUGUGCCUAUAUAUGAUUUCAAUUAUAUAUGAUUGUACGGGGGCCACCUCCUGGGACUAUAUGGGCGCCACCACUUGAAGGCCACAGCGUCGCAAAGUGCCACGUAUAAAUCAUUAUGUUUUGGCUCAUUGUCCGUAGUCAUUUUGAUUCUGAUUCUGAUUGUAUAAUACGAUAUAUGUCUGUUCUAGACCAGUACUGGGUUUCUGUUCUGAGUGUGCACACGAUAUUCUGAUUCUGUUCUGGCUGGGUCACCGGGACUAUAGGUGACACUAUGUGACAUAAGCUAACAUUGAAACGACUCGUCCCGAAUCCCCCCAAGCGAGUCUAUCUAGUCUCAUCAAAACGGACUUGAUAAUAAUUCUAUUCGUAAAGAUUCUGCCGAAAAUUUGGCAGAGUCUCCUUUAUAUAUAUAACACUCCCAAUCUACAAAUAUGAAUAUAACACUCCCAAUACAAUUCAAUAUACAACAAACUCCAGUGCUCAACAUCCUCGACAAAAAUGCUGAGUUUUAUUUCUCUAGAGUCUUAAAAGAUAAUAUUAUAACGAAUAUUAAUAUCUCAAUUUAUUCUUAAUCUCAAAAGAAUAAUAUAACAAAAUUAUACAAUCCCAAAAGAACAAGAUGACUAAGAUGUCCUAACAAAAACAUUUAUAUCUUCUAACACCAUCACGUGGCCAAGACUCAAAAUAUAUUUACAGUCGCUGGGUCGGUCUGGUGUACCUGCAACCUCUUGGUGAGGGGGAGAAAAUAUAAUAAAAACGGGGUGAGUUUAAAACUCAGUGAGAUCAGUGAGUGGAUAGUAGUUUUGAAAAUUAAUUCUUACUUUAAAAGAAAUAAUCAUAUCAUUUCCAAACAUGAUUUCAUUAAACCAUAAGCGAGAAACCAGUAAUAAAUCAUUAAACAUUUAAAUCAGAUUACUAACCAUAGAAAUCAUCUUACAAUAUCAUAUAGAAUUCACAAAUUUGAAAAUCAUCACCAAACAAGUACCCAGGGAAAUAAUCUCGUCAUAUCCGGACCUCAACGAACGGGCAAUGAUGUACUAUCUGGGUAACGUCACUCCCCGGAGCUACACGGAUAGACAGGGAAAUACCAUAUCAUAUCUCAUCAUAUCUGUGCAUGCAUAAUCUAGUCCCCAAGGGAUAAAAGCGCCCAAGCACACGGCCCAAAGCCUCUGUGUGUACUUAGACGGGCCCCAAAGGCCUGUAUCUCAUCUGUAUCAUAUGUAUCAUUUGUAUCUCAAUAUUUGUCUGUAUCUCAUAUUUGUAUCUCUCUAAUCAUCAUACCGCAUGCAUAUGCCCCCAAAAGACAAAAACGCCCAAACACACGGCCCAAAGCCUCUAUGUGUGUUCAGACGGGCCCCAAAGGCCUCUCAUCUCAUAUCAUCUGUAUCACUGUAUUUGGAGGGGAAGGGUACUAGCUAAUGAUUUCAAAAACAAUCAUUAUACUCAUAUUCACAUACCUCUUAACCAUAUUUUAAAUCAUACCAUAUUUGAAUUGUCUUUUCUUAUCUUUAAAGUAUUAUCAUGCUUUAUUCAAAAUCGAUACGCAAAAUCAUCAACCAAACAUUUCGAGAAAUCAUUAAAUCAGAACAUUUAAAAUACUUAUUUCGCAAACAUGCUUUACUAUCAUAAUUAACUAUGAAAAUAGGUUUUGUAUAUUCCACUCACAGUGACGGUGUUCACGGUCGGUUAUCGUCCACGUCCGCGGACCGAUUCUCGCUCGCGGAUUCUCCUAAAUCAAGGAAACGACAUAAUUAUUUUUUGUAAAUCGGAAUUAUGACUAAAUUUAUGCAAUAAACUCGAAACGAACAUUUAUCCAUAAUUUACAACUCCCGUGUCGAUAAAAUUACUAAAAUGCCCUUUUGUUAUUGUUAUGUUUUGGAAGAGAUUAUUUAGUGUUAGACGUUGGAAUUUGUGGAUUUGUUUGAAUAAGAAUUUAAGGUAUUUCAGUUAGGAAUUUAUGAGUCAGGAUUACGAUUUAUAAGUAACAUCCUUCUUCACGUGCUCCGCACGUGUUAGUUUUGCGGUGUUACACAUGCCCUCAUCUCCUCACUUUCUUUCUUGACGAUAAUGAGUUUCGGAAGAUCCCCAGUGACUUCUUCCAGUUUAUGCCUUCUCUCACUGUUUUAAACUUGUCAUGUAUUAAACUAAAGUCAGUUCCUUUAGGGACUUCAAGGUUGGUUCCACUACAACAACUCGAUCAUUCAUAUUGAAGCAUAAAAGAGUUGCAAGAAGAGUUAAAUGCCCUGAUUAAACUUAAAUGCUUGAGUAUAGAUCAUGUAGAAGAGCUAAUUACAGUUCCACAACAACGGAUAUUUAAUUUUUAAGGUUACAUGUGUUGAGAAUGUUCGAUACUAUUAGUUUAAAUUUUCAAGAAGCAUUAAAUAAAGACAGCAUUUUAUUUGGUGGGGAGGAAGUUUUAGCAGAGGAGUUGCUCGGUUUGAAAUAUUUGGAGGUAUUGAGCUUCACUUGAGAAGUGUUCGUGCUCUCCAAUUUAUUUCGAGCUCACAUAAGCUACGAAGUUGUACUCAAGCGCUGUUCCUCCAAUCCUUCAAUGAUUCGACAUGGCUUGAUGUUUCACUUUUGGCAGAGUUAAAAGCACCACUACAGAUUUAAGUAUUUUUGGGUGUAGAAAAUUGGAGGACUUGAAGAUGGAAUAUACUGGGGGAGCGAAAAGCAAGCGGCAACCUUGUGUUUUCUAAGGCCUACAUACAGUUCACAGAGAGGUUUGUUCUAAAUUGAAGGACUUUGACAUUCCUUGUUUUUGCUCCAAAUCUCAAGAACUUGUAAAUACAAAAUUGCCCUGCUGUGGAAGCAAUCAUCGGUGUGGGAGAAUUUGCGGAAGCUCUAGAGGCGGUGGAAAAUCUAAACCCAUUUGCAAAACUCAGUAUCUUGGACUAGAAAAUCAGCCAAAUGUGGAGAGCAUCUAUUGCAAGUCUCUGCCCUUUCAGAAAUGACUGUGGAUAGUUGCCGUUGUCUUAAAAAGCUUCCUCUCUACUCCAACAGUGUAAAAGAGUGGACAAUUGUUAUUUCAUCAUUCGGAGAAUUAAUGGUGCAAUGAGAUUUAGCAGUUAACUCUCGUGGGAAGAGCUUGAAUGGGAAGACGAAGCCGCUCCAAUUGCUUUUCAUUCCUGUUUCAAAUCUCUGAUCGGAUUGGAGAUUGCAUUUCGCCUCAGGUUCGUGCUUUUCUUGAAUUUUUCUCGUUAACUUCAUUUGUUCAUUUAUCCAUUUUUUUUAAGGAAUCAGAAGGGUUAAUAUUUUUGGUUGUGUUAGGUCGACUUCUAAUCACGAGGCAGAAGGAGUUGAGAUGAAGUUUAAUUUUGGUGGAGAAAUUGUUUGAUUUAAAAAAUUUAAAUGAGUUGACCAUCAUUCUUUAGCAUAUUUGUAUGAACAGGAGUGUGAAAAUAUGCAAACUGUCCAGCUGUAUGUGUAUAACGUAAUAAUUUUGAGGAGUUAAAACAUUGAAGAAUAUUGAUGUUUCCAUUGUCAGACCAAAUAUACUUAAUUACUUGAGGAUAACGAUUACUGCUAAUACGUUUGCAAAGAAAAAACAUGCCUAUUGAAAAACUCAUCUUAUUAGCAACAGUAUUAUAAGUAGUAUCCAAUCAUAGUUUCAUGCAAGAUUUUGAGAUUUUUCAAAUGCUGAUUCCGGGAAUGGAGAUUAAUAGAUAAUGGAGACAGGUUGACUGCAAUGGCUAAUUGCAAGAGGGAAUUUUAGUCGUAAAAAAAGACCAACUAGCAAAGCAAAUUCCAAAUCUCGGAAUGAAGUAGCAAAAAAAAGAAACAAACAAAUGGCAAGAGGAAGUGACUAUACAAUAAUAACAUCGACUUGCAAUUCAACAUUUAUACAGUUUUACACACCAAGAAAGGAAAAAAUUACAAUAGAAAUUUGGCCACUAAAAGAUGCUCGUUCAUGCUUAUGCCUGUCAUAUGGAUUUGAAACAUGGAGUAAAAGCAUUUAGAGUGGCUUCAUCCUUCCACUGCAGCUCAUUCCACCAGUGUUGCUCUCCCCUAAUAACAAGUUUUUGUUCCUUGGCACUGUUGUAAUCGAGUGGAAGCUUCUUGAGAUUCGGGCAGCCAGAUACAAACAAUUCCAAGAGAUUUGGAAAGGGCAAUGCAUUCAAACAGAUCUUCUUCAAAUUUCUUAGAACUUGCAACCGAAGAUAUUGGAGUUUCGCAAAAGGUUUUAGCCCGGGAACUUCUUCCACUUUCCAAACACUGAUUAUUUCUUCCAUCCCAUAACAACGUUCUAUAUGGACCACCUUGAGAUUUGGAGCAAAAACAAGCCAUGUCAUCUCCCUCAAUUUACUGCAACCGUCUAUGGUAACACUUUGAAGGCUGUUGAAACCCUACGGUUCUCUUGUUGUUUGAACUUCUGCAUAGUCAACCUUUAGCUCUUCCAAACUUGUACAAUGCACAAAAUCUAGUUUGUCAAGAUACUUGAGAUCUGCUAUGGACAAAAUAUUCCAUGACCUUGAAUCCUCACAGCGGCGAAGCUCUAAAGCAUAUUUACAACUCUUAUACUGUUGGCGGCUCAAAAGUCUUCGUAGAGCAUAAAAACUUCUUAACGUGACGCUUAAUACAUUUAAAUGUUCCAAAGUAAUCAACUCCUCUACCAAAAUUUCACUACCACCAAAUAGAACGCUAUCUUCUGGAACUGUAUCGGCAGAGCCACAAUCUAGCAUCCUCAACACCUUUAACCCAGAAAAAUUACAAAGCAGUUGCCGUGGAAUCGUAUGGAGAUAACGCAUGUACUCCAAGUUCAAACACUUUAGAUUUUUCAAGGCCUUUAGUUCAUGUGGCAACUCUUUGAUGAAAGUUUCUGAAAGAUUAAGAUAUUGUAGUGAAACCAAUUUUGAAAUUCCUGAAGGCAAUUGACUCAAGGAGCGAUUCUUUGAUAGGUUUAAAACUUUAAGAGAAGGCAUAAAAUCGAAGAAAUCACUAGGGAUAGUAUCUAACAUAUUAAUUCCGAGGAACAAAGUUAUAAGAUGAGGGCAUAUUGGAGUUAUUGGUAAAAUCACAAUUUUAUUUCUCAUCAACGGUAUCCUUCUCUUAUCUUCCCAUUUUUUAACCUCGGGUGGUUCAGUUAAUUCAAUACCGGCAGAAACCAAAAAGUUUUCAUUCUCCACUUCACAGGCUAUCCACAAGGUCAUAUCACGAAUCACAUCAUGCAGUUUUACAUAAUCUGAUCCUGCUUCUUCCAAUAGGCAUGCAUGAACAAGAACACCAAUAAUGCAGUAUCCUUGGUUAUGUACUCCAUUAAUUCCUUCAUUUUCCUUCAGAAAACCCUCACCAAUCCAACACUUUAUCAAUUCAGUUUUGCUAAUUUGAUAAUCCUCAGGAAAUAAACUACAGUAUAACAGACAAGAUCUAAGGACGUCACUAGACAAACUAUCAUAACUGAAUUUUAAAAGACGAAACACCUCUUUCUCCAUACCUGGAAAUUCAUAAGCUGAUCUCCUUAACAUCUGAAUUGCAUAGCUCCGUUCUUCGGGUCUCUUCUUGCUGCUCAUGGCACGACUAGUGGUAAUAAGUGCAAGUGGCAAACCACUACACUCCUUUGCCACAGUUUGGGCUAACUCCGGAAUAUCGGGAUGACUUUCAAGAGUCUCUUGUCCGACCUUCUUUAGGAACAAUUCCCAAGCAUCUUGAUCUGCGAAACACUCCACCUUGAACGUUUUUUGAGCUUCCAUGAGGCCACAGACGUCCACAAGACGAGUCGUAAAGACUAUCUUUGAUGCAUUUCUUGAACUCGCAGGAAAAGGGACACCCACUUUGGCUAAAUCAAUUCUUUCCCAUAUAUCAUCUAACAAUAGCAGAAAUUUCAUUUUGCUCAAUAAAUUGAAUAUACCUGAUGCUUUCUCUUCAAAGCUUCAAUUCUGAAGCCAUCCUAUUCUUUCUCCGAUUUUUUGUUGAAUUCUCUCAAGUUGCAUGUCUUUUGACACCACCACCCAAAUCACAAUAUCAAAAUAAUAGUGUAGUCUUGCCGACUCCCCCCAUGCCAUAAAGUCCGAUGAUUCCAAAUUGUCCUUCUACAAGACAUCUCCAAACUUUAUCAAAUGUUGAUUCUAGGCCGAUUAUUGUUGGCUGAAGAGGCCUUUUAUCCACUGCUGGUUGUGGUACCUUUUCAGCUACCACAGCAAAAUCCCCAUCGUCUAUUAAAGUAGCCACAAGCUGCAGCUUUUUGGACACCUUUUUCCCAAACUUGUAGCUUGACUUGCAGUUCUUGGAGCAGUAGCCUCCAAGGCAUAGUUUUUCAAUUUCUUGAGAGGUGUCCCUUGUCAAUUCACCUACUUCAGCUUCCACAGCCUCCACCCUUGAAAGCCAACCUUGCACUCUGUUCAGCCGUCUUAGUUAUUGUUGCUCAGCAUUAGCGACCCUCAUCAUCACAUCGUUCUUUGUUUCAAUUAGUUUCUGCAAUUCGGUCUGGACGGCAACCAGGUUAUUUUCAAGCUGGCUUAGAUAUGCUGCUUUUCUGCGGAUACAAUUUAUGAAGCCAGUGGAAAGGGCAUCACAUGUAAGUUGGAUUCCCAAAAUAUUACCCAUAGUUUGUAUGAGAUUCAGAGUACAAUAGAAGGAAUGCAACACAGUAUGUAUUCGGUUGUGGUGUCUAUGAUUUUACAGUCGCAGAAGCUUAUUCACCUUGUGAGAGCUGAUCAGGUGGGCACCAUCACUCUCCUUACGCUUUAUAGAGAGCGAUAGUCCAUGUGGUCAGAUCUCAUUCAGAUAACUAGCCAAGUGGGCAAUCGCUCCACCUUAUCAAAAUUCUUCAUCUAUAAUAAUAUCAUGAGUAGGCCUUGAAUUUUUCUUUUAAUUUUAACAUUUAAAAGGUAGAGGUGAAAAAGUCUAAAUAGUAUUUUUGUCCUCGUACUUUAAUAACAUUUCUUGAAAGUCACUCGAUCUCAAAAUUUAAUUAAGAAGAUAUUAUAGAUUUAUAAGCAAGCCUUUAAAAUUUAUUUGCAAGUAAGCCCAUAAGACUUACUAAAAGUCGUCAACUCGUCAUGACCAAAAUUGAAAAUUCUUCCGCGUGUGAAAUACGGCAUGCACAGACGUAUUAAAAACAAAGGCCAGCUAUGAUAUUCUUCGUAUAUUUGCAUUCCCUAUUAUCUUAUUAAUAAUUUCAGACACGUAGUUCGUUGCUUGUGAUUUUUCAUAUGCAAAAGCACAGUCAGUGUUACAAUUUACAAUUACAAUUGAGUGCCACCUAUAUACUCCUUCAUUCUUUUCAAAAUAUGUUGUAGGAUGGGUAAUCGUGACAAAAGUGAUUUUUAAAAAGAUUUGUUAUAAUAUUAAAAUUAACUUUUAAUUUUUUUUAAAUUACUUUUGAGAUUUGUGAAAAAAAUCCUAAACGGGUCUCAGAAGUAUAAUUAGAACCACGAAUUUAUAAAAUGAUCAAAGGAAUCCAUUGCCUAAUAUUAUAGUACGCAAUUGAUUGCUAUAAACUAAACUUCUAUGAUCUCACUUCAUAAUAAUUUAUUUUCAAUCUCCAUCAUGGUAGAAAAAUUUCAUCAAUCAACAUACCCUACCACCACCCAGUAGUCGACCAUUUAUCAUCUUCUAUCCGUAAAAAAAAGGAAAAAAAAAAAAGAAAGGAAAAAUUUAGUCCAGAAAAGAAAAUAUCGCAAGACCAAACAGAGAGAGAAAAUAGAAAAAGCAAAGAGCUGUACUGAAUACCGGCAGUGAUGGCUCCGUACUUGACCAUUUAGGUUUGAUUCUGCAUUAACAUAAUAUUUUUUCUGCACUGCAUUCACAUCACAACCAUUGAAUAGUCGUGAUCUAUUUUUCUAAAGCGAAUAAUACUAUCUUCUCGUGUCGGUGGCUUGAUCAUAUAACAAAAUAGACUAAUAAUGUUUCAAUAGACAUUUUGGUAAAUGGAAGAAGUUAUGAUCUGUCCAUUUUUAUGUUACUUUAUUUUAAUUUGUUAAUUACUAUUAAUAUCUUUGAGUGUGGCAGAAUCUUGACCUAAGAUAUGACUAGGCUCCACAUGUUAUAUAUUAAUUUGAUUAAGCCUAGCUAAUUGUUAAUUAUUAAUUUGAUUGCGGCUUUUUAUUUUACCCACAUUUUUUACGCGUGAAAUCUUUCUUAGUGAAAAACUACACGUAUGUGCAAAUAUUCGGAAUGGACAUUUUAGAAAGAAAAAAAAGUAAAAGAAAAUGUUUGAGGGAAAAAUAGGAAAGGCAAUAGAGCGCCACGUGUCAACCAAUGGAAUGAUUUCAGCACAAUCGGAGGUACCCUACACAAUCCGAGGUGCCCGGCAUGACUUGAGGUACCCCGUAUAAAUAGAGGUAUCCCACACAAAUAGAGGUACCUCAUAUAAUAUGAGGUACCCCAUAUGAAUAGAGGUACCCCAUACAAAUAGGGGUACUCCGCGUAAUAGGGGGUACCCCACGUAACUCGAGGUACCCGGCAAAGCGGAUGCAAGAGAAUCCACCGAAAAUACCCGCCAUGAGAAACGUCUCCGCCUCCUAAAAGAUAUCAUUUGAUUUUGUCAGAAUUAGGAAUCAAAAGCGACGUGCUAAAAGGAGGGACAGCCGCCUGCUACCUCUGCCAAAAGUGAAGGACACUGUCCCAAGGACAGUGGUCCCUAGCCGCCUACCCGACAGCUACUGCAGAGGUACCCUGGACCACUCUCCAGCGCGCGCCACGUUUUCAAAAGAUGAGAUACGCCGCGAACAUGCAAAUAACGGCCCAAAAAAUUAUAAAAAGGUAAAAGGACGUUAGCCAAAAAGGGUACGCCACGUGGUAGCUGAGGUACUCCAUAUAUAAAGGCGCCUAGGUUUCAUCCUCCAAGAGGCUCUCAUUCGCCCAAAAACACUCACACUCCAGAAAAUAGGUUUUCUUCAACCUUAAACCCUAAUUUACAAAGGGCUAGCUAGCUCUCUUUACCAUAAAAGCUUGAGUUUGCUAACUUGAGCGUCGGAGUGUGAACGCCGGGGUACCCCGGCUUCACCUCUAACCUCCAUUUCACUGUUUUGCAGGUGUGGAGCCCAUCUCGAAGGAUACCUCUCUUAGUUCUAAACCUUUCACCAUUGAUACCACUCUCUCUCCCUUUCUCACCUCCCCCAAAUCUUAGAUACACCGCACCGCACACAAUAAACUAGUGAGGUACCCCAUCUCCCCCAAAAAUAUAAAUUUAUUGUUCUAGAUUGGUUUGACUUUUCCUACCCCAAAAUCAGUUGAAAACAGAAAAUGACUAAAAAGUAAAAGAAAAUAGACACCCAAUUGUAAUUACGAGUACAAUAGAAGGAAUGCAACACAAUACCGAUUUUGCAGUCGCUGAAGCUUAUUCACCCUAUGAGGGCUGAUCAGGUGGGGGCCGUCGCUCUCCUUACACUCUUAUAGAGAGUUAUAGUCCAUGAUCUCAUUGGGAGAACUAGCCAAGUGGGCAAUCGCUCCACCUGAUCAAAAUUCUUCAUCUUAUAAUAAUAUCUUGAGUAGGCCUUCAAUUUUAAUCUUUAAAAGGUAGAAGAGGUGAAAAAGUUAAAUAAUAUUUUUGUCCUCCUAUAUAACAUUUUUUGAAAAUCACUCGAUCUUAAAAAUUAAUUAAGAAAAUAUUAUAGAUUUUUAAGUUAGUGGCCCUUAAAAUUUAUUUGCAAGUAACAAUUAGAGAAAAGUCGUCAUGCCCAAAUGACUUACUAAAAGUCUGCAACUCGUCAUGACCAAAAUUCUUCCGAGUGUGAAAUACGGCAUGCGCAGAUGCAUUAAAAACAAAGGCCAGCUAUGAUAAUCUUUGUAUACUUGCCUUCCCUAUUAUCUUAUUAAUAAUUUCAGACGCGUCGUUCGUUGCCUGUGACUUUUCAUAUGCAAAAGCGGAGUCAGUGUUACUUGCAUUCCCUGUCACCUUAUUAAUAAUUUCAGACACAUCGUUGGUUGCCUGUGAUUUUCAUAUGCAAAAGCACAGUCAGAAUUACAAUUUACAUUUGGAAUUGAGUGCCAUCUAUUUAUUCUAGCUGGAUCUAAAAUGAUAUUGCAUUAUUGCACUGACUUUUUAGUCACAGCGUUUCUCUAUGAAUUCCUUAAACUUUAAACACAUCAUGGAAUAAUUAUUUUCUUAAAGACCAAAUUAACAUAAUUCUUAAAUCAUUUAUAAAACAACAUUUAUCAUAUAACAAAUCGUACAUGAAUAAAUUUACCUUGAACCGUAGCAAACAAACAAGAAUCUCAACCACAUCAAUAUCAUAAUCCCUUCUGACCUUAACAGUAAUUUUAUUCGUCCUUAAUUCAUAGGUAUAAGUAUCCCAAUAUAUACUUGAUGUCAACCUUUACAAUUCUUUACAGAAUUGCAGCAGACCAAAUUUGUAUACAAAACUGAAAUCAUACAGUAAUUGAUGUUUUCGAUAGAUUUUAGGGUAGGAAAAGCCAAACCAAUCUAGAACAAUGAAUUUGUAUUUUUGGGGGAGACGGCGUACCUCACUAGUUUGUUGUGUGCAGUGUGGUGUAUCUGAAAUUCGGGGGAGGUGAGAAGGGGAGAGGGAGUAGCAACAAUGGAGAAAGGUCAAAACCAAGAGAGAUAUCCUUAAAAAUGAGCUUCACGCCUGCAAAACAGUGAAAUAGAGGUUAGAGGUGAAGCCGGGGUACCCUGGCGUUCACACUCCGACACUCAAGUUAGCAAACUCAAGCUUUUAUGAUAAAGAGAGUUGGCUAACCCUCUGUAAAUUAGGGUUUAUGGUUGAAGAAAACCUAUUUUUUAGAGUGUGAGUGAGAGCAUCCAUGGAGAAUAAAAUAUAGGCACAUUUAUAUAUGGAGUACCUUAGUUGCCAUGUGGCAUACCCUUUUUGGCUAACGUCUUUUUACCUUUUAUGAUUUUGGGGCCGUUAUGUGCAUGUUCGCGGCGUAUCUCAUCCUUUGGAGACGUGGCGCACGCUGUGGUCCAAGGUACCUCUGCAGUAGCUGUCGGGUAGGCGACUGAGGACCACUGUCCUUGGGACAAUGUCCUUCACUUUUGGCAGAGGUAGUAGGCGGUUGUCCCCCCCUUUUGGUACUACGUUUUUUAUUCCUAAUUCUGACAAAAUCAAAUAUUAUCCUUCAAGAUAUGGAGAUAUUUCCUAUAGUGGACUUUUUCAGAGGAUUCUCCUGAGACAGACCUAUCGGGUACCUCAAGUUAUAUGGGGUACCUCGAUCCAUGUGGGGUACCUCGAGUUAAUCUGGAGUGAAGUGGGGUAUCUCUGAUUAUGCUGGGUACCUUUAAUUAUGUGGGAUACCUCUAAUCAAGCCGGUACUUCUAAUUACGCCGGGUACCUCUAAUUGCGCGGGGUACCUCUAAUCAAGCCGCGUACCUCUAAUUACGUCGGGUACCUCUAAUCAUGCAGGGUACCUCUAAAUCAGGCAGGGUACCUCUAAUCACGUCGGGUACCUCUAAUCAUGUUGGGCACCUCAAGUUAUUCCGAGUACCUUAAAUUAUGUUGAAGUUAUUCUGGGUACCUUGAAUUAUGCUGGAGUUAUUCCGAGUACCUCGAAUUAUACGGGGUACCCCAGUCUAUGUGGGGUACCUCUGACCGUGCCAGGUACCUCAAAUCAUGGCAUGUACCUCUAAUCGUGCGGGGUACCUCUAAUCAUGUCGGGUACCUCAGAUUGCACUAAAGUUAUUCCAUUUGUCGACACGUGGCGUUCUGCUAUCUUUCUUAUUUUUCCCCCAAACAAUUGAAUACAGUGAAAAUAGACAUGAUGGGAAUUAGUAUAUAUAAAUAUCUUAAUAAUUUAAAAGUUUCUUAAACUGAUUUUACAUAUCUGAAAAAUUAUAGAAAUCGGAACUGCUGCAGAAAUCAUAAUUUUCCAGCGAAUGUGUUACAACUUCAGAAACUCAUAAGAAAUUAAAUUCUUGGGAUCACAAAAUAAUUCAAUAGAAAGCUUAAGAUGUCUAGUUCAUAAAAUCUGAAUUUUUUUUUUAAUAAGAUCUUUGGAAUUUAAGAGAUUCAGCAGUACUUUUAUUACAUCAAUUCUUCAAACAAUCACCAAUCUAACAUUCAUCAAAAUUAAGUCAUAAAAGUCAUGUGGUUUAUAAAAAGAAUUACCUGAAAAAGAUUAGCCUUCCCCUUUCAAAAGCAACGUGAAACUCCAAAAACUCUUCUUCCAUUACCUAUUCAAACAUGAAAAAAAAAAAAAAAUUUGGUGUCUCUUCUUUAAAUGCGUGAUGAGUGUGCUCUGUUUUCUCUGUUUUCUCUGUUCUUCUCUUUCUUUUUUAGAUUUCGAAAACCUAAAGAGUGUUGGAGUCUUUAUUUUCUAAAAACAAGACUUUUCCAUGUAUUCAGUUAAAUUAAAUUACGUCCAAAUGCUAUGUCAGUUCCAUCAUUAGCAUUUUUUUUUCCUUUUAACACCAACAUUAGCGUAUGUUAAGUGUCAUAAUCCAUAGUUGGACAAUUUGAAAUCUCUUCGUGUUUUAUCUCAAAGUAGAGCUUCAAACAAUUUGUACCUCACAAAUUUACAAUAUCUAUGAGGGCUAAUAAGACCAAACUCAGGCAUAUUGUCAAAUGUGCUUAUACUUUCGCUUGACAAGUCAUUUUAAAAUUGUCUUUCAAUGCCAAAAAACCACAUAAACUAAUGGUCCACUACUUUAAUUUGAAAGCAUGCAUGCGAUCGCCAUUAAUCAAGGAUGUUAGGGUCAUGCUGCAGAGUAUAGAACUUGAUUUUAUGGGAUAGCCUUCUUUCUUUAUAAUUUUUAAGUUUAAUACUGUUACGCAAGUAGCACAUAAGUUGGAAAACAUAACAUAAAUUUUGAAAAAUGUAUAGUUUUCGUUCCCUUUUUUCCCCUCUAAAAAUGGGAAAAAAGAACGUAAUUUUGAUUUAUUUAAAUUACUGUUGUGAUAACAAUUUUUAUUUUAUUGAUUAUUUACCCAUACAUGUGGCAAAUUUUUUAAGAUAAGGUGAAGGAUGAAGCUCAAAAAUAUAAAUUAUAGAAUUAAUUACCCUCUGUAGUAAGUUUAAAGUUUAUUAUUUUUAACUACAUAUUUAUAAUUUAUUUUUAUUAUGUGUUAAUCUAUAGAUCUAAAUUCACUUCGGAACCAUAUACAUAUUUAGACAUAAUGUGCAUGUUAAUCUAUAGAUCUAAAUUCACUUUAGAUCUAUAUGAGUAUUUAGACAUAACGUAUUGCAACCAUAUUGGCAUGUUCUCACUAUAGUAUUGGUGUAUUGACAUUAUAUCUAAUUGUCCCUAUAAAUCCAAAAAUAAUCUAGAUAUACAAAUUAACAUAAAAUAAAGAUAAUUGGUAGAAAAUGCAAAUUAUAAACAUAUAAUUGAAAACGAUAAAUUUAAAUUUACUUAAGAAAGUAAUUAAUCACUUAUUUCUUUUUUAUAAUAUGACAAAUAUUAUAAUAAAUAUUAAUUAAUAAUAAUUAGAAUAACAAAUUAAGGAUAUUUUAAUAACUUAAAAUAAUUUAUUUUGAUUUCGAGACAAAAUAAACACAUGAAUCGCAAUACAACUCAUUCUGAUUCCACUCAUUUAGAUUUCAACAUAUUUUAAUUAAUUCAAGUGCUCUCCAUUAUAAUUGAAGCCGCUGCCCCACUCGUGAUUCCAAACUUUAUCUUUUUCCUUUUUAAAAUUAAUGCAAGCAGCCGCUGUCCUUUUUAUUAAUUAAUUAAUUAAUUCGGCCGCCCACAUUUCUUUUCCUAAUGUCUUCGGCUUUCGAUUUUCUUUUGUUUUCUCUUUAUUCUUAAAACUGUGAAAAUAAUAUAUAAAUUAUGAGCGUAUCAAUCAAUAAAUUAAAAAUAAUAAUUUUUAUUUUUAUUAAAUAUAUAUUUUUCAGUAUUAAUCAGUUAUCUAAGUAACUAAAAUCAGUUAAAAAUAAAUAAAUAAAUUAUUCUUAAAAAAAAAACUUUUUAUACCACUCACUAUGCUGGCUGUCAAGGGUAGAAGCUUUGGGGACUGAAGUUGGUAACUUCUACAAGUAGUCUUAAGUUGACUGGCAACAACUAUAUUGGCAUUUAGACAUAAUGUUCGGCAACCAUAUUGGCAUGUUCAAAUGUUCUUCCUAUUGUAUUGGUGUGUCGCUCUAACUGCCUUAUAGAUCCAAAAAUGAUCUAAAUUUACAAUUUAACAUAAAAUAAAAUAAUUGGUAGAAAACAAUUAUGGUUCAUUUACUUAUUAGUAAUUAGAAUAGACUGAACUUAGCAUGAGUUGUAUUGCCGUUAAUAUGUUUAUGUUGUCCUCAAAUCGGAAUGAAUUAUUUUAAGUUACUAAAAUACCCUUGGUUUGUUACUCUAAUUAUUAUUAUUUAAUAUUUAUUUUAGUAUUGUCAUAUUAUUAAAAAGAAAUAAUAAUGAUGAUAAUAUUAUCAUUAUUGUUUGUUAUAUUAUUAUUAUUAAAAAAAUUAUUGUUAAUAACAAUAAUAACUUUAUUUCAAUAAUAAAAAUGAUAAAAUUAAUAAUAACAAUCAUGACAACAACAAUAAUUAUUUAUUAUGCCAAAAAUAACAAUAAUAAUAAGAAUAAUAAUCAUCAUCCUUUUUUCCCAAAGAAGCAUUAUCAUCAUCAUUUCAAAAAAAAAAAAAAAUCAUCAUCAUCAUCAUUUUUGUAGUGGCUGCCUAUCGGCUGCUGCUUUCAUGCAAGAUUGACUUGCGACGCUUCAACUGCUAUUAUUUCUGGCAAUGUCAGGUGUUGUUGUUUCAAUGUGGGGAGAAGCUGUUUCGGUGCGCUAACGAUGGGAAGUGUUGUGGCUGCGAUUCGGGGAGCUACUGGUUCAGUGCACUAAUGACGGCAGGUGUUGCUGCUCAAUGCGAGGUCCAUGGCCAGUUGUCUUGUUUUACAGCCAGCUCUUGUAGGAAAUUCUUCAUCCAAAAUAUUUUUUUGUAACCUUCAAUAAUUGUAAUAUCAUUUGCUUCCGUGGUAGAAAAGACAACUCAUUGCUAAAGUCUAGAUUGUGAUGAGACUGCUCUCCCAGCAAAAGUGAGCAAAUAUCCUAGUAGGAAUUUUUCAAAAUCAAUAUCUCCUGUCAUAUCUACACACGUUUGUCACCACCAAAAUAUAAACAUAUUCUGGAAAUGCCUCUAAGAUAUCUGAGAGUUCAUUUCACUGUUGUCCAGUGCUCUUUGCCGAGAUUGAAGAGAAACCGACUGACUACACUAACUGCAUAGGCAAUAGCUGGUCUUGUACAAAAAAUGGUGUACGCCAAACUGCCAAUUGCCAAACACUGAGAAAUGGGUUUUGCUCUUGAGAUUUUUGGGAACAUGAAGAAUAAAGAUGUAAUUUCUUGGACUACCAUUGUUUCGGGGUAUAUAAAUAGAGGACAAGUCGAUAUAGCUCGACAGUAUUUUGCUCAGAUGCCAGAACGAGAUUAUGUCUUAUGGACUGCCAUGAUUGAUGGGUACCUUCGAGUGAAUAGGUUCAGAGAGGCUUUGACACUUUUCCGGGAGAUGCAAACUUCAAAUAUAAGGCGAGACGAGUUUACCACUGUUAGGAUUCUUACAACUUGUGCGAAUCUGGGGGCACUAGAACUGGGAGAAUGGAUAAAGACUUACAUUGAAAAAAAAAAGUCAACAAUGAUAUAUUUGUGGGGAUUGCUUUGAUAGACAUGUACUGUAAAUGCGGAGAUGUUGAGAAAGCUCAAAGGGUAUUCUGGAAGAUGCUUCGAAAGGACAAAUUCACAUGGACGGCCAUGAUUGUUGGCCUUGCCAUCAGUGGCCAUGGUGAUACAGCUCUUGAUAUGUUUUCCCAAAUGCUUAGGGCUUCGAUCAGACUAGAUGAGGUAACUUAUGUUGGUGUUCUGUCUGCCUGUACUCACAAUGGUAACGAAAAUUUUGUGAUAAAUAGAUGCAACUUAAGGUGAGAAUUGGAGGAAACGAAAUAGACUGAAGUUGUUCAAUCAUCGGUGGUUGCUAUAUGAUUUUAAGUUGUUCAAUCAUCGGUCGUCUCUAUUUGGUUUUCUCCAAUAUCUCAUCUCCAGUUUUGACUCAGAUUCUGUCUUACCGCUAGUAAUUACAUAGACUUGCUGCCAAAGGUAAGAAUGGGAAUAAAUUAAAUAGAUUAUGUCGAUAACGAAAUAGAUUUACUAUUGCUAUGUGCAUUCUAUUUGGUUCCUGCAAAAUAUUUUCUCCUGCCUAAAAUUUUUUGAAUAAGUAAGUUUUUACCUUACGCAAGAAUUGUGCUAAGAGUAAUUCCAGUCUCUCUAUGUUUCAAUGAAGACGUAAAACUUGUGUUUUAGAGCACCAAUGUUAUGCUUCUUACAAUUGGAUUUUAAUUUACUUCGUAAAACUUUUGUCAAAAUGUACUACGGGUGUAUUUGAAAAUGAGGUACUGUAGCUUUUAAGCUACAGCUGCUAUGGAAAAAAAAAACUAACUAUGAAAUAAAAGUUAAUAAUAUAUAGUAAAUAUAAAUUUUAAAUAAUAAUUUUGAUAAAAUUAUUAAAGAUAUAAUAGUUUUUUUAUUAUACAAGUGAAAAAUUAUAUAAACAUAGUUUUCAAGUUACAGCAGCUAGUGUUUACCAAACACUUUAGUACUGUACUUUUUAAGUUACAGCUGCCCAACAUCAAUCUCAAACGCACCUUAAGGAGUAGUGCGCCAAACACCAACUUUAUUACAGAGAGGACUUUGGUUAAACUUUAAGAAAAACACCGAUGGUUGUCGAAGCCAACAAAUAUAAAUUCCUACUCUAAAUAAAUUGUAUAUAGUGAUUGAGCAGGGUCGUGUCCACAGAAAUCGGUAAUUAUUUAAAUCCUUUUAAAACGUAAAACAUAAAAUGGGGGUUUUGUUGACAAUAAUAAAAAUCAAAUUAAAAUAAUAAGAAUGCAAAUUAAAGUUGUAAUUCAAAUUAGAGAAAGCUCUGGUUGAAGGAAUUAACUCAGCUUGAUUCGACUACUGAUCAUUGAUUCAAAUAUAGAUUAUUAUUACUCAUGAAUAGACCGGUUAUAGCUACUGAGACCCUCUAAUAGCCAAUCUCUCCUUAACUAGUCGAUAACCAAGGUACGACCGUUGGUUAUUUCCCUAAUCAAUAGACAACCCUAGAUACGAUCAUAGGAUUUAAUCAAUUGACAGCCUGAAAAACCAGAGAGACCCAAAUCCUAAUCAACACAUAUGAUGAUUCAUUUAAAUUAGAUUGUUUAUUCUCACAACACAACUCUCUGCUAUGUUAUUUGUCACAAACAUUAAAUUCUUCAUACGAUGAAUCCUUUAAUUGACAAUAGAUUAAGUUGAUAAUUAAAUAGUGGCCAAUUACCUAAUUAACAAACAUAAUCAUGAAAAUAAUUCAGAGAAUAAACAAAUACCCAAAAAUUAAUAAAACAAUUAAAGCACAAGAAAAAUCUCACAGUAGUGAUGAAUCAAAGCUUCAUUAACCUUCAACCAGAAAAAUAGGUUUAGUUCCUCAUAGAGAGAAGAGAAAAAUUAGAUCUAGGGUUUCUUUCUUUUUCUCCAAUCCAAAUCUCCCAUUUUCAAAAUAGAUUCCUCCCUUAAAUACUCUCUCUCUCUUCUCCUCUAGAAUUCUAUUUAAAAUAAAAUACUAGUAUCUGAAAUAUUAAAUUCGUAAUUACAAAAAUAACCAAAAAUACAAAACACGUUAAACUAAAAACUGCAGGUCCGCAGUUGACAGCACGCGCCCACGCCUUAUCAACAAAGUUCUUCUGCCGCUCAUAAUUUCUCCAAGAGAACAAUCAUCCUUAAACAUCAUCUUGUAACUCAAUUUUAUCACCAAUAAAUAGAAUUGCACCUACAAAAGUAAAUCACAAGUAAAUCACUAUUAUUAAGUGCAAAACAUCGAUAUUAAGGGAAGUAAACAAUGCAAAACUAGUGCAUAAAUUGCACUCUAACAAACACUCAAAGGAAGAGUUAUAAAUUAUUAUAGAAAUAUUUCACAUAAAUAAAAGCCAUUCCACAAUGCGAAGAUCGUGCUAUCAUCACCAGAAACCAUCGGGAGCAUUCAGGGUUUCCAUGAAAACGCCAUUUCAUUCCAAGAGUCAAUGGUGAGUAGAAAGUGGUGCAAACGAUAAUCAUUCUUAAUGCUAUAAGUUUUUGCUAAAUUAUGUCUUACCCAAAAUGAUGAUUUAAUUUCCAUUCUCAAUUAAUUUUCAAGUUUCAACACUUUUCUUUGUAGCAUGACAUUGGAAAGAUCUUGUACUACUAAAAGCUAGCACCACACGUUAAUUAUUGUUAAGUUCUUUUUCAACGUGAAAUAAAGGAAGUAGUCCUUCGUUAAAACCAUUAUAGCCAAAUUUCAUGUAAUUGGACACUUACAGACUUUCAUUUCAAGCUGGAAUUUGGUCCAACGUUUCAAAGUUGACCCAACUAAUUGUCUGAUCAAGUCCUACACAACUAAGACCCUCAAUGAAUGAGGGUGAGACUGCUAAAAAUUACGACAGUUGAUAUUAUUAUUAUUAUUUUGGGAUAAAUCCUUACCAAGGUGAGUGAGGAGAUUUUAUCAAAAUAAAAAUAAAAUAUAACAAGAAAACUAGCUAAAUUAAAAUAUUACAAAAGCUAGAUGAACUGAAAGGCAGCCUAAAAACAACCUUAUGCAAAAGAGAAGCAACAUGCUAGUAUUCCAAGCUUCUUGUUAUAAAAGUGUAGAAUGAAGUAGGUGACGUAGUUUUAAGUUACACCUCCAUGCCCAAUCACAAUAUCAAAUAAUGCUUAAAGUAGUUAUAUUAACUCUUAAAUUUAUAAAUAAUUAAAUUUUUAAAAGUAUGGAUUUAUAUUAAAAAAUUUCUAUAUAAAUAAAUAAUAUAUGCAUUUUUACAACAUAGUCUUUAAAUUUAAACUUUUCUAGAAAAAUCUUCUGGAUAUCUUUUCUAUUAAAAAAGAGUUUCUCAAAAUUUAUAAAAGUAACUUAAAGUUUUGUCUUCCCUUUUCUUUUAGCUUAUACAUAUGUGUGUGUAUUCUUUUAUAGCAAUAACUAACGUUAUUUAUUUUUAAAUCAUAAAAAAAUUAUGAAAAAAAAAAUGUACCAAAUUUAAUUGGACACAGCACAAUGCACAUGCAUAGAACACAUUCUGAAAAGCCAUGCUAUUCGGAAAUUGACGAAUGGAAAGUGAAGAGGCAGCAGUCAAUGCCAUUUCGGCUUGGCCCAAAAUUUCACCAGUUUGUUAAUCAGUGUUCUGCAGCUCUUGCUGCUUUCCUAGAGAUUCUGCAUCUUUUGCAAUUUGAUUGAUUAAAAAAAAAAAAUUAGUGGCCAUUUGGAAUGGAGGAGAGAUUUGUGUGAAUGGUAUAGGUGAAAAAUUGGAUGAAAAUAAACAGGCAACCGUCCGUAUAAAACAACAAUAACAAUAUACAAAAAGAUAAGUAAUUCACGAAAGGAAAUUUACGGUUGUUUCUAAAAAACAUACACAUUAAUUUCACUUAUACUCUAAGAUUUGCCAUCAUGACUGGACUUGUGAGGAAUUUGGAAACAUGUAUGAUGUAGAAAUGCUGAAGUAGCUUGAACCAGAUGGUGAAAUCGUCUAGCGGUCAGCGGGACAUGAAGCUAUAGGGGUUGUUAGUUGUGUUUUGGAUAUUUACAGACAUGCUGAGUUUGAGUUUAUAUCUUAACUUAAAAUUUGUAGUUUUCACUUGAAAAGAUUCAGUUAAAAAUUGAUUGGUGGAAUUGUUAAAAAGUCUAAAUUUUUAGUUCAAACCUAUUGCAUAUUUAAGAACAUCUCAAAUGAAUUGCUUACUGCUAUCGUCGUCAUCAUUGCCCAUAUAAUAAUAAUAAUUAUUAUUAUUAUGCCUUUAUAAUUAUUAGUAUCGCUGUUAUUAUUUUUAUGGGUAAAUGGUUUUUCUAUCCUGGCAAUUUAAGCCAAUUACCUAACUAAUCCAUGUAAGUUUAAAAAUGUUUCAAAAGAUCUUUAUUUUAUAUAUGUUUCCACUAAAAUUUAUUUAAUUAUUCUUUAUUUUUCAAUUAUUGCAUGUUCGAUUUUUUUGAGUUCUAAGCUAUAUCAAUAGAAAUGUUAUCUUAUCCAUAAAAAGUUAGAUCCAACAAUUAUGAAAAUUACUAUGGAGCUGCUUUGAAUAAUUUUUAAAAAAUACCACAAGUAAAUAAUAAUUAGUUUAAAUAGUGGAGACUAAAAAGCAUUCACCCUUAUUCUUUAUCUGUUAUUUGUUUUUUUUUUCCGUUAAUGCACAUGUUAUACAUUUGAAACAUUCCGUUAAUUGCCAAUUAUGUAAGCGAGAUAGUAAUUUAAUUUUUUUUUUAAAAAAGUGAAAAUUAAUCCUAUGCAAUGUGAAUAAAUUUCUUUCCAUUUUCCUUCUCUCUUUUUAUUUGAUAAUUAAGUUUCAACCUAUGUACCCAAAAUUUCUGCAACAGGUAAAAAACAUAAAAAUAUAUGAUUGUUAAUGUAAACACGCGGAAGUUCAUCAUUUCAAUGUUCAGUAUUUCCAAUUUUGGCAUACGAAUAUAUUCCACUCAGAAAGCCAAAUAUUAAAAUUCUGAUUUUAAUUCAUUCAUCAUAUCUCAUUUCAAUCCCAAAAUAUUCAAGAGGAUCCAAGUUACCAUAAGACUUCAGAGGCUCGAGCCUUAGCCAGAGACGGUUAAUUGAUAGACUAUGUGCACUGGAAGCCUGCAAUGCAGACUGAUUGAUUUAUCAGUUUGAAGUGUGCCAGGAAUGAAGAACUGGAAUAUCACCGUCAAGCAAGCACCCAGUGAAGCAAUACCAUGGAAUGCACAAUCCGGCCUUGCUAGGUGACACUGGAGGCUUUUUGAAAAGUGCUUCAUGCUCACUUGCACAGAUUGAGCAUCCCCUCUGGAUAUUGCCCUCUCUGAUCGAGUCUGAGCACUCAAAUUUCGGUCCUCAGAUGGAGCUACAGCUUUCUCUCCAAUAACCAACAAUUUUCUAAACUCAGCACCUAGUGUGAUCAGAGUUGUUGAUAUUUGUAAAUGGAGAUCCCCAUAUUUGCAAAUGGAGACAUUUAACAAAUCACCAACAUGCUUCAUCCGGUCUACGAAAUUCUGCAGCUGAUUCAAAUCCGGAACCUGAACCAGAGUCGAAGGUAAAUCUUGAGCCAUAUCUAAAGCAGUUUGAAGUUCAAGUACUUGAGCCCUUGACAGUGGUUUUGAAAUUGGAACAUCUUGAAUUACUGCAGACUUGUACCCUUUGGUUUCAAAGGUAAGGAAAGGCAUUGCUUGAGUACAAUUUGGAGGCAGCUUCUUCACCAAUUUUAUUUGGAGGCGAUUGGCAGUGGAUCCAGCUGCACCAAUUUCAGAGCAAAUACUGACACUACUUCAAACAGCACACUGAAGAAGCACUAUGUCUAUGGCAAAGGCAAUGCAGUCCUCAUUUUGGCUUGAGAUGCGGUAAUCAUCGAAGAGAGUUUCCUUAUGAAACUGGGCAACACAUUGAAUCCCUUCACCACUGAGAAGGUUGUGGAGGAAGUACGCUUUCUCUCUAGUGAGGAAGAGGUGGCAUACCUUCCCCAUUUUGUCUAGGGCAGUUAGGAAUCUUUUUUCUAAGAGAUUUACUCCAUUCUCUGUGAGAAAUGCUUUGAACUUCAUCCCUCUGUCUCUAUCCUCACUUAUCAGUAAAACAGUUGAAAGUGAUACAAGGAGAGAAAAGGAGAGUACUAAGAUAUAUAGACAAGAAAAACAUUAGGUGUCGAUCUUACAUGUUAAUACUUCAAACAGUAUCCUAGAAAGCUAAAAACUGCAGAAUGGCUUGAAAUUUGAAAAGAACACAUGCUUUUCCUCCUUAACUUGAGAAAAUGUUUAACAUAGCGCGCCUUACAGAAGCAAGCAAUUAGAACUUUGCACAAAAACAUUCAAGAAGACCAAUAUUUCAACUAUUUUACUGAUGAAAAUCUCAAAGCACAAAUGGCAUUGCAUUUUGUCCUCAACUGUAAUAUUUCUUGAUGAAAAUCAGUACAGGUCCCUCAUUUGUUAUGGAAAGCUUUCUUGUAGUCUGACCGGUUAAUUCACGGGUCUAUAAUCAUCUUGCAAAGUUACGGACAUUUCUUUCGAUUUAAAGUCUUUGCAUCACCACCUCAUCACACACCAAGCCAAUAUUCUGUCUACCUCUACAACAAAAAGUUUUAAGUAAACGAUCCUAAUGCACGCAGCCAAAUAAAAUGCAGUAAGAAUAUUCAACUUAAAAAUCUGAAAGUCAUCUUGGUGAAUUACCUUCUUAGGGGAAGUUCCAUGAUUUACUAUACUAGACAGAACUGAGCAAAAGCUUCCAUUCGACAGAUUUUGACAAUAAUGAUGCCAACAGAUCCUCAUUAAAUCCAUUAAAACUCCUAAGGUUCAUUGUUCAUGGAUGUUUACAGAGUUUUGGUCAUCAAAUAGCUCAGACCACAAUCCCAAACAAAAGACGAGUGAAAGUUAGAUAACGAGCAGCUAAUUGUAAAUUCUAACUUAACUCUUCAUCUCCAUUGUAAAAAGGAAACAAAAUGGAGACGCGCAAAAUGAAUAAGGAGAACAUUUGAACUCAAAUGAAAUGAGGGCGCGAAAGCAAACAAAUGGCAUGCACAAACAAACCAAGCCUCAAUCAAAAACUAAUUGACCAUUAAAAAAAAUAAAAAUUGGUCAGAGAAUGAACUCCAAAUUCGGGAGUGAAGCAAGAAGCUUUCACUAUUUCAGAAGCUCCUGUACAAAUUAAUAAGUUAUGCUCUUUGGAGACAAUCCUAAAUUCCAAGAGAAACAGAGCUCAAAAAAAUUUUGCAAUUAUGAGCAAAGGAAGUGAAGCACAGCAUUCUACCACACACAGGAAUUGUAUAACAUGAGAUCGAUAUAUCGAAUUGGAAGAACUCAAUUCUAAUUUGUGUCAAAAAUCAAAAUUAGAAGAUUUCAUAUUUCGACAGGAACAAGCAACAGGGGAGGUUCAAAAUUUCAGCCAUAACAUGCUAAAAUUGCUACAUUUAACGGUUUAUUUUCAUGGAUUUUCUCCGGAAACAAACAGAAAAUUACGGUUUAGAGAGCUGACUGACCCUUUGGCUUUUAGAAUUGAGAAGAUCGCGCGCCAAAUUGGAAGAGGGGAAGUGAAAGUGCGAGUUUUAAACUUUUAAUAUGGGUAUUAGAUAAGGAAAUUUCAUUAGGUUGCGAGGGUAAAAAAGGAAAGAGAUAUCAUUAUUUUAUUAUCGAUAAUUAUUAACUUUUUUUUCCCCAAAAAAAAGAACAAGCAAGGAUAUUUUAUUGUCAUUUGCAACCUUUAAUUUUUUUAAAUGCUAUUAGAAACACAAGACAACAAAGAAAUGCUUAUUUUUUCCAAAAAUUAAAAUCAAUUGUUUAACUUGUUAUUUCAUAAUCCAACUCCACCACUAAGUUAAAGAAAAUUGUUUUAAAAUUACUCGAGUCAUAUCCUAUGGACCAACAAAAUACUUAUUUUUGUUUUUAUUUAUUUUUGCAGGAAAUUAAUAACUUAAAAAUACUGAAAGCUAUUGUAAAAAUUUUUAUUGUUUUUAUUUUUACUGGAAAUUAAUAACUUAAAAAUAUUGAAAGCUAUUGUAAAAAUUUUUAUUAUCAACCUCAUAAUUUUUUUUUUUUUUGGGGGGAGGAGAAUUCAAACAUUUUUUUAAAAAAUUUCCAAGAAUUCUUGACACCCAUCUUAAUUAAAAGCUAUAUUUUUAUUCAAGAGUCAUGCUAUUCAUUCACUCACAGACCAAAGGCUUUCCGCAGCAAUAUUAUUAUUUAAAUUACAACAAAGGGGAAAUCGAAUACGUCAUACAGAAACUUAAAGCUCAAUCUACAAAAUCUAGAGCUCUGAGCUACAUAAAUUACACUUGAUGAUCCUCUACAAGAUGAAGCUUGUUCAAUAUCUCGUCCAAAGCUUGCAAAGUAACCUUGUAACGAUCUUGAGAUUGCCGGCCUUCCUCAACGACCUGCACGAUGCGUUUGUACAAUCAUCAUACCUGUGCACCGGAUUUUUAAUAUCAAUGGCACUGCAGCUGUGAUCAAGAACAUACGAGUGUUUAACAUCUUUUCUCCAUCGAGAAAGAAUGUAGUGAGAUGGGAUCUCCUGCAUGCCACUCUGGUUUAGAACACAAAGAAUGUGCCUGCAUAAAUAUCCCCUGAAAUUGAACAACCCACAAACACAAAGCACCUCCAAGUCGGAGGCAUUGUACAAAACAUCGAAAGCCCUUGAAUCCUUCUUGUUGCCACCAACCUCGAAUUCUUCCUUCACUAUGUAUGUUAUAGGUCCAUCAGAACUAAUAUGUUUUGUGCUAUAGCAAGAGUACAUAGCCUCCACCUCCGUCUGAAACUUCCUUAACAUUUCAUUUGUGUACAGUUUUGAGAGUUGAAAUUCAUAGUAACAUCUUGGUUUCCGGAUACAACUUGAAUUUCUUGAAUCCAUAUCUGCCAAGGCUUCCAGUUGAUAAUUCGCCUGCAGUGCUUGAUCAUACUUGUCUAAGAAUUCUUUCAAAGGAGUAUUCUUAUCAAGAUAUCCUUCAAAGUAUGAAGUAGAAACCUCAUUCUGCAGGAAUGAAAACACUCCUGAUAAAAAUGCUUCCUUCAAAUAAACAGGAGCCCACCCUUUACGAUCUUCAUAUAAAGUUUGAAUCCAUCCAUGAUCCUUCAUUCCAUGACGUUGAAUCGUGUCCUCCCAAGCUGUCUCAAAUUCCUCAGGCCUAAGAGAGUGAUAAAUUGCCCUAUGCAAUGCAGCUCUAAUAGCUUCAUAUUCAAAAUGUCCUUGGAGAUUCUCUGGAAUUUUUUGCGUGACACAUGACAAUGAAAAACAAUGAUAAGCUCUUGGGAAAACAUCGCCGACAGCAGUUUGCAAGAUUCUACAUUGGUCAGUGAUGAUUGUUUGUGGAAAGCGUCCUAACAUACAUGUAAGCCACACCCUAAACAACCAUGUAUAUGAUUCUAUAGUCUCACUGGCAAGUAAACCACAGCCCAACAGCACUGAUUGUCCAUGAUGAUUCACCCCAAUGAACGAAACCAGCGGUACAUCAUAUCUUUCUGCCAAGCAUGUAGUAUCAAUUAAGACUACAUCACCAAAGUACCUAUAGGCAACUCUUGACCUGGUAUCAGUCCAGAAGAGGUUUCUCAGGCAUACCUUUUCAUUUAGAUCCACCACAUUAAAAAAGUUUGGAUGUGUCAACUGCAAACGACAAAAGAAACUCUGGACAGCUUGUGCAUCUCCUGGUUUAAGCUUCAAUUGAUUUGAGCUAUUAACAUCAUUUCCAAAUACUCCAUUGGCAUCUACAUUACCAUUUCCCUCGGCAUCAAUGAUAAGAGUUCGAAACAGUAAUUUUUUGAACUUCUUGAGCACCAUCUAAGAGCAAUGUUCUUUUGGUUCCAAUACCCAUGUGCUUAUGAGACUUGUAAAACUUCCCGCUUCUUGGGCUUAACAAGUGGUUAUGCUCAAGCUCGACUUCAAUGAUUCUCCAUCUUUUGGUUUCCAUCAACCUAAACUUUAUCAUUGCUGGACAGCCAGUUCUUGUUUCUGGUCUUGGGUGGUUUGCCUCGCUUUUCUUCUUGAAGCCUGCAUUACUACAGCUGAGCUUUCCUCUAUACUUUUCUCUACUCUUUCGGUACCAUGUAUUGCUAACUCUAACACCAAAACCCUGUUCCUUGGCAUAGCAAUUAUAAAAGUAAUAUACGUCAUCAUACGUCUCAAACUCCAUUCCAACAGCAGGAGGCAAUGGAUUUUGGAUUAUCCCAGUUUGUCCAACAUAUUCAGUCAUCGCACAAUCUCCUACGACCUCAAAAUCAUCAGCUUCAUCAUCACCUACUGGUUUAGUAUUCAGAGAAACUUCAUCCACCUACAAUAGAUGUUUAAUGAAGUGCGCUUUAAGGAGAAAAAGCAAAAUCAGUUCAAGGAAUGAUAAUAUAGCCAUACAGUUACUUUCAUAAAGCUGCGUAUUUCAUCAAUACUUUAACAACAUACAACUGCCUGAGAACAUAUAGACAUGUCAUAGACGCUUGAAUUAAGUAUUGGUACAAAUUAGCACACAUCAUGUGGGACAAAAUUUCAGUCACUAAACCCAAUGCCCUUUUUUUUCACAUCAUACCAAGGAACGGAUUAAACCCAAUACCUUCUUUUACACCAUACCAAAGAACAGAUUAAAUCAUCAAUGAAAAUUAAUCACAUAAUAAUUUAACUAGACAAUUGAAGAGCUUGAAACAGCACAAAACUUGAAUCUGAUUAUGAUAAUUGUUGAGUCCUGGUAUCGACAGCUUUCCCUCAAUGAUAAGACAAUGAACAUAAACUUCACACAAAAAAAUUAUUUAAACUGACAGCCCAUGAUAUAAAUCAAUCAAAAUUAACUCCUUUUACAAAUUACAUCUUGUAUUCAUUUACAUCGAAACACAAAAAGGAAGCAGGAGCCAGAAAAAAACAACAGCAGAGAAACUUAUUUCCAUAAGGUUUACGAAAUAAGGAAUUUAUUAAGACACAAAAUUUGAGGUCACCAAUAAGAAUUUGGUUCUCAUUCUCUUUUUCUUCAUUUUUCACUUAUUGAUGGAGUUAGCGUACAAUCCUAAAUGAUAAAACCCCAUCUCCAUCUUUUUCAACUAGAGCUAAAGCAAAGCUUUUUAAGAUGUUUUUCCCUAAAAAACUCAAUCGUACAAUGUUUUUCAAUAUUAAAUACACAACUCAAUCUUCUCCUAACUAACUCUAAUAAUCUCUUAACUAAGGAAGAUUAAGCUCCACUUGUAAGCUAAAACAAGUUUCUUAAAUCAAGCCCCAAUGCUCUAUACUAUUCAACAAGGCCUCAUAAAUGAUAAAACUACCUCUACAAAGAUACCCAUUUUAAUUUCGCAAACUAAAAUCAAACUCCUGAAACGUAACGAGCAUUAAAACAAACAAGUCCGAACAAGAACUGAAAAAUGAUACGUAAACCCGUUUCGACAAACAGUUUCCAAUCAAUGAGCAAAAAAGUUAAUGGAAAACAUGAAAUUCAAACGAAACAUACCUUAGGUUGAUAAAUUAGUAGGGCAAAAGAAAUUUUAGCGAGAUAUGGGAUCAGGGAUUUUGCCACGGUGAUGUUAAUUGCGACAUUCGGGUGGCUCAGCAGCCUUCGAGGCUGAAACUUUGAUUGACCAAAAGCUUCCCGUUCGUUGAUUCUCUAAUUGCAGAAACGAAACUGGCAGUGUACAGAAGAAGUACGCUGAUUUGAUAAUUCUGUGAAAAUCAUUGUUUUUUUUUCAGAUUUUUAAUGUGUUCGAUAAAAUAUCAAAAUCUCAAAAACUUUUGUCUUUCAUUUUGGGGGGGAAAAACCCAUUGAGAUCCUUAUUUUUUUUUCUUAUAUAAUCUGGGUUAAUAAUUUGCAAAGUCUAUUACUUUGCACCCAUGCAUGCUGCGUUUCAAUUUACAAAAUUGUACGUGAGUGCAUCGAGCUAAAAUUUGUAAAAAGAAAAUAAUAAUAACAUGUUAAAAAUGUGAUUAUUAUGAAGAAAUUUUAAUUUAGUUAAAUAGGUGACGAUGGAUAGGUAUAAAAUCUGAGAUCUUUUAUGAGAUUAAUAAAUAUGUUGAGUUUGGAUUAGUUCAAUUUUGCAUAAUACAGAAUAAACACAACCUACUAAUCUAAGUUACCAUCUUUUCCCGUCAUCAGUAGGGAUGGCAAUGGGCACCGCCCGCAGCGGGUUUGCCAUUACCAAAUUCAAACCCGCACAAAAUUUAAAUUACCAAACCCACCCGCAACCCGCAGCGGGUUUUAAUUUUUUUAUAAAAACCCACCCGCAGCGGGUUUUAACAAUUACCAAACCCGCAAUGGUAUCCGGCGGAUUUUUUGCGGGUUUCCGUAUUUAAAAUCACAAAUGUUUAAUAUAUAAAUUUAUAAUAAUAACCUCAAAUUCCAUAUAACAUACUCAAUUUUAUAUUUAAAUAAUGUAAAUGAAAAAUUAAAAUUUCCACAUCAAUUCAACACAAAUUCUCAAAUUUAAGUAUAAAUUACACAAAUCCAUUUAAAAAACACAAACUAGUAUCUAAAAAUAAUAAUUACAUUUCAUAUUAUCAUUUAAAACAAGCUCCAAGAGAAGAUAUUCAUUUCAUUCACCACCAUAAGCACCCAUCCAACACAAUGCCUAUAAUAAUAAUUAAGAUUAAUAUUUUCAAAUACUAAUUCGAAGGAAAAUGCCUCUAGUUUUCUUUAGAUUAUGACUUUAGAAUAGGAGAUAGGUCACAUACACACAUACACAACUUUGAGCCUUUGGCUAUUUGGUAAUUUGAUUAAUGACAUUAUUUUCUUUAUACAUUUUUAGAUUAAAAUUAAAUUAAAAAUAUUUGGAAAAAAUAUUGCGGGUUUGGUGGAUAUCCAUGCGGGUAUCCACCGGAUAUAAGGUUAAUACCAAACCCACCCGCAUCCAUGUGCGGGUUUUAAUUUAUAAUACUAAAUCCGCCCGCAACGGGCGGGUUUUGGCGGGUGGGUUUGGGCGGGUUUGCGGGUUUGCGGGUACAAUUGCCAUCCCUAGUCAUCAGGUACCUGUUUGAAAAAUAAUUAUAUACAAUUUUAUUUGCGUCUUCUCUCUAAAAAUUUGGGACUCAAAUGUUAUUUCUAAUUGUUAAAAUUACAAAAAUGCCACCUUUCUCUUCAGCUAAAGGAGUGCAAGGUCAUCUGUAUAAUUGAAUCUGCAUCAUCAACAUCAAUUUCUAUUGCCGGUGUUACUGCAUGCUUACAGUUGCUUGACAAAGUGAGCCAGUUUUUUGUUUAUUAAUUUUUUUUCUUGUCGAGACAGUCACAAAGUAUUACUUGUUCCAUAUGAGAAUGAUGUGAAUCAAUUUUUCAAUUAUACAUUCUGUGGUAAUUAUUGUGAAUUUAGUUUCAUUUGUCUUGUCUCCCGCAAAUUAUGAAGAAAAUGCAGACAUACAAACUUACAAUAUGUAUUUGCGUUAGUAUAAAAACAAUUGUUAGAUGAUUAAAGCGAUUUUUUUUUUUACAGCAUUUGAUUGUAUUAGUUAAAAUCAUUUUUUAAGGAUAAAAAUAAGUAGAAAAUUAUUCUCAUGUAGUGUGGAAAUCUUUUCUAAUUUCUUGUUGACUUGUACAUUUAUUUCAGAAUUUCCAUUCAUUAGUUCUACUGUUUUAAUCUUUGACUUAGCUACCGUAGUUGACUUUUUAUAUCAAAGGCUUAAACAGCAUGCAUUUUUGAAUUGACUGAGAAUAAUUUGGUGGACAAAUUACUCUUUAAAUGGCUUAAAGAGUAAUUUAAAUGGCUUAAACAGCAUGCAUUUUCAUGCCCAAGUCACUCGUCACGUCCUUUCAUCGAAACAAAGUGCCCGGUGCAAAUGGUGUGAUGUAAAACACUUUUUUAAAUUGUCAUUUUUUUCCUUUGCUUUUGCUUUAAGUUUCUAAAUGCUCAACGCCAUAAAUCCAUGCAUUCUUAAUUUUCGUUUGCUGUAUUGAUUCCCAACCCUCUAUGUCACAAGGUUUUGAAUGCCAGUAAUUAAGUUAAAUUAAACAUAUUUUAAGUCCUACUUUAAAUUAUUGAAAAAUGUAUUAUGGUUGAACUGAAUUUUAACUAAAAAAUAUAUACAAAAUAAAAGAUUAAUCAUAUCUUUUUAUGAGGAAGGUUCUGACCACAGCCACUUAAAAUUAAUUGAGUGGAAUAUUGCAAAAUAUAUAUAAACCAUGCCAAAACUAGAUGUUUGAGUAAUGAAAACGAGAAUUCAUAUGACUCAGAAAUAUGGUUGCUUUCCUUUUUCUGAAAGGAAAAAAAAAAGGGGGACCAAAAAGGACCAAAAUGAACAAAAAUGGAAGGCGAAGGUAAGCAGACAUGUUAUUUGUUUUACCUAAGAUGCCAGAUGCAACUCCCCAUUGAUGGUGAUCGAACAUUAUGGCCAUUUUCUUAGUAAACAAAAAAUGAAUUUUGAACACUCAACAACGAAAUUUGAGCAGAAGAUCAAGCAAGGGCCUCGAUCUCAAAGAAGAUACUAUGAAACCCUACUUAAUGGUUAAAUAACUGAUACACCUCUCUGCAACCAAGGCUGUAUCGAUAAAUUGGCACUCUUCGAGUGAGGGCUGACUCCAAAAGAAAUUCACAAAGAUGAGCAAGAGUGGGGAGAGAGAUGGAGAGUGAGAGAAGAAUAGAGAAAAGUUAAAAAGAAAUGAUUCAUUCUGGAUUCCUUUUGCACGAAUUAGUUAUGCUAUACAUAUACUCCUCUGUCUUUUGGCCUUUAAAAGAAUACAGCUCAGCAUAACUUUGUAACAGAAAAUAUGACAGCAACAUAAACCAGCAAAAUAUAAAGCUCUAUCAAUUUCACUAUACGACAUAAUCUUUAAACCACACAGGGGGUCUUCUCACUCUUGUGCCGGUAUACCCUUCCUCACGAGCUACUUCUACUUCAACUUGUGAUGAGGCUUCCUUCAUGGGCUGCACACAAUUAGACUCAUCGAUGAGCUGCCCUUCUCGUAAAUAAUCCGGUUGAUCCAGCUGAAUGUGGAAGGUUGUAUCAUCCCCUCCAGCUUCAAAAUUCACCUUGUCCUCAAGGUGAAAAUCGGGAUAAAGUUUACAGAAGGUGUCGAACUCUUCCCAAGUAGAAUCUUCAGGCGAACUGGCCAGCCAUUGAACCAGAAUUUGGCGACAUCUCAUUCCUUGUUUAAGCACGGUUCUAAUAGCGCAAACUGCAGCAGGGAGAUAUAAUGGCUGAUUGUCCACACUAGUUAAUGGCAAGGAAUGGUGAUCAGGUGUAUGAGAACCAAGAAAGGGUUUGAGAAGUGAAAUGUGAAACACUGGAUGGAUCUUGGAACCACUGGGCAAGGCAAGCUUAUAAGCUACAGGGCCAACUCGAGCGAGUACAGGAAAGGGGCCAUAAUACCGUUUAGCUAGCUUUUGACAAGAACGAGAUGCCACUGUAUUUUGGCGGUAUGGCUGAAUCCUCACUAGAACCUGGUCCCCAACAGCAAACUGAGCUUCGCGUCUAUGUGCAUUAACCUUUUGAAUCAUGCGAUGUUGAGCUUGACGCAAAUUCUCUUUCAAGGUACGAAGUAAUGCAUCCCGUUCACUUAAUGCUUCAUCAAGAGCUUGGAUUGAAGUAGAGCCCUUCGAGUAAGGAGGAAUUGCUAGAGGUGGUCGCCCAAAAAGAGCUUGAAAAGGAGACAUUUUGAUGCUGCUGUGAUAAGUAGAAUUGUAGGAAAACUCAGCCCACCCAAGUAGAGAUACCCAUGAGUGUGGUUUGUCUUGGGUGAAAGUGCGAAGAUAUUGCUCCAAGCCGCGAUUGACAACCUCCGAUUGCCCAUCUGUUUGUGGGUGAUAGGCUGUACUGUGUCGAAGGGUAGUGCCACUUAACUCAAAUAACUUCUUCCAAAAAUUGCUCAAGAACACAGGGUCGCGAUCAGAAAUAAUAGAAGUCGAAAACCCAUGAAGCUUUAUUACCAUAUCCACGAAUAAUUUGGCAGUCUUCACUGCUGUAAAUUGAGUGGGAAGGGAUCCGAAGUGUGCUGAUUUCGUAAGGUGAUCAACCACUACUAAUAUCACCGUGAAACCUCGCGAAACUGGAAGGCCAGUAAUGAAAUCCAUAGUGAGUUCGUCCCAAACUAAAGUGGGGAUAGGAAGCGGCUGCAGUGGACCUGCUGGUGCUUGAGUAGAAUAUUUAGUCUGUUGGCACACAAGGCAUUCGGCCACGAAUCGCUCAACGUCCAUACGCAUUUUAGGCCAAAAAAAAUUAGAUGCCAAGCGGACCAGCGUGCGUUUGAUGCCUACAUGCCCUGCAAGUGGAGUAGAGUGGAAUUCAGCCAAUAGAACUGCUUUCAAGGAUGAUGAUGGGCUGAUAUAGUAACGAUUGCGAUAAAAAAGGACCCCAUUAUGCAGCGAAUAAUCCCGUGAAAGAGACCCCACAGCAAACUGCUGAUGAAGAUCAAUCAUUUCCGGAAGUGUGGAAUUCUCUAGUGUUAGAGUUGCUAACAACUCAAACGACGGGCGACUAAGGAGGGGCAAACAAGAAGCAGUCACUGUUGGUGUUACCUCACCAGCCUCGUCAUGAAUUCGUGAUAAGGCGUCGGCUGCAAGAUUGGUACAGCCCGGUUUAUACUCAAUGCGGAAGUGAUAGCCUAGUAAUUUUCUGAUGUAGACUUGCUGAUCCGGAGUUUGAACUACCUGCUGGAGAAGUUCCUUAAUGCUCUUAUGGUCAGUUCGGAUUACAAAAAAUCUACCCAAUAAGUAUUGUCGCCAUUUAUGCACCGCUUCAACAAUAGCGGUUAAUUCCUUGAUGUAGGUAAAAGAAGCCCGAAGUCGAGGACCUAAUUUCUUACUGAAAUAAGAUAUGGGGUGCCCCAAUUGCAUAAGCACAGCCCCGAUACCCACAUUAGAGGCGUCAGUCUCAAGAAUGAAGUCGGAGUCAAAAUCUAGUAGCCGUAACACAGGGGCUUCCACCAUUGCUCUCUUAAGAGCUUCAAAUGCGUCAGCUGCUGCUGGUGUCCACUGGAAGGCAUCUUUACAAAGCAAAUCAGUAAGUGGGGCUGCUAAAGACGCAUAUCUGCGAAUAAACCGCCGAUAAUAACCCGUCAAACCCAAAAAACCUCGAAGUUUUUUAGUAGUAUGAGGAGUUGGCCAACAAACCAUAGCUGCAAUUUUCUGAGGAUCGGCUCACACACCAAAGGCCGAAACAAUGUGGCCCAGGUAAUCGAUAGCGUCUUGGCAAAACAAGCAUUUGGAUAGCUUGACAAAGAACUGGUGAAAAUGAAGGCACCACAAGACUUGCUGAAGGUGACGCAAAUGUUCCUCUGCUGUAGCACUAUAAACCAAAAUGUCAUAAAAAAAAAUAAUCACAAAUUUACGCAAAAAGAAAGCGAAAAUCUGGUUCAUAGUAGCUUGGAAGGUAGAAGGCGCGUUUGUUAACCCAAACGGCAUGACGAGGAACUCGUAAUGGCCCUCAUGAGUGCGAAAAGCCGUUUUAUAAAUGUCUCGGUGGUGCACGCGAAUCUAAUGGUAACCAGCCCGUAAAUCCAACUUGCUAAAGAUUGCUGCCCCGCCUAAUUCAUCGAAUAAUUCGUCGAUAGUUGGAAUGGGGAAUUUAUCUUUAAUGGUGGCGGCAUUCAAAGCCCUGUAAUCAACACAGAAACGAUAGGUCCCAUCUUUUUUUUUUUACCAACAAGACCGGUGACGAAAAUGGACUUUGACUCGGUUGAAUGAUGCCUUGUUCUAACAUUUCACGGAUUAGUUCUUCCAUCUCAUUUUUUUUGGAAAUGGGGGUGGCGAUAUGGGCGCACAUUUAUGGGAGUAGUGUUGGGGAGGAGGUGGAUUCUGUGAUCAAUUGUGCGAUGUGGCGGCAGGGUAGUAGGUGGAAGAAAUAAGUUGCGGUAAGUGUGUAGAAGAUCAACAAAUGGUGUGGUUAAAUGUGGAGGUAAUUCGAAGGAAGAACUCUCGGGAUUGCUUUCCGAUUCCUCCCCGGGUAUAGGUACCUGUUGCAGAGCAUACAAACUAUAAAUAUCAGCACUGUGGACUAGAGAUUGCAACUGAUGAAAGGUGAUUAGGGAGGGAGUAAUGGAUAGUUCGCCGCGAAGAGUCACUGGUGCCCAACAAAAUUCCAUAGAGAGGGCAGAGUAAUCAUGAGAGACACGACCCAAGAGUUGCAGCCAUUGUAUUCCCAACACCACAUCAGGCCCCUCAAUGGGCAGAACAAAGAGGUCCAAAGUGAAGAUUGUUCCCUGCAUCGUGAGAGCAACUUGAGGGCAAACAUAUUUGCACACUAGAAAAUCCCCAUUGCCAAUAUAAACACGGAAAUUUGUUGUUGGUUGUAUCGGUAAGCCCAAACACUCUGCCACUGCUGGUUUGAUAAAGUUGUGGGUACUUCCGCUAUCGAUCAAUACUUGAAAGCUGUGAGAACCAACUUUGCCAACCAAACGGAGUGAGCGGGGAUUGAUUUGACCCGCCAAAGCAUUCAAACUAGAAAUAUCCCCUGUUAUGACCUCUUCGACAGGAUCCAGUGGCAACUCUUGUUCACAAGAAGCAAGUUCAUUAUCAUCAGUACCCAUGAGAAGCAAAAACUUACUGCGACAGCGAUGAUUAGCACUAUAUUUUUUAUCGCAGUUAUAACACAAUCCCUUCUCACGCUUGUCACGUAGCUCUGCUGGAGUAAGGCGGCGAAUCGUUAAGUUGGGUGUGGGUAGAAGUGGUGGUAAUGUGUUUGGUUUCGGGGGUGGGGAAGUAUUGUGGGAGUGAGAUAUGGUUUGGGCCAUACCAGUGGAAUGGUGCGGCUGGGUUGAAGCAAUGGGAUAUGUGUUAAGCUGAAAUUUGGGUGACGGGAAGGUUGUGGUAUGAGUAGGUGACAUGGUGUUCCAUUUUGGUAAAAAACGGUGUCCUUGUUUGGCUUCCUCAGCAUGGGCUUCAUAGGCACGAGCUAGUGCAAAUGCUUCCAUUAGAGAAGAAGGCCGAGCAAAAAGCAGCUCACGACGAAUAUCGGAUUUCAAUCCCGUGAUAAAAAAACUUAUCAGAAGCGGUUCUGAAAUUCCAGUCACGUGAUUCAUUAAAUCUUCAAAAGAGGUCUGAAAUUCUGCCACUGUUGUAGUUUGGGAUAACUUAGACAAAUUUCCUUGAGGAUCUUCAUAGAGGGAGGCACCAAAACGAUGUUUAAGGUUCUGCAAAAAUUCUUUCCAUGUUGUAAGCAAGCUGUUCAUUUUCAUCCAUUGAUACCACGCUGCCGCGCGUCCUUCCAUAUGAAAAGAAACAAUUCGCAAACGAAGAGUUUUUGGUGUACCGUGGAAAUCAAAGAACUCCUCAAUUCGAAAAACCCACCCGUUUGGGUCAGAUCCAUCAAACUUAGGAACCUCCAUCUUCAUAGAACGGAGCACAGGGGACAGCUCAAUACCACUGGAAUUUACCUCAGUCGAAGAAGAGGUUAGGUGUGGUGGAUUAGGAACCCGACCCGAGUGAUUGGAAGACUCAUGGAUCUGUGAACGCAAAUCAUCAAGGCGAGAAUCCACCGUGGCCAUAUACUGUUGCAGCGUUUGAUGUAAGGACAAUGUUUGGCUCUCGAACUGUUCUUGGAUCGUCUUUAAAAGGUCAGAAUCCGUCAUAACGAUAGCAAUGAAAGCACCACUGAUACACCUCUCUGCAACCAAGGCUGUAUCGAUAAAUUGGCACUCUUAGAGUGAGGGCUGACUCCAAAAGAAAUUCACAAAGAUGAGCAAGAGUGGGGAGAGAGAUGGAGAGUGAGGGAAGAAUAGAGAAAAGUUAAAAAAAAAUGAUUCAUUCUGGAUUCCUUUUGCACGAAUUAGUUAUGCUAUACAUAUACUCCUCUGUCUUUUGGCCUUUAAAAGAAUACAGCUCAGCAUAACUUUGUAACAGAAAAUAUGACAGCAACAUAAACCAGUAAAAUAUAAAGCUCUAUCAAUUUCACUAUAUGACAUAAUCUUUAAACCACCCAGGGGGUCUUCUCACUCUUGUAUCGGUAUACCCUUCCUCACGAGCUACUUCGACUUCAACUUGUGAUGAGGCUUCCUUCAUGGGCUGCACACAAUUAGACUCAUCGAUGGGCUGCCCUUCUCGUAAAUAAUCCGGUUGAUCCAGCUGAAUGUGGAAGGUUGUAUCAAUAACUUUCAUUCAGCUUUGGACCUUAUUUCGUGAUACGGAAAGACAAACCUUUCUUGGCCAGCAGUGUCCCAAAUCUGAGCUUUGAUGAUGAUCUUGCCGUUGAUGGUGACAGUUCUGGUUUGGAACUCGACGCCAAUGGUUUAUUUCGAUUCAAAGCAAAACUCAUUCUUGGUGAAUCUCGAAAGAAUCUGAGACUUGCCCACGGCCGAGUCACCGAUCACCACUACCUUGAAUACAAAGUCUAUUUUGUCAGGAAUCAUAUUCUCUCGUUGUUGAUGACGAUGAUCGGUGCCAUCACCACUCAUUUCUUCGUUCAUUCAUUCUAUGUCCAUUGAUCUUUUUGAAUUAUUGAAGACAAGUGGCUCACCGCUUUUAGUAUUGGUAAAAUUCAGAUAAUCUCUAUUCCGAAAUAAUAAUAUUCAAAAUAUAUCUUAAAUCAUUAUAAACCUCAAAUCUAUUUUAAUUUUAUUUAAAAGAUAAAAGAAAAAUAGGUUAUGUUGGUGAUUUUUUAUUAUCUUUUUAAUAAAAAUGGAAUAAAUUGAUGUUUAUAAUUAUUUAAAGUAUUUUAAAGAUUGCUAUUUUAUGAGAGAAUAAUAUUUCACUUUUUUUUAGUGUGAAAGACCGAAAAAGGACAAAGCAAGUUUCCCUAAUUUUUAUUUUAUUUGAAAUUGGUCAUCUCAUAUACUUCACCCUUCAACACUAUAAUUUUUUUUGUUAUAAUUUUAUUAUUUUUUUCUCUUUUACACAUGCAUGUGAAUUACUUUUCUUUAAGCUCCUGAAUAUUUAAGACAAAUCAUGGAAGAGAUGAGAGUAUAACAAGAUGAUCAAAAUAUGUAACAAAAAAAUUUUAGAAGUGAAAAAUAUGUUAGAGUCGAAGUAAAACUCUGAGGUGAUGUUUGAUUUGAAGAAAAUGGAGGAGAGGAAAAGAGUGAAAUGGAGAGUAAAAGAGAGAAAAGGAGAGGAGAGGAGAGUGAAAUUUUUUUCUAAUGUUUGGUUUGUCACAUAAUUAUACAAAGAAAGGAAAUCUCUAAUUUUUUAUUUAGACAAUUUUAACCUUAAUAAGUAUUAAGCUUUCAAUAUUUAUCAUGUGUAUAAUUUAAAAAAAGUAAAUGGUAGAAAGCGGUUUCUGAUUCCGGCCACAUCGCCGGCAAUGGAAGGUACUUAUCAGAACAUCAAGAGCCGGCCAUCAUUCCCUAGCCAUCACUGCUGUCGGAACACUGCCAGAAAGCUACCGAUUGAACCGCGAAAAGUUGUGGAAAUCGCUGCCUCAAAUCGGUGAGUUUCGCCUUUUUCUGGUCACGUCGUCGCCUUGGCUUUGUCCAUCAAGGCUGCCACUUCCAUUUUCAACCAUCCAUAGCCACUAUUAACCGCCAAAUCACCGCCGAUCAGCGGGAUCUGUGGAAGUUAAAAAGUUUCUAAAAUUUUUUAAUUGGAUUUGAACAACAUACAACCAUUUUUUGAUCUUGAUAACGAUGUAGUAAUGUUGAUCGUUGGUCGGCAAGUCGAAUGGUAGUGGCAGUGAGUAACACGCGCCAAUGACAUCGGCGGCGGCGGCGGCACUAUCCGGCAACUGUUAAAAUUAAUAUUUUAUAUUUGUAGAUUAAAUAAAUUUAUUUUAUUAAACUUUUUAAAUCAUUAUUUAAAUUUAAUUAAUUUAAAUUAUCUAUAAUGUUGAAUUGAUAAAAUAAAUUUAUAAAUAGUAAUUAUGUGAUUACAUUAAAUAAGUUAAAAAGUUGAAGGGUUAUUUUUGGAAGAUUUAGUUUCCAACACAAAGGGAAUUUGAAUUCUUCACUUCUUAGUGUGGAAUUCAAAUUCUAUAUUGUAAUGGAUAUUAAAUUCCAAUAGAAAUUAAAUUCUUAUAAGUUAUGUCAAACCAAACAACGGAAAUAAAAAAAAAAGAAUUUAAAUUAUUUUCCUUUCCUCCACCCUCUCCUUCCAACCAAAUACAUCCUGAAAAUAGAGAUAUUGAUUAAUUUAGAAGAGAUGCAAGCAAAAGAUAUUCCACAAAAAAAAAAAAGCAAUAUGUCCCUUUGGAGGGCAAACUUGUCAGUUUUAAAAAAGUACAUGCUUUGGAUUGAUAGUUGUAGGAUAUUUGUUUUGUCACUAUGUAUUAGUUGGAGAAGUCAAGCCUUGUGAAGAAUGUUAUGAAAGAGCAAAGGAUAUUCCUGAUAGCUGAUAGAGCUCUAUUUGAUUAUGUAUCCAGUGAAUGGAUGUGUUGUUGGAAGAUAUUUGAGUGCAUUAGUUCAUAUGUGUCUGUCAAUGUGAUUUUAAUGAUUUUUCCACUUGUUUGUUGUAAAAGAUUAUUGUAAAUUGAAAUGAACUUGAUGUUGUAAUAUUUUCUCCUUAGUAGAAUUUCACCUAGUAUGUAUUCAGUUGUGUUGUCUAUAAUUUUGCAUUUGAAUAAGUUUCACCUAAAAUAUUAGCAUGAGUAGUGGCCCUUGAAACUUUGGUCAAAAUUAUUGUUAUUAUUUCCGACUAGAUGUAAAUUUUUUAUUAAAUCUCGUUAACACAAUUCUUAAUUAAAAGUAUAGGUUAGUGUUGGUGCAAGAUUUGCCACACCAAAUUCUGCCUAGCUGUCAAAAGUGCAAAACAAAUGAAGAGAAAGCACAAAUACAAGACUUGAAUAAGGAUACAACGAAACUUAAAUUCAAGAGAAAAUGAUAGCUAUAUCUCAAGAUUUGAAAAAAUGGCCAUGUAGAUUUUUAAGAUUUCAAUAAGCGACUGAGAUUCAAAUAAUAUCCUUUAAUUCUAUUAACAAAAAACAAAGACUCAAAUAUUUUAUGAUAAAUAAAAAUAUAAUAUUAAAAUAUAUGUGAUAAUAUACACAUUUUAAAUACUUUCAAUCCAAAAAAAUAGUUAUGUUUUACAAUCUAUUAGACAUAUUUUAUUAAAUUAAUAUAAAUUUUCUAUAAAAUAAGAAUAUAAUAUUAAAAUAAAUUUACAAAAAUUUAAAGAAUUUUGAAUGUAAAAUAAUUUUAAUAUAUUAAUACGUGAGUUUUUUUAUUAAUAUAAAAAUUAUUUAACUUUAAGAUUUUUAAAAUCUUUACAAUAAGUAUAACUAUAUUAUUUACAUUUAAAAAUAUUUAAAUAUUAUUAACCUACAAUUAUAUUUGCAUUUGUUAGAAAUUUUUUAAGUCAAAUAUUUUGCACUUCUAUAUUAUUAGAAUUAUUGCACACAAAGAAAGAAACAUAUACCUUUAGAAAUUGUUUUAUUUUAAAAUAGAGAUGAUGAUUAGUAUAAGGAUGAAAAAAAGGAUAAAGAAUAUUAAUGAUUAACGAAAUCUCUAUACAAAUUGAUUUUAGUAGGAAAAGAAUGAGAUGAAUGAAUUCUUUUACAGUUAGAAACAUAGAUGAUGAUUAUUAUAACGAAGAAAAAAGAUAAAGAAUAUUAAUUAUUAAUGGAAUCUCUAUGCAAAUUGAUUUUAGUAGGAAAAAAAUGAGUUAAAUGAUUUAGAGUGCGUUUGGAAUUGAGAUUGGGCAGCCAUAGAUUUUAAGUUACAACACUGAAGUGUUUGGUAAAUACUAGCUGCUGCAGAUUGAAAGUUAUGUUGAUAUGAUUUUUCACAUGUAUCAUAGAAAAUAUAUUACAUCUUUAAUAAUUUUUUUAAAAUUUAUAUUUGCUAUAUAUUAUUAAUUUUUUUAUAGUUAUAAUUUUUUUUCCACAGCAGCUGUAGCUUAAAAGUCACAGCACCUCAAUCUCAAACAAAUCCUUAGACAUUCAUAGUGUGUUUAUUUUUUGGAUUGGUGAAUCAAAAUUAUUGACAACGCUAACUUCAUCUUCAUUGUUCGCAAUCCAACAGCAGCAAUUGUCACAAAUAAUGAUAUCUCCAAUGAUGAUGACAAUUAUUAUUAUUAUUAUUAUUAUUAUUAUUAUUAUUAUUAUUAUUAUUAUUAUUAUUAUUAUUAUUAUUAUUAUUAUUAUUUAUUAAUUAAUUAAUUAAUAUAUUAAUGUUAAUAUUAUUAUUAUUAUUAAGAUUAACAAUAAUUAUUAGUAAUACAAUUUUUUGAAUAAAAAUAAUCACAAUAAUUAAAAUACAAAUGAAUAAUUAUGACAAUAGUUAAUUAAUAUCUUUUUAGUAAUUUGUAAUAAUCUAACUCAUUUUGAUUCUGAUUAUUAUAGUUUAAGUAAAUAAAUUAUUAUGAUUUUUAUUCUCCUUUCCCAUUUUAACUCACUUCGAUUCCAGUCUAUUCCGAUUUCUAUCUAAUAAAUGCACCAUUAGUGCUAAAGUAAUAUUUCAUACAUAGAAAAAUAAAAACUACACCUAAGGUUAAGGGAAAGGACUUCAAAACUCUCUUUUGAUCAUAAUACAUUUUGUCCUAAUUAACUUAAAGAUUUUGAAUCUAAUAUUUUAUAAUAAAUAAAAAUAUAUUCCUAAAAUAAAUAUAAUAUCAAUAUUUAAAAUAUGUUUUAAUAUUUUACAAUCUAUCAUACACAUUUUAUUAUAUUAAAGUAGAUUUUAUAAUAAAUAUAUAAAAAAUUUAGAAAAUUUAGAAUAUUAUAUAAAAUAAUUUUAAUAUAAUGCGUGAGAUAUAUUUUAUUAAUUUAAAAUGUUAUUUUACCUAAAAAAUAUGAUAAAUUAAUAAUUACAUAUUUGAAGCUAUUUCAAAUAUUAAAAAAAUUUAAUAUUAUUAAUCUUUUAGAUAGAUUAAAUUAUUUUUUAUAAGAGAGAUUAAAUUAUUUUAAAAUGCCUUAAUUGUUUUUACUUUUAACGUUACCGGCCUUUCUUUUAUUUUAUUGCAAAUUAAUGCUAACAAGAAAAAGCUAGAUCAUAUUCCACAAAAGUAAAAGUGACAAACACAACCAGCUGGAAUCUUUUAUAAAACUACAAAUUAAAAUGGAUUUUUUUUUUGUUGAUAAAGUACACGUGAAAGUGGAUUCUUUUAUUUUUUUUUAAUGUGUAGACUCUUUUAUUGAGCACAAAUAUAGAGUAGUCGAGACGAUUAGGGUCUUUUAUUAAACUACAAAUUGUAUAGUCUUUUUCAAAUUGUUCAGAUAUUUCUAAAUUGGUGGCCCCUACAAUCCUCGAUAAUUGUACCGAUAUUCACAAGUUGGUGGCCCCUACAAUUAUCAACUGUGCAAGUGCUCAUUCACAAUCUUCCAGGUCAUGCUCUUAAUAAUUGUUUUUUUUUUUUCCUGCAUUCCCUUUCAUGCUCUUAAUAAUUGAAGAGCAUACUUUUCAAAUGUGGAGCCGCGGCUAAUGUCGCUAAUUUAAUUUGGGAUUAAAUCAAGGGACCAUUAUAUUGCAGUGUGCAUUAAUUUUUGUGUUUAUCUAAACUCCUUAAAUUUAAGACAUAUUAUGGCAUAAAUAAGAAUAUAACAAUAGCAAAAGAGUUAGAAAGUGUAGAGAAGAUCUUGCAGAAAUAUAAAUAAUAUCUAUUUUUAAAAUAAUAUCAAUUUUUAAAAUAAUUUUUAAUAUUUUAUGAUCCAUUAGGUAUAUUUUAUUAUAUUAAAGUAAAUUUUAUAAUAAAUAAAAAUAUUCUUAAUUAUGUAAAUCAUAAUUUUUUUAUUAAUUUUAAUUUAAAUUAUGUGAAUAAAAAUUAUUAAUAAUAGCAACACAAAUGAAACAUUAUUAUUAAUAAUAUAGUACAAAAUUAAUAUUUUUUUACAAUAAAAUAUUUAUUAUUAUUAAUUAAAUAAAUAAUUAAUAUUUAUUAAAAUUAAUGUUUAAUAUUAUUAAUUUAAAUAUAAUAUUUAUUUAUUUUUAUUUUAUUAAAUUUAAUAAAAUAAAUAUGUUAUAAUUAUUAUUUUUAAUAAAUAUGAUAUUAUUUAUUUUAUUAAAUAUUAUUUAUUUAUUUUAAUUAUGAGGGUAAAAAGGAAAGAGGGGGGAGUGGAUUUCCACUCCCACCUCCUCCCAUGGGAGUGAGAAUCCCACUCCCCACUCCAAAAUUAGGUGGGAUCCAUGGAGUGGGAAUCCCACUCUCUCCUUAAAAAUGGUAAGUAAACACUAGAAUGUGAGGAAUCCACAUUUUACACUUUCAUUCCAAAAAAUAAACACUACCUAACUAGUUUUUAUUAAAGGCAAGUACAAACUAGUCAAGAAUCGAAUAGUCUUUUUCAAAUUCUUGUUUUAUUAUUUUUCAAAAUUAGUUUUUAGUAAUUACAAUCGGGUCAUUCAUUAAUCAUUAUUCAGAAGUUAGUGUGGGUAAAGGAUAAUUACUAACUGUUUUUCCUUCAAAAGUUAGUGUGGCUCAUGUUUGCAGGUGCGAAUGUGCGAUGCUCUCUUUUUAAAGGCAAUUACAGUGGGUCCCGAAUCAUUACUAAAAUUUGUCUUCCACAGCCCACCGCAGCUUCAGUUAAUCAAACUCCAUCAAUUUUCUUUCUUAACAAAAUUCUAAAGAUGUGUAGCAUUUUUCAGAUCACAUGCGAUGGUGCUUUUUUCAAUCGUUGCUUGGAUUGCUUUCUUGGAAAAGCAGCAUACAUACGUAACCUCCAAGAUAAUCUUGUAGCCUUGCAGACUGAAUUGGGAAAUCUGAUCGCUAAAAAGAACGAUGUGAUGAGGAGGGUUGACAAUGCUGAACGGCAACAAAUGAUAAGGCUGGAAGGAGUGCAAGUGUGGGUUUCGAGAGUAGAAGCUGUUAAAACUGAAGCUGAUCAAUUUAUAAGAGACGGCUCUCGAGAAAUUGAAAAAUUAUGUGUUGGAGGCUACUGUUCCAAGAAUUGCAUGUCAAGCUACAAGUUCGGGAAAAAAGUGGCUAAAAAGCUACGGGAUGUGCGGACUUUAAUCAGUGAAGGAGUUUUUGAGGUGGUGGCUGACAGAGCUCCAGAGUCUGUAGCAGAUGAAAGACCUACUGAGCGAACAGUAGUAGGCUUGCAAUCACAACUUGAACAAGUCUGGAGAUGUCUUGUAGAAGAAUCAGCGGGAAUCAUUGGCCUAUAUGGUAUGGGCGGUGUUGGUAAAACUACACUACUGACCCAUAUCAACAAUAAAUUUCUCGAGAGUCCAACCAACUUUGAUUGUGUGAUUUGGGUUGUAGUUUCAAAAGACCUGCGACUCGAAAAAAUUCAAGAAGAUAUUGGGAAAAAGAUAGGUUUGGUUGGUGAUUCAUGGAAGAGUAAAAGUGUAGAGGAGAAAGCUGUCGACAUCUUCCGGAGUUUAAGAGAGAAGCGAUUUGUAUUGUUGUUAGAUGAUAUAUGGGAGCGGGUUGAUUUAACAAAGGUGGGCGUUACACUUCCCAGACCAAAAAAUACUACCUCAAAAGUCGUAUUCACAACCCGUUUCAUCGAUGUUUGUGGUAGCAUGGAAGUUGACAGGAAGUUUCAAGUAGCAUGCUUAUCAGAAAAGGAUGCUUGGGAACUGUUUCGAGAAAAAGUUGGGGAAGAAACUCUUCAGAGUCAUCAUGAUAUCGUUGAGCUAGCCCAAACUGUGGCCAGAGAGUGUGAUGGUUUGCCACUCGCACUUAUUACUAUUGGUCGAGCUAUGGCCUGCAAAAGGACAGCCGAGGAGUGGAGACACGCAGUUGAAGAGUUAAGGAGAUCAGCUUCUGAGUUUGCAGGUUUGGGAGAAAAGGUGUACUCUCUUUUAAAAUUCAGCUAUGAUAGUUUGCAGAAUGAGACGAUUAAAUCUUGUUUCUUAUAUUGUUGUUUAUAUCCCGAAGAUUAUGGAAUUCUUAAAUGGGACUUGAUUGAUUGUUGGAUUGGCGAGGGAUUUUUGGGGGAAUCUGACAGGUCUGGUGCAGAAAACCAAGGAUAUGACAUUUUGGACACUCUUGUUCGUGCAUGUUUAUUAGAAGAGGUGGAAGAUAGAGUAAAAAUGCAUGACGUUAUUCGUGAUAUGGCUCUAUGGAUAACUUGUGAAAUUGAGAAGGAGAAGAGAAACUUUUUGGUUCGUGCAGGUGCUGGAUUAAAAGAGGCACCGGGUGUUAAAGGAUGGGAAAAUGUGAGAAGAUUGUCAUUGAUGCAAAACCAAAUUGAAACUCUGUCAGAGGUUCCCACAUGCCCUCAUCUCCUCACUUUAUUUCUUGACUUUAAUCAGGAGUUGGAGAUGAUCGCGGAUGGCUUCUUCCAACUUAUGCCUUCUCUCAAAGUUUUGAAGAUGUCAAACUGUUCGAAUUUGAAAUUACCUGUUGGGAUGUCAGAGUUGGGUUCAUCACUAGAACUUCUCGAUAUUUCAGAAAACAGCAUAACAGAGUUACCGGAAGAGUUAAAGAAGUUGGUAAAUCUGAAAUGUUUGAAUUUGAGGUGGACACAGCAUUUAAAUAAAAUUCCACGGCAACUAAUAUCAAAUUCUUCAAGGUUACGUGUGUUGAGAAUGUUCGCUACUGGCCGGUUCAAUUUUCAUGAAGCACCAGAAGACAGCGUUUUAUUUGGUGGGGGUGAAGUUUUGAUACAGGAAUUGCUCGGUUUGAAAUAUUUAGAGGUAUUGGAGUUGACCUUGGGAAGUUAUCAUGCUCUCCAAAUUCUUUUGAGCUCAAAUAAGUUAAAAAGUUGUAUUCGAUCUCUUUACCUCCAGUUGACCGGAGAUACAACGUCAAUUAUUGAUGCUACGGCUUUCGCAGAUCUAAACCACCUCAAUGAAUUAUAUAUUUAUAAAGGUAUUGAGUUGGAAGAAUUGAAGAUUGAUUAUACGGAGAUAGUACGAAAAAGGCGGGAACCUUUUGUUUUCCGUAGCCUUCACUGUGUUACUAUGAUUUCGUGCCGUAAAUUGAAAGAUGUGACAUUCCUCGUUUUUGCUCCAAACCUCAAGUCUCUUCGGCUAUUCGAUUGCGGUGCUAUGGAAGAAAUAAUCAGCGUCGGAAAAAUUGCUGAGACUCCUGAGAUGAUGGGACAUAUAAGCCCUUUUGAAAAUCUCCAAAUGCUUCAUCUAUCGUUAUUGCGAAAUUUUAAGAGCAUCUACUGGAAGCCAUUGCCUUUCGCUCAUCUAAAAGAAAUGAUGGUGCAUCGGUGCGAUCAGCUUGAAAAGCUUCCACUCGAUUCCAACAGUGCAAAGGAGCGUAAAUUUGUUAUUCGUGGAGACACACAGUGGUGGAACCGACUUCAAUGGGAGGAUGAAGCCACUCAAAUUGCUUUUCGUUCCUGUUUCCAACCUCAGUCCUGAGCGGUGGUCGCAAAAUUUGAUUUCUGGUGAGUGCGGUUGUCUUUUAAAAGAAGAAUUUAAAAGAAAUUUAUUCUUGUCGUUUUCUUCUCUGUUUUUAUUUCAGUUUCUUUCUCUCUCUCUCUCUUUUUGUCUUCUGCAAAUCACAAUUAAAUGUUGAAUUAAUGGAAUUAAUGCUUCAUAAAUUUGCCGGCACUGCCAUUACUUUUUUUUUUUUAAUACAAAUUGAUACUUUAUUUAUAUCUUCUUAGCGAUAUAAUUUCCUGUCAAUUGACGAACGAGAAGAACAUAUGACUUAAACCAAUUCUCGCAUAAACUUGCUGUAAAAAGAUAUAAUCUCACUGAAAUGCACACGUCUAGAAUGAAUAGAAUUAAAACAGGGAAAAUAUUAGGUAUAUUAGCCUUCUUUACUGAAAAUCAAAUGACAAUAAAUUUUUUGAAGUUUUGAUUUUCUAUGGUCAAUUCCACCUUUUGCAAUUUCUUCUGUUCUAACAAAAACCAAUUUCUUUGUUCAAGUAUUUUCGUUUGGGUAUUAAUAAUUCUCCACCGAAAGAGUGAACUCUUGGAUGCUGCUCUUUUGUUCUCUGUUUUUAUUUCCCCUUUUUUCUUUUGGUCUUCUGCAAAUCACAAUCAAAUGUUGAAUUUGUUGAAAAAAUAGCAUAACAUGCUAUUUUGAGAGCACAUUUUGAGUGGGUCCCACUUAACAAAAGUGAAAAAUAUUGUGAGGUUCGGAUUCUACUCCGUUGAUACUUCAAUAGUAUAAUUUUAUUUUCUCAAAAUGGUGCUUGGGUGAAUGAGAAAUUGUCUCUCAAAGUUCACCCUUGAAGUUGAAAAUUCGAAAGGAAAUGAGUCUUAUCCCACAUGGGAAAAAGAAGCCUAGGAAUUAGUGUUUAAAUAUAAAUACUUAACCAUACAUGAGUAAGAAUUAUAAGGAUAGAGGCUCUCUCCACACGCGUGCGUGCGCAGGGGGGGUGCGAAUCCAAGCUUGAUUUGGUUGAACUCGUGUGCGUCCUGCGUACACGAAUGUCAGCCCAAAAUCAUCCAUGCAAGCUAGGCACCUUUUGAAUUCAAAUAAAUUGGUGACAGCUUUUUAGCUGUUAUUCACGUUUUUUUUAAAUUGAUUUGGCUGUUAUAACAAGGCACCUUCACUUCUGUUUUUUCCACUUGCAAAAACGAGCACAAAGCACACUUGUUUUCCCUUCAUUCUUCUUCGUCUUUCUCUGAUCGAGUUCGCUGUUGUGGUUCGCCGGAAAUUCUAGCCUGUGCUUGACUGGAAGUUCGUACCCGUUGCAUCCUGGGAAACAAAUACCAAUAAACCUUAAGCACUCCGAAUAGGUGGUAAAUCUGUUUUAAGGAGACUGUUUUGUGCAGGCCUCGGGUUCCUUUCUUUUUAUUUCAAUUCGGUUUCUUCCUCUUCUGUUCUUCAUUUAUUGUUUCCGAUUGCUAGUUUACACUAGCUAACAUAUAAUUUGUUAUCUCACUGUUUUAUUUUCUUACAGAAUUAAAUGGAAUUAAUUCUUUAUAAAUUUGCCUGCAUUGCUUUUUUUUUUUGGGGUCGGGGGGGGGGGGGGGGGGGGGGGGGGGGGGGGGGGGCGAAUUGAUGCUCUGGUUUUUGACUUUUUGUUGUCAAAUUUUACUCUGUUUUUUCAAAUUGAUGCUUCAAUAUUUGAAUCAAAUUAAUGCUCACGUAAAUUUGUCUAGUUGCCGUAAAAGAUAUAAUUAGACUGAAAUACACACUUUUAGAAUCAAUAGAAUUAAACAGAGAAAACAUUAAGUAUAAUAGCCAUCUUCACAUAAAAUCAUGUCAUAAACACAUGAUUAACAUUAAGUUAAAAUUUUGAAGUUUUGAUUUUCGAUGGUCAAUCAUACCCUUUAUAAUUUCUUCUGUUCUAACCACAAUAAAAUUUUUGGUUCCAGGAUUUUUAUUUGGGGUAUUAAUAAUAGUCCACCAAAAGAGUGAACAGUUGGAUGCUGCUCUAAGGGUCUCUAAUGUAAUCAAUAGCUGGAAGCAAUUGAGAAGGCGGUCGCUACUGUGUGCAAAGCCAUGCAGUAUUUGUUAUUCAUCUUAGUAAUUAUGAAGCUUCGGUAAAAUUUUCAUGAAUUUGUAUGAAUAUCGUUGUUCCAUUGAGUUGUAUAUGAAUUCAAAUGUAAAAUAUUCUUUGGUUUUCAAUUUUGAAUUCAAUUUCUUUUUCUUAAGCAUGUUGUGCAGAAAUGAUUUCUAUUAAAUCAUUUUUGAUAAACUAUUUAAAUUAAACAACUGGAAUAAGAACUGUAAGGAUUUAUCGUAAGCAGUCUAAUAUGAUAAUUCUGAAACUAUUAAUUAUUUUUUUCAAUUUGUUGCAGGGAAAGCCAAAUUUUGCGUUUUUCAGUUUUAUCUGAUAUGGAAUUUAUUUCCUCUACACUAGCUACCUAAAGAUUUAUCAAAUUGCUUCUCUUCCCUGCUUCAAAUAUCUUCAUGGCAUCAUAGGAAAAGAGAGUUUGGGUUGUAUUUAUUAGAGUUUUUAUUUUUUUCGUUAUAAGCAAAUUUAUUUUAAAUACUUUAGUAGUAACAGUUUUUAUUGAAUAAUAAUGGGGGAUGGUUAUUAUAGGUUCAAAUAGUUGUUAGAACAUUAUAAAAAGUCUAUUUACUAUCAAAUGUUUUAAAUUGAUGCAACGUGAUAAUUGUCUCAUAUAAUUUUUUUAUAAUAUAUAUGUCCCAUAAUCUUAACAUGAAUAAAUGAAUUUCAACGGUUAAAUUUGACACGAUUAUUAAAUAGAUCAUAUCUAUAUUAAUUCGAUUUAAAAUUUGGCCACAUUUGGAUUUAGAGUUUCUAACAUGAUAACUUGUUUUAUAACAUGAUUUACUAAUCAAUUAAUAAUAAAUCAAAUGUUAGUCAAUUAAAUAUGUGGUACAUUUGUCAUAUUUUAAAAUUAUUUAUUUAUGUUUGAAAUAAAUUUGACUAGACUUUGUGCAGGUAAUAUUGCAUAAUUUCUAAAAAAAAUGUAAUAAAAACAUGUUAAAAUGUUAUUUUUAUGAAGAAAAAUUGAAAUUUUAUUAAAUAGGUGACACAAUAAUAAAUGGAUGCUUGUAAAAAUUGAAAUUAUUGAUAUAAUUAUUAAAUAGAUUGGAUUGAAGUUAGUUUAAUUUUGACAAGAUAAUAAGACGACGCGACACAAAUACAGCCAACCGGUCAACCCAAAUUGCCACCUUUUAUUUUCUUCUUUGUGUUACUUCUCUAAAAAUUUGUGCCAUCGCUUACACUUUUAAAUCUAUCAAAGAACCGUUACUUGGGAAGAUUGCCAUCAGGAAUUUCGAAAUUGAUUUCACUACAAUACGUUAGUCUUUCAGAUACUUCCAUCACUGAGUUGCCAAAAGAGCUAAAAGCCUUGGUAAAUCUUAGGGCAUGUUUGGCACGCGGUAAUAUAUAGGAUAAGGACUCCGCAUUGCAUUAGAAUUAUACAAUCUCGUGUUUGGCAGUUACAGCUCAUUGCAUUAACUAAAAUUUAUAAUGCGGUAACACCCGCAUAAACUACACCCGACCACCCCCCCCCCCCCCCCCCCCCACGGGUUUAUACGGGUUUGCAAUAGAUCUUUCUCCUUCCCUCAACUUUCUCCUUCUUUAUGCUCUCUCACGAACACAGCGCUCCACACCAGGCCAUCGUCCUUCGCCGCGCAACACCCAGCUCCACCACCACCCCAUCCCGCAACACCACUGCCUUCUCUUUUAACUUGCUGACGCACGACACUCGACCACCAUGCAAUCUUCUAUCUCUGCGUGACAGCCAGCUCCGUCACCACCCCACUGUGCAAUACCACCGCCAUGCUUGCCUUCGCCUCCUGAAUCAACGAACUACAACUUUGAUUUUUGAAAAGGUCUUUCUCUUUAUUUCUUCUCACGAUUUCUGUAACAAAACAGAGGCUAAAUAUCACAUGUCUCUUUCUCAUACUAUUCCAAGCUAAAUAGCAAAAGCAAUAGAUUCUCAGACUCAUAUAUGAUCUUCAAGAAGCCGGAGGUUCUCGAUUUAUUUAAUUUCUCUUUAUAUAUAUUUUUUCCAACUGUUAACUUUAAUUUUUUAUGUAAAUGCUUCACAACAUGUUGGAAUUGCUAUUUCUUUGAUAAUUUGGGGAAAUUGAACCCUAACGAAGCAAAGUGAGGGGAAAUUUUCUAUUGGGUCUUGUCUGAGGAGUGUGUAGGGAUUCUUGUGUUGCUGUUGGCUUUCGCUUUGAAUUUGAUGACUGUGGGUUUUUGUUUUGGUUUUUUGGUUUCGUGAGUGGAGGGGAUUGUAAAGCAAAAACAGAAAGCGCGAUAGGAAAUGGAGGGAAGGUGUUUCAUGGUUGUUCUCACUGACAUUUUGUUGUUCUGUUCAUGCUUUAAUUUUCGUUUGAUUUUCGAACAUGCUGCAGUUUGAACUUUGAUGAACUGAGCUUUGCAAGUUAGACACAUGUCUCGUCAUCGGUUCAACGGCGUUCUUUACCAUAGAAAUUUGUGUUUUAUUGUUGUUGUUGUUGUAAGCUUUUCUUGAUUUUGCAGUGAGGCUUGAGGAAAAGAAAAGGAAAAGCAAUGUUGAUUUCAUUCAAUGGCAUUAUUCUAAGACGUAAAAACAAAUAAUCUGGACCAAAUUGAAACGAUCAUAUCACUAUAUUUUCAUUAAACAUAGGCUUUUUGGUUACCAAAUUGAAACAAUAAAAGAAUGAAAAAGAUUUUAAGUUUAUGGAUUAAGCAAUCCUAGAAUUUGAAUUUAUGAAAUUAGAAGACCAAAAAUUGUAAAAAUAUUGUCAGUAUAAAAUUAAUGUUGUAAAAAUAAAUGUUAUACUGACAAAAAUUUAAAGUUAUAAAGUUUGAUUUUUAUGAAGAAUUAUGAUAUUAAAAAAUAAUGUUAAAUUUCUCAAUUUUAAAAUUUUUGAUAUUUAGUAUUUUUUUAAGUAUUAAUAAAUAUUAUUUUUUAAAAUAUGUAAUCAAAAUUAAUCAUUAAAAAAUUAAUACAGUACAAUGCGGCACCAAACAUAGUAUAACUAAAAAUUAAUACAAUACAGUGUAAUACCAAAUAUUGUACAACAUUAUUAUAAUACAAUGCUAAUGCAAUACCGCAUAAUACAAUACACCUGCAUUAAAAUAAUGUAAUAUAACAUAAUACAAUACAGUGUGCCAAACGCACCCUUAAGUGUUUGAACUGGAGUAAAUGUAUAUCGAACCAUCGGUGCGAAAGCUACGAUCAAAGACGACCAACGGUCGAUCGAACUCAUCAGCGCUGGGGAGUCUAAGUGGGGUCUCAACAUCAUGAUGGCGGAUAAUGUAGGCCCCAACUAAGCCAGCCAAAAGGUUGAUCCUAGUCAAGCCCAUGGCAUGAUCAUGGUACCACAAAUUCCCCGGCUGUUGCAUGUUGUGAAAGUGGUAAGUUUUCUUAGUCCAAGUGGGUCCCUUUUCUUUAAAUCCAGCGGUGAACCAUGAAUUUGAGUUUCCAUCACUCUCGGGUUCAUCAAUGCCUCCAUGGAGGUGCACUACAGUAGGAAUUCCCUUCUUGCGUGGAAUGGCAGUUGGAAUUGUGGGGUCCCAUGGAAGUAUGUGUUUUGAAGGGAGAUGAUUUUGCCACGUCACGUAGGUGUCAAUCCCAUGGAGGGCCUCGAUGGUUGGACCAGGGACGGUUGCUGUGUGCUUCGAUGUACCGUAGGCAUACACUGGGGUUUGGAGGUAUAGGUCUCUGUGGAAUUUCUGCACUAGAAAGAAAAAAGAUAAGCCAGAAAUCGUUGAUUAAGAAUAGAAUAAUAAUGAAUUGGAAGAAUUAACUAUAUUUUUUAGAAUAGAAAAUAUUUUGAGUGGUGGGCUAUCAUUAUUUUUAAUUAAAAUAUAAGUUUUUAUAUUUUUUAAAAGUUAAAUUUAAAUUUUAUAGGGAUUUAUAUUUUAUAGCAACUAUUUUAAUAAAUUUAAUAGGAAUUAGUUAGAAAAUUAAAAUAUUUUUCCCUUUUAUUUAUUUAUUUUUUUUUGGCCAGUGCAUCCGUCCCUGUCUGGGUCCCCCACAUUGACUAAACAAAAUCAAUGUACAGAGAAAACUAAGGCAAAAAAAUUAAGGACAUGUGUGAUGUGGGCUUGUGGCCUAAAUAAAAUGCUUGUAGAUAAAGUACCCCUUUUUUUUUUUUUUUUAUUAAGGUGAUUUUUCUCAUGAACACGAAUGCAUCCUAAUUCUACUGUGUACAAAGCAAAUAAAAUGAUUUUUCUCAUGAGCAAGAUCGUAGAUUUCCAAAACAACCAAUUUGUUGCUUGGUAAAUCUUAAUCAAUGGCAGGAAGCAAUUGAGAAGGUGGUAGCUACUGUGUACAAAGCCAUGCAGUAUUUGCUAUUCAUCUUAAUAAUUGUUAAGCUUUGGUAAAAUUUUCAAAAUAAGUUGACAUAUUAUUUUGAGAUUUGGUUCAUGAUUUUGUAUGAAUAUUGUUGUUCCGUUUGAGUUGGAUGUGAAUUCAAACCUAAAUAUUCUUUGGUUUUCAAUUUUGAAUUCAAUUUCUUUUUCUCAAGAAUGUUAUGCAGAAAUGAUUUUUACAAAAUCAUUUUUGAUCAAUUAUUUAAAUUAAACAAUUGGAAUAAGAAUUGUAACGGUUUAUCAUAAGCAUGCUAAUAUGAUAACUUGUUUUACGAACGAUUAAUUAAUCAAUUAAUAUUAAAUUAUAUAUUAGUCAAUUAGAUAUGUGUUAUAUUUGUCAUAUUGUAAAAACUAUUUAUUUAUAUUUCAAAUAAAUUUGACCAGAGGUUACGUAGGUAAUACUACAUAAUUUCUAAAGGAAUGUAAAAAUUUAAAAUUUUAUUAAAUAGGUGACUCAACCAUAAAUGGAUUUCUGCAAGAAUUGAGAUUCUCGAGAUAAUUAUUACAUAGGGGGAAUUUUGGUUGGUUCAAUUUUGACAUGAUAAGAAGACAACACAGCGCAGAAAACCCAAAUUGCCACUUCUACAGUUGUAAUAAAAGAUACCUGUUUGAAAAGUAAUUAUAAACUAUCUUCUUUGUGUUAUUUCUCAAAACUUUUGUGGCACAAAUGUUAUUUCCCUAGUGAAAAGUACGAAAUACCCUCUUUCACGUCGGCAGAAGCAAAGCAAAGCUAUGAGCUAUCUCUGUAUACUUGAAACGCCAUUGCUAAACGAUUCUCGAUGAUGGGUGCCACUGGGCCAGUGUUGUCGCUGAUUUGCAUGAUUUAUUAGUUGUCCACAUGCCAGAGAAACCAUGGUGGCAUUGAAGUUGCCCAGUUGGUUAGUUUUCUGAUCAUUUUUUUAUUCAAUUAUUUAUUUUUUUAGAAAAAUGUAAGAAAUAUGUAGAAAUGUUGACAGCUAUGAUUUUGAAACUUUGCCUAAAAUUGUUAUCAUCACUUAUUUAAAGAGAAAUCCUAGAAACAUGACAUGAUUAGUAGCCUAAUUCAAAAUUAGACGUGAUUACAACAAGAGAAAAGUGGAGAGAACUUGAUAAUCGAGUGCAUUUAGAAUUUAAUUUUUCUUUUAGCUGCCGAUCAUUAAAUUUUUUAUUUCAGAAAAUUAUACCUAGAAUAUUUCAAGGAUAUACUAUGAAGAUUAUGAAGGUUUGAUUACAUGUCACUAUCAAUUGCCCCAAUCAUUUGUAGUAAAUUAAUUGAUCAUUUUGAUGCAAAUGAUUCCCUACUAAAAAAUUCAAGUCAAAGCUGAAUUGCACAGUAGUUAGUCGAGCUUGCACUUCAAAUUAAGUAUUGUAUUUUCUGCCUGGUUUGGUUGAUUAAAGUGUGUGCAUUUGCUUAUGAACGUUGUAGUAUAGAAAUCGAAACAUUUGUUUUUCGCUAAGCCCAGAAGCAAAGUUCUUUGUACUGUACUCAUCACUUCUCUUCGUUCUCUUUGUUGAAAUUUUAUCCAAACAGCGGUUUCUUCGAAUUUGUGCCUUCUCUUACACUUUUAAAUCUAUCAAAGAACCGUUACCUGAGAAGAUUGCCAUCAGGAAUUUCUAAAUUGAUUUCACUAUAAUACCUUAAUCUUUCAGAUACUCCUGUCACUGGGUUGCCAAAAGUGCUAAAAGCCUUGGUAAAUCCUACGUGUUUGAACUGGAGUGCAAAAGUUAUCUCUCCACAAUUCCAAAACAACUGAUUUGUUACUUUUCAAUGCUACACGUUCUGCGAACGUUCAGUUGUGGUUAUCUUGCUGAAAUACCAGAAAAUAGGGUUCUAUUUGGCGGUAGUGGAUUCUUGGUUGGGGAGUUGCUUAGUUUAAAACGUUUAGAUGUAUUAAGCAUCACCUUAAAAGGUUUUUCUUCUGUCCAAAAACUUAUGAGCUCCCAACAGUUUCAAAGCUGUACAAAAUGUUUGGAGCUUAUAGACUGUGAUGAUUCAAAGUUGUUUGCCUUGGCAGAGUUGAAGCAUCUUGAAAAACUAGGUUUUUCAAAUUGUGGAAAUUUGGAAGAUAAAUUACAUUUAUAAACUGUGGAUCGCCCUUUAUAAGUAUUAGGCUUAUCCCAUACUCGAGCAAUGUGGAAUACCUUUAUAAGCAUUAAGCCUCUCCCAUACAAUUUCUGUACAUGACUCUUCUUUUUUUUUUUUUUUUUUUUUUUUGAAGAUCGUUAAAAGUGGUUGAUGAUCCGUUUUGUAAUAUCAUAGAGGGAUCAUGAAUUCCUUUUCUUUUCUGUGGCUAGGCAACACUUUUGGCCAAAGUAAGGAAAUCUAUUUUAGGGAAUGUAAAAACCAGUUGUGGGAUGUAAUAGUUUAUUAUGCACUGACAAUAACUUUUUGUAUAAUUGUCAGUUUAAUGAAUACGAGAGGAACUCUGUUGGCAAAUUCAUCCAUGAUAGAUGCUAAAAUUAUACCAGCUGCCUUAACUAAUUUUUCUCAACACUGGUAUUGAACAGGAAAAUGAAUAUGCAAUUUGUAUUUGUGCCAUUGUGGAGAAUUUGGAUAUUCUUAUUCUUACUAACAAGGAGAGUAUUUGCCUCAUCUUUAAACAAUGAAUCUUUGAGAAAUGAGGAGUGGGUCAUUGGUAGUGUCAGAGUGUCUUCAUGUAAAUGUUCAUUUAUUUGUAUUUUGAACUAUUAUUAGAAUCUUUAUAUGCCAAAUUAGUAAUACAAAUGUUGAGAUGAUUUUCCCUGUUGAUCAUUUCAUUCUUGAGAGCCAUGUACAAUACUAGGAUACCAGAGAAACCAAGGUAGCAUUGAAGUUGCCCCAGUGGCUAGUUUUCCGAACAUUUUUUAUUCAAAUUUUUAUGUUUUAGAAAAAUGUAAGAAAUAUUUAGAAAUGUUGAUAGCUAUGAUUUUGAAACUUUGCCUAAAAUUGUUAUCAUCACUUAUUGUUUCUUAUUUAAAGAGAAAUCCUAGAAACGUGACAUGAUUAUUCCAUACUUGUUUUAAUAUUAUUUAUUAGCAGCCUAAUUCAAAAUUAGACGUGAUUAUUUGUUACUUUUAAUGGUACAUGUUCUGGGAAUAUUCAGUUGUGGUUAUCUUGUUGAAAUACCAGAAAAUAGCGUUCUAUUUGGUGGUAGUGGAUUCUUGGUUGGUUUAAAUGUAUUAAGCAUCACCUUAAAAGGUUUUUCUGCUGUCCAAAAACUUACGAGCUCCCAAAAGUUUCAAAGCUGUGCACAACCUUUGGAGCUUAUAGACUGUAGUGAUUCAAAGUUGUUUGCCUUCGCAGAGUUGAAGCAUCUUGAAAAACUAGGUUUUUCAAAUUGUGGAAAUUGGAAGAGUUUAAGUUCUGCUGUGUCGAGGAUGGAAAGGCUCGAGAAUGUUUUCGUGUGAACAGCCUCCAACGAGUUAAGAUAAAGGCUUGUCAUAAAUUGAGGGAAGUGACAUGGCUUGUAUUUGCUCCGUAUCUUGAGGUUAUUCAAAUAGACAAAUGUAUGGGGAUGGAAGUAAUAAUCAGUGCAAGGAAAUUGGGUGAAGUUCCAGAGAUGAUGGCAGAUCUAAACCCUUUUGCUAAACUCCAAUAUCUUGGCCCACGAGUUCUACCAAAACUAAAAAGCAUCUAUUGGAAUCAGUUGCCCUCUCUACAUGUCAGGCGAAUUUUGUAUCUGAAUGCCCAAUUCUCAAGAAGCUUCCACUUGGUUUUAACAAUGCAAAGGAAUCUAAAACUAUCAUUAGGGGAGAAGAACACUGGUCGAAUGAGCUGCAAUGGGAGGACAAAGUGACCCUUAAUGUUCUUCUUCCUUGUUUCGGAUCCAUUUGAGGGCAUCAACAUGGAUUGAUACUUUGCAGUGGAGAAAUUCGAAUAAAACCUAUGGUAAGCGCUUUUCCAUUUAUUGCAUAUUUGUAUCUAACUUUUGUUUUCCUUUGUGGUUAAAUUUUGCUCUAUAUACGUUGUUGUACGGUGACAUUCUCAUAUCAAUUAUUAGCUUUUUAAUUAUCUUCUCACAUUAACUGCCCCUUUUGAUCAUGUAGGAUAUGCUGAUGUCAAAGAGUCGUAAUUUGGGAUGCAAAUGUAAGAAUUAGACAGAUGACCAGUUGUUUUGAAGCGCUCGAAGAAGGAUUAAUUACGUCAUUGAAAGCCUCCAAUUUUGUGACUUUUUUUUUUAAUUUGUUGUUUUUUCUAUUUUUAGAUAGCUUGAUUGUUAGUUGUCGUGAUGUAAUGCUUUAGUGUAGAAAAAUGAUAUUCGGCCAAGGCAACAUUAGGAGGGCACCUUGUGCAUGCAUACUAGUGGAUAAUUUCGGCAUGCUAAAUCCAAUUAGGGUGGAUGACCCUUUAUAAGCAUUAGGCUUCUCUCAUACCCGAAAACAAUGUAGAAUACGCUUAUAAGCUGCGGAUCACCCAUUAUAAGUUUUAGGCUUCUCCUACACUCGAGCGAUGUGGAAUACCUUUAUAAGCAUUAAGCUUCUCCCAGUAUCUUUAUGUUAAAAAUAAUAAUAAUAAAAGAAAUCCAUUUUAAAAUAGACUCUUUUUUCUUUUUCUAUAUAAACAAAUGCAUUCUUCAAAUCAAUUGUGGGCAGAAGAAGUUAGUAGAAAAGAACUAGUCCCCUUUCAUUCCCCCUUAAACCUCACCAAAGCCUCUUUUGUAAGCUUUUCGGAUUUUCUUUCUAUAUUGCUUACGAUCUCAUUUUUGAUUGAAUCACUUCUUUUGCAUGCUGCAUUUUUUGUUUGUUGUAUUUGGAUAUUAUCGUAUCUGGAAUGCUGUUAUGAUUGAUGGAACAAGUAAUCGAUUUUUGGUCUGAUGGAAGUUGACUUAUUUAUUUAUUGUUAUUUUUAUUUGAAAUUAUGUACAAUUGCAUUUCAUUCAUUUCUUUCUCCCCCCCCCCCCCCCCCCCCCCCCCACACAUAUAUUUGUUAUGUAUAAUUGCGUUUCAUUUGAUAUUGAUCAUGCUGUAGAUAAACCAUGUGAUUGUAGAUGGGGAUUUCAAGUUUGUUGAAUAUUCAAGUAAGUGAAGUAACUGUCAAAAUACUAGUGAAAUUGGGAGCUUUAUUCAUGAGCUUGUGGUUUUGAAAAUUACCACAGUUCAACCGAUGAAGGUUCCUUUUUGGGGUUCUUCUUUUUCUAGGCUGCAAUUAGGAUAUGUACAUGUUAGACAAUCUUUUGUGAGUUUAGCAUAUCUGCUCUGAUUUUGUCUUUUAUUCCCCAAUCUUAUAAUUACACAGCAUGAAUGUUGAGUGAUUGUAUAGAAAAUUUGUGUUAUAACCAAAGCAUUGUGAAGGAGUUAAGUUAGUGGCUUCUGUUUUAUUGGCAUUGAUUGGGUAGAUUAUGAGUUACAGUGAUUCAAUUUGUGAUCCAAACUUUGCUUUAAUUUCUGUUUUCCCUAAUUAUUUAUGUCAAAUUUAAAUCCAGAAGCAUGUACUGAUUUUUUCUUUUUGUAUUAAUCUGUGAAGUUUAUUUGGAAUGGAAGUAUCUGGGUUGGGUCUAACGGAUUAAAUUAUGACAUUGGGGGGAAGGCAGUAAAGGGUUUGCUUGACACAUUUGGUUCUGUGUUUACUUUGCGAGAAAUAGCUUUUGGUUAUCACAAUGCCGGGGGAAAUCCCGAUUUGGCUGGUGAAUUUCUUUGUGACAAAUAGGCAAACACAUCAACCUCUUCUAUCCAUCCUUCUACUGGUAAGGCAAGGGGUAAAGAGUCUUCAAAAUCAUCAAAUAGUAACAUCUCUGAGAAUUCAUUUUAUGCAAAUGGAAAAUCUAGACCUUCUAAGACAAAAUGGCGUCCUGUAUCAGGAGGUACCGUUUCAAGUUUUCUUGGUAAAAAUUAUGUUAAACCUGCACAGCCAGCUAAUGGCACAUUUCUAGCAUCAAAGCCAUUGAAGUUGGAUCCAAAGGGGUUUCCCAUGUCUCCACUUUUGCGGAGAAGAUACUAAACUGAAACAAUCAAAGGAUGACCAUUUGCAGAAGGAUAUGGAAGAUUUUCUGUUUAAAUUGCUAGGAGAAGUGUUCCAAUUUAAUACAUAUUGUCCUUUUCAAUGUUCUUUCUUUCUUUCUCUUCUUUUCUUCUUCUUCUUCUUUUUUCUUUUUGUGUGCGUGUGAUCACUAAUUUGGUAUUGUAGUUAAGUUGCAGAUAGUUGUGGAUAUGAUAUGCAAAAGGUAAGGACUAUAUCUUCCUGAUGGAGGCCUCUGCUUUUUCCUUUAUGCAUAAUUUAAUAAAUCGCAUCUUCCUUUGUGAUCGUUAUAUCAUAUCAAAGACAAGUCUUAAAUACUGCUGUCAUAUGUUAAGGUUCAACUUGCAGUUUGAUUAACAUUCAUGGCUCAAAGUCCUGAAAAAACUUGCCAGUAAUUGUAAAAUGACAUUCUUUGCUUUUAAUGCAAUAGAGGGAACAGGGAAGUAUAGCUUUGGAAGCCUGGAUUGGUAACUAUAGAGAGACUUAGUAUUUCAUUGAUAAAAAUUCCCAUAACCCAAGGUCAAGAAAAUUUUAGAUCGUUAAAGACUUCAUUUUGUUUCGGCCAGAAAUGUUUGUUUCGAUCGAAGACUUGAACCAUUUUCAUUGAACCUGAUUAUGAUGCUUUACGUUAUGCAUGUUCCUCUUAAUCAAGAAAAGUUGAGGUGAUGAUUUUAUAUUUCUAUAUUGUAAGUUGAAAUAAUAAUUGGUCUGCUUGUUUCUGUAGCUUGAUAACAUGAAUUUUCCUUCUCAAGUUAAUUUAAUCAAUAAAGUAAUUCUUCAAAGAAAGUAUGCCCAUUCUAUAAUCAUUUUCUUAACUAACAUGUUUUUUUCUUCACUUUUCAGAGCAUGUUGAAACUAAUUGAUCGCUCGGCAGAGACUUUGGGUGAGAAGACAAAAUUUCUUGGUAAAUCCUCUGAAAAGGUAUGCAUAAUUCCGGAGUAUUAAAUAACCAAUGGUCAUAAUUUUUUUACAGGACUCUUUUCUUGUGGAGAUGAUUAAAAGUGGCUGAUGAUCCAGUUUGUAUAUCAUAGAGGGAGCAUCAAUUCCUUUUCUUUUCAGUGGCUAGGCAACACUUUCAGGGCAAAGUAAGGAAAUCUAUUUUAGGCAAUGUAAAACCCAAUGGUAGGAUGUAAUAGUUUAACAUGCACUGACAAUAACUUUUUGUAUAAUUGUCAGUUGAACGAAUACAAGAGGAACUCUGUUGACAAUUCAUCCAAGAUAGAUGCUAAAAUUAUUUAUGCAUGCCAGUUGCCUUAACUAAUUUUUCUUAACACUGGUAUUGAAGAGGAAAAUGAAUAUGCAAUUUGUAUAUUGUGCCAUGUGGAGAAUUUGGAUAUUCUUAUCUAAGUAACAAGGAGAGUAUUUGCCUCAUCUUUAGACAAUGAAUCUUUGAGAAAUUAGGAGUGGGUGAUUGGCAGUGUCUUCAUGUAAAUGUUCAUUUGUUUGUAUUUUGAACUAUUAUGAGAAUCUUUUAUAUGCCAAAUUAGUAAUGCAAAUGUUCAGAUUAUUUUUUCUGUUGAUCGUGCAUUUGUGUCCGCACACAACCAUUGUAUAUCACUUCAUUCUGAUGCGCAAGUCUCUGUAGUUUAGAAGAAAAGAAAUAAUAAUGAUAUAUUAUUGCUUGAUUCAUGAUUAUUAAAUGAUUAUGGCUUUAAAAAACCUACAAAUUCCUUCUGUUGAUAGAUGAAUGUACCAAGUUUGCUAUAUCUUAGAUUACCAUUUCCAAGAUAAGUUCAAAUUUUUUCUUUAUCCUUUUCCAUCACAGUUGCAUUUUAAGUGUAAGAUUUGUUAUUAAUACCUGGUUUCCUGUCAUUAUGAUUUCAUAAACAGUGUAUGGGUAUGUGCUCUACUUUUGGAGGGCCUCCACGUGAAAGAAAAUUGCAACAAUUGAAUUCUUCCGGAUGGUAUGGUAUUUAAUUUAUUUUCUCAACCUCUUGUAAGACUAAUAUAUUUUCCUUCAGUAGACACGGCAUGGUGGGAAGGGUUUUUUAUUGAAAGAAUUCUGAUAUUUCUUAGACUUUGUUUUGGAAGGGGGUGCAGGGGUUUCUCAUCCAUAUAUGGUUACUUGAUUAGCUUUUGACUGUAUUGCCUCAAUCGUGCAAAGGAAGAUCCAAAUACAAACGAAGGAGAAUUGUUUAGACACCCAGAAGAUGGAAAUGAACUACAGAAGGAAGUUUUUGCUGCUUUAUUUAGUGCUCCUGAGAAAUCUGAUGAAUUUCCUGAAAUUACGGUGAAGACCAAGUGUGAGGUCCAAAGCAUUAGGAAAGGUGGUGAGUGAACUGCUGGAGGAAUUGGUACAGAAUACAAGGCUAAUGUGGUGUACUUGCAGCAAGAUAACCGGAACAGUACGUGCUCUUAUAUUAACUAUAUUGACUGGAUUUGCUAGUGUGUGCAUUUUCGUGUGUAUACUUUUGUAUUUAUGCAUAUUAAUGUGUGUAGGAUUCUUGAUUUCUGCCACUUACUGGAGAACUAAUGGAAAGCUUUAUACUGGUAUAUCUGCAAUAACUAAUGGAAACUAUGAUAUUAAUAUUUUCUCUCGCUUGGAGAACUGCAUAACAGAUAUACUUUGUGGCUCUGGAAUACUAAAGAUUCUGCAAUAACUAAUGGAAACUAUGAUAUGAAUAUUUUCUCUCACCUAGAGAACUUUGUAACAGUUACACUUUGGGGCUUGGAAUGUCUAAAGAAUUUUGUCUGCUUCAGUUAGAUCAAAUAUCUUUUAGUUACAUACAUUAUAGAAAAGAUAAAGUUCUCUGAAUCUGAAAGACUUAAAAUUUUGCAUAUUUCUUGAAAGGGAAAUAUCUGUAGAUACUAGUUCAUGCAUUGUGGUAGCAUCAGUGUUAAAGAAAAACAGCAGUAAGUUAUUAUAUAGAAUUAGGUUCACUUGCUUUAAAUCCUGGUCUGGUCAACCAUAUGAACCUGUAAGUGGUUCUGUAGAAAUAUAUAUAUAUGGGGAGAAAGUAGCUAAAUUUUCCUUUCAUUUAUGGGUUUGGUCAUUUUUUCCCCUUAUUUAUGUUUUCUCACACAUUUUUUAUAUGCCCCAAACAUGCAAUUUUGUAUGUGUCAAUUGCCUUUUAAGUUUUAAAAACCAUAAAGUAAGAAUACAGUUUCUUGUCAGGCUAUUGAUGCAUUUGCUCGGGGGGAUCAUGCUCGAGCAGGAAAACUUCUAGGACAGGUAAGGUUUCCAUCUACAGCCAUUUAUUGACAACAUAUAUAUUUUCAUUCAGCAAGCACUGUUAGCAUUCAAGAUGCUGGCAGAUUCACUUGAUUCUUAUUAGUUUGUUUAGUAGCGAAGCAAAUAACCUGUAUUUCAAAGCUAAGUUGUGCUAUUGAUUAUGUUAACUUUAUUGUUCACAUAAAGUGAUAUAGAGGAAAUAAUCAAUGUAGGAAAAUUAGGUGAAGAGAUGAUGUCAAAUCUUGAACCUCUUACAAAACUCUAAGUUCUUUACUUGAAGAAGCUACCAAAUUCGAACAGCAUCUACUGGAAGGCCUUGCCAUUCCCUGAUGUAUGCAGAAUUUUUGUAUUUAAAUGCCCAGAGCUUAAGAAGCUGCCCCUGGAUCUUGAAAGGGCAGGCCAAGGUAAAAUUCUUAUCAAGGGAAAGAAAGAUUGGUGGAAACAACUUCAAUGGUAGGAUCAAGUAACUCAGAAUGCAUUGCUUCCAUUUUUAAAAUCAACUGACAAGUGAUUGAAGGGGGCAUCAUCAACAUGGAUGGAGAGAUUCAGGAGCAGAUCAGCAGGGUUUAGUACGACCUGUGGUGGUAGCUUUUUUGUGACUUUUUUCCCUUUCAUUUUUUCACUUCCUGUCAUAUUAUCAUUUCUUUGUCUCUGUUUCUAUUGCUGGUGUUGCUGCAUGCUUGCUGCCCUUGACAAAGUUAGCUAGUUUUUUUGUUUAUUAAAUUUUGUAUGUUCGGGACAGUCACAAAGUAGUACUUGUUCUAUAUGGGGGUGAUGUGAAUCAACUUUUCAAUUAUAUAUUCUGUGGUAAUUGUGAAUUCAAUUUCAUUUGUCUCCUGCAAAUUAUGAAGAAAGUACAGAGUUAGAAUAUGGAAAAGUUCACUGGCAAAUACUUUGUAAAAGCUUCGGAGUGAAACAGGGAAUGCACUUGCAACUAAGGACAAAUUGGUGGCCAGCUAAUGCAUUCAUUUUAUGUACAUUCAUCUUUUUAAUUAUUGAAGAUAAGUGGUUCGUUGCUUUUGUUGUAGAUAAAAUUCAGGCGACCUCAAUUGUGAGAUGAAAAUAUUUAAAAUAUCUCUUAAAUUAUUAUAAACUUUAAUUUAUCUUAAUUUUAUUUAAAAGAUAAAAGAAAAAUGUAGUAUAUGGAUAAAAAAAUUUUUAUCUUCUUAAUAAAAUGAAAUAAAUUAAAAUUUACAAUAAUUUAAAGUAUUUUUAAAAUUAUUAUUUCAUAAGAGAUUAAUAUGAAAUUAAUCCUUUUUACUUUUUGAAUGUGAAAGGACAAGAAAAGAGAAAGCAAGUUUCACUGCUUUUUAUUUUAUUUGAAAUCGGAGUUAUCCCAUAUACUUUACUACUUUAGCUCUAACAUUACAAUGUUUUUAGGCUACACUUUUAUUUUUCUUUUUUCCCCUUUUUUUAUACAUGCAUGUGGAUUACUUUUCUCUAAGCUCCUUAAUAUUUAAGACAAAUCAUAAAAGCGAUUGAAGUAUAACAAGAUGAUCAAAACAUUUAACCAAAAAUAAAUAAAUAAAUAAAACAUUGAAAAUGGAGAUGUUGAUUAAUGUAGAAGAGAUGCAAGCAAAAGAUAUUCCCAAAAAAAUGAAAAAAAGAAAAAAGCAACGUUAGUUCAUCCAUGUCUGUCAAUGCGUUUUUUAUGGUUUUUUUUCCAGUUGUUUGUUGUAAUAGAUUGAUUGCAAAUUGAUAUGAACUUGAUGUUGUAAUAUGUUCGCUUUUGUGGAAUUAAAUUUGAAUAUUCAAGAUUAUUCAAGUCUUAUUUAGUAUGUGUUUAGUUGUGUUGUCGAUAACUUUGCAUUCGAAUAAGUUUUCACCUAAAAUAUUAGCAUGAGUAGUAGUCCUUGAAACUUUGGUCAAAAUUAUUGUUAUUGUUUCUUUUAGAGGAAAUUUUUUUAUUAAAGCCUCGUUAACACUAUUUCUUAUUAAGAUUAUAAGUUAGUGUCGGUGUAGGAUUUGCAGCGACAAAUCCUGUCUAGCCACGUGUCAAAAGUACAAAUAAAUCAAGGGAAAAGCACAUGUCGCGGAUUAGGAUCCAAUAAAAUUUAAAUCCCAAGGAAAAGGACAAUUGUAUCCUAAAGUUUCAAUAAGAGAUACUGAUAUAUCUUUUGACUAAUGUUAUUUUUUGGCUUCAUUAAUAAAAAGAUCCAAUAGUUUAUAACAAAUAAAAAUAUAGUAUUAAGCUAAAUGUGAUAAUAUAUACAUUUUACAUAAUUUCAAUAAAAAACAUUUUAAUGUUUUACAAUCUAUCAGACAUAUUUUAUUAAAUUAAUAAGAAUUUUCUUAUAAAUAGCAACAUAAUAUUAAAAUAAAUUUAUAAAGAUUAAAAUGUAAAAUAAUUUUAGUAUAAUUAAUACGUGGGAUAUAUUUUGUAAAUUAUAAAAUUACUUAACCCAAUGAUUUUUAAAAUAAAUAAAAAUAAAUUAUUCACAUUUUGAUGUAAAUAUUUAAAACAUUUUUAUACAUUAGUCCACAAUUAUUUAUGUUAUAUUUGUAUUUAUUAGAAAUUUUGAAAGUCAAAAUGUUUUUCACCUCUAUCUUAUUAGAAUUAUUGCACACAGAGAAAGAGCCAUAUAUGCUUUAUAGCUUUAAAAUCGGUUUGUUUUAUAGCUGGGAACAGAGAUGAUCAUUAUUAUAAGGAUUAAAAAAAGAUAAAGAAUAUUAAUGAUUAACGAAAUCUUUAUGGAAAUUGAAUUUAGUAAGAAAAAAUUGAGCUGAUUUUAGUGGUAUAGUAAUAUUUUAUAUAGAGAAAAGUAAAAGUUGCACCCCCAAAUGUUCAAAACUCUUUUUUAAUCAUAAUAUUCUUUUUCCUAGAUAACUUAAAAAUUUGACUCUAAUAUUUUAUAAUAAAUAAAAACAUAUAAUCCUAAAAUAAAUAAAAUAAUAUAUAUUUUAAAAUAAUCUCAAUAUUUAAAAUAUAUUUUAACAUUUUAUAGUCUAUCAGAUAUAUUUUAUUUUUUUAAAGUAAAUUUUAUAAUAAAUACAAACAUACUAUUAAAAUAGAUAUAUAAAAUUUUUAAAGUAUUUUGAAUAUUAUAUAAAAUAACUUUAAUAUUGUUAAUGCGUGAGAUGAAUUUUAUUAACUAUUAGAUAGACUAAACUAUUUAUAUUAUUUUCUAUUUAUUAUAAAAUUUCAAAGUUAAUCUUUUUAACUACUAUUCAAAAGAUGUUAUGAUAAAAACAGAAUUUUUGUGUUUUUAUUGAAAAUUUGGAGUUUACAUCUAUUUUUUCAAAAAUUCGGGGUGUAACUGUUUUUUCCCUUUUAUAUAUACGAACGGUGGUGAGAAAGCUUGAUUUAACGUUAUUUAUUUAAAUAAAAUCUCAGUUAAAAAUGUACAGAGAAGAAAUUUCUGUUGGUAUUUUAGUCUUUUACCAAUUAAUUGUUUCACUUUUAGCGCUAGUGGCGUUGAAAGUUGUCAAGAAAAAGCAAGACCAUAUUCCACAAAAGCAAAAGUAACGUAGGCUCUUUUAUUAAAGGCAAAGUAUAAAGUAGUCAAGAAUCGAAUAUCCUGUCGUCUACUCUUUUUUUAAAUUCUUCUUUUAUUAUCUUUUAGAAUAGUUUUUGGUAAUUACAAUCAUUAUUCAGAGUUAUUGUUAUCUUCCGGGGCAGUCUCUGUUCAUCGAAGUCGUUACCUUUUUUUUAUGGAUCAGUUCCAGUGGUCAGCAGUAAUUUUCUUAGAACUCGGAUCUUUAAUUCGAGUUUCUGUGUGAAUUAAUAAUAAAAAAUUUUCAUUACACGCAAUUUAAGCUACGAAUUACUUUUUGCAAAGUUGAAUAUGAAAUUGGAGAAAUUAAGUAAUUUAGAAUGUUGGUAAAAAUUGACGAACAUAUCUCCAAUUACAGUAAAACCUCUCUACAGUCAUAACAUUAUAACAAAAUUAAUUUUAUUACUAUGUUGAGGUAAUAUAGGUUUAGUUACAAAAUUAUUGUUUUAAUAUGGUUGGUGUCAAGUGAUAUAAAGGUUAAAUAUGCAGUACAAUGAUAAUUAAAUAAUGAAGCGUGUCAAUUCUAAUGUAUAUAUAUUAAUGAUAUAGAUAGACAUAGUUUUAAAAAACUAAUUAAUGUAUAUUUAUGUAGUGUUAUGAAUAUGGAAAGUCAAGCCUACACUUGACAUUAUCCUUAGUUUUUUCUCUCAGUUAAAUUCUACAAAUAUUGUACAAUGAUUGGGCAAGAACUCUAAAUUAAGAAUAAAUUAUUGUCACAAAUAAUUUUAGAAAAUAUUUUAUUUCGUCUUAAACCUUUAAUGUAAGUAAACAUAUAUAUAUAUAUAUAUGUGUGUGUGUGUGUGUGUGUGUGUGUGUGUUUGUGUGUGUGUGUGUGCAUAUUUUGCAACGUAUAGAUAAUUGUUAGUAUAUGGAGACAAGUCUUUUAAGGUAGGACCUAGAAAAAUUUAUAACUUACUACACUGGGGAGUUUUUAUUCCUUUUUAUAAUUGGCUCAUAUUGAUACAUUCUUACACAAAAAUAUUACCAUUGACAUAUUUUACUACAAUUAGUUUAGAUUCUUUAGAACAUUUGUUAGGAAAAAAAAAAAAAAGAAAAGAAAACAUCCCUUGGAUGUAGCUCUCCUGACUAUUUAAAUCUUUUAAGGAAAAAAAGAAAAAAAGAAAAACUGACACAUUCAAAUCUUGAAGCAAUUACAUUAAAACCUCUCCAUAAUGAUAGGAAUAAUCUCCAUUUAGUAAUAAAAAAUUUUGUUCGCAAUUUAGGCAGAGUUAUAAAUAAGAAUAAAAUCCUCAUUGUAAUAAGUUAUAUUUAUUAUGGAUCCCAUCCUAAGGAACUUGUCUCUAUAUAGUAAUAAUUAUUUGCAUAUUAUAAAUAUAUAUGUUGCAUUAGAUUAAACGAACUUGUCUCCACAUACUACUAAGACAACAAGAGAAAGUUAUUAAAGAGAACACAAAUAUUUAGAGAUUUUUAAGAUUACUUUGCAUAUUUAUAACAAUAAUACAUUGAUAUAUGUAUUAGUUUUUUGAUAUAUUAGAUUUGACAUGCUCUAUUAAUAAAUUAUUAAUAUGAUGCAUACUUCAUCUCCAUAUCCUUGCAGUAAAAGUAACUAAGUUGUAACAAUAAUUAUUAAUACGAUGCGUACUUCAUCUCUAUAUCCUUGCAAUAAAAGUAACUAAGUGAUAACAAUAAUUUUUGUAACUACAUGUUUAUUAGGUUUUAACUGCUUCAUAAUAAUAAAUUAGUUUCGUCCUAAUAUUAUAAUUAUGUAGAGUUGUAGUGUAUAGACACACCCAAUUUAAAUAGUAUCUCAAAUAAAAUUGUCCCCACAAAAAAGAAAAAAGGGUAAAGGAUUGUUAUUUCUUCAAACAUCAGGAGCACGUUUGUACAAGUGCGAUGCCUUUCUUUUUUUUUUUGAAGGCAACGUCAGUGGGUACUAAAUAGGACGUGCGUAAAUCUUUCUAAAAUUUCUCCGGUAUAACUCACAGAGAUCAUUACUUUUCUCUUCCACAGACCACAGCAGCUUCAGUUAAUCCGACUCAAUCAAUUUUCUUGGUUUCUUCGCUUAUCAAAAUUCCAAAAUAUGGGUAGCAUAUUUCAAAUCACAUGCGAUGGUGCUUUUUUCAAUCGUUGUUUGGAUUGCUUUCUUGGAAAAGUAGCAAACACAAGUAAGCUCCAAGAUAACCUUGUUGCCUUGGAGACUGAAUUGGGAAAACUAAUCGCAGCAAAGAACGAUGUGAUGAUGAGGGUUGUCAAUGCUGAACGGCAACAACUGAGAACGCUGGACCAAGUGCAAGUGUGGCUUUCGAGGGUGGAAGCUGUUAAAACUGAAGCUGAUGAAUUGAUAAGACACGGCUCUCAAGAAAUUGACAAAUUAUGUGUUGGAGGCUACUGUUCCAAGCACUGCGCGUCAAGCUACAAGUUCGGGAAACAAGUGGCUAAAAAGCUACGGGAUGUGCAGACUUUAAUCGGCGAAGGAGUUUUUGCGGCGGUGGCUACUGAGGUGGUGCCUGAGAGAGCUCCAGAACCUGUAGCAGAUGAAAGACCCACUGAGCCAACAAUAGUAGGCUUGCAAUCACAACUUGAACAAGUUUGGAGAUGUCUUGUAGAAGAAUCAGUGGGAAUCAUUGGCCUAUAUGGUAUGGGCGGUGUUGGUAAAACUACACUAUUGACCCAUAUCAACAAUAAAUUUCUUGAGAGUCCAACCAGUUUUGAUUGUGUGAUUUGGGCCGUAGUUUCAAAGGACUUGCAACUCGAAAAAAUUCAAGAAGAUAUUGGGAAAAAGAUCGGUUUGGUUGAUGAUUCAUGGAAGAGUAAAAGUGUAGAGGAGAAAGCUCUCGACAUCUUCCGGAGUUUAAGAGAGAAGAGAAUUGUAUUGUUGUUAGAUGAUAUAUGGGAGCGGGUUGAUUUAACAAAAGUGGGCAUUCCACUUUCCGGACCAAAGAAUACUACCUCAAAAGUCGUAUUCACAACCCGUUUCGUCGAUGUUUGUGGUAGCAUGGAAGCUGACAAGAAGUUCCAAGUGGCAUGCUUAUCAGAAGAGCAUGCUUGGGAACUGUUUCGAAAAAAAGUUGGGGAAGAAACUCUUGAGAGUGAUCAUGAUAUCGUUGAGCUAGCCCAAACUGUGGCCAAAGAGUGUGGUGGUUUGCCACUCGCACUUAUUACUAUUGGUCGAGCUAUGGCCUGCAAAAGGACAGCCGAGGAGUGGAGACACGCAGUUGAAGUGCUAAGAAGAUCAGCUUCUGAGUUUGCAGGUUUGGGAAAAGAGGUGUAUCCUCUUUUAAAGUUUAGCUAUGAUAGUUUGCAGAAUGAGACGAUUAAAUCUUGUUUCUUAUAUUGUUGUUUAUAUCCCGAGGAUUAUGGCAUUCUUAAAUGGGACUUGAUUGAUUGUUGGAUUGGUGAGGGAUUCUUAGAGGAAUCUGACAGGUUUGGUGCAGAAAACCAAGGAUACUACAUUGUGGGCACUCUUGUUCAUGCGUGUUUACUAGAAGAGAUAGAAGAUGAUAAAGUAAAAAUGCAUGACGUUGUUCGUGAUAUGGCUUUAUGGAUAGCUUGUGAAAUUGAGAAGGAGAAGAGAAACUUUUUGGUUUGUGCAGGUGCUGGAGUAGGAGCGGUACCAGAUGUUGAAGGAUGGGAAAAUGUGAGAAGAUUGUCAUUGAUGCAAAACCAAAUUGAAAUUCUGUCAGAGGUUCCCACAUGCCCUCAUCUCCUCACUUUAUUUCUUGACUUUAAUUAUAAAUUGGAGAUGAUCACCGAUGGCUUCUUCCAAUGUAUGCCUUCUCUCAAAGUUUUGAAGAUGUCAAACUGUGGGCAUGUCAAAGUUUUGAAAUUACCUUUUGGGAUGUCAAAGUUGGGUUCACUACAACUUCUUGAUAUUUCACAUACCGGCAUAAGAGAGUUACCAGAAGAGUUAAAGUUGUUGGUAAAUCUGAAAUGUUUGAAUUUGAGGUGGACACAUAUGUUAAAUAAAAUUCCACGGCAGCUAAUAUCAAAUUCUUCAUGGUUACGUGUGUUGAGAAUGUUCGCUAUUGGCUUUGAAAAUUCCAAAGAACCAUCAGAAGACAGUGUUUUAAUUGGUGGGGGUGAAGUUUUAGUACAGGAAUUGCUCGGUUUGAAAUAUUUAGAGGUAUUGGAGUUGACCUUGCGAAGUUAUCAUGCUCUCCAUUCUUUUUUGAGCUCAAAUAAGUUAAAAAGUUGUAUUCGAUCUCUUUUCCUCAAUAAGCUGGGAGAUACAAAGUCGAUUGAUGCUACGGUUUUGGCAGAUCUAAAGCAUCUCAAUGAACUAUGCAUUCGUUCGGCUGUGGAGUUGGAAGAAUUGAAGGUUGAUUAUACAGAGAUAGCGCCAAAAUGGUCGGAACAUUUUGUUUUCCGCAGCCUUCACAGUGUUACUAUGGAGCGGUGCCAUAAAUUAAAAGAUUUGACAUUCCUCGUUUUUGCUCCAAGCCUCAAGUCUCUUUCGCUAUACGGUUGUAAUGCUGUGGAAGAAAUAAUCAGCGUUGGGAAAUUUGCUGAGGUUCCUGAGAUGAUGGGACAUAUAAGCCCUUUUCAGAAUCUCCAAAAGCUUGAUUUAUCACAUUUGCCAGCUUUGAAGAGCAUCUACUGGAAGCCAUUGCCUUUCGCUCAUCUGAAAGAAAUGGUGGUGCAUUGGUGUGAUCGGCUUAAAAAGCUUCCGCUCGAUUCCAACAGUGCAAAAGAGCGUAAAUUUGUUAUUCGUGGAAGAGCAGACUGGUGGAACCAUCUUCAAUGGGAGGAUGAAGCCACUCAAAUUGCUUUCCAUUCCUGCUUCCACUCUAAUGAAAUAUAAAUUCCUUAGCGGUGGUUGCAAAAUUUGAUUUGUGCUUUUUCUUAAACUCUUACAUUUAUUUCAGAUUCGUUUUUUGUCUCCUGCAAAUCACAAUUAAAUGCUCAAUUAUAUGGAGUCAAUGCUUUAGAAAAUUUUCAAGGCACUGCCAUUUCCUUUUUUUCAUUUUUUUUUUGGGUCGAAUUGAUGCUCUGGCUUUUUACUUUUUGUUGUCAAAUUUUGCUCUGUUUUUUCAAGUUGAUGCUUGAAUAGUUGAAUUCAAUUAAUGCUCACAUAAAUUUGUUUAGUUGCCGUGAAAGGAUAUAAUUAGACUGAAGUACACACUUCUAGAAUGAAUACAAAAUGUGAAGUAUACUAGCCCUCUUUACAGAAAAUCAAAUGAAAAUCAAUUUUUUGGGGCGUUGAUUUUCUAUGGUCUAUUAUAUACUCUUUUUAAUAUCUUCUGUUCUAACUAUAACCAAAUCCUUUGUUCAAGGAUUUUUAUUUGGGGUAUUGAUAACUGUCCACCAAAAGAGUGAACACUUGGAUGCUGCUCAAGGAUCUCUAAUCAAUAGCUGGAAGCAACUGAGAAGGCGGUCGCUACUGUUUACAAAGCGAAUCAGUAUUUGCCAUUCAUCUUAAUAAUUAUGAAGCUUUGGUAAAAUUUUCAAACAAAGUUGAACAUGUUGUUUUGAGAUUUGGUUCAUGAUUUUGGAUGAAUAUCGUUGUUCCGUUUGAGUUGGAUGUGAAUUCAAAAUCUAUAUAUUCUUUGGUUUUCAAUUCUGAACUCAAUUUCUUUUUCUCAAGCAUGUUAUGCAGAAAUGAAUUUUACUAAAUCAUUUUUGAUGAAUUGUUCAAAUUAAACAAUUGGAAUAAGAAUUGUAAAGGUUUAUCAUAAGCAUGCUAAUAUGAUAAGUUGUUUUAUGAACGAUUAAUUAAUUAAUCAAUUAAUAUUAAAGAAUAUAUUAGGCAAUUAGAUAUGCGUUACAUGUCAUGUUUAAAAACUAUUUAUUUAUAUUUCAAACAAAUUUGACUGGAUGUUGUGUAGGUAAUACUCAUAAUUAAUUUCAAAACAAAAAAAGUAAUAAAAACACGUUAAAUUUUGUUUUUAUGAAGAAAAAUUUAAAAUUUUGUUAAAUAGGUGAAAAUAAUAAAUGGAUUCGUGUAUGGUUUGAGAUUCUUGACAUAAUUAUGAAAUAAGCCGGAUUCGACUUAGUUCAAUUUUGACGCGAUAAGAAGACGACACCACACAAACACACGAUAAGAACCGGUACCUGAGAAGAUUGCCAUCAGGAAUUUUGAAAUUGAUUUCACUACAAUACCUUAAUCUUUCAGAUACUCCCAUCACUGAGCUGCCAGAGGAGCUAAAAGCCUUGGUAAGUCUUAAGUGUUUGAACUGUACACAAAUUAUCUCUCUACAAUUCAAAAACAACUGAUUUGUUACUUUUCAAUGCUACAUGUUCUGCGAAUAUUGAGUUGUGGUUAUCUUGUUGAAAGAUCAGAAAAUAGAGUUCUAUUUGGUGGUAGUGAAUUGUUGGUUGGGGAGUUGCUUAGUUUAAAACGUUUAAAUGUAUUAAGCAUCACCUUACAAGGUUUUUCUGCUGUCCAAAAACUUACGAGCUCUCAAAAGUUUCAAAGCUGUACAAAAUGUUUGGAGCUUAUAGACUGUGAUGAUUCAAAGUCUUUUGCCUUGGCAGAGUUGAAGCAUCUCGAAAAACUAGUUUUUCGAAUUGUGGAAGAGUUUAAGUUCUGCUGUGUUGAAGUUGGAAAAGCUCAAGAAUGUUUUCGUUUGAACAGCUUUCACCGAGUUAAUAUAAAGGCUUGUCAUAAAUUGAGGGACGUGACAUGGCUUGUAUUUGCUCCAAAUCAUACGGUUAUUCAAAUAGAAAAAUGUAUGCAGAUGGAAGUAAUAAUCAGCGCAAGGAAAUUGGGUGAAGUUCCAGAGAUGAUGGCAGAUCUAAACCCUUUUGCAAAACUCCAAUAUCUUCGCCUGCGAGUUCUACCAAAAUUAAAAAGCGUCUAUUGGAAUGAGUCACCCUUUCCGCAUGUCAGGGAAAUUAUUGUAUCUGAAUGCCCAAUUCUCAAGAAGCUUUCACUCGGUUUUAACAAUGCAAAGGAAUCUAAAAUUGUCAUUUAUUACAUGUUUAUAUCUAACUUUUGUUCUCCUUUAUGGUUAAAUUUUACUAUAUAUAUGUUGUUAUACGGUGACAUUCUCGCAUCAAUUAUUAGCUUUUUAAUUCUCUUCUCGUAUUAAUUGCCCUUCUGAUCAUGUAGGAUAUGCCGAUGUCAAAGAGUAGUAAAUUGGGAUACAAAUGUAAGAAUUAGCCAGAUGACAUGUUGUUUUGAAGCUUUCGAAGGACUAAUUAUGUCAUUCAAAGCAUCCAAUUUCGCUACUUUUUUUUUUUUUUCAUUUGUUGCUUUUUCUAUUUUUAGAUAGCUUGAUUGUCAGUUGUCGUAAUGUAAUGUUUUAGUAUAGAAAAAUGAUAUUCGGCCAAGACAUCGAUAGGAGGGCACAUUGUGCAUGCAUACUCGUGGAUGAUUUUGGCAUGCCGAAUCCAAUUAGUGUGAAUAACCCUUUAUAAACAUCAGGCUUCUCUCAUACCAGAUAGAGGUGGCAAAAAUACCCGCUCGGUCCGGAUCCAGACCAUACCCGGGCGUUGUGGGUCGGGUAUUACUUAAUCUGGGUAUAAAGUCGAGUCGGUCUUGGGCAUCACUUGAUAAACCCGGAACCCAGAUUUUAUUAAAAAAAUAUUAUAAAAUAUAUAUUAUUUUAAAUAUUUAUAUUUAUUUGACUCAUUUAUUAUACAUAUAUAAAGUUUUAAACACGUAAAGUUUAUAUUUUCAUGUCAAAUUUUAUUAAAAUAAAUUUAACACUUAUAAAAUUACCUAAAAAUAAAAAAUAUAUAUACAUAUAAUAUUAAAAAAUAUACAAUUCGGGUACCCAGAUUAAAAUCUAGCCUGGACUCGGACCCAGACCGAUUGCAUCCAAGCAGGAUCCAGUCAUUGCAAUAAUCGGACCUGGCCUGGGGUUUCGCCAUCUCCAAUACCAGAGCAAUGUAGAAUAUGUUUAUAAACUGUGAAUUACCCUUUAUAAGUAUUAGGCUUCUUUUAUACUCGAGCGAUGUGGAAUACCUUUAUAAGCAUUAAGCUUCUCCCAUACACUUUAUGUUAAAAAUAAUAAUAAUAAAAUAAAUCCAUUUUAAAAUAGGCUUUUUUUUUUCUUUUUCUAUAUAAACAAAAUGCAUUCUUCAAAUCAAUAGUGGGUGGAAGAAGUGAGUAGAGAAGAACUAGGCCCCUUUCAUUCCCCUAAAACCUCACCGAAACCUCUCUUGUGAACUUCUCAGAUUCUCUCUCAAUAUUUCUUAUGAUCUCGUUUUUGAUAGAAUCACUUCUUUUGCAUGCUGCAUUUUGUGAGUUGUUUUUGGGUAAUAUCUUAUCUGGAAUGCUGUUAUGAUCAAUAGAACAAGUAAUCAAUUUUUGGUUCGACGGAAGUCGAUUUAUUUAUUUACUAUUAUUUUUAUUUGAAAUUUUGUACAAUUGUGUUUCAUUCAUUUCUUUUCUUCUUUUUUUUUUUUAUAUUUAUUAUGUAGAAUUGUGUUUCAUUUGAUAUUGAUCAUACUGUAGAUAACUAUGUGAUUGUAGCUGGGGAUUUUAAGUUUUGUGAAUUCAAGAAACUGUCAAAAUGCUAGUGAAAUUGGGACCUUUAUUCAUAAGCUUGUGGUUUUGAAAAGUAGCCCGGUUCAACUGAUGAAGUUCCUUUUUGGGAUUCUUUUUUUUCUAGGCUGCAAUUCGGAUAUGUACGUGAUAGACAAUCUUUUGUGGGUUUAGCAUAUCUUCUUCGAUUUUGUCUUUUAUUCCCCAAUUUUACAGCUACACACCAUGAAUGCUGGGUGAUUGUACAGAAAAUUUGUGUUAGAACAAAAGCAUUGUGAAGGAGUUUCUGUGCUAUAAGUUAUUGGCUUCAGUUUUAUUGGCAUUAAUUGGGUAGAUUAUGUGUUACAGUGAUUCAAUUUGUGAUCCACACUUUAAUUUUCUCUUUUCCCCAAUUAUUUAUGUCAAAUUCAAAUCCAGAAGCAUGUGCUGAUUUUUUUUUUUUUGUGUUAAUCUGUGAAGUUUAUUUGGAAAGGAUGUAUCUGGGUCUAAUGGAUUAAAUUAUGACAUUGAGGAAAAGGCACUAAAGGUUUUGCUUGACACAUUUGGUCUGUGUUUACUCUGCAAUAAAUAGCUUCGCUUAUCGGAAAUCCCGAUUUGGCUGGUGAAUUUCUCAGUGACAGACAGGCAAACACCUAAACCGCUUCUAUCCAUUUUUCUGCUGGUGAGGUAAGGGGUAAAAAGUCUUCAAAAUCAUCAAAUAGUAACAUCUCUCAGAAUUCAUUUUAGAAAAAUGGAAAAUCUAGACCUGCUAGGACAAAAUGGCGUCCAGUAUCAGGAGGUACCGUUUCAAGUUUUCUUGGUAAAGAAUAUAAUAAACCUGCGCAACCAGCUAAUGGCACUUUUCUGGCAUCAAAGCCAUUGAAGUUGGAUCUAAAGGAGUUUUCCCAUGCCUGCACUGUGCAGAGAAGAAACUAAACCAAAACAAUCAAAGAAUGACCAUUUGCAGAAGGAUACGGAAGAUUUUCUAUUUAAAUUGUUAGUAGAAGGGUCCCAGCUGAACAGGGAUGUGAUUCAGGAGGUUCUCGGUAAUGUCUUAAAUAUACUGAUGCCAAUUUAAUACAUAUUGUCCUUUUCAAUGUUCUUUCUUUCUUUUUUUUUUCCCUUCUUCUUCUUUUUUCUUUUUGUGUGCAUGUGAUCACUGAUUUGGUAUUACGCUUAAGUUGCAGAUAGUUGUGGAUUUGAUAUGCAAAAGGUAAGGACUAUAUCUUCCUGAUGUAGGCCUCUGCUUUUUCCCCUUCUAUGUAAUUUAGUAAAUCACAUCUUCCUUUGUGAUUGUUAUACCAUAUCAAAGUCAAGUCUUAAAUACUGCUGUCAUAUGUUAAGGUUCAACUUGUAUUUUGAUUAACAUCCAUUUGCUGCUGCUUCCAAAAGUGAGAAUGAGAUACUUUGGUUAAUUUCAGUGGUUGAACCCAAUAGAGAACUUUAUUUAGAUCUUCAUGGUUCAAAGGCCUGAAAAAACUUCCUGUAAUUGUAAAAUGCCAUUCUGUGCUUUUUAUGCAAUAGGGAACAGGGAAGUAGAGCUUUGGAAAAGCCUGGAUUGAUAACUAUGGAGAGACUUAUUAUUUAAGUGAUGAAAAAUUCCCAUCACCCGCGGUCAAGAAAAUUUCAGAUAGUUAAAGACUCCAUUUUGCUUCAGCCAAAAAUGUUUGUUGCAAUGAAAGACUUGAACCAUUUUCAUUGAACCUGAUUGUGAUCCUUUACGUUAUGCAUGUUCCUCUCAAUCAAGAAAAGUUGAGGUCAUGAUUCUAUAUUUCUAUAUUGUAACUUGAAAUAAUAAUUGGUCUACUUGUUUCUGUAUCUUGAUAAGAUGAAUUUUCCUUCUCAAGUUAAUUUGAUCAAUAAAGUAAUUCUUCAAAGAAAAUAUGCCCAUUCUAUAAUCAUUUUCUUAGCUAAGAUGUUUUUUCUUCACUCUUCAGAGCAUGUCAAAACUAAUUGAUCGCUUGGCAGAUACUUUGGGUGAGAAGACAAAAUUUCUUGGUAAAUCCUCGGAAAAGGUAUGCAUAAUUCCCGAGUAUUAAAUAACCAAUAGUCAUAAUUUUUGUACAUGACUCUUUUUUCUCUUUUUUGUGGAGAUCAUUAAAAUUGGUUGAUGAUCCAUUUUGUAAUAUCAUAGAGGGAUCAUCAAUUCCUUCUCUUUUCUGUGGCUAGGCAACACUUUCUGGCCAAAGUAAGAAAAUCUAUUUAGGUAAUGUGAAAACCAACGGUAGGAUGUAAUAGUUUAUUAUGCACUGACAAUAACUUUUUGUAUGAUUGGCAGUUUAAUGAAUACAAGAGGAACUUUGUUGACAAAUUCAUCCAAGAUAGAUGCUAAAAUUAUUUAUGCAUGCCAGUUGCCUUAACUAAUUUUUCUUAACACUUGUAUUGAACAGGAAAAUGAAUAAACAAUCUGUAUAUUGUGCCAUUGUGGAGUAUUUGGAUAUUCUGAUUUAAGUAACAAGGAGAAUACUUGUCUCAUCUUUAAACAAUGAAUCUUUGAGAAAUGAGGAGUGGGGGAUUGGAAGUGUCUUCAUGUAAAUGUUCAUUUAUUUGUAUUUUGAACUAUUAUGAGAAUCUUAUAUGCCAAAUCAGUAAUACAAAUGUUCAGAUGAUUUUUGCUGUUGAUCAUGCAUUUGUGUCUGCACACAACCAUUGUAUAUCACUUUAUUCUGAUGUGCAGGUAUGUGUAGCUUAGAAGAAACGGAAUAAUAAUCAUCUAUUAUUGCUUGGUUCAUGAUUAUUAAACGAUUAUGGCUUUAAAAAGUCUACAAAUUCCUUCUGUUCAUAUGUGAAUGUGUGAUGGGUGUCGAAGCCAACAAAAAUAAAUUCCUACUCUAAAUAAAUUGUGUAUAGUGAUUGAGCAGGGUCGUGUCCACAGAGAUCGGUAAUUAUUUAAAUCCUUUUGAAACGUAAAACGUAAAAUGGGGGAAUUGUUGACAAUAAUAAAAAUCAAAUUAAAAUAACAAGAAUGCAAAUUAAAGUUGUAAUUCAAAUUGGAGAAAGCUCUGGUUGAAGGAAUUAACUCAGCUUGAUUCGACUACUGAUCAUUGAUUCAAAUAUAGAUUAUUAUUACUCAUGAAUAGACCGGUUAUAGCUACUGAGACCCUCGAAUAGCCAAUCUCUCCUUAACUAGUCGAUAACCAAGGUACGACCGUUGGUUAUUUCCCUAAUCAAUAGACAACCCUAGAUACGAUCAUAGGAUUUAAUCAAUUGACAGCCUGAAAAAUCAGAGAGACCCAAAUCCUAAUCAACACAUAUGAUGAUUCAUUUAAAUUAGAUUGUUUAUUCUCACAACACAACUCUCUGCUAUGUUAUUUGUCACAAACAUUAAAUUCUUCAUACGAUGAAUCCUUUAAUUGACAAUAGAUUAAGUUGAUAAUUAAAUAGUGGCCAAUUACCUAAUUAACAAACAUAAUCAUGAAACUAAUUCAGAGAAUAAACAAAUACCCAAAAAGUAAUAAAACAAUUAAAGCAUAAGAAAGAUCUCACAGUAGUGAUGAAUCAAAGCUUCAUUAUCCUUCAACCAGAAAAAUAAGUUUAGUUCUUCAUAGAGAGAAGAGAAAAAUUAGAUCUAGGGUUUCUUUCUUUGUCUCCAAUCCAAAAAUCCCCCUUUUUCACAAUAGAUUCCUCCCUUAAAUACUCUCUCUCUCUUCUCUUUUAGAAUUCUAUUUAAAAUAAAAUACUAAUAUCUUAAAUAUUAAAUUCGUAAUUACAAAAAUAGCCAAAAAUACAAAACACGUUAAACUAAAAACUGCAGGUCCGCAGUUGACAGCACGCGCCCACGCCUUAUCAACAAAGUUCUUCUGACGCUCAUAAUUUCUCCAAGAGAACAAUCCUCCUUAAACAUCAUCUUUUAGCUCAAUUUUAUCACCAAUCAAUAGAAUUGCACCUACAAAAGUAAAACACAAGUAAAAUAUUAUUAUUAAGUGCAAAACAUCGAUAUUAAGGGAAGUAAAUAAUGCAAAACUAGUGCAUAAAUUGCACUCUAACAAAUUCCCCCACACCAAGACGAUGCUUGUCCUCAAGCAUAUAACUCAAGAUUAAUCCCAAAUCUCCACUCAAUUCUCAUCUCAACUCAUCCAAAAAUAAUUUUAAGCAAGCAUACCUCAAGAAAUUAAGUCGAUCAACAUUCGAGAGACAAGGAUUUUAAAGCAUAGAAUUUCAUAAGAUAGAAUAAGAACAUUCAACCACCAAGAAGAUCCAUUCAAAAUUCAAGUGCAACAAGAUUUAAUAGCCCUCUCAAUAACUUCACUCCAUGCACUCAAAGUGUUUAGGGUGUCAUUUAUUCACUCAAAUCAAAUCAAAGAAUGCUAUUACCAUAAGCUUGCUCAUAUAUCACAUCUCAAUCCACAAAACAUGAAUAAAAUGCAAAAAUCUAAGGGUCUUAAAAGGGUUGUAAUGGGGUUAAAUGGGUUAAAUGAAAAAGAAAGGUUUACGAAAGAAAACAAAAAUCAAAAUGAGAAGAAUGAACUCAUUGAAUGAACUUAUGAUAUCAAAAUGCUUAUUUCUACUCAAGUCACCAAGAAUGUAAACAUUUUUUUUUUCAAUUUUUUUUUUCGAUUUUUUUUUUCUUUUUUUUUUCUCUUUUUCCUUUUCUUUUCUUUUUUUUUUUUUUUUGAAUCAAACAAAAGAAAUGAACCUUGCACAAUUUAAUUCAAGCAUAAUGCUUGUUGAUCUAAUUGAGAAACUUUAAUACAAGGUAGAAAAAGCAACAAAAUAUAUCCACACAAUGAGUCCAAAAAUCUCCUUAAAUUGAGGCUCAAAAAGAAGAAAAAUGGUUAAGUAGACGGAGAGAAUUAGAUGGGUAAUGGUUAAGGCUCAAACAAAGGUAGCAAAUAAAGGUCUUCGGGUAGAGAAAAAGGAAAAAGCGAGAAUAGAAAAAUGGUAAAUUGUUUGCCCUUAUUAUUUUAAUGCCUAAAAUCCCGUAAUGUGGCUUCAACAUGCAUAACAAAGCAAGUUCUAGAAUAAACAAACUAGGAUUGAUAUUCACAUAACAAAAAUAAUUAGAGCAAAGUGGUUGCUCAUAGGCUCAAAUCCUCACAAAGUUGGUAAAUUUGCCAUCAAAUCAUGUACACUCUUCAAAUGAAUCAACCAUCAAUAGUGGUGUAGAAUGGGAAGAAGGUAUGAGUGAAGGAAAGGUAAAAAUGAUAAGAAGUGAGAAAGAUGUAUGUAGUAAUAUGAAAAGUGAAAGAUAAAAUGUGAGUGAUGAAAGAGUAUGAUAGAAUAAAAAUAGAUGUAAAUAAUUUGAGAUAGAUGGGAAAAAAGUAGUGAGAAAGAAAAGAAAAGAAAAAUAAUAAUAUAUGAAGCAUACUAACUCCAAAAUCAUUUAAGGAUGAGUAGAGUGAAAACAAUAAUUCCAGACAUCAAUAAUGCAAAAAUCCCUCCCCCACACCAAGAACUUACAUUGUCCCCAAUGUAAGAUAAUUAAAGCUCACAUAAAAAUUAAAGCGCAAGGAUAAAAGAUUAAAGGCAAAAAAAACUUCCCUGAAUUGUGAGCUUUGAUCCACAUAACGUCUAUGGUUGCGUUGCGAUUGCUGCUCGGCUGGAGCUUGCUUGAUGGGCGCGGGAUGGAGCUGAUUGUGUUACGCGCGCGCGCUGGGGCUGCUGGAUCUGCGCGCUGCGUGGGCUGUGUUGCGCGCGAGAGCAGGGCUGACGCUGGUUUUGCGCGCUGCUGGGCGAAGGCUGGAUCUACGCGCGCGGUUUGCUGCUUGCUAGACGCGGGAUGCUGGUGCUGCUGGUUGCGUUGCAGGUGGGACUGAUGCGGUUGCUGCUGGUUCUGCGCGCUGGAGCUGAGGGUUGCUGCGGGAAAACGAUAAUCAACAGUGAAUUUUUUUGAAUUAGGGAUUUGUGAACAGUGAUUUGUGAUUUUUGUGUUUUUUUUUGUGUUUUUUUUUUAAAUAAAUAAAGAAAAUAUAUAUAUAUAUAUAUAUAAGAAAGAAAAGAAGGAAAAAAAACUUUUUUUUUUCGUUUUUUUUAUAAAUAAAUAAAAAAUAUAUAUAUAAGAAAAGAAAAUAAGGAAAAAAAAACUCUUUUUUUUUUUUUUUGAAUCACUUUGAGACACUAAAAAUUUCAGAAGUACUUUUCUAAUAAGCACGUAGGCACGCCUUAAAACUAUUUUACUUUAAAAAUUACAGAAGUACUUAUUAGUUAAGACGUGGGCACGCCUUAUCAAAAAUUUUCUUCUGACCAAAAUAAGCAAACACAUUAUUUAAAAAAAAAAAUAUGAAUCAAAAUUAAAAGAAGAUAUAACAAAAACCAAAAUAAAUAAAUCAUUUGGGUUGCCUCCCAAAAAGCGCCUUUGUUUUAUGUCUUUGGCUAGACACAUUUAUGCAUCAAUCUCCAUAAUUAGGACUCUCGAGAGCCACAUCCUCCACAAUAUUCACCGAAAAACCUUCAUAAAAAGGUUUUAAGCGAUGACCAUUAACCUUAAAAACUUUGUCAGAGGUCGGACUCCGAAUUUCAACUGCACCAUGAGGAAAAACAUUAGUAACAAUAAAAGGUCCAACCCAGCAAGAACGUAAUUUACCCGGAAAAAGUUUAAGCUUAGAAUGAAAAAGAAGAACUUUUUGACCAACAGAGAACUCCUUUCUCAAAAUCAUUCUAUCAUGAAAUGUCUUCGUCUUUUCCUUGUAAAAAAUUUCCUGCGCUAUAGGGUUAAUAACAUCCACAGAAAAUACCGAAUGUUCCUCACUAGGAUAUUUCAUGGCAUCAUUCAUAUUGAAUUCUAUAACCUCUCCAUCAAACUCCAUAGUGAGAGUCCCUUUAUGUACAUCCAUUUUAGUCCUAGCAGUCUUAAGAAAAGGUCUUCCUAGCAAAAUUGGGACAGAAUUAGAGGAGUUAUCCUCUUCCAUAUCAAGUACAUAAAAAUCAGCAGGAAAAACCAACUCAUUAACUUGUACUAAGACAUCUUCUAAUACCCCAUCAGGAUAUGCAUUAGACCUAUCAGCUAGUUGAAUUAUCACGCCAGUUUCUUUUAAUGGACCAACAUUCAAAGAUGAAUAAAUGGAACGAGGCAUGACAUUAAUAGAAGCUCCUAGAUCUAACAUAGCCUUUUCAACUCUAACACUACCAAUUUUACAAGGGAUAGUAAACAUACCUGGAUCCUUGCACUUACGAGGUAGUUUCUUUUGGAGAACUGCUGAAACAUUCUCCCCCAUGUGAACUUUUUCAUCUCCUCUUAAUUUUCUCUUGGAGGUGCACAGUUCCUUAAGGACUUUAGCAUAUCGAGGUAUUUGUUUUAUAGCAUCUAAUAAAGGAAUAUUUACCUCAACCUUGCGAAAUGUCUCAAGGAUGUCUUUCUCUUGUUCCUCCUUCUUGGAUUUUGCAAAUCGGCUUGGAAAAGGAGGAGGUAUCACAAUAGGUAGGGGUUUAGCUCUGGUGGGUUCCGCAUCAUGAGAUUGAGGCAUCAAUUCAUUCUUCUCAAGUUCAUCUUCUACAUGCUUUGUCACUUUCUUACUAGGCUCUUGCAACUCCGUCCCACUUCUAAGAAUGACAGCACUAACGUUUUCCUUUGGAUUCACCUCAGAUUGUGAAGGCAAUCUCCCCAAUACUUGAGACUCCAGACGGCUCACUGUAGUCGCCAAUUGACUCAUUUGGUUCUCCAAGUUCUGAAUGCUUGCUGUAGUUGCCUGCUGAAAUUGUUGAGUGUUAGUCGCAAGUGAUUUAACAAUUUCUUCAAGAGAUAUACCUGACUUGGAGUUUGACUGUGGAAGUGCUGGUUGUCUUGGUGGAUACUGUUGUGGGAAUCCUGAUUGCCUAACUCCAUAGCUGAAGUUGGGAUGAUCCUUCCAUCCCGGAUUGUAUGUUUGUGCAUAAGGAUCAUACCUCCUCUGAGGCAUGCCUGGAAAUCCUCCAAUUGCAUUGGCUUGUUCAACGGGUUCUUCUUGAAGUGUAGGACACAUAUCAGUUGAAUGACCCAUAUUGUAACAAAUGCCACAAGUCUUCACCUGUUGCACAUUACCUACAACAAACUUUUCCACAAGAGAAGUAAGUUUAUCUAAACGUUGUUCAACAGAAGAAAUAUUUACCUCAUUCACCGUUCUUGAAGUGGCAUCUUGUCUGCUGCCAAAUUGUUGUGCAUUGGCAGCCAUAUUUGAGAUCAACUCCCUUGCUUGAGUAGGGGUCUUGUUCACCAACACACCUCCACUAGCAGCAUCUAUCAUACUCCUAUCCAUCAAUGAUAGUCCUUCGUAAAAAUAUUGAAUAAGAAGUUGAUCAGAGAUCUGAUGCUGAGGACAACUGGCACACAAUUGUUUGAAUCGCUCCCAAUACUCAUACAAAGUCUCCCCAGGAAGUUGUCUGAUCCCACAAAUAUAUUUUCUGAUGUUGGCAGCUCUUGAAGCAGGAAAGUACUUCUCAAGGAACUGCUUCUUCAAACCAUUCCACGUUGUAAUCGAUCCAGGAGGCAAGUAGUACAACCAAUCUUUAGCUAGCCCAUCUACAGAGAACGGAAAAGCACGCAGCUUAAUCUGCUCUUCAGUCACGCCUUGUGGUCUCAUACUUGAACACACAACAUGAAACUCCUUAAGAUGUUUAUGAGGAUCUUCACCUGCAAAACCAUGAAACUUGGGUAAUAAAUGAAUAAGACCAGACUUUAAUUCAAAAUUUACCUCCAAAUCUACAUAUUGAAUGCAGAGUGGUUGCUGAUUCAAGUCUGGUUCAGCUAACUCUCUAAGAGUUCUUUCUACAGGUGCAGGUCUAUUCAUCACUUGUUCUUCCGAAUCACUAGAUGAUUCAACUAAAUCAGGCACUGUAUCUGUUUCAGAAAGCAAAGGCGACGAGGAUCGUUGCUUAGCUCGCUUCGUCUGCUGUCUCAGCUGGCGAGCUGUCUUCUCAAUUUCGGGAUCAAACGAAAGUGUACCUGUACGAGAAGAACGAACCAUACACAAAGUAAAACGUAAAAAGGAUUAAAUAAAUGACACCAAUCCCCGGCAACGGCGCCAAAAUUUGAUGGGUGUCGAAGCCAACAAAAAUAAAUUCCUACUCUAAAUAAAUUGUGUAUAGUGAUUGAGCAGGGUCGUGUCCACAGAGAUCGGUAAUUAUUUAAAUCCUUUUGAAACGUAAAACGUAAAAUGGGGGAAUUGUUGACAAUAAUAAAAAUCAAAUUAAAAUAACAAGAAUGCAAAUUAAAGUUGUAAUUCAAAUUGGAGAAAGCUCUGGUUGAAGGAAUUAACUCAGCUUGAUUCGACUACUGAUCAUUGAUUCAAAUAUAGAUUAUUAUUACUCAUGAAUAGACCGGUUAUAGCUACUGAGACCCUCGAAUAGCCAAUCUCUCCUUAACUAGUCGAUAACCAAGGUACGACCGUUGGUUAUUUCCCUAAUCAAUAGACAACCCUAGAUACGAUCAUAGGAUUUAAUCAAUUGACAGCCUGAAAAAUCAGAGAGACCCAAAUCCUAAUCAACACAUAUGAUGAUUCAUUUAAAUUAGAUUGUUUAUUCUCACAACACAACUCUCUGCUAUGUUAUUUGUCACAAACAUUAAAUUCUUCAUACGAUGAAUCCUUUAAUUGACAAUAGAUUAAGUUGAUAAUUAAAUAGUGGCCAAUUACCUAAUUAACAAACAUAAUCAUGAAACUAAUUCAGAGAAUAAACAAAUACCCAAAAAGUAAUAAAACAAUUAAAGCAUAAGAAAGAUCUCACAGUAGUGAUGAAUCAAAGCUUCAUUAUCCUUCAACCAGAAAAAUAGGUUUAGUUCUUCAUAGAGAGAAGAGAAAAAUUAGAUCUAGGGUUUCUUUCUUUGUCUCCAAUCCAAAAAUCCCCCUUUUUCACAAUAGAUUCCUCCCUUAAAUACUCUCUCUCUCUUCUCUUUUAGAAUUCUAUUUAAAAUAAAAUACUAAUAUCUUAAAUAUUAAAUUCGUAAUUACAAAAAUAGCCAAAAAUACAAAACACGUUAAACUAAAAACUGCAGGUCCGCAGUUGACAGCACGCGCCCACGCCUUAUCAACAAAGUUCUUCUGACGCUCAUAAUUUCUCCAAGAGAACAAUCCUCCUUAAACAUCAUCUUUUAGCUCAAUUUUAUCACCAAUCAAUAGAAUUGCACCUACAAAAGUAAAACACAAGUAAAAUAUUAUUAUUAAGUGCAAAACAUCGAUAUUAAGGGAAGUAAAUAAUGCAAAACUAGUGCAUAAAUUGCACUCUAACAAUGUGCCAAGUUUGCUAUAUCUUAGAUUAUCUUCUUCCAAGAUAACAAGUUCAUAUUCUUUUUAAUCUUUUUCCAUCACAGUUGACUUUUAGGUGUUAAGAUUUGUUAUUAGUCCCCUGUUAUUAUGAUUUCAUAAACAGUGUACGGAUAUGUGCUCUAACUUUGGAGGACCUCCACGUGAAAGAAAAUUGCAACAAUUGAAUUCUUCCGGAGGGUAUGGUCUUUAAUUUAUUUUCUCAACUUCUCGUAAGAUUAAUAUAUUUCAUUCAGUAGGCACAGCAUGGGGGGAAGGGUUUUUAUUGAAAGAAUUCUGAUAUUUCUUAGACUUCGUUUUGGAAUGGGGUGGAGGGAUUUCUCAUCCAUGUAUGGUUACUUGAUUAGCUUUUGACUGUAUUUCCUCAGUCAUGUAAAGGAAGAUCCAAAUACCAACGAAGGAAAAUUGCCUAGACACCCGAAAGACAGAAAUGAGCUACAGAAGCAAGUUUUAGCUACUUUAUUUAGUGCUCCUGAGAAAUCUGAUGGAGACCGAAUGGAGGUCCAAAGCACUGGGAAAGGUAGUGAGUGAACCGCCGGAGGAGUUGGCACCGGAAUGCAAGGCUAAUGUGGUGCACUUGCAGCAAGAUAACCAAACCGGUAUGUGCUCUUAUAUUAACUAUACUGACAGGAUUUGUGAGUGUGUGCAUUUUUUUGUGUAUACUCUUGUAUUUAUGCAUAUUAAUGUGUGUAGGAAUUUCUGCCACUUACUGGAGAACUAGUGGAAAGCUUUAUACCGAUAUAUCUGCAAUAACUAAUUGGAAACUAUGAUAUUAAUAUUUUCUCUCACCUGAGGAACUGUGUAACAGAUAUACUUUGUGGCUCUGGAAUACUAGAGAUUCUGCAAUAACUAAUGGAAACUAUGAUAUGAAUAUUUUAUCUCAACUGGAGAACUUUGUAACUUGUAGCUCUGGAAUGUCUAAGGAAUUUUGUCUGCUUCAGUUAGAUCAAAUAUCUUUUAGUUGCAUACAUUAUAGAAAAAGAUAAAGUUCUCUGAAUCUGAAAGACUGAAACAUUUUGUAUAUUUUGUGAAAGGGAAAUAUCUGUAUAUACUAGUUCAUGCAUUGAGGUAACAUCAAUGUUAAAGAAAAACAGCAAUAAGUUAUUAUGUGGAACAAGGUUCACUUGCUUUAAAUGCUGGUCUGGUCAACCAUAUGAACCUGUAAGUUCUGCAGAAAUAUAUAUAUGGGGAGAAACUAGCUAAAUUUUCCGUUCAUUGAUGGCUUUGGUCAUUUUUUUCCCCUUAUUUUUCAGCUUUCCUUCUCCUGAAGUAUGUCAACAACUGCAGAUAAUGAUGAAGAGGACAGCUUGCAGGCUCUUCUUAGAGCCAUGAUGGAAUAUAGGGGCACAAUGAAGGAACAUUGCAAAGCUGUAGGUUCUUUUUCUCCUGUCAUUUAUGUUUUCUCACACAUUUUUUAUAUGCUCCAAGCAUGCAAUUUUGUAUGUGUCAACUGCUUCCUAAGUUUUAAAAACCAUAAUGUAAGAAUACAGUUCUUUGUCAGGUUAUUGAUGCAUUUGCUCAGGGGGAUCAUGUUCGAGCAGGAAAACUUCUAGAGCUGACAAGGUUUUCCAUCUACAGCCAUCUAUUGACAACAGAUACAUUUUCAUUCAGCAAACACUGUUAGCAUUCAAGAUACUGGCAGAUUCACUUGAUUCUUAUUAGUUUGUUUAGUAGCAAAGCAUAUAACCUGUAUUUCAAAGCCAAGUUGUGCUAUUGAUUAUGUUAACUUUAUUGUUCACAUAAAGUGAUAUGGAGGAAAUAAUCAAUGUAGGAAAAUUAGGUGAAGAGAUGAUGUCACAUCUUGAACCUCUUACAAAGCUCCAAGUUCUUUACUUGAAGAAGCCGCCAAAUUUGAAGAGCGUCUACUGGAAGGCAUUUCCAUUCCCAGAUGUAUGCAGAAUUUUUGUAUUAAUGCCCAGUUCUUAAGAAGCUGCCACUGGACUUUCAAAGGCGGGCCAAGGUAAAAUUCUUAUCGAGGGAAAGGAAGAUUGGUGGAAACAACUUCAAUCGGAGGAUCAAGUAACUCAGAAUGCAUUGCUUCCAUUUUUAAAAUCAACUGACAAGUGAUUGAAGGGGGCAUCAUCAACAUCAUCAACAUGGAUGGAGAGAUUCAGGAGCAGAUCAGCAGGGUUUAGUACGACCUGUGGUGGUUUCUUUUUUGUGACUUUUUUCCCUUUCAUUUUUUCACUUCCUGUCAUAUUAUCAUUUCUGUCUCUGUUUCUAUUGCUGUUGUUGCUGCAUGCUUGCUGUCCUUGACAAAGUUAGCUAGUUUUUUUGUUUAUUAAAUUUUUUAUGUUCGGGACAUCCUUGACAAAGUUAGCUAGUUUUUUUGUUUAUUAAAUUUUUUAUGUUCGGGACAGUCACAAAGUACUACUUGUUCUAUAAGGGGGUGAUGUGAAUCAACUUUUCAAUUAUAUAUUCUGUGGUAAUUGUGAAUUCAAUUUCAUUUGUCUCCUGCAAAUUAUGAAGAAAGUGCAGAGUUACAAUAUGGAAAAGUUCACUGGCAAAUACUUUGUAAAAGCUUCGGAGUGAAACAGGGAAUGCACUUGCAACUAAGGACAAAUUGGUGGCCAGCUAAUGCAUUCAUUUUAUGUACAUUCAUCUUUUUAAUUAUUGAAGAUAAGUGGUUCGUCGCUUUUGUUGUAGAUAAAAUUCAGACGAUCUCCAUUGUGAAAUGAUAAUAUUUAAAAUAUCUCUUAAAUUAUAAUAAACUUUAAUUUAUCUUAAUUUUAUUUAAAAGAUAAAAGAAAAAUGUGGUAUAUCGAUAAUUUUUUUAUCUUCUUAAUAAAACGAAGUAAAUUAAAAUUUAUAAUAAUUUAAAAUAUUUUAAAGAUUAUUAUUUCAUAAGAGAGUAAUAUGAAAUUAAUCCUUUUUACUUUUUGAAUGUGAAAGAUCAAGAAAAGAGAAAGUAAGUGUCCUUGCUUUUUAUUUUAAUUGAAAUCGGAGUCAUCCCAUAUACUUUACUCCUUUAGCUCUCUCCUCAAGGUGAGAUGCGUGAGUUGGGUGAAGAUUUGGUGAGUGUUGUGAUAUGCGUGCUACUUUGAGAAUUUAUAGAUAGCACAAAACGCAGCGUUCUGUGUUAAUUGUGGUUCUUACUGUGGUAAGAAUCUCAUUUUCUUAUUUCAACAGGUUUACCAGAAGAAAAAUCCCUCAGAUCACAUCACUGCCUUUUCUCUCAUUUUCUCUCUCUAUAUUUUCUAAUACAUUCUACAUAUUUUUCAUGUCCUCACAUACUUGUAUUUCAAAUGCAAUAGAUGUGUUUAUAUAGAGGCUAAUGAGAGUGAUUAAAGUUAACUAAAAAACUUCUAUGUAAAAUAAACUUCUAUGUGUUUAAAACCAAUAAAAUAGUAAGUAUAGCAGCCCUUUUUACAAUAAUGAAGUGAAAAUUAAUUUAGCAAGAUAUUUUCUUAAUUUAUACUUUCUUUUUUGAAGUUUUUAUUUUCUAUGGUCAAUUAUACCGUUUACAAUUUCUUUUGAUCUAACUACAACUAAAUUUUUGGUUUAAGGAUUCUUAUUUGGGAGUAUUAAUAUGUGAGCGAACGCUUGGAUACUGCUCAAUGAUAUCUAAUCAAUAGCUGGAAACAAUCGAGAAGGCGGUCGCAGCUGUGCACAAACAGCUUUGGUAAAAUUUUUAAACAGAGUUGACAUGCUAUUCUGAGAUUUGGUUCAUUACUUUGUAUGAUUUUUUCUCAAGCAUGUUAUGCCGAAAUGAACAAUUAAAAAAGAAGAAGGAAAAGUUAGGGUAAAAUUUUUACUAAAUCAUUUUUUAUUAACUAUUUAUAUUAAACAAAUGGAACAAGAAUUGUAGUCAUUCGUCAUAAGCGUGCUAAUAUGAUAAUUCUCUGACUACCAUUUUCUAUUUACCCCUUUUGCAGCAGGGAAUCCAAAUUUUGAAUUGUCCAAUGAUCCACAAUCAAUCCAAUGGUCCAAAACUUUUGGUCGUUAUGCGAAAAAUUUUCCCAAUUUUGGGCCAAUAUUCUAACAAGUUUUAUUGAAGGGCUGGACUAUUGGCACCCCUCUAAAAUUUCCUUAAAACCCCUUUUCUAUUACAAUUACAUUUAAAGAUAAAAAUAAUUACCAAUUCAUCUAUUUUAAUAUUUUAUCCCUCUUCAAACUUUUCUAUUUUCUUCUCAUCAAAAUUUUUCCCUCAAAUUCUCUGUAUUUUUUUGUUUUAUUCAUUUAUUAACAUAUUCUUUUUAUUAUAACAAAUCCAAAUUUUCAAGCAAAAUUAUAGUACAAUAUUGAUUGUUGUUUGCUUUAUUAGAAGGGACUUUUUAGCUGAGGAAAUAAAAACUGUAUAUUUGGUUUCUUCUAACUGCUCGUUGACGAUAGUCACGGCAUCCUGCACAUUUCUAAUGACUUCCUUUAGUAUGUUCUGCUUCUACCUCAUUAGUUCCAAAUAGCUUCUGUUAUCCCAUGCGUACUUCUUAAAAAUAACUUCUGCUAUUUUUUUAAUUAAUUAUUUGAAUCUUGGAGUUUUCUUUUUUAUCUUUUCCACAAUUUUUCAUUCGGAUUUAUUCAUAAUCAUACUAAAACUUUUUACAUUAUAAUUCUAAAGAUAUUGAAUCUAAUUCACUAAUUUGUAUUAAGAAGUUUAUCGCAUAAAUUUUGUGUGGAGAUUGAUAUAAUAAGACUCUAAAAUAAUUUUAGAAAUAAGAAAAUAUUAAGAAAUCGAAAGAUUAACAAAUUAGAAAUAAGGGUAAUUCUGACAUUAAAUGAAAUAUUAGGGACAAAGGAGUUUUUAGAGGAUUUUAACGGGUGCCAAUAGUUCAACUCUUUAUUGAAAUAAAAGGGAGAGGAUCGUUAAAUUGAAAAGUCCAUUUUAUUAUCAAGUGUUUUAAAUUAGUGCAACGUGACAAUUUUUACUGAUGAUAUCUUCUAUUUUUUUCAUAUAAAAUUAAUGUUAUUUUACUUACAAAUAUAAACUCCUAAAUAUUUGUAGUAGAUUUGAAGUUGAGCCCAUGAAACGGUAAUGAGGAAUUAAUGAGACUGAGGAUCUGCAAUUUAGUCAUGAAAAAUUUGUAAUUAAGCACGACUAAAUUUCAAUUUUCUCUUUGUAAUUUCUUUGGGUGCCUGAAAUUUUUUCUCCCUUAAUUUUCUGAUUACAAGUGCAUAAUUGUAAGUGCAACCGAUUUUAUUUUCAGGGAAUACUAUCGGACGGUGUGGAUAUAUAUAUAUAUAUAUAUAUAUAUAUACGAGAAAUGUUCCAAUUCAGAAUUUUAAAGUGUAGGAACGUCUGGGAAAACGCAUAAACCGUGCAGUUUAAACGCUUUAAGUUUUAAGCCUUUAAAACCCCGCAGUUUUAAAGUUUUCCUAGAUGUUUUCCGCACUUUAUGAUCCCGGACUAGAAAACUACUAUAUAUAUAUAUAUUAUCUGCUCGGUGAAAAGUUUUUUAAUCCGAGCUUAGAAUCUAGGAUUAAAAUUAUGAAAAAAAUUUAAGUAUUACACACACACACACACACUAUUCGGUCAUUUUUUUUUAAAAUCUGAGUUUAGAUGUAGAAUUAAAGUUCGAAAUGAAUUUACUGUGUUAUAAAUCAAUUUUUACAAUGUUGUAAAUUGAUUUAUGAUAUUAAAAAUCCAUCUUAAAUUUUAAUCUCAGAUUCUGAGUUUGGAUCUAAUAAACACUCUCUCCGAUUAUGUUGUCUAUAAUUUUGCAUUCAAAGAAACUUCACGAAAAAUAUAAUAUCAUGUGUAGCCCUAGAAACUUUAAUAACAAUAAAAAAGAUAUCAUAAGAAAAGAAAACUCAUAAUUGUUCAGAUAUUUAUAAAUUGGUGGCCGUUGGAAAUUUAACUGCAAGUGCCAAUCCGAGAAAAGUCUUCGUGCAGGAAAGACUUUUAGCCAUACGUUCUUCCAAGUCAAAUGAAACAGUGGAUGUACAAAGAAUAAGACAUGUCAUUCAGCUGCAGAUUUCAUGGCCAGUAUGACUCAUUCAGUCCCUUAUGGGUUACAUGUUUUUGAUAGCCCGCCUGUGGGUAUUUAUUCAAUUAUUUUACAAGACAUAUUUGGGGUUGCUAAACCCCGUAUGGUUCUGUCUUAGCUCGUUUUAUUGAGCCCAUUUUAAUCAAAAAAAAAAAAAUAAUAAGACAUGUCAUUCAUUGUUUGUUUGCUGCAUUCCCUCUCAUUUUCUUAAUUAUUGAAGACAGGUUGCUCAUAGCAUGUACUUUUCAAAUGUGGAACCGCAGCUAAUGUCACUAUUUUAAUUUGGAAUUAAAUUAGGGCCCAUCUAUAAAAUUUAUAACAUUAUAUUGCAGUGUGAACUAACUUUUAUGUUUAUCUAAACACCUUAAAUUUAAGGCAAAUUAUGGCAUAAAUAAGAAUUAAAACAGAACACUUAUGAUGUAUAGCAAAAGAGUUGUGAUGAAGAUCUUGAAGAAAUAUAAUAUUAGCGCCGAAUUAAGUAACUAAGAACACCCCUGAACUGAAUAAUGGUUAUCAAAAUUGUGUUACUUGCACUCCUAUUUACUAAAAGUCUGGUUCUGUUCCAUUUGAGUUUUUAUCUUCAAAUUUCAAAAUCUUGCUAAGUUUUGACAACAAAAAGGCUCAGUUUGCUUGUUCUAUAUUUGUAUUAUAUGAAUCCAAAUUUUUGUGUUCUAUUUUCUCAAUUUUGAAUACAAAUUCUUUUCUUCUCCCACAAACCAGAAAGAAAUGCUGUAUUAAAAAAAAUGGAAAUAAAUUCAUUACAACAAAAAUUAGGAAAAAUAAUACAAACCAAAUUAGGAUAAAUAACAUCACUUUCUAGAGAAGCAGGCAAAAAUGGAAAAUGAUAUUUCAAUUCUUCAAGAUCCCAAAUCUCUGUUUCUAAAUUUUCUUUCAUGUUGCUUCUCGCAUAGAAUCAUUUGGUAUUAAUAAAAUUUUUACUUAUUAAACAAAAGUUUUUAAAAUUUUUUUUAUUCCUGCUGUUAAUCUAUGAAUGGUUUCAUUGUUGGAGUUUCUUUCAGAAGACAAGAAUACUUUGGUUAAGUGUUUGGCUAAGUACUAAAUUAAAGGUUGUUAGAUAGAAGAAAUUAAAAAAAAAAAAAUCCUAACCCUUUUAUUCAGUGUUUAAUCAGCAAAUAUUCAACUCAACAUGAAUCUUAAUCAUCUUUAAAAAAAAAUUAUUCAAUUUUCUAAUAAUAUUUAUUCAGGUACUAGAAGUUAAAACCCUACUUACAUGGAUGCGUGGCCAUCGGUCCAAUUUAAAAAAAAAGAGAGAAAAAAUAAAUGUAAUCCAUGAAUUUGGUUAAUUUUCCUUUGUUUGUUUGUUUCUGUUCUCCCCCCCCCCCCCCCCCCCACCCCCUUUUCAAUAUCAUUCCUUUUUGGCCGCCCAAGGACAUUUUCACAAAUACCUUUUGUGCAUAAGUCUUUUAAACCAUCAAUCGGAAGAAACAUGCUUCCAGUGAUACCUCCAAUUAUCAUUGAUGACUUUUCUUACUCUAAUGCUAUGUCAAUUCCAACAUUUGUAUGUUAAUAUAACAUAAUCAAUGAUUUGGAUAAUUGAUGACUUUUACAGAUUGUGGAUUCUUGCGGAUUUUCAAUCUAAUCCAAUCCACCAAUUCACAAAUUCAGAUUUUUACGGAUUAAAUUUUUACAGAUCAGACGAAUUGAGCAGACUAGAUUGGAUUUUGAACAUUGCUAAUUUGUAUGUUAAUUAUAAGAUAAUCAAUUAUUUGGAUAAUCCCUUGUGUUUUAUCUCUAAUUAGAACAUCAAUCUUCACAAUAUUUACAAUGCUACAAUGGCUAUAAACAAAACCUGCUUGCAAAUUGUCAAGGAUACUUAUCCUUUCGCUUGACAAGUCAUUUGGAAAAAUAUUGUCCCUUGGCGGCUCCAUGUCUUCCCCGCCCUUCCUUUUGGUCUUAAUGUACGGUUGCUUAAUGAUAGUUUAGGCCCUUUAGGGACUACUUUCCCUGGUGUUGUUAAGUCUUAGCUUGUGCUAGGCUCGUUUUUCUUACCAAAAGAAAAGGAAUACUUCUCCUAUAAGAAAUAAUCUCUAUAUAUAGGGUGGUUGGAUUCACUUGUUUACAUAACAGAUCAAUUAGUUCUCUGUAAAUAGAGAGUUUCAAGUAUGAAAGAAACGGUAGGUCUAUUGAGAGAUUAUGUGUUAUUAGGAUUUUGGUUGUGAAGAAAAGUACUAGAGUGAUUGUGUUAAUUUUCUACGUAGUUGAUUUUUCUAUCGUCAUCUUUGUGGCUGUGAUUUUUCUUUCAUAUAGAAGUUUCCCACGUAAAUUGUUAUGUUAUGUGAUUAGUUUUGAUAUUUUAUUUGUAAGAUGUUGGAUGGGAUUAAAAGUUCAUAUUACUGCUAGAUGAUAUAUGGGAGCGGGUUGAUUUAGUAAAAAUGGGUGUCCCUCUUCCUAGAUCAGAAAACAACACAUCUAAAGUGAUAUUUACAAACCCGUUCUAAGGAAGUUUGCAGCUUAAUGGAAGCUCGUAGGAGUUUUAAAGUGGCGUGCUUAUCAAAUAAAGAUGCUUAGGAAUUGUUUCGAUACAAAGUUGGGGAAGAAACUUUGAACAAUCAUCCUGAUAUCCUUGAGCAAGCACAAUAGUUGUUAAGGAGUGUGGUGGUUUGCCACUUGCACUUUUUACCAUCGGCCGAUCUAUGGUGUGCAAGAAGACAUAGCCGAAGAAUGGAGAUAUGCUAUUCAAGUGUUCACUUCGUCCGCUUCCCAUUUCCAGGUCUGGAAGAAGGGAUAUAUACUCUUGUAAAUUCAGUUAUGAUAGUUUACCCAAUGACACAAUUACACCUUGUAUGUUAUAUUGUAGUUUAUAUCCAGAAGAUUGUUGCAUUUCUAAAGAGAAUUUCGUAUAUUGUUAGAUUAGUGAAGGAUUUUUGAAUGAAAGUGAUUGGUUUGGAGAAAAAAAUCAAGGAUAUUUCAUUUUGGGCAUUCUUCUUCAUGGUUUUUUUUUUUUUGGAAAAGGGAGGAGAUUGUGAAGUGAAAAAUGCAUGCAUGACGUUAUUCGUGAUAUGGCUUUGUGGAUCGCAUGCGACCAUGAGAAGGAGAAGGAGAACUUUUUGGUUUAAGCUAGUGUUGGUUUAACUAAGGUACCAGAUAUUAGAGAUUGGGAAAAGGUGAGGAGAUUGUCAUUGAUGAAAAAUAAAAUUGAGAAUCUAACUGAGGCUCAUACAUGCCCUCAUCUCCUCACUUUCUUUCUUGAUGAUAAUGAGUUUCGAAAGAUCCCCGAUGACUUCUUCCAGUUUAUGCCUUCUCUCACUGUUUUAAACUUGUCACAUAUUAAACUAAAGUCAGUUCCUUUAGGGACUUCAAGGUUGGUUCCACUACAACAACUCGAUCAUUCAUAUUCAAGCAUAAAAGAGUUGCAAGAAGAGUUAAAUGCCUUGAUUAAAGUUAAAUGCUUGAAUAUAGAUCAUGUAGAAGAGCUAAUUACAAUUCCACAACAACGAAUAUUUAAUUUUUAAGGUUAUAUGUGUUGAGAAUGUUCGAUACUAUUAGUUUAAAUUUUCAAGAAGCAUUAAAUAAAGACAGUAUUUUAUUUGGUGGGAGUUAAAGAAACAGAAAAUAAGUGUUUGGCUAAUAAAAAAAUAAAAUGAGAUCUGGAAACUUUUAAUCCUUUUAUUUUCUCAAGCUUAAGUUGCUACUGAACGAUUACAAACAUAUAUAUACAAGUGUAGCUGCUCAGCUGAAGAUUACUAAACUAACUAACUGAUUACAAAUUGAUUAACAAACGCAUCACGUGUAUGAGUACAAGCAGCUACAUAACCACCUGGUGCCAGCUGGCAGUACAUGUCAUCAACUUGUAACUGAUUAUAGAAGCUUCUGUGAUCCUCUGCUCUGUGGUCCUCAGCUUGACUACAAAUAUGAGUUUCCUUAAGAUCCCCCCCAAGCUCAAAGGUCUACUAAUGACAUGGAGUUUGGACCUGAAGUAGCUGAAUUUUGGAAGAGAUGAAGCCUUCGUGAGAACAUCAGCAACUUGUUCAUCUGUAAGAAUGUAUCUCACUUCUAAUUGCUUUUGAAGUACCUUAUCUCGGAUGUAAUGGAUGUCCAACUCGAUAUGCUUAGACCUGGAGUGAAACACAUGAUUUUUGGCUAAUUUCCCAGCACUCUGAUUAUCACACCAAAGCACUGGUGUUGGCAGUUUUACAAUGUUGAGCUCAUAAAAUAAAGAUUCCAGCCAAGAGAUUUCUGAACUUGCUGAUGACAGUGCUCUGUACUCAUUUUCAGUGCUGGAUUUUGCCACUAUGGCUUGUUUCUUAGAGGACCAUGAAAUCAAAUCGUUGCCAAGAUAGAUGCAAUAUGCUCCAAUAGACUUUCUAUCAUCUAUAUCACAAGCCCAAUCUACAUCUGAGUACCCAUUCAAACCUGUAACUUCAAGCUCCCCUUCUUUCUGAAUAUAUAUUCUAUAAGUAACAGUUGCUUGAAGAUAUCUAAGUACAUUUUUACAAGCAAGCCAGUGCUGAAGUGUAGGAGCACUUAGAUACUGACUUAGCUUAUGAACUGAGUAUGCAAUAUCAGGCCUGGUGAGUAUCAAGUAUUGGAGCCCUCCAACAAUGCUUCUAUAGAGAGUUGGAUCUUCAAAUUCUUUCCCCAAACAACCCUUUGCUACCUUUUCUAAUUUCUAACUUUGUGCUGAGAGGUGUAUCAGAACCUUUACAGUUCUGCAUUGAAGCUCUACUUAAGAGGUCUUCGAUAUAUUUUGUUUGUGAUAAAUGUAUCCCACUAUCUGUAUAACACACCUCAACACCAAGAAAGUAGGAUACCGAUCCCAAAUCUUUUAAGGCAAAAACCUUACUAAACUUAAUGAUGAAGGUUUCCAACAGGGAAAAAUCUGGUCCUGUAAUGAGAAUAUCGUCCACAUAGAUAAGAACAAGAAUGAUACCUCUUCUGUCAUGUUUGAUGAACAGGGAUGUAUCAGCCUUGGAGUUGAAGGAAUUCUAGCUUGUAAGACACCCUUUGAGUUUGUCAUACCAAGCUCUAGGAACUUGCUUCAAGGCACAAAGAGCUUUGCUAAGUUUACAGACAUAGCCCUCUUUGGUUAUGAAGCCCUCUGGUUGUGUCAUGUAUAUAUCCUCUAAAAUAUCUCAAUUAAGAAAAGAAUUAUUUAUAUUGUAGAAAAUAUGGAAAGAUUAGAUUAGUUGACAUUCCUGAUUUCUAGGAUUAGUUGUCUAAUUUGUCUGAUUUGUACAGCUAUUACUAAUUUGUAUAUUUUCAGAAAUUAGAAAGUUAAAUUUGGAAUAUGUUGUCCUAUAAAUUAACCCUAUUGUACUGGCUGUUAGAGGUACUUAAAAAUAAGAAAAGAUAUUUAUUCUUCUCCUCUGUUAACAUGGUAUCAAAGCUAUGGCAGAAUUAAGCCUAGCUUGACUCCCAUACGGAUCAGUUCAUUGCCUUGUUGUAAUGGCGCAAAACACCAUGCCUGGGGUUACAGUAAUUGGUGAUACUAAUUCCACUGCUACAUCUAUUGGAAUUGGUACAGGGGAGUUUCUUCCGUCGGGAUUUGGAAACUUGAACGGAAGUGAGAGUUUUCCCAUGCAAUUAACCGGUCACAAAUUGAACGGUAAAAACUAUCUAGAAUGGGCGCAAUCCAUUAAGUUGGUGGUCGAUGGCAAGGGUAGACUUGGCUACAUCACCGGUGAGACGAAGGAGCCGGAAAAAACUGAUCCAACAUGGAAGACUUGGAAGUCAGAAAAUUCCCUAGUUAUGUCCUGGUUGAUCAAUUCCAUGGAGGUUUCUAUUGGGAGGACGUAUUUGUUUCUUCCCACCGCAAAUGAUGUAUGGGAUGCAGUCCGAGAAACGUAUUCUGAUCUAAAAAAUUCAUCAUAGAUUUUUGAAUUGAAAACAAGACUAUGGCAGACUAGGCAAGGUGAUCAUGCUGUUUCUGAGUAUUACAACGAGAUGAAGGCUUUAUGGCAGGAGCUUGAUAUCUGCUAUAAAGAUGAUUGGGCCUAUAUGACAGAUAGUGUUCGUUAUUUAAAAAGAAUUGAAGAUGAUCGUGUUUAUGAAUUUUUGGCAGGUUUGAAUAAGAGCCUUGAUGAAGUGAGAGGCCGGAUUCUUGGCAGAAUUCCUUUGCCAUCAAUCCAGGAAGUAUUUUCAGAAGUACGACGAGAGGAAGGUCGACGCAAAGUGAUGUUAGGAGAAAAAACUGUAUCUGCUCCAGAAGUUUCAGCCCUAAUGACAGGGACUAAUCACAAUAAUUCCCCAUACCAAGCACGAUAGAACAAGAAAGGAGAAAAGGUGUGGUGUGAUCACUGCCACAAACCACGUCACACUAGGGAGACUUGCUGGGAUUUACACGAAAAACCUCCUAAUUGGAAGCCACGAAAUUUUAGUCAGUCAAACCGUGACUCAAAGGCCUUCCACUCAACCACUGAGGAGAAUGGAAACACUGCAACUACAACUACGACACCUUCAUUCAGUAAGAAAUAGUUAGAACAACUGUACUUUUUCUGUCCAGAUAAGUGACCAAUCCAGUAUCUUCUUCUUAUUCCUUAGCCCAGAAAGGUACUUAUCAAUUUGCUAUCUUCAAUGUGUCCACUAUUCCUCUUUGUCCAUGGAUAAUAUAUUCAGGUGCCACCGAUUAUAUGACUGGAUGCUCUAAAUUAUUUUCUUUCUAUAGUCCUUGUACAGGCAAUCAAAAAAUUAAGAUUGCUGAUGGCUCCCUCUCGGCAAUUGCUGGGAAAGGGUCAAUUGUUAUAUCUAAUACUCUCGUUCUUCACGAUGUCCUUCAUGUUCCAAAUCUCUCUUGUAAUCUUUUUUCUGUAAGUAAAAUAACUCGUGGUUUAAAGUGUUGUGCUAAAUUUCUUCCAAAUUGUUGUGAAUUUCAGGAACUGGAUACGGGGAGGAUGAUUGGCAAUGCUAGAGAGUAUGGCGGUCUCUAUUACUUUGAUGAUGGGAACUCUAUGUGUCAGCAACAGAAAAUUUUGAAUCUUGGAGCAUGCUUUAGUUCUACUGAUGAUAAAAUAAUGCUAUGGCACCGUAUGUUAGGCUAUCCUAAAUUUUUAUAUUUAAAACAUUUGUUUCCAACCUUAUUUCGUAAUAAACUUUUAUUGUCUUUUCAAUGCGAUAUUUGUCAGUUAGCUAAACACCAUCGUGCAUCUUUUCCUAUUCAACCAUAUAAAGCAUCCAAGCCUUUUACCCUUAUUCAUAGUGAUGUGUGGGGUGCCUCUAGGACAUCCACCAAUUCUGGAAAAAGAUGGUUUAUAACAUUUAUUGAUGACCAUACACGCCUAAGUUGGGUCUAUCUACUCAAAGAAAAAUCUGAAGCAGAACAUGUUUUUAAAAACUUUUAUAAUAUAGUUGAAACACAAUUUCAAACAAAAAUUCAAGUGUUCCGAAGUGACAAUGGGAAGGAAUACUUUAAUCAAAUAAUGGGGUCAUUUUUCUUAGAAAAAGGAAUUGUUCAUCACAGCUCUUGUAAUGACACUCCUCAACAAAACAUAAUAGCAGAACGGAAAAAUAAGCACCUCCUAGAAGUAGCUAGGUCUUUAAUGUUCACCACUAAAGUUCUUAAAUACUUAUGGGGAAAAGCAAUUCUUACUGCUACAUAUCUUAUUAAUAGGAUGCCAUCAAGAGUUUUGAACUUUCAGCCACCAUUGACAGUUUUUAAAAAAUUCUUUCCAAUGACACGUUUGACUUCAGAUUUACCUUUAAAGGUCUUUGGAUGUGUUGCCUUUGUACAUAUACACAAUCAUAAUAGGGAUAAACUAGAUCCAAGGGCUGUAAAAUGUGUUUUUCUGGGCUAUUCUCCUACUCAGAAAAGGUAUAAAUUUUUUUAUCCUAACAAACAAAAAUAUUUUGUCACGAUGGAUGUUACCUUCUUUGAGUCUCAAAGUUUUUUUAAUCCUCCUCUUCAAGGGGGGAAAGGAAAUGAAGACUCAGUGUUUGAGCUUGACAUGAAUACUAAUGGUGAGGCAAAUAUUGAAACUGAAAUUUUUAAUCCUAAUACCUUGAAUAAGGAGGAUAUGAGGAUUACCUUAGUGCCUGAACAUAAAACUGACACUACGAUAAUAGACGAGACAUGCUUCAAUGAUGAGAGAUUGUUCGGGAAAACUUACACUAGGGAGAAACGGAUUCAAAGUAAGAAAAAUGCAGCGAUACUUCCUCAACGCCAUGAAUCUGAUCCAAUUCCAGAUUCGAAAAACAUUGAUUCUGAAAAUCCAGGUACAAUCUCUAAAUUUAUAGAGUAUGAGUCUUUAUCUAUCCCACAAGUACAUUCUGACCCUCUAGAUCUUCCCAUUGCUCUUAGGAAAAGAAAUAGAUCAUGUACUCAACAUCCCCUUUUCAAUUUUGUGUCUUAUAAGAACCUGCCAUUAUUUUAUCAUACUUUUGUCUCACAAUUUUCAAGUGUGGAUAUACCUAAGUCUAUACAGGAAGCGCUAAAGGUUCCUAAAUGGAAGAAGGUUGUUCGUGAAGAAAUGGAGGCUCUAGAAAAAAAACAGAACGUGGGAGAUGGUUUUACUUGCCUGAAGGAAAAUUGAUUAUUGGUUGCAAGUGGAUUUUCACUGUGAAAUACAACUCAGAUGGAUCCUUGGAACGCUAUAAAGCAAGGUUAGUAGCAAAAGGAUUCACACAGACCUACGGAGUUGAUGAUCAAGAGACAUUUGCUCCCGUAGCCAAACUAAAUACCAUUCGAAUACUACUCUCUGUAGCUGUUAAUUUGGAGUGGCCAUUGUUUCAAUUGGAUGUUAAAAAUGCGUUCCUCAAUGGAGAAUUGGAAGAGGAAGUAUAUAUGGGUGCACCCCCUGGUUUUGAAGACAAGUUUGGAGGAAAGGUGUGUAAAUUGAAGAAAUCCUUUUAUGGACUGAAGCAGUCUCCUCGUGCUUGGUUCGAGAGAUUUACUAGGUUUGUUAAAAAAGAAGGAUAUAGUCAAGGACAAUCUGAUCAUAUAAUGUUCGUGAAACACACAGAUGGUGGAAAGAUGGUUGUCCUAAUUGUAUGCGUAGACGACAUAAUACUUACUGGAAGCGAUAAUGAUGAAAUGAAUAAGCUGAAGAAGCACCUGGCAUCGGAAUUUGAAAUUAAGGAUUUGGGUCCCUUACGCUAUUUCCUGGGUAUGGAAGUUGCAAGAUCUAGAAUGGGAAUUUCUCUGUCACAAAGAAAGUAUGUUUUGGACUUGCUAGAGGAGACAUGAAUGAGUGGUUGCAGACCAAGUGAUAACCCCGUGGAUCCUAAUCAGAAGUUAGGAGAGGUUUCCGAUGGAGUUCGAGUUAAUAAAGGUAGAUAUCAACGUCUCGUAGGGAAACUCAUUUAUUUAUCUCACACAAGACCUGAUAUUGCCUUUGCCGUUAGUGCUGUAAGUCAAUAUAUGCACUCACCCUAUGUGGAACAUUUGGAGGCAGUUCACAAGAUUCUCAGGUACUUAAAGAGGACACCUGGAAGAAGGUUAUUAUUUAAGAAGAGUGAUCAAAAGAGUGUAGAAGUCUUCACAGAUGCAGACUAGGCAGGCUCAAUUUCAGAUAGAAGAUCAACAUCUGGUUACUGUACAUUCUUAUGGGGAAAUUUAAUUACUUGGCGAAGCAAAAAACAAAACGCGGUUGCCAGGAGUAGUACUGAAGCUAAGUUUAGUGCCAUGGCAAAUGGAGUUUACAAGGUAUUAUGGAUUAAAAGAGUCCUUGGAGAACUGAAAUUAGAUAUUGAAGCACCUAUGAGACUGUUCUGUGAUAAUAAAUCAGCAAUAAGCAUUGCAAAUAAUCUUGUUCAGCAUGAUCGUACAAAGCACAUUGAGAUUGAUAGACAUUUUAUUAAACAAAAGCUGGAGAAUGGAGUUAUAUGUAUGCCAUUCAUCCAUUCAGAGUAAUAAACAGCAGAUGUUCUUACCAAGGGACACUUCAGGCCAAAGUUUGAAUCUUUCAUUGACAAGUUGGGCAUGAUUAAUAUCUAUGCACCAACUUAAGGGGGUGUAGAAAAUAUGGAAAGAUUAGAUUAGUUGACAUUCCUGAUUUCUAAGAUUAGUUGUCUAAUUUGUCUGAUUUGUACAACUAUUACUACUUUGUAUAUUUUCAGAAAUUAGGAAGUUAAAUUAGGAAUGUGUAGUCCUAUAAAUUAACCCUAUUGUACUGGCUGUUAGAGGUACUUAAAAAUAAGAAAAGAUAUAUAUUCUUCUCCUUUGUUAACAUAUAUCAAUUUGCCUGACUUUCCAACACUUCAUCACUGCCAAACUCAGUAUAGUUCUAAUUGUAAAAGACUUUACCACAGGACUGAAAGUUUCCUUAUAAUCCACUCCUGCUGUCUGGUGAAAGCCCUUGGCCACCAAUCUUGCUUUGUGUUUAGAAACUGUACCAUUUGUAUUGUACUUGGUUCUAAAAACCUAUUUACAUCCAACCAACUUGUGCUAAGAUGUCACAGGUACUAGAGUCCAUGUGUUAUUGUUGGUUAGAGCAUCAAAUUCUAAUUGCAUUGCAGCUUUCCACUUAGGAUCAGAUAAAGCUUCAUCAACAGUGGAUGGUUCCAGGCUGUUAUGUGAUGUUAAGAAUGCUUUAGGCUUGAAUAUACCAGCUUUUACUCUGGUAAUCAUAGGAUGAUUUGGCAGAGAAUGUUGGGAUGGUUGUGUGGAUUGAGUAUGAGAUGAUGAUGGCUGUUGUGUAUGUGAAGCAUCUAUGAUAGAGGGUUGAAAAUGUAUUUGAGAAGGUGAAACAACAAAGGUUGUAUUGUGAUUGUCAGAUGAGGAGUGAUCACUGAAAUGAUGAGAUUGAGCUUUAUCUUCUGCAGAGCCAGCUUCAAAGGUUUCUUGAUUGCUAUUGGGAAGUGAAAUAGUAUAAGAUUGAAGAAGACUGUAAUGAAAAUCAGAGAGUUUAGAUGGUGAAGUUAAAAAUUGUGAAUUUGAUGUGUAAGGAAAAGAGGUUUCAUCAAAUAAAACAUGACUGGGUAUAAAAUUCUUUCCAGAAGAAUGAAUACACUUGUAACCAUUGUGUAAAGGGCUGUAACCAAGAAAUACACAUUUUGAGGUAUGAAAAUGGAAUUUGUGAGUAUUAUAAUCCCUUAGGAAUGGAAAACAUGAACAACCAAAGACCUUGAGAAAUUUGUAAUCAGGUUUGGUUUUGAAAACACAUUCAUAAGGUGACUGCAUAGAUAGUAUGGGUGUGGGAAGUCUAUUGAUAAUAUAGGUGGCUGUAUGGAAGGAAUCCCACCAAAAUUUUAUAGGUAAAGUGGCUUGAGCAAGUAAGGUGAGACCUAGCUUGGUUAUGUGUCUAUGUUUUCUCUCAAUUAAGCCAUUCUGAUUGUGAGUAUAGGGACAUGAGUUCCUAAAUUGAAUACCUUCCUCAUGAAGAAAAUUAACAAAUGAUCUAUACUCUCCACCCCAAUCUGAUUGAAUACACUUGAUGGAUCUAUCUAGCUGUUUCUAAAUUUGCUUUUUAAAGAUUUUAAAAACAACUAGUGUUUCAUCCUUGGUUUUUAAUGGGAAUAUCCAUGUGAACCUCGAAAAAUCAUCCACAAAACUCACAUAGUAUCUGUAACCUUGAACUGAAAGCACAGGGGCAGGUCCCCAUAAAUCAGUGUGCAAAACCUUUAAUACAUGCUUUGUUUUGGUAGUAGAAACUGGAAAAUGUAAUCUAUGCAUUUUUCUCAUUUUACAUGCAUCACAUGAAUCAAGAAAUUUACUUCCAUUUAAAUUCUUGAAAGCUGAACAAGAGUUUAUUACAUGACUUAAAACUUUGGAAUUAGGAUGACCAAGUUUCUGAUGCAAUACAGAAACACUCAGCAUAUAAUUUGGACUGAUACAAGGUUCUGCUGCAGUAUGCAAGCAGGUGCUUGUUUGAUUAUUGACAACUGAUUGAACAACUGAAAACAUAAACAGGGGAACAUCUGGAAUUUUGGAUUGAGUGGCGUCAAGAGACCUUUGAAAUGAUUGAGAAGAGACUUUAUUAGAGGGAAACAAUAGCAAUCUGUAUAAACCUUUUUCAGCUUUGCCCUGCAGUAUGAUCAAAUUCCUUACCUUGUCCUUCACAUAAUAGGAUUGAUCAGUAAAUUCAAUAACAAUAUUGUUAUCUUUGGUUAGCUGAGAUAUGCUAAUAAGGUUCUUGGAUAUUUGUGGAACAAAUAGCAUGUUGUUUAAUUUGAGUGUGUUAUGAUCAGAAGAGUUAUGCAUUCUUAACACAGCAUUUCCAACAUGUGUUAUGUGCAAACCAGUACCAUUUCCAAUUAUGAGUUUAGAGUUACCUGCAAAAGGUUCUGUCAUAGUCGUAUUUCUCAUGUCAUUGGUAAGAUGGUGUGUAGCUCCACUAUCCAGAUACCAGUUGACAUCAGCUGCACCAUCCAUAUCAGCUAGAUAUGCAGCUUUGGGAUUUCUAUUUGGAGGAGGUCUGUAAGCACCAGAGGUAAAGAAUUCUUCAAGUUUCUAGCAGACAUUUGCAGUAUGACCAGUUUUGAAGCAGUUUUAGAAGCAUUCCACUGAGGUUUAGGAUUCAUUUGGGGCCUAAUAGAGUUAUUGUUACCACCCCCACCAUUGUUCCAAUUUCCUGAGCCUAAUCCCCUUUGAUUAUCACUUUGAAAUCCUCUGAACUGGUUAUUUGAAUUAUUUCCAGAACCAUUUCCAAUGAAACCAGAUCUUCCAUAGCCACCUCUGUAAUUAUUUCCAAAAUUUCCAGCAUUAUCUAAACCAGAAAAAUAGUUAUGAUUUCCAGAUCCUCUACCACCUGAGAAGUUUCCUUUCUUAAAACCUCUGUUCUAAGCUAAAUUAGCUUCAAAAUUAUGCUUAACAUCCAUUCCAGAAAGCAUAUGUGCUUGUUGCUCAAUUCUAGCCUCUUAAGUCAACAACAUAGCAUAAGCCUCAUUCAAAUUCAUUUUAUCACCACUUAUUUGACCAGUAAUAUAAGUAGCAACAACAUUAUAAUCUGGUCCUAGUCCUGAGAGUACAUGCAAAAUUAAAUCAUCACUGCUUAAGGCACUUCCUGCCGCAACCAUGUUAUCAACAAUAUUCUUCAUUUUAAUGAAAUACUCAUUGAUUUUCAAAUCAUCUUUCCUAGUUGAAUUUAUCAAAUAUCUCAAAUGUAAGAGUCUGGAUUUUGAUUGUGAUCCAAAUUGGGUUUCAAUAGCUUUCCAUACCUCAAGAGAAGUUUCCAGAUUAAACACCAGGCUUAUAAUACCUUCACUCAUCGAUGAUAGCAACCAGCCAAGGAGUACUUGAUCUUGUGCUUUCCAGCUUGACAAAUCUGGAUUCUCAAUAGAUCUAAGUUCAUCGUCAAUCCUCUGAGCAAUAUGAGAUGGAGGAGGAGUGACAGUUUCAUCAAUGAAUUUUUCUAACCUAUUGCCGCAUAUGGAAGCUAAAACUUGGGACCUCCAGAUCAGAUAGUUUGCCUGAUCCAGUUUCACAGGAGUAUUGAAAGUGAAUGAGAAGUUUGUUGAGUUUGCAUGAACAUUUGAAGUGUGGUUUGAUGAGGCAAUAUUCAGAGACGCCAUGACUAGCUCUGAUACCAAGUUAAAGAAACAGAAAAUAAGUGUUUGGCUAAUAAGAAAAUAAAAUGAGAUUUGGCAACUUUUAAUCCUUUUAUUUUCUCAAGCUUAAGUUGCUACUGAACGAUUACAAGCAUAUAUAUACAAGUGUAGCUGCUCAGCUGAAGAUUACCAAAUUAACUAACUAAUUACAAAUUGAUUAACAAACUCAUCACGUGUAUAAGUACAAGCAGCUACAUAACCACCUGGUGCCAACUAGCAGUACAUGUCAUCAACUUGUAACUGAUUAUAGAAGCUUCUGUGAUCCUCUGCUCUGUGAUCCUCUGCUUGACUACAAAUAUGAGCUUCCUUAACAGUGGGGAGGAAGUUUAAGCAGAGGAGUUGCUCGGUUUGGAAUAUUUGGAGGUAUUGAGCUUCACUUGAGAAGUGUUCGUGCUCUCCAAUUUAUUUUGAGCUCACAUAAGCUACGAAGUUGUACUCAAGCGGUGUUCCUCCAAUCCUUCAAUGAUUCGAUAUGGCUUGAUAUUUCACUUUUGGCAGAGUUAAAAGCACCACUACAGAUUUAAGUAUUUUUGGGUGUAGAAAAUUGGAGGACUUGAAGAUGGAAUAUACAGGGGGAGCGAAAAACAAGCGGCAACCUUGUGUUUUCUAAGGCCUACAUACAGUUCACAUAGAGGUUUGUUCUAAAUUGAAGGACUUAACAUUCCUUGUUUUUGCUCCAAAUCUCAAGAACUUGUAAAUACAAAAUUGCCCUGCUGUGGAAGCAAUCAUCGGUGUGGAAGAAUUUGCGGAAGCUCUAGAGGUGGUGGAAAAUCUAAACCCAUUUGCAAAACUCCAGUAUCUUGGACUAGAAAAUCUGCUAAAUGUGGAGAGCAUCUAUUGCAAGCCUCUGCCCUUUCCAUGUUUGAAAAGAAAUGACUGUGGAUGGUUGCCGUUGUCUUAAAAAGCUUCCACUCUACUCCAACAGUGUAAAAGAGUGUACAAUUGUUAUUUCAUCAUUCGGAGAGUUAAUGGUGCAAUGAGAUUUGGCAGUUAACUCUCGUGGGAAGAGCUUGAAUGGGAAGACGAAGCUGCUCGAAUUGCUUUUCAUUCCUGUUUCAAAUCUCUGAUUGGAUUGGAGAUUGCAUUUCGCCUCAGGUUCGUACUUUUCUUGAAUUUUUCUUGUUAACUUCAUUUGUUCAUUUAUCCAUUUUUUUUUAAAGGAAUCAGAAGGGUUAAUAUUUUUGGUUGUGUUAGGUCGACUUCUAAUCACGAGGCAGAAGGAGUUGAGAUGAAGUUUAAUUUUGGUGGAGAAAUUGUUUGAUUUAAAAAAUUUAAAUGAGUUGAUCAUCAUUCUUUAGCAUAUUUGUAUGAACAGGAGUGUGUAAAUAUGCAAACUGUCCAGCUGUAUGUGUGUAACGUAAUAAUUUUGAGGAGUUAAACAUUGAAGAGUAUUGAUGUUUCCAUUGUCAAACCAAAUAUACUUAAUUACUUGAGGAUAAUGAUUACUGCUAAUACAUUUGCAAAGAAAAAACAUGCCUAUUGAAAAACUCAUCUUAUUAGCAACAGCAUUAUAAGUAGUAUCCAAUCAUAGUUUCAUGCAAGAUUUUGAGAUUUUUCAAAUGCUGAUUCCGGGAAUGGAGAUUAAUAGAAAAUGGAGACAGGUUGACUGCAAUGGCUAAUUGCAAGAGGGAAUUUUAGUCGUAAAAACAGACCAACUAGCAAAGCAAAUUCCAAAUCUUGGAAUGAAGUGGCAAAAAAACGAAACAAACAAAUGGCAAGAGGAAGUGACUAUACAAUAAUAACAUCGACUUGCAAUUCAACAUUUAUACAGUUUUACACACCAAGAAAAGAGAAAAUUACAAUAGCAAUUUGGCUACUAGAAGAUGGUCAUUCAUGCUUAUGCCUGUCAUAUGGAUUUGAAACAAGGAGUAAAAGCAUUUAGAGUGGCUUCAUCCUUCCACUGCAGCUCAUUCCACCAGUGUUGCUCUCCCCUAAUAACAAGUUUUCGUUCCUUGGCGCUGUUGUAAUCGAGUGGAAGCUUCUUGAGGUUCGGGCAUCCAGAUACAAACAAUUCCAAGAGAUUUGGAAAGGGCAAUGCAUUCAAACAGAUCUUCUUCAAAUUUCUUAGAACUUGCAACCGAAGAUAUUGGAGUUUCGCAAAAGGUUUUAGCCCUGGAACUUCUUCCACUUUCCAAACACUGAUUAUUUCUUCCAUCUCAUAACAACGUUCUACAUGGACCAUCUUCAGAUUUGGGGCAAAAACAAGCCAUGUCAUCUCCCUCAAUUUACUGCAAUAGUCUAUGGUAACACUUUGAAGGCUGUUGAAACCAUAAAGUUCUCUUGUUGUUUGAACUUCUGCAUAGUCAACCUUUAGCUCUUCCAAACUUGUACAAUACACAAAAUCUAGUUUGUCAAGAUACUUGAGAUCUGCUAUGGACAAAAUAUUCCAUGACCUUGAAUCCUCACAGCGGCGAAGCUCUAAAGCAUAUUUACAACUCUUGUACUGUUGGCAGCUCAAAAGUCUUCGUAGAGCAUAAAAACUUCUUAACGUGACGCUUAAUACAUUUAAAUGUUCCAAAGUAAUCAACUCUACCAAAAUUUCACUACCACCAAAUAGAACGCUAUCUUCUGGUACUGUAUUAGCAGAGCCACAAUCUAGCAUCCUCAACACCUUUAACCCAGAAAAAUUACAAAGCAGUUGCCGUGGAAUCGUAUGGAGAUAACGCAUGUACUCCAAGUUCAAACACUUUAGAUUUUUCAAGGCUUUUAAUUCAUGUGGCAACUCUUUGAUGAAAGUUUCUGAAAGAUUAAGAUAUUGUAGUGAAACCAAUUUUGAAAUUCCUGAAGGCAAUUGACUCAAGGAGCGAUUCUUUGAUAGGUUUAAAACUUUAAGAGAAGGCAUAAAAUCGAAGAAAUCACUAGGGAUAGUAUCUAACAUAUUAAUGCCGAGGAACAAAGUUAUAAGAUGAGGGCAUAUUGGAGUUAUUGGUAAAAUCACAAUUUUAUUUCUCAUCAACGAUAUCCUUCUCUUAUCUUCCCAUUGUUUAACCUCGGGUGGUUCAGUUAAUUCAAUACCGGAAGAAACCAAAAAGUUUUCAUUCUCCACUUCACAGGCUAUCCACAAGGUCAUAUCACGAAUCACAUCAUACAGUUUUACAUAAUCUGAUCCUGCUUCUUCCAAUAGGCAUGCAUGAACAAGAACACCAAUAAUGUAGUAUCCUUGGUUAUGUACUCCGUUAAUUCCUUCAUUUUCCUUCAGAAAACCCUCACCAAUCCAACACCCGAUCAAUUCAAUUUUGCUAAUUUGAUAAUCCUCAGGAAAUAAACCACAGUAUAACAGACAAGAUCUAAGGACGUCACUAGACAAACUAUCAUAACUGAAUUUUAAAAGACGAAACACCUCUUUCUCCAUACUUGGAAAUUCAUAAGCUGAUCUCCUUAACAUCUGAAUUGCAUAGCUCCAUUCUUCGGGUGUCUUCUUGCUGCUCAUGGCACGACCGGUGGUAAUAAGUGCAAGUGGCAAACCACUAGACUCCUUUGCCACAGUUUGGGCUAACUCCGGAAUAUCGGGAUGACUUUCAAGAGUCUCUUCUCCGACCUUCUUUAGGAACAAUUCCCAAGCAUCUUGAUCUGCCAAACACUCCACCUUGAACUUUUUUUGAGCUUCCAUGAGGCCACAGACGUCCACAAGACGAGUCGUAAAGACUAUCUUUGAUGCAUUUCUUGAACUCGCAGGAAAAGGGACACCCACUUUGGCUAAAUCAAUUCUUUCCCACAUAUCAUCUAACAAUAGCAGAAAUUUCAUUUUGCUCAAUAAAUUGAAUAUGCCUGAUGCUUUCUCUUCAAAGCUUCUAUUCUGAAGCCAUCCUAUUCUUUCUCCGAUUUUCUGUUGAAUUCUCUCAAGCUGCAUGCCUUUUGACACCACCACCCAAAUCACAAUAUCAAAAUAAUUUGGUGUUUUAAGGAACUUGUUGUUGAUUUGGGUUAAUAGUGUAGUCUUGCCGACUCCCCCCAUGCCAUAAAGUCCGAUGAUUCCAAAUUGUCCUUCUACAAGACAUCUCCAAACUUUAUCAAAUGAUGAUUCUAGGCCGAUUAUUGUUGGCUGAAGAGGCCUUUCAUCCACUGCUGGUUGUGGUACCUUUUCAGCUACCACUGCAAAAGCUCCAUCAUCUAUUAAAGUAGCCACAAGCUGCAGCUUUUUAGACACCUUUUUCCCAAACUUGUAGCUUGACUUGCAGUUCUUGGAGCAGUAGCCUCCAAGACAUAGUUUUUCAAUUUCUUGAGAGCUGUCCCUUGUCAAUUCACCUACUUCAGCUUCCACAGCCUCCACCCUUGAAAGCCAACCUUGCACUCUGUUCAGCCGUCUUAGUUGUUGUUGCUCAGCAUUAGAGACCCUCAUCAUCACAUCGUUCUUUGUUUCAAUUAGUUUCUGCAAUUCGGUCUGGACGGCAACCAGGUUAUUUUCAAGCUGGCUUAGAUAUGCUGCUUUUCUGCGGGUACAAUUUAUGAAGCCAGUGGAAAGGGCAUCACAUGUAAGUUGGAUUCCCAAAAUAUUACCCAUAGUUUGUAUGAGAUUCAGAGUACAAUAGAAGGAAUGCAACACAGUAUGUAUUCGGUUGUGGUGUCUAUGAUUUUACAGUCGCAGAAGCUUUUUCACCUUGUGAGGGCUGAUCAGGUGGGCACCAUCACUCUCUUUACGCUUUAUAGAGAGCGAUAGUCCAUGUGGUCAGAUCUCAUUCAGAUAACUAGCCAAGUGGGCAAUCGCUCCACCUUAUCAAAAUUCUUCAUCUUAUAAUAAUAUCAUGAGUAGGCCUUGAAUUUUUCUUUUAAUUUUAACAUUUAAAAGGUAGAGGUGAAAAAGUCUAAAUAGUAUUUUUGUCCUCGUACUUUAACUAAAUAACAUUUCUUGAAAAUCACUCAAUCUUAAAAUUUAAUUAAGAAGAUAUUAUAGAUUUAUAAGCCCUUAAAAUUUAUUUGCAAGUAACAAUUAGAGAAAAGUCGUCAGGCCCAAAAGACUUACUAAAAGUCGUCAACUCGUCAUGACCAAAAUUCUUCCGCGUGUGAAAUACGGCAUGCGCAGAUGCAUUAAAAACAAAGGCCAGCUAUGAUAAUCUUUGUAGUAUUAAUAAUUUCAGACGCGUCGUUCGUUGCCUGUGACUUUUCAUAUGCAAAAGCGGAGUCAGUGUUACUUGCAUUCCCUGUCACCUUAUUAAUAAUUUCAGACACCAUCGUUGGUUGCCUGUGAUUUUCAUAUGCAAAAGCACAGUCAGAAUUACAAUUUUACAUUUGGAAUUGAGUGCCAUCUAUUUAUUCUAGCUGGAUCUAAAAUGAUAUUGCAGUAUUGCACUGACUUUUUAGUCACAGCGUUUCUCUAUGAAUUCCUUAAAGUUUAAACACAUCAUGGAAUAAUUAUUUUCUUAAAGACCAAAUUAACAUAAUUCUUAAAUCAUUUAUAAAACAACAUUUAUCAUAUAACAGAUCGUACAUGAAUAAAUUUACCUUGAACCGUAGCAAACAAACAAGAAUCUCAACCACAUCAAUAUCAUAACCCCUUCUGACCUUAACAAUAAUUUUAUUCGUCCUUAAUUCAUAGGUAUAAGUAUCCCAAUAUAUACUUGAUGUCAACCUUUACAAUUCUUUACAGAAUUGCAGCAGACCAAAUUUGUAUGCAAAACUGAAAUCAUACAGUAAUUGAAUACAGUGAAAAUAGACAUGAUGGGAAUUAGUAUAUAUAAAUAUCUUAAUAAUUUAAAAGUUUCUUAAACUGAUUUUACAUAUCUGAAAAAUUAUAGAAAUCGGAACUGCUGCAGAAAUCAUAAUUUUCCAGCGAAUGUGUUACAACUUCAGAAACUCAUAAGAAAUUAAAUUCUUGGGAUCACAAAAUAAUUCAAUAGAAAGCUUAAGAUGUCUAGUUCAUAAAAUCUGAUUUUUUUUUUUAAUAAGAUCUUUGGAAUUUAAGAGAUUCAGCAGUACUUUUAUUACAUCAAUUCUUCAAACAAUCACCAAUCUAACAUUCAUCAAAAUUAAGUCAUAAAAAUCAUGUGGUUUAUAAAAAAGAAUUACCUGAAAAAGAUUAGCCUUCCCCUUUCAAAAGCAACGUGAAACUCCAAAAACUCUUCUUCCAUUACCUAUUCAAACAUGAAAAAAAAAAAAAAAAAAAUUGGUAUCUCCUCUUUAAACGCGUGAUGAGUGUGCUCUGUUUUCUCUGUUCUUCUUUUUCUUUUUUAGAUUUCGAAAACGUAAAGAGUGUUGGAGUCUUUAUUUUCUAAAAACAAGACUUUUCCAUGUAUUCAAUUAAAUUAAAUUAUGUCCUAAUGCUAUGUCAGUUCCAUCAUUAACAUUUUUUUUUUUCCUUUUAACACCAACAUUAGCGUAUCUUAAGUAUCAUAAUCCAUAGUUGGACAAUUUGAAAUCUCUUCGUGUUUUAUCUCAAAGUAGAGCUUCAAACAAUUUGUACCUCACAAAUUUACAAUAUCUAUGAGGGCUAAUAAGACCAAACUCAGGCAUAUUGUCAAAUGUGCUUAUACUUUCGCUUGACAAGUCAUUUUAAAAUUGUCUUUCAAUGCCAAAAAACCACAUAAACUAAUGGUCCACUACUUUAAUUUGAAAGCAUGCAUGCGAUCGCCAAUAAUCAAGGAUGUUAGGGUCAUGCUACAGAGUAUAGAACAUGAUUUGAUGGUAUAGCCUUUUUUCUUUAUAAUUUUUAAGUUUAAUACUGUUACGUAUGUAGCACAUAAGUUGGAAAACAUAACAUAAAAUUUGAAAAAUGUGUAGUUUUCGUUCCCUUUUUUCCCCUCUAAAAAUGGGAAAAAAGAACGUAAUUUUGAUUUAUUUAAAUUACUGUUGUGAUAACAAUUUUUAUUUUAUUGAUUAGUUACCCAUACAUGUGGCAAAUUUUUUAAGAUAAGGUGAAGGAUGAAGCUCAAAUAUAUAAAUUAUAUAAUUAAUUACCCUCUGUAGUAAGUUUAAAGUUUAUUAUUUUUAACUACAUGUUUAUAAUUUAUUUUUAUUAUGUGUUAAUCUAUAGAUCUAAAUUCACUUCGGAACCAUAUACAUAUUUAGACAUAAUGUGCAUGUUAAUCUAUAGAUCUAAAUUCACUUUAGAUCUAUAUGAGUAUUUAGACAUAACGUAUUGCAACCAUAUUGGCAUGUUCUCACUAUAGUAUUGGUGUAUUGAGUAUUGACAUUAUAUCUAAUUGUCCUUAUAAAUCCAAAAAUAAUCUAGAUAUACAAAUUAACAUAAAAUAAAUAUAAUUGGUAGAAAAUGCAAAUUAUAAACAUAUAAUUGAAAAUGAUAAAUUUAAAUUUACUUAAGAAAGUAAUUAAUCACUUAUUUCUUUUUUAUAAUAUGACAAAUAUUAUAAUAAAUAUUAAUUAAUAAUAAUUAGAAUAACAAAUUAAGGAUAUUUUAGUAACUUAAAAUAAUUCAUUUUGAUUUCGAGACAAAAUAAACACAUCAAUCACAAUACAACUCAUUCUGAUUCCACUCAUUCAGAUUUCAACAUAUUUUAAUUAAUUCAAGUGCUCUCCAUUAUAAUUGAAGCCGCUGCCCCACUCGUGAUUCCAAACUUUAUCUUUUUCCUUUUUUAAAUUAAUGCAAGCAGCCGCUGUCCUUUUUAUUAAUUAAUUAAUUAAUUCGGCCUCCCACAUUUCUUUUCCUAAUGUCUUCGGCUUUCGAUUUUCUUUUAUUUUCUCUUUAUUCUUAAAAUAGACUUAUAAUAAUAAAAUAUAAAAAUAUAAAAAAAAUUAACAUAAUCAAAAUAUAAUUUAACAGAAAAUUAAGAUAAAAAAUGUGAAAAUAAUAUAUAAAUUAUGAGCGUAUCAAUCAAUAAAUGAAAAAUAAUAAUUUUUAUUUUUAUUAAAUAUAUAUUUUUCAGUAUGAAUCAGUUAUCUAAAUAACUAAAAUCAGUUAAAAAUAAAUAAAUAAAUUAUUCUUAAAAAAAAAAUUUUAUACCACUCACUAUGCUGGCUGUCAAGGGUAGAAGCUUUGGGGACUGAAGUUGGUAACUUCUACAAGUAGUCUUAAGUUGACUGGCAACAACUACAUUGGCAUGUUCAAAUGUUCUCACUAUUGUAUUGGUGUGUUGAUAUUAUCUCUAACUGCCCUAUAGAUCCAAAAAUAAUCUAAAUUUACAAUUUAACAUAAAAUAAAAUAAUUGGUAGAAAACAAUUAUGGUUCAUUUACUUAUCAGUAAUUAGAAUAAACUAAAAUCAGAAUGAGUUGUAUUGCCGUUAAUGUGUUUAUGUUGUAUCGGAAUGAAUUAUUUUAAGUUACUAAAAUACCCUUGGUUUGUUAUUCUAAUUAUUAUUAUUAUUUAAUAUUUAUUAUAAUAUUUGUCAUAUUAUUAAAAAGAAAUAAUAAUGAUGAUAAUAUUAUCAUUAUUGUUUGUUAUAUUAUUAUUAUUAAAAAAAUUAUUGUUAAUAACAAUAAUAACUUUAUUUCAAUAAUAAAAAUGAUAAAAUUAAUAAUAACAAUCAUGACAACAACAACAAUUAUUUAUUAUGCCAAAAAAUAACAAUAAUAAUAAGAAUAAUAAUCAUCAUCAUUUUUUCCCAAAGAAGCAUUAUCAUCAUCAUUUCAAAAAAAAAAAAAAAUCAUCAUCAUCAUCAUUUUUGUAGUGGCUGCCUAUCGGCUGCUGCUUUCAUGCGAGAUUGACUUGCGACGCUUCAACUGCUAUUAUUUCUGGCAAUGUCAGGUGUUGUUGUUUCAAUGGGGGGAGAAGUUGUUUCGGUGCGCUAACGAUGGGAGGUAAUGACGGUAGGUGUUGCUGCUCAAUGCGAGGUCCAUGGCCAGUUGUCUUGUUUUACAACCAGCUCUUGUAGGAAAUUCUUCAUCCAAAAUAUUUUUUUGUAACCUUCAAUAAUUGUAAUAUCAUUUGCUUCCGUGGUAGAAAAGACAACUCAUUACUAAAGUCUAGAUUGUGAUGAGACUGCUCUCCCUGCAAAAGUGAGCAAAUAUCCUAGUAGGGAUUUUUCAGAAUCAACAUCUCCUGUCAUAUCUACACACUUGUAACACAGGUUUGUCACCACCAAAAUAUAAACAUAUUCUGGAAAUGCCUCUAAGAUAUCUGAGAAUUCAUUUCACUGUUGUCCAGUGCUCUUUGCCAAGAUUGAAGAGAAACCGACUGACUACACUAAUUGCAUAGGCAAUAGCUGGUCUUGUACAAAUCAUGGCAUACACCAAACUGCCAAUUGCUGAAGCAUAAGGAACUCCUCUCACUAAGAAAUGGGUUUUGCUCUUGAGAUUUUUGGGAACAUGAAGAAUAAAGAUGUAAUUUCUUGGACUACCAUUGUUUCGGGGUAUAUAAAUAGAGGACAAGUCGAUAUAGCUCGACAGUAUUUUGCUCAGAUGCCAGAACGAGAUUAUGUCUUAUGGACUGCCAUGAUUGAUGGGUACCUUCAAGUGAAUAGGUUCAGAGAGGCUUUGACACUUUUCCGGGAGAUGCAAACUUCAAAUAUAAGGCGAGACGAGUUUACCAUUGUUAGGAUUCUUACAGCUUGUGCGAAUCUGGGGGCACUAGAACCGGGAGAAUGGAUAAAGACUUAAAUUGACAAAAACAAGGUCAAGAAUGAUAUAUUUGUGGGGAAUGCUUUGAUAGACAUGUACUGUAAAUGCGGAGAUGUUGAGAAAGCUCAAAGGGUAUUCAGGAAGAUGCUUCGAAAGGACAAAUUCACAUGGACGGCCAUGAUUGUUGGCCUUGCCAUCAGUGGCCAUGGUGAUAAAGCUCUUGAUAUGUUUUCCCAAAUGCUUAGGGCUUCGAUUAGACCAGAUGAGGUAACUUAUGUUGGUGUUCUGUCUGCCUGUACUCACAAUGGUAACGAAAUUUUUUUGAUAAAUAGUUGCAACUUAAGGUGAGAAUUGGAGGAAACGAAAUAGACUGAAGUUGUUCAAUCAUCGGUGGUUGCUAUUUGAUUUUAAGUUGUUCAAUCAUCGGUCGUCUCUAUUUGGUUUUCUCCAAUAUCUCAUCUCCAGUUUUGACUCAGAUUCUGUCUUACCACUAGUAAUUACAUAGACUUGCUGCCAAAGGUAAGAAUGGUAAUAAAUUAAAUAGAUUAUGUCGAUAACGAAAUAGAUUUACUAUUGCUAUGUGCAUUAUAUUUGGUUCCUGCAAAAUAUUUUCUCCUGCCUAAAAUUUUUUGAAUCAGUAAGUUUUUACCUUACGCAAGAAUUGUGCUAAGAGUAAUUCCAGUCUCUCUAUGUUUCAAUGAAGACGUAAAACUUGUGUUUUAGAGCACCAAUGUUAUGCUUCUUACAAUUGGAUUUUAAUUUACUUCGUAAAACUUUUGUCAAGAAGUACUAAGCGUGUAUUUGAAAUUGAGGUACUGUAGUUUUUAAGCUACAACUGCUGUGGAAAAAAAAUUGUAAUUAUGAAAUAAAAAUUAAUAAUAUAUAGUAAAUAUAAAUUUUAAAUAAUAGUUUUGAUAAAAUUAUUAAAGAUAUAAUAGUUUUUUUUAUUAUACAAGUGAAAAAUUAUAUAAACAUAGUUUUCAAGUUACAGCAGUUAGUGUUUACCAAACACUUUAGUGCUGUACUUUUUAAGUUGCAGCUGCCCAACAUCAAUCUCAAACGCACCUUAAGGAGUAGUGCGCCAAACACCAACUUUAUUACAGAGAGGACUUUGGUUAAACUUUAAGAAAAACACUCAAAGGAAGAGUUAUAAAUUAUUAUAGAAAUAUUUCACAUAAAUAAAAGCCAUUCCACAAUGCGAAGAUCUUGCUAUCAUCACCAGAAACCAUCGGGAGCUUUCAGGGUUUCCAUGAAAACGCCAUUUCAUUCCAAGAGUCAAUGGUGGGUAGAAAGUGGUGCAAACGAUACUCAUUGUUAAUGCUAUAAGUUUUUGCUAAAUUAUGUCUUACCCAAAAUGAUGAUUUAAUUUCCAUUCUCAAUUAAUUUUCAAGUUUCAACACUUUUCUUUGUAGCAUGACAUUGGAAAGGUCUUGUACUACUAAAAGCUAGCACCACACGUUAAUUAUUGUUAAGUUCUUUUUCAACGUGAAAUAAAGGAAGUAGUCCUUCGUUAAAACCAUUAUAGCCAAAUUUCAUGUAAUUGGACACUUACAGACUUUCAUUUCAAGCUGGAAUUUGGUCCAACGUUUCAAAGUUGACCCAACUAAUUGUCUGAUCAAGUCCUACACAGCUAAGACCCUCAAUGAAUGAGGGUGAGACUGCUAAAAAUUACGACAGUUGAUAUUAUUAUUAUUAUUAUUAUUUUGGGAUAAAUCCUCACCAAGGUGAGUGAGGAGAUUUUAUCAAAAUAAAAUAAAAAUAUAACAAGAAAACUAGCUAAAUUAAAAUAUUACAAAAGCUAGAUGAACUGAAAGGCAGCCUAAAAACAACCUUAUGGAAAAGAGAAGCAACAUGCUAGUAUUCCAAGCUUCUUGUUAUAAAAGUGUAGAAUGAAGUAGGUGACGUAGUUUUAAGUUACACCUCCAUGCCCAAUCACAAUAUCAAAUAAUGCUUAAAGUAGUUAUAUUAACUCUUAAAUUUAUAAAUAAUUAAAUUUGUAAAAGUAUGGAUUUAUAUUAAAAAAUUUAUAUAUAAAUAAAUAAUAUAUGCAUUUUUACAACAUAGUCUUUAAAUUUAAACUUUUCUAGAAAAAUCUUCUGGAUAUCUUUUCUAUUAAAAAAGAGUUUCUCAAAAUUUAUAAAAGUAACUUAAAGUUUUGUCUUCCCUUUUCUUUUAGCUUAUACAUAUGUGUGUGUAUUCUUUUAUAGCAAUAACUAACGUUAUUUAUUUUUAAAUCAUAAAAAAAUUAUGAAAAAAAAAUGUACCAAAUUUAAUUGGACCCAGCACAAUGCACAUGCAUAGAACACAUUCUGAAAAGCCAUGCUAUUCGGAAAUUGACGAAUGGAAAGUGAAGAGGCAGCAGUCAAUGCUAUUUCGGCUUGGCCCAAAAUUUCACCAGUUUGUUAAUCAGUGUUCUGCAGCUCUUGCUGCUUUCCUAGAGAUUCUGCAUGUUUUGCAAUCUGAUAGAAUUAAAAAAAAAAAAAAAUUAGUGGCCAUUUGGAAUGGAGGAGAGAUUUGUGUGAAUGGUAUAGGUGAAAAAUUGGAUGAAAAUAAACAGGCAACCGUCCGUAUAAAACAACAAUAACAAUAUACAAAAAGAUAAGUAAUUCACGAAAGGAAAUUUACGGUUGUUUCUGAAAAACAUACAUAUUAAUUUCACUUAUACUCUAAGAUUUGCCAUCAUGACUGGGCUUGUGAGGAAUUUGGAAACAUGUAUGAUGUAGAAAUGCUGAAGUAGCUUGAACCAGAUGGUGAAAUCGUCUAGCGGUCAGCGGGACAUGAAGCUAUAGGGGUUGUUAGUUGUGUUUUGGAUAUUUACAGACAUGCUGAGUUUGAGUUUAUAUCUUAACUUAAAAUUUGUAGUUUUCACUUGAAAAGAUUCAGUUAAAAAUUGAUUGGUAGAAUUGUUAAAAAGUCUAAAUUUUUAGUUCAAACCUAUUGCAUAUUUAAGAACAUCUCAAAUGAAUUGUUUAUUGCUAUCGUCAUCAUCAUUGCCCGUAUAAUUAUUAUUAUGUCUUUAUAAUUAUUAGUAUCGCUGUUAUUAUUUUUAUGGGUAAAUGGGCUUUCUAUCCUGGCAAUUUAAGCCAAUUACCUAACUAAUCCAUGUAAGUUUAAAAAUGUUUCAAAAGAUCUUUAUUUUAUAUAUGUUUCCACUAAAAUUUAUUUAAUUAUUCUUUAUUUUUCAAUUAUUGCAUGUUGGAUUUUUUUGAGUUCUAAGCUAUAUCAAUAGAAAUGUUAUCUUAUAUAUCCACAAAAAGUUAGAUCCAACAAUUAUGAAAAUUACUAUAGAGCUGCUUUGAAUAAUUUUUAAAAAAUACCACAAGUAAAUAAUAAUUAGUUUAAAUAGUGGAGACUAAAAAGCAUUCACCCUUAUUUUUUAUCUGUUAUUUGUAUUUUUUCCCGUUAAUGCACAUGUUAUACAUUUGAAACAUUCCGUUAAUUGCCAAUUAUGUAAGCGAGAUAGUAAUUUAAAUUUUUUUUUAAAAAAGUGAAAAUUAAUCCUAUGCAAUGUGAAUAAAUUUCUUUCCUUUUUCCUUCACUCUUUUUAUUUGAUAAUUAAGUUUCAAUCUAUGUACGCAAAAUUUCUGCAACAGGUGCAAAACAUAAAAAUAUAUGAUUGUUAAGGGAAACACGCGGAAGCUCAUCAUUUCAAUGUUCAGUAUUUCCAAUUUUGGCAUACGAAUAUAUUUCACUUAGAAAGCCAAAUAUUAGAUUUGUGAUUUUAAUUCAUUCAUCAUAUCUCAUUUCAAUCCCAAAAUAUUCAAGAGGAUCCAAGUUACCAUAAGACUUCAGAGGCUCGAGCCUUAGCCAGAGACGGUUAAUUGAUAGACUAUGUGCCCGGGUCGAGCACUGGAAGCGUGCAAUGCAGACUGAUUGAUUUAUCAGUUUGAUGUGUGCCAGGAAUGAAGAACUGGAAUAUCACCGUCAAGCAAGCACCCAGUGAAGCAAUACCAUAGAAUGCACAAUCCGGCCUUGCUAGGUGACACUGGGGGCUUUUUGAAAAGUGCUUCAUGCUCACUUGCACAGAUUGAGCAUCCCCUCUGGAUAUUGCCCUCUCUGAUCGAGUCAGAGCACUCAAAUUUCGGUCCUCAGAUGGAGCUACAGCUUUCUCUCCAAUAACCAACAAUUUUCUAAACUCAGCACCUAGUGUGAUCAGAGUUGUUGAUAUUUGUAAAUGGAGAUCCCCAUAUUUGCAAAUGGAGACAUUUAACAAAUCACCAACAUGCUUCAUCCGGUCUACGAAAUUCUGCAGCUGAUUCAAAUCCGGAACCUGAACCAGAGUCGGAGGUAAAUCUUGAGCCAUAUCUAAAGCAGUUUGAAGUUCAAGUACUUGAGCCCUCGACAGUGGUUUUGAAAUUGGAACAUCUUGAAUUACUGCAGACUUGUACCCUUUGGUUUCAAAGGUAAGGAAAGGCAUUGCUUGAGUACAAUUUGGAGGCAGCUUCUUCACCAAUUUUAUUUGGAGGCGAUUGGCAGCAGAUCCAGCUGCACCAUUUUCAGAGCAAAUACUGACACUACUUCAAACAGCACGCUGAAGAAGCGCUAUGUCUACGGCAAAGGCAAUGCAGUCCUCAUUUUGGCUUGAGAUGCGGUAAUCAUCGAAGAGAGUUUCCUUAUGAAACUGGGCAACACAUUGAAUCCCUUCACCACUGAGAAGGUUGUGGAGGAAGUACGCUUUCUCUCUAGUGAGGAAGAGGUGGCAUACCUUCCCCAUUUUGUCUAGGGCAGUUAGGAAUCUUUUUUCUAAGAGAUUUACUCCAUUCUCUGUGAGAAAUGCUUUGAACUUCAUCCCUCUGUCUCUAUCCUCACUUAUCAGUAAAACAGUUGAAAGUGAUACAAGGAGAGAAAAGGAGAGUACUAAGAUAUAUAGACAAGAAAAACAUUAGGUGUCGAUCUUACAUGUUAAUACUUCAAACAGUAUCCUAGAAAGCUAAAAACUGCAGAAUGGCUUGAAAUUUGAAAAGAACACAUGCUUUUCCUCCUUAACUUGAGAAAAUGUUUAACAUAGCGCGCCUUACAGAAGCAAGCAAUUAGAACUUUGCACAAAAACAUUCAAGAAGACCAAUAUUUCAACUAUUUUACUGAUGAAAAUCUCAAAGCACAAAUGGCAUUGCAUUUUGUCCUCAACUGUAAUAUUUAUUGAUGAAAAUCAGUACAGGUCCCUCAUUUGUUAUGGAAAGCUUUCUUGCAAAGUGACGGACAUUUCUUUCGAUUUAAAGUCUUUGCAUCACCACUUCAUCACACACCAAGCCAAUAUUCUGUCUACCUCUACAACAAAAAGUUUUAAGUAAACGAUCCUAAUGCACGCAGCCAAAUAAAAUGCAGUAAGAAUAUUCAACUUAAAAAUCUGAAAGUCAACUUGGUGAAUUGCCUUCUUAGGGGAAGUUCCAUGAUUUACUAUACUAGACAGAACUGAGCAAAAGCUUCCAUACGACAGAUUUUGACAAUAAUGAUGCCAACAGAUCCUCAUUAAAUCCAUUAAAACUCCUAAGGUUCAUUGUUCAUGGAUGUUUACAGAGUGAAAAUUAGAUCACCAGCAGCUAAUUGUAAAUUCAAACUUAACUCUUCAUCUCCUUUGUAAACAGGAAACAAAAUGGAGACACGCAAAAUGAAUAAGGAGAACAUUUGAACUCAAAUGAAAUGAGGGCACGAAAGCAAACAAAUGGCAUGCACAAACAAACCAAGCCUCAAUAAAAAACUAAUUAACCAUUAAAAAAAAAAAAAACUGGUCAGAGAAUGAACUCCAAAUUCGGUUCGGGAGUGAAGCAAGAAGCUUUAUUAUUUCAGAAGCUCCUGUACAAAUUAAUAAGUUAUGCUCUUUGGAAACAAACCUAAAUUCCAUGAGAAACAGAACUCAAAAAAUUUGCAAUUAUACGCCAAGGAAGUGAAGCACAGCAUUCUAUCACACGUACGAAUUGUAUAACAAGAGAUCGACACAUCGAAUCAGAAGAACUCAAUUCAAAUUUGUCUCAAAAAUCAAAAUUAGAAGAUUUCACAUUUCGAGAGGAACAAGGGACAGGUCAGAUGCAAAAUUUUCAGCCACAACAUGCCACAAUUAACGGUUUAUUUCCAUGGAUUUAGAGAGCUAACUGACCUUUUGGCUUUUGGAAUUGAGAAGAUCGCGCGCCAAAAUGGAAGAGGGAAAGCGAAAGUGCGGGUUUUAAUAGGGUAUUGGAUUAGCAAAUUUUAUUAGUUUGCGGGGGUAAAAUAGGAAAGAGAUAUCACUAUUAACCUUUUUUUUAUAAGAAAAAAGAAUAAUAAAGAAUAUUUUAUUGUCAUUUGCAGCCUUUAAUUUUUUUUUAAAUGCUAUUAGAAAAAUACGACGACAAAGAAAUGCUAUUUUUUUAUUUUUUUCUUGAAGGUGAAAUCAAUUAUUUAGCUCCUUAUAUGUAAUCAAACUCCAUUUCUUACUUUAAGUCAUAUCCAACGGACCAACAAAAUAAUUAUUUUUUUUUCAUUCAUUUUUGCAGAAAAUUAAUAACUUAAAAAUAUUGAAAGCUAUUGUAAAAUUUUUUAUUAUCAACCUCAUAAUUUAAUUUUUUUGGGGAAGAAUUGAAUUUUUUUUUUUAAUUUCCAAGAAUUUCAUUCUCUAGUUUUUCCAUUAAUAUUACUUAUCUUCAUACCCAUCUUAAUUAAAAUCUGUAGUUUUAUUCAAGAGUCAUGCUAUUCAUUCACUCGGACCAAAGGCUUUCCGCAGCAAUAUUAUUAUUUAAAUUACAACAAAGGGGAAAUCAAAUACGUCAUACAGAGGCUUAAAGCUCAAUCUACAAAAUCUAGAGUUCUCAACUACAUAAAUUACACUUGAUGAUCCUCUACAAGAUGAAUCUUGUUCAAUAUCUCAUCCAAAGCUUAUAAAGUAACCUUGUAACGAUCUUGAGAUUGCCUGCCUUCCUCGACGACCUGCACCAUGCGUUUGUACAAAUCAUCUGUGAUCAAGAACAUAAGAGCGUUUAACAUCUUUUCUCCAUCGAGAAAGAAUGUAGUGAGAUGGGAUCUCCUCCAUACCACUCUGGUUUAGAACACAAAGAAUGUGUCUGCAUAAAUAUCCUCUGAAAUUGAACAACCCACAAACACAAAGCACCUCCAAGUCGGAGGCAUUGUACAAAACAUCGAAAGCCCUUGAAUCUUUCUCGUUGCUACCAACCUCAAAUUCUUCCUUCACUAUGUAUGUUAUAGGUCCAUCAGCACUGACAUGUUUUGUGCUAUAGCAAGAGUACAUAGCCUCCACCUCCAUCUGAAACUUCCUUAACAUUUCAUUUGUGUACAGUUUUGAGAGUUGAAAUUCAUAGGAACAUCUUGGUUUCUGGAUACAACUUGAAUUUCUUGAAUCCAUAUCUGCCAAGGCUUCCAGUUGAUAAUUCGCCUGCAGUGCUUGAUCAUAUUUGUCUAAGUAUUCUUUCAAAGGAGUAUUCUUAUCAAGAUAUCCUUCAAAGUAUGAAGUAGAAACCUCACUCUGCAGGAAUGAAAACACUCCUGAUAAAAAUGUUUCCUUCAAAUAAACAGGAGCCCAACUUUUACGAUCCUCAUAUAAAGUUUGAAUCCAUCCAUGAUCCCUUAUUCCAUGACGUUGAAUCGUGUCCUCCCAAGCUGUCUCAAAUUCCUCAGGCCUAAGAGAGUGACAAAUUGCUCUAUGCAAUGCAGCUCUAAUAGCUUCAUAUUCAAAAUAUCCUUGGAGAUUCUCUGGAAUUUUUUGCAUGACGCAUGACAAUGAAAAACAAUGAUAAGCUCUUGGGAAAACAUCGCCGACAGCAGUUUGCAAGAUCUACAUUGGUCAGUGAUGAUUGUUUGUGGAGAGCGUCCUAACAUACAUGUAAGCCACACCCUAAACAACCAUGUAUAUGAUUCUAUAGUCUCACCGGCAAGUAAACCACAGCCCAACAGCACUGAUUGUCCAUGAUGAUUCACCCCAAUGAACGAAACCAGCGUUGCAUCAUAUCUUUCUGUCAAGCAUGUAGUAUCAAUUGAUUUGAGCUAUUAACAUCAUUUCCAAAUACUCCAUUGGCAUCUACAUUACCAUUUCCCUCGGCAUCAAUGAUAAGAGUUCGAAACAGUCUAAUCUUUUGAACUUCUUCAGCACCAUCUAAGAGCAAUGUUCUUUUGGUUCCAAUACCCAUGUGCUUAUGAGACUUGUAAAACUUCCCGCUUCUUGGGCUUAACAAGUGGUUAUGCUCAAGCUCGACUUCAAUGAUUCUCCACCUUUUGGUUUCCAUCAACCUAAACUUUAUCAUUGCUGGACAGCCCGUUCUUGUUUCUGGUCUUGGGCGGUUUGCCUCGCUUUUCUUCUUGAAGCCUGCAUUACUACAGCUGAGCUUUCCUUUAUACUUUUCUCUACUCUUUUGGUACCAUGUAUUGCUAACUCCAACACCAAAACCCUGUUCCUUGGCAUAGCAAUUAUAAAAGUAAUAUACGUCAUCAUACGUCUCAAACUCCAUUCCAACAGCAGGAGGCAAUGGAUUUUGGAUUAUCCCAGUUUGUCCAACAUAUUCAGUCAUCGCACAAUCUCCUACGACCUCAAAAUCAUCAGCUUCAUCAUCACCUACUGGUUCAGUAUUCAGAGAAACUUCAUCCAUCUACAAUAGAUGUUUAAUGAAGUGAGCUUUAAGGAGAAAAAGCAAAAUCAGUUCAAGGAAAGAUAAUAUAACCAUACAGUUACUUUCACAAAGCUGCGUAUUUCAUCAAUACUUUAACAACAUACAACUGCCUGAGAACAUAUAGACAUGUCAUAGACGUUUGAAUUAAGUAUUGGUACAAAUUAGCACACAUCAUGUGGGACACAAUUUCAGUCACUAAACCCAAUGCCUUUUUUUUUUCACAUCAUACCAAGGAACGGAUUAAACCCAAUACCUUCUUUUACGCCAUACCAAAGAACAGAUUAAAUCAUCAAUGAAAAUUUAAUCAAAUAAUAAUUUAACUAGACAAUUGAAGAGCUUGAAACAGCACAAAACUUGAAUCUGAUUAUGAUAAUUGUUGAGUCCUUGUAUCCACAGCUUUCCUUCAAUGAGAAGAUUAUGAACAUAAACUACACAUAAAAAAAUUAUUUAAACUGACAGCCCAUGAUAUAAAUCAAACAAAAUUAACUCCUUUUACAAAUCACAUCUCGUAUUCAGUUACAUUGAAACACAAAAAAGGAAGCAGGAGCCGGAGAAAAACAACAACAGAGAAACUUAUUUCCAGAAGGUUUACGAAAUAAGGAAUUUAUUAAGACACAAAAUUUGAGGUCAACAAUAAGAAUUUGGUUCUCAUUCUCUUUUUCUUCAUUUUUCACUUAUUGAUGGAGUUAGCGUACAAUCCUAUAUGAUAAAACCCCAUCUCCAUCUUUUUGAACUAGAGCUAAAGCAAAGCAUUUUAAGAUGUUUUUCCCUAAAAGACUCAAUAGUACAAUGCUUUUCAAUAUUAAAUACACAACUCAAUCUUCCCCUAAUUUACUCUAAUAAUCUCUUAACUAAGGAAGAUUAAGCUCCACUUGUAAGCUAAAACAAGUUUCUUAAAUCAAGCCCCAAUGCUCUAUACUAUUCAACAAGGCCUCAUAAAUGAUAAAACUACCUCUGCAAAGAUACCCAUUUUAAUUUCGCAAACUAAAAUCAAACUUCUGAAACGUAACGAGCAUUAAAACAAACAAGUCCGAACAAGAACUGAAAAAUGAUACGUAAACCCGUUUACACGUUUCGACAAACACUUUCCAAUCAAUGAGCAAAAAGGUUAAUGGAAAACAUGAAAUUCAAACAAAACAUACCUUAGGUUGAUAAAUUAGUAGGGCAAAAGAAAUUUUAGCGAGAUAUGGGAUCAGGGAUUUUGCCACGGUGAUGUUAAUUGCGACAUUCGGGUGACUCAGCAGCCUUCGAGGCUGAAACUUUGAUUGACCAAAAGGUUCCCGUUCGUUGAUUCUCUAAUUGCAGAAACGAAACUGGCAGUGUACAGAAAAAGUACGCUGAUUUGAUAAUUCUGUGAAAAUCAUUGUUUUUUUCAGAUUUUAAUGUGUUCGAUAAAAUAUCAAAAUCUCAAAAACUUUUGUCUUUCAUUUUGGGGGGAAAAACACACUGAGAUCCUUAUGUUUUUUCUUAUAUAAUCUGGCUUAAUAAUUUGCAAAGUCUAUUACUUUGCACCCAUGCAUGCUGCGUUACAAUUUACAAAAUUGUACGUGAGUGCAUCCAGCUAAAAUUUGUAAAAAGAAAAUAACAAUAACAUGUUAAAAAUGUGAUUAUUAUGAAGAAAUUUUAAUUUAGUUAAAUAGGUGACGAUGGAUAGGUAUAAAAUCUGAGAUCUUUUAUGAGAUUAAUAAAUAUGUUGAGUUUGGAUUAGUUCAAUUUUGACAUAAUACAGAAUAAACACAACCUGCUAAUCUAAGUUACCAUCUUUUCCCGUCAUCAGGUACCUGUUUGAAAAAUAAUUAUAUACAAUUUUAUUUGCGUUGUCUCUCUAAAAAUUUGGGACUCAAAUGUUAUUUCUAAUUGCUAAAAGUACGAAAAUGCCCCAUUUCUCUUCAGCUAAAGGAGUGCAAAGUCAUCUGUAUAAUUGAAGCUGCAUCAUCAGUUUCUAUUGCUGGUGUUUACUGCAUGCUUACAGUUGCUUGACAAAGUGAGCCAGUUUUUUGUUUAUUAAUUUUUUUUCUUGUCGAGAUAGUCACAAAGUAUUACUUGUUCUAUAUAAGAAUGAUGUGAAUCAAUUUUUCAAUUAUGCAUUCUGUGGUAAUUGUGAAUUUAGUUUCAUUUGUCUUGUCUCCUGCAAAUUUUGAAGAAAAUGCAGACAUACAAACUUACAAUACGGAAGAGUUCACAGGCAAAAACUUUGUGAAAGCUUCCAAGUGAAACAGGGAAUGCGCUUACUAGUAAAGAACAAAUUGGUGGCCAGCUAAUGCAUUCAUUCUAUGUCCAUUGAUCUUUUUGAGUUAUUGAAGACAAGUGGCUCACCGCUUUUAGUAUUGGUAAAAUUCAGAUAAUCUCUAUUCCGAAAUAAUAAUAUUCAAAAUAUCUCUUAAAUCAUUAUAAACCUCAAAUUUAUUUUAAUUUUAUUUAAAAGAUAAAAGAAAAAUAGGUUAUGUUGGUGAUUUUUUAUUAUCUUUUUAAUAAAAAUGAAAUAAAUUGAUGUUUAUAAUUAAUUAAAGUAUUUUAAAGAUUGCCAUUUUAUGAGAGAAUAAUAUUUCACUUUUUUUAGUGUGAAAGACCGAAAAAGGACAAAGCAAGUUUCCCUAAUUUUUAUUUUAUUCGAAAUUGGUCAUCUCAUAUACUUCACCCUUCAACAUUAUAAUUUUUUUGGUUAUAAUUUUAUUAUUUUUUUUUCUUUUACACAUGCAUGUGAAUUACUUUUCUUUAAGCUCCUGAAUAUUUAAGACAAAUCAUGGAAGAGAUGAGAGUAUAACAAGAUGAUCAAAAUAUGUAACAAAAAAAUUUUAGAAGUGAAAAAUAUGUUAGAGUCGAAGUAAAACUCUGAGGUGAUGUUUGAUUUGAAGAAAAUGGAGGAGAGGAAAUGAGUGGAAUGGAGAGGAAAAGAGAGAAAAGGAGAGGAGAGGAGAGUGAAAUUUUUUUCUAAUGUUUGGUUUGUCACAUAAUUAUACAAAGAAAAGAAAUCUCUAAUUUUUUAUUUAGACAAUUUUAACCUUAAUAAGUAUUAAGCUUUCAAUAUUUAUCAUGUGUAUAAUUUAAAAAAAGUAAAUGGUAGAAAGCGGUUUCUGAUUCCGGCCACAUCGCCGGCAAUGGAAGGUACUUAUCAGAACAUCAAGAGCCGACCAUCAUUCCCUAGCCAUCACUGCUGUCGGAACACUGCCAGAAAGCUGCCGAUUGAACCGCAAAAAGUCGUGGAAAUCGCUGCCUCAAAUCGGUGAGUUUCGCCUUUUUCUGGUCACGCCGUCACCUUGGCUUUGUCCAUCAAGGCUGCCACUUCCAUUUUCAACCAUCCAUAGCCACUAUUAACGGCCAAAUCGCCGCCGAUCAGCGGGAUAUGUGGAAGUUAAAAAGUUUCUAAAUUUUUUUUAACUGGAUUUGAACAACAUACGACCAUUUUUUGAUCUCGAUAACGACGUAGUAAUGUUGAUCAUUGGUCGGCAAGUCGAAUGGUAGUGGCGGUGAGUAACACGCGCCAAUGACAUCGGCGGCGGCACUAUCCGGCGACUGUUAAAAUUAAUAUUUUAUAUUUUUAGAUUAAAUAAAUUUAUUUUAUUAAACUUUUUAAAUCAUUAUUUAAAUUUAAUUAAUUUAAAAUUAUCUAUAAUGUUGAAUUGAUAAAAUAAAUUUAUAAAUAAUAAUUAUGUGAUUACAUUAAAUAAGUUAAAAAGUUGAAAGGUUAUUUUUGGAAGAUUUAGUUUCCAACACAAAGGGAAUUUGAAUUCUUCACUUCUUAGUGUGGAAUUCAAAUUCUAUAUUGUAAUGGAUAUUAAAUUCCAAUAGAAAUUAAAUUCUUAUAAGUUAUGUCAAACCAAACAACGGAAAUAAAAAAGGAAUUUAAAUUACUUUCCUUUCCUCCACCCUCUCCUUCCAACCAAAUACAUCCUGAAAAUAGAGAUAUUGAUUAAUUUAGAAGAGAUGCAAGCAAAAGAUAUUCCAAAAAAAAAAAGCAAUAUGUCCCUUUGGAGGGCAAACUUGUCAGUUUUAAAAAAGUACAUGCUUUGGAUUGAUAGUUGUAGGAUAUUUGUUUUGUCACUAUGUAUUAGUUGGAGAAGUCAAGCCUUGUGAAGAAUGUUAUGAAAGAGCAAAUGUUAGAGUACAAUUUAUGCACUAGUUUUGCAUUGUUUACUUCCAUUAAUAUCGAUGUUUUGCACUUAAUAAUAGUGAUUUACUUGUGUUUUACUUUUGUAGGUGCAAUUCUAUUGAUUGGUGAUAAAAUUGAGCUAUAAGAUGAUGUUUAAGGAUGAUUGUUCUCUUGGAGAAAUUUAGAACGUCAGAAGAACUUUGUUGAUAAGGCAUGGGCGCGUGCUGUCAACUGCGGACCUGCAGUUUUUAGUUUAACGUGUUUUGUAUUUUUGGUUAUUUUUGUAAUUACGAAUUUAAUAUUUCAGAUAUUAGUAUUUUAUUUUAAAUAGAAUUCUAAAAGAGAGGAGAGAGAGAGUAUUUAAGGGAGGAAUCUAUUGUGAAAAAUGGGGAUUUUGGAUUGGAGAAAGAAAGAAACCCUAGAUCUAAUUUUUCUCUUCUCUCUAUGAAGAACUAAACUUAUUUUUCUGGUUGAAGGUUAAUGAAGCUUUGAUUCAUCACUACUGUGAGAUCUUUCUUGUGCUUUAAUUGUUUUAUUGCUUUUUGGGUAUUUGUUUAUUCUCUGAAUUAUUUUCAUGAUUAUGUUUGUUAAUUAGAUAAUUGGCCACUAUUUAAUUAUCAACUUAAUCUAUUGUCAAUUAAAGGAUUCAUCGUAUGAAGAAUUUAAUGUUUGUGACAAAUAACAUAGCAGAGAGUUGUGUUGUGAGAAUAAACAAUCUAAUUUAAAUGAAUCAUCAUAUGUGUUGAUUAGGAUUUGGGUCUCUCUGGUUUUUCAGGCUGACAUUGAUUAAAUCCUAUGAUCGUAUCUAGGGUUGUCUAUUGAUUAGGGAAAUAACCAACGGUCGUACCUUGGUUAUCGACUAGUUAAGGAGAGAUUGGCUAUUAGAGGUUCUCAAUAGUUAUAACCGAUCUAUUCAUAAGUAAUAAUAAUCUAUAUUUGAAUCAAUGAUCAGUAGUCGAAUCAAGCUGAGUUAAUUCCUUCAACCAGAGCUUUCUCCAAUUUGAAUUACAACUUUAAUUUGCAUUCUUGUUAUUUUGAUUUGAUUUUUAUUAUUGUCAACAAUUCCCUCAUUUUACGUUUUACGUUUCAAAAGGAUUUAAAUAAUUACCGAUCUCUGUGGACACGACCCUGCUCAAUCACUAUACACAAUUUAUUUAGAGUAUGAAUUUAUUUUUAUUGGCUUCGACACCCAUCAGCAAAGGAUAUUCCUGAUAGCUGAUAGAGCUCUAUUUGAUUAUGUAUCCAAUGAAUGGAUGUGUUGUUGGAAGAUAUCUGAGUGCAUUAGUUCAUAUGUGUCUGUCAAUGUGCUUUUAAUGAUUUUUCCACUUGUUUGUUGUAAAAGAUUAUUGUAAAUUGAAAUGAGCUUGAUGUUGUAAUAUUUUUUCCUUAGUGGAAUUUCACCUAGUAUGUAUUCAGUUGUGUUCUCUAUAAUUUUGCAUUCGAAUAAGUUUCACCUAAAAUAUUAGCAUGAGUAGUGGCCUUUGAAACUUUGGUCAAAAUUAUUGUUAUUAUUUCCGACUAGAUGUAAAUUUUUUAUUAAAUCUCGUUAACACAAUUCUUAAUUAAAAGUAUAGGUUAGUGUUGGUGCAAGAUUUGCCACACCAAAUUCUGCCUAGCUGUCAAAAGUGCAAAAUAAAUGAAGAGAAAGCACAAAUACACGACUUGAAUAAGGAUACAACGAAACUUAAUUUCAAGAGAAAAUGAUAGCUAUAUCUCAAGAUUUGAAAAAAUGGUCAUGUAGAUUUUUAAGAUUUCAAUAAGCGACUGAGAUUCAAAUAAUAUCCUUUAAUUCUAUUAACAAAAAACAAAGACUCAAAUAUUUUAUGAUAAAGAAAAAUAUAAUAUUAAAAUAUAUGUGAUAAUAUACACAUUUUAAAUACUUUUAAUCCAAAAAAAUAGUUAUGUUUUACAAUCUAUUAGACAUAUUUUAUUAAAUUAAUAUAAAUUUUCUAUAAAAUAAUAAUAUAAUAUUAAAAUAAAUUCACAAAAAUUUAAAGAAUUUUGAAUGUAAAAUAAUUUUAAUAUAUUAAUACGUGAGUUUUUUAUUAAUAUAAAAAUUAUUUAACUUUAAGAUUUUUUAAAAUCUUUACAAUAAGUAUAACUAUAUUAUUUACAUUUAAAAAUAUUUAAAUAUUAUUAACCUACAAUUAUAUUUGCAUUUGUUAGAAAUUUUUUAAGUCAAAUAUUUUGCACUUCUAUAUUAUUAGAAUUAUUGCACACAAAGAAAGAAACAUAUACCUUUAGAAAUUGUUUUCUUUUAAAAUAGAGAUGAUGAUUAGUAUAAGGAUGAAAAAAAGGAUAUUAACGAAAUCUCUAUACAAAUUGAUUUUAGUAGGAAAAAAAUGAGUUAAAUGAUUUAGAGUGCGUUUGGAAUUGAGAUUGGGCAGUCAUAGAUUUUAAGUUACAACACUGAAGUGUUUGGUAAAUACUAGCUACUGCAGAUUGAAAGUUAUGUUGAUAUGAUUUUUCACAUGUAUCAUAGAAAAUAUAUUACAUCUUUAAUAAUUUUUUUAAAAUUUAUAUUUGCUAUAUAUUAUUAUUAUUUUUUUUUAUAGUUAUAACUUUUUUUCCAUAGCAGCUGUAGCUUAAAAGCCACAGCACCUCAAUCUCAAACAAGUCCUUAGACAUUCAUAGUGUGUUUAUUUUUUGGAUUGGUGAAUCAAAAUUAUUGACAACGCUAACUUCAUCUUCACCGUUCGCAAUCCAACAGCAGCAAUUGUCACCAAUAAUGAUAUCUCCAAUGAUGAUGACAAUUAUUAUUAUUAUUAUUAUUAAUUAAUUAAUUAAUUAAUUAAUUAAUUAAUAUAUUAAUGUUAAUAUUAUUAUUGUUAAGAUUAACAAUAAUUAUUAGUAAUACAAUUUUUUGAAUAAAAAUAAUCACAAUAAUUAAAAUACAAAUUAAUAAUUAUGACAAUAGUUAAUUAAUUUCUUUUUAGUAAUUUGUAACAAUCUAACUCAUUUUAAUUCUGAUUAUUACAGCUUAAGUAAACAAAUUAUUAUGAUUCCUAUUCUCCUUUCCCAUUUUAGCUCACUUCGAUUCCAGUCUAUUCCGAUUUCUAUCUAAUAAAUGCACCAUUAGUGCUAAAGUAAUAUUUCAUACAUAGAAAAGUAAAAACUACACCUAAGGUUAAGGGAAAGGACUUCAAAACUCUCUUUUGAUCAUAAUACAUUUUGUCCUAAUUAACUUAAAGAUUUUGAAUCUAAUAUUUUAUAAUAAAUAAAAAUAUAUUCCUAAAAUAAAUAUAAUAUCAAUAUUUAAAAUAUGUUUUAAUAUUUUACAAUCUAUCAUACACAUUUUAUUAUAUUAAAGUAGAUUUAUAAUAAAUAUAUAAAAAAUUUAGAAUAUUUAGAAUAUUAUAUAAAAUAAUUUUAAUAUAAUGCGUGAGAUAUAUUUUAUUAAUUUAAAAUGUCAUUUUACCUAAAAAAUAUGAUAAAUUAAUAAUUACAUAUUUGAAGUUAUUUCAAAUAUUAAAAAAAUUUAAUAUUAUUAAUCUUUUAGAUAGAUUAAAUUAUUUUUCAUAAGAGAGAUUAAUCUUUUACUAAAAUUUCUCUUCCACAGCCCACCGCAGCUUCAGUUAAUCAAACUCCAUCAAUUUUCUUUCUUAACAAAAUUCUAAAGAUGUGUAGCAUUUUUCAGAUCACAUGCGAUGGUGCUUUUUUCAAUCGUUGCUUGGAUUGCUUUCUUGGAAAAGCAGCAUACAUACGUAACCUCCAAGAUAAUCUUGAUGCCUUGGAGACUGAAUUGGGAAAUCUGAUCGCUAGAAAGAACGAUGUGAUGAGGAGGGUUGUCGAUGCUGAACGGCAACAAAUGAGAAGGCUGGACGGAGUGCAAGUGUGGGCUUCGAGGGUGGAUUCUGUUAAAACUGAAGCUGAUCAAUUUAUAAGAGACGGCUCUCGAGAAAUUGAAAAAUUAUGUGUUGGAGGCUACUGUUCCAAGAAUUGCAUGUCAAGCUACAAGUUCGGGAAAAAAGUGGCUAAAAAGCUACGGGAUGUGCGGUCUUUAAUCAGUGAAGGAGUUUUUGAAGUGGUGGCUGACAGAGCUCCAGAGUCUGUAGCAGAUGAAAGACCUACUGAGCGAACAGUAGUAGGCUUGCAAUCACAACUUGAACAAGUCUGGAGAUGUCUUGUAGAAGAAUCAGCGGGAAUCAUUGGCCUAUAUGGUAUGGGCGGUGUUGGUAAAACUACACUACUGACCCAUAUCAACAAUAAAUUUCUCGAGAGUCCAACCAACUUUGAUUGUGUGAUUUGGGUUGUAGUUUCAAAAGACCUGCGACUCGAAAAAAUUCAAGAAGAUAUUGGGAAAAAGAUAGGUUUGGUUGGUGAUUCAUGGAAGAGUAAAAGUGUAGAGGAGAAAGCUGUCGACAUCUUCCGGAGUUUAAGAGAGAAGAGAUUUGUAUUGUUGUUAGAUGAUAUAUGGGAGCGGGUUGAUUUAACAAAGGUGGGCAUUCCACUUCCCGGACCAAAAAAUACUACCUCAAAAGUCGUAUUCACAACCCGUUUCAUCGAUGUUUGUGGUAGCAUGGAAGUUGACAGGAAGUUUCAAGUAGCAUGCUUAUCAGAAAAGGAUGCUUGGGAACUGUUUCGAGAAAAAGUUGGGGAAGAAACUCUUCAGAGUCAUCAUGAUAUCGAUGAGCUAGCCCAAAUUGUGGUCAAAGAGUGUGGUGGUUUGCCACUCGCACUUAUUACUAUUGGUCGAGCUAUGGCCUACAGAAAGAAAGCGGAGCAGUGGAGACGUGCAAUUGAAGAGUUAAGGAGAUCAGCUUCAGAGUUUGCAGGUUUGGGAAAAGAGGUGUAUCCUCUUUUAAAAUUCAGCUAUGAUAGUUUGCAGAAUGAUACGGUUAGAUCUUGUUUCUUGUACUGUUGUUUAUAUCCUGAAGAUUAUGGCAUUCUUAAAUGGGACUUGAUUGAUUGUUGGUUUGGCGAGGGAUUUUUUGGGGAAUCUGACAGGUCUGGUGCAGAAAACCAAGGAUAUGACAUUUUGGAAACUCUUGUUCGUGCAUGUUUAUUAGAAGAGGUGGAAGAUGAUGAAGUAAAAAUGCAUGACGUUAUUCGUGAUAUGGCUAUAUGGAUAACUUGUGAAAUUGAGAAGGAGAAGAGAAACUUUUUGGUUCGUGCAGGUGCUGGAUUAAAAGAGGCACCGGGUGUUAAAGGAUGGGAAAAUGUGAGAAGAUUGUCAUUGAUGCAAAACCAAAUUGAAACUCUGGCAGAGGUUCCCACAUGCCCUCAUCUCCUCACUUUAUUUUUUGACUUUAAUAAGGAGUUAAAGAUGAUCGCGGAUGGCUUCUUCCAAUUUACGCCUUCUCUCAAAGUUUUGAAGAUGUCAAACUGUUUGAAUUUGAAAUUACCUAUUGGGAUGUCAGAGUUGGGUUCAUCACUAGAACUUCUCGAUAUUUCAUAUACCGGCAUAAGAGAGUAACCGGAAGAGUUAAAGUUGUUGGUAAAUCUGAAAUGUUUGAAUUUGAGGUGGACAAUUUGGUUAAAUAAAAUUCCACGGCAACUAAUAUCAAAUUAUUCAAGGUUACGUGUGUUGAGAAUGUUCGCUACUGGCUUGGGCAUUUUUCAUGAAGCACCAGAAGACAGCGUUUUAUUUGGUGGGGGUGAAGUUUUAGUACAGGAAUUGCUCGGUUUGAAAUAUUUAGAGGUAUUGGAGUUGACCUUGGGAAGUUAUCAUGCUCUCCAAAUUCUUUUGAGCUCAAAUAAGUUAAAAAGUUGUAUUCGAUCUCUUUACCUCGAGUUGACCGGAGAUACAGCGUCAAUUAUUGAUGCUACGGCUUUCGCAGAUCUAAACCACCUCAAUGAAUUAUAUAUUUUUAAAGGUAUUGAGUUGGAAGAAUUGAAGAUUGAUUAUACGGAGAUAGUACGAAAAAGGCGGGAACCUUUUGUUUUCCGCAGCCUUCACUGUGUUAUUAUGGUUUCGUGCCGUAAAUUGAAAGAUGUGACAUUCCUCGUUUUUGCUCCAAACCUCAAGUCUCUUUUGGUAGACGGUUGCGAUGCUAUGGAAGAAAUAAUCAGCGUCGGAAAAUUUGCUGAGACUCCUGAGAUGAUGGGACAUAUAAGCCCUUUUGAAAAUCUCCAAAUGCUUGAUUUAACGGCAUUGCCGGAGUUGAAGAGCAUCUACUGGAAGCCAUUGCCUUUCACUCAUCUGAAAGAAAUGGAGGUACUUAGGUGCGAUCGGCUUGAAAAGCUUCCACUCGAUUCCAACAGUUCAAAGGAGCGUAAAUUUGUUAUUUGUGGAUACACAAAGUGGUGGAACCGACUUCAAUGGGAGGAUGAAGCCACUCAAAUUGCUUUUCGUUCCUGUUUCCAACCAAUGGGAGUACUGAGCGGUGGUCGCAAAAUUUGAUUUCUGGUGAGUGCGUUUUUGUUAACGCUUAUGUUUUUAUUCCAGUGUGUUUUUCUUCUGUCUUCUGCAAAUCAAUGCUUUAUAAAUUUUCCUUUUCCCUUUUUUUUUGGGGGGGGGGGGGGGGGCGUGGGUCGAAUUGAUGCUCUGGUUUUUUACUUUUUGUUGUCAAAUUUGGCCUUUUUUUUUUUUUUUUUUUUUUACAAGUUGAUACUUUAUUUAUAUCUUCUUAGCGAUUUAAUUUCCUGUCAAAAGACGAGCGAGAAGAACAUAUGACUUAAAGCAAUUGAUACUUUAUUUAUGUGCAUUGUAUGUAAUAAAUAUUAAGUAUACUUUAUUUUGCCCUGUUCUCUGUUUUUAUUUCAGUCUCUCUCUCGCUCUCUCUCUUUCCUGUCUUCUGCAAGUCAUAAUUAAAUGUUGAAUUAUAUGGAAUUAAUGCUUUAUAAAUCUGCCUGCGCUGGCUUUUUUUUUUUUUUUUGUGGGGUCGAAUUGAUGCUCUGGUUUUCGACUACUUUUUGUUGUCAAAAUUUUCUCUGUUUUUUCAAAUUUAUAUCUUAUUCGUGAAAAGUGAUUUAAUUUCCUGCCAAAAGACGAACGAGAAGAACAUUAGAGUCAAACUAAUGCUCACAUAAAUUUCCCGUAAGAAUAUAUAAUUAGACUGGAAUGCACACCUCUAGAUUGAACAGAAUUAAAGCUGAGAAAAUAUUGAGUAUAGUAGCCCUCUUUACAGAAAAUGACGCGAAAGUUAAUUUAGAAAGAUAUAUUCUCGAUUAAUCCAUUUUCUGAAUUUUUUUUUUAUUUUGUAUGGUCAAUUUUUUUUUUAAAUUACAACCUCAUAGUCAUGCUAUUCAUUCACUCACAGACCAAAGGCUUUCCGCAGCAAUAUUAUUAUUUAAAUUACAACAAAGGGGGAAUCAAAUACGUCAUACAGAAGCUUAAAGCUGAAUCUACAAGAUCUAGAGCUCUCAAGAUGAAGCUUGUUCAAUAUCUCAUCCAAAGCUUGUAAAGUAACCUUGUAACGAUCUUGAGAUUGCCUGCCUUCCUCGACGACCUGCACGAUGCGUUUGUACAAAUCAUCAUACUUGUGCACUGGAUUUUUAAUAUCAACGCCACUGCAGCUGUGAUCAAGAACAUGAGAGCGUUUAACAUCUUUUCUCCAUCAAGAAAGAACGUAGUGAGAUGGGAUCUCCUGCAUGCCACUCUGGUUUAGAACACAAAGAAUGUGUCUGCAUAAAUAUCCUCUGAAAUUGAACAACCCACAAACACAAAGCAUCUCCAAGUCAGAGGCAUUGUACAAAACAUCGAAAGCCCUUGAAUCUUUCUCGUUGCUACCAACCUCAAAUUCUUCCUUCACUAUGUAUGUUAUAGGUCCAUCAGCACUGACAUGUUUUGUGCUAUAGCAAAGAGUACAUAGCCUCCACCUCCAUCUGAAACUUCCUUAACAUUUCAUUUGUGUACAGUUUUGAGAGUUGAAAUUCAUAGUAACAUAUUGGUUUCUGGAUACAACUUGAAUUUCUUGAAUCCAUAUCUGCCAAGGCUUGCAGUUGAUAAUUGGCCCGCAGUGCUUGAUCAUACUUGUCUAAGAAUUCUUUCAAAGGAGUAUUCUUAUCAAGAUAUCCUUCAAAGUAUGAAGUAGAAACCUCAUUCUGCAGUAACGAAAACACUCCUGAUAAAAAAGCUUCCUUCAAAUAAAUAGGAGCCCACCUUUUACGAUCUUCAUAUAAAGUUUGAAUCCAUCCGUGAUCCUUUAUUCCAUGACGUUGAAUCAUGUCUUCCCAAGCUGCUUCAAAUUUCUCAGGCCUGAGAGAGUGAUAAAUUGCUCUAUGUAAUGCAGCUUUAAUAGCUUCAUAUUCAAACAAUCCUUGGAGUUUCUCUGGAAUUUUUUGCAUGACGCUUUCCUUCAAUGAUAAGACAAUGAACAUAAACGAGACACAAAAAAAAUUAUUUUAAACUGACAGCCCAUGAUAUAAAUCAAACAAAAUCAACUCCUUUUUUUACACAUCACAUCUCAUAUUCAUUUGCAUUGAAGCACAAAAAGGAAGCAGGAGUGGGAAAAAAAAAACAACAGCAGAGGAACUUAUUUCCAUAAGGUUUAGGAAAUAAGGAAUUUAUUAAGACACAAAAUUUGAGGUUACCAAUAAGAAUUUGGUUCUCAUUAUUUUUUUCUUCAUUUUUCACCAAUUGAUGAACUUAAAAUACAAUCAUCAAUGAUAAAACCCCAUCUCCAUCUUUUUGAACUAGAGCUAAAGCAAAGCAUUUUAAGAUGUUUCAUCAUUUUUUUUAAUAAAAAAAAACCUCAAUAGUACAAUGUUUUUCAAUGUUAAAUGCACAACUCAAUCCUCUCCUAAUUUACUCUAAUAAUCUCUUAAUUAAGGAAGAUUAAGCUUCAGUUGUAAGCUAAAACAAAUUUCUUAAAUCAAGCCCCAAUGCUUUAUGCUAUUCAACAAGGGCUCAUAAAUGAUAAAACUACUUCUACAAAGAUACCCAUUUUCUAAAUUAAUUUCAAAAACUGAAAUCAAACUCCUGAAACGUAACGAGCAUUAAUAUAAUCAAACCCGAACAGGAAUUGAAAAAUGACACAUAAACUCGUUUACACAUUUCGACAGACACUUUGCAAUCAAUGAGCAAAAAAUUAAUGGAGAAGAUAAAAUUCAAACGAAACAUGCCUUACAUUGAUAAAUUAGAAGGGCAAAAGAAAUUUUAGUACGAUAUGGGAUCAGGGUCUUGCCACGGUGAUGUUAUUUGUGAUGUUCGAGCGACUCAGCAGCCUUCGAGGUUGAAAAUUUGAUUGACCGAAAGCUUCCCGUUCGUUGAUUCUCUAAUAGCAGAAACGAGACUGGCAGUAUACACAAGAAGUUCGCUGAUUUUAAAUUCCGUUGUUUGAGAUGGAAAUUUUUUUGAAAAAAUUAAUGUGUUCGAUGAAUAUCAAAAUCUCAAAAACUUUUUGUUUCUCAUAGCACCCAUGCAUGAUGUGUUGUUUCUCUAAAAGUUUGAGACACAAAUGUUAUUUCAAAUUGAAACGCCAUGCACUAGUAGUAGACUAGUAGGUAGGAGAAACCAAGGUUGAAGUUACUGUUCAUUUAUUUUUAUUUAUGAUUUUUUGUAAAAUGUAAGAAAUAUGUAGAAAUGUUGCCAGCAAUGAUUUUGGAACUUUGCAUAAAAUUUUUAUCAUUAUUGUUUUUGGUAUUAAGAAAUCCGAGGCGGUGAUUAGACGUAUGUUGCAACAAUUAAGAAAUUUCUUAUUGGAGAUAAUUUGGUAGGUUGCAACAAUUAGAGAAUCAUUUUCCUGUCAGUUAAUCAAUCAAUAAUAAAUUUCAAAUUGCAGAAAAUAAAAUAAUACUGUCACACUUAGAAUCAUCUUUUCUAUCUCUUUCAAUUGUGGCAAUCAUUUGUAACAAAUAAAUCAAUUUGAUGCACAUCAUUUCCCCAAUUCAAAGUUCAAGUCACUGCUCAAUUGCAGAGUAGUUAGUAGACAUGCAUGCAUGUUUAAUUAAGUACUGCAUUGUAGUAUCGAAAAUCAUAAUAUCUCACCAAGCCCGGAAGCAUAGCUCUUUAUCUUGUAAACGUUGAAAUCUUAUGCAAACUAUGGGAAACAUGAUCUCACUCUCAGUGUCACUUGAUUCCAUUUUCUGUUCUUGCCUUGAUUUCGAUGUUGGGAAUGUGACGUCUGAGUCCAAGGUUGAAGAUAAUCUCGAUGCCUUGCGGACUGCAAUGGAAAAAUAAGCGGAAACGAGAAAUGAUGUGAUAAGAAGAGUUACUGUUGCUGAAGGACAACAUCAAAUGCAACGAAUGGAUCGAGUGCAGGGCUGGCUUUCAAGGGUAAAAGCUGUGGAAAAUAAAGCUGAUGAUUUGAUGAGACACAGCUCUCAAGAGAUUGAGAAGUUAUGCCUUGGAGGCUUCUGUUCCAAGAACUGCAAAUGAAGCCACAGCCGUGGGAUAGAAGCUGCUACAAUGCUACGAGUUGUGGAGACUUUAAUGGGUGAAGGAUCAUUUGAAUUGGUGGCUGAGAGGGUGCCAGAAGAUGCAGCAGACUGAGCAGAGGAGAUAAAUUGUGAGUCAACAAUAAUGGGCAUGGUGUCGACUUUUGAGAAAGCCUGGAGAUGCCUUGAAGAAGAAUCAGUUGGAAUUAUUGGCCUAUAUGUCAAUGGGAGAGUUGGAAAUAUUUACUCAAAUCAACAACAAGUUCCUUGAUAGUCCAAAUAAUUUUGAUGUUGCAAUCUGGGUAGUGGUCUGCCAAGAUUUGCAACCCCAGAAGUUUCGGGAAAAGAUUGGGAAAAAGAAAGGCUUGUUCGAUGAGUCAUGGAAGAACUGAAGUUUUGAAGAGAAAGCACUCGAUAUAUUCAAGAAUUUAAGCAAGAUGAAGUUUGUAUUACUGCUGGAUGAUAUAUGGGAGCAGGUUGAUUUAAUUAAAAUUGGUGUCCCUCUUCCAAGCACAAAAAUUACAUUCAAGAUAGUCUUCACAACUCCUUCUAUUACAUUUGUGGCCUCAUGGAAGCUCACAACAAGAUUAAAGUGAAGUGUUUAAAUGACGAAGAAGCAUGGGAAUUAUUCUGCAAGAAGGUUGGAGAAGAUGUGGCGACUCUGUACAAGUGCUAAGGAGCUCAGCCUCAGAAUUUCUAGGUAUGUAAAAACAAGUAUAUCCUCUUUUGAAAUUCAGUUAUGAUAAUUUACCUAGCGAUAAAAUUAGAUCGAGUCUGUUAUACUGUAGUUUGUUCCCAGAAGACUUUCCAAUUAGCAAAAUGGAAUUGAUACUGAGAUACGAAAUCAAGGAUACUACAUUAUUGGUGUUCUUGUUCCUUUAUGUUUAUUGGAAGAAGAGGCUCCACUGUUUGUAAAAGUGCAUGAGGUGAUACGCGAUAUGCUUCUGUGGAUAGCAUGUGAAAUUUUAUUUUUAUUUUUUUAUAGGGAUAUCAUGUGAAGUUGAGAAGGAGAGAGAGAAUUUUUUGGUUCGUGCAGGUGCAAGGAUUAACUGAAGUACUAGACAUUUGGAAAUGGGAAGGGUUGAGAAGGGUGUCUUUGAUGAUCAACAAAACUGAGAAGGUAUCAGAAAUUCCUUCAUCUCACGAUCCACUAACUUUGUUGCUUCAACAUAAUUAUUUAGAGGUGAUCAAUAAUGACUUCUUCCAAUCUAUGCAUUCCCUUAGAGUUUUGAACUUAUCAUGUAAUCAUUCUCUAACUGAUCAUUUCAAAGUUAGUUUCCCUACAUACGAGAGUUGCCGAAUGAGUUAACGUUCGUAGUGAAUCUUAAGUUUUUGAAUGUGGAGUCUGCACGGUUUCUUCAUUCAAUUCCAGGGCAAGUGAUAUCCAGUUUUACGAUGUUACAAGUUUUGAAGAUGUUUGGUUGUGGCAGGUCAUCUUCUGAUCGUGAGCCACACCAGAAGAUAGCGUUUUAUUUGGAGGCAGUGAACUUUUGAUUGCGGAGUUGUUUGGUUUGAGAGACAUUUAGAUGUGUUGACCAUCAUCCUAAGAAGCUCCCAUGCUCUGAAAAGAUUUUUGAGCUCCAACAAACUUCAAAGUUGUACUCAAUCUCUCUAUCCUAAAUGCUUUGAUUCGAAGUCAGUUGAUGUUUUUUGCCUGGCUGAUCUGAAGCAUCUCAAUAGGCUAUAGAUAUUGCGAGUUGUAAGCUUUUGGAAGAAGUGAAGAUUGACUUUGUUGGGAAAGCACAAAUGAACUCAUGGUUUUCACAGCCUUAUGUCACGGAAGUUGUGUAAACACUGCACGGGUUGCUGCGCAAAGUAACCAUCCUAUGACAUUGAGCCAUGUUGAAAUAUCAUUUUGCUGUAAACUGAGGGAUUUGACAUAGCUUGCUUUUGCUCCAGACCUUCUUGUUGUUUCCAGAAAGCAUUGCCAUGAUAUAGAGGAAAUACUCGGUGUUGGAAAAUUAGGUAAAGAGAUGAUGUCAAACCUGGAACCCCCUAUAAAACUCCUAAGGUUAUGUCUGGCAUGUAGGAUUGGAUUGAACUAAAUUAUUAGGACUGGAUUAAAUUGGGUUAUAUUUAUAUUCUUAUGUUUGGUACAGUACUGGAUUGAACUAUAUUAGAUUAUAUUUAAAUAAUAUUAAAUAGUAUUUAAGUUGGUAUUUUAAUAUAAAUAUCAAUUAUCCAUGAAAUUUUAUAAUCAUAAUUAAAAUAAAUUUAAAAAGCAAUUACUAGAAAAAUUAAAUAUAUUACAAAAAGUUAUUGGGUAGUCAUAAUAUAAUAAGCAAAUAAAAUUAAAUAAAACAAAUUAAAUAUUUAAUUAAUUUUUAUCAAAUAUUUAAAAAUAUUAUAUAAAAUCAAUUAAUUAAUGGUUUUAUUAAUUUUCAUGAUUAUUUUUAAUAUUACAUUAGUAAUUAUUAAAUUUAAUACAAUCAAAUAAUGCAAUAAAUAAUUAAACGUUUAAUUUUAUCGAUUAAUUAUUAAAUAUACAAGUAAUGAAAAUUUAAUCUCAGGAGUUGGCAGAAGCAAAAGUACUAAUUUAAUUAGAUCAUAGAUAAUAAAUAAAAAUUAAUUUUAAGUAAAUCAUAAUAAAAAAAUUAAUUAAUUGAUUCAAUCAAUCAAUAUUAGGUGUAAAUAAAAAAAGAGUAAUGAUAUAGCCACAAAUUCUUGUACAAACUUAUUUUGUACAAACUCAUGUGUCAUGAUAAGAUUAGUUGAAUUAAAUAUCACUUGGCCCACAUGAUUUGUUUUUAUUAUUUUAUAUUUUUAUUCAACCAAUGAAUUAACGCCACGUCAGUUUGUACAAGAGUUUGUGGUUGUAUCAUCACUCAUAAAAAAAAAGAUACAAAUAAAAAUCUCAUAAAUGGACAACUUUUAUCUUUAAUCUUAUCCCAACUAAACACAUGUGUGAAUUAAGAUUAUUAAUCCCAUGAUUUUAGGAUUAAAUUCAAAUUAAUUCCCCCUUAAUCCAAUCCAACUAAACUUGUCAAACAUGGGAUAAAAGUUUAAUUCUAAAAUUAGUCCAAUUCCAUACUUAAUCCUAGCAUCCACAUAUAGCCCAAGUUGUUUGCUUAAAGAAGCUACCAAAUUUGAAGAGCGUUUACGGGAAGGCCUUGCGUUUCCCAGAUGUAUGCAGAAUUUUUGUAUCCAAAUGCCCAGAACUUAAGAAGCUGACGCUGGAUUUUGAAAGGGCGGGCCAAGGUAAAAUUCUUAUCAAGUGAAAGGAAAAUCGGUGGAAACAACUUCAAUGGAAGGAUCAAGCAACUCAGGAUGCAUUGCUUCUGUUUUUCAAAUCAACUGACAAGUGAUUGAAGGGGGCAUCAUCAGCCUGGAUGGGGAGAUCCUGGAGCAGAUCAGCAGGGUUUGAAUCUGCAUCAUCAACAUCAUCAGGAUCUCUAUUUCUAUUGCUGGUCGUAAUGCCUGCCUACUGUUACUUGAAAAAGUGAUUAAGUGAGCCAGUUUUUUGUUUAUUAAAUUUUGUCUUGUAGAGACAGUCACAAAGUAUUUUUCUUAGUUGUUCUAUAUGAGAGUGAUGUGAAUCAAUUUUUCAAUUAUAUAUUCUGUGGGAAAUUGCAAGUAUUUUUAAAAUAUGAUCGUUAUUAAAGGAAACAAAGGAAUCAACACAGCAUACUGAACCUCAGCAGUAUGAAGCUAAUGAUUAAACUCCUCACACAAUUCAUAACAUGCAAAACCAUUCACAAAAUCAUCCCCAGCAACCAUAAUUGGCGUCCAAUAGAAAUUUACAAGAAUUACUUUUCUGUUCAUGCAAUCGGCGUCCGAAUGCGGCUGAUCGGUCACCGGUGUUGGCGUUUACUGUGAUUAGACAAAUUGUAGGAAUUCAAAAAUAACUUCUAUAGGGGUAAUUUCGAUUUCACAUAAUUAAUUUUAUUUACAAUAUUUUAUUCCUGCUAGAUCAAUUGAGAUUCUUUCCACCGGGCACACCCUUCAUGUUCUUUUAUUUUCUGUCUUUUAUUAGCCGUAGGAUUUUACUACUCUUAUAUCCAACGGCUUGCCACAACAAGACAAAUGAGGUGGUACCUUCCAACCGCUGAAAGGUCGUUUUGGCCCCAGGUGAAAGAGGGAAAUAGGGAAUUGAUGCUAUAUUUUAUAUUUUCUAUUUUACUACUCUUGUAUCCACCGGCCUUUCUUAUAUUUUAUUGCAAAUUGAUGCUAACAAGAAAAAGCUACAUCAUAUUCCACAAAAAACAAAAGUGACAAAACAACCAGUUGGAUUCUUUUAUUAAACUACAAAUUAAAUGGACUUUUUUUUAAUAAACUAUAUAUGAAAGUAGAAUCUUUUGAAUAUAAGUGGGGUAGACUUCCUUUCCAAAACAAAAAAUGCGGGGUAGGCUCUUUUAUUAAAGACAAGUCACAAGACGAUUAGAGUCUUUUAUUAAACUGCAAAUUGUAUAGUCUUUUUCAAAUUGUACAGACAUUUAUAAAUUGGUGGCCCCUUGGAAAUUUAAUGCCAAGCAGAGAAAAGUCAUCAUGCACAAUCCUCAAUAAUUGUUUCGAUAUUUAUAAAUUGGUGGCCCCAACGAAUAAUUGGGAUCGGUUAUGGUGCAAUUAUAGAACCAUGGCACAGUUGCAUCCAGCCGUUAAAUGCACUUAGAUUGGUGAGGUUUAUUGGCAUCUAAUGGCUGAAUGUAACUAUAAUACGGUACUACAGUUACAACACAAGUUUCCACCAAUAAUUGUUCCGAUAAUUAUAAAUUGGUGGCCCCUUGAUAAUUUAACAGCAGCCUGCAAGUGCCAACCAGUGAAAAGUCAUCAUUCACAAUCUUCCAAGUGAAAUAGGAGAUAUACAAAAUAAUAAAAAAAAAACAUGUCAAUUCUUUUUUUUUUUAUUCAUUCCCUUUCAUGUUCUUGAUAAGGGAGGGAGGACGUGACAUGUAAUGUAACUUACACCCAAAUACAUAAAUAAUAUAAAAUGAAUGGAUAGAUGCCCGAGCAGAUCGGCAGGGUUCGAAUAUGACCUUUGGUGCUUGCUUUUUUUUUUUGUGAUUUUGUUUUUCAUUUUUUCCUUCCUGUCAUUUUAUCAUUUCUUUGGCUUUGUCUCUAUUGCGGGUGUUACUGCAUGCUUACUGUUGCUUGACAAAGUUUGCUAGCUGAAAGAAACUUAGUUCUAUAUUGUUUGGUAGGCUAGAAAAUGAAAGGAAAUAAAAGAAAAGCUUUGCAAAGAAAUCUGUUGGAUCUUUUAUUAUUCCAAACUUACAGUUUAAUGACUACUAAUUGAUAUUUAUAUUGAGCUACAAUCUCUUAACAUACACACGAGAUUGUUGCAACACAUAACCAUUUGCUGUAUAACUAACUUGACACAUCAGCUCAACCAGCUAACUAACUUUGACAGGUCAGCUUAAUGAUUUGAUCUGCUACAACCAGCUACACAACACAUCAUGCUCUGCUCCAGCUACACAGCAACAUCAUGCUCUGCUCCAGCUUCAUCUAAUUCACUAACAUCCCCCUUCAAGCUGAAAUGUUUAGGAUGAACAUUCAGCUUGCUGCGGAAGUAACUAAAUUGUUUGAAAGUAAGAGCUUUAGUCAACACAUCUGCAGUUUGAUCUUGACUAGGCACAUAACAGACUGCAACUUCUUUAGCAGUAACUUUAUCUCGGAUGAAAUGGAUAUCCAAUUCAACAUGCUUAGUUUUAGCAUGAUAGACUGGAUUAUAAGCUAAAGCAAUGGCUCCUUGAUUAUCACACCACAUCAUAGGAGUAGAGCUCAAUUUGAUGCUAAGUUCACCAAGUAAAGACUUGAUCCAGGUAACCUCUGAAGCAGCAUGAGCAAGAGAUCUAUACUCAGCCUCUGUGCUGAAUCUGGAAACAACAGCUUGCUUCUUGGACGACCAAGAGACAAGAUUAGGACCUAGAUAAACAGCAAAGCCAGCUACUGACUUCCUAUCAUCAUGAUCACAAGCCCAAUCAGAGUCUGAAAAACAAUGGAGUUGCAGAGCUCCUUGGUUGUAGAAUUGCAGCCUAAGAUGGAUAGUACCUUUUAAGUACCUCAAUAACCUUUUACAUGCUUCCCAAUGUUGAGUCCUAGGAUUGGAAAGGAACUGACUCAACUUAUUGACAUAAAAAGCAAUGUCAGGUCUGGUAAGAGUAACAUACUGAAGAGCUCCUAUAACACUUCUGUAUUGAGAAACAUUGUCAAUUGGCUCCCAUGAGUCUUUGGUGAGAUAAUAACCUGUAGACAUUGGAGUUGGCACAGGACUGCAAUCAAUCAUGCCAUGUUUGUCCAGAACAUCAGCAAUAUACUUUGCUUGUGUCAAGGAAACCCCUUUUGAAGACUUGCUGACUUCAAUCCCCAAAAAAUAGUGAAGUUCCCCUAAAUCCUUUAAAGCAAAAGUCUGAUGCAUAUUCUGAAUAGCUUGCUGAAUCAAUGAUGGACUGGAACCAGUGAUGAUAAUAUCAUCAACAUAGACUAAAACAAUAGUUAUAUGACCACUGUUCCAGGCAUAAAAAAGAGAGUUAUCAGACCUUGAAUGCUGAAAAUGCCACUGGGAGAUCAUUGCAUCCUUAAAUCUAUCAAACCAGGCUCUAGGAGCCUGUUUUAAACCAUACAAAGCCUUAUUCAGCUUGCAAACAUGAUUAAGUUUAGUUGAAUCAACAAAACCUUGAGGUUGAGCCAUGUACACAUCUUCAAUUAAAAUGCCAUUGAGGAAUGCAUUAUUAACAUCCACCUGCCUAAUAACCCAGUGGUUCAAUAUUGCUAAGCUAAGAAUAACUCUGAUAGUUGAAGAUUUAACCACUGGACUGAAGGUUUCUGUGUAGUCAACCCCAUGUGUCUAAUGAAACCCCUUAGCAACAAGCCUGGCUUUAUACCUUGAAACCGAGCCAUCUGAGUUAUACUUAAUUCGAAACACCCACUUGUUACCAACUAUCUUCACUGGAGUAGCAGGUAAAACCAAAUCCCAGGUGUGAUUAGUUUUAAGUGCUAGAUACUCUUCUUGCAUAGCUUUAUACCACAUAGGAUCAGAGAGUGCUUUGGAAACAGAAGUUGGUUCUGAUUGCUGGGCUAACAAGGCUGACAAAUAAACUUUUGGCUUAAAAAUACCUGCUUUUGAUCUGGUUACCAUUGGAUGACCAGAUGGUGCAUGUUGUGGUAAUGUAUGUGGAGGUGAGGAAUGGGAAGAUGAGAAAGGAGAAACUGAGUUGGAAUUAUCAGAAAAAUAAACUGGAGUAGAGUUUGGGAAUGAAAUAGAAGCAUUAGACUGAUGAUCAGUAGGUUGAGGUGCUGAUGAUGCUGCUAAAGGUGCUUGUAACUGAGUAACAGAAGAAGUAGAAGACUUAAAAGAAGACUCAGAGUGUGAUGUAGACUGACAGCUUAAAGAGGUUGAAGAAAACUCUACCCCAGACUCAUAAGGAAAGGAAUUUUCAUCAAAGGUGACAUAAUUGGAAAUAUACACCCUUCCAGAAGAGUGAAGACACAUAUAUCCCUUGUGUUGUGAACUGUAGCCAAUGAAUAUACAUCUAGCAGUUCUGAAAUCAAACUUAUAUCUAUUGUAUGGUCUGAGUGUUGGAUAACAAGCACAGCCGAAAGUUUUAAGUGUUGAAUAAUCUGGUUGAUAAUGAAACAACUUUUGGAAAGGAGAAAUGUUAUUUAGAACUGGAGUUGGAAGUCUGUUUAUCAAAUAGACAGCUGUGUGGAAUGCAUUCCACCAAAAUUUGAGUGGUAAAUGUGCUUGAGCUAAUAAAGUCAGACCUACAUCAACUAUGUGUCUAUGCUUCCUCUCAAUUCUUCCAUUUUGGUGAUGAAUAUGUGGGCAAGGGUGUCUAAAAUGGAUACCAGAAGUAGUGAGUAAUGAGGAAAAAGAUCUGAACUCCCCUCCCCAGUCAGUUUGGACAGUUUUGAUGGAAAGUUGAAGAUGCUUUUCAAUGAAUGUUUUGAAAUUUUUAAAAACUUCAAGAGCAUCAGAUUUUGCUGAUAAAGGGAAUAUCCAGGUAAACCUACUAUAAUCAUCUAGGAUUCACAGGUAGUAGUUAUAUCCUUGGGUAGAACAAACAUGAGAAGGACCCCACAGAUCUGCAUAUAUUAGUUGUAAAGGUUCUGAAGUUUUUGUUUCAACUGAAUCAAAAUGCAGCAUAUGAUUUUUCCCAUAUUGACAUGCAUAACAAAAUUUCAAACUUUCAACUUUAUUAAGAGCAGUAAAGUUGUUACAAGCUUUGAGUAUGGUUUUGAGAGUAUAAGGAGCUGGGUGUCCUAAUCUUCUAUGUAGAAGAUUUACAUAAGUUAAACCCUUUGCAACAACUGACAGACAUGACUUUUUAUUCAGCUCAUAAGAACUAACAGCAGAAGGCUUAUCAGAAGUAAAAACAGGAGAACAAGCAAAAAGAGACUGAAUUUUUUUUUUACCAACUGAACUGAGAAAAACUGAGUGAGCAGCAGCUUGUGAAGAGACUCUAUACAAGCCACCUUUAGCAACACCUUCAUGUAAAAUUUUCCCUGUGUUCCUGGCCUUUAUAAAACAGAAAUCACCAAGAAAUUCAACAGUAACUGGAUUGUCAGCCAAUAAUUUGGAAAUGCUAAGUAAAUUCUUAGUAAUAAAGGGAAUAUGAAGAACAUGGUUAAGAAAUAAAGAUUGAGAAUUUGAAGUGUUCAGCACAACUGAUCCUAUAUGUGUAACAGCUAAUGCAUUUCCAUCCCCAACAAAUAACUUCUCAGUACCAGUAUAAGCUUGUGAAUCUAGAAGUUUACCUAGAUCAUUAGUAAUGUGAUUUGUGGCUCCACUGUCAAUGUACCAGGAAAGAUCUUCAAUGUGUUCUGGAAGUGAAGAAGACAUAGUUGAGGAAGAUGAAGCACUUGACUGUCCAGGAUUAUUGUUUCCUUGACCAGCAACAAAAUUAGAUGAUCCAGGAGUGAAAGAGUAAUAGGCAGAAGGAUUGUUAUCUGGAUACACUAUAUUUCCUUGAUAACCAAAACCCCUGGGUGCAUGACCAAAACUAGCAUUUUGUCCAAAACCAGCAUUUGAACCAAAACUUCUUCCACUAUUACCAUUAUAGACUCUUCCUCUACCAUAUUGCCCUUGAUUAAAACCUCUGUCACCAUUCAUAUUGCCUCUACCAUGAUUCCUCUGUGGAACAUAAGAUGAGUUGUACCUAUUCCUGCAUCUAUUUGCUGCAUGACCAGGUAUGAAGCAAAUUUGACAAACAACUUCAGAGGAAUUACUACCAGUAUUAAACUGACCAUAUCCAUAUCCAUUAAAACCUCCAUAUCCAGAAUUAUUACCACCUCCAUAGUUAUUUCCAUAAUUUUUCUGAAAAUUUCCAUUAUUCUUUCUAGCAUAUGAGUUCUUCUGAGCAAUAUUUGCUGUCAUGUUAUGCAUCACAUCACCAGCAAUUUUCCCUUUCUUUUGCUCAACUCUAUUUUCAUGAUUCAACAACAAAGAAUAUAGUUCAUCUAAUGUGAUCUUUUCACCUCGAGCUAACACAGCUGUGACUAAAGACUCAUAGUCUGAUGAAUCAAGACCAGUUAAUAUAUGCAUCACAAGAUCAUUUAACUCAAUAGGUUUUCCAGCUAGAGCUAAAGUAUCAGCUAUGCGUUUUACUUUUACAAAAUAAUCAGACAUAUGCAUUGCACCUUUCUUAAUAGUUUGAAUCUGCAUUCUAAGUGUUUGAAUUCUAGCUUGUGAUUGAGAGAUAAACAUACUAGCAAGAGUCUCCCAAAGCUGUUUUGAAGUUGUAGAAUCAAUCACAGUAGCAAGCAGAUUUUGCUGUAUCGAUGACAUCAUCCAACUCAGUAAGAGUUGGUCAGUCUUCAUCCAAGCUACGAAUUCUGGAUUAAUAGAUCUGGAUCCAGAUUCAGUUAAAACUUCAGCUCCAUUGUUGUUUCCAGAAGAAAGAAACUGCUCAGGACAUUCUCGAUCGCCAUUGAUAAAUCCUUCCAAACCGUUUCCUUUGAUUGAAGUUAAAAUUUGUGUGCGCAACAGAAUGAAGUUGUUUUGAUCUAGCUUUACUGGCGUAACAAAACUGAAAGAGUUGUUGUUUUGAACUAUAUUUGCCAUUUAUGGCUCUGAUACCAUGAAAGAAACUUAGUUCUAUAUUGUUUGGUAGGCUAGAAAAUGAAAGGAAAUAAAAGAAAAGCUUUGCAAAGAAAUCUGUUAGAUCUUUUAUUAUUCCAAACUUACAGUUUAAUGACUACUAAUUGAUAUUUAUAUUGAGCUACAAUCUCUUAACAUACACACGAGAUUGUUGUAACACAACCAUUGCUGUAUAACUAACUUGACACAUCAGCUCAACCAGCUAACUAACUUUGACAGGCCAGCUUAAUGAUUUGAUCUGCUACAACCAGCUACACAGCACAUCAUGCUCUGCUCCAGCUACACAGCAACAACAUGCUCUGCUCCAGCUUCAUCUAAUUCACUAACACUAGCUUUUCCUUUUGUUUAUUAAAUUUUUUUAUGGUCACAAAGUAUUACUCGUUCUAUUUGACAAUGAUGUGAAUCAAUUUUUCAAUUUUAUAUUUUGUGGUCAACGUGAAUUCAAUUUCAUUUGUCUCCUGCAAUUAUGAAAAAAUUACAGUCAUAAUAUGGGGAAACCUGUGGUGCAACUGUGGUACCAUGUCACAGUUGCAUCCAGCCGUUGGAUGCCAAUAGAUCCCACCAAUUUAAGUGCAUCCAACAGCUGGAUAUAACUAUAGCACGGUACCACAAUUACACCGUAACUUGAUCCCAUAAUAUGGAAAAGUACACCGGCAGAAACUUUGUAAAAGCUUCGGAGUGAUACGGGGAAUUCACUUACUACUAAAGACAGUUGGUGGCAACCUAAUGUCCAUCCAUCUAUUUAGUUAUUGAAGAUUAGUGGUCCAUUUGUAAAUUUCAGAUUGUCUCUCUCUCUCUCCCUCUUGAAAUAACAAUAUUUAAUAUAUCUAUUAAAUUAUUAUAAAUUUUAAUUUACUCUCGAUUUAAAAUGGAGCAUGUCGAUAAAUUUUUUUUCUUCUUAAUAAAAUUGACGUAAGUUGUGUUUACAGUAGUUUGAAGUUUGAAAUAUUUUAAAGAUUAUUAUUCUAUAAGGGAGUAAUAUGAACUGAAAUUUACUUUUCAUGUGUGAAAUGAAAAACGACGAAGCAAGUGUCCCUGCUUUUAUUUUAUUUCAAGGAGGAGUCAUCUCACAUACUUUAGCUCUUAACAUUACAUUUUUUCUGGUUACAUUUUUAUUUUUUAUUUUUUUUAACACAUGCGUGUGGGAUGCUUUUCUGUAAGCUCCUUAAUAUAUAUUUAAGACAAAUCAUGGAAGAGAUGGGAUUAUAUCAAGAUGAUCAAAGCAUGUAAAAAAAGAAAAAAGAAAAAAAAAUUAAGAAGUAAGACACUGAAAAUGGAGAAGAGAUGGAAGCAAAAGAUAUUCCAAACAAAGCAAUCUAUCCCCUUUCGAGGGCAGACUUAUCAGGUUUAAAAAAGUACAUGCUUUGGAUUGGUAGUUACAAUCAAGGGAAAAUAAAUAGGAUCCAAUGAAAUUUAAAUCUUGGAGAAAAUAAAUAAUCAUGCAGAUUUUCAAGAUUUUAAUAAGGGAUACUAAUAUCUUAUUUUGAUUAAUAACAUUCUUUCACUGUGUUAACUCAAAAAAAAUAUUAUAAUGCUUUACAAUAAAUACAAAUGUCCUAUUAAAUGAAUAUAUAAAAAAUUUAGAAUAUUAUAUAAAAUAAUUUUAAUAUAAUGCGUGAGAUAUAUUUUAUUAAUUUAAAAUGUCAUUUUACCUAAAAAAUAUGAUAAAUUGAUAAUUACAUAUUUGAAGUUAUUUCAAAUAUUAAAAAAAUUUAAUAUUAUUAGUCUUUUAGAUAGAUUAAAUUAUUUUUUAAAGAGAUAGAUUAAAUUAUUUUAAAAUACCUUAAUUGUUUUUACUUUAAACAUUACCGGCCUUUCUUUUAUUUUAUUGCAAAUUAAUGCUAACAAGAAAAAGCUAGAUCAUAUUCCACAAAAGCAAAAGUGACAAACACAGCCAGCUGGAAUCUUUUAUAAAACUACAAAUUAAAAUGGAUUUUUUUUUUUGAUAAAUUACACAUGAAAGUGGAUUCUUUUGAAUAUAAGUGGGGUAGGCUCUUUUAUUUUAUUUUUGAAUAUUGUAUAACGGGACUGUAGACUCUUUUAUUAAACUACAAAUUGUAUAGUCUUUUUAAAAUUGUUAUAAAUUAGUGGCCCCUAAAAUCCUCAACAAUUGUACCGAUAUUCACAAGUUGGUGGCCCCUACAAUUCUGUUCAGUUAAUUUAACUGUGCAAGUGCUCAUUCACAAUCUUCCAGGUCAUGCUCUUAAUAAUUUUUUUUUUUUUUUCUGCAUUCCCUUUCAUGCUCUUAAUAAUUGAAGAGCAUACUUUUCAUUUUCAAAUGUGGAGCCGCAGCUAAUGUCGUUAAUUUAAUUUGGGAUUAAAUUAGGGGACCAUUAUAUUGCAGUGUGCACUAAUUUUUGUGUUUAUCUAAACUCCUUAAAUUUAAGACAUAUUAUGGCAUAAAUAAGAAUAUAACAAUAACAAAAGAGUUAGAAAGUGUAGAGAAGAUCUUGCAGAAAUAUAAAUAAUAUCUAUUUUAAAAUAAUUUUUAAUAUUUUAUGAUCCAUUAGAUAUAUUUUAUUAUAUUAAAGUAAAUUUUAUAAUAAAUGAAAACAUACUAUUAAAAUGAAUAUAUAGAAAAUUUAGAGUAUUUUAAAUAUUAUAUAAAAUAAUUUUAAUAAAAUAUGUGAGAUAUUCAUAUUUUAUUAAUUUAAAAUACCAUUUAACCUAAAGAUUUAUUUAUGAUAAAUUAAUAAUUAUAUUUUUGAAAUUACUUCAAAUAUUAAAAAAAUUAAUAUUACUAAUCUAUUAGAUAGAUUAAAUUAUAUAUAUUAUUUUCUAUUUAUUAAAAAAUUAAAAUUAUUUUUAAUUACUAUUCAAAAAAUAUAAUGAUAAAAAAAAAUCUUAACAUCUUUAUUAAAAAUUUAAAAUUUACAUGAUCAAUUCUCUAAAUAUUUAGGGUAUAUGUGAACAUCGGUGGAGAAGCUUUAUUUAAUAUUAUUGAUUUAAAUAAUAUGUCAAUUAAAAAUGUGCGGAGAAGAAAUUUCGGUGGGUAUUUUAGUCUUUUCAGCAAUUAUCAUGAUCAGAUCAGCCUUUAGCCUUGAAACGUCGGUCAGAAAGUUUUAAAAUUAACGCUAACAAGAAAAAGCUAGGUCAUAUUCCACAAAAGCAAAAGUGACAAAACAACCAGUUGGUUUCUUUUACUAAACUACAAAUUAAAAGUGGAUUCUUUUGAAUACAAGUGGGACAGACGAUUAGGCUCUUUUUAUUAAAGGCAAGUAAAAAGUAGUCGAAUAGUCUUUUUCAAAUUCUUGUUUUAAUAUUUUUCAAAACUAGUUUUUGGUAAUUACAAUCGGGUCAUUCAUUAAUCAUUAUUCAGAGUAAUUAUGAAUUUCCCAAUUAUAAUUACUAACUGUUUUUCCUUAACCACUCGGCUCAGCCCGAGUGGCCAGGGCUGCUGCCCUCCAAGUUCGAACCCCCACAAAAGUAUUGUGGGGGUAUUUUCUUUCUCAAUUAAUUUGAGUGAAGGUAGUCUUUUCCUUUAUCCAUGAGUGAGGAGUAGACAUCCCUCGAAUAUUUGUGAGGGUUAAAAUCUGAGUAGAGCUCUAUUAGCAUUGAUGUAAGUUGAUCCCAGUAAUUGUCUGAUCUGUAAAUAUCAGGUUAAAAUCUGGGCAAAGCUCCAUUAGCAUUGAUGUAAGUUGAUCCCAGUAAUUGUCUGAUCUAUAAAUAUCAGUUAUAGUCUCAUGUAAUAUGAGUUGUAAUCUGAGCAAUAGUCUCGUGUAAUAAAAAAAAAAAAAAACUAUUUUUCCUUCAAAAGUUAGAGACUCGUGUUUGCAACUUGCAAGUGUGAAUGUGCAAUGCUCUUUGUCUAAAGGCUAGUGUUUCUAGUGGGUCCCGACUCGAGCGUGCCUAAAUCAUUUUAAAAUUUUUCCCGUAUAAUGGACAGAGGUCAUUACUAAAAUUUCUCUUCCACAGGCAAUUACAGCAGCUCCAGUUUAUCAAACUCAACCAAUUUUCUUUCUUAACAAAAUUCCAAAGAUGUGUAGCUUUUUUCAGAUCACAUGCGAUGGUGCUCUUUUCAAUCGUUGCUUGGAUUGCUUUCUUGGAAAAGCAGCAUACAUACGUAACCUCCAAGAUAAUCUUGAUGCCUUGGAGACUGAAUUGGGAAAUCUGAUCGCUAAAAAGAACGAUGUGAUGAGGAGGGUUGUCGAUGCUGAACGGCAACAAAUGAGAAGGCUGGACGGAGUGCAAGUGUGGGUUUCGAGGGUGGAUGCUUUUAAAACUGGAGCCGAUGAACUUAUCAUAGACGGCUCUGAAGAAAUUGGCAAAUUAUGUGUUGGAGGCUACUGUUCCAAGAACUGCAGGUCAAGCUACAAAUUCGGAAAACAAGUGGCUAGAAAGCUACGAGAUGUGGAGACUUUAAUCGCCGAGGGAGUUUUUGAGGCGGUGGCUACUGAGGUGGUGCCUGAGAGAGCUCCAGAGCCUGUAGCAGAUAAAAGACCCAUUGAGCCAACAAUAGUAGGCUUGCAAUCACAGCUUGAACAAGUUUGGAGAUGUCUUGUAGAAGAAUCAGUGGGAAUCAUUGGCCUAUAUGGUAUGGGCGGUGUUGGUAAAACCACACUAUUGACCCAUAUCAACAAUAAAUUUCUUGAGAGUCCCACAAACUUUGAUUGUGUGAUUUGGGUCCUAGUUUCAAAAGACCUGCGACUUGAAAAAAUUCAAGAAGAUAUUGGGAAGAAGAUAGGUUUGGUUGAUGAUUCAUGGAAGAAUAAAAGUUUUGAAGAGAAAGCUGUGGACAUCCUGCGGAGAUUAGGAGAGAAGAGAUUUGUAUUGUUGUUAGAUGAUUUAUGGGAGCGGGUUGAUUUAACAGAAGUGGGCGUUCCACUUCCCAGCGCACAAAAUACUACCUCAAAAGUCGUAUUCACAACCCGUUCCAUUGGUGUUUGUGGCAGCAUGAGAGCUAGGCCGGUUAAAGUGGCAUGCCUAUCAGAAAAGCAAGCUUGGGAACUGUUCCGCGAAAAUGUUGGGGAAGAAACUCUUGAGAGUGAUCAUGAGAUCGUUGAGCUAGCCCAAACUGUAGCCAAAGAGUGUGGUGGUUUGCCACUCGCACUUAUUACUAUUGGUCGAGCUAUGGCCAACAGAAAUACAGCUGAGGAGUGGAGACAUGCAAUUGAAGUAUUAAAAAGGUCAGCUUCGGAGUUUGCGGGUUUGGAAAAAGAUGUAUAUCCUCUUUUAAAGUUUAGUUAUGAUAGUUUGCAGAAUGAGACGAUUAGAACUUGUUUCUUAUAUUGCUGUUUGUAUGCGGAAGAUUAUGUCAUUCCUAAAUGGGACUUGAUUGAUUGUUGGAUUGGUGAGGGAUUCUUAGAGGAAUCUCACGGUUUUGGUGCAGAAAACCAAGGAUACUACAUUGUGGGCACUCUUGUUCGUGCAUGUUUAUUAGAAGAGGUGGAAGAUGAUGAAGUAAAAAUGCAUGACGUUAUUCGUGAUAUGGCUAUAUGGAUAACCUGUGAAAUUGAGAAGGAGAAGAGAAACUUUUUGGUUCGUGCAGGUGCUGGAUUAAAAGAGGCACCGGAUGUUAAAAGAUGGGAAAAUGUGAGAAGAUUGUCAUUGAUGCAAAACCAAAUUGAAACUCUGUCAGAGGUUCCCACAUGCCCUCAUCUCCAUACUCUAUUUCUUGCCUCUAAUAAUAGUUUGCAGAGGAUCACCGAUGGCUUCUUCCAACUUAUGCCUUCUCUCAAAGUUUUGAAGAUGUCAAACUGCUGGAAUUUUACUUUGAAAUUACCUUUGGCGAUGUCAGAGUUGGGUUCGUCACUAGAACUUCUUGAUAUUUCAUAUGCCAGCAUAACAGAGUUACCAGAAGAGUUAAAGUUGUUGGUAAAUCUGAAAUGUUUGAAUUUGAGGUGGACAGAUACGUUAAAUAAAAUUCCACGGCAACUAAUAUCAAUUCUUUCAUGGUUACGUGUGUUGAGAAUGUUGGGUACUGGCUGGUUCAAUUUUCUUGAAGCACCAGAAGACAGCGUUUUAUUUGGUGGGGGUGAAGUUUUGAUACAGGAAUUGCUCGGUUUGAAAUAUUUAGAGGUAUUGGAGUUGACCUUGGGAAGUUAUCAUGCUCUCCAAAUUCUUUUGAGCUCAAAUAAGUUAAAAAGUUGUAUUCGAUCUCUUUACCUCCAUUUGACCGGAGAUACAGCGUCAAUUAUUGAUGCUACGGUUUUCGCAGAUCUAAACCAACUCAAUCAAUUAUGGAUUGAUGAAGGUAUUGAGUUGGAAGAAUUGAAGAUUGAUUAUACGGAGAUAGUACGAAAAAGGCGGGAACCUUUUGUUUUCCGCAGCCUUCACUGUGUUCGUAUAGAGCAGUGCCAUAAAUUGAAAGAUGUGACAUUCCUCAUUUUUGCUCCAAACCUCAAGUCUCUUGACCUAUCCUACUGCUCUUCUAUGGAAGAAGUAAUCAGCGUCGGAAAAUUUGCUGAGACUCCUGAGAUGAUGGGACAUAUAAGCCCUUUUGAAAAUCUCCAAAGUCUUCAUUUAUCGCAAUUGCCAGCUUUGAAGAGCAUCUACUGGAAGCCAUUGCCUUUCACUCAUCUCAAAGAAAUAUCUGUGGGUUAUUGCCGUAAUCUUAAAAAGCUUCCACUCGAUUCCAACAGUGCAAAGGAGCGUAAAUUUGUAAUUCGUGGAGAAGAAGACUGGUGGAACCGACUUCAAUGGGAGGAUGAAGCCACUCAAAUUGCUUUUCGUUCCUGUUUCCAACCAAUGGGAGUACUGAGCGGUGGUCGCAAAAUUUGAUUUCUGGUGAGUGCGUUUGUCUUUUAAAAGCAGAAUUUAAAAGAAAUUUAUUCUUGUCGUUUUCUUCUCUGUUUUUAUUUGAUUUCUGGUUAGUUUCUCUCUCGCACUGCCAUUACUGUUUUAAUUUCCUGUCAAAAGACGAGCGAGAAGAACAUAUAUAUGACGUAAACCAAUUGAUAAAUAUUAAUUGCCUGUUCUCUGUUUUUAUUAAGUAUACUUUAUUUUGCCCUGUUCUCUGUUUUUAUUUCAUUCUCUCUCUCUCCCUCUCUUUCCUGUCUUCUGCAAGUCAUAAUUAAAUGUUGAAUUAUAUGGAAUUAAUGCUUUAUAAAUCUGCCUACGCUGGCUUUUUUUUUUUUUUUUGUGGGGUCGAAUUGAUGCUCUGGUUUUCGACUACUUUUUGUUGUCAAAAUUUUCUCUGUUUUUUCAAAUUGAUGCUUUAUUUAUAUCUUCUUCGUGAAAAGUGAUUUAAUUUCCUGCCAAAAGACGAACGAGAAGAACAUUAGAGUCUAACUAAUGCUCACAUAAAUUUCCCGUAAGAAUAUAUAUAUAAUUAGACUGGAAUGCACACCUCUAGAUUGAACAGAAUUAAAGCUGAGAAAAUAUUGAGUAUAGUAGCCCUCUUUACAGAAAAUGACGCGAAAGUUAAUUUAGAAAAAGAUAUAUUCUUGAUUAAUCCAUUUUCUGAAGUUUUUUAUUUUGUAUGGUCAAUUAUACCUUCAUACUAAAAAUUUCUGAAGUUAUGGGGUUGUUGGAUGUGUUUUGGAUAUUUGCAGCUAAGUUUGAGUUUAUAUCUCAACUUAAAAUUUGUAGUUUUCACUUGAAAAAAUUCAGUUAAAAAUUUAUUGGUAGAAUUGUGAAAAAAGUUAAAAUUUUUAGUUCAACCCGAUUGCAUAUUUAAGAACAUCUCAAAUGAAUUGCUUACUGCUAUCAUCAUCAUUAUUGUCCAUAUAAUAAUGGAUCUUUAUUAUAUAUAUAUAUGUUUCCACUAAAAUAUAUUUAAUUAUUCUUUAUUUUUCCAUUGUUGCGUGUAAGAUUUAUUUGAGUUCUAAGUUAUAUCAAUACAAAUGUUAUCUUAUCCAUAAAAAAGUUAGAUCCAACAAUUAUGAAAAUUACCAUAGAGUUGCUUUCAAUUAUUUUUUAAAAAUACCAGGAGUAAAUAAUAAUUAGUUCAAGUGGUGUAGACUAAAAAGUGUUCACCUUUAUUUUUUAUCUGUUAUUUAUUUAUUUCAUUAAUGCACAUGCUAUACAUUUGAGACACUCCAUCCUAUGCAAUGUGAAUAAAUUUCUUUCCUUUUUCCUUUACUCUUUUUAUUUGACAAUAAAGUUUCCAUCUAUCAUCUAUCAUCUAUCAUCUAUGUACGCAAAAUUUCUGCAACAAGUACAAAACAUAAAAAUAUAUAUGAUUGUUAAGGGAAACACGCAGAAGUUCAUCAUUUCAAUGUUCAGUAUUACCAAUUUUGGCAUUAAGCUUGUACGAAUAUAUUCCACUUAGAAAGCAAAAUAUUAGACUCAUGAUUUUAAUUCAUUCAUUAUCUCUCAUUUUAAUCCCAAAAUAUUCAAGAGUAUCCAAGUUACCAUAAGACUUCAGAGGCUCGAGCCUUAGCCAGAGAUGGUUAAUUGAUAGACUAUGUGCCUGGGUCGAGCACUGGAAGCCUGCAAUGCAGACUGAUUGAUUUAUCAGUUUGACGUGUGCCAGGAAUGAAGAACUGGAAUAUCACCGUCAAGCACGCACCCUGUGGAGCAAUACCAAAGAAUGCACAAUCUGGCUUUGCUAGGUGACACUGGAGGCUUUUUGAAAAGUGCUUCACGCUCACUUGCACAGAUUGAGCAUCCCCUCCGGAUAUUGCCCUCUCUGAUCGAGUCCGAGCACUCAAAUUUCAAUCCUCAGAUGGAGCUACAGCUUUCUCUCCAAUAACCAACAAUUUUCUAAACUCAGCUCCUAGUGUGAUGAGAGUUGUUGAUAUUUGUAAAUGGAGAUCCCCAUAUUUGCAAAUGGAGACAUUUAACAAAUCACCAACAUGCUUCAUUCGGUCUACGAAAUUCUGCAGCUGAUUCAAAUCCGGAACCUGAACCAGAGUCGGAGGUAAAUCUUGAGCCAUAUCUAAAGCAGUCUGAAGUUCAAGUACUUGAGCCCUUGACAAUGGUUUUGAAAUAGGAACAUCUUGGAUUACUGCAGACUUGUACCCCUUGGUUUCAAAGGUAAGGAAAGGCAUUGCUUGAGUACAAUUUGGAGGCAGCUUCUUCACCAAUUUUAUUUGGAGGCGAUUGGCAGCGGAUCCAGCUGCACCAAUUUCAGAGCAAAUACUGACACUACUUCGAACAGCACACUGAAGAAGUGAUAUGUCUACGGCAAAGGCAAUGCAGUCCUCAUUUUGGCUUGAGAUGCAGUAAUCAUCGAAGAGAGUUUCCUUGUGAAACUGGGCAACACAUUGAAUCCCUUCGCCACUGAGAAGGUUGUGGAGGAAGUAAGCUUUCUCUCUAGUGAGGAAGAGGUGGCAUACCUUCCCCAUUUUGUCUAGGGCAGGUAGGAAUCAUUUUUCUAAGAGAUUUACUUCAUUCUCUGUGAGAAAUGAAUUGAACUUCAUCCCUCUGUCUCUAUCCUCACUUAUCAGAAAAUAAGUUGAAAGCACUUCGGAGAGAGAGAGAGAGAGAAUUAAGAUAUAUAGACAAGAAAAAUAUUAGACGUUGAUCUUACAAACUAAUACUUCAAGCAGUAUCCUAGAAAGCUAAAAACUGCAAGAUGGCUUGAAAUUUGAAAAGAGCACGUGCUUUUCCUCCUUAACUUGAGAAAAUGUUUAAUAUAGUGCACCUACAGAAGCAUUUAAGCAAUUAGAACUUUGCACAAAAACAUCAAGAAGACUAAACAAAUCAGAUGCAGUGUAUUUGUCCAAGCACAAAUUGCAUUUUGUCCUCAACUUUAAUAUUUAUUGAUGAGAAUCAAUACAGGUCCCUCAUUUGAUAUAGAAAGCUUUCUUUCUUGUAGUCUCACCAGUUAAUUCACAGGUCUAUAAUCAUCUUGCAAAGUUAAGGGCAUUUCUUUCGAUCUAAAGUCUUUGCAUCACCACCUCAUCACACGCCAAGCCAAUAUUCCAUUUACCUCUACAACAAAAAGUUUUAAGUAAACAAUCCUAAUGCACGCAGCCAAAUAAAAUGCAGUAAGAAUAUUCAACUUAAAAAUCUGAAAGCCGACUUGGUGAAUUGCCUCCUUAGGUGAAGUUCCAUGCUUUACUAUAGUUGACAGAACUCAGCAAAAGCUUCCAUACAACAGAUUUUGAAAAUGAUGAUGCCAAUAGAUACUCAUUCAAUCCAUUGAAAAUCCAAAGGUUCAUUGUUAAUAGAAGUUUACAGAGUUUUGGUCAUCAAAUAGCUCAGACCUAAUCCCAAACAAAAAACGAGUGAAAAUUAGAUCACGAGCAGCUGAUUGUAAAUUCUAACUUAACUCUUCAUCUCCUUUGUAAACAAGAAACAAAAUGGAGACACGCAAAAUGAAUAUGGAGAAAAUUUGAACUCAAAUGAAAUGAGGGCACGAAAGCAAACAAAUGGCAUGCACAAAAAAACCAAGCCUCAAUCAAAAACUAAUUAACCAUUAAGAAAAAAAUUGGUCAGAUAAUGAACUACAAAUUCAGGAGUCAAGCAAGAAGCUUUCAUUAUUUCAGAAGCUCCUGUACAAAUUAAUAAGUUAUGCUCUUUGGAAGCAAACCUAAAUUCCAAGAGAAACAGAACCCAAAAAAUUUGCAAUUAUACGCAAAGGGAGUGAAGCACAGGAUUCUAUCACACAUAGGAAUUGUAUAACAAGAGAUCGAUAUAUCGAAUUAGAAAACUCAAUUCGAAUUUGUGUCAAAAAUCAAAAUUAGAAGAUUUCACAUUUCGAGAGGAACAAGCAACAGAUGAAGUUCAAAAUUUCAGCCAUAACAUGCUAAAAAUGCUACACUUAACGGUUCAUUUUCAUGGAUUUUCUCGGGAAACAAACAGAAAAUUACGGUUUAGAGAUUUGACUGACCUUUUGGCUUUUGAAAUUGAGAAGAUCGCACGCCAAAUUGGAAGAGGGAAAGUGAAAGUGCGAGUUUUAAUAUGGGUAUUAGAUAAGGAAAUUUUAUUAGGUUGCGAGGGUAAAAAAGGAAAGAGAUAUCAUUGUUUUAUUAUCGAUAAUUAUUAAAUUUUUUUCCAAAAAAAAAGAACAAGCAAGGAUAUUUUAUUGUCAUUUGCAACCUUUAAUUUUUUAAAUGCUAUUAGAAACACAAGACAAUAAAGAAAUACUUAUUUUUUUCUAAAACUAAAAUCAAUUGUUUAAAAAAAAUUGUUUCAAAAUUACUUGAGUCAUAUCCAAUGGACCAACAAAGUAAUCGUUUUUAUUUUUAUUGAUUUUUGCAGGAAAUUAAUAACUUAAAAAUACUGAAAGCUAUUGUAAAAAUUUUUAUUAUCAACCUCAUAGUUUUUUUUUUUUUUUUUGGGAAGAGAAUUCAAACUUUUUUUUUUAUGAAUAUCGCUGUUUCGUUUGAGUUGGAUGUGAAUUCAAAUACAAAUAUUCUUUGUUUUUCAAUUCUGAACUCAAUUUCUUUUUUUCAAGAAUGUUAUGCAGAAAUGAUUUUUACUGAACGGCAACAAAUGAAAAGGCUGGGCCAAGUGGAAUGGUGGGUUUCGAGGGUGGAUGCUGUUAAAAUUGAAGCUGAUGAACUUAUCAGAGACGGCUCUCAAGAAAUUGACAAAUUGUGUGUUGGAGGCUACUGUUCUAAGAACUGCACGUCAAGCUACAAGUUCGGGAAACAAGUGGCUAAAAAGCUACGAGAUGUGGAGACUUUAAUCGCUGAAGGAGUUUUUGAGGCGGUGGCUACCGAGGUGGUGCCUGAGAGAGCAGAGCCUGUAGCAGAUGAAAGACCUACCGAGCGAACAGUAGUAGGCUUGCAAUCACAACUUGAACAAGUCUGGAGAUGUCUUGCAGAAGAAUCAGAGGGAAUCAUUGGCCUAUAUGGUAUGGGCGGUGUUGGUAAAACUACAUUACUGACCCAUAUCAACAAUAAAUUUCUCGAGAGUCCAACCAACUUUGAUUGUGUGAUUUGGGUAGUAGUUUCAAAAGACCUGCGACUUGAAAAAAUUCAAGAAGAUAUUGGGAAAAAGAUAGGUUUGGUUGGUGAUUCAUGGAAGAGUAAAAGUGUAGAGGAGAAAGCUGUCGACAUCUUCCGGAGUUUAAGAGAGAAGAGAUUUGUAUUGUUGUUAGAUGAUAUAUGGGAGCGGGUUGAUUUAACAAAGGUGGGCGUUCCACUUCCCGGACCCCAAAAUACUACCUCAAAAGUCGUAUUCACAACCCGUUUCAUCGAUGUUUGUGGUAGCAUGGAAGCUGACAGGAAGUUCCAAGUGGCGUGCUUAUCAGAAAAGGAUGCUUGGGAACUGUUUCGAGAAAAAGUUGGGGAAGAAACUCUUCAGAGUCAUCAUGAUAUCGUUGAGCUAGCCCAAAUUGUGGCCAAAGAGUGUGGUGGUUUGCCACUCGCACUUAUUACUAUUGGUCGAGCUAUGGCCUGCAAAAGGACAGCCGAGGAGUGGAGACACGCAGUUGAAGUGCUAAGAAGAUCAGCUUUUGAGUUUGCAGGUUUGGGAAAAGAGGUAUAUCCUCUAUUAAAGUUUAGCUAUGAUAGUUUGCAGAAUGAGACGAUUAGAUCUUGUUUCUUAUAUUGUUGUUUAUAUCCCGAAGAUUAUGGAAUUCUUAAAUGGGACUUGAUUGAUUGUUGGAUUGGUGAGGGAUUCUUAGAGGAAUCUGACAGGUUUAGUGCAGAAAACCAAGGAUACUACAUUGUGGGCACUCUUGUUCAUGCAUGUUUAUUAGAAGAGUUAGAAGAUGAUAAAGUAAAAAUGCAUGACGUUAUUCGUGAUAUGGCUCUAUGGAUAACCAAUGAAAUUGAGAAGGAGAAGAGAAACUUUUUGGUUCGUGCAGGUGCUGGAUUAAAAGAGGCACCGGAUAUUAAAGGAUGGGAAAAUGUGAGAAGAUUGUCAUUGAUGCAAAACCAAAUUAAAACUCUGUCAGAGGUUCCUUCAUGCCCUCAUCUCCAUACUCUAUUUCUUGCCUCUAAUGAUAAUUUGAGGAUGAUCACAGAUGGCUUCUUUCAAUUUAUGCCUUCUCUCAAAGUUUUGAAGAUGUCAAACUGUGUGGAUUGGCCAGUUUCGAAAUUACCUUUGGCGAUGUCAAAGUUGGGUUCACUACAACUUCUUGAUAUUUCACAUACCGGCAUAGAAGAGUUACCAGAAGAGUUGAAGUUGUUGGUAAAUCUGAAAUGUUUGAAUUUGAGGUGGACAUUUGAGUUAAAUAAAAUUCCAUGGCAACUAAUAUCAAAAUUUUCAAGGUUACGUGUGUUGAGAAUGUUCGCUACUGGCUUUGCCCGUUUUGAUGAAGCAUCAGAAGACAGCGUUUUAUUUGGUGGGGGUGAAGUUUUAGUACAGGAAUUGGUCGGUCUGAAAUAUUUAGAGGUAUUGGAGUUGACCUUGGGAUGUCAUCAUGCUCUCCAAAUUUUUUUGAGAUCAAAUAAGUUAAAAAGUUGUAUUCGAUCUCUUCUCCUCCACUUGGCCGGAGAUACAACGUCGAUUAUCGAUGCUACGGCUUUCGCAGAUCUAAACCACCUCAAUGAAUUAUGGAUUGAUAGGGCUAAGGAGUUGGAAGAAUUGAAGAUUGAUUAUACAGAGAUAGUUCGAAAAAGGCGGGAACCUUUUGUUUUCCGCAGCCUUCACCGUGUUACUAUACAUAGCUGCCAGAAGUUGAAAGAUACGACAUUCCUCGUUUUUGCUCCAAACCUCAAGUCUCUCGAUCUAGACCGUUGCGAUGCUAUGGAAGAAAUAAUCAGCGUCGGAAAAUUUGCUGAGACUCCUGAGAUGAUGGGACAGAUAAGCCCUUUUGAAAAUCUCCAAAUGCUUGAUUUAGAAGAUUUGCCACAUUUGAAGAGCAUCUUCUGGAAGCCAUUGACUUUCACUCAUCUGAAAGAAAUAUCUGUGGGUUAUUGCCGUAAUCUUAAAAAGCUUCCACUCGAUUCCAACAGUGCAAAGGAGCGUAAAUUUGUUAUUCGUGGAGAAGAAGACUGGUGGAACCGACUUCAAUGGGAGAAUGAAGCCACUCAAAUUGCUUUUCGUUCCUGUUUCCAAUCUCUUUUUGAUUAACUCUUAUACAUUUUCUCGUCGUUUGCUUCGUGCAAAAAAGACUACGUCUUUUGUUCUCUGUUUUUAUUUCAGUUUCGUUUGUUGUCUCCUGCAAAUCACAAUUAAAUGUUGAAUUAUAUGGAAGUAACGCUUUAUAAAUUUUCCGGCACUGCCAUUUCUUUUUCCUCUUUUUUUUUUUGGGUCGAAUUGAUGCUCUGGCUUUUUUACUUUUUGUCAUCGAAUUUUGCUCUGUUUUUCAAAUUGAUGCUUGAAUAUGUGAAUUCAAUUAAUGCUCACAUAAUUUUGUUUAGUUGCCGUAAAAAGAAUAUAAUUAGACUGCAAUUCGCACUCCCAGAAUGAAUAGAAUCACAACAGAGAAAAUAUUAAGUAUGCUAGCCCUCUUUACAGAAAAUCAAAUGAAAAUAAAAUUUUUUGGAUAUUUGAUUUUCUAUGGUCUACUAUAUACAGUUUAUAAAUUCUUCUGUUCUAAGGAUAACCAAAUCCUUUGUUCAAGGAUUUUUAUUUGGGGUAUUGAUAAUAGUCCACCAAAAUAGUGAAUGCUUGGAUGCUGCUUAAGGAUCUGUAAUCAAUAAGCUGGAAGCAAACGAGAAGGCGGUCGCUACUCUGUACAAAGCCAUGCAGCAAUUGCUAUUCAUCUUAAAUUCUUAAUAAUUACGAAGCUUUGGUAAAAUUUCCGAACAAAGUUGACAUGUUAUUUUGAGAUUUGGUUCCUGAUUUUGUAUGAAUAUCGCUGUUUCGUUUGAGUUGGAUGUGAAUUCAAAUCCAAAUAUUCUUUGUUUUUCAAUUCUGAAAUCAAUUUCUUUUUCUCAAGAAUGUUAUUCAGAAAUGAUUUUUACUAAAUCAUUUUUGAUGAAUUGUUUAAAUUAAACAAUUGGAAUAAGAAUUGUAACGAUUUAUCAUAAGCGUGCUAAUAUGAUAACUUAUUUUACGAACGAUUAAUUAAUUAAUCAAUUAAUGUUAAAUUAUAUAUUAAUCAAUUAGCUAUGUGUUGCAUUUAUCAUGUUUUGUAGGUGAUUCUACAUAAUUUCUAAAAGAAUAUAGUAAAAACACGUUAAAAAUUAUUUAAUGAAGAAAAUUUUAUUAAAUAGGUGACACAAUAAUAAAUGGAUUUCUGUAAGAAUUGAGAUUCUUGAGAUAAUUAUUACAUAAGGAGAAGUUUAGUUGGUUCAAUUUUGACAUGAUAAGAAGACAACACAGCACAGAAAACCCAAAUUGCCACUUCCACUAAUAAAAGAUACCUGUUUGAAAAGUAAUUAUAAACUAUCUUCUUUGUGUUAUUUCUCAAAACUUUUGUGGCACAAAUGUUAUUUCCAUUGACAACAGUACGAAAUACCACCCCUUUCACUUGAGCAGGAGCAAAGCAAAGGUAUGAUGAGCUAUCUCUGUAUAAUUGAAACGCCAUUACUAAACGAUUCUUGAUGAUGGGAGCCACCGUGCCAGCUUUGUCGCUGAUUUGCAUGAUUUAUUAGUUGUCCAGAUGGCGGAUUUUGUACUGUUACCUUCGUUUCAUUCUUCAGAGCCAUGUACAGUUCUAGGAUACCAGAGAAACCAAGGUGGCAUUGAAGUUGCCCCAGUGGUUAGUUUUCCGAUCAUUUUUUUUAUUCAAUUAUUUAUGUUUGUAGAAAAAUGUAGGAAAUAUGUAGAAAUGUUGACAGCUAUGAUUUUGAAACUUUUGCCUAAAAUUGUUAUCAUUACUUCUUGUUUCUUAUUUAAAGAGAAAUUCUAGAAACAUGAAAUGAUUAUUCUACGCUUGUUUUAAUAUUAUGCUAUGAAGAUUAUGAAGGUUUGAUUAUAUGUCACUAUCAAUUGCCUUAAUCGUUUGUCGUAAAUCAAUUAAGCAUUUUGAUGCAAAUGAUUCCCUAUUAAAAAAUUCAAGUCAGAGCUGAAUUGCAAAUUAGUUAGUCGUGCUUGCCAUUCAAAUUAAGUAUUGUAUUUUCUCCCUGAUUUGGUUGAUUCAACUAUGUGCAUUUGCUUAUGAACGUUGUAGUACAGAAAUUGAAACAUCUUGUCUUUUGCUAAGCCCAGAAGCAAAUUCUUUGUAUUCUACUCAUCAGUUUUCUUCAUUCUCUUCGUUGAAAUUUUAUCCAAACAGCGGUUUCGAAAUUGUUUUCACCACAAUACCUUAGUCUUUCAGAUGCUCCCGUCACUGAGUUGCCAGAAGAGCUAAAAGCCUUGGUAAAUCUUAAGUGUUUGAACCGGAGUACACAAAUUAUCUCUCUACAAUUCCAAAACAACUGAUUUGUUACUUUUCGAUGCUACAUGUUCUGCGAAUAUUCAGUUGUGAUUAUCUUGUUCAAAUACCAGAAAAUAGCGUUCUAUUUAGUGGUAAUGAAUUCUUGGUUUGGGAGUUGCUUAGUUUAAAACGUUUAAAUGUAUUAAGCAUCAUCUUGAAAAGUUUUUCUGCCGUCCAAAAACUUAUGAGCUCCCAAAAGUUUCAAAGCUGUACACAAUGCUUGGAGCAUAUAGGCUGUGAUGAUCCAAAGUCAUUUGCCUUGGCAGAGUUGAAACAUCUUGAAAAACUAGGUUUUUCGAGUUGUGGAAAUUUGGAAGAGUUAAAGUUCUGCUGUGUCGAAGUUGCAAAGGCUCGAGAAUGUUUUCGUUUGAACGGCCCUUGCUGAGUUAAGAUGAAGGCUUGUCAUAAAUUGUGGGAAGCGACAGGUUAUUCAAAUAGAAAAAUGUAUGGAGAUGGAUGUUAAUCUUAAGGUUAUUCAAGCAGACAAAUUCGAAUAAAACUUAUGGUAAGUGCUUUUCCAUUUAUUGCAUAUUUAUAUCUAAUUUUUAUUUUCCUUUAUUGUUAAAUUUUGCUCUAUAUUUGUUGUUGUAUGGUGGCAUUCUUGUACAAUUAUUAGCUUUUCAUUUCUCUUCUCACAUUAACUGCCCUUCUGAUCAUGUAGGAUUUGCUGAUGCAAAGAGUCAUAAUUUGGGAUACAAAUGUAAGAAUUAGACAGAUGACGUGUUGUUUUGAAGCUCUCGAAGAAGAAGGACUAAUUAUGUCAUUGAAAGCCUCCAAUUUUGUGAUUGGUUUCUUUUUAUUUUAUUUGUUGUUUUCUCUAUUUUCAGAUCGCUUAAUUGUUAGUUGUUGUAAUGUAAUGUUUUAGUAUAGAAAAUUAUAUUCGGCCAAGACAGCGAUAGGAAGGCACAUUGUGCAUGCACACUAGUGGAUUUGGCAUGCCAACUCCAAUUAGGAUGGAUAACACUUUAUAAGCAUUAGGCUUCUCUCGUACUUGAGUAAUAUAGAAUAUGUUUAUAAGUUGUGAAUCACCCUUUAUAAGUGUUAGGCUUCUGCUAUACUCAGUGAUGUGAAAUAUAUUUAUAAGCACUAAACUUCUCCCAUACACUUUAUGUUAAAAAUAAUAAUAAUAAUAAUAAUAAUAAUAAAAUAAACCCAUUUUAACAGACUCUUUUUUCUUUUUCUAUAUGAACAAAUGCAUUCUUCAAAGCAAUUGUGGGUAGAAGAAGUGAGUAGAGAAGAACUGGGCCCCUUUCAUUCCCCUAAAACCUCACCAAAACCUCUCUUGUAAGCUUUUCGGAUUUUCUUUCUAUAUUUCUUAGGAACUCAUUUUUUAUUGAAUCACUUCUUUUGCAUGCUGCAUUUUUUGUUUGUCGUAUUUGGGUAUUAUCUUAUCUGGAAUACUGUUAUGAUUGAUGGAACAAGUAAUCGAUUUUUGGUCUAAUGGAAGUUGAUUUAUUUAUUUAUUGUUAUUUUUAUUUGAAAUUAUGUACAAUUGCAUUUCAUUCAUUUCUCUCUCUCUUUUUCUUUUUUUCCCCCCAUAUAUUUGUUAUGUAUAAUUGCGUUUCAUUUAAUAUUGAUCAUACUGUAGGUAACCAUGUGAUUGUAGAUUGGGAUUUCAAGUUUGUUGAAUAUUCAUGUAAGUGAAGUAACCGUCACAAUACUAGUGAAAUUGGGAGCUUUAUUCAUGAGUUUGUGGUUUUGAAAAGAACCACAGUUCAACUGAUGAAGGCUCCUUUUUGGGAUUCUUCUUUUUCUAGGCUGCAAUUAGGAUAUGUACAUGAUAGACAAUCUUUUGUUGGCUUGGCAUAUCUUCGCUGAUUUUUUCUUUUAUUCCCCAAUUUUAUAAUUACACACCAUGAAUGUUGGGUGAUUGUAUAGAAAAUUUGUGUUAUAACAAAAACAUUGUGAAGGAGUUUCCGUGCUAAUAGUUAGUGGCUUCUGUUUUAUUGGCAUUGAUUGGGUAGAUUACGUGUUACAGUGAUUCAAUUUGUGUUCCAAACUUUGCUUUAAUUUUCUGUUUUCCCCAACUAUUUAUGUCAAAUUUAAAUCCAGAAGCAUGUACUGAUUUUUUCUUUUUGUAUUAAUCUGUGAAGUUUAUUUGGAAUGGAAGUAACUGGGUCGGGUCUAAUGGAUUAAAUUAUGACAUUGAGGGGAAGGCACUAAAAGGGUUUGCUUGACACAUUUGGUUCUGUGUUUACUCUGCAAGAAAUAGCUUUUGCUUAUUGCAAUGCAGGGGGAAAUCCCGAUUUGGCUGGUGAAUUUCUCUGCAACAAACAGGCAAACACCUCAACCUCUUCUGUCCAUACUUCUGCUGGGGAGGCAAGGGGUAAAGAGUCUUCAAAAUCAUCAAAUAGUAACAUCUCUGAGAAUUCAUUUUAUGGAAAUGGAAAAUCUAGAGCUUCUAAUACAAAAUGGCAUCUGGUAUCAGGACGUACCGUUUCAAGUUUUCUUGGUAAAGAUUAUGUUAAACCUGCACAGCCAGCUAAUGGCACUUUUCUGGCAUCAAAGCCAUUGAAGUUGGAUCCAAAGGAGUUUCCCAUGUCUGCACUUUGCAGAGAAGAAUCUAAACCGAAACAAUCAAAGGAUGACCAUUUGCAGAAGGACAUGGAAGAUUUUCUGUUUAAAUUUCCAGGAGAAGGGUUCCAGCUGAACAGGGAUGUGAUUCAGGAGGUUCUCGGUAAUGUCUUAAAUAUAUUGAUGCCAAUUUAAUACAUAUUGUCCUUUUCAAUGUUCUUUCUUUCUUUCUUUCUCUUCUUUUAUUCUUCUUCUUCUUCUUUUUUCUUUUCGUGUGCAUGUGAUUGCUAAUUUUGUAUUAUUUUUAACUUGCAGAUAGUUGUGGAUAUGAUAUGCAAAAGGUAAGGACUAUAUCCUCCUGAUAGAGGCCUCUGCUUUUUCCCUUCUAUGUACGUAAUUUAGUAAAUCGCAUAUUCUAUAUAUCAUACCAAAAUCCUGUCUUAAAUGCUGCUGGCAUAUGUUAAGGUUCAACUUGCAUUUUGAUUAACGUCCAUUUGCUACGGCUUCCAAAAUUGAGAAUGAGAUACUUUGGUUAAUUUCAGUAGUUGAACCCAAUAGGGUACUUUAUUUAGAUCUUCAUGGUUCAAAGGCCCGAAAAAACUUGCAGGUAUUUGCAAAAUGACAUUCUGUGCUUUUAUUUAUACUUAUUAUUUAAGUGAUAAAAAUUCCCCAAACCUGCGGUCAAGAAAAUUUCAGACAGUUAAAGACUCCAUUUUGUUUCAGCCAAAAAUGUUUAUUUCAAUUAAAGAUUUGAACCAUUUUCAUUUAACCUGAUUGUGAUGCUUUACAUUGUGCACGUUCCUUUCGAUCAAUAAACGUUGAGGUCAUGAUUUUAUAUUCCUAUAUUGUAACCUAAAAUAAUAGUUGGUUUGCCUGUUUCUGUAGCUUGAUAACAUGAAUUUUCCUUCUGAAGUUACUUUGAUCAAUAAAGUUAUUCUUCGGAGAAGAUAUGCCCAUUCUAUAAUCAUUUUCUUAGCUAAUAUGUUUUUUUCACUCUUCUGAGCAUGUCUAAACUAAUUGAUCGCUCGGCAGAGACUGUGGGUAAGAAAACAAAAUUUCAUGGUAAAUCCUCUUAAAAGGUAUGCAUAAUUGAAAUGACCCGCCCCGAAUUCCCCUCAGGCGAGUCUAUCUAGUCUCAUCAAAACGGACUUGAUAAUAAUUCUAUUAGUAAAGACUCUGCCAAAAAUUCGGCAGAAUUUUUUUUUUUUUAUAUAUAACACUCCCAAUCUACAAAUAUGAAUAUAACACUCCCAAUACAAUUCAGUAUACAACAAACUCCAGUGAUCAACAUCUUCAACCAAAAUGCUGAGCUUUAUAUCUCCAGAGUCUCAAAAGAUAAUAUUAUAACUAAUAUUAAUAUCUUAGUUUAUUCUUAAUCCCAAAAGAAUAAUAUAACAAAAUUAUACAAUCCCAACAGGACGAGAUAACCAAGAUGUCCUAACAAAAAUAUUUAUAUCUUCUAACACCAUCACGUGGCCGAGAUUCAAAAUAUAUUUACAGUCGCUAGGUCGGUCUGGUGUACCUGCAACCUCCUGGUGAGGGGGGAAAAAUAUAAUAAAAACGGGGUGAGUUUAAAACUCAGUGAGAUCAGUGAGUGAAUAGUAGUUUUGAAAAUUAAUUCUUACUUUAAAAAAAAUAAUCGUAUCAUUUCCAAACACAAUUUCAUUAAACCAUAAGCGAGAAACCAAUAAUAAAUCAUUAAACAUUUAAAUCAUAUUACUAACCAUAGAAAUCAUAUCACAAUAUCAUAUAGAAUACACAAAUCUAAAAAUCAUCACCAAACAAGUACCCAGAGAAAUAAUCUCGUCAUAUCCGAACCUCAACAGACGGGCAAUGACGUACUAUCUAGGUAACGUCACACCCCGGAGCUACACGGAUAGACAGGGAAAUACCAUCUCAUAUCUCAUCAUAUAUGUGCAUGCAUAAUCUAGUCCCCAAGGGACAAAAGCGCCCAAGCACACGGCCCAAAGCCUCUGUGUAUACUCAGAGGGACCCCAAAGGCCUAUAUCUCAUAUGUAUCAUAUGUAUCAUUUGUAUCUCAAUUAUCUCAUAUCCGUAUAUCUGUAAUCAUCAUACCGCAUGCAUAUGCCCCCAAAAGGAAAAAGCGUCCAAACACACGGCCCAAAGCCUUUAUAUAUAUUCAGACGGGUCCUAAAAGCCUCUCAUCUCAUCUUAUCUGUAUCACUGUAUCUGAAGGGAAUGGUACUGUCUAAUGAUUUCAAAAACAAUCAUUAUACUCAUAUUCACAUACCUCUUAAUCAUAUUUUAAAUCAUACCACAUUUGAAUCCACUUUUCUUAUCUUUAAAAUACUAUCAUGCUUUAUUCAAAGUCGAUACGCAAAAUCAAUAACCAAACAUUUUAAUAAAAUACCAAUGCGUAAAUAAAAUCCAUUUCGAGAAAUCAUUAAAUCAGAACAUUUAAAAUACUUAUUUCGCAAACAUGCUUUACUAUCAUCGCUAACUAUGAAAAUAAGUUUUGUAUAUUCCACUCACAGUGACGGUGUUCACGGUCGGUUCUCGCUCGCGGAUCCUCCUAAAUCAACGAAACGACAUAAUUAUUUUCCGUAAAUCGGAAUUAUGACUAAAUUUUAUGCAAUAAAUUUAAAACGAACAUAUAUUCAUAAUUGACAACUCCUGUGUCCAUAAAAUUACUAAAAUGCCCUUGAGUCUGUAAAUCAUUAACAUGCUUCGAAAUCGUAAAUUACUGAAUUACUCUCGGAAUCGUAAUUACACUCAAUCCUCAAUUCUAGGAAUUACUAACAUAUCCACGGGCUCAGAAAUUACAAAUUUGCCCUCAUAGUGUGAAAUUACCAAAAACUGGAAUUUGGUCAACACUGGCUAGGAAGCUCAAAUCGUAAAGUUCCAAUCACGCUGAGUUCAAUGGUACCGGCGAUGAUCUCCAACGCGCGGCAACGACGCCGGAAUCUAGCUCGGCAGCCGUGAAUUCCACCAAUCGACCGGCGGCAAAACAGUGACUCUCGGUGCCUAUGGAUGGUCGGAAAUGGAAGAGGGAGUCGUGGGGAACAAAAUUCAACCGGUGGUGUAGCCAAAACCGGCGAAAAUCCCGGCGGAGCAAAGUGAAACAGUCGCGGGUUUCAAGCUUCGAUCGCCGGUGUUCCGAUUGGUUUUUGGCGAGGAGGAUGGCAAGGGAACGACGGCCGGCUUCUAAGCUUCAGAUUGGUACCAAGCUCGGCCGAAACGGUGGCCGGAAAUGGGAGAUAUGGCCGGGUCAAGGUCGCGGGUUCCGGGUCGGGUUUUCGGGUCUGUAGUUGGGUCGGUUUGGCAGCUUCUCUCUCACUCUCUGUUACACGUGCAUAUGUUUCCUCUGUUUCUAGCUUAUUCUUUUGCUUUUACUAACUUCUUAACCGCCUCAUACUUAUUCAUUUUUAAUUCACAUAUGUUACAAUAAUUCCCGAGUAUUAAAUAACCAGUGGUCAUAAUUUUUGUACACGACUCUUUUUUUUUUUGGAGAUCGUUAAAAGUGAUUGACGAUCCAUUUUGUAAUAUCAUAGAGGGAUCAUCAAUUCCUUUUCUUUUCUGUGGCUAGGCAACACUUUUUGGCCAAAGUAAGGAAAUCUAUUUUAGGUAAUGUAAAAACCAGUUGUAGGAUGUAAUAGUUUAUUAUGCACUGACAAUAACUUUUUGUAUAAUUGUCAGUUUAAUGAAUACAAGAGGAACUCUGUUGGCAAAUUCAUCCAAGAUAGAUGCUAAAAUUAUUUAUGCAUGCCAGUUGCCUUAACUAAGUUUUCUCAGCACUGGUUUUGAACAGGAAAAUGAAUAUGCAAUUUGUAGAUUGUGCCAUAGUGGAGAAUUUGUAUAUUCUUAUUUAAGUAACAAGGAGAUUAUUUACCUCAUCUUUAAACAAUGAAUCUUUGAGAGAUGAGGAGUGGGUGAUUGGCUGUGUCUUCAUGUAAUUGUUCAUUUAUUUGUAUUUUGAACUGUUAUGAAAAUCUUUAUAUGCCAAAUUAGUAAUACAAGUAUUCAGAUGAUUUUUCCUAUUGAUCAUGCAUUUGUAUCUGCCCACAACCAUUGUAUAUCACUUUAUUCUGAUGCGCAAGCAUCUGUAAUUUAGAAGAAAAGAAAUAAUAAUCAUAUUUUAUUGCUUGGUUCAUGAUUAUUAACGAUUAUGGCUUUAAAAAUCUACAAAUUUCUUGUGUUCAUGUAUGAAUGUGCCAAGUUUGCUGUAUCUUAGAUUACCUUCUUCCAAGAUAACAAGUUCAUAUAUAUUUUUUUUUAAAAUCCUUUUCCAUUACAGUUGAAUUUCAAGUGUUAGUUUUGUUAUUAGUACCUGGUUUCCUGUUAUUAGGAUCUAAUAAACAGUGUACGGAUAUGUGCUCUACUUUUGGAGGGCCUCCACGUGAAAGAAAAUUGCAACAAUUGAAUUCUUCCGGAGGGUAUGGUAAUUAAUUUAUUUUCUCAACUUGUUGUAAGACUAAUAUAUUUCCUUCAGUAGGCACGGCAUGGUGGGAAGGGUUUUUAUUGAAAGAAUUCUGAUAUUUCUUAGACUUUGUUUUGGAAGGGGGUGGAGGGAUUUCUCAUCCAUAUAUGGUUACUUGAUUAGCUUUUGACUGUAUUGUCUCCGUCGUGCAAAGGAAAAUCUAAAUACUAACGAUGGGGAAUUGCUUAGGCACCCAAAAGGCAGAAAUGAAUUACAGAAGGAAGUUUUUGCUGCUUUAUUUAGUGCUGCUGAGAAAUCUGAUGAAUUUCCUGAAAUUACGGUGAAGACCGAGUGGAGGUCCAAAGCAUUAGGAAAGGUGGUGAGUGAACUGCCGGAGGAAUUAGUACCAGAAUACAAGGCUAAUGUGGUGCACUUGCAGCAAGAUAACCAGACCGGUAUGUGCUCUUAUAUUAACUAUAUUGACUGGAUUUGUUAGUGUGUGCAUUUUUUUGUGUAUACUCACUUUUGUAUUUAUGCAUAUUAACAUGUGUAGGAUUCUUGAUUUCUGCCACUUACUGGAGAACUAGUGGAAAGCUUUAUACUGAUAUAUCUGCAAUAACUAAUGGAAACUAUGAUAUGAAUAUUUUCUCUCACCUGGGGAGCUGUGUAACAGAUAUACUUUGUGGCUCUGGAAUGCUGAAGAUUCUGCAAUAACUAAUGGAAAAUAUGAUAUGAAUAUUUUGUCUCACCUGGAGAACUUUGUUACAGAUACCCUUUGUGGCUCUGGAGUGUCUAAAGAAUGCUUCCGUUAGAUCAAAUAUCUUUUAGUUAGAAAAGAUAAAAUUCUCUGAGUCUGAAAGACUGAAACAUUUUGCAUAUUUUGUGAAAGGGAAAUAUCUGUUGAUACUAGCUCAUGCAUUGAGGUAAUAUCGAUGUUAAAGAAAAACAGCAAUGAUUUAUGAUAUAGAAUUGGGUUCACUUGCUUUAAAUGCUGGUCUGAUCAACCAUAUCAACCUGUAAUGAUUCUGCAGAAAUAUAUAUACAAGGAGAAAGUAGCUAAAUUUUUCUUUCAUUUAUGGGUUCGGUCUUUUUUCCCCUUAUUUUUCAGCUUUCCUUCUCCUGAAGUAUGUUAACAAUUGCAGAUAAUGAUGAAGAGGACAGCUUCCAGGCUCUCCUUGGAGCCAUGAUGGAAUAUAGGGGCACAAUGAAGGAAUAUUGUAAAGCUGUAGGUACUUUUUCUCCUGUCAUUUAUGUUUUCUCACACAUUUUGUAUAUGCCCUGAACAUGCACCUUUGUAUGUAUCAAUUGACUUUUAAAUUUUAAAAGCCAUAAAGUAAGAAUACGGUUCCUUGUCAGGCUACUGAUGACAUUCGCUCAGGGGGAUCAUGUUCGAGCAGGAAAAUUUCUAGAACAGGUAAGGUUUCCAUCUACAGCCAUCCAUUGACAGCAGAUAAAUUUUCAUUCAGCAGACUCUGUUAGCAUUCAAGAUGCUGGCAGAUUCACUUGAUUCUUAUUAGCUUGUUUAGUGGCAAAGCCUAUAACCUGUAUUUCAAAGCCAAGUUGUGCUAUUGAUUAUGUUAACUUUUUUGUUAACAUAAAAUGAUAUGGAGGAAAUAAUCAGUGUUGGAAAAUUAGGUGAAAAGAUGAUGUCAAAUCUUGAACCUCUUGCGAAACUCUAAGUUCUUUACUUGAAGAGGCUACCAAAUUUGAACAGCGUCUACUCGAAGGCCUUGCCAUUCCCUGAUGCAUGCAGAAUUUUUGUAUUUAAAUGCCCAGAGCUUAAGAAGCUGGCACUGGAUCUUGAAGGGGCAGACCAAGGUAAAAUUCUUAUCAAGGGAAAGGAAGAUUGGUGGAAACAACUUAAUGGGAGGAUCAAGUAACUCAGAAUACAUUGCUUCCAUUUUUUAAAUCGACUGACAAGUGAUUGAACGGGGCAUCAUCAAUAUCAUCAACAGGGAUGGAGAGAUGCCGGAGCAGAUCAGCAGGGUUUGAAUAUGACCUUCGGCGGUUGCUUUUUUUUUUUGUGAUUUUUUUUCAUUUUUUCCUUCCUGUCAUUUUAUCAUUUCUUUGGCUCUGUUUCUAUUGCGGGUGUUACUGCAUGCUUACUGUUGCUUGACAAAGUUUGCUAGCUUUUUGUUUGCAGCGCUGCUAUACGCCCCGAGUCAAGCCCCGAAAAUUUAUUAAACGACGCCGUUUCGACAGUAACAAUUCUUUUCUUUUCCCUUUGCCUGUUUCUUUCAUCUGCUGUUUCUCUAUCACUUUUCAUUUUUGAUUUCCGUGCUUCCCAGCUGCCCCUAAAUUGUUAUUCUAGCAAUAUACUUUCUCAUCUUUGAAUUUUCAUCCUUGAGUACUCCCACAGCCGUAAUUUCAUCAUUAUAGACUUCACUUGGAAUGCUAGAUUUUUUCGAUUCUUGAGCUACUUCAAUUACAUCUUAGUAUAGGAUCCUCAUCUUCCUUUAUUUCUUCAUCUUAUGAGGUAACAAAUGGAUUUCACAACUCAUCUACUUUUAAGCAAUUACAUAUUAUACCCUGAAUGAUUCAACUGUUCCGACAGUUAAAGAUUUUAUGCUCAACCUGCAGUGCUACGAACAUUGUCCAUGAAAGAUGAGUUUCAGCAUAUAAAAUGAAAUAUAGAUGUUUAAUCUAAAAUAACCCUUCACUGCCAGAAACCUAGGUCACAAAAUUCACAGAUAAUGAUAAAGAACUAAAAAAUUUGAAAAACUCUACAGAUCACACAUCAAGCAAGAUAUCAUGUUUUUUUCCCUCAUUCGGUGGUGAUUGAUUCGCUUUUUGAUGAUGGAUAUGGUAUAAAAGUUUUGACCCAAUUUCAAGCAAACACAAAUAGAAACACAAACACAAUCAGGACUAGAGUUGUGGGCGAUUAUCUCAGGUGUACAAGUGAAACGGUGGUGGCUGUCGAUGGUGGUAGUGGGGUGGUUGGGUAUGCGUGAUGGCUAGAUUUUAGGACAAUAAUGGUUGGAGUUGACCUCAAUCAACGAAGGAAAGUGACAACAAUUUUGACAUCAAAUGGUGCAUUUUUUAGCUUAGUAAAAUGGAACCGUUUUGAAUUUGGGGUUUAAUCCGGGGUUUGACUCGGUGCAAGUAUCAUUUUCCUUUUGUUUAUUAAAUUUUUUAUGGUCACAAAGUAUUACUCGUUCUAUUUGAGAGUGAUGUGAAUCAAUUUUUCAAUUUUAUAUUUUGUGGUCAAUGUGAAUUCAAUUUCAUUUGUCUCCUGCAAUUAUGAAAAAAUUGCAGUCAUAAUAUGGAAAAGUACACCGGCAAAGACUUUGUAAAACCUUCGGAGUGAUACGGGGAAUUCACUUACAACUAAGGACAAUUGGUGGCAAGUUAUUCCAUUCAUUUUAUGUCCAUGCAUCUAUUUAGUUAUUGAAGAUUAGUGGUCCAUUUGUAAAUUUCAGAUUGUCUCUCUCUCUCUCUCCCACUUGAAAUAACAAUAUUUAAUAUAUCUCUUAAAUUAUUAUAAAUUUUAAUUUACUCUCGAUUUAAAAUGGAGCAUGUCGAUAAAUUUUUUUUCUUCUUAAUAAAAUUGACGUAAUUUGUGUUUACAGUAGUUUGAAGUUUGAAAUAUUUUAAAGAUUAUUAUUCUAUAAGGGAGUAAUAUGAAAUGAAAUUUACUUUUCAUGUGUGAACUGAAAAAGGACGAAGCAAGUGUCCCUGCUUUUAUUUUAUUUCAAGGAGGAGUCAUCUCGCAUACUUUGGCUCUUAACAUUACAUUUUUUCUGGUUACAUUUUUUAUUUUUUUUUACACAUGCGUGUGGGUUGCUUUUCUGUAAGCUCCUUAAUAUAUAUUUAAGACAAAUCAUGGAAGAGAUGGGAUUAUAUCAAGAUGAUCAAAGCAUGUAAAAAAAGAAAAAAGAAAAAAAAAAUUAAGAAGUAAGACACUGAAAAUGGAGAAGAGAUGGAAGCAAAAGAUAUUCCAAAACAAAGCAAUCUAUCCCCCUUCGAGGGCAGACUUAUCAGGUUUAAAAAAGUACAUGCUUUGGAUUGGUAGUUGCAAUCAAGGGAAAAUAAAUAGGAUCCAAUGAAAUUUAAAUCUCGGAGAAAAUAAAUAAUCAUGCAGAUUUUCAAGAUUUUAAUAAGGGAUACUAAUAUCUUAUUUUGAUUAAUAACAUUCUUUUACUGUGUUAACUCAAAAAAAAUAUUAUAAUGCUUUACAAUAAAUACAAAUGUCCUAUUAAAUGAAUAUAUAAAAAAUUUAGAAAAUUAUAUAAAAUAAUUUUAAUAUAAUGCGUGAGAUAUAUUUUAUUAAUUUAAAAUGUCAUUUUACCUAAAAAAUAUGAUAAAUUAAUAAUUACAUAUUUGAAGUUAUUUCAAAUAUUAAAAAAAUUUAAUAUUAUUAAUCUUUUAGAUAGAUUAAAUUAUUUUUUAAAGAGAUAGAUUAAAUUAUUUUAAAAUACCUUAAUUGUUUUUACUUUAAACAUUACCGGCCUUUCUUUUAUUUUAUUACAAAUUAAUGCUAACAAGAAAAAGUUAGAUCAUAUUCCACAAAAGCAAAAGUGACAAACACAACCAGCUGGAAUCUUUUAUAAAACUACAAAUUAAAAUGGAUUUUUUUUUUAAAAAUUGUUAUAAAUUGGUGGCCCCUACAAUCCUCAAUAAUUGCACCGAUAUUCACAAGUUGGUGGCCCCUACAAUUCUGUUCCGAUAAUUUAACUGUGCAAGUGCUUAAUAAUUGUUUUGUUUUUUUCUGCAUUCCCUUUCAUGCUCUUAAUAAUUGAAGAGCAUACUUUUCAAAUGUGGAGCCGCAGCUAAUGUCGCUAAUUUAAUUUUGGAUUAAAUUAGGGGACCAUUAUAUUGUAGUGUGCACUAAUGAAUAUGUGAGAUAUUCAUAUUUUAUUAAUUUAAAAUACCAUUUAACCUAAAGAUUUAUUUAUGAUAAAUUAAUAAUUAUAUUUUUGAAAUUACUUCAAAUAUUAAAAAAUUAAUAUUACUAAUCUGUUAGAUAGAUUAAAUUAUAUAUAUUAUUUUCUAUUUAUUAAAAAAUUAAAAUUAUUUUUAAUUACUAUUCAAAAAAUAUAAUGAUAAAAAAAAUCUUAACAUCUUUAUUAAAAAUUUAAAAAUUUACAUGAUCAAUUCUCUAAAUAUUUAGGGUAUAUGUGAACCACGGUGGAGAAGCUUUAUUUAAUAUUAUUGAUUUAAAUAAUAUGUCAAUUAAAAAUGUACAGAGAAGGAAAUUUCGGUGGGUAUUUUAGUCUUUUCAGCAAUUAUCAUGAUCAGAUCAGCCUUUAGCCUUGAAACGUCGAUCAGAAAAGUUUUAAAAUGCUUAAUUGUUUUUCACUUUUAAAAAUUAAUGCUAACAAGAAAAAGCUAGGUCAUAUUCCACAAAAUCAAAAGUGACAAAACAACCAGCUGGUUUCUUUUACUAAACUACAAAUUAAAAUAGAUUUUUUCGAUAAAUUAUAAAUUAAAGUGGAUUCUUUUGAAUACAAGUGAGACAGACGAUUAGGCUCUUUUUAUUAAAGGCAAGUAAAAACUAGUCAAGAAUCGAAUAGUCUUUUUCAAAUUCUUGUUUUAUUAUUUUUCAAAACUAGUUUUUGGUAAUUACAAUCGGGUCAUUCAUUAAUCAUUAUUCAAAGUUACUGUUAUCUUCGGGGGCAGUGGGUAAAAGAUAAUUACUAACUGUUUUUCCUUCAAAAGUUACCGGCUCAUGUUUGCAAGUGUGAAUGUGCGAUGCUCUUUUCUUAAAGGCAAUUACAGUGGGGCCCGAAUCAGAGGUGCCUAAAUCUUUUUAAAAUUAAUAAUAAUAUGAGUAAUAAUUAAUAAUUACAGUGGGUCAACUUUUGAAAUUAGAGUCUAGUAUCUCUCUCCCUGUCAUUACUAAAUUUUCUCUUCCACAGCCUACAGCAGCUUCAGUUUAUCAAACUCAAUCAAUUUUCUUUCUUAACAAAAUUCCAAAGAUGUGUAGUAUUUUUCAGAUCACAUGCGAUGGUGCUCUUUUCAAUCGUUGCUUGGAUUGCUUUCUUGGAAAAGCAGCAUACAUACGUAACCUCCAAGAUAAUCUUGUAGCCUUGGAGACUGAACUGGGAAGACUAAUCGCAGCAAAGAACGAUGUGAUGAUGAGGGUUGUCCAUGCUGAACGGCAACAAAUGAGAAGGCUGGACGGAGUGCAAGUGUGGGUUUCGAGGGUGGAUUCUGUUAAAACUGGAGCCGACGAACUUAUCACAGACGGCUCUGAAGAAAUUGGCAAAUUAUGUGUUGGAGGCUACUGUUCCAAGAACUGCAGGUCAAGCUACAAAUUCGGAAAACAAGUGGCUAGAAAGCUACGACAUGUGGAGACUUUAAUCGCCGAGGGAGUUUUUGAGGCGGUGGCUACUGAGGUGGUGCCCGAGAGAGCUCCGGAACCUGUAGCAGAUAAAAGACCCAUUGAGCCAACAAUAGUAGGCUUGCAAUCACAACUUGAACAAGUCUGGAGAUGUCUUGCAGAAGAAUCAGCGGGAAUCAUUGGCUUAUAUGGUAUGGGCGGUGUUGGUAAAACCACACUAUUGACCCGUAUCAACAAUAAAUUUCUUGAGAAUCAAAACAACUUUGAUUGUGUGAUUUGGGUCGUAGUUUCAAAAGACCUGCGGCUUGAAAAAAUUCAAGAAGAUAUUGGGAAGAAGAUAGGUCUGUUUGAUGAUUCAUGGAAGAAUAAAAGUUUUGAAGAGAAAGCUGUGGACAUCCUGCGGAGAUUAGGAGAGAAGAGAUUUGUAUUGUUGUUAGAUGAUAUAUGGGAGCGGGUUGAUUUAACAGAAGUGGGCGUUCCACUUCCCAGCCCACAAAAUACUACAUCAAAAGUCGUAUUCACGACCCGUUUCAUUGAUGUUUGUGGUAGCAUGGAAAGUCACAGGAAGUUUAAAGUGGCAUGCUUAUCAGAAGAGGAUGCUUGGGGGCUGUUUCGAGAAAAAGUACGGCAAGAAACUCUUGAGAGUGAUCAUGAGAUCGUUGAGCUAGCCCAAACUGUGGCCAAAGAGUGUGAUGGUUUGCCACUCGCACUUAUUACUAUUGGUCGAGCUAUGGCCUACAGAAAGAAAGCGGAGCAGUGGAGACGCGCAAUUGAAGCGUUAAGAAGAUCAGCUUCAGAGUUUGCAGGUUUGGGAAAAGAGGUGUAUCCUCUUUUAAAAUUCAGCUAUGAUAGUUUGCAGAAUGAUACGGUUAGAUCUUGUUUCUUGUAUUGUUGUUUAUAUCCUGAAGAUUAUGGCAUUCUUAAACGGGACUUGAUUGACUGUUGGAUUGGUGAGGGAUUUUUGGGGGAAUCUGACAGGUUUGGUGCAGAAAACCGAGGAUAUGACAUUUUGGACACUCUUGUUCGUGCAUGUUUAUUAGAAGAGUUAGAAGAUGAUAAAGUAAAAAUGCAUGACGUUAUUCGUGAUAUGGCUAUAUGGAUAACCUGUGAAAUUGAGAAGGAGAAGAGAAAAUUUUUGGUUUGUGCAGGUGCUGGAUUAAAAGAGGCACCGGAUGUUAAAGGAUGGGAAAAUGUGAGAAGAUUGUCAUUGAUGCAAAACCAAAUUGAAACUCUGUCAGAGAUUCCUACAUGCCCUCAUCUCCUCACUUUAUUUCUUGACUUUAAUGAGAAGUUGGAGAUGAUCGCGGAUGGCUUCUUCCAAUUUAUGCCUUCUCUCAAAGUGUUGAGGAUAUCACACUGUGGGCAAUUAGAAGGUUUUCAAUUACCUAUUGGGAUGUCAGAGUUGGGUUCGUCACUAGAACUUCUUGAUAUUUCAUAUACCAGCAUAAGAGAGUUACCAGAAGAGUUAAAGUUGUUGGUAAAUCUGAAAUGUUUGAAUUUGAGUUGGGCACAUAGGUUAUAUAAAAUUCCACGGCAACUAAUAUCAAAUUCUUCAAGGUUACGUGUGUUGAGAAUGUUCGCUACUGGCUAUGUGUGUCUUCAUGAAGCAUCAGAAGACAGCGUUUUAUUUGGUGGGGGUGAAGUUUUAGUACAGGAAUUGCUCGGUUUGAAAUAUUUAGAGGUAUUGGAGUUGACCUUGGGAAGUUAUCAUGCUCUCCAAAUUCUUUUGAGCUCAAAUAAGUUGAAAAGUUGUAUUCGAUCUCUUUUCCUACAGUUGUUCAGAGAUACAACGUCGAUUAUUGAUGCUACGGCUUUCGCAGAUCUAAACCACCUCAAUGAAUUAUGGAUUUAUAGAGGUAGUGAGUUGGAAGAAUUGAAGAUUGAUUAUACGGAGAUAGUACAAAAAAGGAGGGAACCUUUUGUUUUCCGCAGCCUUCACCAUGUUACCAUAUAUAGUUGCACUAAAUUGAAAGAUUCGACAUUCCUCGUUUUUGCUCCAAACCUCAAGUCUCUUCAGCUACUCGAUUGCUAUGCUAUGGAAGAAAUAAUCAGCGUCGGAAAAAUUGCUGAGACUCCUGAGAUGAUGGGACAUAUAAGCCCUUUUGAAAAUCUCCAAAGUCUUUAUUUAAAUGAUUUGCCAAUUUUGAAGAGCAUCUACUGGAAGCCAUUGCCUUUCGCUCAUCUAAAAGAAAUGACGGUGCAUCGGUGCGAUCAGCUUGAAAAGCUUCCACUCGAUUCCAACAGUGCAAAGGAGCGUAAAUUUGUAAUUCGUGGAGAAGAAGACUGGUGGAACCGACUUCAAUGGGAGGAUGAAGCCACUCAAAUUGCUUUUCGUUCCUGUUUCCAACCUCGUUCCUGAGCGGUGGUCGCAAAAUUUGAUUUCUGGUGAGUGCGUUUGUCUUUUAAAAGAAGAAUUUAAAAGAAAUUUAUUCUUGUCGAUUGUUUUCUUCUCUGUUUUUAUUUGAUUUCUGGUGAGUGCGUUUGUCUUUUAAAAGAUGAAUUUAAAAGAAAUUUAUUCUUGUCGAUUGUUUUCUUCUCUGUUUUUAUUUGAUUUCUGGUGAGUGCGUUUGUCUUUUAAAAGAAGAAUUUAAAAGAAAUUUAUUCUUGUCGUUUGUUUUCUUCUCUGUUUUUAUUUGAUUUCUGUUUUUAAUGGAAUUAAUGCUUCAUAAAUUUGCCGGCACUGCCAUUACUUUUUUUUUUAAUACAAAUUGAUACUUUAUUUAUAUCUUCUUAGCGAUUUAAUUUCCUGUCAAUAGACGAACGAGAAGAACAUAUGACUUAAACCAAUGCUCGCAUAAACUUGCUGUAAAAAGAUAUAAUCUCACUGAAAUGCACACGUCUAGAAUGAAUAGAAUUAAAACAGGGAAAAUCAAUCAAUUCCACCUUUUGCAAUUUCUUCUGUUCUAACAAAAACCAAUUUCUUUGUUCAAGUAUUUUCGUUUGGGUAUUAAUAAUUCUCCACCGAAAGAGUGAACUCUUGCUCAAGGGAUCUCUAAUCAAUUGCCGGAAGGGCGCCGAGACCUGAUCGGACCUAGGCCCAAGUUUGGUCUUAAAGCCUGGGCUUGAGCCUGGCAAUUAAAUUAAAACAUUAAUUGAUUUCUUGGUUGAUUUGUCGUGUAAUUGAUUUAUGGGGGAUGACACAUCAACAUACUUGAAAAUACACUAAUCUCAGCAUCAUCGGUUAAUAACUUUUAGAUUUAUGCGUAAUCAAUAGUUAAGAUUAGUUGUCAUUAAUACUAAAUAUUUUUUACUUUUUUUGUCUCUUCUAGAAAAAUGCAUCCACAAUUAAAUUUAAUACUUUACAUAAUAAACAAAGCAUAAAUGUUAAAUUUAAGAAACUGCAUUGUAUUUCAGCUGAAGUUGACUUUAAUAUUUAGGGUAGAAAAAAAUUAAAUCCUUAAUGUGUUUAAUUUGUAUCACUUGUGUCAUUAAAAUUUUCUAGUCACCCUAACCAAUUACAUCUCAACCCACUUUGUUUUUGGAUGAUUUUAUUUUUAGACUAUUAUUUUCAUCAUUUUUUUUCCUUUUAACACCAACAUUAGUGUAUGUUACGUAACAUAAUUCAUAUUUGGAUCAUUUGAAAUUUGCUUGUGUUUUAUCUAAAAAUAGAGCUUCAAUCAAAUUGUACCUCAUAAAUUCACAAUAUCUAUGAGGGCUAAUGAGACCAAACUCUGGCAUAUUGUCAAAUGUGCUUAUCCUUUUGCUUGACAUGUCAUUUUAAAAUUGUCAUUCAAUGCCAAAAAAUCACAUCAACUGAUGGCCGACUACUUUAAUUUGAAAGCAUGCAUGCGAUCGCCAAUAAUUAUAACUUAAUUGUUAUUUUGAAAUUUUUUUCUUUAUAAUUUUUAAGUUUAAUACUACUACAUGUGCAGCACAUAAGUUGGAAAAUAUAACAUAAAAUUUGAAAAAUGUGUAGCUUUCGUUCCUUUUUUUUCUUAAAAAUGGGAAAAAAGAAUGUAGUUUUGUUUAAAUUACUGUUGUGAUUACAAUUAUUAUUUUAUUGAUUAAUUGGCAGAGAAUCGUAAUGGUUUUGCAUGGUUGUUAAAACAUUGGAAAAUCCACUACAUCAUCCGUUAAUAACUUUCAGAUUUAUGAUUAAUCAAUAGUUGAGAUUUGUUAUCAUUAAUGCUAAAUAUUUUUUUAAUAUUUUCUCUCUCUCUUAGAGGAUCAUCCAAAGUAAAAAUUUAAUAUUAUAAAUAGUAAACAAAGUAUCAACGUUAAAUCGAAGAAACUGCAUUGCAUUUCAACUGAAGCUAACUUUAAUAUUUAAUGGAGAAAAGUAAUUAAGUCCUUAAUGUGCUUUAUUUACCCAUAUAUAUGGCUAAUUUUUCAAGAUAAAGGGGAAGGAUGAUGCUCAAAAAUAUAAAUUAUAGAAUUAAUUGAACUCUCAAGUAAGUUUAAAGUUCAUUAUUUUUAAUUACUUGUUUAUAAUUUAUUUUUAUUUCGUAUUAAUCUAUGGAUCUAAAUCCCCUUUGGAUUCAUAUACAUAUAUAGACAUAAUGUGUAUGUUAAUCUAUAGGUCUGAAUUCACUUUAGGUCUAUAUAGGUAUUUUGACAAAUGUACUCCAAUCAUGCAUAUUGGCAAGUUCUAACUACUCUAUUGAUAUAUCAAUAUUAUUUCUAACUGCACUAUAGGUCCAAAAAUAAGUUAGAAAUACAAAUUAACAUAAAAUAAAAAUAAUUGGUAGAAAAUACAAAUUAUAAACAUAUAAUUGAAAACGAUAAACUUUAAAUUUACUUAAGAGAGUAAUUAAUUUCAUAGUUAAAAUCUUUAAAUUUUACCCCUCAUCUUAACUUAAGAAAAUUAAUCACUUAUUUUAUUUAAUAAAGAAGAGAUUUUUUUCCCCUAUAUUUCCCAAUUAUUUCUCUCCCUCUCGCUCCCGUAAGUUAUACAACUUGAAGUGAAAUAUGAGUGGUCUGAUUCUAGCUUAAAUAAUUUAUUGUGACAUGCUAUCUAAGGACAAUACAUUACCUAGCUCUACAUAUUUUAUUUAACCUCCGGCCCACCCUGUGCAAACUUGCCUUUCCCCUGCAAGACAAGAUUAAUCAAUGUAUCAAGUCUCAAAUUCAAUUUCGAAUAUGACCAUCGUACGCUCUUGUUCUUCCCUCUUUACGAGUGCAUUCCCCCCAACCUCAAGCUCCCUCUCUCGUCUUCAAUGUCACUGCUUAUAUCCUUAUGUUGUUCUAGUUUGAAAUAGUGGCUUCCACUAUUUCAGGGCCCCCAAAAAUCCAGAAACAUACUAUUCAUCACGAUGACAAAAUUUUUGGCAGGCAGGUGCUUCCUGACUUUCACACGGUAAUUCUCAAAUUCUGAUUUCACCAUAUUUUAAUUACUGAUUAGCAUAUAUUCAAGUGCUCUCCAUUAUAACGGAAGCCGCCGCCUCACUCGUGAUUCCAAACUUUUAUCUUUUUUUCCUUUUUUAAAUUAAUGCAAGUAGCCGCUGUCCUUUUUAUUAAUUAAUUAGUUCGGCCGCCCACAUUUCUUUUCCUAAUGUCUUCUACUGUCGAUUUUCUUUUAUUUUCUCUUUUUUCUUAAAAUAUACUUAUAAUAAUAAAAUAUAAAAAUAAAAAUUAACAUAUCAAAAUAUAAUUUAAUAGAAAAUUAAGAUAAAAAAUAAAAAAAUUAUGAGCAUAUCAAUCAAUAAAUGAAAAAUAAUAAUUUUUAUUUUUAUUAAAUAUAUAUUUUUUAAAAUUAAUCAAUUAUCUGAAUAAAUCAAAUCAUUUAAAAAUAAAUAAAUAAAUUAUUCUUAAAUAAAAAAAAGAAACUUUUUAUAACACUCACUAUGCUGGUUGUAGGGUAGACGCUUUGGGGACUGAAGCUGGUAACUUCUACAAGUAGUCUUAAGUUGACUGGCAACAACUAUAUUGGCAUUUAGACAUAAUGUACUGCAACCAUAUUGGUAUGUUCAAAUGUUCUUACUAUUGUAUUGGUGUAUCAAUAUUAUCUCUAACUGCCUUAUAGAUUAAAAAAAAUCUAAAUUUACAAUUUAACAUAAAUAAAAUAAUUGGUAAAAAAACAAUUAUGGUUUAUUUACUUAUCAGUAAUCAGAAUAGACUGAAAUCGAAAUGAGCUGUAUUACCGUUAAUGUGUUUAUGUUGUCCUUGAAUCGGAAUGAAUUAUUUUAAGUUACUAAAAUAUCAUUGGUUUGUUAUUCUAAUUAUUAUUAUUUAAUAUUUAUUAUAAUAUUUGUCAUAUCAUUAAAAAGAAAUAAUAAUGAUGAUAAUAUUAUCAUUAUUGUUUGUUACAUUAUUAUUAUUCAAAAAAAUUAUUGUUAAUAACAAUAAUUACUUUAUUUCAAUAAUAAUAAUGAUGAAAUUAAUAAUAACAAACAUGACAACAACAAUAAUUAUUUAUUAUGCCAAAAAUAACAAUAAUAAUAAGAAUAAUAAUCAUCAUCAUUUUUUUCCCAAAGAAGCAUUAUCAUCAUCAUUUAAAAAAAAAAUCAUCAUCAUCAUUUUUGUAGUUACUGUUUCAAUUUAGGAAGAAGCUGUUUCGUUGUGCUAACGAUGGGAGAUGUUGUGGCUGCGAUUCGGGGAGCUACUAGUUUAUUGCACUAAUGACGACAGGUGCGGCUGCUUGAUGCGAGGUCCAUGGCCAGUUGUCAGCAGUUCGACUUUGGUAUGGGCGUUGCUGGUUCGAUUUUAGGUGUUGUCUAAUUUCAUUUUCAGGAUUUUAAUUUUAAUUUUUUUUUAUAUUUUCAUUAAUUAAUCAGUGCAAAGUUUGAUUUUAGAAUUUGGAAUGAAGGUAAUUUUGUUAAUCAUGGAAAUGAGAUUCUGAUUGUCGAGAAUGAACUUACAAAAUUGCUGCAAAUUAAGUGAAAACAAAACGCUUUUUCUCUUUGUGUGAUUAAAACAUGAAAUGUACCAUAAAUAAAUAGGUAAAAAAUAAAUCAACACAAUUCAAAAUAGUAAACCAAUUACAAGAGGCACAAAUUUUUAUGUGAAAUACCGAAAAUGAAAAAAAACUAUAGCAUCCUAGUCUAAUAUAAUCUUCUACUAUAUUAAUGGGAUUACAGCACAAAUUCUUCCCUAUCUAACACUAGAGAUUAACAAUAUCAAAAAUCUCAAUAAUCUUAACUUACAAUACAACCUAAUAUAUGUCUCUCUAAUAAGUAGAUAUCUAAAAUAACAGUCUCUAAUAAGUAGGUAUCUCAAAUAAUAGUUAAUAAGAGGAUAAAACAAAAAUUAAGAUUAGUAGAAUGUGUAUAAGGCGAUGCUAUCAACUUAUCUUCUAAAUUUGAGAAAAAUAGUUAAAUUCACUUUUUCGAUUGUACGACCAAAGAUGGAAACCCUUGCCCCAAAACCAAAGGAAUCACCAUUGUGUUUUUUUUCUCUCUUUCUCUUUCUCGUUCUUCUCUUCUACUUUUCUUAAUGUUAGCCGCCACUUGCUUUUAUUCUUUAUAGCAUUUAAAAAGCUACUUUUAAUGGUAAAUUCAUCUAAGUCCAAAACUUAGUGAUAAUUGCACACCAAACAAUCCUUUUUGGACUAUGGACUUUUGGGCCUCCAAAUGAGAUGAAUACAACAAAUCUCCCCCUUCAGAUUAUGUGGGGGGCACUACAAGCCCGCUCUCUGCAUAUAGCUUUUCAGCUUCUCCUUGAAUAAUGACUUUGUCAUCAUACAUAACCCAUUCUUCGUUGUGUAAAUCUUCUCAAGCUAUAACUGUUCUUUCUCAAGCACGUCUCAUAUCUAAUGAUAUCUCACAUCAAUUUACUUAGAUUUCGAAUGGUAUAUCAAAUUCUUUGAACGGCACUCUGACUGUCGCAGUACAUAACAUAGUUGUCUCAUUUUAUAUCCAGCUCUUGUAGGAAAUUCUUCGUCCACAAUAUUUUUUUGCAACCUUCAAUAAUUGUAAUAUCAUUUGCUUUAGUGGUAGAAAAGGCAACUUAUUACUAAAGUUUAGAUUGCGAUGAGCUCCCCCUGCAAAAGUGAGCAAACAUCCUAGUACGAAUUUUUCGGAAUCAACAUCUCCUGCCAUAUCUAUACACUUGUAACACAGGUUUGUCACCACCAAAAUAUAAACAUGCUCUGGAAAUGCCUUUAAGAUAUCUGAGAAAUUUUCACUGUUGUCCAGUGCUCUUUACCGGGAUUGAAGAGAAACCACUGACUACACUAGCUGUAUAAGCAAUAUCUGGUCUUGUACAAAUUAUGGCGUACAAUAAACUGCCAACUGCUGAAGCAUAAGGAACUCCUCUCAUGGAGAAAUGGGUUUUGCUCUUGAGAAUUUUGGGAACAUAAAGAAUAAAGAUGUAAUUUCUUGGACUGCCAUUGUUUCGAGGUAUAUAAACAGAAGACAAGUCGAUAUAGCUUGACAAUGUUUUGAUCAGAUGCCAGAACGAGAUUAUGUCUUAUGGACUGCCAUGAUUGAUGGGUACCUUCGAGUGAAUAGGUUCAAAGAGGCUUUGACGCUUUUUCAGGAGAUGCAAACUUCAAAUAUAAUGGGAGACAAGUUUACCAUUGUUAGCAUUCUUACAGCUCGUGCCAAUCUGGGGGCACUAGAUCUGGGAGAAUGGAUAAAGACUUAUAUUGACAAAAACAAAGUCAAGAAUGAUAUAUUUGCGGGGAAUGCUUUGAUAGACAUGUACUGUAAAAGAGGAGAUGUUGAGAAAGCUCAAAAGGUAUUCAGGAAGAUGCUUUGAAAGGACAAAUUCUCAUGGACGACCAUGACUGUUGGCCUUGCCAUCAGUGGCAAUGGUGAUAAAGCUCUUGAUAUGUUUUCCCAAAUGCUUAGGGCUUCGAUCAAACCGGAUGAGGUAGCUUAUGUUGGUGUUCUGUCUGCCUGUUCUCACAAUGGUAACGAAACUUUUGUGAUAAAUAGUUGCAACUUAAGGUGAGAAUUGGAGGAAAGGAAAUAGACUGAAGUUGUUCAAUCAUCAGUGGUUGCUAUUUGGUUUUAAGUUGUUCAAUUAUCGGUCGUCUCUAUUUGGUUUUCUCCAAUAUCUCAUCUUCAGUUUUGACUCAGAUUCUAUCUUACCACUAUUGUUCUGUUCAUUCUAUUUGUUUCCUACAAAAUAUUUCUCCUGCCUAAAAUUUUUUGAAUCAGUAAGUUUUUAUCUUAUGCAAGAAUUGUGCUGAGAGUAAUUCCAUUUCUCAGUCUCGUUAUGUUUCAAUGAAGACGUAAAACUUGUGUUCUAGUGCACCAAUGUUUAUGCUUCUUACAAUUUGACUUUAAUUUACUUUGUAAAAUUUUUGUCAAAAAGUACUAAAAAGUAGUGCACCAAACACCAACUUUAUUAUAGAGAGGACUUUAGUUAAAUUUUAAGAAAACACUCAAAAGAAAGAGUUAUAAUUUAUUAUAGAAAUAUUUCACAUAAAUAAAAGCCAUCCCAUGCUGCAAAGAUCUUGCUAUAAUCACCAAAAACUAUCGGGAGCUUUUAGGGUUUCCAUAAAAAUGUCAUUUCGUUCCAAAAGUCAAUGGUGGGUAGAAAGUGGUGCAAAUGAGACUCAUUCUUAAUGGUAUAAGUUUUUGCUUAAUUAUGUCUUCCCCAAGAUGAUGAUUUAAUUUCCAUUCUCAAUUAAUUUUCAAGUUUCAACACUUUUCUAUGUAGCAUGACAUUGGAAAGAUCUUGUACAGUUGUACUACUAAAAGCUAGCAUCACACGUUAGUUAUUGUUAAGUUCUGUUUCAACGUGAAAUAAAGGAAGUAGUCCUUCAUUAAAACCAUUAUAGCCAAAUUUCACCUAAUUGGACACUUACAGACUUUCAUUUCAAGUUGGAUUUUGGUCCAACGUUUCAAAGUUUGGCCCAAUUAUUUUUGUCCGGUCAAGUCCUACGCAGCUAAGCCUCUCAAUGAAUGAGGGUGAGAUUGCUAAAAAUUACGACAGGUGAUAUUUUAUUAUUAUUAUUAUUAUUAUUUUUGGGGGAUAAAUCCUCACCAAAGUGAGGAGAUUUUAUCCAAAUCAAAAUAAAAAUAUAACAAGAACUGAAAGUCGGGCAGCCUAAAAGCUAGAUGAACUAAAAGUCAGGCGCCUAAAAACAACCUUAUGCAAAAGAGAAGCAAUAUGAGACCGAUCAAGUAAAAGAAUCCACCGCAACACCUAAAUUGGCCAAAUUAUCUGUUGGUAUUACAAGUUUCUUGUUAUAAAAGUGUAGAAUGAAGUAGGUGACGUAGUUUUAAGUUACAGCUGCAUGCCCAAUCGCAAUAUCAAAUAAUGCUUAAAUAUCAAAUAAUGCUUAAAGUAGUUGCCUAGGCCCGCCACAACUUAUAUUAACUCUUAAAUUUAUAAAUAAUUAAAUUUUUAAAAGUUUGGAUUUAUAUUAAAAAAUCUUCAUAUAAAUAAAUAAUAUAUGCACUUUUACAACAGUCUUUAAAUUUAAAUUUUUCAAAAAAAAUCUUCUGUAUAUCUUUUCUAUUAAAAAAAUUUCCAUAUAAAUAAAUAAUAUACCUAAUUUAAUUGGACCGAGCACAACGCACAUGCAUAGAACACAUUCCGAAAAGCCAUGCUAUUCAGAAAUUGACGAAUGAAAAGUGAGGAGGCAGCAGUCAAUGCUAUUUCGGCUUGGCCCAAAAUUGAUUUAUCAGUUUGACGUGUGCCAGGAAUGAAGAACUGGAAUAUCACCGUCAAGCAGCACCCUGUGGAGCAAUACCAUAGAAUGCACAAUCUGGCUUUGCCAGGUGACACUGGAGGCUUUUUGAAAAGUGCUUCAAAAAGCCUUUUCUGAUCGAGUCUGAGCACUCAAAUUUUGGUCCUCAGAUGGAGCUACAGCUUUCUCUCCAAUAACCAACAAUUUUCUAAACUCAGCUCCUAGUGUGAUGAGAGUUGUUGAUAUUUGUAAAUGGAGAUCCCCGUAUUUGCAAAUGGAGACAUUUACCAAAUCACCAACAUGCUUCAUCCAGUCUACGAAAUUCUGCAGCUGAUUCAAAUCCGGAACCUGAACCAGAGUCGGAGGUAAAUCUUGAGCCAUAUCUAAAGCAGUCUGAAGUUCAAGUACUUGAGCCCUUGACAAUGGUUUUGAAAUUGGAACAUCUUGGAUUACUGCAGACUUGUACCCCUUGGUUUCAAAGGUAAGGAAAGGCAUUGCUUGAGUACAAUUUGGAGGCAGCUUCUUCACCAAUUUUAUUUGGAGGCAAUUGGCAGCGGAUCCAGCUGCACCAAUUUCAGAGCAAAUACUGACACUACUUCAAACAGCACGCUGAAGAAGAGAUAUGUCUAUGGCAAAGACAAUGCAGUCCUCAUUUUGACUUGAGAUGCGGUAAUCAUCAAAGAGAGUUUCCUUGUGAAACUGGGCAACACAUUGAAUCCCUUCACCACUGAGAAGGUUGUGGAGGAAGCAAGCUUUCUCUCUAGUAAGGAAGAGGUGGCAUACCUUCCCCAUUUUGUCUAGGACAGGUAGGAAUCUUUUUUCUAAGAGAUUUACUCCAUUCUCUGUGAGAAAUGCUUUGAACUUCAUCCCUCUGUCUCUAUCCUCACUUAUCAGUAAAAUAGUUGAAAGCACUACAAGGAGAGAAAAGAAGAGUAUUAAGAUAUAUAUAGACAAGAAAAACAUUAGAUGUCGAUCUUACAAGCUAAUACUUCAAACAGUAUCCUAGAAAGCUAAAAACUGCAAAAUGGCUUGAAAUUUGAAAAGAACACAUGCUUUUCCUCCUUAACUUGAGAAAAUGUUUAAUAUAGUGCACCUUACAGAAACAUUUAAGCAAUUAGAACUUUGCACAAAAACAUUCAAGAAGACUAAACAAAUCAGAUGCAGUGUAUUUCUCCAAGCACAAAUGGCAUUGCAUUUUCUCCUCAACUGUAAUAUUUAUUGAUGAAAAUCAGUACAGGUCCCUCAUUUGUUAUGGAAAGCUUUCUUGUAGUCUGACCGGUUAAUUCACGGGUCUAUAAUCAUCUUGCAAAGUUACAGGCAUUUCUUUCGAUUUAAAGUCUUUGCAUCACCACCUCAUCACACACCAAGCCAAUAUUCCGUCUACCUCUACAACAAAAAGUUUUAAGUAAACGAUCCUAAUGCAUGCAGCCAAAUAAAAUGCAGUAAGAAUAUUCAACUUAAAACUCUGAAAGCCAUCUUGGUGAAUUGCCUCCUUAGGGGAAGUUCCAUGCUUUACUAUACUUGACAGGACUGAGCAAAAGCUUCCAUACGACAGAUUUUGACAAUAAUGAUGCCAACAGAUCCUCAUUAAAUCCAUUAAAACUCCAAAGGUUCAUUGUUCAUGGAUGUUUACAGAGUUUUGGUCAUCAAAUAGCUCAGACCACAAUCCCAAACAAAAAAGGAGUGAAAAUUAGAUCACCAGCAGCUAAUUGUAAAUUCUAACUUAACUCUUCAUCUCCUUUGUAAACAGGAGACAAAAUGGAGACACGCAAAAUGAAUAAGGAGAACAUUUGAACUCAAAUGAAAUGAGGGCACGAAAUCAAACAAAUGGCAUGCGCAAACAAACCAAGCCUCAAUCAAAAACUAAAUAACCAUUAAGAAAAAAAAACUGGUCAGAGAAUGAACUCCAAAUUCGGGAGUGAAGCAAGAAGCUUUCAUUAUUUCAGAAGCUCCUGUACAAAUUAAUAAGUUAUGCUCUUUGGAAACAAACCUAAAUUCCAAGAGAAACAGAACUCAAAAAAUUUGCAAUUAUACGCAAAGGAAGCGAAGCACAGCAUUCUAUCACACGUACAAAUUGUAUAACAAGAGAUCGACACAUCGAAUCAGAAGAAUUCAAUUCAAAUUUGUCUCAAAAAUCAAAAUUAGAAGAUUUCACAUUUCGAGAGGAACAAGCGACAGGUCAGAUGCACAAUUUUCAACCACAACAUGCCACAAUUAACGGUUUAUUUCCAUGGAUUUAGAGAGCUGACUGACCUUUUGGCUUUUGGAAUUGAGAAGAACGCGCGCCAAAAUGGAAGAGGGAAAGCGAAAGUGCGGGUUUCAAUAGGGUAUUGGAUUAGCAAAUUUUAUUAGUUUGCGAGGGUAAAAUAGGAAAGAGAUAUCACUAUUAACUUUUUUUUUUAUAAGAAAAAAGAAUAAUAAAGAAUAUUUUAUUGUCAUUUGCAGCAUUUAAUUUUUUUUAAAUGCUAUUAGAAAAAAACGACAAUAAAGAAAUGCUCUUUUUUUAUUUUUUUCUCGAAGGUAAAAUCAAUUAUUUAGCGUCUUAUAUGUAAUCUAACUCCAUUUCUUACUUUAAGUCAUAUCCAACUGACCAAUAAAGUAAUUGUUUUUUUUUUCAUUCAUUUUUACAGAAAAUUAAUAUUGAAAGCUAUUGUAAAAAUUUUUAUUAUCAACCUCAUAGUUUAAUUUUUUUGGGGAAGAAUUGAAUUUUUUUUUUUAAUUUCCAAGAAUUUCAUUCUCUAGUUUUUCCAUUAAUAUUACUUAUCUUGAUACCCAUCUUAAUUAAAAUCUGUAGUUUUAUUCAGGAGUCAUGCUAUUCAUUCACUCACAGACCAAAGGCUUUCCGCAGCAAUAUUAUUAUUUAAAUUACAACAAAGGGGAAAUCAAAUACGUCAUACAGAAGCUUAAAGCUGAAUCUACAAAAUCUAGAGCUCUCAACUACAAAAAUUACACUUGAUGAUCCUCUACAAGAUGAAACUUGUUCAAUAUCUCAUCCAAAGCUUGUAAAGUAACCUUGUAACGAUCUUGAGAUUGCCUGCCUUCCUCGACGACCUGCACGAUGCGUUUGUACAAAUCAUCAUACCUGUGCACCGGAUUUUUAAUAUCAACGCCACUGCAGCUGUGAUCAAGAACAUAAGAGCGUUUAACAUCUUUUCUCCAUCGAGAAAGAAUGUAGUGAGGUGGGAUCUCCUGCAUGCCACUCUGGUUUAGAACACAAAGAAUGUGUCUGCAUAAAUAUCCUCUGAAAUUGAACAACCCACAAACACAAAGCACCUCCUGCAUAAAUAUCUUUCUCGUUGCUACCAAUCUCAAAUUCUUCCUUCACUAUCUAUGUUAUAGGUCCAUCAGCACUGACAUGUUUUGUGCUAUAGCAAGAGUACAUAGCCUCCACCUCCGUCUGAAACUUCCUUAACAUUUCAUUUGUGUACAGUUUUGAGAGUUGAAAUUCAUAGUAACAUCUUGGUUUCUGGAUACAACUUGAAUUUCUUGAAUCCAUAUCUGCCAAGGCUUCCAGUUGAUAAUUCGCCUGCAGUGCUUGAUCAUACUUGUCUAAGAAUUCUUUCAAAGGAGUACUCUUAUCAAGAUAUCCUUCAAAGUAUGAAGUAGAAACCUCAUUCUGCAGGAAUGAAAACACUCCUGAUAAAAAUGCUUCCUUCAAAUAAACAGGAGCCCACCUUUUACGAUCUUCAUAUAAAGUUUGAAUCCAUCCAUGAUCCUUUAUUCCAUGACGUUGAAUCGUGUCCUCCCAAGCUGUCUCAAAUUCCUCAGGCCUAAGAGAGUGAUAAAUUGCUCUAUGCAAUGCAGCUCUAACAGCUUCAUAUUCAAACAAUCCUUGGAGUUUCUCUGAAAUUUUUUGCAUGACGCAUGACAAUGAAAAGCAAUGAUAAGCUCUUGGGAAAGCAUUGCUGACGGCAGUUUUCAAGAUUCUACAUUGGUCAGUGAUGAUUGUUUGUGGACAGCGUCCUAACAUACAUGUAAGCCACGCCCUAAACAACCAUGUAUAUGAUUCUAUAGUCUCACUGGCGAGUAAACCACAGCCCAACAGCACUGAUUGUCCAUGAUGAUUCACCCCAAUGAACGAAACCAGUGGUACAUCAUAUCUUUCUGUCAAGCAUGUAGUAUCAAUUAAGACUACAUCACCAAAGUACCUAUAUGCAACUCUUGACCUGGUAUCAGUCCAGAAGAGGUUUCUCAGGCAUCCCUUUUCAUUUAGAUCCACCACAUUAAAAAAGUUUGGAUCUGUCAACUGCAAACGACAAAAGAAACUCUGGACAGCUUGUGCAUCUCCUGGUUUAAGCUUCAAUUGAUUUGAGCUAUUAACAUCAUUUCCAAAUACUCCAUUAACAUCUAUAUUACCAUUUCCCUCGGUAUCAAGGAUAAGAGUUCGAAACAGUCUAAUUUUUUGAACUUCUUCAGCACCAUCUAAGAGCAAUGUUCUUUUGGUUCCAAUACCCAUGUGCUUAUGAGACUUGUAAAACUUUCCGCUUCUUGGGCUUAACAAACGGUUAUGCUCAAGCUUGACUUCAAUGAUUCUCCACCUUUUGGUUUCCAUCAACCUAAACUUUAUCAUUGCUGGACAGCCAGUUCUUGUUUCUGGUCUUGGGCGGUUUGCCUCGCUUUUCUUCUUUAAGCCUGCACUACUACAGCUCAGCUUUCCUCUAUACUUUUCUCUACUCUUUCGGUACCAUGUAUUGCUAACUCUAACACCAAAACCCUGUUCCUUGGCAUAGCAAUUAUAAAAGUAAUAUACGUCAUCAUACGUCUCAAACUCCAUCCCAACAGCAGGAGGCAAUGGAUUUUGGAUUAUCCCAGUUUGUCCAACAUAUUCAGUCAUCGCACAAUCUCCUAUUCAAAAUCAUCAGCGUCAUCAUCACCUACGGGUUCAGUAUUCAGAGAAACUUCAUCCAUCUACAAUAGAUGUUUAAUGAAGUGAGCUUUAAGGAGAAAAGGCAAAAUCAGUUCAAGGAAUGAUAAUAAAACCGUACAGUUACUUUCACAAAGCUUCGUAUUUCAUCACUACUUUAACAACAUGCAACUGCCUGAGAACAUACAGACAUGUCAUAGAUGCUUGAAUUAAGUAUUGAUACAAAUUAGCACACAUCAUGUGGGACACAAUUUCAGUCACUAAACCCAAUACCUUUUUUUUACAUCAUACCAAGAAACAGAUUAAACCCAAUACCUUCUUUUACGCCAUACCAAAGAACAGAUUAAAUCAUCAAUGAAAAAUUAAUCACAUAAUAAUUUAACUAGACAAUUGAAGAGCUCAAAACAGCACAAUACUUGAAUCUGAUUAUGAUAAUUGUUGAGUCCUUGUAUCGACAGCUUUCCUUCAAUGAGAAGAUUAUGAACAUAAACUACACACAAAAAAAAAAAUUAUUUAAACUGACAGCCCAUGAUAUAAAUCAAACAAAAUUAACUCCUUUUACAAAUCACAUCUUGUAUUCAUUUACAUCGAAACAUAAAAAGGAAGCAGGAGCCAAAAAAAACAACAGCACAGAAACUUCUUUCCAUAAGGUUUACGAAAUAAGGAAUUUAUUAAGACACAAAAUUUGAGGUCACCUAUAAUAAUUUGGUUCUCAUUCUCUUUUUCUUCAUUUUUCACUUAUUGAUGGAGUUAGCAUACAAUCCUAAAUGAUAAAACCCCAUCUCCAUUUUUGAACUAGAGCUAAAGCAAAGCAUUUUAGGAUUCAUCAUUUUUUUUUCUAAAAGACUCAAUAGUACAAUGUUUUUCAAUAUUAAAUACACAACUCAAUCUUCUCCUAAUUUACUCUAAUAAUCUCUUAACUUAGGAAGAUUAAGCUCCACUUGUAAGCUAAAACAAUUUUCUUAAAUCAAGCCCCAAUGCUCUAUACUAUUCAACAAGGCCUCAUAAAUGAUAAAACUACCUCUACAAAGAUACCCAUUUUAGUUUCGCAAACUAAAAUCAAACUCCUGAAACGUAACGAGCAUUAAAACAAACAAGUCCGAACAAGAACUGAAAAAUCAUACAUAAACUCGUUUACACGCUUCGAAAAACACUUUGAAAUUCAAACGAAACAUACCUUAGGUUGAUAAAUUAGUAGCGCAAAAGAAAUUUUAGUGAGAUAUGGGAUCAGGGUUUUUGCCACGGUGAUGUUAAUUGCGACAUUGGGGUGACUCAGCAGCCUUCGAGGCUGAAACUUUGAUUGACCAAAAGCUUCCCGUUCGUUGAUUAUCUAAUUGCAGAAACGAAACUCGCAGUGUACAGAAGAAGUACGCUGAUUUGAUAAUUCUGUGAAAAUCAUUGUUUUUUUGAGAUUUUUAAUGUGUUCGGUAAAUAUCAAAAUCUCAAAAACUUGUCUUUCAUUUUGGGGGGAAAAACCCAUUGAGAUCCUUAUGUUUUUUCUUAUAUAAUCUGGCUUAAUAAUUUGCAAAGUCUAUUACUUUGCACCCAUGCAUGCUGCGUUUCAAUUUUACAAAAUUGUACGUGAGUGCAUCCAGCUAAAAUUUGUAAAAAGAAAAUAACAAUAACAUGUUAAAAAUGUGAUGAUUAUGAAGAAAUUUUAAUUUAGUUAAAUAGGUGACGAUGGAUAGGUAUAAAAUCUGAGAUCUUUUAUGAGAUUAAUAAGUAUGUUGAGUUUGGAUUAGUUCAAUUUUGACAUAAUACAGAAUAAACACAAUCUGCUAAUCUAAGUUAUCAUCUUUUCUCGUCAUCAGGUACCUGUUUGAAAAAUAAUUAUAUACAAUUUUAUUUGCGUUGUCUCUCCAAAAAUUUUGGACUCGAAUGUUAUUUUUAAUUGCUAAAAGUACGAAAAUGCCCCCUUUCUCUUCAGCUAAAGGAGUGCAAAGUCAUCUGUAUAAUUGAAUCUGCAUCAUCAGUUUCUAUUGCUGGCUGGUGUUACUGCAUGCUUACAGUUGCUUGACAAAGUGAGCCAGUUUUUUGUUUAUUAAUUUUUUUUCUUGUCGAGACAGUCACAAAGUAUUACUUGUUCCAUAUGAGAAUGAUGUGAAUCAAUUUUUCAAUUAUGCAUUCUGUGGUAAUUAUUGUGAAUUUAGUUUCAUUUGUCUUGUCUCCUGCAAAUUUUGAAGAAAAUGCAGACAUACAAACUUACAAUAUGGAAGAGUUCACUGGAAAAAACUUUGUGAAAGCUUCCAAGUGAAACAGGGAAUGGGCUUACUAGUAAAGGACAAAUUGGUGGCCAGCUAAUGCAUUCAUUCUAUGUCCAUUCAUCUUUUCGAAUUAUUGAAGACAAGUGGCUCACCACUUUUAGUAUUGGUAAAAUUCAGAUAAUCUCUAUUCCGAAAUAAUAAUAUUCAAAAUAUCUCUUAAAUCAUUAUAAACCUGAAAUCUAUUUUAAUUUUAUUUAAAAGAUAAAAGAAAAAUAGGUUAUGUUGGUGAUUUUUUAUUAUCUUUUUAAUAAAAAUGAAAUAAAUUGAUGUUUAUAAUUAUUUAAAGUAUUUUAAAGAUUGCUAUUUUAUGAGAGAAUAAUAUUUCACUUUUUUAGUGUGAAAGAUUGAAAAAGGACAAACCAAGUUUCCCUAAUUUUUAUUUUAUUUGAAAUUGGUCAUCUCACAUACUUCACCCUUCAACAUUAUAAUUUUUUUGGUUAUAAUUUUAUUAUUUUUUCUCUUUUACACAUGCAUGUGAAUUACUUUUCUUUAAGCUCCUGAAUAUUUAAGACAAAUCAUGGAAGAGAUGAGAGUAUAACAAGAUGAUCAAAAUAUGUAACAAAAAAAUUUUAGAAGUGAAAAAUAUGUUAGAGUCGAAGUAAAACUCUGAGGUGAUGUUUGAUUUGAAGAAAAUGGAGGAGAGGAAAAGAGUGGAAUGGAGAGGAAAAUAGAGAAAAGGAGAGGAGAGGAGAGUGAAAUUUUUUUCUAAUGUUUGGUUUGUCACAUAAUUAUACAAAGAAAAGAAAUCUCUAAUUUUUUAUUUAGACAAUUUUAACCUUAAUAAGUAUUAAGCUUUCAAUAUUUAUCAUGUGUAUAAUUUAAAAAAAGUAAAUGGUAGAAAGCGGUUUCUGAUUCCGGCCACAUCGCCGGCAAUGGAAGGUACUUAUCAGAACAUCAAGAGCCGACCAUCAUUCCCUAGCCAUCACUGCUGUCAGAACACUGCCAGAAAGCUGCCGAUUGAACCGCAAAAAGUCGUGGAAAUCGCUGCCUCAAAUCGGUGAGUUUCGCCUUUUUCUGGUCACGCCGUCACCUUGGCUUUGUCCAUCAAGGCUGCCACUUCCAUUUUCAACCAUCCAUAGCCACUAUUAACGGCCAAAUCGCCGCCGAUCAGCGGGAUAUGUGGAAGUUAAAAAGUUUCUAAAUUUUUUUGACUGGAUUUGAACAACAUACGACCAUUUUUUGAUCUCGAUAACGACGUAGUAAUGUUGAUCAUUGAUCGGCAAGUCGAAUGGUAGUGGCGGUGAGUAACAUGCGCCAAUGACAUCGGCGGCGGCACUAUCCGGCGACUGUUAAAAUUAAUAUUUUAUAUUUUUAGAUUAAAUAAAUUUAUUUUAUUAAACUUUUUAAAUCAUUAUUUAAAUUUAAUUAAUUUAAAAUUAUCUAUAAUGUUGAAUUGAUAAAAUAAAUUUAUAAAUAAUAAUUAUGUGAUUACAUUAAAUAAGUUAAAAAGUUGAAAGGUUAUUUUUGGAAGAUUUAGUUUCCAACACAAAGGGAAUUUGAAUUCUUCACUUCUUAGUGUGGAAUUCAAAUUCUAUAUUGUAAUGGAUAUUAAAUUCCAAUAGAAAUUAAAUUCUUAUAAAUUAUGUCAAACCAAACAACGGAAAUAAAAAAGGAAUUUAAAUUACUUUCCUUUCCUCCAUUGUCUCCUUCCAACCAAAUACAUCCUGAAAAUAGAGAUAUUGAUUAAUUUAGAAGAGAUGCAAGCAAAAGAUAUUCCAAAAAAAAAAAAAGCAAUAUGUCCCUUUGGAGGGCAAACUUGUCAGUUUUAAAAAAGUACAUGCUUUGGAUUGAUAGUUGUAGGAUAUUUGUUUUGUCACUAUGUAUUAGUUGGAGAAGUCAAGCCUUGUGAAGAAUGUUAUGAAAGAGCAAAAGAUAUUCCUGAUAGCUGAUAGAGCUAUAUUUGAUUAUGUAUCCAACGAAUGGAUGUGUUGUUGGAAGAUAUCUGAGUGCAUUAGUUCAUAUGUGUAUGUCAAUGUGCUUUUAAUGAUUUUUCCACUUGUUUGUUGUAAAAGAUUAUUGUAAAUUGAAAUGAACUUGAUGUUGUAAUAUUUUUUCCUUAGUGGAAUUUCACCUAGUAUGUAUUCAGUUGUGUUCUCUAUAAUUUUGCAUUCGAAUAGUUUCACCUAAAUAUAUUAGCAUGAGUAGUGGCCCUUGAAACUUUGGUCAAAAUUAUUGUUAUUAUUUCCGACUAGAUGUAAAUUUUUUAUUAAAUCUCGUUAACACAAUUCUUAAUUAAAAGUAUAGGUUAGUGUUGGUGCAAGAUUUGCCACACCAAAUUCUGCCUAGCUGUCAAAAGUGCAAAAUAAAUGAAGAGAAAGCACAAAUACACGACUUGAAUAAGGAUACAACGAAACUUAAAUUCAAGAGAAAAUGAUAGCUAUAUCUCAAGAUUUGAAAAAAUGAUCAUGUAGAUUUUUAAGAUUUCAAUAAGCGACUGAGAUUCAAAUAAUAUCCUUUAAUUCUAUUAACAAAAAACAAAGACUCAAAUAUUUUAUGAUAAAUAAAAAUAUAAUAUUAAAAUAUAUGUGAUAAUAUACACAUUUUAAAUACUUUCAAUCCAAAAAAAUAGUUAUGUUUUACAAUCUAUUAGACAUAUUUUAUUAAAUUAAUAUAAAUUUUCUAUAAAAUAAGAAUAUAAUAUUAAAAUAAAUUCACUAAACUUUAAAGAAUUUUGAAUGUAAAAUAAUUUUAAUAUAUUAAUACGUGAGUUUUUUUAUUAAUAUAAAAAUUAUUUAACUUUAAGAUUUUUUAAAAUCUUUACAAUAAGUAUAACUAUAUUAUUUACAUUUAAAAAUAUUUAAAUAUUAUUAACCUACAAUUAUAUUUGCAUUUGUUAGAAAUUUUUUAAGUAAAAUAUUUUGCACUUCUAUAUUAUUAGAAUUAUUGCACACAAAGAAAGAAACAUAUACCUUUAGAAAUUGUUUUCUUUUAAAAUAGAGAUGAUGAUUAGUAUAAGGAUGAAAAAAAGGAUAUUAACGAAAUCUCUAUACAAAUUGAUUUUAGUAGGAAAAGAGUGAGAUGAAUGAUUCUUUUACAAUUAGAAACAUAGAUGAUGAUUAUUAUAACGAAGAAAAAAAGAUAAAGAAUAUUAAUUAUUAAUGGAAUCUCUAUGCAAAUUGAUUUUAGUAGGAAAAAAAUGAGUUAAAUGAUUUAGAGUGCGUUUGGAAUUGAGAUUGGGCAGCCAUAGAUUUUAAGUUACAACACUGAAGUGUUUGGUAAAUACUAGCUGCUGCAGAUUGAAAGUUAUGUUGAUAUGAUUUUUCACAUGUAUCAUAGAAAAUAUAUUACAUCUUUAAUAAUUUUUUUAAAAUUUAUAUUUGCUAUAUAUUAUUAUUAUUUUUUUUAUAGUUAUAACUUUUUUUCCACAGCAGCUGUAGCUUAAAAGCCACAGCACCUCAAUUUCAAACAAGUCCUUAGACAUUCAUAGUGUGUUUAUUUUUUGGAUUGGUGAAUAAAAAUUAUUGACAACGCUAACUUCAUCUUCACCGUUCGCAAUCCAACAGCAGCAAUUGUCACCAAUAAUGAUAUCUCCAAUGAUGAUGACAAUUAUUAUUAUUAUUAUUAUUAUUAUUAUUAUUAUUAUUAUUAUUAUUAUUAUUAUUAUUAUUAAUAAUUAAUUAAUUAAUUAAUAUAUUAAUGUUAAGAUUAUUAUUGUUAAGAUUAACAAUAAUUAUUAGUAAUACAAUUUUUUGAAUAAAAAUAAUCACAAUAAUUAAAAUACAAAUUAAUAAUUAUGACAAUAGUUAAUUAAUGUCUUUUUAGUGAAUCAAAAUUAUUGACAACGCUAACUUCAUCUUCACCGUUCGCAAUCCAACAGCAGCAAUUGUCACCAAUAAUGAUAUCUCCAAUGAUGAUGACAAUUAUUAUUAUUAUUAUUAAUUAAUUAAUUAAUUAAUGUUAAGAUUAUUAUUGUUAAGAUUAACAAUAAUUAUUAGUAAUACAAUUUUUUGAAUAAAAAUAAUCACAAUAAUUAAAAUAAAAAUUAAUAAUUAUGACAAUAGUUAAUUAAUGUCUUUUUAGUCAUUUAUAGUAAACAAAUUAUUAUGAUUCCUAUUCUCCUUUCCCAUUUUAGCUCACUUUGAUUUCAGUCUAUUCCGAUUUCUAUCUAAUAAAUGCACCAUUAGUGCUAAAGUAAUAUUUCAUACAUAGAAAAGUAAAAACUACACCUAAGGUUAAGGGAAAGGACUUCAAAACUCUCUUUUGAUUAUAAUACUAGGAAAUAAAACCGCGCUUCGCGCGGCUUUAGAAAAUAAAUUUAGUAUUAUCAAUUUUCUUUCUUUACACUCGACAAAACUGAUAAAAAAUAUAAAUUAAUUUUUUUUAAAUGAGCCAGCGUUAUAAAACUAAUAUUAUUUAUGAAAGUUAACUAUUUUUUUGUUAACUUUAAAAAUAUAUAUUAACGUGUAUAGUUUAAGUGUACAGACUUUAUACCUUUUGUAGUUGAUAAGUUCCAAAUUAAAUUUUGUAAUUGAGGAUCCUUAGCAUUGAAGUAUAAAAGAAAUAAGUAAAAUACAUGUAAAGACUUUUGUAAUUUAUUUCGCAUCGUUUGUAGCUGCGUAGGUGAGCAGUUGUUUAUAUCAAGCUUGCAGCUAUGGCAAGUUCCAAUGGGGAUCAGCAACACCUAGUGCCAAAAUGUUCUUUAUCUGUAUAUAAACCAUGUCUCCAUGGAUUAGAGAGAAUGAAAGGAGAAACAGUUGAUGUAAAAAAGAAUGCUUCUUCACGUACUAUGUUCUUUGGCGAUUAAAUCCUCCAUAACAGCUUGGAAAACUCAGCCAAAUUACCAUUUUGUUGUCUCGAUAGUUCCUUUGAUUUAUCCAUUUGUCUACUGAAUAAUUAAAACACAUAAUAAAAAUCAUUAUUAUAGGGUGAAGUAAGAGCUUGCAAUGUAUAAAUUAAAUUUUAAAAUAUAAUCUAAAAAUGUGAUACCUUGAUUUUGUGAGCUAAUGUGUGAAUAUUUUGAAAUACUUCUUUGUAGACAAUGUUUUUUAUGAAGGUUCGGUCUUCUACCUCUUGAUCGGCAUUUAGUAUGGUCAAUCCUUCUCUUGAGGUAACUCGAGACACGGCGACAUAUAAUUGACCAUGUGUGAAUACUUGCUUAGGGAGAUACAAGCCAACAUGUUUAAGAGAUUGUCCUUGGCUUUUGUUGAUCGUCAUGGCAAAACAUGGUGCUAAAGGAAGUUGUCGUCUGUUAAGCUUGAAUGGCCAUCUUGAUUCAUUAGGAGACAUAAUAAUUCUUGGAAUUGUGACAUUUUGUCCAAUAUUUGUUCCAGAAAUGAUGUCACCUCUAAUGGACCAUUUACCAAGAUGAGUGACAAUUAAUCUUGUGCCGUUGCAUAGGCCUUCUAUUUGAUUUAGAUUUCUGAGAAGCAUUACGGGAGCACCUUCCUUAAGUCGUAUGUCAUGAUUAGGGAUGCCAUUGAAUUUCAAACUAUUCAAAAAUUCAGUUGGAUAUAGAACAUCUUCAUCAUUUGUGUUUGCGCUUGCUUUGCAUAUACUGUCUGAGCUAAAAUAGGUUCUCCCUUGACCAGGUAUUAUAUUCAUAAUCAUCUCGUUCAAUUCAUGCACCAUUUCAUUUUUUGGGGUUAAUAUUGCUCUUUCUUUCAAAUAUGUUGGAUCACUGUAGUUAUGCUGAAUUGAUGGGUAGAUAGUGUCGACUAUUGAUUUUAUCAGAUUUUCUGAUGGUUUCUUACAGAUAUCAGAAGGUAGUUUAACUAAAUCUCUAUCAAUGUCAUCAUAUAAUGAACCAUCUCCAAUCUGCAAUAACCAUUUGUCAAAAGAAGCUAUUUUAGCAGCCUAAGAGCCACUCACACUUCCAUUAUAGAGCCUCAUAUUUUUUUUGAGGUCAUAAAUUUUGAAAAAUGGCCACAAGUAGGAUGAGUUAAGUGAAGCAUCAACAAUGUCUGCUCUUGUCCUCUUUGGCACAACUGGCAAUAUUUGUCGGAAAUCGCCACCACAUACUAUUGUAAGUCCUCCAAAAGGUUUGAUAGAACUAUUUUCAUACAUUGUUCUUAGAAUAUCUCUCAAGGUCCUAUCCAAAGCUUCAAAGCAGAACUUAUGUGUCAUAGGCGCUUCAUCCCAAAUGAUCAAAGAAGUUUUCAUAAGAAGUCCAGCUAAUAAGGUGCCUUGUCGGAUUUCACAAGUGGACUCUGCUGUCACAUCCAAAGGAAUAUGAAAUCGCGAAUGAGCUGUCCUACCAUUAGGCAAUAACAAAGCUGCUAUACCUGAAGUUGCAACAGGCAAGACUAUUUUAGAAUGUGAUCUGAGCUUUGCAAUAAUUGUAUUCCACAAAAAUGUUUUACCAGUACCACUGUGUCCAUUGAUAAAAAAUAAACGCCCUUCUUCAUUGUCAACAGAAUGCAUUAUUGCUUCAUAGGCUGAUUUUUGGCAAGCAUUUAGAGCAGCAAACGAUUUCUCAUGCAACUUCUUUAAUUGAUCACGAUCAUAAUCAAGCUCUUCAUUGACCAAUCGGUUACCUGAAUCUCUUAUCAAAGAAGAAUUAGGAAGUGGCAUUCCAUCUAUGUCUCUCAAACUUUUUCCCAUUUUCAACAUGAUAGUUUAAAUCUCCAACAAUGUGUAUGCUUCAACUUGUUGCUCGGUUAACUGAAGAUCUUUCAAUCUGAAUUUUUUCCUUUGCAAUGAAGUUAUGUCUUCUGAUAAAGUAGUAUAAUUAGAUUUCCAAAGUUGGGGUGCAUCAGAAACCUGACAAUGAAUGAGUAUCGUGACAAAAAGAUGUCUUAAUUCAUUUCCAGUCGCCCAUAUUGCAGCUUCAGUCAAGCAGUCGAUCCAUUCUUUAUCAUCGUCUAAUAAUCCCAAAGCAUAGCACGCAGCUUUAAAAGUUGGAUAUGUCACUCCAUUUACUGUUCUAAUACUUUCAAAUGAAGUGCUUCCUUUUACAAAAUUGAGCAACAUUCUCAUAUAAAAUCGUUCUCCACUUGAAGGAUGUGCAAAGUAAAUUCUUCCGAUUGCUAAGCCAUUUUUUCUCCUAGUCCAAGUUUUGUCUUUUGAAUUCCAUACCCAACAUGUAGGGAAAUCAGAAUAAGUUAACUCUCGUGCAUCAUCAUAAUUCUUGUUUGCCUCCAACCAUUCUGUGAACUUUGUUUUUUCUAUUCCAGGUAUGGUAAGCACAUUUUCUAAGCACUUAGAUUCUUCGAAUAUUACUGUAUGCUCUCCCGGUAAAUGGAACGGCAAUCUUUCAACUGCUGGCUUUCUGUAAUGUAUGUCAAAUUGGAAGAUUCGCCAGCAAGCUUCGGUUGCUGAUAUAUAUCUGCAGUCCAAAUAUGUUUUGAUCUCGUCCAUUUCUUGGGUAGUGUCAAUAGAUUCCAUUGUUGCAGUUGUUCUAUCAGACCCUUUAUGGACAUACUUGAAAAGAUAUUUAACUGAUCUCGAGUAAUUACAAAUCUCAACAUUAAUAUGUGCAUCAAAUUUGACAAUUAAAUUCCUGUGAUAAGGGACCACAUAUCGAUUAUCCAAGAAGACACCUUUCUUUUCGACAUGAAUACCUGUAUUUCUCCUUUUAUAGAUUGGAAAACCAUUUGUAUCCACUGUUGUCUGAUCAUUAAAUUUUUUUGGAAAAUGUUUUGUGCACUUGUCUUGCAUCAUGCAUGGAGAGUGAGAAUUGUGUUUUCCACACGGUCCAUGAAUCAUAAAUUUGUUAACUGCAUUAUAACCAUCAGGAUCAACAUUUAAGUCAGGGAUUUCUGCACUUAUUAUUUUAUCAAUAUGGUCUGCAGAAGGAUUUUUCAUUGUUGGAUGCAAAAAAAGCAGUAUGUGUGCAUAGGGCAAGCCUCUUUUUUUAAACUCAAUUGUAUAUAGACCUGCCACAAAAUAGAGUAAAAUUUAAAAGUUAGAAAUAUUGAUUUUAAUUGUGAAAUUAUUGUUUUUCCCUACACUUUUCAAUAACAAAUGAGUUGAAUUUGUUAUGGAUACGAAUUUGAAGUGAACUUACAUGCAAUUAUUUUUCCAAACGGUUGAUCUUUUUUCAAAUCUUGCAUUAGUUGGAAUAAUUUUAUCUCGAAAACUCUGCAUAUGAUAUCGACUCGAUUGUCAUCAUUAUUUUGUCCAACUAAUCGGAGCAUGUUAUUUAUUUCUUGCCACUUUGGGUUGCAAGUGAAAGUAAGAAAUAAAUCAGGAUAUCCUGCCCAUUUACAAAUUGCCAUAGCAUCUUGAUAAUUUUGUAUUCUAUAUCGUGGUCCCCCCGUGUGUGAUGAAGGUAGAAUAAUCGAUUUUCCAACUUUCGAACAAUCAGAAUCACCUCGAUGAACAGCAUCCAUCAAACCAGAGAAAAGGUCUGAUCGAAGUUUUUGUUGAUUAUUCCGGAUCCAACGAAAUCUUUCUUCUUCAACUGCCAUGUAACAAUCAACUAUAUAUUGUUGGAAUAGUCUACCAGUUUGAAGUAGAGUGUGUCCCUCAUUCAAUCUUUGUUGCAACCUAAAGCAAUAAUAUUGCCUCAUUGUCAGCUUUUGCCUCUUAAAAGGGCUAUCAGUUAUGUCUCUUAAAGAUAUGUCAGGUCUAUAUCCAUCUUCGCCAUAAGGAUAUAUUAACGGGUAUGUCAUGGGCAUGAAGCUUGGAUGCAAAUCUGUGAUUCUCCGAAGUCCCUUUGUGCGAUGCUCUAUAAUAACAUCGCGUUGAAAGUUUGCUUCACUGAAAUCACCAACUAUUAAGCCUGCAACUUCUGAAACUGUUGGUAUAUUGUAUCGACGACCAUCUCUUGUUCUACUAUUAAGGAGUCGUAAACGGAAUGUAGAUUCUGGUUGUGUUUUGUAUCUAUCCCUCGCCAUUCUAAAAGAUUUGACCAAAUUAUUAUGUUGGUCCAACAUUUUAGAUAGUUCAUGAAGAAUUUCGUGAUCAAUUUCUGUCUUCAUUCCAUGUUUUAAUAGAGUGUUGAUUCUAUUGUCUAUCUCAUUUUCAGUAUCAUAGAUAUAGAGCUGAGCAAACUGUGGUUUUUUCCCAACUUCUGGCAACAAAGAACCAAUGUGAUGAUAAUUCUGACCGCUCAUCCUGAAAACAUAAGGACCUUUUGAUCGAUUGAUUGAUGCAUCAACUCGACCUCCCAUAGAUGUGAAAGCAAACAUGGAGUUAUAAGCCCUGAUAUUUUUUCGAAAUUUGGAACCCUUUUGUCCAGACUCUGCCCCGAGAAGAUAUUUGAGUAAAGGAGGUGUUUCUUUCAUGAAUGGAAUCUGCACACGACCUUCCAUACAACAAAAUGUGAAUUUGGGAUGUGAGACCUUUUUGGUUUUCUUGUUCCGUUCCUCGUACCAUAAAAUGGCACCACAAUAUUGACAUGUGUAUGUAGGGGGUCCAAAAUUCCAAGGCGUUGUGUAAUGAACUGUCAAAUUCAACCAAUAAUAAUAUUGUAACAAAGUAUCUUAUUUCGUCUAAGUGAAUAUGGUAAGAAAAAAUAUUACUAAAUAUAUUAAUAUUUUCAUUGUACAUGUAGUUUCAUGCAAAUAUGUACCAUUAUUUGAUGUUACACCAUCCAAUGGAAAGCUUGUGGACUGAUCUAUAUUCUCAUCAAAAGAGAGACACGCUCUUUUUAGUUGUCCAUGUUCAACUGUAUAUUUUUAAAGUUCCAAAAGCAAUGAAUAAGUUAUUAGUUUCAAGUAUUACAAGCAUGAUGAAUAACUAAUAAAGCUCGAUAAAUUUAAAUAUAUAUACGUACAUGUGUGAAGAAGGCGCUUUCCUCUGUUUGUUUGACUCUUUGGAUUUAUAUGUAAUGAUGUUUUAUUAUUAUCAUAUCCAGCUUUACCAGGAGAUUGAAGGAAAUUCCCAAUUGAAAUAUGUUAGAAAUAUAUAUAUUUGUUAAUAUAUAUUAACAUAAAUAAUUUAAAUUAUAUAGGGAUAAUUUUUGUAAUUUGUAUAGUAGGAAUAAAAAUCAUAUUUUCAAGAAUCACAUACCGUUUGAGUGAAGCAAUUUAUUGUCACUUCUAAUGACUUCCAACUUCAUAAAUUUUGUGUAAAAAUUCACAAUUUGUAGCAUCAAAAUGAUUCUCUUUUUUAAAUCAUGUUUGUAUCUAUUAUGAAUAAUCAUAAUUUUCCGCUUAAAUCUUGCAUGCUUGAAUAUGGCCUUCUGCACGACAACAUAUCCAUUGUUUAUUGUGUCACACUGGAAAUUUGAUGCAUAUUUCCUAAGUUUUAAUUUCAUAAUCCUUUCGUGCCGAGCUAAAGAUGAAAGUUGAUGCCGCAAGAGACAAACUUCUGGCGGAAUAUUCCUUGAGUCACCGAAAUCAUUAAUAGUUGCAGAAAUCAAUUCCAUUUACUCUGGUGAACAAUAAAGUGAAUUCAAUAUCACAAAAUAUUCUAAAAUUAACAAAACGUUUUAUUACAAAUCAUAACAAGAGAAACCGAAAAUAUAAAAUGUUUUUUUUCAAAAGAGAGAAUUUUUUUUUCAAUUAUUGAAAUAAGAAUUGCAAUGAAUUUUUCGAACGAAUAUAUACCAUAUGUUAGAAAGAACAAAAAAAAAAUCACUAAAAACAAAACAAAAUAAAAUGGGAUUUAAUUUAACCAAUUCAAUUUAAUUUUAAACUCAUGCCAGUGUCACACUGGCAUUAAUUUUUGUUGUGCUUAUAGCCACGAACAGAGGCUUUUAGAUUACUUCUUUAUUAGGUUAUUAUUCUUCGAAUUUGGUGGGUAAAUUGUGAGCUUUUUCUGUUGUGAUAUUAUCAAAUCAAUCCAUGCAAAAUAAUCAUUAAUGUAAUGUUUUUGUUAUUUUCAAACUGAUAAAUAAUUAUGAAUUGUUUCCAUAAUUGUGUAUUUAGAAACAACGUUAACACAUUUUUUCGGAACAAACUUCUAAGUUUGAUUGAUUUUACGUCUAAUUACGAUACCCUAAAUUAAUAUAGAAAGUCAACAAAAAUCCACUUUAACAGUUCUAAUGUAAAUUUAAAGGCAAUUAAUUUUGAGUAAAUAUGAACUAAAACAAAACUUGAACAAAAUCUGAAUUUAUAUAUAAUAUUAAGGUAGCCACAUUGCAUUUGAAAAUGUCAAUUAGUGGGAUCUAAAUAAAUAAUCACCUUGGAAUUUUUUAAUGGUUGUAGGAGUUAAUAUUACAUACACGGACUAUCAUCUUUGUUGUACAAAUUUCGAUCAAACAUCUCCCCCAACUUUUUUCAUAAAGUAAUCUUUGAUAUCACCGAGCUAUCCAUAAAAAUUGCCACAAGUGAAUAAUGUAAAGAGAAAAACUCAUUAUAAGGAUAUCAUAUUAUCAUUAAAUUCGAAAGUUUCGAAUUACGUUAUUAUACAAUUGGUUACUUUUUAAUUCUAAAUCACCAAUAUUAUUAUUCCCUAUCUCAAUAUGAAUAUUACCACUUGACUUUUUUAUUUGUGUUUAUGAAGAGGUGGGGUGUGAGGAAAAGGAAAAAAUGUUUUUCUUAAGAAUUAGAACAAAUAAUUAGGCAAUAAUUCAAGGAAUUGAGGUUGUUCAUUCUACAUUCCAUUUGGAUUUACAGUGAUUUUCAUAAAUUUUUUCUUUUAUUAAUUAUGCUAACUGCCAUGUACUGUUGUUUAUUCUACUGCGUUUGGGAGAAGAUGCUUGGGCUGCCUAGAACAUAUUUUCUAAUUAAUUUUUCUUGUGAAUACAUUGAAUAAUCUCUAAGGGCUAUAUCCUUUUUCAUUUUACUUUAACGGUUUUUCUUCAACAAAUAUUGGAUGUAUUUAGUGAAAAAGAAAAUUAAAAAUUAGGAAAGAAUUAAUAAAAUUAGUGAAGUCAAAUUGUCAAUCAAUUCUUAUGAUAAAACAAUAAUUAAAAAAUAUAGUCAUAGUUUUCUUGAUUAUAUUCGACUUAUUAAUCUGUUAAAACUUUUUAUAUCUUUUUUUCCAACUUCCCCAUUUGGUGAACUAUAAAAAUGAUAUGUUUUUUUUCCACUCUUUGUCUCUAUCUUUUUUCACUCACAAAGAGUUAAUAGUUAUUAAUCAAUUAAUUUUUUUUGUUUGCAUAAGAAUUAAUAAUGUUGCACACAUGUAUUGUGAAAUAAUUGUUUGUUCAUAAUUAUUUUUUGCAUUUUUUUAGAAGUCAAUAGUCAAAUUAAUGAUAUUGAAUUAAGACAUUUCGAAGUUUGCUAUUUUGUACUUCUAAUAGAAAUGCUUGCAAAUGGGAGGCAUUAAUUUUUCUGUUUACUUUAUCGAAUUUCAUAAAAUUCAAUUCAAACAAAAAAUUGAAGGUUAGAAAAGCAGUUGGAUAGUUUCAUAAAAUUAUUAUUUUAUCAUUUAAAAGAUAUGUACCACAUCAAUUAGGACUAAAUAUUAGAAUCAUUAGCAUUGUUCCAAUCACACAUGCAAAAUCUAUCACUCAAUAGUCAAGUACAUUGUACAAUGCAGUCGAGAACAACUUCAACAUUUAGUUAAACCUUUUCUAUCUGUUUAUUUCCACAAAACACCAAAUAUCCAGAUUGAUACUGGAUCCUCCGAGUCAAAUAUAGCUAGUUCACGUUCAGAAAAGACCCGCCUCUUUUAAUUGUACCUCCUGCAUGCGAAUUAUAUAACAAUUAAAUAAAACUACACCAGAGAUUAAUUAGUCAAUAAAUAUAAACACGAGCUAAAACAUGUGUUUACUAAUAAUUCUUAAACAGGUCUAAGCUUUCAAAGUUUGCAUUGAAAAAUUAAAGUGAAAAUCUUCAAUACCUCCAUGUGUAAAUCGCAUAAAUUAGACAACCAAAGAUUAUUCAAAGAUUUUUCUUUCUUACCUUAUGCUUUUUCGCAAACAAGUAGAUAACAACAAUUGUAAAGACAAGUGAGCAGUAAUCUGUUAAAACAAAGUAAUCCAGUGUUAAUGAAAAUAAGAACAACAUAUUAUAUUUAAAACUAAGUUUUCAUAAUAAUGAAAUCGAGUAAACUUAUUCGAUAAGGAUAAACAAAUAGAACGCAUUGACAAAUUGACAUCAAAUUAAAUUGAUCCAAAGAAAUUGAGAUGCUCAAAUUUGAUUACGUACACAUUAAUUUUCAAAUAAUUAAUCCACACAUUGUUUUAUUCUUCAAACAUCUUUAAACACAGGAGCCAACACUUUCACUCUUAUAUAUUACUGCCAUAGUAACUUGAACUUGGUGAUCAGCUUUUUAAUUGAUUUGCAGUAGCUCACAAUUAAUUAAGCUUGAUCAUCAGUAGCUAUUAUUGAUCAUAAAAAUAUUUGUUUAAUUUACAAUCUAAAGUUACGCUCCAUACUCUAUAUAUGUGAAUUAUAUAUUUGCAUCAUCAACAUUAACAUUAUAAAAUAAUCUGUGCAAUAGGAUGCUCUUGGAGUAUUUUAUUUUCAUCACAAAAUAUAUUAAAAUUAUAUUAGUCAGAGAAUAUAUCUAACACUUUCUAAACACUAAUAUAUAAUAGUUUCUACAAAAUUAUGAAAUAUUUGUACUAAAAUACCAAAAUAUAAAUAUAUAUAACCUAAUUGGAAUCAAUAAUCAAACUUCAAACAUGUCAUACUCUAAAGAAAUUAAAGCAUGAUAGUCUGUGUGUUUGACAUAUUCAACUAAAUGUUUGAUGAGAAUCUGUGAUUGUUAACAGCCAAUAAUGGUUUCUUUAGCAACUCAACUCAACUCAGCAAAACCGCAACCAAUUACAUUUACCAACUCAACUCUUCGCUUCCCCAAUUUCCAACAUUCUCUUCACAUUUACAAAUGGUAGGUGGUCCUAUAAAUCCCAUUCAAGAAUGAACAAUUUUUUUCAGUUCCUAGUAGGUGAAGUUUCUUCCACAUUUACAGAAAUUUCGACAGCAUCUCCCCAUAGUUCUCCAAGUACACGACCUAGAUUUAUGCAUUCAUCUAGUAUGUACCCAGAGAACAUGAGGAGCAGCUAUCGAAAUUUCCUUUUACGUGAAACAAAACUUCACCUACUUGGAACUAAAAAAAAUUAUGCAUUCCCAAACUGUCCAAGUUGGGACAAUUCAAGAAUUAUUAAUAGACAUAUCAUCCUCUUGUCAUCCUAAGAUGACACUGAUAAAACAUGUGUCUACUAAUAAUUCUUAAACGGGUCUUAGCUUUCAAAGCAUGCAUUGAAAAAAAAAACGUAAAUCAAUAUAUAUAUAUAUAUAUAUAUAUAGUUGAGUUUAUUAACAUUACCUAGGUUUGGCGGAGAAAAUAUGAAGAAGAAGAAGUAGUUUGGGCAAAAAUCAAAGGGUUUUGAUUUUCAUUAUUGAUCAAUUGAAAUAGUAGAGUAGUGGACCUUCUCAGCUAGUUCCAUGGAUGUUAAUAAAUCUAAAAUUUGUUAGCACUUAACAUUUGCUAAAGAAACCGUCUUAAGUUUCAAUUCUUUAAAUUAAUGUUAAUUAGAUUUGACAUUGAAGAUUAAUUAUUCACUAAGGCUUAUCAUAUUUUAAAAAAACGAAUAUAAAAGGUUGCAUAUUAAAUAUGGGAUUAUGCAAUUAAAAUUAAACCCUAGUAAUGGCAUUGGUGAGGGAAGAUGAAAGAAUUCCUUCCUAUAUUAAUUAGUUGAUAUAUUUUAAGCCACUAAAGUUUAAUUGUUGGCUUAAUAAAAUAAAUGAAUGUUUCAAGACUUAUAAUUAAUUAUUAUUAAUGGUUAUAUAUUGUUGAAUUUAAAUAGAAAUAGGAAAAGACAUGUAAUCUUUUGUAAUCUAAUAAUCAUUUUCUAUUUAUUUUCUAUUUUUAAUAUUUUGUAAUGUAAUUAUUUUUUAAUUUAAGCUAAUAUAUUAGAUAUUAGAGAAUAUAAAGAGAUGAGAAAUAAUGAUGUCACAAAUCUUAAAUACUUAAUAUUUAUAGAAUUUGAAGAAGCCAAAAAGCACUAAACAAAAGGUUGAAUAAUUAAAUAUGAAAUUAUGACAUUAAAAUUAGGCCCUAGUGGCAUUGUUGAGGGAAGAUGAAGGAACCUUCCUUUCUAUAUUAAUUAAUUGAUGCUUUUUAAAGCCAUUAAAGUUUAAUUAUUGGCAUAAUAAAAUAAAUGAAUGUUUCAAGACUUGUUGAAUUUAAAUAGGAAGAGGAAAAGACAUGUAAUCUUUUGUAACCUAAUAAUUAUAUUCUAUUUUUACUAUUUUAUAAUGUAAUUAUGUUUUAAUCUCAACUAAUAUACUAGAUAAUAAAGAAUAUAAGAAGAUGUAAAAUAGUGAUGCCACAUCACCUCUUGUAGUCAAGGCUUAUAAUUAAUUAAGAGACAUGGAUAGGGAUGGCAAUUUCCGGGUCCGGGUCCGGGUCCGGGUUUGGCUGUUCCGGAUCCGGACCCGGACAUCAAAUUCUCAUAACCGGACCCGCAUUAAACCCGGAUUUUUUAAAUCCGGAUCCGGUCCGGGUUCAACCCGGAAAAAUCCGGGUUUCCGGAUUCCGGGUUUGGAACCCGGAUUGCUUUAUUAUUAUUUUUUUUAGAGACCAUAUGGCUUACUUUAACAAGGCACAGGGGAUGGUGGUUUAAUGUUUUAAUGUUUUCCCCAACAACACAUUACAGAAUACUUCCUAGAAUUGGUUCAAUAAAAUUUGAUGGAUAUUGUUGUUGAGUUCGAAUUUUCCGUCUCUUUUGGUGGAGGUUUCACAUAUUUUCCUAUUACUUUUUGGCAUCUCUUUCUCUUUUGUCUGGUUUGUUUGUCUUUACUUUGCUGCUUCCUUUUCUCCUUUAGCUUAUUCCGAAGAUGCCUUUCUUUCUCAAAUACACCUUGCCAAACGACCUCACCUGUUGACGGCCAUAACCACCGUCUUCUAGGGUGAUCAGAAUCUGCCUCCUCGGCCAUGUCCUCAUCCAUGCUUUUUAAAGUGCUGUAUGAGAACCAUCUGACCCACAUUUGACCUCUCCGACUCUUAAAGUGCCACGCCGCGAAGGAUCUGAUCUGAUCUGAAGAAGAGAUUACAGGAGAGUUGCAGAGAGAGUGAGAGAUUAAGUGACGACGGAGGACUGAGGUGAGGAAUGAGUCACGGCUCACGGGUGAUUUUCCUUGAGAGAGGAACGGAUUACGGUUUACGAAUGAGACUUGAGAGAUUGAAAGGAGAAAUUAUAGAUUUACAGUAAUUUUUAGGUUGAAGGAGAAAUUUCGAGAGAGGAUCAGACGAACGAGACGAGAGAGAUCUAGAUUCUAGGGUUCACUUUUGUUUUUGUUUUUUUUUUAAUUUUUCUAUUUAUAUUUACGGAUUUACGGAUCAAAAUUAAUAUUAAAAUAAAUAAUAUCCGGGUCCGGGUUCCGGGUUUGCGGGUUCAUCUGAAACCGGAUCCGGACCGGAAAAAUGCGGGUUGUCAAAAACUGAUCCGGAUUCCGGAUAAAAACUAUGCCGGUGCGGGUUGAACCCGGACCGGAUUUUCCGGGUUCAAUCCGGGUCCGAUCCGGGUCCGGGUUUGGUUGCCAUCCCUAGACAUGGAUGAAACUAAUGUUAUUUAAGUAACACAUAGUUGAUUUAUAAGCUUAAUGUGUCAAAAUUGUUUAAACCUUUCCAAGAUUAACUAUUGUUUUCUUAUUAUUUCUUUUAUCUAGGUUUAAAUUUUAGGAGAAAUUUGUCAAUUUUCAAUUAUUGGGUGAUAUUGGUAUGCAAAUGAUGUGUUUUAUAGCAAUUUGAAUCUUUCUCAUCUUCAAGACUAUCAUUAGUCGAUAAUGUUGCUAUUACCUCAGGCUCUCGUGAGUCUAAACAUUUUCUAAUUAAUUGAAAAUGAUAUAAUGAUUAAUUAAUUGUUGAUAAUAAAACCAAUUUAAUACGACGUCUCCCCAUUUCUUUCUUUAUUUCUUUUAAACCUCAAUCAUUGUCAAAACCGUUAAUGGGUUGCAAUUAAACACUUAACAAAUCUUAAACUUGUUGUUAGCAAUUAACAUUUGCUAAAGGAAUCGUCUUAAGUUUCAAUUCUUUAAAUUAAUGUUAAUUAGAUUUAAGACGAAAAUUAAUUAUUCACUAAGACUUAUCUAUAAAUAAAAAGUAGAUACAAAUGUUGUAUAAUUAAAUAUGAGAUUAUGACACUAAAAUUAGGCCUUGGUAGUGGCAUUGUUGAGGGAAGAUAAAAGAACCUUCAUUCCUAUUUUAAUUAAAUUAUAUGUUAUGACGUGAAAAAAUAAACAAUCCAUUUUUGUAUUUUGUAGUUUGUGAAGAUUUGAAACAAUGUGCUUUCUUUUCAGAGUGAUAACAAUUGGAUCCAUUGCUUUUUCCUUUUAAUGUUUUAUAAACAUAUAUUGUCUAUUUGCAUCAAAUAAGUCCCAAUCUCUUUUACAAUCACUAAUAAAACACCUUUCAAUUAUUAAACUAUAAAUAUGUGUCAUUCAAAAUUAUGAUGGAAGAUAGAGAAUUUAGGGUGGGUUUCUUCACUGAAGAGUUAAAAAAAAUUGAAAUUUAAAAUUUUUCAAUAAAUACAAAUAUAAGAUGAAUAGUUUCAUUUGUUCAAUAGACUAAUCAUAUUAAAAUAAUGUUAGUAAGGAAAAUAAUUUAAAAAAUAUUCUUAAUUAAAAUAAUUUAAAAAAUGUAAAUUACCUCUCUCACCUCAUUUUUUAAGCAAAAAUAAAAAUAACUUGAAGUUUUAAAAAAUAAUUGAAGUAAUUUAAAAAUAAUCAAUUUGGAAUAAUUCAAAAUUUACCCAAGAGAUUAUUCACAAUAUCAAUCAAUGAAUUAGAAACAUUAAAUGGUAUAACAUAUAACUAUUAUUUUUAACUUAUUGAUCUCAAUCUUGAGCGUUCGGAUUAGAUCUUUGGGGUUUCAUUUUUUAGAUUUCAGUGAUUGAAAGUAUGAAACUCAAAGUAACAAAAAUUAAAUUUAUAUUUUAUCGCAAGUGAAGUGUAGGGAUUAAUCCAAUUAUUUGCGUCUAGCGUUUCUUUUUGUUGCUAUCACUCUUGUUGAUGAUGAUAAGCCUUUUUUUUUUUGCAUUGUCACUACCAAUUUAUUAUCUACAUUCAUCUAUAGAACGAAGCAAGAUGCCAAGAAAGAAAUAUAACACAAGAAAAAUAAGUUAUCCCAAUCGUUCAAAACAAAUACAUACAUAGCCAGAAAAAUAAGACAUAUCAUAUCACACUUAAAUAUUACCACUCUAAAAAGAAAAAAAGGUCAAAAGACUAACACACAUGUAAAAAGAUGACCAACAACAACACUAAACAUGUUUUGUGUAUUGAUUACUUCCACCAUCACUAACUUCAUCAUCAUCAAUAAUUUGGUUUUUUCUCUUUCUAUUCUUACUGGCAUUAGUAACAUGAAAAUCUCCCACAGAAUCUUCCAAAUUAUUUGAUAAGAUAUCAUGAGGAUCCUGUAAUUUUUUAAUCAAGGAAAUUAAAAUUAUGAGUAAACUGAACAUGCUAAUUUUAAUCAUAAAGGAAAACAACUGGGAAAUAAGAGUAAAUAAAAUUACCAUUUCUUGGGAAUGUUCUUCCUUUCUUUCAUAUAUUUCCACAUUUUCAUGAUCUGUAUUGUUUUUUUUCCUACAAAAAACAACAAUUAAAUAAUUUUUUUAACAUUACAUAUAUUGCCUACAAAUUGAACCUAGCACAGGUAGAUAAUACCUUCUUCAAUUCUUGUUCGAGCUCCAAUUUCUCAUCAGGGGUGAAAAGCUUUGACACAGUAAAAUUCUCAAGUCCCUCUUUCAAAUUGUAAUCAUUCAAUUUCAGUUUGUAAUCAUUCAAUUUCAGUUUGUAAUCAUUCAAUUUCAGUUUGUAAACAAAAUCUUUUCCACAAAGGCUUUGAAUUUCUGCAGGGACAUCCUUACUAUAUAAAGGUAGUCUAUUAAACAACUUGUGGGCUGAUGUAUCAAGUAACUUCUCAGCUACAUGAUUGAAUAAGACAAAAGUUGUCUCUGCCGUUUUAUCCAUGACUUUUAUAUGUAUUUUGUACCUACAUUAGAAUAAUGAAUUAGAAUGAAAAACUAACAACAUAAUGAGCAAUUUUUUUUAAAAAUAAUAUUAUUUUUCUUACAUCACAAGAGGAUAGUCACAUUCCUUUUUGCAAGUGCCACACAUAUAAAUACCAUUUGUAGGUAUGACCUUUUUUAUGCAUGUUUUGCACGAAACAUAGUACCAUCCAAAGGAGUUGUCUAUUUCACUAAUCUUGCCCCGCACAGUAACAAUAUAUUCCUACAAUUAAACAAUAAACAUUUAAAAAAAUAAUAAGGACAUUCCAAUAUUUAGGAACAAAUAACACAAAUGGAUGAGCAGGAAAAAAAUAGAAAAAUCACCUUCACUUGAGAACUCCAAUCAGCCUCCAAUAGUUCUUUAAUGCUCAUCCUGUUAAGGAACAUCUCUUCCUCAAAAGUAAUCUUAUUCACAUUCGAACUUUCAAUAACUUGCACAACGUUGGAGACGGUGGAAAAUCUUUCAAUUAAUGAUGCUACAUAAUCUAUUUGAAGAUUUAUAUAGAUUUUUCUUGCACUUGUGGUAGAGAAAUUAACCUCACCUGUUUAGAGCAAAUGUAACGUAAAACGAAACUUGAACAAAAUCUAAAUUUGUGUAUAAUAUUAAAAUAGCCACAUUGCAUUUGAAAAUGUUAAUUAGUGGGAUCUAAAUAAAAUAAUCACCUUGGAAUUUUUUAAUGGUUGUAGAAGUUACUAUCACAAUACAAGGACCCUCGUCUUUCUUGUACAAAUUUGAAUCAAACAUCUCCCCUAACUUUCCCCAUAAAGUAAUCUUCAUUGUUACUGAACUAUCCAUAAAAAUUAACAAAAAUUAAUAAUGUAAAGAGAACCAAUAACUAAAAAAUAACAUAAAUAACUAAAAAAAUAUAAAGUCAUAGUUUUCUUGAUUAUAUUCAACUUACUAAUCCAUUAGAAUUUUUAUAUCUCUUUUUUUCCAACCAGCUCCAACGAUCUCAAUAUCACCCACACCACAUAAACUUCCAAUAACAUCUGUAAUAUUAUGGAAAAAUAACAUAAACAUGUUAAAACAUAAGGAUUAAUAAUUUCUAAUAUACACUUAAAGAUUAACAAACAUUAAUAAUUAAAAAAAUACCUGAGAGGAUUGUGUUAUCAUUCACACGUAAAUCAAUCAAAUUCGAAGAUACGAAUUGAAAUCCAUUAAUCGGAAUCUUGACAGUUCCUUCUUCUAACCUCUUAAGAGAAGUUAUACCAAGAAAAUAAUCUUAUACUGAUUUGAAAGUGGUCUGUACUCGCCUGUAGUUGAAACAACUUUCAAAUUCUUGACAUUGUACAAAGAACCCUCACUCAACAUGUGCUUAAACCUUGUCACUAAGGUUUUCCUGAUUGUUGCAUGCAUUAGAUUUUCCUACGAAAAAAAAAAAACACAUACUACAUUCAGUGUGAAACAAUUGGGAAAAAAAAUUAGAGAAAACAAUGGGAGAAUAAAUUUUUUAUACAACCUUUUCAUCAAUAAAAAUCAUAUCAACACUAAUCAAUUCUCCAUUUUUUUUAGUAUUAGUAGACUCCCACAUCCUACAAAGCCUAACCCUUAUCAUCCAACUAUCUUUAUCAUUGUUCAACUCAUGAAGAAAAGAGUACUCCAUGAAGCACACAAUAUCAAAAAUUCAAAUAAAUCAAACAAUAAAAAUAUAAGUAUUUUUCUAAAGAGGGCGUUGAUUAAAUAAAUAAAAAAACCCUAAACAUAACAAAUCUUAAAUAUUUAGUGUUUAGAGAGCUUGAAGAAGCCAAAAGGCACUAAACAAAAGGUUGCAUAAUUAAAUAUGAGAUAAUGUCAUUAAAAUUAGGAUCUAGUGGCAUUGUUGAGGGAAGAUGAAAGAACCUCUCUUCCUAUGUUAAUUUAUUGAUUAUUUUAAGCCACUAAAGUUUAAUUGCUAGCAUAAUAAAAUUUGAAGGAGCCAAAAGACACUCAACAAAAGGUUCCAUAAUUAAAUAUAUGAUUAUGACAUUGAAAUUAGGCUCUAGUGGCAUUAUUGAGGGAAGAUGAAAGAACCUCUCUUCCUAUAUUAAUAAAUUCAUGUAUUUUAAGCCACUAAAGUUUAAUUGCUAGCAUAAUAAAAUAAAUGAAUGCUUCAAAAUACUUAUAAUUAAUUAUUAUUAAUGGUUACAUAUUGUUGGAUUUAAAUAGAAAGAGGAAGAAACAUGUACAAAGAAUAUCCACUAAUAUUUUAGAUAUUUUAGAUAAUAGAAAAUAUAAAACGAUGAGGUUGAGAGAAUGUGAAAGAACCUCUCUUCCUAUGUUAAUUAGUUGAUGUAUUUUAAGGCACUAAAGUUUAAUUGCUAGCAUAAUAAAAUUUAAAGAAGCCAAAAGGCACUCAACAAAAGGUUGCAUAAUUAAAUAUGAGAUUAUGGCAUUAAAAUUAGGCCCUAGUGGCAUUGUUGAGGGAAGAUGAAAGAACCUCUCUUCCUAUAUUAAUAAAUUCAUGUAUUUUAAGCCACUAAAGUUUAAUUGCUAGCAUAAUAAAAUAAAUGAAUGCUUCAAAAUACUUAUAAUUAAUUAUUAUUAAUGGUUACAUAUUGUUGGAUUUAAAUAAAAAGAGGAAGAAACAUGUACAAAGAAUAUCCACUAAUAUUUUAGAUAUUUUAGAUAAUAGAAAAUAUAAAACGAUGAGGUUGAGAGAAUGUGAAAGAACCUCUCUUCCUAUGUUAAUUAGUUGAUGUAUUUUAAGGCACUAAAGUUUAAUUGCUAGCAUAAUAAAAUUUAAAGAAGCCAAAAGGCACUCAACAAAAGGUUGCAUAAUUAAAUAUGAGAUUAUGGCAUUAAAAUUAGGCCCUAGUGGCAUUGUUGAGGGAAGAUGAAAGAACCUCUCUUCCUAUGUUAAUAAAUUCAUGUAUUUUAAGCCACUAAAGUUUAAUUGCUAGCAUAAUAAAACAAAUGAAUGUUUCAAAAGACUUAUAAUUAAUUAUUAUUAAUGGUUACAUAUUGUUGGAUUUAAAUAGAAAGAGGAAGAAAUAUGUACAAAGAAUAUUCAUCAAUAUUUUAGAUAUUUUAGAUAAUAGAGAAUAUAAAAAGAUGAGGUUGAGGGAAGAUGAAAUAACCUCUCUUCCUAUGUUAAUUAGGUGAUGUAUUUUAAGGCACUAAAGUUUAAUUGAUAGCAUAAUAAAUUUUGAAGAAGCCAAAAGACACUCAACAAAAUGUUGCAUAAUUAAAUAUGAGAUUAUGGCAUUAAAAUUAGGCUUUAGUGGCAUUGUUGAGGAAAAAUGAAAGAACCUCUCUUCCUAUGUUAAUUAAUUCAUGUAUUUUAUGCCACUAAAGUUUAAUUGCUAGCAUAAUAAAAGAAAUAAAUGUUUCAAAAGACUUAUAAUUAAUUAUUAUUAUUAAUUACAUAUUGUUAAAUUUAAAUAGAAAGAGAAAAAAAGUACAAAGAAUAUCCACAAUAUUUUAGAUAUUUUAGAUAAUAGAAAAUAUAAAAAGAUGAGGAAUGAUAUAUAUUAAUAAAGUUACUAUCUAUUAAAUGAGUUAAAUACAAUCAAAUUAAUUAUGAGAAGAUGAAAAGCCAAAUUUAAAAAAAAAAUAUCUAUUUAUUAGAUAAUAGAGAAUAUACAAAGAAGCAAAAUGGUGAUGCCACAUCAUCUCCUCAAGUCCUAGCUUUAUAUAGAUACUAGGAAAUAGAACCGCACUUUGUGCGGCUUUAAAAAAAGAAUUUAGUAUUAUUUUUUUUAUUACUUUACACUUGAUAAAACUGAUAAAAAAAUAUGAAUUGAUUUUCUUUUAAAGAUGACGCAGCCUUAUAAAACUAAUGUUAUUUAUGAAAGUUAAUUAUUUUUUUGUUAACUUUAAAAAUAUAUAUUAAUGUGUAUAGUUAAAUGUAAACAACCUUUUCAUCAAUAAAAAUUAUGUUCACACUAAUCAACUCUCAAUUCUUCUUGGUAUUAACAGACUCCUACAUUUUACAAAGUCUAACCCUUAUUAUCCAACUAUCUUUAUCAUUGUUUAACUCAUGAAGAAAAGAAUACUCUAUGAAGCACACAAUACAAAAAAAUUAAAUAAGUCAAAAAAUAAAAACACAAGAACAUUUCUAAAGAGGAUGUUGGUUAAAUUAAAAAAAAAUCCAAACAUAACAAAUCUUAAAUACUUAAUAUUUAUAUAGUUUGAAGAAGCCAAAAGACACUAAAUAAAGGUUGCAUAAUUAAAUAUGAAAUUAUGACAUUGAAAUUAGGUCCUAGUGGUAUUGGUGAGGGAAGAUGAAAGAACCUUCCUUCCUAUAUUAAUUAGUUGAUGUAUUUUAAACCACUAAAGUUUAGUUGUUGGCUUAAUAAAAUAAAUGAAUGUUUCAAAACUAUAAUUAAUUUAUUAUUAAUGGUUACAUAUUGUUGAAUUUAAAUAGAAAGAAGAAGAGACAUGUAAUCUUUUAUAAUCUACUAAUUAAUUUCUAUUUUUAAUAUUUUGUAAUAUAAUUAUUUUUUAAUCUCAACCAAUAUAUUAGAUUAUAGAGAAUAUAAAAAGAUGAGAAAUAAUAAUGGCACAAAUCUUAACUACUUAAUAUUUAUAGAGUUUGAAGAAACCAAAAGGCACUAAACAAAAUGUUACAUAUUAAAUAUGAGAUUAUAGCAUUAAAAUUAGACCCUAAUGGUAUUAUUGAGGGAAGAUGAAAGAACAUUCCUUCCUAUAUUAAUUAAUUGAUAUAUUUAAGCCACUAAAGUUUAAUUAUUGGCAUAAUAAAAUAAAUUAAUGUUUGAAAAUUUAUAAUUAAUUAUUAUUAAUGGUUACAUAUUAUUGAAUUUAAAUAGAAAGAGGAAGAGACAUAAUCUUUUAUAAUCUAAUAAUUAUUUUUUUAUUUUUAAUAUUUUGUAAUGUAAUUAUUUUUUUUAUAUCAACUAAUUUAUUAGAUAAUAGAGAAUACAAGAAGAUGAGAAAUAGUGAUGCCACAUCACCUCCUCUAGUCCCAACUUUAUAUAUAUAUAUAUCAACUAUAUAUAUAUAUAUAGAUAUAGAUUUUUAAUAUUUUGUAAUGUAAUUAGUUUUUAAUCUCAACCAAUAUAUUAGAUAAUAGAGAAUAUAAAAAGAUAAGAAAUAAUGAUGCCACAAAUCUUAAAUAUUUAAUGUUUAUGGAGUUUGAAGAAGCCAAAAUACACUAAACAAAAGAUUGAAUAAUUAAAUAUGGGAUUAUGACAUUAAAAUUAGGCUCUAAUAGCAUUGUUGAGGGAAGAUGAAGGAACAUUCCUUCAUAUAUUAAUAUUAAUUAAUUGAUGUAUUUUAAGCCACUAAAGUUUAAUUGUUGGCAUAAUAAAAUAAAUUAAUGUUUGAAGACUUAUAAUUAAUUAUUAUUAAUGGUUACAUAUUGUUGAAUUUAAAUAGAAAGAGGAAAAGACAUGUAAUCAUUUAUAAUCUAAUAAUUAUUUUCUAUUUUAAUAUUUUGUAAUGUAAUUAUUUUUUUAAUUUCAACCAAUUUAUUAGAUAAUAGAGAAUAUGAGAUGAAGAGAAAUGGUGAUGCCACAUCACCUCCUCAAGUCCUACCUUUAUAUAUAUACUAGAAAAUAGAACCGCGUUUCACGCGGCUUUGAAAAAGAAUUUAGCAUUAUCCUUUUUUCUUACUUUACACUUGAUAAAACUGAUAAAAAAUAUGAAUUGAUUUUUUUUUUUAAGAUGAGGCAGUCUUAUAAAAAAAUAAAAAAAGUUAUUAACCAGUAAUACAAAUAAAGAAGCAACGCAAGAUAAAGAAUAAAAUGAGAGAAUAUUGUAUAAUGAUUUUAUUCAUUACAAUUGUGUGUGUACAAAACAAAAAGAUGAGCUCUCCUUUGAUAGUUACAUAAUCACUCCAUGAAAUUAAUGAAAAAUUAUGGAUCAUAAUUCCUUGUGAGAUAGUGGGAGUUAUAGGGAAGCUAAAGGUUGCUAAUGAGAGAUAGUGGGGAGACUAAGAGAUAUAUGUUAUGAACAUCUACAUUUAUUUUAAUAAAUUCAUAACACUCCUCCUUGAAUGUUUAUUACAAAGAAUAUGUCUCAUUAAAAUCUUUACAUAAUUGUUAUUGUGUAAUAACAAUCAAAUUAAUUAUGAGAAGAUGAAAAAUCAAAUAUAAAAGAAAAUUUCUCUAUUUAUUAGAUAAUAGAGAAUAUACAAAGAUGAGAAAUGAUGAUACCACAUCACCUUCUCAAGUCCCAGCUUUAUAUAUAUAUAUAGAUAUAUAGAUAGAUAGAUAGAUAGAUUAAUUCAUGUAUUUUAUGCCACUAAAGUUUAAUUGCUAGCAUAAUAAAAUAAAUAAAUGUUUCAAAAGACUUAUAAUUAAUUAUUAUUAAUGAUUACAUAUUGUUGAAUUUAAAUAGAAAGAGAAAAAAAAGUACAAAGAAUAUCCACCAAUAGUUUAGAUAUUUUAUAUAAUAAAAAAUAUAAAAAGAUGAGGAAUGAUAUAUAUUAAUAAAGUUACUAUUUAUUAAAUGAGUUAAAUACAAUCAAAUUAAUUAUGAGAAGAUGAAAAGGCAAAUCUAAAAAACAAAAAUCUCUAUUUAUUAGAUAAUAGAGAAUAUAUAAAGAAGCAAAAUGGUGAUGCCACAUCACCUCCUCAAGUCCUAGCUUUAUAUAUAUAUAUAGAUAUAGAUAUAGAUAUAGAUAUUUUGUCCUAAUUAACUUAAAGAUUUUGAAUCUAAUAUUUUAUAAUAAAUAAAAAUAUAUUCCUAAAAUAAAUAUAAUAUCAAUAUUUAAAAUAUGUUUUAAUAUUUUACAAUCUAUCAUACACAUUUUAUUAUAGUAAAGUAGAUUUUAUAAUAAAUAUAUAAAAAAUUUAGAAUAUGUAGAAUAUUAUAUAAAAUAAUUUUAAUAUAAUGUGUGAGAUAUAUUUUAUUAAUUUAAAAUGUCAUUUUACCUAAAAAAUAUGAUAAAUUAAUAAUUACAUAUUUGAAGUUACUUCAAAUAUUAAAAAAAAUUAAUAUUAUUAAUCUUUUAGAUAGAUUAAAUUAUUUUUUAUAAGAGAGAUUAAAUUAUUUUAAAAUGCCUUAAUUGUUUUUACUUUUAACGUUACCGGCCUUUCUUUUAUUUUAUUGCAAAUUAAUACUAAUAAGAAAAAGCUAGAUCAUAUUCCACAAAAGCAAAUGUGACAAACACAACCAGCUGGAAUCUUUUAAUUACUAUUCAAUAAUUCGAGACGAUUAGGGUCUUUUAUUAAACUACAAUCCUCAAUAAUUGUUUUAAAUUGGUGGCACCUACAAUCCUCAAUAAUUGUACCGAUAUUCACAAGUUCGUGGCCCCUACAAUUCUGUUCGCAAGUGCUCAUUCACAGUCUUCCAGGCCCCUACAAUUCUGUUCCGAUAAUUUAACUGUGCAAGUGCUUAAUAAUUGUUUUGUUUUUUUCUGCAUUCCCUUUCAUGCUCUUAAUAAUUGAAGAGCAUACUUUUCAAAUGUGGAGCCGCAGCUAAUGUCGUUAAUUUAAUUUGGGAUUAAAUUAGGGGACCAUUAUAUUGCAGUGUGCACUAAUUUUUGUGUUUAUCUAAACUCCUUAAAUUUAAGACAUAUUACGGCAUAAAUAAGAAUAUAACAAUAACAAAAGAGUUAGAAAGUGUAGAGAAGAUCUUGCAGAAAUAUAAAUAAUAUCAAUUUUAAAAUAAUUUUUAAUAUUUUAUGAUCCAUUAAAUAUAUUUUAUUAUAUUAAAAUAAAUUUUAUAAUAAAUAAAAACAUCCUAUUAAAAUGAAUAUAUAGAAAAUUUAGAGUAUUUUAAGUAUUAUAUAAAAUAAAUUUAAUAAAAUAUGUGAGAUAUUCAUAGUUUAUUAAUUUAAAAUACCAUUUUAAAAUUAAAGAUUUAUUUAUGAUAAAUUAAUAAUUAUAUUUUUGAAAUUACUUCAAAUAUUAAAAAAUUAAUAUUACUAAUCUAUUAGAUAGAUUAAAUUAUAUAUAUUAUUUUCUAUUUAUUAAAAAAUUAAAAUUAUUUUUAAUUACUAUUCAAAAAAUAUAAUGAUAAAAAAAAUCUUAACAUCUUUAUUAAAAAUUUAAAAAUUUACGUGAUCAAUUCUCUAAAUAUUUAGGGUAUAUGUGAACCACGGUGGAGAAGCUUUAUUUAAUAUUAUUGAUUUAAAUAAUAUGUCAAUUAAAAAUGUGCGGAGAAGAAAUUUCGGUGGAUAUUUUAGUCUUUUCAGCAAUUAUCAUGAUCAGAUCUAGGGAUGGCAAUGGAGAGGGGAGGGGAGGGGACCGAUCUCCCCGUACCCAUCCCCGAUAUUUUGCGUAUGUCCCCGUCCCCUCCCCGUCCCCAUCAGAAUUACUUGAGAGAAUCACCAUCCCCUCCCCGAAUAAUAACAGGGGAUCCCCGAUGGUCCCCGAUCCCCGAAUAACUAAUACAUUUUUUUUCAAUUUUGAGUUAAUCAUAUUAAAAUAAAAAAUUCAAAUAAAAAUAAAGUUCGAAAUAUAUCUUACAUUAAUAUCUAUUACAAAAGUCACAUACAUUAAAUUAGUAAGUAACGCAACAUGCAAGGAAUACAAACUUCUUUUACAAACUAUCAUGAACAAAUUAAUAGUUUAAUACAAAAUUGUUACAAAUAAAAUCGAAUUUAGAUUCAAAAUUAACUUUUUCAAUGGUGGCGUGGGCACUUUAUAAAUGUGGAUUAUUCCCUUUACAACACAAUAGUUAAAUCGGAGCAAAUCAAAAGUAAAUAUUAGAUUGGAUUAGAUUAGAUUAGAUUAGAUUAGAUUAGAUAUUAAAAUUGUGAUUCGCUGUGGACAAUUAUAACAUCUAAAAAUAAAUAAAAAAUAGAUUUAAGUUUAAAAUAUUUAAAGAAUAUUAAAAUUAAAAAAAAAUGUUUGGCUAAUAGAAUCUACUUGGUCUUUUUAAUGUCGUAAAUAAAAAUUUAAGACUUUAAUUAGUUAAUUAGGCCUAAAAAUUUAAUAAUAUAAAUAUUUUGAUAUUUUUUAUUUUUACCAAUAUUUAUAAGUGGAUUCUUUUACUAAACUAUAAAUUAAAAGUGGAUUCUUUUGAAUACAAGUGGGACAGACGAUUAGGCUCUUUUUAUUAAACGCAAGUAAAAAGUAGUCGAAUAGUCUUUUUCAAAUUAUUGUUUUAUUAUUUUUCCUUCAAAAGUUAGCGUGGCUCAUGUUUGCAGGUGCGAAUGUGCGAUGCUCUUUUUUUAAAGGCAAUUACAGUGGGUCCCGAAUCAUUACUAAAAUUUCUCUUCCUCAGCCCACCGCAGCUUCAGUUAAUCAAACUCAAUCAAUUUUCUUUCUUAACAAAAUUCUAAAGAUGUGUAGCAUUUUUCAGAUCACAUGCGAUGGUGCUUUUUUCAAUCGUUGCUUGGAUUGCUUUCUUGGAAAAGCAGCAUACAUACGUAACCUCCAAGAUAAUCUUGAUGCCUUGGAGACUGAAUUGGGAAAUCUGAUCGCUAGAAAGAACGAUGUGAUGAGGAGGGUUGUCGAUGCUGAACGGCAACAAAUGAGAAGGCUGGACGGAGUGCAAGUGUGGGUUUCGAGGGUGGAUUCUGUUAAAACUGAAGCCGAUGAACUUAUCACAGACGGCUCUCGAGAAAUUGAAAAAUUAUGUGUUGGAGGCUACUGUUCCAAGAACUGCAGGUCAAGCUACAAAUUCGGGAAAAAAGUGGCUAAAAAGCUACGGGAUGCGCGGACUUUAAUCAGUGAAGGAGUUUUUGAGGUGGUGGCUGACAGAGCUCCAGAGUCUGUAGCAGAUGAAAGACCUACUGAGCGAACAGUAGUAGGCUUGCAAUCACAACUUGAACAAGUCUGGAGAUGUCUUGUAGAAGAAUCAGCGGGAAUCAUUGGCCUAUAUGGUAUGGGCGGUGUUGGUAAAACUACACUACUGACCCAUAUCAACAACAAAUUUCUCGAGAGUCCAACCAACUUUGAUUGUGUGAUUUGGGUUGUAGUUUCAAAAGACCUGCGACUCGAAAAAAUUCAAGAAGAUAUUGGGAAAAAGAUAGGUUUGGUUGGUGAUUCAUGGAAGAGUAAAAGUGUAGAGGAGAAAGCUGUCGACAUCUUCCGGAGUUUAAGAGAGAAGAGAUUUGUAUUGUUGUUAGAUGAUAUAUGGGAGCGGGUUGAUUUAACAAACGUGGGCGUUCCACUUCCCGGACCAAAAAAUACUACCUCAAAAGUCGUAUUCACAACCCGUUUCAUCGAUGUUUGUGGUAGCAUGGAAGUUGACAGGAAGUUUCAAGUAGCAUGCUUAUCAGAAAAGGAUGCUUGGGAACUGUUUCGAGAAAAAGUUGGGGAAGAAACUCUUGAGAGUCAUCAUGAUAUCGAUGAGCUAGCCCAAAUUGUGGUCAAAGAGUGUGGUGGUUUGCCACUCGCACUUAUUACUAUUGGUCGAGCUAUGGCCUACAGAAAGAAAGCGGAGCAGUGGAGACGUGCAAUUGAAGAGUUAAGGAGAUCAGCUUCAGAGUUUGCAGGUUUGGGAAAAGAGGUGUAUCCUCUUUUAAAAUUCAGCUACGAUAGUUUGCAGAAUGAUAGUUUGCAGAAUGAUACGGUUAGAUCUUGUUUCUUGUACUGUUGUUUAUAUCCUGAAGAUUAUGUCAUUCCUAAAUGGGACUUGAUUGAUUGUUGGAUUGGUGAGGGAUUUUUUGGGGAAUCUGACAGGUCUGGUGCAGAAAACCAAGGAUAUGACAUUUUGGACACUCUUGUUCGUGCAUGUUUAUUAGAAGAGGUGGAAGAUGAUAAAGUAAAAAUGCAUGACGUUAUUCGUGAUAUGGCUAUAUGGAUAACUUGUGAAAUUGAGAAGGAGAAUAGAAAAUUUUUGGUUUGUGCAGGUGCUGGAUUAAAAGAGGCACCGGGUGUUAAAGGAUGGGAAAAUGUGAGAAGAUUGUCAUUGAUGCAAAACCAAAUUGAAACUCUGUCAGAGGUUCCCACAUGCCCUCAUCUCCUCACUUUAUUUCUUGACUUUAAUUAUAAUUUGAGGAUGAUCGCGGAUGGCUUCUUCCAACUUAUGCCUUCUCUCAAAGUUUUGAAGAUGUCACUCUGCCGGAAUUUAACUUUGAAAUUACCUUUGGGGAUGUCAAAGUUAGGUUCACUGGAACUUCUCGAUAUUUCAUAUACCUACAUACAAGAGUUACCACAAGAGUUAAAGUUGUUGGUAAAUCUGAAAUGUUUGAAUUUGAGGUGUACACACAGGUUAAAUAAAAUUCCACGGCAACUAAUAUCAAAUUAUUCAAGGUUACGUGUGUUGAGAAUGUUCGCUAGUGGCUGGUUCAAUUUUCAUGAAGCAUCAGAAGAAAGCGUUUUAUUUGGUGGGGGUAAAGUUUUGAUACAGGAAUUGCUCGGUUUGAAAUAUUUAGAGGUAUUGGAGUUGACCUUGGGAAGUUAUCAUGCUCUCCAAAUUCUUUUGAGCUCAAAUAAGUUAAAAAGUUGUAUUCGAUCUCUUUACCUCCAUUUGACCGGAGAUACAGCGUCAAUUAUUGAUGCUACGGCUUUCGCAGAUCUAAACCACCUCAAUGAAUUAUGGAUUGAUAAUGGUAUUGAGUUGGAAGAAUUGAAGAUUGAUUAUACGGAGAUAGUACGAAAAAGGCGGGAACCUUUUGUUUUCCGCAGCCUUCACCGUGUUACCAUAUAUAGUUGCAGUAAAUUGAAAGAUGUGACAUUCCUCGUUUUCGCUCCAAACCUCAAGUCUCUUACGCUAUUCAAUUGCGGUGCUAUGGAAGAAAUAAUCAGCGUCGGAAAAAUUGCUGAGACUCCUGAGAUGAUGGGACAUAUAAGCCCUUUUGAAAAUCUCCAAAGGCUUAAU